This 399022-nucleotide long non-coding RNA is filed under the name Coffea arabica (coffee). Its description in RNAcentral is "long non-coding RNA (CARA_LNC001380)". The stretch from base 234345 to 234431 matches the Rfam family "small nucleolar RNA snoR127". The record is from RNAcentral. Lineage: Eukaryota; Viridiplantae; Streptophyta; Magnoliopsida; Gentianales; Rubiaceae.
GUAAGGUUGCAAUAGUCAUCACUCUCUUAUGACUAGUCAUCAGUAGAGUACUGUUUUUCUGCUUUUGGUCGUGACCAAAUGUCCAUUUUGUCCUUGAUAACCGGCCUCCAAGAAGUAGGGAGGUAGCUUUUUUUACUGGGUCAAAACCCUACUCCAAAUAGUAGUAUAUCAAAGUUUGACAGAAAAAAUAGAUCAAAGGCUUUGUAUUAUACCCGUGCGGUACACUUUUUUAGUACUGCAUGUAAGUUAGUGAAUAGAUGAUACACUUUCUUAUCGAUGUGCAUAUUUUUUAAAAAUACUUAAAAAAUACUGAAAAUAUAGACCGAAAAUAUCUAUAAUUUUCGAUUAAAAAACCUAUUUGGAAUCAUAAUUGGCUUGAAAUUAUGGGAGAAGUCUGUAGAGGGGCCUUAGUCUAGAUCUAGAACAAUCUGUUAAGAGGACAUAUUGGUAAAUCCACAAACGGGGGUUCAUUUGUAUGGUAUAGUAGAAAACUAGUGAUAAGUUUUUGUUAAUUGAAGGGUUAUUGUCAAUUAUGGCGACAAAUUUUGCCAUAUUAUGUGUAGUUCUAUGGAUGAGUGAUAUAUCACGUCAUGUGUAUUUACAUUAAAUAAAAAUGGUAACAAAAAUUUGUCAUUAAGGGGUUGUGGUGGAUGGAUCUUUUGAGCGGAUAAUGCAAGGCGGCCAGAAAAGUUAGGUGGAAAUGUGGAAAAUGGUGGAUCAGAGGGUGCAAUUAUUUACUGGUUGUCUUCUUAUACACUAAUAAUCCGUUUUAAGGUGGCAUCCACGGAGAUGUUUAGUAAAUUAUUUGGUAUUACAACCAAAUCUUUCCUUUUCGACGUCACAAGUCACACCCACCUUGCAACUUGCACGGGGAUUAAUUGGCUGAAAUUGACUUCGGCUCCUCCUAUGGGACAUGUUUGUGGUUGUAUCACAAGUUGUAUGGUGGACGUGCGUCCUUACUCUUUUUGCUGGAUGGAAGAUCCAGGGCUUGUACCUUAAGAAGGGUAAGAGGGCUAAUGAAUACAAGGUGCAGGAGUUUCAGUUGAAUUCCGUUUCUGAUGACUAACCAAACAAACAUAGCCGAAGGGACAUGAUAUCUAGGUGGUAGUAAGACUUAAUUCUCUGUAAGGAGCUCGACAGUGGUAAAGAGCAGGUGCUCUAAUGAAGUCUGUGCUGUGUUUCAGUCUAAAUAUGUACCUCCUGCUCGAGUAAGAUUGAAUGGGCUGCGAUAUGCUGUUGUGCAAGACUUUGUAAUACAAAAUCUUGAAUGUGCUGCGAUAUGCUGUUGCCCAUCAUGAUGGUUGUGUGCAGCAAUUGAAAUGGAAGCUUGAUUAAUUUGGCAUAUGGAACCGACGAAAAGUUAGGUCUUAGGUCAUAGGAAGUGGAAGUGUUGUUAUGCAUGUGAUCAUGUGCAUGACAUGGUCCAUGCUCUCAGCCUGUGGUGGGAAAGAAUCCGAGUAGGGUGGAAUAAAGGGAAAUAUGGUUGGAUGUGGUAGGUGAUGGGACUGCUUAUUAAUGAACAAAUUGAAUUGUAAAUGGCAUGGAUGGUCUCAAAGCAAUGUGAUGAUGUAGUGUUUCUUUUUCUUCCUUGAUCAAUAGCAAUUGUAUCAUGACAUGGGGCUUCUUUUGCAGCUUGCUUGGUGCAAUGUCUCUGUCCCCCUCUUUAUACUCCUUGAUGCUGUACUGUACUCCAGCCUAUUGACUGCUACAGUUUUAUUUCUUGUGCAAGCUUUCCUGCAUUUAUUGCAUUACUUGGAUGAAGAAUGUUGACAGCAAAAAGAUUUUCUCGAUGCAUAAUGUGUAGGUGCUGGAGGAAGAGAGGCGUUUCGGUUUCGCAGGAAGUCUGCAUCAUUCGCAUAUGAGAAAUCCAGCAGUGUUGACCCAGGAGCCCUCCUCCUCCUUACGACCUGUGAGAUAUGAUGAGGCUUGGCAUUUUCCAUUGAGCGGCGGCUAAAGUAGUCGGAUUUUCGUCUUCUUCUCAGCUUUGUCAUGGGGAAAUCUUUUAGAUGAAUAGCACUGAGUGUGAAAAAGUUUGGUGGCGUGCAAUCAAAAAUUAAUCUUGUAAAUAUGGGUUAUGGUAGUGUCUGCUGUCUCGGUCGCGGUGUAUGGAGGGCUGGUCAUGCAGACUUUUGUAAAAGCUCAGUUUGAAGUUUGUAAUGUGUCCUGGUCUCUGUAUGCAGAGCUCAGAGUGGUUUGGUUUCUCCCAAAACUGCUAAGUUUCUUCUGUCAUUUUCCGGUGCGCUUGAAUGCCUAUUUGUGUUGUGCAACUUUGGUUGAUAUUGCAGUAAAGCUCUCCUCUCCCUGUUCCUGUUUUUCAAUGGCAAUAUUUUUCCUUUUUACCUACACUUCUCGUCUGUAUUAUGUGAUGAGUGAGCCCCUCGAAAAGAAUGGAAAUUGGACACCAAUUGGUUUUCCCUCACUCCCCCCAUCACCCUUAAAAGGGUAGAAAUGGGCAUGGUGGUGUUUAAUAUGUCGCCAAAAUAAUUAUAGCUUUGUUUGAAUUGCAGCUUUUCGUCGAAAAAUUACGUUGUUUUCCGUGAUUAUAUUUUUUUAUUAUUUUUUUUCUCACAUACAUCAAAUCGAUACAAUAAAUUUUUUAUACAAAAUUAUAAAAAAUGUAAUUCAAACAUACCUUUAUUUUAUGAGCCAUUGAUUUAAUUAAUUAAUUGUGGGUUGCAUAAUAAUUAUAUUAUAUAAUAUAAUAAUAUAUUUAAAUUAUAAAAAUAAUAAAAAUUUUAAAUUGGUGGUUUAAUCGGUAAUUUAUCGGUUGAAUCCGUUGACUAGUCAAUAGAUUUGUUGUUUAAUUGGUUUAAUUAGAAACUUAUUUGGAUCGUAUAGUCAGUUCACUGUUAAUUGGUUCGAUAAUCAAGCCGGACCAAAAUUUAUAACUACGAUAAGAAUGACAUGUUUCAUUAGCUAAUUGACAUAAUAUGCUCUUGUCUAUUAAAAGCACAAGUCAUUAUUAUUGAAUUUUGGUCUAAUGAUCAGGAGUUUCUUAAAACUCUCCUGUGCACUAAGGUAGGGUUCAAAAUUUGCGUAGUGCAUUAAGGCAGCCAUGCACUUGUGUGGUGUAGGGGUUCACGUCUUGUGUUUGGAUUGCAUUUUUCAUGAUUUUUUAUGGAAAAAUUACUGUAAUAAUUUGAUAUAUGUGAGAAAAAAAAGUGAUAGGGAAAUAUGAUCACGAAAAUGACGUAAUUUUUCGACGAAAAACCGCAAUCCAGUGUAGAAUGUUGCCUGAGGAGAGAAAAAAAAAAAGUUGGACACAAAAGACUAUAAUAACAUAAUAGAAAAGGAAAAUAAUAGUAUAUAACUCCUCAAAAUUUUAUGAAAAUUUGACCUGGAAAAAAGUCAUGAUUCUGGGAUAAGCAGAUGGACCAAUUUGACUUCAGAACUUUGGGCUUGCUUCACUGUCUCUACUCGGUCCAUGUUAACAACCAAUUGUUUAAAAUUUUGAUUAAUUAUUUUCGCUAAGCACACAAAUUUGGUGGCAAGAAAAAGAUUAAUUUUAUUGAUAAAUUCUAAAAUAAAAUCAUGAGAUAAGAAUAUAAACAUCCAAAAAAAGGUUUAGAUUAUUGCUUGGAAUAAAUUAAAGCUAUCUUAUAUAUAUAUAUAUAUAUAUAUCUCAGUAACACUGUAUCUUAUAUAUAUCAGUAACACUGUAUCAUAUAACUUUUGAGUUAGAGAAUAGAGAGUUUAGGCAAGAAGAAGACGGCUUCGUUUGGAGUGGAGGAUUCGGACAGAAAAGAAAGGGAAAGAAGAGAAAGUUAGCUUUUCUUUCAUUUGUUAGUUUUUAGUAGGAAAGAAAAGAAGGAAAUGGAAUGAUUUAAGAGGAUGAAUAGUAUGCAAAAUUUUUCCUUCCAAAUUGGAGAGAAAUGGAGAGAAAAUUGGAGGAAGCUUAUGAAAGUUUUUUAAAAUACCCAUUUUAUCCUUAAAAAUGUCUUGAACAAAUAUUUAAUGACUUUCAUAUCCAAAAUUAUUCCACUAAUUCUCAAAACUCCCAAACAACGUAACAAUCCCUUCUCUUCUCUUCUCUUCUCUCAUAACUUAAGUUUUCCCUUCUUUCUUUUCUAUCCUAAACUCCCAAACUUAGCCUAAAACUGAUUAGGCAAAUUUCCUCUUUCAUAGAGGAGAAAAAAAAGUUGAAAUUUGAAAACGGAAUAAAAGAAGCUUUCUGAUAUUUUUAUUACUGCGAAACCUUUGGGAAGAAAAGUUGGAACUCCUUGACCUAUAGCACCAAAAGAUGAGAUGGGAAAGUCACCGCUGCAUUUUGCUGCUGAUACUCACCACCUCAACCAUCAACCUUCCUUUCUCUCGCGUCUUUGCUGCUUCUGCUACUACUAAUACUGGUAUGUGUAUUAUUCCUAAUCUCUGCCUCUGUUUCUCAAAUCCAAAGUUAUUCCUGGUAUGUGUAUUAUCAGUCAGACAUAUGCACGAACAUAUACAAGGCAUGCCACGCGAUCACAGAUGAAUUCACGGUUAUUUUGCAUUCCAUAAUUUUUUUCUGACCCUUUACAUUGUUUAUUCUCGAACCCAAAUUUUGUUUUCAUCGUUUUUUGAGUUUUAUUGUUGAGGUGUUUGUAUGUUUUGCUUAUCUUUUGCUAUUCAAGAAUUUUGCUUCAGAUGGUCAUUACUGCCAUACAGUAGUAUAUUUUGUGGCUUUAAACCUAUCAAAGACAAUUCAUAAUGGUUUUCUACAAUUGUUUUGUUUUUACUUCCGUUUGGGUGGGGUGAAAGGGGGAGGCGAGGUUGGAUUAUUUGUUGAAGUGUAGCCUUUUACUAAUGUAAUGGUAGUGGUAGUGAAAAAUAUUUAUGAGGGUGGUGCGAAAUCAUUAAUACCUAAUUGUAAUGCUAAAACCUAGCUAGAAACAACGUCUAGAGAUUUGGCUUGAAAUGGGCCCUUAAGUACUUCAAAGCAACCGAAUUACCCUUGGAGUUAUUUAAUUUAACAGGAUUCAUCUGUUUAGAUUUGAAUUCCUGUCUCUUCUUGAAGGUCCACAUAUUUUAAAGAUUGAAUUUUUACACCAGAUUGAGGCAAUGGUCAACCAUAGGCUACCUUUCCCGCAGCUUUUACAAUUUAUUUCUCAUUCAGCAGUUUAGUGAAUCUUGUGACGUGCUUGUUGUUUAUUUGGGUAGUUAAGAAGAGACAUGGCUUCGCAUAUUAGUUUAAUAGGAACCUUAAGAGGUUUAGACUGUUGAUUGUGCUUAGAAUGUACACCUUUCACCUGAUUAUCUUCUUGUAGUUGUUUUUCUGGUCAUAUAUGGAAAGGGACCAGCGGCAUCCCUCACUGGUUAUUAAGGAGAGAAAGCAUCUGAUAUGCGGAAACUAAUUGAGUUUAAUAAUUGUCGAAACAUUGUGGAUCAGGAAACCAUAAGAAGCUAGUAAAAUUGCUCCUUUCCUUAAUGGGUAUGGUUUCUAGCGCCUGAUUUAGGUUAAUUUUUCAAUGAGCUCAAAAUGAUGAAUCUAAAUGUUACUUAAAAUCGUUGAGGGAGAAUGUAAGUAGUGAUGGUCAUAACUAGGUGAUGGUAGGUUUCUAAAUGUAAUUAUGGUAUCCAAUGCAUUAGACAAACUGGAAAGACCUUUGGAGUUUGUUUUGAUUCUUAUGUGCUUAUCAAAGUUGAGGAAACUUUUGGAACAAGGCAAGUCAACCAACUUCCAGUUUAGCAGCAAGUAGUAGGCUUCCGAUGACCAACAUAUUAACAGAAUGCUGGUACAACAGAAUGAUGACAUGGAUGGCCUGUAAAAUACUAAAGAUGUCUAAGAAUGUAGCAACCCAUAAUACGAUAAAGCUUCCACUUCCAGGAGAAUAAUUAGGAGAUACUCAAGAUUGGUGGAGUCUUCAAAAAGAUGAGCAGAUUUAGAAAUCCCUGGGAAUUAGAGGUUCUGGGUUCAAAUUCUCCUUUGCCCUCCCCGCUUCUUUAAGUCCCGCCUCAUUCAUCACUGCUAAAAUAAAAAAGGCCAAGGUGACCUUGGUUUAGUGGCUAAGGUUGGCAAGAAUUACCCCCUCCCCGGGGGGCUUGCUUUUCAAAUCCCACGUCUCUCCUGCUUAAUUUGGAAAAAAAAAAAAAAGACGAAUUGGAUGUGCAUAAAAUGUUGGUGCUAAGAAUUGAAGGAAAGCAAAGGAUAGAAUAACUCGUAAUGGGUAAAUGGAACAGUAUACAGGUCACUCAAAGUAAAGUAUGUGCUAAUAGUGCGGAGCCCAAAAGAUAGGUUACUUCUGUCCAGUUGUGCUAAAAACUUGGAAGGUAAGUGGGUCUUCAACACUUAAAAUGCCAAAACUGAUUAUAAUAUUUCAAAACCAGUGCUUGAGUCUCCAUUGCUAUCUUUAUAAUUCUGUAGCUUGGAAAAUAGAGUCUUCUACAAGGCUGAAGUGAUUGAGGAAUAAUCCACGAUAAUAAGAGAACUUGAAAAAUGGCAAUCUUAUGUUCUGAAGAAGGGAAGAUACCAUUUGAAAUUGAAAAUUCCUACGUUGCUCACAUUUUUCUUCUGGAGCAAGGUUUACAAUCUAACUUGUGUAGAUUAAUAAAUAAACACAUAGCAUGCUUUGAGCAGCUUGUAUACCCUGUAUGGAUUCCUUAACAACAAAUAUAUUCUUAAAGCAUCAAAAGAUCUGCUAAUUUGUAAAUAAACUCUGUUAAUAUAUAUGGUGGUUACUGUGCUUUUGAAGUUCUUGACAUCCUCCUAAUGUGUCUUUACGCCUAAACUAAGGAAUUGAAUUUUACUUCAUGCAGAAAAACUUCUGUGUUUGUGUAUCUCCUGGUGGGCGCUUCCCACCAUUUCUAGAUGAGGGUAAGCCUCCCAGAAAAGUAAGCAAGGGACAUCGGGAUCUGACUCUUUGCAGGGUUUUUCGCCAUAAUACAUGCUGUGAUGUAACCCAAACGCAUCCAGCUUUUCUGUCUAUCAGGAAGUUGGCUUCAGCUGGAGAAGCAAGCCAAGAAUGCUUACACUUGUGGGAAUGUUGGAAUGUUCCAUCUGUGAUCCUCGUGUUGGUGUACAGCCUGGACCUCCUGUAAUAUGUGUAUCGUUUUGUGAUAGAGUGUAUCAAGCAUGCUCGGAUGCAUACUUAUCUGUGGAUGCUAAAACACAGGUUUGUUGUGCUUUAAUUAAGGCUAGAUAUGUGGUUUUCCAGUUGGCCUUGUAACAAAGUAGCAAAUAUGAAACUUUGCUGAAGCUUCCUAUCUUUAGUUUGCGAGGGAGCUUGAUCCAUGGAACUGUUCUAUGUUUUUCUUUGGUGUUGCUUCUUUCUUCUUUUCCCAAAUCUGAUUCAGUAAAGUUAGCAAAAACCGUUCAAGGGAGCAUGUGAAUUAUCUUCAAAGUGCUCCUUAUCUAGAAUAUUGUUAUGCCAAUGCCCCUAAUUUUCUGUGUAUAAAAAAUAUUACCUUAAGUUACCUCAUGCAUUAUGAAAAAUUUACUCUCUUAUUUGACCAUUACAUGCCAGGUUCUAGCACCAUGUGGAUUAAAAGACUUUGUGUGUGGUAGAGCCUCAGAAUGGAUCUCUAAUGGCACAGAUCUCUGCCGUGCUGCAGGUUUUUCUGUUAAGCCAUCUGAUGAUCCUCAAGAAUUAUCAUGCUAUGGUGGGAAAGCUAGUCUGGAUUACGUUGCUGAUCUCUGGAAAGCUUCAGAGUCUAGGGUUCCACAAGAAACAGAAGGUUUGUGGUCUUUAGAAGAUUUCAGGCAAUGGGUGGAGGCAAUGCCAUUCAGUGAAAAAGUUUCUUGGGCAGUAGGAGGAAUGGUUCUUACAGCGGGACUGAUAUUUGCAAGGUUAGACAACUUUGUUAAUGGUAUCAAAAGCAUCCGCCAUGUUUUCUACUCGAGUCACAAUACUUAAUGUCUAUGGUUUGAUGCUUUUACUAUCUGAAGUUUAGUUCAUCUACUGAAUUUUUUGUAUCAUAUUCAUGCUAGUUGAACUUCAUAAAUUUGUGGCAACUAUGCAUAAUGAGCAUUCUGUGCUGUCUUGGUCUAUAAGAGAUCAAGCAGGAGACACAUACUUCGGUUUAGGUGUUUGAAAUGGAAGUGUUGAACAGGCUUAGUUUGAUGACCAAAAGUUUCUGAAAUGGACUUUAGGGAGACUGGUGUUAUACACUGUGACAAAUAGAGUUUGAAACAGGAAUUGGAGAAAGGCUGUCCAUGUGGUCAAUAUGUGAAAGGUCAGCUUCUGGACUGGUAAAAACAUAAUAAGAGGUGCUCCAGUAUCCCUUGACUUAAUCAGAAACACAUUUGGGCUUAGGAUGCAGACCAAAUCAAACAACCUUGAGUAAAUAGGCUUUAGUCAAAUCAAGGUUAUAUAUCUUUAAGCAAGGUAAAAGUUCUUUUAUUGGCAUGAGGCCUGGCUCUGAUGAGUUGAGGGUGGUCACAAAAUCUCUCAGUUUGUGACUUCAAGAAAGGGUUGUGAAGAAUUUAAGCAACAGCUUCACACGCUUUAAGCAAAAGCUUCACACACUUUUCUGGUCAUCUGUUUGCAAAGUAAAGUUGCCCUGGGAGGAACAUAUGAAAGGUAGGUUUUAAUCAGCUAAGGGGAAAUCAGCUCUGCUGAGAGGGGACAGAGACUGAUGAAAUAGUUUCAGAUGCCGUGGAGAUAAAACUUUGAAUAAACAGGAUCAUAGAAUAGUGUCUUAUUAUAUAGCUUUAAAAGUGAUACCAAAGGUUGUAAUUUUUAGGAAUGCAAGGGUUUGUUUCUCUGAAGAGGAAGGGAGCUUUUGAGAAAGAGGUUUGAAUCUGGUGGAGAUGGAGGACUAUAAUGAUGGGUUGUGCUCUGGGGUAGGGAGUGAUGAUAUAUAGUUCAGUUGCAGAAAUUGAGCUAUACCUUUGAAUGAUUACCUGUAUGAUCUACCUCGGACUUAUGUGGCAUCCAACUAACUGGUUGCUCUAGCAAAGUUUAAAGUGUAAUUAGGCUUUUUCAUUGCGAACUAUGAAGUGAUAAUAGAAGAUUAAAGGAAUCCAGACAAGAUAAAAGCCAAGGAAAGGUCAAUUGUGACAAAGGGAAGAAAGUGGGGAUAGUAUGCUGAUGGAAGUUGCAAUUGUGGGUUGUUCCUUGUGUUUAUCUUUGUUUUCUGUCCUUUCCAUAUUGAAAUGUUUAGGUAGUCUUUUGGUGCUAAUUAUAGUUCGUUUGAUGGAUGGUAGUUUUUUUUUUUUCAUUUGUCUAUUUGAAGUUUCACGUUGGUGCAGCAUAUUUUUUAGCUCUCAGUCUUUGGGUUAUGUAAAAUUUUGGGGAGAGAGAGAGAGCUGUUUGUGUGCAUCUCUUCUAGAAACAUUUCUAGGAGGAGUAGCAAGAGCAGCUUGGGAAGCAUUUAAACAAAAAUUUCCAGAUAAAUUACAACAAGACCAGGUGCAUGGAGUAAAUCCCAUGAAUUUUGUUAAUAGAGUAGAAGAAAUUCUUUUAGCAACAAGUCCAAAUAGAGGAGGAGUUCUAACACAAAUAGAAUCUAUAAGAAAAAUAGAACAACUAUCUAUUAGAAAUUGAAAAUAUAUUAAACCAUUUUUACAAGAUUUCUUAUAUCAUAGCUGUUUAGCGGGAUGUUUUUAUGAUGAAGGAAUUAUAGAAAAAUUAUUUGCUAAAUUACCAGACGAUCUAGGAAAGAAAAUAUAUACUUUAUAUAAAGAAACACCUAUGGAACCAACACUAAAAAAUGUAAGUACAGCUAUAAGAUUCAUAAUUAAUAGAUUAGUAGAGGAAUGUACGUUUAUUAAAAUACAAAGAUAAUUAAAAGGGGAAUAUAGUUUUUGCUCAGAAAUAUAUACACCACAAAAAUAUGGAGAAAGAGAAAAAGAAAAAAGAAAGUAUAGAAAACCUUAUAAAAAUUAUAAAAAGUACCCCAGAAAACAAUACUAUCUUCGGAAGAGCAAAGCUAGAAAACCAUUUCUUAAAAAGGAACAUCAUGUUAGAAGAUAUAGGCCAGAACGUACCUAUGGGAAUAGAUUAUCUUGUUUUAUUUGUAAACAACCUAACCAUUUAGCAACCAAUUGCCCAAAUAAACAUAAUUCUUUUAACAAAGAAGCUCAUUUAGUAGAAUUAUUUUCAGAAGAUUUAAUCGAAAUAGAUGACAAUAUAUUAGAAACAGAAAGCAUUUAUAGUAUAGUAUCAGAAGAGAUGGAUUUAACAGAUUUUAUAGAACAAGAAGAUACAGGAUUCAUAAAUGAAAUCCUAGAAAAAUCAGAAAAUAGAACUAUUAUGGAUAACAUAUACCUAGAAGAAAUAAAAGAAGAUUUUAAAAAAUUAGAUGACUUAGAUCUAGUAGAAGUAGAAUGUACUCAUAAAUGGGAACACAGAAAAGGUAAUUAUAGUAAAGCUUGUUAUAAUUGUAAUAGAUACCCAGCAAUAGAAUUAAGAUUCCAAUGUCAAUUAUGUUAUACAGAAGGAUGUAAAUUUUGCUUGGAUAAAUUAGCACAAAUAUACGUUUUAUUAGAACCAGUUAAAAAGGAUAAAACAGAAAACACUGUGCCCUUAGAAUAUUACCUAGAAAGAAGAAUAAGAAUUUUAGAAAAUAAAAUAGAACAAUUAGAGGAAAAAAUAGAAAAAUUUGAUAAAGGGAAAUCGAUAGAAAGGGAAGUAUAUAUAGAGAAUGCUGAUAUAGAAAUUUUUCCAGAAUUAAUAAGACAUAAUUAUGAUUCUGAAUUAUUACAAGCAGGGAUACCAACGAUAACUUCCAUUGAAAUAAAAACUAGAAUAAUAAUAGGAGACUUUGAUACAGAAGUUUUAGCAAUAGUAGAUACAGGAGCAAGUAAUAUAGUUAUCCAACAAGAAUUAAUACCAGAAAAAUAUUAUGAAAAAGCAUAUAAUAUUAGAACUGCAAGGCAAAUGGAUGGUAGUACUUACACCUACGACACUGCAAUUCAUAAUAGUCUCUUAUUUUUUGAAAUAGACAAUAAUCACUGCACACCACCUUAUCCAGUAGAAGAAAUAUAUGUUAGAAAUUUUCCUUAUCAAAUGAUUUUAGGAUUAGCUUUUUACUACAAUCAUAUCAUGGCAUGAUUAUUACAAGGACAGGGUUAACAUUCUUAAGAGACCAUACUUUACCUUAUAAUACAUUCAUAACACCAGGAAUACGGAAAGACAAUAAAAAUACAGAAAUUCAUAAUUGUAAAUGUAAAGGAGCAAAAGAUUGCAAAUGUAAUCACAUAGAAACUAUAGAAGAAAUAGAAGAAUUUAAUAAUAUAGAAACUAUAGAAAGCAUAGGAGAAGAUUUUAAUGAAAUAGAAAUAAGUUUAGACCUUUUACAAAAUGAGAAAAUCUAUAAUAUGUUAGAAACAGGACACACAGAUAUAGACCGAUUAAUAAGUAAGUUAGAAAAAUUAGAAAUUUUUGGAGAAAAUCCAACCAUUCAUUGGGAAAAAGAUAAAACAGAAUGUAAGUUAGAAAUUUUAAACUCAAAUUUAAAAAUUAGUACAGCAAAAAUAGAAGCCAGUAAUGAAGACAUAAAAGAAUUUGAAAUGCAUAUAGGAGAUUUAAAUAAAUUAAAAAUAAUCAGAAGAAGUACAAGUCCACAUAGAAGUGCAGCAUUCAUAGUUAGAAAACAUAGUGAAAUAGUCAGAGGAAAAAGUAGAAUGGUAAUAAAUUAUAAAAGAUUAAAUGAUAAUACUAAAGAAGAUAGUUAUGACAUACCAGAUAAAAAUGAACUAAUAAAUAGAAUUCAGUAUAGAUAUAUUUUUAGCAAAUUUGAUUGUAAAUCAGGAUUUUGGCAAGUAAUAAUGCACACAGAUAGUAUAGAAUGGACAGCUUUUACAUGCCCCUUAGGACAUUUUGAAUGGUUAGUAAUGCCUUUCGGAUUAAAAAAUGCACCGGCAAUAUUUCAAAGAAAAAUGGAUAAUAUUUUUAACAAAUAUAAAGAAUUUGUCAUAGUAUUCAUACAUGAUAUAUUAGUAUUUUCAAAAAAUAAAGAAGAACAUGUUGGGCACUUAAAGUUAGUUUUCGCAGAAUUUAUUAGACAUGGAAUAAUAAUUAGUAACAAAAAGGCACAAUUUUUUAGGAAAAAUAUAGAAUUUUUAGGAACAGAAAUAGGAUAAGGAAAAAUAAAAUUACAACCACAUAUUUGUAAAAAAGUAUUAGAAUUUCCAGAUAAAAUAGAAGAAACGAAGAAAUUACAACAAUUUCUAGGACUACUAAACUAUGCCAGACCUUUUAUAAAAAAUUUAAAUAGUUUAGUAGCACCAUUAUAUAACAAAACAUCUUUAAAAGGACAAAAAUUUUUUAAUAAAGAAGAUAUGAAAUUGGUCCAAACAAUAAAACAAAUAGUAAGUAAACUAACAGAUUUAAAAUUACCUUUAGAUACAGAUUAUUUAAUAAUUGAAUGUGAUGGCAGUAGUAUAGGAUGGGGAGCAGUUCUUUUUGCAAAACCAAAUAAAUAUAGUAGCAAACAUAGUGAACAAAUUUGUAGAUAUGCCAGUGACAAAUAUAAGGAAAAAUGUAAUAGAAGCAGCAUAGAUAAUGAAUUGUUAGCAGUAAAAUAUAGUCUAGACAACUUUAGACUUUUUAUACUUAACAAACCAGAAAUUACUAUUAGAACAGACUGCGAGGCAAUAAAAAAGUUUUUUGAUAAACACAAUGAAAAAAGAAGUUCUACUAGAAGAUGGUUAAACUUUGUAGAUAGCAUUAUAGGUAAUGGAUAUAAAGUUAGGUUUGAACAUAUUAAGGGAAAAGAUAAUAAUUUAGCAGAUUUUUUUUUCCGUCUAUUUAACAAUUCUUCUGAUCUUUUAGCAGAUGGCACGGCAGCUACCCAAAGUACAAAUUGGCCAAUAGGAACUUAACAAGUAUCCUAAAGGAUCCAAUUUACAUUUUUUCAGCUGUGAGGAAGGUAAUUUAGAAGAAAUUCAGCAGGAUAUCUUAGAUAACCUCUGGAAUAGUAGAAUCAAUUCUGAUAGAAUUAAAAAUUUAAAUAUUUUAGCAUUUUAUUUCAGUAAUCUACCAAAACAAAGUUUUUCAUAUUAUGCAGUAGUUCGGGGUAAAACACCUGGAAUUUAUUCCAAAUGGAUUUCUGUAGUAGAACAAAUUAAAGAUUUUCAAAAUCCUUUGUGGAAAGCUUUUCAUAGCAACCAUGAAGCCUUGGAUUUUGCUAGAAAAAAUAUUGGCAUCAGUUUUCAUGUAGAUAGCAAAGCUAGUAUGGAUAGCACGAGGGUGCCAGUACAAUCUUGUACAGAAGCCCCUAGUAGCAGCAAUAGUGGUAGAAGUUAUUCUGAUUCAGUAGCAUAUGAUAAUACUCAUAGCAUUCAAUUUUGUAAACAUUGUAAGGUUAUGGAAGAAGCAAUUAGAAGUCUAAAUCUUAAAUCUAGAAAUCUAGAAGAAGAAAAUAAAAAUUUAUAAGAAAUAGCUCAUUCUCUGACAGGGCAACUCAAAGAAAUGUGUAAAAUAUCUGGAUCACAAAGUGAUACAAUAAUUUCACAAAUUUCUGAAAUAGGGGAGCUACAAGGAAGACUGUCUCAUACAGUAUCACAAAUGGCCAGUUCUUCAUCCGGCCCAGCAAAAGAGAUCUUCAUAAAAGAACAACCCAUCUCAAAUAGACCCUUUGAGUUUCUUAAGCCCAGAAUAUUUUUUAGGCCUUAUCCUUUAUUAGAUCAUUUUCCUUUAUCAAUCAUAGACAUUAUCAGCCAAAAAGUGCAAGCCCAGCACUUAGCAAAAUUAGAAGCAGUGCAAAAAUACUUCAAAGAAAUAGCAACCAAACCCAAUACCAACUAUAGCCUUAACAUUAGCCCAUCUUACUGGAUCAACCCACAUAAAAAAUGCCCAAAUAAUCCAGAACCUUGUAACCACCAAAAAUACAGAAACCAUUGUGUACAUACACUUGAUUUUCUCAUACUCUGAGCAUCCAUUAAAUUACACAGAUAUACUCCAGUAGCCCUUAUGGUCAAUAAAAAAAGAAUAGUUCUUACACCACAGUUCUUAAUGGAUUGUGGAUUCUUAAAAGAAUUUUGGAUUUCUGAUCCAGAUGACUCAUAUCAGUUAGGAACAAGUUUGGCAUAUUUUUGUAGACAAAUGCUAAAUUAUGAACAAUGGGUUCAAGUAAAAAUUAAAUCAGCACCAGCAGAAUGGAUUGGACUCAUUGAUUUAGAACCAACAAUCCAUAGAAUAAAAAUUCAAGUUAGCAAUGAUUAUCCGACUCCACCAGCAGCAGCAAGAAUAAUGAUAGCAGAGUGUCCUUUAACACUAGAAGAACAACUCCGAAAUUCAAAGGCUAUGCACUUAGCCUAUAGACAUUUUAAAUCCGGAUGGUCAUACUUCAGAUUGGCAGCAGAAAACAAAAUUCAGAAGAUCUACACUCCCUACCGAUAUAAGCUGGAAAAAGACUUUAUAGUUCAAACAACUUUUCCAGAACUAUUCCAGCAGUACUUAAAUGAUUAUAUGGAAGAAAGAACUCAGCCAGAAGAAAUUGAAGGAGAAAUUGAAGAAGCAGACAACGAUCAUUAUUGGCAAACAAUGGGACCAGAAGAACUCCACAACAUCGAGAAUAUGAUGGAAGGAUAAUAGGAUUCAGACACAUUAUUGUACAUACCAGCACUGAAAAAAUACCGGUCUCAUAAAUUUUUGUAGCACAUAUAGCCUUUAGAAGCUUUGAAAGUUUCGGCCCUUGUAGGCUUUUCAGCCAUCGUAGGCCAUUGCAGGCUUUUUAGCCAUUGUAGGCUAUAUAGCCUUUAAGAGCUUUAAAAAAGUUUGGCUAUUUAGCAUAGACAUAGGUUUUUGAAAAUUUUGGCUAUAGACAUAGCUUUUUGAAAAUUUCAGCCACUGUCGGCUCCAUAGAUUAGACAUCAGAUUCCAAUCCAAUUGAAAUCCGCAAACAUAAUUAGGAAAUAGAAGUCCGGAUUUCAAAUCCGAACAAUAAAGCCUAUAAAAGCACCAGUCCCAACCAUUGUUGGGUACGAUACUUUCAUAACAUGUAAAUUACAAAAACAUUCCAUAUAUCCAGUUCCAAACACUUCUUGCAAGUUCACUAUUUUUAGUCAUCUUAUUGAGAGGAAAGGAAAACAUAGAAUAGAAAUUAAUACAGCCUCCAAAUAACCGGAAACUUUGAGAGAGAUAUCCUAUUUUGGAACCCAAAAAGUCUAAAAGACGGUGUAGUACCCAUCAUAGCCGUUCUGUCAAGAGUUCCUGCAAGGCGUAAGGGGAAGAUCUGGUGAGGCAAACCUCCAAAGAUAGGACUCCAACUCUCAUAGCAUCAGAAGAAAACUUUGAAGGUAUAAUUUCUGUAACCUCUAUCAAGUACCGAGUACUCGUAUAAUUCUUAAAUCAAGUUGAUAAUUUAUACAUAUAAAAUCUGUAUGAAUUUUGAACCACCUUUUCAGUUUACAACCACUCAAGAAAAUUCAUAUAGAAUAGCAUUAGCAACUCUUAAACAACCAGAUACAUAUUAUUAUUUUGAUAAAAUUUUAGAAGAUCUAGAAACUUUAGAUUAGUGUUUAGCACAUAUACAAAUAGAAGAAUCUAGAUUAGUAAAAGUAGCACACCACCAUCCCUCAUCCUUUCUCAGAAAUAUUAGACAAGCAAAUGUAGAUUUACUUUGGCACAGAUACUCUGAAUUAAAAUCUAUAGAAAGACAAAAAUUAGAAGAAAAAGAAGAAUAUAAAAACAGAAGGAAUUCCUGUAAUAAAAUCUGUGGAAUAUCUGAUUAAGCAAUAUAGGAUUUUAAAUAUAGGUCUUUAACUGGAGCCUAAUAGUCCAGCCAUUCUAGGACUUUUGGUACCUAGGUAGUUUUUGAAAAGUCCUAGAAUGGCUGGACUAUUAGGCUCCAGUUAAAGACCUAUAUUUAAAAUCUUGUAUUGCUUAAUCAGAUAUUCCACAGAUUUUAUUACAGGAAUUCCUUCUGUUUUUAUAUUCUUCUUUUUCUUCUAAUUUUUGUCUUUUUAUAGAUUUUAAUUCAGAGUAUCUGUGCCAAAGUAAAUCUACCUUUGCUUGUCUAAUAUUUCUGAGAAAGGAUGCGGGAUGGUGGUGUGCUACUUUUACUAAUCUAGAUUCUUCUAUUUGUAUAUGUGCUAAACACUGAUCUAAAGUUUCUAGAUCUUCUAAAAUUUUAUCAAAAUAAUAAUAUGUAUCUGGUUGUUUAAGAGUUGCUAAUGCUAUUCUAUAUGCAUGUUCUUGAGUGGUUGUAAACUGAAAAGGUGGUUCAAAAUUCAUACAGAUUUUAUAUGUAGAAAUUAUCAACUUGAUUUAAGAAUUAUACGAGUACUCGGUACUUGAUAGAGGUUACAGAAAUUAUACCUUCAAAGUUUUCUUCUGAUGCUAUGAGAGUUGGAGUCCUAUCUUUGGAGGUUUGCCUCACCAGAUCUUCCCCUUACGCCUUGCAAGAACUCUUGACAGAACGGCUAUGAUGGGUACUACACCGUCUUUUGGACUUUUUGGGUUCCAAAAUAGGAUAUCUCUCUCAAAGUUUCCGGUUAUUUGGAGGCUGUAUUAAUUUCUAUUCUAUGUUUCCCUUUCCUCUCAAUAAGAUGACUAAAAAUAGUAAACUUGCAAGAAGUGUUUGGAACUGGAUAUAUGGAAUGGUUUUGUAAUUUACAUGUUAUGAAAGAAUUGUACCCAACAAUGGUUUGGGACUGGUGCUUUUAUAGGCUUUAUUGUUCGGAUUUGAAAUCCGGACUUCUAUUUCCUAAUUAUGUUUGCGAAUUUCAAUUGGGUUGGAAUCCGAUGUCUAAUCUAUGGAGCCGACAAUGGCUGAAAUUUUCAAAAAGCUAUGUCUAUAGCCAAAAUUUUCAAAAACCUAUGUCUAUGCUAAAUGGCCAAACUUUUUUAAAGCUCUUAAAGGCUAUAUAGCCUACAAUGGCUAAAAAGCCUGCAAUGGCCUACGAUGGCUGAAAAGCCUACAAGGGCCGAAACUUUCAAAGCUUCUAAAGGCUAUAUGUGCUACAAAAAUUUAUGAGACCGGUAUUUUUUCAGUGCUGGUAUGUACAAUAAUGUGUCUGAAUCCUAUUAUCCUUCCAUCAUAUUCUCGAUGUUGUGGAGUUCUUCUGGUCCCAUUGUUUGCCAAUAAUGAUCGUUGUCUUCUUCUUCAAUUUCUCCUUCAAUUUCUUCUGGCUGAGUUCUUUCUUCCAUAUAAUCAUUUAAGUACUGCUGGAAUAGUUCUGGAAAAGUUGUUUGAACUAUAAAGUCUUUUUCCAGUUUAUAUCGGUAGGGAGUGUAGAUCUUCUGAAUUUUAUUUUCUGCUGCCAAUCUGAAGUAUGACCAUCCGGAUUUAAAAUGUCUAUAGGCUAAGUGCAUAGCCUUUGAAUUUCGGAGUUGUUCUUCUAGUGUUAAAGAACACUCUGCUAUCAUUAUUCUUGCUGCUGCUGGUGGAGUCGGAUAAACAUUGCUAACUUGAAUUUUUAUUCUAUGGAUUGUUGGUUCUAAAUCAAUGAGUCCAAUCCAUUCUGCUGGUGCUGAUUUAAUUUUUACUUGAACCCAUUGUUCAUAAUUUAGCAUUUGUCUACAAAAAUAUGCCAAACUUGUUCCUAACUGAUAUGAGUCAUCUGGAUCAGAAAUCCAAAAUUCUUUUAAGAAUCCACAAUCCAUUAAGAACUGUGGUGUAAGAACUAUUCUUUCUUGAUUGACCAUAAGGGCUACUGGAGUAUAUCUGUGUAAUUUAAUGGAUGCUCAGAGUAUGAGAAAAUCAAGUGUAUGUACACAAUGGUUUCUGUAUUUUUGGUGGUUACAAGUUUCUGGAUUAUUUGGGCAUUUUUAUGUGGGUUGAUCUAGUAAGAUGGGCUAAUGUUAAGGCUAUAGUUGGUAUUGGGUUUGGUUGCUAUUUCUUUGAAGUAUUUUUGCACUGCUUCUAAUUUUGCUAAGUGCUGGGCUUGCACUUUUUGGCUGAUAAUGUCUAUGAUUGAUAAAGGAAAAUGAUCUAAUAAAGGAUAAGGCCUAAAAACAUUCUGGGCUUAAGAAACUCAAAGGGUCUAUUUGAGAUGGAUUGUUCUUUUAUGAAGAUCUCUUUUGCUGGGCCGGAUGAAGAACUGGCCAUUUGUGAUACUGUAUGAGACAGUCUUCCUUGUAACUCCCCUAUUUCAGAAAUUUGUGAAAUUAUUGUAUCACUUUGUGAUCCAGAUAUUUUACACAUUUCUUUGAGUUGCCCUGUCAGAGAAUGAGCUAUUUCUUAUAAAUUUUUAUUUUCUUCUUCUAGAUUUCUAGAUUUAAGAUUUAGACUUCUAAUUGCUUCUUACAUAACCUUACAAUGUUUACAAAAUUGAAUGCUAUGAGUAUUAUCAUAUGCUACUGAAUCAGAAUAACUUCUACCACUAUUGCUGCUACUAGGGGCUUCUGUACAAGAUUGUACUGGCACCCUCGUGCUAUCCAUACUAGCUUUGCUAUCUACAUGAAAACUGAUGCCAAUAUUUUUUCUAGCAAAAUCCAAGGCUUCAUGGAUGCUAUGAAAAGCUUUCCACAAAGGAUUUUGAAAAUCUUUAAUUUGUUCUACUACUGAAAUCCAUUUGGAAUAAAUUCCAGGUGUUUUACCCCGAACUACUGCAUAAUAUGAAAAACUUUGUUUUGGUAGAUUACUGAAAUAAAAUGCUAAAAUAUUUAAAUUUUUAAUUCUAUCAGAAUUGAUUCAACUAUUCCAGAGGUUAUCUAAGAUAUCCUGCUGAAUUUCUUCUAAAUUACCUUCCUCACAGUUGAAAAAAUGUAAAUUGGAUCCUUUAGGAUACUUGUUAAGUUCCCAUUGGCCAAUUUGUACUUUGGGUAGCUGCCGUGCCAUCUGCUAAAAGAUCAGAAGAAUUGUUAAAUAGACGGAAAAAAAAAAUCCGCUAAAUUAUUAUCUUUUCCCUUAAUAUGUUCAAACCUAACUUUAUAUCCAUUACCUAUAAUGCUAUCUACAAAGUUUAACCAUCUUCUAGUAGAAUUUCUUUUUUCAUUGUGUUUAUCAAAAAACUUUUUUAUUGCCUCGCAGUCUGUUCUAAUAGUAAUUUCUGAUUUGUUAAGUAUAAAAAGUCUAAAGUUGUCUAGACUAUAUUUUACUGCUAACAAUUCAUUAUCUAUGCUGCUUCUAUUACCUUUUUCCUUAUAUUUGCCACUGGCAUAUCUACAAAUUUGUUCACUAUUUUUGCUACUAUAUUUAUUUGGUUUUACAAAAAAAACUGCUCCCCAUCCUAUACUACUGCCUUCACAUUCAAUUAUUAAAUAAUCUGUAUCUAAAGGUAAUUUUAAAUCUUUUAGUUUACUUACUAUUUGUUUUAUUGUUUGGACCAAUUUCAUAUCUUCUUUAUUAAAAAUUUUUUGUCCUUUUAAAGAUGUUUUGUUAUAUAAUGGUGCUACUAAACUAUUUAAAUUUUUUAUAAAAGGUCUGGCAUAGUUUAGUAGUCCUAGAAAUUGUUGUAAUUUCUUCAUUUCUUCUAUUUUAUCUGGAAAUUCUAAUAUUUUUUUACAAAUAUGUGGUUGUAAUUUUAUUUUUCCUUGUCCUAUUUCUGUUCCUAAAAAUUCUAUAUUUUUCCUAAAAAAUUGUGCCUUUUUGUUACUAAUUAUUAUUCCAUGUCUAAUAAAUUCUGCGAAAACUAACUUUAAGUGUCCAACAUGUUCUUCUUUAUUUUUUGAAAAUACUAAUAUAUCAUCUAUGUAUACUAUAACAAAUUCUUUAUAUUUGUUAAAAAUAUUAUCCAUUUUUUUUUGAAAUAUUGCCGGUGCAUUUUUUAAUCCGAAAGGCAUUACUAACCAUUCAAAAUGUCCUAAGGGGCAUGUAAAAUCUGUCCAUUCUAUACAAUCUGUGUGCAUUCUUACUUGCCAAAAUCCUGAUUUACAAUCAAAUUUGCUAAAAAUAUAUCUAUACUGAAUUCUAUUUAUUAGUUCAUUUUUAUCUGGUAUGUCAUAACUAUCUUCUUUAGUAUUAUCAUUUAAUCUUUUAUAAUUUAUUACCAUUCUACUUUUUCCUCUGACUAUUUCACUAUGUUUUCUAACUAUGAAUGCUGCACUUCUAUGUGGACUGGUACUUCUUCUGAUUAUUUUUAAUUUAUUUAAAUCUCCUAUAUGCAUUUCAAAUUCUUUUAUGUCUUCAUUACUGGCUUCUAUUUUUGCUGUACUAAUUUUUAAAUUUGGGUUUAAAAUUUCUAAUUUACAUUCUGUUUUAUCUUUUUCCCAAUGAAUGGUUGGAUUUUCUCCAAAAAUUUCUAAUUUUUCUAACUUACUUAUUAAUCGGUUUAUAUCUGUGUGUCCUGUUUCUAACAUAUUAUAGAUUUUCUCAUUUUGUAAAAGGUCUAAACUUAUUUCUAUUUCAUUAAAAUCUUCUCCUAUGCUUUCUAUAGUUUCUAUGUUAUUAAAUUCUUCUAUUUCUUCUAUAGUUUCUAUGUGAUUACAUUUGCAAUCUUUUGCUCCUUUACAUUUACAAUUAUGAAUUUCUGUAUUUUUAUUGUCUUUCCGUAUUCCUGGUGUUAUGAAUGCAUUAUAAGGUAAAGUAUGGUCUCUUAAGAAUGUUAACCCUGUCCUUGUAAUAAUCAUGCCAUGAUAUGAUUGUAGUAUAAAAGCUAAUCCUAAAAUCAUUUGAUAAGGAAAAUUUCUAACAUAUAUUUCUUUUACUGGAUAAGGUGGUGUGCAGUGAUUAUUGUCUAUUUCAAAAAAUAAGAGACUAUUAUGAAUUGCAGUGUUGUAGGUGUAAGUACUACCAUCCAUUUGCCUUGCAGUUCUAAUAUUAUAUGCUUUUUCAUAAUAUUUUUCUGGUAUUAAUUCUUGUUGGAUAACUAUAUUACUUGCUCCUGUACUACUAUUGCUAAAACUUCUGUAUCAAAGUCUCCUAUUAUUAUUCUAGUUUUUAUUUCAAUGGAAGUUAUCAUUGGUAUCCCUGCUUGUAAUAAUUCAGAAUCAUAAUUAUGUCUUAUUAAUUCUGGAAAAAUUUCUAUAUCAGCAUUCUCUAUAUAUACUUCCCUUUCUAUCGAUUUCCCUUUAUCAAAUUUUUCUAUUUUUUGCUCUAAUUGUUCUAUUUUAUUUUCUAAAAUUCUUAUUCUUCUUUCUAGGUAAUAUUCUAAGGGCACAUUGUUUUCUGUUUUAUCCUUUUUAACUGGUUCUAAUAAAACGUAUAUUUGUGCUAAUUUAUCCAAGCAAAAUUUACAUCCUUCUGUAUAACAUAAUUGACAUUGGAAUCUUAAUUCUAUUGCUGGGUAUCUAUUACAAUUAUAACAAGCUUUACUAUAAUUACCUUUUCUGUGUUCCCAUUUAUGAGUACAUUCUACUUCUACUAGAUCUAAGUCAUCUAAUUUUUUAAAAUCUUCUUUUAGUUCUUCUAGGUAUAUGUUAUCCAUAAUAGUUCUAUUUUCUGAUUUUUCUAGGAUUUCAUUUAUGAAUUCUGUAUUUUCUUGUUCUAUAAAAUCUGUUAAAUCCAUCUCUUCUGAUAUUAUACUAUAAAUGCUUUCUGUUUCUAAUAUAUUGUCAUCUAUUUCGAUUAAAUCUUCUGAAAAUAAUUCUACUAAAUGAGCUUCUUUGUUAAAAGAAUUAUGUUUAUUUGGGCAAUUGGUUGCUAAAUGGUUAGGUUGUUUACAAAUAAAACAAGAUAAUCUAUUCCCAUAGGUACGUUCUGGCCUAUAUCUUCUAACAUGAUGUUCCUUUUUAAGAAAUGGUUUUCUAGCUUUGCUCUUCCGAAGAUAGUAUUGUUUUCUGGGGUACUUUUUAUAAUUUUUAUAAGGUUUUCUAUACUUUCUUUUUUCCUUUUCUCUUUCUCCAUAUUUUUGUGGUGUAUAUAUUUCUGAGCAAAAACUAUAUUCCCCUUUUAAUUGUCUUUGUAUUUUAAUAAACGUACAUUCCUCUACUAAUCUAUUAAUUAUGAAUCUUACAGCUGUACUUACAUUUUUUAGUAUUGGUUCCAUAGGUGUUUCUUUAUAUAAAGUAUAUAUUUUCUUUCCUAGAUCGUCUGGUAAUUUAGCAAAUAAUUUUUCUAUAAUUCCUUCAUCAUAAAAACAUCCCGCAUAAGAAAUCUUGUAAAAAUGGUUUAAUAUAUUUCCAAUUUCUAAUAGAUAGUUGUUCUAUUUUUCUUAUAGAUUCUAUUUGUGUUAGAACUCCUCCUCUAUUUGGACUUGUUGCUAAAAGAAUUUCUUCUACUCUAUUAACAAAAUUCAUGGGAUUUACUCCAUGCGCCUGGUCUUGUUGUAAUCUAUCUGAAAAUUUUUGUUUAAAUGCUUCCCAAGCUGCUCUUGCUACUCCUCCUAGAAAUGUUUCUAAAUACGUAUACAUUUCUGUUACAUUAUGAUCAAACCAUUUUUGUAUAUAAUUCCUAACUACUCUUGCUUUCCAGCUACCUAUUACAUCUUCUAUCAUUUGGGGGUCAUAGGAUGUUAACAUUAAAGUCUUUCCUUCAUCUACUGAAUUUUCUUUUAUUUCUAAUUCUAAAGGUCUUCUUUUUCCUCUAGGAUUAUAUUUUUCUUCUGAUUCUCUAUAUUCAUUAUAUAUUAUUCUAGGUGGUUGCCCUGGUUCAUAUGUUCUAACAUUCCCUGCUUGGCUAGUGUCAGUUUGCAUGUUUGUUGGUUGAUUACUUCCACUGCUUUGUUCCAUUAAUUCUCUAUAUGAUGUUAUACUAACGGUUUCAAUAUCAUUUUCUUCUUUUUUAACUCUAAUAUUUCCUAUGUAGUCAUAAUAUAGAAUUUCAUCUAAAGUUAUUUGUCCGUUUAAUUCUAAUUUUCUUUCUAAAUCAAAUAAUUCUUUUUCUGUUAAAAUCAUAUUUAAUUCUGCUGGAUAAAUAAUUUUAUGUUCUAGUUCUACAAGUUCUUCUUCUAUCAAAUUUAUUUCUACUAGAUCUAACUCUGUAUCUGAUCUUUCUGCUUCUUCAUUUUCUGUUCCUAAAGAUGUUGAUUCAUAAUUAUAGAACCUAAUACUUGUUUUUCCCUUACUAUUUUUAUAUAUUAUACUAUCUUUUGGUAUGAUUGGAUUAUUUUCUUCUAUAAAUUUACUAAUUUCCCAUUCUUCUCCUGCCAAAUUUUCUGAACUUACUUCUAUUGGUUUUAUUAAUUUUAUUCCCUUACUAGCCAUAGCCUCUACUAUUGGUUUAAUAUCUACCUUGUAUCUGGUUUUACUGCUAUUUGUUAAUCUCCCUAUAAAUCCUAUGCUUAUUGUUAAAUUAUCUCCUUGAAAAUUUUCAUAUCCUUUAUUUUGUAUGCCUAUUUCUAAAUUUUUAAUAUCUUCUAAGGUUACCAUAAAAUCUGGACUACAAUAAAAUAUUCCUCCAUUUUGGUUCAUAUCUACUUCUAUACUGGCUAUUAAUGCAUCUUCUACUGUUUUAUGUCUUUUAUCUAAUAUUGCUAAUAGUACCUUUUUUUCCUAAUCCUUUUCUUGUUAAACCCUUUAUUCCUAUAACUAUUAACCCUAUAUGCAUAUAUGUAUAUUGUCUUCUGAUUUGAUUUAUACUUUGUUGUGUUAUUAUUCUUAGAUUUACUGGAUUUGUUAAUGCAAUUACUGGCUCUUCUCUAGUUUGUCUAAAUAAUCCUGUAUUACUUCUAAGAAAUCCUACUGAAUAUAAAGUUCUCGGAUUUAAUAAAUUUAUUUCAUUAUUUCUAUAUAUUUCUAAAUCUCUUUCUAUAUCUAUUGUCUCUUCUAAAUGCAUGCUCCUAUUUCUUCUUAACUGUCUUCCUAUGUUUAAUACACUAGUUCCUAUUUGUGUAUUUUCAUUAACUGUUCUACUGGGUCCUGUAAAUGAGCUUCUACUCGUCAUUUUAAAAUUUUUGUGGUUUGGGGUUUACUGAGAAUAUGUUACUGAGAUGUGGCUUAUUUUCUUUCCUUGUUACUGGUAGUCUUUUAAACUGAUCCGUAAUCUCUUCCAGGUCCUUUUCAAAUUUAUCUAUCUGCAAAACCCUAACUUUUUCUGUUACUGCAUCUAUUUUCUUAUGUAAUGAUACUAACAAGGCUAUUAUUACGUUAUUUUGUUUAGGAUAUGUUUUAUCUGAUAUACUAGUUCCUAAGUAAUCUGUUAACCCUAAUGUUUCCUGGUGAUAAUAUUUUAAUUCUUCUAAUAUUUUUAUAUAUUCAGGAUAAAAAGCAUACUGAGAAGGAGGUGGUUUAUUAGUACUGCUCAUAUAUUAACUCAAAAUUAUUUUUUCUAUUUUAUAUAAUAAUAUUUCUACCUGAUUAUAAGAUUGUUUUAAUUCUUUUAAUUUUUGACUAAUUUCUUCUAAUAUUUCGUUAUUAAUUUUAUAUUCUUUGAGUUGUUCUAGACUUCUUAUUUUUGCAAUUAUCUUAUUAUUUUGAUCUUUUAUGUAGUCUUGAUUUUCUACUAAAUUUUUUAUUGUUUUAUUUUUAUUUUUUAAUGAUUCUACUAAGUUUUCUAUUAUCCUAGAAUUAUUUUUUGACGUGCGCGGGGUAUGCAUAUACAAUUAGCUCAUCCACAAUCAAGUUUUACAUUUAUAACAUCCUAAAUACCCCACACGCAAUUUUUCUGCAAUUAUACAUUUCGUGAGCGAAUAUAGGGUAUUAAGGGUCGAUCCCACAGAGAAGAUUUUUAAUUACCGGUGUUUUUCAAACUCCUUAAUUAUUUAGACUACCAUAAACAUAAAAGUAAUGAAAAUAACACUAGAAAACUCCUAGAGAUAUGGAAUUCCUUACUACUUUAGCAAAUGAGAUUACCGGUUAAGUGAAUGCUAUUAUUUUGGCUAGUUAUGGCGUAAUUUCCUAAUGUAUGCGAAACCUACUCUCGUAGUGAAUUAACUAUACUUGUAGCUAAACUAUACCUACUCUUGUGGUUAUGAAAUUAACUACAAGCUCAUUUCUUUUAUGAAAUUACAUGAAACAAGUCACUAAAACACAUAGGUGCACCUCUACUUCCGUGAGUAAACUCCCUAGAUUUAUCAUUUCCUUGAACUAAUGUUAAAUUUCAAUUCUCAUUGCAAACUUAACACCUUUAGAUAAUCACAAUUAAUGGCUGGUUAAUCAUGAUUAGAAAAACAAAAGUGAUAUAUAACUUGCUCAAAAUAAUAUCAUCACAUAACCAAGUAAACAUCACAAACAAGAUAUAGAAAGUUCAUCCAUACUCUAGGCAUCAACAUUAGCAAAACAUGAAAAUAAGAUCCAAACUUGUAUUAUAGUUAAACAUGAACUUAAAUACAAAAGAGAAAAUGAUAGGAGAGAUGUCACCCUUGUCACGUGAGUUUCAAACUCUCUAUCUUUGCUCAAUCUUCAUCCAAAUCUAACUACAAAUACAAGAAAGAAAAACUACACUAACUACUCUAUACUACCCUAACUAAUGAACUAAGGAAAUUCUAGUGAAAGCUACAUUUUUUUGUGAGUUUCUCUAGCCUUCCAAAGUUCUUCUUAAAAUGGUUCCCAUAAAGGAUUCAAGAGCCAAAAUGAGUUGUUUUCUUGUUGGCAUUUUUGACUCUUGAAACUCUCAAAGAUUGCUUCUCAAAGUUUCCAUAUUCAUGUAAUCAUUUCCAGUUGGAAUCUUUGCAGAAAAAGUGGUCAAACAUGUUGUGUGAAAAGAGCACAAGUUGCAAAGCAAGUAGCAGCCGAAAUCCACUAAAACACGGGUAGAAAACGCGGCCUGUGCCUGCGUUUUAACCCCCUCCCGUUUUACUCUUUGCAGGUUUGCACUUUUCUGGGCAGAAUUCAUCCUUGCUCUAUUUUUUGUCCAAUUUCAACUGAUAUUUUCUAGAUGUUAAAGGCUGAAAUUGCUUUUGCGUAAAACAUGAAAGUUGUAGCUCUUUGAAUUAGUUUUCCAAUGCAUAAAAAAUCAUCCAAUUUGGAGUUUUGUGGACUAAGAAAUGACCACUCGACUGGUCAGAACCUCGUUUCAGCUUUCGACCACGAACAAGCAUUGCUAUAUUUUAAUUUUUUGAUAAUGAAAAUGACUGAACUGGAUUUCAAUAUCUUCAAACCAAAUGUAUAUCUAUCUAUUAGUUUCAAAAUGGCUUAAGAAUCAUCUCGAUCCAAUACUUGUAACUCAAGAUAUAGCUGAAAUACCAUAAGGUGUCAAAACUGUUUUCACUUGCAUUUCUUCCUUUGAAUGUUUUGCACUUCAUGUCUUUUUUAAACCACUUCAAAUCAUCAAUAAUCAUUAAAUUCUCUUCUCAAUUCACUCCCUUUGAGGAUUGAAUCCUUAAACCUACAAAACAUGAAGUUUUCACCAUGAAAAUCCAUAGAAAUGCAGUUUUUAUCACUUAAAUCACAAAAUACAUAUUUUCACUAAAAUUCAAGUUAAUUAGCUAUAAAAGUAGUUAAAACAUACCAAAACUAACUAAUAAAACACACUUAAAACACGUAAAAUAUACUUUUAUCAAUUUUGACACCUGAUUUAAUAUGCCAACGUGAGCCUAACUAAUGGCUGUAUUUGGUCUUUACGAUUUAGUUACAAUAAAAUAUUCACACUUUACUUAUUAAGCUUCUUAAAUAUGUCCAAUUUCCUUUUUGAAGAGUUAAUAGGCCCAAAACUAACUUCCGCCCAAGUUAUAUUGUUCACCUUUUACCCAGUUAAAAUGAUCAGAAUUGGCCACUUAUUUUAGUUAGGCAGCCCAUAAGAAGAACCCAACUAAUUCAGACUCGUUUGAUUUUGAAUAGUCAAACCCAUUGACUCAGAUAACCGACCCGUUUUCAAAAUGGAUAUCAUCAUCCAAAUCAGAAAAGCCUAUGAUACAAAACCCUAUUGUACAAACCCUGAUCACCAUCACCAUCAUCAUCGUCAUCAUUUCCUUCAUUACUGAUGGUUCUGCCUAGGGCUGCAAACGAACGAGCUACUCGCGAGCGAUUUGAGUCAAAAUCGAUCUCAAAAUAUUAAGCUCGUUAUGCUCGCGAUCUCGAGUAUAUAUAUAUAUAUAUAUAUAUAUUAUUUUAGGUAUAUAUAUUUUUUAUUUUAAGUAUAUAUAUAUUUAUUUUAAUAGUAAAAUUACAUAUAUAUCCUUAAUAUUUUAUUAUUUAUUAAGAACAAAAUAUUAUUUUAUUUAUUUUUUUAAAAAUAAAAUAAUUAUUUUUUAUUUUUUUCGAGCUCGAGCUCGAGCUCGAGUUUUAAAUUGUUAGCUUGUCGAGAUCGAGCUCGAGUUCGAGUUCAAUAAAAUUAAGUCAAGACUCGGUUCGAUAAGAUCAAAACUCAACUCGACUCGACUCGUCUCGUUUGCAGCCCUAAUUCUGCCUAAAGCAACAACAGCAGCUGCUAAUGCUGUAGCUAUAAAAUGAAGCAGCAUCGUUGCUGGCUACUGGCUGCCGUGGCCCUUGGCAGCCAUAUUUUGCCGGCCGUCGCCAAACACUGGUGACUUUGAAAACUUUUUUUUUUUUUUUUUUUGAAUGUAAGUAAGAGGGUUUGACCUUAGGACUUUUCAAUUACACUCCCACCCCUGAACCACCAAACCCAUCCUCCCUCUCCCCACUAAAUUAGAGAACAUACUUGCUUUUAGGUUUGUGAAAAUAUUUGUCCUAAGUGAGACUCUAGUUGAUCGCCAGAAUCUUUCCUCUCCAUUGAUAUUUUUAGUUUCUGAUAGACAGACUAGUAACCAGAAUGAAAAAUAUCGUAAGUUUUAUUUAAGGUUUGAUAAUAUAUCUCUUUUAAGAAGUUCAUUUUUAGUAACCAUCCUACCCACACUCUCACACUAACUCACAUUCUGUACUUAUUUUAGCUAAAACUUAGUUAAGGGAUAAUGGAUAGAACCAACUUAUCCUCUCCUCUCCUGAAAUUUAUACUGUAACUAAAAUUUAUCCUAUUUUACUAUUAAGUAAAUCUUAUAUAUACUAACAAUGUAUAUAUUAUCAUGGUUGGACGCAUGAAAAUAUAAGCACAUUUUGGAUUUUAAAUUUAAAUUCAUAUGAAUUGUCAUGUAUUCAAUAGUGAUGGUGUAUACAAUAUCAGUAUAUAAAACAUUAAUCCUUUACUUUUACCCUUAGUGAAUUAAAUUAAUAACAUACUAAAUAAAAAUAAAAUUUUAUGGUAUUGCAAUAUUCACAUCAAUAAUACCACCUCAAAAUAACCUUUUUUUUUGACAAAUUUGAAUGAUGUGCUUACUAAUUUUGGAAAAAUUCAAUUUAAGAAAAGCUCUAGUUUCAAUAUUUCUUUAAAUUUUCUUAUACACAUUGGGAAUUAUUUGUAAAGAAAGAAUUCUAAGUUUCUUUAUUCACGUCUACUCACUCUAUCUUCUCUACCGCUCCAUCUUCGUCCAUGAAUUCAAGUGGACUCCAUUGAUAACAGGGGCGGAUUUAAAGUGGGGGCACUGGGGGCCCUUAAAUUCCUAUAAUACAUUUACAAUUUUGACAUAAUUUUAAAGGUGCCCCCAUAAUUUUUUUUAGAAAAAAUAUGAAAGAAUGGGUCAUAAAAUUUAUAUCAUUCACUUUCCUCCUCUAGUUCCCAUUUUCCCACCAAGAGGGCCAAGUACCAAUUAUAUCAGUCAUUCCUUUUGGUCUCCACUCCCCAAGUUCCCUUUAUUCCUGUGGUCCUCCAUUUCCCUUCACAACCAGCUCCUCUUCUUCCACACCCAAGCCAACUACUUUUUCUUUUUAUCACUUCAUCCAAUUAUCAUUUACUUCCUUUGUCCCUACUCCCCAAUUUCCUUUCCUCAUCUGGCUCUCGAUUGUCCCCACUCCCCAACAUACAUAGGAGAGCCAUUUUUUUUCCACAACCAAAGCUUGUUACUCUUUUUUUUGAUCACUUCAUCCUAUUUAGAAAUUGUACCAGAAUCAAUUGAUCUUCUAGGACUUGGGUCCGUCACAUUUUGCAGCUCUUUUCACCAACUUUAGGAGACCAUCAAAAUCAGGUUAUAAACAAUUACUUCUUAUUAUUAUUAUUUUAAAUUUGUUUGCAAAUAUAUUUCUAGAGCAUGAGACUAUUACUGUUUUAAAGAAAUUUGAAAAUUGAUUAGUUAAUGUAAUAACUACUAAAUGGAUUAUUUGAUAAAUAUUUUAACUUGUGAAAUGGUGAUUUUAUGCAUGAGACUUUUUUUUUUGCUUAAAAAAUUAGAAAAAGAGUAGAUAAAAAAUUUUAGUAUUAUUUUUGCCCCCACUAAGAUUUUUUUCUGGCUCCGCCCCUGAUGAUAAUAUCCAUUACAAAUUUUGCAAGGUCUAGCACGACUUUUGCAAGGUAGAUGAAAUCUAUGACGAAAUCUAUGAUGAAAGGCUGCAAGACUUCCACUGGUAAGACAAUAGCUAUACCAGUGGACAAUAUUUCUGAUAAGCAAUAUUGAUCGGAAUUAUUCCUUGAAAUAUUUGACACCACCUUUAAGAAGACUAUUAUUCAAAAGGAAAUGUGUUUUUUCUGGUGAAAUGUGCAUGGUGGAGAUACCCAAUUUGUUAAACAAACAAGUAAUACGUACUUCUGAUCAUUAAAGCCAAAAAAAAUAAAAAUAAAAAUCCGUAAAUAGUUUUUGAUUUGCUAAUUAUAGCAGACAGACUAAUGCAUUAAAUAAAGCAUAUUGAUAAUGGUUAAAAUAAUUCUGAUCAUCCGAUUUUUGGUGAUAUUUGUAUGGAACAUGAAAAGAGAAAACUUAUAACUUUAUUGUACGUUUUUCUCUUUUCUCUAAUGACUUCAGCUCUUUCUGUUUUUUUAUUUAAUUUUUUUCACCUAUCAAAAAUUUCCGAACCAGGCUAUUGCAUCAUUCUGCAUAUUGUAAGAGAAACAAAAGAUGUGUUGCAUCUAGUGUGCUACGAGCCCAGAAACACUCCAACUUCAAAGGCUGGUGAACUCAAAUUUGAAACAUGCCAUCAAUAUGUUGCUCUUUAAUUCAAGUCGCAUACUAUUUCAUGUCUGUGCCUAUUUUGUUAAAGAACAUAAACAUGUCCUACUCUAGCAACCAACAGUAUAUGUUAACAUAAUCUUUUUAUGUUGCUGCCCAAUCACAUCAAUGAAUUACUGGGCUGCUUCAACUCCACUAUUUUGGUAAUUCUAGUUGUCAAUUUGAAGAUUUCUCAAUUGUUUCUUAAAAUCCAGUGUAUAACACAACCACAAUAUUGUAACAAUGGAGGGGUGGUAAAAAACUUACAUGUAGAUCUAACUUCUAAAGUUGAUGAUAAUUUUUCGUGUUCCAAGUGCAAUCAACAUAGGAAAUACAGCAACAUGAUUAAGUAAAUAAGAUCAUAGCAUAUGUCCAAAUGGUACAUUAUUUUUUAAGCCUUAGGGAUCAACCUCAUUUGCAACCUACAUCCCAUGCCUAAAGGUUAUGAAUUAUGAUCCCAAAUGAAUGGUUGUCCAUUUUGAUGGAACCACCGAAUCUUAUCGCAUCACUAAUUAUGUCAGGUGCUUUAUAGUAAAGGUCAAGCAGGAGGAAUUUUUUUUUUUCUUUCUGGGAGAAAAAUGGGGACAAGCACGAUGUGAUGUACUGUGAUUGUGAAUGAACGCUUUUGGAAGAAAUGAACUGAUGAAGUCAUUGUCAAACACUCUAUCCUGCACAUCAAAGAGAGACAGACAGACGACUAUGGCGACCAAACUGAUGGCGACACAAUAAAGUAGCUCUGGGUGUUGCUAAGAAACGACAGAAAUCUUUUAGGAUGGCCUUAGCAAGAUGCAGUCUAGAAAUUAGUAUAAAAACACAUAUUUUAGAAAUCCGUUUGUUUGGAUUGUAAAUUAUUUGAAAUAUUUUUACUGUAACACUUUUAAUGAUGUGAUGUAUGUGAAAUAAAAAAAUAAUUAAAAAAAUAAAAAAUUAUAUUAGAAAUUGUAAUGAUGAUAUAAAUAAAUAUAUUUAGGAAAAUAACUCACUGUCCAAACAAACGAACGCUUCGGCUUGUAGGUGUACCAAAGGCUUGUAACCAACUGAAUCACGAGUAUAACCCACUGAAUCACGAGUAUAACCAAAGGCUUGUAGGUGUACCACCAGCAGCCUGUGCCUAGUAUAUUGGUUGCUAGCUAUAAUUCUGAUUCUGAAUCACCAUCGCUUUUGGUUUGCUCGAGCGAAUUUGUCUUUUUCCAUGUUCAUCCGUCAUGUUUUCUAGUUACUAUUCUUUUUUUUUUUUCCAGAUACCAUAAAUUCUAAUUUACACUUACUCCUACUCUGUAACAAGGGGAGGGCGUGACUCAAAGGAGUCAGGGAGGAACUCGAAGAUAUUAAAUCAACACCGAUCCAAACGAGUGCCUAUGCACUCACUGGCUAAAUUUUUCAAGAAAUUCUAAAUUUUUAAAAUGUAGGUCAAGAGAUUCGAUUCCUUGAUUUCCAUUCAAACAGAGUUUUAAAAUUCUCUUAGUGACUUUUUUUUUUCUCUAGAGACGACAACUAUUGUAUAAUCAAUCUAUCCUAUACUACAGGGGAGAGGGAGUCUAAAGAGACUUUGUGUUAGGGACUAAUAGGUACACAGAUCUUAUUAGACCAACAAAGUGUUUUAGCACAACUCUUGGAUAUUUUUUGCUGCAGGUAAAAUUUGAACCCGCCUACGACCCAAGCAAAGUUUUAAUGCCCAUCUUGGUGGCCACUCUAUUGUUUUUCUAGUUACUAUUCGUUUUGGAAGGAUAUUGUUGUCAGACUGCAUUCAGUGGUCUGAAUGGCACAGCUUUGCAUGUGGGAAUUUAAGAAUUAAUUAAACAGUAUUAGUGCAUUCACCAAUUCAAAUGUAGGGGCGUAAAAAAUUGCACUUUGCGAGCUCAAACUCCUGACAAGUAACUUUGAUCGAACUGGAGCUCCAACUAAGUUGAGAAUCAAAAUUAGAACUCAAGUUCGACUCAUCUUAUGAAGGCUAGGAACAUCAAGCUCAGCUUGAGUUUGUUAGAGAGCCAGGCAACUGAUCGAGGUUGAGUCUUCAUUGGAGAUGAGCUCAAGCUGAAACUUGAGUAAAAGAUGUAAUUUGUUUAAAGUGAAUAGUCAUUAAUCUUUAUAGAUUAUUAAACCAAGCAAAUUACAUUAGGGGUGAGUGUGUUUUGUUGAUUAAGUGGCCUUUUAGAGCAUAAUUAGAAGUUGAAGCGGCAGCAGAAUAUUUAUUUAUGUGGCCUUUGUUAAAGUUUGGCAAAUUCCAUUUAUUCAUGGUGUUGGGAGAGAGUUGAGUUAUAAGGAUAGAGGGAAACUCUCUAAAAUUGAUAAUUGUGAGUUUCAUUAUCCAAACUUGAGUGUUUGUCGUGUGUUUAUCCUCAUCUCUUGCUACAUAUUUUUUUUAUAUGUAUUGAAAUAACUUCAUUUUUAUACGUACUAAAAUAAUUUCUGUUAUGCAUAUUUUUUGUAUUAAAAAUUUUACCUAAAUAUAUGAAAAAUUGAUAUAUAUAUAUAUAUGAUAAUUUUUGUAUAUACUAUCAGUGAAAACGUAGUUUACAUUAACAGUUAACAAUAUUGUGACACCUCAUUGAAUCACUUACUUUACGGAUUACCGACCUUCUCUCAAUUAUUUCGUGCUCAUAAAUAUCGAUCCCACAUACAACUCUUCCAGUUAGCAGCAAUCUUCUAAGACUUUCAUAUGUGCUUGUCACUACUUGAUGAGCAUUUGACUAGAGUACUAGCAUGUUUAAAUUUGAUUCAUUAUCUAAUUUAUUUUAACGAACACACUCAAAUUUAACUCGAGCUCGCUUUUAACCUGGUUCAAUUGAGUAUUUGAUUGAUCUGCAAGCAAGUAACUUGGUUCAUUUACAGCUUUAUUCCCGUUUGCAAAACGUACCUGACCAUAAUUUCCAUAUAGAUGUAGGAAAAUGGUGCUAAGGCAUAGGUGCUUAAAUAGCUUAAGCGCAUUAACAGCAGGAUUAGCUCCUAUCCAUUAGAAUGGAGUGAAUUCCUUUCAAUUAUGCCAUAAGUUUCAAAAUUCUAAGUUAAACCCUGUUUGGCACUUGAGUUUUUUGCCAAGUUUGUCUGUUGCAAGUUCUUUAAAAACUUUAACUACAGUAAUAUCAAAAAAUUUUUCUAAAAUUUUAAACUAUGCACUUCAAAAUAUUCAAAAAUUUACAUACUUCAAAAAUUUUUUUAAAAACUUCUAUAGUAAGUUACAGUAAAGUUUUAGACAAAUAUCCAAAAAAACUCACUUACCAAACGGGGCCCAAAUUCAUUCAUAAAAUACUUCAUGUGAUGUUUUGGUUACAUAGAGCAUUGAAAUUAUAUGGACCAAGUUUUGCUGGUUGAUUAAUGGUAAAAAUGAAAACUUGGUUAACAUAUGGGCUAGAGUGGCUAUUUGUGGGACUUUUUUAUAUUAAGGAGCCUCUAUCUCCAUGAAUCUAAGCCACUUCAAUUGGCCACGUCACCGCUAAAAAAAUCUUUGAAGCAUAUUCAAAAUUCUUUUUUGUUUUGUGUAUUAAGUCGGAAGAAAUUUCUUUAUUGGAAGGGCGAAAAGUAAUUGAUUAUUAUUCUUGGUGAUCAUCAUUCCUCGUUCAGCUAAAAAAACGUUGUACUUAACAAAAAGUACAUUUGAUGAGCAUAAACAUCAUCAGUUGUCAAGGAAAAAAGUCUUGAUCUUCCGUUUUGUUGUAUCAUAUAUGUAUUUGAAGAAACACGGCAUCGUUUCGUGUUGGUAGAUAGUAAAAUGGAAUAAUUGUACGCGAAAAUCGUUCAAAAUGUCCUUCACAUUUUACAAGAUAACUUUUUUCGUCCCUCACUUUUAAAAGUAUAAUUUUAAGUCCCUUACAAAUUCACAGUGACCAAAUUUGGUCCCUACCUAAGUUUCCGACUAGUUUUUGGCCGGAAUCCAUAAUGUGACUUGCAUGUGAUCAUUUUUUAAGGGGCAAAAUUGUCAAAUCAAAUUUUUACAUAAUCUGAUUCAUAGUCCCUCACAUUUCACAAAAUGAAUUUUUUCGUCCCUAACAUUUUACAAAAUGAAUUGUUCGGUUUCUCACAUUUCAAAAAAUGAAUUUGUCCAUCCUUCACAUUUUUCAAAAUGAAUUUUUCAUCUCUCAUUGAUUAUGUGUAUGAAUAGCUUUUCUUCUAUAAGCCCACGUAUAUGUGUGUUUGAUUUUACCUGAAUAGUACGAAUAACAUGUAAUUUAUCUCUAUUGGAUUUCAUCUAAAUAUGCUAAUCGUAGUUAUACACAUGCUAUUCAAUAGAUAUAUAUAGGGGUUUUAAGCUAAUAAUUUUGUUUGAAACCCAUGUAUAUAUUUAUAUGAUUUCACCAUUUGAACCUAUCCAAUAUUUGUGACUUUUCUCUUUUGGUAAUAAUUUAUUUAUUGAGUUGUAUAAUAAGUUCAUCUAAUUAAUGGGUCCUAACUUGAAUUCUAUAAUUUUGCUAACAAAUUUCAGUUUAAAUCUGAAUUUCUACUCGACACUUUUAGACCAACUGUUGAAUUACUUGCCUUGUGAUUGUCUUAAAAUUUGAAAGUGCCAAUCACUUAUUUCUUUUUGUCAUAUUUUUCUUUUGUUUAUUUUUUCUGUCCAAAUUUAAUUUGAUAUAAACACUCGAUAAUAUUUAGGAUUAAAGUCUUUUUUAUUUUCAAAUUUUGAAUAAAAGAAAAUAAAUAUAAGUGAAAAACUAACAAUUUUUUUAAACUCAUGUAUAUAUCUAUUUGAUUUCACUUGAACAGUAUGAAUAGUAUGUAAUAUAUCUCUAUUUGAUUUCACAUGUUAUUCGUACUAUUCAAGUGAAAUCAAAUAGAUAUAUACAUGGAUUUAAAAAAAAUUAUUCACACAUAUGAUCAAUAAAAGAUGAAAAAAAUCAUUUUAAAAAAUGUGAAGGAUGAAAAAAUUCAUUUUGUGAAAUGUAAGGGACGAAAAAAUUUAUUUUAUGAAAUGUGAGGGAUUAUGAAUCGAAUUAUAUCAAAUUUGAUUUGACAAUUUUGCCCUUAAAAUAUGAUCAUAUGCAAGGCACUUGGUGCAUUCCGACCAAAAACUAGUAGAAAACCUAAGUAGGGACCAAAUUUGACCAAUGCAAAUUUGUAAGGGACGCAAAAUUAUAUUUUUAAAAGUGAGAGACGAAAAAAGUUAUUUUGCAAAAUGUGAGGGACGUUUUAAACGAUUUUUCCUAAUUGUACAAACCUCUCUCUUGAGGUUUAUGAUAAUUGCAGGCAACAUAUUUUGAGUUUGAAAAAUUAUAGAAACCUCCCUUGAAAAUUUGUUCGGGCUCACUUUGCUGGUAUAAGUGAAAUGUACCUAUUGAUAAUGUUCCUAAAUUGCCUUUAAGUGAUUUUCCUCAUAGGCAUAAAAUUCCAUAGUAAUUUUAAACAAAAAAAUAUACCUUACAUAUCGUAAGAAAGUUAUCUACCGAAUUCAUUCCUCUUGAAUCAGAAUAGAAAAAACACUCACACCUACUGAUCUUAAAAUUUUUUUUAAAAAAAAUUCUUGGAUACUAGUCGAAUAAAAACCUACGUUCAGAGGAAUCUAGAAUUUUUUUCCCUUCCCAAAUUAUGACUAAAUUAAAUAAGAUUGGACUAAUGUGAUUUGAGUGGUAAGGACUAGAUAGAAUCUAUUGCUCUUGCUCUUCUACUCUCUCUCUCUCUCUCUCUAACGGUUUGGUAAAUUAUAUCCCUCCAUGAAGACAUUAAAUCUAGUAAUUUAUCAAGGUUAUUAUUCUUAAUUUACACUAUGAGGGGAGGACGGUGUAAUUCUUGGAAGGUACUUUCUGUAAUUGUUAUAAACCUCAAAGGAGAUUUGUGAAAUUAUCCCUACUAAAAUUCCAAUACGAUGCUUAUUAAAAAGAAUAAAAAUUCAAACUGGGAUAUACUCAAAAGUAUCAAUAUAUUUUAACAUAUUAUUUUCAUUUUAUUCUUUUUUACCCGCUUUUGUUACACAUGUUUUUAUAUGAUUGCUUUAGUUAGUAACCUUAUGGUUCCUCCAUCGAAAGAAAAUAGAUUGAAUGGUAACUUGUUGUACCAUCAGUUAAUUAACCAUGAUUUUGAAGAUCUUACUUUAAGAAUUACACUGAGAAAAAGUUAAAUGUGACUCCUUUUAUCCUUAAUAAAAAGGUGCAAAAAAUCAGAGUAAUUCACCUUACAGUGUUCCAUAGGCAACAAUGACCAACUUAUUUCUCUUGUGUAUCUCACAUUAUUACAAGUACCAUGAUAAGUGAAACAAUGGAAUUAGAUUUUAUAAACGUACCUAAACCUAUUUUUUUUUUUUUUUAGAUUUUUUUUACACACUUAUGUAUUCGCAGCGCCGCAUACAAGUAUUUUUUUUUCCGAUUUUGUCUGGCGUCUGUUAUUAUUUGCUUAUCAGACCUUGCACUUUUCUAAUCAUACAGAGGCUUAAUUGGAAGGCUAUUUAUAAACUCGAAAUUGUCUUAUUCUCUGGACAAUUAACAUUGUUCUUACUAGCAGGUGUCGACAAUGUCUACUACAGAAAAGACAUGAUCCCAUGUGAGUCUGUUGAUUGCAUUGCCCCAUCGAUCCAAUCUUAUUUAGUUAGUCCUAAUUUGCCAUAAGCUUGACAAAAAAUGUUGUUACUUUAAUCAAAUAAAAGAAAUUUUUUAAAAAAUACACAAUCAAUCUCCCGUACUUUGUUUCUGAAAACUAAUUGAAUAUUAAAAAAAAAAGUUUGCAGACCUAACCUCAUGACAUGACAUAUCUGUUUCUGUAAUUUUUUUCCACCUGACUGGACAAUAAAAACAAUUGCCUAUACUUAUUCAAUUUAAAAUUUGAAUGGUUAUUUUACUUAAAAGGGAUAAUUUCAGAAACCUCUCCUUAGGUUUCUGACAAUUUCAUUGCUUUCCCCUGAGGUUUUAAAAAUAUCAUUAACCUCCCUUAAAACUAACGUUCUUGUAACAAAUUAGCCCAAUUCAAAAAAAUUGACAAUACAAAAAUGAUUUCAAGAGUGAGAAGAAUAUUUCAUACCAAAAGUAUCCCUUAACUUAUUACAAGUUGGUUGACUUAGAAUCAAAAGGGAAUAUUAGUUAAAAAUAGAAAAUAAAGACUAAACUCUAGCAUGAGCAUAAUAGAAUUUAUGGUCUGUUUGGUAGGACGUAAAAUAUUUUCUUUGAGAAAAUAAUUUCAUUGGAAGUCUUUUUCUUGAAAAAGUUUUGUUUUCUUUCUAAUUUUCAUCUAUUUGGUUACUUUGGAAAACAUUAGUCCUCACGAGUAAUUAAUUCAAUUCCUCACCAUAUCAAGAAAUCCUCUCCCAUCGCCGUCUCUGCCAUUCCUCUCUCGUCUCCCCUACAAAAAACUUUCCUUCACCGCGUACACCACCCCUGCCAUCAUUCUUUGACCGAGAAGAGAUUAAAGAAAUAGAUACAUGAGUGAUCAAUAUCAGUUUUCCAACUCAACCAUAAUCCAGUCAUAAGACAUUGAAGAUGACAAUGAAAUAAAACCAACUCUCACAAGAAUAUUUUUGUCGCUAAAAUUCUUUCAAAGAUCUAGAAGAUCUCGGAUUGAAAUUUCCAAAGCAAAAGCUGGACAUUGUUGGUGAUGUAUAGAAUUAGUUCAUCUCUCUCCUCUGUGGCCAAUCUUAAAAGACUUUCUUCCUCCUGUAAAAGUUCCUCUGAGAUCUCUUCUUUCUUUAUGCUGCAAAUCUCCUUGUUUUGUCUCUCUAGAUCCCCCCCUAUUUCUGUAGAUCUUAAUUGUUUUUGUAAAUCCAACACAGAUGCAAUGGGAUGUGCGAUAGGUUGGAUUGCGUUUGUAUGAGAGGAGGGAAUAACAUGGAAUGAACAGAGGGGCGAUGAAAGGAUCGAUGUUUUGCUGAGAGAUAUCGGACAAUUCCACCUGAACUAUUUCCUAUGGCCUUUUACAUCGUACGUUGAUGAAUGUAACUAAGGACAAAAGGGACAGGAUUAGAGGGUGGAAAAUAACUUCAGUAAGUUUAUAAGUAAAGUUAUUUUACACCCACUUAUGGAAAGGAUUUUACAAGAGAAAUCAUUUUCUCAGCGCUAAAUUGAACCAAACAGCGGAGAUCUUGGAAAAUAUUUUCUAGAAAAUCUUUUCAGUAACAAUGACUAUUUUUCAUAGAACUACAUAAAAUAGAAAAAUCAAAGUAUUGGAGAGGAAAAAUUGUUAAUUUGGAAUCAAGAUUUACACAUAAAAUUCCUAAACUCUUAGUAUCAGAAUUUGAAAGAUUUGAAUAGGAAUUGAACAAGACAAAGUAUGGCAUUUUCAAGAAAAAACAUCACAAUAGAUGGCUAAUGAUAAAAAGUGUAAAAUAUGGUAAAAUAUAUUAUGUUUUUUGAAUUAUUUUUUAACUUACAUGGUCCAUUAUUUCACAUGAUUAACAAGAAAUUUCCAUCAUUUGUAAUUAAAAAAAAACAACAACUCUCAAGCAACAUUUGGAUUAAUAAAAAGUGUAUGAUUUUAAUGGAAAGGCAAAUAGAUCAAAGUAGAAAAUUUUUUUUCUAUCCAUCUUCUUUGGAUUAUGUAUACAAAGAAAAGAAAAUAAACGCCAAAUAUUUUGGAAAAGAAAGGAAAGGAUAGAUUAUGUACAGUUACAUUUUAUUGCAUUUUAUCCAUAAUAAAAUCUAAUUGUAAACAUAUUUUAAUACUUUAUCCUCUUUUUUUUAUGUAUUUUUCAUAUUCAUCUUGUUAUUCUUAUGAAAAAUUCAUGAAAUAAUAAUAUUUUAAUAGGAAUUUUAAUCUUCUUUAGGAGAAAGAAAUUACAAGAACUACUAAAAUACAGAAAAAAAUUUUAAAAUGUUAACAAUUAUUGUUAUAAAAUUUAAUAUUCAAGAUUUUUAAAUUUUUUAUAUUCCAAAGUCAUGGUUAAUUUAGUUCAAGUGACUCAAUUGUUUCCGUCCAUAUAAAUACAUAAUAUUUCCUAAGUUGAAUGGAUAGUAAAGUCAUUUGACCAUCCAUGAGGUAAGCAUUGAGCCCCAAAUCGCUUAUAGGGGAGGUAAGUGAUAUUUUCAAAAUUUUGAAGAAGGGCAGUGAAAUUGUUAGAAACCUCAAGGAGGUUUCUGAAAUUGUCCCUACUUAAAAUUGAGAUAAGUUGGUAAUUCUUGAAAUGAGAACAAGAAAAGAACACAAAGAAAAUGCAUACUUGACCCCCUAAAUUAGCUACUUAAAUAAUGGGCUAAAAGGUGCUCGGCCUCGGAAGUUAAUACCUUGGAGUUUUAGAGGACUGACUCUCCAAGACUCCAACCAUUGUUGAAGCCAUUGCUCACAAGUUCUAUUGCUUGGGUUACCUUUAUAAGGGAGAAAGUCAUGACACAUGCCGUCGAUGCUAAUCUUUACAAGUCAUCCUUUUAAAGAUAAAACUGAAAGUAUCAAAAUAAGGCAUAGGUAACAUGUCAACUUGACUAGUUUAAUAAACUUCUUAAUUGGUCCAAGACGAAUCAUAUACCAUAUUCUGUUGCAAUUAGUGCCCACGAAUUCUAUAUAUUUCGGGCCCACCUUAGAUUGCUUGUUUAUCGGGCCGAUUUAUCCGUUAAUUUUCGUACUUAGUCUAAUUAAGUGUGUGUGUGUGUUUAUUUCUGUAUCCGGAAAAAAACAAAUCCAUAUUUGGUGAGGGUGUGCACGAGGGGUUGGGCUUCCAUCCCACAUUAGAAGAUCGUGGAGUCUUCAUCUUGGAUUUAAGGUCCAUGGGGUGUCCGUCCUGUCACCAAUUGACUGGAUUGAAUUGCUCUGUGGGUCUCCCUUAGAUUGCUUGUUUAUUGGGCCGGUUUAUCCGUUAACUCUCGUGCUUAAUCUAAUUAAGUGUGUGUGUGUUUAUUUCUGUAUCCGGAAAAAAAAAGAAUUCUAUAUAUUUCAAUCCUCAUAAAUUAAGUCGUCGUUGUAUUUAGCUAAUCCUAACUCAGUUUUUGACACAUGCUCAUUCAUUCACAUGACUGAGUCAAAGGAAAGUUGCCGGUUCUCCACUUAGCACUACAAGAUUUCAAACGGCACACAGGCCUUGAACGGGGCCGAAAAUAGAAUUGGCUUAAACUGAAAGAUGAUGAUAUAUAUAUCAAAAGUAAAUCAAGUGUAAUCCAAAACAUAACUGACUACAACUUUUUCAGGUACAAACAUGACUUGACAUUUGCAUCCUCUGAACUGAUGCGUACGACUCUUAAGCUUGAAUUUGAAUUCAUGUUUCUGUCUAAUGAUUUAGGGACGACUUCGAAAACCUCCCUAGAGGUGUCUGAUAAUUUCAAUUGGCUCCCCUAAAGUUUCAAGUAUUAUACUUACUUCCCCAAUUUUGAGUUUUAGUAGAGCAAUAUUAGCCCAUGUAUGCCAUCAAAAUUCAUAUAAAAUCCUAAAAUGUAUUCUCAUCCUCAAAUUAUCCUUCCACGGCUUAUAAAAAAAGACAACAAAUUAACUAAACAGAAUUAAAAAUUCAUUCAAGAUGUAAGAUAGUUAUUUGCCAAGAAAGAGUUAUAUAUGGCAUGUCACGAUGAUUAGGUACAUUUUAGGUUUAAAUACAUUUUACCCCCUUACAAUUAGGCGUUAGUAGCAAAUCGCCUCCCAUAUUCAUGAAACUUAUGAAUUGACCCCUGAUGAUAAAAGUCUAAUGUAUCUGGAUAGUAAAAAAGACAAUUUGCCCUCAUUGUUAUAAUAUUGUCCAAUGACUAUUUGUCUUUUUCUCUUUCUUCUUGUUUUUUUGCUUAUUAUUGUUUAAAUUUCUUUGCUACUAUGAAAUACAAAUUUUCAUAAUAAUGUGCUAAAGAAUAUCUUCUAAACAAUUUAAUUAUCAUAAGAAAUUAAAAUGUAUAUAUUUAUUCUAAAUAACACCUAUUUUAUUAACAAAUUCUUGUCAUGUAUUCAUUGUUACUAAAAAUAAUUAGUAUUUUAUUAACUUCUAUUUUCUCUUUUUAUUCAUCUACUUUUAUUCUUUAUAUUCAUCAAUGGUUCAUUUGACACUUAAUCAUAUACAGUUAUUUUUCUAUCAAAUAUUUAACUAUCAUAAAUUAUUACAAGAAACUAAAAAAUGUAUAUUUAGUAAUAGUGCGCUAUGUAAUUUCUAUUUUUUAUUAAUAAUUAGUGCAUCAUCAACAUCUUAUCAAUAAUUAAUACACAAAAAGAAAUAGUUAAAGAAAAUAGAAACUAGUUCAAGUUUUGUAUUAAAUAUGCACUUUCUCAUUUCAUAUGAUAAUUUGUGAUUGUUAAAUAUUUACAUAAAUAAAUAAGGAUAAAUAUAUUUACCUAUGAAAAGAAAUUAUUGACAAGAAAAUAAUAGAAUAUGUUAAACCAUAAAAUAAGGAUUCUUAAAUAUUGUAUUAUAAUCGGUGGAGUAAAAAGAAAUCUAAUAUAUAAAAGGAAAAAGGAUAAAGAAGAAAGAGGAAAGAAAAAGGAUCAUCUAAUAAUGUCUAAUAAUGAGAGCAAAAUUGAAUUUUUGUUAGAGACAUACAUUUGCCUAAUAGUCAACAAGGGAAAAUUAAUUUGUAGGUUUGUGAAUAAAGGGGGUAAUUUUCUCCUUGACCCUAGUUACAAGGGGGUAAUACACGAUUAAACCUACGCUUUAACCAAAUCAUUGAGAAUUAAAAUCUAAACCUUGAUUAUUAAAAAUACUUGGUGUUAAUUUAGAAUUAUAAAUUGAACUUUAGAAAAAGUGCUUGAAAUUUCAAAAGGAAAAAAGGGAAAGAUAUAUCCCUUAUGAGCAAUAAUGAAGUAGGCCACAUUAUCACACUUAGCGGUAUCUAAAAAAUGAGUGUCUUAAUUUGAUGAGUAGAAUUUGGUAAUUUUCGAAAGCAUUUCAAAGCAUGAAAUGGAAAAUUUUUUUCGACUUUGUUAUGAUUCAUCUAAACAGUUUACUCUAAAUAAUUUUGUAAGAUUGAUUUAUCUCAUUUAUACUGCAUUUCUCUAGUCCUUUUUUUUUUAAUUUUAGUAUGCAAACAUAAUUUGGAAAAGCAAAUGAUUUUCAAACUCUUAUAUGAUUUUUUUAAUAUAUGGACUAAUUUUGUCACACUAAAAUUCAAAAUAGGAGAGGUAAAUGUAAUAUUCAAAGUCUCGGGGAAACCAAGUGAAAUUGUCAAAAACCUCAAGGGGAGGUUUCUUGAUAUUAUCCAAUUGUAAUGUUCAUAUUUAAAUUUCACAUUUUUGUGAAUGGAUUGGUUGAUAAAGUAUAAACAUGUAUGUAAGACAAGUUUAGCUUUCAUUUCAAUAUGAUUUUUGUGCAUAUAAAUUCUUUGGAAAGAAAGAGGUGACAAGAACUUUGUUCUGUUUUCCUCAUGUCACGUGUGGCGGUUGCUGAGAUCAUAAUAAAGUUUCUUUUAUUUCCCUUUUAAUUCAUAUUUAAAUUGUACUGUUCAUAUUUAAAUUUCACAUAUUUGUUAAUGGAUUGGUUGAUAAAGGAUAAACAUGUAUGCAGGACAAGUUUAGCUUUCAUUUCAAUAUGAUUUUUGUGCAUAUAAAUUCUUUGGAAAGAAAGAGGUGACAAGAACUUUGUUCUGUUUUCCUCAUGUCACGUGUGGCGGUUGCUGAGAUCAUAAUAAAGUUUCUUUUAUUUCCCUUUUAUUUCAUAUUUAAAUUGUACUGUUCAUAUUUAAAUUUCACAUAUUUGUUAAUGGAUUGGUUGAUAAAGGAUAAACAUGUAUGCAGGACAAGUUUAGCUUUCAUUUCAAUAUGAUUUUUGUACAUAUAAAUUCUCUUGAAAGAAAGAGGUGACAAGCACUUUGUUCUGUUUUCCUCAUGUCAUGUGUGGUGGUUGCUGAGAUCAUAAUGAAGUUUCUUUUAUUUCCCUUUUAGUACCAAUCCAACGACAUUACAUGUUUGGAUUCAAAACGAACUAUGGAGUCGACUUUGGUACAUAAGUCAAUUUUAUUGACUCACAACUAGCGUACAUACAUGUACAUAUACAUAUAUAUAUAUAUAUACACACACACAUAGUGUAUAUGUAUGUAUAUAUGCAUACAUGUACACAUGUAUGAGUAUACAUUUUUCUCAAACAAAUGAAAUAAUGGAAAAAAAUUUUAUGCUAUAUUUUACCUAUAUCGAAUUAACUCUACACAUCUCAUAAGUCUUGUUUUGAAUGUUUUACUCAAAUUAUACUAUUGUUGCCCUCUCAAACAUGUAUAAAACUUAUAUGUUGUGCCCUCUCUCUCUCUCUCUCUCUCUCUCUUUUUUUAAGGAUUAGUACAAUGUAAACAAUAGCAUCCGAUAACAAAAUAAAUUACAAUUAAAAAAUAAAGAUAAAAGAAAGUAUAAUCCCAUUAGCAUUUUACUUGUAUUACAUCAAAUUGAAAUAAUUAGGGGUAUUAAUUAACAUAACUUAUAGAAGUUACAUAGAUGAUAAAAAUAGAGUACUAACUUUUGGGUCUUUGUAUUUUUUUUUUUGAAGUAUCUGGGUUUUCGGACUGAUAAUAUCUAUUGACCCAACUAAUCCUCUGCGGAUCGGGAGAGGCUGCCCAGCUUUUUCACCAACCGCUUUACCCGGGAUUCGAACCUUUGCGGAGGUACUUCCCCAACUGGGGUACUACCACCAGCUCUAGCCCUGGGGGGGCUAACUUUAAAUCUUGUAAUUUGGUCCAAUAUAUUUUCCUUUUUAAUCAAAUGUUUUUGUUAAAUUUCUUUUGAUUUGGGUAUCAUUUAUUGGUUACUAUGAAAUUUUUUAUUGAUAUUUUUAUAGUUCAUAGUCAAUUUAAUUUUUAGUAUUCAUUUUAGACUGUCUCUAUUAUUAAAAAUAUUUAAAUGCUAGUUAUCUUCUUGUAAUUUUUGAACUUUGAAUUUUUGUACGUUUGGUGGCUUGCCUCCUCAACUAUAAGACUCUGGUUCUGUUCAUAUGUAUAAUGCAUACGAUGAAUGAUCUAAGUUUUUUCAUAACAAAAGAUUUUCAAAACAUUUAAUAAGUAUCAUAUAUAGUUACUAGAAUAUUCUUUAGGCAGAAGAGGUUUUGAUCCUGUGAUUAAAGUUGAGAGACAAAGACUUGAGGUUUUGGAUUCAUAUUCUUCUCCUCCUUCCCGUUUUUUAAAUCUUGUACUUCUUCCGUUAGGAAAAAAAAUAAAAAAAAAUUACUAGAUUAUUCAUCACCGCUAUCUCCAAAAUAGGCUGUCCAUUGGCCUGUCCCUCGUAAUCCUGACGAUUACUACGGUGAGCAUUUUGAACUUUAUCGUGAUUGUAAUGAUAAUAUCGUACCAGAUGUUAUGUAGGGAGUCGUGAUUCAUAUAUGAGGUUAAACAAGGAGUUUCAUAGUUGGCUUAGAAAAGAUUAUUAAACAAAAACCCUUAAUCAAGAGCGUUCUUCGUGCAAUUACCUGAACACAAAAUAAGAAAAAAAAAUUACAUAGGGAUAUAUUAUGAAAGUCAUGAACCACAUGAGAGAGUUUGUUUUUAAUUUACACUUUCGGGCUCAUAUUUGCAUUGUACCUGUAUAAAAUGAACUCAUUAAAGAAAUGAUCAUUACAAAUUCUAGAACUGGGUGAAACAUAUUAUUUGAUUUGAUCUUUUACAUGCCUAUUUUAUCAAUCAUGGAAGUGAAUGUCAUUCAAUUUUCAAAAUAGAUUUAGAUACAUCUAUAUCUUUUAAACUUAUAGUUUGGCUAACGAGUAUCCAUUCGACACUCAAUAAGAAGGGAUUCAAGUGUUAAUUUUAGAAAAAGUAUGGUUAAUUUGAAAAAGCAUUACAAUUCAAGGGAUCCAAUAAAUGUGAGUCUAUAUUUACAUGGUAAUUUAGACGUGUUUCAAGUGUUUUAACAAAUAUCCUACUGGCACUCCUCACUGGAAAAAUUUUAUUUAUAUGUAGGAUUCUACAUUUGCUCCGAAAUGACUCGCAUCUUAUUAUUGAACUAUUUAAAACAUACAAUUCAAAGAUUAGGUUAUAAUAUGAACUAUUUUGUUUUAGAUAAUGCAGAAUUAAGAUUCUGCGAUUAGAUCAUCGCCAUUAAGGAGUAAAUGAAAAUCAUCCAGACACGCAGUAAUUCUUGGCAAAUAAUUUGACGCAAACAUAAGGCAUAUAUAUAACAAAAAAUUUAAUAAUAUAUGCUCGGAUGCUCAGGCUACAACCAUGCAAUUAAUUACUCUUACGAAAAAAAAGAAAAAGAAAGCAUGUUGUUGUUUUGUCAGAGCCGCAAGCUUUGACUUGUGGCAUAAUUUUUUCAUUUCCUUCUCAUCCCACAUCGGAGCCUGCUGAAGAGAAGCCGGCUACUCGAGGCCUAUAAAUAGAAGGGUCCAUUGAAGGAUUUAAUUUGCACCACUCAAGAGAGUUAUAUGGGCUAUUAGCUUCUUGAGUCAUAUAGCCCAUUUAGUUAAAUAUUUUAGGCUCUCUUGUUUUGAGUUUAGGAAUAUUUUCUAAACUCUUUUGUAAGUGCCUAUUGGCCUAGGAACCACUUUCCUACGGCUUUUGUAUUUCUUCUUCAUAGUAGAAAUAUUGCUCCUCCCUCGCCCGUGGACGUAGGUCAAUUUGACCGAACCACGUAAAUCUUCUGUGUCUUUUAUUUGCUUUGUUAUCCGUCUUUAUAUGGUCGGUUUUACCGCCUAAUUAUUAUAUGGCUGGUAUCUACCGCCUAUCUAUUAUAUGGUCGGUUAUACCGCCUACUUUGUGCUAACUUGAAUUUGUCUACUUCCUGACCCGAUCCUAACAAACUGGUAUCAGAGCUGGUUGUUAUAUUUUGCAAGACAGGUUCAUCUGGUGGGGCCCGUUCAUCUGGUGGGGUCCGUCCAUCCUGUGGGGCCCACUAAUCCUGUGGGGUUCGUUUAUCCGUGGGGCCCGCUCACCUUGUGGGGUCCGUUCAUUCCCGUGGGGCCCGCUUAUCUCGUGGGGUCCGCUCACCCUGUGGGGCCCGCUUACGAGACUUGCAUAUUUGUUUGGCCAGUUUUUUUGAGACAAACUUCAGGUUACAGAUUUUGUGGCAACAAUGACGAUAACAAAGACGGUUGUCGAGAAAUUCGACAGGAAUGUCAACUUCGGCAUGUGGCAGCUCAAGAUGGAGGCCAUUCUUGUUCAAGACGGAGUUGAUUUGGCAAUUCAAGGAAUUGAGAAAAAGCCAGAAGAUGUGACAGAUGCAAAUUUUGCUGAGAUGGAUAAGAAGGCAAGAUCCAGUAUUAUCCUAAAUCUCUCCGAUGAGGUAUUGCGUGAGGUAGCAACGGAGACUUCGGCCAAGGCUAUGUGGGAUAAAUUGAAAGCCUUGUAUAUGAAGAAGACAGUCGAGAAUCGACUAUAUUUGAAGCAGAGUUUGUACAUGCUUCGGAUGUCUGAAGGUACAUCUAUACUCUCCCAUCUUGAUAAAUUUGAUUCCAUUAUUAUGGAUUUGGAGAAUAUAGAUUCGAAAAAUGAUGUUGAAGAUCAAGCCCUAUUACUUUUGUGUUCCCUUCCCCAAUCCUUUAAGUAUUUUCGUGAUACUAUGAUAUAUGGAAAGGAAACAAUUUCGUAUCGGGAAAUUAAAUCUGCAUUAAAAUCUAAAGAGCAGAUAGAUAGGGAUAUUACUGGGGAAACUAGUGGGAGUCAAGCUGAUGGCUUGUUUGUUCGGGGUAGAUCUGAAAAGAGAAACACAGAAAAUAGAAAUAGAUCCAAGUCCAGACAUAAAAAUGUGGUGUGCAAUUAUUGUAAAAAGAAGGGCCAUGUUAUCUCUGAUUGCUUUAAAUUGAAAAAUAAAGAAAAGCAAAAGGGAAAAUUUGUUGAGAGAAAUACUGAAUCCGCUGAAGCUAGUAUAGCAGCUGAUGAGAAUGAUGGAACCAUUUUCUGUGCAACGGAAAAUAAUUUUAGGUCUAACAAUGAGUGGAUUUUAGAUUCGGGUUGUUCAUAUCAUAUGUGUCCCAAUAAGGACUGGUUUUCAACAUAUGAAUCAACUGAAGGUGGAGUUGUCUUAAUGGGCAACAACGCUGUUUGUAAAGUUGUUGGCAAAGGCACAAUCCGGAUUAAAAUGUACGAUGGUAUUGUGAGGACGCUCACAAAUGUUAGACAUGUUCCAGAUUUGAAGAAAAAUCUCAUCUCUUUAGGCACUCUUGAGUCUAUCGGGUGCAGGUAUUCAGGUGGAGACGGAGUUCUUAAAAUCACUCGAGGAGCUCUUGUUGUUAUGAAGGCACACAGAUCUGGUACUUUGUAUAUUUUGCAGGGAUCUACUGUGACAGGUGCUGCUGCUGUUUCAACAUCAUCUUUGUCAGAUACUGACAUCACCAAAUUAUGGCAUAUGCGUUUGGGGCAUAUGAGCGAAAAAGGCUUGGGCAUACUGAGCAAAAGAGGACUUCUGUGUGGACAAAGUACCGGUCCAUUGGAAUUCUGUGAACAUUGUAUUUUUGGGAAGCAGAAAAGAGUCAGCUUCAGUUCACCAGCAAUUCACAAGACAAAAGGUACUCUUGAUUACAUUCAUUCAGAUCUAUGGGGUCCUUCUCGUGCUCCUUCUAAAGGUGGUGCCAGGUACAUGUUGACUUUCAUUGAUGACUAUUCAAGGAAAGUUUGGGUCUAUUUUCUUAAACACAAAAAUGAUGUUUUCCUAACUUUCAAGCAAUGGAAAGUUUUGAUUGAGAAACAAACAGGAAAACAUGUUAAGCGGUUGAGAACAGAUAAUGGCAUGGAAUUUUGUGGAGGUGAAUUUAAUGAAUUUUGCAAAAAUGAAGGAAUUGUUCGGCAUCACACCGUCAGGAUGACGCCUCAACAAAAUGGUGUGGCCGAACGUAUGAACAGAACGCUUUUGGAGAGAGCAAGAUGUAUGAUCUCCAAUGCAGGGUUGACAAACGACUUUUGGGCAGAGGCGAUCAAUAUGGCCUGUUAUAUUGUCAACCGUUCUCCUUCUGCAUCUCUUGAUUUCAAAACUCCUGAGGAAGUUUGGUCAGGUACUCCUGCUGAUUACUCCAAUUUAAAAGUUUUUGGGUGUCCAGCAUACAUGCACGUGAAUGAUGGAAAAUUGGAGCCUAGGGCUAAAAAGUGCAUUUUUCUUGGGUAUGCUUCUGGGGUGAAAGGAUACAGAUUAUGGUAUCCUGAUCCCAAAUCCCCAAAAUUUGUAAUCAGUAGAGAUGUUACUUUUGAUGAAUUGUCUAUGUUAUCUUCCAAGAAGGAGUCUUCUAGUCCUUGUACUAUUGAUAGUACACAGAAGCAAGUGGAGCUUGAUAUUGGCAGUUCUGGUCCUUCUCAAUCCAAAUCUUCUAUUCAGCAAGUGCCAGUAGAUGCACCUGAAUCUACUGUUGAAGAUAGUUCAGAAGAAGAUGAGUAUUCCAUAGCCAGAGAUAGAGCAAGGAGAGAAAUUCGACCACCACAAAGAUAUGCAAAUUUAGUUGCAUAUGCUUUGUCUGUUGCAGAAGAAACUGAUGCAGUUGGUGAGCCUUCCACCUAUUUAGAAGCAGUUUCUUGUGAUGAUUCUGCAAAGUGGUUGAUUGCGAUGAAUGAAGAAAUUGAAUCUCUUCAUCAGAAUGAAACUUGGGUUCUUGUAAAGCCGCCGUCAGCUAAGAAAAUUGUUGGUUGCAAGUGGGUCUUCAAGAAAAAGAAAGGUAUUCCAGGGGUUGAAAAUGCAAGGUAUAAAGCACGAUUAGUUGCAAAGGGCUAUAGUCAGGUACAAGGUGUUGAUUUUAAUGAUAUAUUCUCACCUGUUGUUAAACAUAGCUCUAUUCGUGUUUUGCUUGCUUUAGUUGCCAUGUAUAAUUUGGAGUUAGAACAGCUCGACGUUAAGACAGCUUUCUUACAUGGCGAACUUGAAGAACAAAUUUAUAUGAGACAACCCCAGGGUUUUGAAAUUGAAGGUAAGGAAGACCAUGUUUGCUUGUUGAAGAAAUCCUUAUAUGGAUUGAAGCAGUCUCCAAGACAAUGGUAUAAAAGGUUUGAUUCCUUUAUGUUGGGUCAUGGUUAUUUGAGGAGCAUGUAUGAUAGCUGUGUUUACUUCCGGAAGUUAAAUGAUGGUUCUUUCAUUUAUUUGCUGCUUUAUGUUGAUGACAUGCUCAUUGCUGCCAAGAAUUUGUCAGAAAUUCACACCUUGAAACUGCAGUUAAAUAGUGAAUUUGAAAUGAAAGAUUUAGGAGCAGCUAAAAAAAAUUCUUGGCAUGGAUAUCAAUCGAGAUCGAGGAGUAGGAAAGUUAUUUUUGACCCAGAAAAAUUACCUUGAGAAAGUCUUGGAGCGUUUUGGCAUGAAAGAUGCUAAACCAGUAUCUACUCCUCUUGCUAGCCAUUUUCGGCUAUCUGCUGCUCAAUCACCAAAAUCAGAUGAAGAGGAAGAUUAUAUGGCACGGGUUCCUUAUUCCAGUGCAGUCGGCAGUAUUAUGUAUGCAAUGGUUUGUACUCGUCCAGAUAUUGCACAAGCAGUCAGUGUUGUUAGCAGAUAUAUGUCUUGCCCUGGUAAAACACAUUGGCAGGCUGUGAAGUGGAUUCUCAGAUACUUGCGAGGUACUUCAAAUGUAUGUUUGGAGUUUGGAAGAAAUAAUAACACUUUGGUUGGUUUUGUAGACUCAGACUACGCUGGGGAUCUUGACAGGAGAAGAUCACUUUCAGGCUAUGUAUUUUGCAUUGGCAGUUGUGCUGUUAGUUGGAAAGCUACUCUACAAUCUGUCGUAGCUUUGUCUACUACUGAAGCAGAAUAUAUGGCUGUGACCGAGGCAAUCAAAGAAGCCUUGUGGUUGAAGAGUUUAUUUAGCGAGUUAAGUCUAUAUCAAGGUGUUACUGAUAUUCACUGUGAUAGUCAAAGUGCCAUACACUUGACUAAAGAUCAGAUGUAUCAUGAGAGGACAAAACAUAUUGAUGUGAAGUAUCACUUCAUUCGGGAUAUCGUUGCUGAGGGAAAAGUCCUUAUUCAGAAAAUCAAUACUAAGGACAAUCCAGCCGAUUUGUUUACGAAACCUCUUCCAAUUUACAAGUUCAAACAGUGCUUGGACUUGAUUGGUGUUCGCUUGUGAUUUAAGCCCAUUGGGGCUUAUGUGAAGAAGGUGGAGCAAUUUUUACUAUUGUCGAUGAUAGAAUUCAAAAUUAUGCCAAGGUGGAGAUUUGUUGUUUUGUCAGAGCCGCAAGCUUUGACUUGUGGCAUAAUUUUUUCAUUUCCUUCUCAUCCCACAUCGGAGCCUGCUGAAGAGAAGCCGGCUACUCGAGGCCUAUAAAUAGAAGGGUCCAUUGAAGGAUUUAAUUUGCACCACUCAAGAGAGUUAUAUGGGCUAUUAGCUUCUUGAGUCAUAUAGCCCAUUUAGUUAAAUAUUUUAGGCUCUCUUGUUUUGAGUUUAGGAAUAUUUUCUAAACUCUUUUGUAAGUGCCUAUUGGCCUAGGAACCACUUUCCUACGGCUUUUGUAUUUCUUCUUCAUAGUAGAAAUAUUGCUCCUCCCUCGCCCGUGGACGUAGGUCAAUUUGACCGAACCACGUAAAUCUUCUGUGUCUUUUAUUUGCUUUGUUAUCCGUCUUUAUAUGGUCGGUUUUACCGCCUAAUUAUUAUAUGGCUGGUAUCUACCGCCUAUCUAUUAUAUGGUCGGUUAUACCGCCUACUUUGUGCUAACUUGAAUUUGUCUACUUCCUGGCCCGAUCCUAACACAUGUGAUGAUAACUCUAGCCUUAAACUAGUAUAAUGUGUGUAUGCAAGUUACCAUGUUUUGUAAGAUAUAUUCCACUUUGAACUUUUAGAUUAUAAACACCUUUCUACUUUAGAUACUUAGCCCCUAAAUUAUGAAAUUUAUCUUAUUUUAGUCCUUAAAUUUCAAUUCUAGACACUUUAUCCUUUAAAAUAUGAAAUCUACUCUACGGAAUUGUCAAAACUAAUGAAAUAGUAGUCAAAUGUUGUUCAAAAUUUAAAGAUUAGUUUAGGGUGCAUUCUAUACUUUGGAUGGUAAAGUGUUCAAAAUUGAAAUUUAAGAACUAAAAUAAGAUGCAUUUCGUACUUUAGGAUGUAUUGUUUCCAAAUUUAAACUUUAACGACUAAAGUGGAAUAACCUCUAUAGUUUAAAAACACAUUAAGUUAUUACUAGAAGAAGAAUAAUUUACUUGGUGAGGCAGCCUGACGAGUCGACACAUGCAUGGAUGUCUUCCGCUCCAUUCUUCACCUUCUGCGCUCCAUCAAAGGAACCUCUCUCUUGACAAUGGAGGGCAGAAGGCUCCUUUUGAAGCGCUGAUAUCAAUCGUCGUUGUCUCGUGUACUCCUUGUACAUUUUAAUAGAACUCAAUCAUUGUUCCUUUAGUCACAUUUGCUAUAUAUAAAAUGCCAAAACUUCUUAGGAUUUUCAGAGAAAAGCUCUAAGCAGCCGGAGUUGACCAGCAAGAUAGCCUUCCUACUUCCCCUUGACCACUAGCUUCACAUAUCUUCCUCAAGAUUUGAUGGACAAUUCAGUCGGUUCAUGGUUCUCUGAGCUGGUAAGAAUUGUGUUUUUAAGAAUUGCGUUUUUCCUAAUCAGUUAAAUCGCUAGCUAUUUGAACAUUAUUCACUGUUUCUUGAAGCUGAGUCAAUACCAUCUCUUAUAGAUGAAAGAAAGAAUCUAUCCUAAGCAGUAGUCUUUGAACUCAUAAGCACCAUGAAUACUAACAAGUUUAUACGUUCGCCUGGACUCUGAUGCCAUACAUGCACGUAGAGGGAGAAUAUCAUUUAUUAAGAACCAUGCUAAUGAUUUAUCCGUUUGCUAUUGUUGUUUAUUAUUUUCACUAAUAUAUAUCAAUCAUGCAAGGGAUCGAAGAUGAUAAUCACCACAUCUUUUGUGAUGUUUUAAGUAAACGUAAGCCUUAAAUUUACAUAUUUCAUAUUCUCCUCAACUGUUUUUAGAUUUUUGUUUCAUUUUUUUUUCGAGUAAACCUAAGUGCUCUGUUAAAUUCUUUCAUUUUCCCGUGCAAGUAGAGAACCAGCAUCUCACAUACGUUUCUUUAUUGACUUGUUAAUUUUUGGUGGUACAAAGCAUCCCUUCAUCCUUAGCAAGCUGUCAAUGGAAGAUUAAGAAACAAAGAAACGUAAAAAGGAAUAACGGCAUAAGAAGUAGCCUUCAUUACUUCCUCAACAUGUUUUGGUUACCGGAAGAAAACAAGUUUACUUCGAUAUAGUUGUUGAUCCUUAGAAAUUUCUGAUUGAUGUAUGGUUGAUCCGUAUCCUAUUAUUCAAAUCCAUUUUAAAAAGAUAGAUUACUCAACGGACAAAUCACACACAAAAUUUUAGUCUUACUUUUGUAAAAUCCAAUUUGCUAUUGCUUAGGAUGCAAAAUUUAGUCUUGCAAAAGUUCAAAGGCUCCAUUGAUUACUGAAAAAAUGAUUAUGGUGCAUCCCAUUAAUUCCUAUUUCAACACAGGGGAUGGAUGAUCCACAUUUCGAUGAGCAAUGUGAUAUCAUGGACUUUUUCGAUGAAGAGUUAUCUGCUGCACUAGGAGAAGAUUUGCAAAACACUUUGUCCCAAGAAGACAAUACAUAUUCCUCCCAGGAAGUUCCAUUUCCCCAUUGCGGGUUUCCUGAAAUUAACCUUAAAAAUACAUAUUCCUCCACCUUAAUUCCAAGAAAUAGUUCCACAACCAAUUUAUCUGCACUUUCAGCCAUGGAAGCUCCUCUAGUUAGUACUGAAAUACCAACAAAGCAGAAAAUUCUAAGAGCUCUACUUCGUCCAUUAAUCUUAAUCAACCUUGCUGCUCCCCAAUGGUUCUAACUUUUGGAAAUUGUCAACAAGUAACACUAGGAAGUUUUAGUCCCGAGGGUGAUACAAUGUCUGAGGUUUUAUUAUCCCAAGAAUCCCAUAUGAAUCUUAAGGAUGCAAUUAUUAAAGAUACUCGAAAGAAAAAGAAAAAGAAAACUGCCCGUCGCGUGAGGCCAGCAUCGCAAACUUAUGAUCACAUAGUAGCUGAAAGAAAGCGAAGGGAGCAGAUCAGCCAGCGUUUUGUGGCUCUCUCAGCCUUAGUCCCUGGCCUGAAGAAGGUAUCUAGUAUUUUUUUUCUUUUUAUUUAACGUCUAUCCCAACAUUUUUGUUCCAUUAUCUUGAUGAUAGAAAAGUUUGAUGAGACUUUAAAAAUUGUGAUGUCAUGCCUCAUGUCACACGCGACUAAUUAAAGUAAUCACUGUACUAGACAAUAAUAUCUCGUGGGCACUGAUAAAAAUUUUUGCUCCAAUGUCUUUUUGCCUAAAGCUAAAGAGGUCAAAGUUGAAGCGAAUUUAUCAUUGGUCAAUAUAAAAUGCAGAGUUUUUUGUUCUGAUUCCCAUUAAUAUAAAGGAAUGUAUAAUGUAAGCUUGUAUGUGCAAUUGCUCUAUCCUCAAAAUAGAACCAUUCAAUCAAAUUGGUUUAGCUAGUUUUUAGGCUACACUGCAGAUGAGUUCAAUUCCUAUACUAACUUCGGUAGGGACGAAAAACUUUCUCAUCCUAUUUUCUUUACGGCUUCAGAUGUUUUCCACAUGGUUUGUCUGAUGAUGAGAUCUUAAUUUCUUGCAGAUGGAUAAAAAUUCUGUUCUUGGAGAUGCAAUCAACUACUUAAAACAUCUUCAGGAGCGAGUGCAGACGCUCGAGGAACAAGCUGCCAACCAACGCAGGGAAUCUUCCGUGCUUAUGAGGCGAUCACAGCUCUUAAUCGAAGAUGAAGGAUCAUCAGAUGAGAUGGGCUGCACCGAUGAGCAGAUUCUACCUGAAAUUGAAGCUAAAGUAUGCAAUAAGAAUAUUCUUCUGCGAAUCCACUGCAAAAAUCACAGAGGGUUGCUGGUAAAAAUACUGUCUGAAAUUGAAAAGCGCAAUCUCUCUGUUGUCAAUACAAAUGUUGCACCUUUUGGAAGUUUGGCUCUUGAUAUUUCCAUUAUUGCUGAGGUGAGCUUUAUCCAGUCUAAUCUUAUUAAUUGGGAAUACUGCGUUCUUAUUUGUUUCUUUUGAACUAAUGAUCCCUUAUAAAACUUUGUUUCAGAUGGACAAAGAAUUCAACCUCACAAUGCAGGAACUAGUGAGAAGGCUUCGAUCUGCUCUCCGGCAAGUUCAACAGUCUGAUUGAAUGCAGAAUCAUCUCCAAUUCUGAUGGUGUAGGACUAGGAGUGGCUGCCUGGUUUAUCUAAUGAAAUUGCAAUGGACUGAAGAGUGAAGCCCAGUGGUUAAGGACUGAAAGAAUGGUCACGAAGCCAGACUAGUGACCAGAAUGCCAAUCAUUCUUGUAUUGUCAAUAGGAUAACUUUUGGCAACAUUAGACUAAAAUUUGCACCCACGAGGGUCUCGUGGGCCUUUGAUUGCUUCUGUGGAUUUUGUUUUCUUGUAUGUUCAUUAUAUCAAUGUCCGGCAUGAUGAGGAGCUUUCACCUACAGUGGUAUAGUAUAAUAUACAAUGGCUUGGUCCUCAAAUAUUCCUUCAACUGGGGACCAUUAUUUAGCUUGUCAUUUUAUGGGCAUGAUGAAGCCUUAACCGCUAAAGAAUACUCAAAUUAACACUCUACCAUUUUUUUUUCUUUAAAGUGAUCAAAUAUCUCAUAAAAGCAUAGUGUAGAAGUUGCAUUUUGUUAGCUUUUGCAAUUAAUCUUUCUUUUUACAGUUAGUUUUGGGGUUAAUUAAGUUCAACAGGACUUUAUUACAUCAUUUACUAUAUACUUCACGUUUAUGUAACCUCUAUCUGACUGUUGGGAAAUUUUCAUCUACCAUGUUUAGGACUAAUUUAGGAAGAAAAGAAGUGAUGAAAUUCAAGUGGGUAAGCUAAGUGUACAACAGUUCGAUGCACACGCUGUAAUUGGUUUGUGUAACAUGUGAUGAUCAGUUUCUUAAAUGCUGCUUAUGUAUGCAAAUUGACUAAACUAUCAAUCAAAAGCAAAAGGUAGUCCAUCAUAUUGCAAACCACUGGAACCUUAAGAAAAGCAAUUGAACUUCUGCAAUAGAUGGGACUCGUUAAAAUCAGUAAUUGAGGAAUGUUUUAGUAAAAUAUUGGUGCAUGAGAGUGAAGUAGCAUCUGAAGAGCACGAUCCAAGUGUAACUAUAGAAACCUUUCGCCUUUUCCUGCAUUUGUUUGAGGUUAACUACUGAAAAACCCGAGAUAAGCAAUUGAACACCUCCAAACAAUAGGGCUAAUCAAAAUUAGUAAUUGAGGCAUGUUUAAGACAACAUUAAUGCGUCAGAGGUGAAAUAUCAUUUGAACCUUGGUUCGAAGACUUGGCCGAGUCGUCUCGGUCUCGGCCCAGUCCGAUACGAUAUCGUGACGAAAAGAUACUAAAAUACUUGACUCGCCGAAAAAUAGGUCGAGACGUCAUCACGACGGGUUGAAACAGCCCAGUCACAUCGAGUCACUCCGAGUUAUCCCGAGUCAAGUUGAAUUCAACAAAAAACCUUUAACAAAAAAAGGAUUAAAAAGGGGAAAUUCGGGGACCUCUCUACCGCCUGUGUCAAUCUCCUGUCAAGUAUGCUAAUACUGAUGCUCCUUUAUACAGGGAAAGAAAUGCGACUGAUGGGCACAUCAUAAAAGACUUCGUGGGGCCUUCUUUAGAUUAAUCAUAGUGGUUUCCUAUUCUAUUACCAGACAUAAUUGGGAGAAGCACUAGGACCGCAGCUCAAUUACAUCGACCCUUGGAGUAAAAACUAUAGCUAGAUCCCAACACAUGAGAAGGAGAAGUCAAUAUCAAAAUCAUUCAUUGGAAAAUAGAAACAAAUUUGUCAAAGUACUGAUCAUGUGAAAAGAUGCGUUUAUAUUAUUCCAACUUGGUUCAAGUAUAUGUACCUUCACUUUAUUUUUCUUUUCUUUCAAAGGCUAUCACUUCCAACUUUCUUUUCCAAAGUUAUCACUUUAUUUUUCUUUCAAAACUGGCAGGCAUCCAAGGUGAUAGAAUAAGUGAGAGGAGAAAUGCCCAAAAAUGAACUGGAAGACCACCCCAGUCAUGGUACUCUUCUUACGAACUCUUAUGCCACGGUGGGAUCCGCCUGGAGUUUUGUUCUUCAAAUAGGAUGUCCAUAAUGCGGCUGCCAUUCUUAUAUCGGUUUUGCUUGGCUUUUUCCUGCAACUUUCUGGAGCUUUGACACUUUUGUACGAAACUCUUUAAAUAAAAGACUAGACUAGUAAUUUUAUGUGUCGGCGCAAGAGUCCACAGAUUUAAAAUUUUUAUGCUUUCUCUCAUCUCUGUUCUUAUUUGCACUACAAGAAUUUUGGUCAUCAGUGAUAACUACUUUUCGUCACAAAUAAUAAAAAAGUCGUCACUGAUGACCAUUAUUGACAACAUUUCAGUUGUCGCAAGGUCGUCAUUGAAUCUCCGUCGGUAAAAGUAUACAGUGACGACUUUAAAGUCGUCAGUAAAUAGAACCUUUUUUAUGACAAUCUAUGUUGUCAGUAAAAGAUGAAAUUAUACAGUGACGACUUUAGAGUCGUUAGUGAAUGAAACUUUUUAUGACAACAUAUGUCAUCAGUAAAAGCUAUAAAUUUAGUGACAACACCUUCUCUUGUCAGUGAUGCAAGUGAUGCAUGAAGGGACGAUAGUGAGGGCAUAGGAGAAUUAGUGACGACUUUUGUUGUCGAUAGUGAGGGCAUAGGGGAAUUAGUGACGACUUUUGUUGUCGAUAGUGAGGGCAUAGAGGAAUUAUUGACGACUUUGUUGUCAAUAAACCCCUGAUCAACUGUGGCAACAUUCCCUUAUCAAUAGACAGUUUUGAUUGAGUGACAAUAACAAUUGUCAAUAAAGACAUCCUGCCUAGAAAAAUACUACUCAUUUACAACACCUUACACAUGACUUUCCUACUACAAUAAUAUCUAAAAAAUGAAAAUAUCAGCAAUGUUUAAUAAAUAACAAAUGUAGGCACCGUUACAAUAGAAUAUGCCAAAAUAAUAUAUUAAAUAUUCAAAUGUCAUAAAUAAGUGCAACAUCAUAGUACAAAUAGUUUCAUAAGUUUGAGUAGAACAAAUACUACUCAUAUUAGUCAAAGCUGCACUAAAAAACAUAUUCCAAGUCCCAAAACAUUUCCUGCGCUUCUGAAACAUUUUCUAAACUUAAGACAGCACUAUAACCACAGUUUUUGAGCCGACAUGUAAGCCGUACUGCUAAUCUUCUUCGAAACCUCCAAAAUGAGCAAUAUAUCUGCAAUAAAGUAGUAAAGUUAUUAGUAAAGUUAUCAGAUGACAAAAGCAAAACAGUCUCUAAUUGCUAAAUAAACAACAAAAGUAACAAGCAUUCACUAAUCUGAUACCACCGUAAUGAAUGCAGCAAUUGCAGCAGAAAUAGAGUGAUAAGGGGGAGAGAAACUAGACUUGAGAAAGAAGAAAGAGAGAUAUUAUUCAAAAUGAUUUUUCCAUGUUGCCCAAUCUAGAUUUCUGCAUUCUUAUACAGCUCAAGAAUAACAAAAUAACUACUUGAUUGUUGACUCAGCACAACAGUCUAACUAACAAGGAAGAUUCCCUUUAACUACUUGAAGGAAAUACAUUUCGCAUGUACUAUACUGGUAUUCUUCAGGUGAAAUACUAUACUAGAAAUACAUUAAUUCUUCAAGUUGAAACUGACAAUCCACUGCAGAGAGACCAAACAGUACUAUACUGGUAUUAAAGGCUAGACGGACACAAAUUAAUGGAAGGGGAGAAGAUGGAGAAGGGGAGAGUAUGUGUAACAGGUGAGCAAGGAGGACUAGGUAGGUAGGUGGCAGUUCUUCUCAUGGCUGGUAAGACAUAACAAAACUGUUUACCCCAAUGAAGAAAAAGCAAUCUUUAGAACUGAAGUCUGUAGAGCUGAAUCGGAUUCCACCCUGCAUGCCAUUCGGAGGAUUGUAAAUGGAUUGGUGGUCUGUGGACAAAAAAAAAUUAGUGCACAGGAGUGUGUGUAGGAGGAAAGAGUUGGUGGAUUGGAUUGAUGAUCCGAAUUUGAUUGCUGAAGACAUCGGUGGGGUAGAAAAAUCUUGUUUCUGCAAAUUUUGCCUGGAUGUCAAGAAAUGAUAUGUUUUUGCUACAAUGGAUGGAAACAGGGAAAAACUGGGAACUGUGAUAAUUGCAGGCCUUAUCUACUACACAAGAUGCCGUGGUUGACUACCAAAGAACGAGGAGUGUUAACGGUUGUAAAGAGGAGGUUUGUCACAAAUGAAGACCAAUUUUGGCAUUAGCAAUGUUUCUUUAAUCUGUCAAAAUACUAUCAAAGAUGAAUAAAUCUUCUGUUUUGCUCGUCCAUCACUACUAUACUACCACUCUGCUAUACAAGAGGAAUAUUCCUUUUAGAAUAGUCACGUAAUCAAAUCAGUAAUCUUACAAUACAAGUCAGCGAUUGAUAAAAUGUUCACGUAAUCAAAUGCAGUAUUCUCCCAACCCAACACAAGUCGGAGAUUGAUUAAAUUGUUCACUUAACACUUGGGACUGUAUAUCUUGUUCCGUCAAAAGUUUUUAGCUAACUCAUUGGCCAUGAAAAGUUUUUAGCUAACUCAUUGGCCAAAUGACAAUAAUAAUCUUUUCUAUUCUUUAGCCCUUCUAUGCUCCUCAAAUUAAUAUCAUGAAACAGAAACACUAUUGAAGCUUUUUUUUUGUGUAAUGUUAUUGUUUCAUGAUAACAAAGCUAUGAUAAAGCCACAAAUGUACUCCCAGGAUCAAAACACCAUCUGAUUAGAACCUUGUGUUGACAGAAGUAAUUCUUAAAUGUCCCUCCUCAGUCUUGAUAUUACAAGUUAAUAUUGUCACCUACCAAUAACUAAUUUGCAAUAACUUAUGUUAACUUUAAACCAUAGCAGCCAUUAUAUCUAUUUAGACAAGUAUAUAUAGUUGAAAAAUUGCUUACCAAUCAGUUCGUUCAGAUGUGCCUUCAUCGUCUUACUUGUUGGCUUGUAGCUGUGCUUUCAAAGAUUUAAGGAGAUCUUGCAUUUCACUUUGUUGGUUCUGCAUUUCACUUUGCUGGUUCACAAGCUUCUCCAUAAGUUGUUGUUGAGAUUGGACCGUUAUUUCCAACUCAGCUGAGCGCUUCUCCGCUUGUUCUGCUCUUUUCUUGAAAUCAUCUAUCUCUGCAAGCUUUUGGGCAAUUAUUCCAGCUUUGGAGGGACCACGGCCAUGUACGUAUCCGGUUACACGUCCAGUUACUUCAAUGGAAAUGUCUUCUUCAGUCCUAUUUGCACCACUGGAUUCAGAUUCCAACUUUUUCUCCUUCAUCAUGCUCUGUCACAAAGGUAAAUUCUGAAGUUAGACUUUCAUAAGAGUUGUACAACAAUAUUAGAGUACCAAUUCCAUUUUUCUUACUAAGUUCAUAGCAGAUGUUUCGUCAACCAUUGCAUUCUUCUUCUUGCUGUAAUGGGUGAUGUCAUAAAGUUCUAUUGGUCCAACUUCCCUCCCUUCUUGUGCUUCCUGUUACAAUAAGAAGUUAAAUAACCUGCCUAAACAAUCCAAAAGACAUGUCUUCAAGAUAAUCAAAUACCCGGUCAGCUUUAUGACGAAGAAAGGAUUUUGUUCCAGCUGUAUGAGCAGUUUUUUGCUUUGAUCUAUUGAUCUUGUUCCUCUCACUUAUCUUCUGCACUUAUCAAGUUCAGCCGUGAUCAAAAUUUAACACACAAAAAACAUGAGAAAGAACAAUAGUAAAUGAUCAAAAGUCGGCCUCUAUACCAUAAAAUUUAGACUACAGAAAUAGUCACAAAGGUAAAUCCAAUCAGAUUCUUCAACAUAUUGUGAACGAUUUGCAAGUGCUUCCUCUUUUGUACUAAAUUUCUUGAAAAUCUUGUGAAAAUUGUAUCGUCGACUUCUGUACUGUGUAUUUAACUGCUUAAGAAGUGCUGGCUUAACAUGUUCUCCUUCUUUUACCAUUUUUCUGCUUUCCAUUUGCCAUAUUUACGAAUGACACAACUUGCCUCUGAGAUGUACUGUUGUGCCCCUCCUCCAAUUACUCUUCCACUAACUUCAGAGACCUGGACUUUUACCUUUUUGCCGGCCUUCUUUUCCUUGGACAGUGCAAUAUUGCGAGUAUAUCCUCUUUUCCUAGUUACAUUGAUACUACCUACCCAAAACAUAGUACACAGUUAUGAAUGUGAGUGGAAAAAUCUGAAAUGAAAUUAGCUGUGUAAUAUAAAUUACAAGUAAAUCUCAUAUACCGGUAUCAUUCUGUUGAACAUCAUUGCUCUCAUUAUUCCGGUCACUUCCACAACCAAUGGACUGGUUAGAUCCGACUUGUACUGAAGUAGGAGUAGUAUUUUGCUGGUUAGAUCCAACAAUUGCAGCUCAAACCCAAACAGAUUCAGCAGCCAAACCGACAUUAACUUUCAUAAACUCAUAAUCAAAAUGCCAUGUUGUACAUACAAGAGGAUAAGAGCUAACAAAGUGAAAGUUUGCAAAUUCUAAUUCAUUCAAAAGGUCUCCACCAGUUCUGAAUUUACCUAUGGGAGUUCACUUAACAAGUUAACACUCACACUUGGUCGGCAUUAUGAAAAGGAAAACAGCAGUGAAAGUCUUGUUUCAUGGUAAAGCAAGUCAAAAUCUCUCAAACGGGCUCUUAAGCAAAACUCCGCAGAAACGUAAGAAAAUAGUUACUUAAACAAGUGAACGAACAGGAGCACAACAGAAGGUAGCAGGCUUACUGAUUGCUGUUUUAAAUCGUAGCAUACUCAUAUAUGAGAUUAUUAUCAAACAACAAACCAACCAAAAAGGAAAUUCAAACCAUUCCAGAAACUUCAACAAUUCAAAAGAUCAAAAUUUUUAUUGCUGCAAUAGAGAAUAGGGCUCUAAUCUGUCUACAUUGCUGCAGCAGGACAAGGAGCACCGUCCUUGUUGCAGCAACUCUCAGCUACUGGAAUUGCUCGCAUAACAGCGAGGGAAUGGGAAAAGAGGACAGUGUGCCUUUAGUUCAAGGCUAAUGACUUUCUAAACACAGCCCUGAUAGCUGAUAUGUUCAUAGUAUCCCACUCCAGUUGCAAACGAAAACAAGAUUAUCAAAUGAAACCACAACUUUAGCAAUCCCAGAAAGAAAAGACUGCUGCAACAAGCCGAUAACUUCGAGCUUGUCGCAGCGCAUCCUUCGAUUGGACUCCAAAGGCCCUAACAGACCCAGGUUAUGCAAAUAAGGACCAAAGAUGUAGUCUUUGGCUUACCAGAUUGGAGAAAGUUAAAACCUUUGGAUCAAACAACAAACACAGCAUCACAUCAAACGCUAUCUCAGCGACCGAAAGGCCAAAAAAGAUUAAAAAAAAAAAAAAGUACCGGAAACAGUUGCAACAAGCAAAAGGUUUCAUCUUGUUGCAGGGGUUCUAACAAAACCAUUAAUCACUACCACAAGUAAAGGAAUGGAACGUUGAAACAGGAAAUUUAUGUGAUUUUUCUGAUUUUGGCCUGUCAAAACAUAAGAGGGCAACCAUAAACAUCCAACGAAAGACCUCAUGGGUUCAUCAUAGACUGUACCAAGAACCUUAAAAUCAUAAGUAUGGCAAGGCUACCUCGUCAUCGUCAAACAGAUAGAUAAGAAGUAACAUACCUGGACAGCAAAAAGGAAGCGGAUUGGAAAGAUCUUUAGCGGACAGAGUUGCCCUUCAACGAUGAUGGAAACCGAUGAUGGAAAGCGAUGGUUUUCUCCUUCACUCGCUGCUUUCCCUUUCCUUUUGCUUAGAAUUUCUCAGCCUUACUCUCGGCUCUCUCGGUUUCUCUUCUCAGUUUUUCCUUCUUGUUUCAGUCUUUUUCCUCUCAGCUCCAACACCUUGCUCCCCUGUGCUUCCUCGACAUAAAUAGAGGGGGCAAAAGAUUGGAAAAAAAAAGGAGAAAAGCAAAUGUAGUAGGGAUUUGGAAAAAUUGGGGAAAAUGUAGUAGAAUAUUAGGGAUUUGGAAAAAUUGGGGAAAAUGUAUAGGAAGCUCUGUUUCAGCUCAGUGCAGAAGCUUGUUUGUGUUUCAGACCAAGUGUUCCGUUGCUUUUGUUUUCAGAAUGUGUUCCGCUGCUUUGGUCUUUGCUUUGCUUUGGAUAUUGUUUUUGUUGCGCGGCACUUUCCUAUGAUUUGAUCAAAAUUUUGACUUCACUCAUUUUCCCCCCAUUUGAUACCAAAAAUCAUGUUUUUUUCUGGAUUUGUAAUAUGGUUUGAACCAUAGAUUUUAAUGCUAUAGUAUUAUUCUUUAUUUUUUAGCAAAAAAUAAAAAUUUUCAUCAACAUAGGUGGCAAAAUUUGUUAAUUUCAUAUAAUUGAAAAUGUACUUUUAUAAUUUGCUAACAUUUUAUACUAAUUUCUUAUAAUUGCAGCACUAAAGAACAUCAUGUAAUUCAAAAUAAUUAAACUCAAAUUAUAUCGUUAUAACAUAGUUUCAAUAAAAAUAAUCAUUUUCCCAACAUUUGAGACCAAUCAUCAUGCUUUUUUUUUAUUUUUAAUUUGGUUUGAAGCAUAGAUUUUAUUGCUAUAGUAUUAUUCUUUAUUUUUUAGUACAAAAACACAAAUUUUCAUCAAUAUAGGUGGCAAAAUUUGUUAAUUACAUAUAAGUGAAAAUAUACUUUUAUAAUUUGCAAAUAUUUUAGCCCUGCAAUUUUUUAUAAUUGCAGCACUAAAGUACAUCAUUAAUUGAAAAUAACGAAAGUCAAAUUCUAUGGUUAUAACAGACUUUCAUUAAAAAUAAUCAAAUGCUAUUAAUAAGACAUUAUUGUUAAGUCAAAAUCAAAGAAAAUUUAGUGAUGACAUAAUGUUAUCACUAAUUUAUUCAAGAUUAUAAUGACAAGAAAAGUCGUCACUAAUUAAAUUGCUAGUUUUUAAUAUUGUCAAUUGCUAGUUUUUAAUACUUUUGUGAAAAUAUUGAUAAUGGUUGAGAAAAUUUUGUUACAUUACUGCAAGUGAUAAAUGUACUUUUGUUCUUUUUCAAACAUUUAUUUUAAUGUUUAAUUUUGUUUAAAACUAUUGUACUAGUAUAGAUUUGCAAGACAAAACUUAAGUUCUCAAUAGUUAAAAAAUUCAUUACAGAGAAAACACAAAGUAGUAGUUGCAAAAUGUGUAUAAAUUACAGAUAUUUUAAUGUGUAUAAAUUACAGUUUAUUUUAAUAUUUAAUUUUGUUUGAAACUAUUUUACUAGUAUAGAUUUGCAAGACAUAGAUUUAUGGGUAAUUUCUUUUUUUUUUUGCUUUCACAUAUUUAAUUUAUGUUAAAUACAAAACCUACCAAUUUCCCUCUCAUAAAAAUAUUAGUGCAACACUUUUUGAAUUUUACUUACAAACAUUUAUGUAUUUAACAUAAAUUAAAUGAUUCAGAGUGAAAUGCCCAUAAAGAGCAUAAUAUUUGUUCAUGUAAUGGAGGAAGCCCACAAAGAGUUGGUACUUUAUGGGCCAUUUCUUUUUUUAAAAAAAUUUAAUUUAUAUUGAAAAGAUAAUCUACCAGUUUUCGUUUUGUAAGAAAUCAGUGUAACACUUUUUGAAUUUUACUUACAAACAUUUAUAAAUUUAUCAUAAAUUAUAUAUUUGAGAGUAAAAUGCCCAUAAAAAGUUGGUACUUUGAAUAGAUAAUGCUCAUUUGCCCAUAAACUACACUCCCUGAAGGCUAUUUUGUUAAUUAUUUUGUAGUACUUUGUUAUUCCUUUGCUAAUACUACUUGGCAUGUAGUACAAAUGAUAAAUCUGGCAUAAAUUUCUUAUUCCAUUGAUAAAAAGACCUGCCUGCCUUAUAACUAUUGUAAUGAAAGAUAUAUCUUUAGAGUUUAUAACAAAUUAUUACUUAAGUUUGAGAAAAUUAUAAAAUAUUUAUGCAUAGUUUAUCAAGAUACCAUUCGCAAUUUCCUAAUAAAAAAAUAGGGGCUAAAUUGUAAAAGCUAGGGUGCCAUAAUAGAAAUAAUAAAAUUGGUGUAUUACACAUGGGUGUCAAAUUGCAAAAGUUAGAGUGCCAUAGUAGAAUUAAUGAAAUUAGUGAAUUACAUAUGGGGCUAAAUUACAAAAGUUAGGGAGUAAUAAUAGAAUUAAAGAAAUCGGUGUAUUACAUAUGGGGCUAAAUUGUAAAAGUUAAGGUAUCAUAAUGGAAUUUUUUACAACAUUUGGGGCUAAAUCGCAAAAGUUAGGGUGGCACAGUAGAAUUAAUGAAAGUGACUUAGAAAUAAGUACUUUAAACAGUGACGAUUAAUUCUUGUCACUAAAUCUGCAUCGGUAGAGUGACAGUGACGAUAUUAGAAGUUAUCACUAUAUAAAUCAUUUUAGUGACAACUUUUUCAAGGUCGUCACUGAAGACUUAGUUCCUUUGAGCAAUUAUGACAACUUUCCUUGUCGUCACUAAACAACCACGUUUUGUGACGACUUUUUUCGUCACUAAAAAUGUAGUCACUAAUGACCAUAUUUCUUGCGGUGUAGUUUGUGACGAAAAUAACGGGUCGUCACUAAACAUUUAGUUGCUUUGAUGCAAUUGUGACAACUUUAGGUGUCGCGACUAAAGAAGCUCUUUUUGUGACGACUUAUUGUCAUCACUACAAAAAUGUUGUCACUAAUACCUUUUUUUUUAGUGAUCAGUGACGACAACAAAAAGUCGUCAGUAAAUAGGCCAAGCAAUAGUGAUGAUGUUCUUAAUGUUGUCACUAUUGUGUGUUCUAAACACUCCCGCGCUCUUGCUAAAUCUUGGCGGGAAUUUACUAGUGACGACUAAGUCGUCACAAAUAAGUUGGCUCCCUUUAGAGGUUUGUGACGAGUUAGAAAGUUGUCAAUAAAGGAUCCACUUUUGUGACAACUUUUUUUCGUCACAGAGAAAAGUUGUCACUGAUGACCAAUUUUCUUGUAGUGUUGGAUGUUCUUAGGGAAACUAGAUAGUACCUAACAUAGGAGGAAUCAACUCCGAUCAAGCUUCUCUUUCCUAUCAGAAAUAGCUAGUCGACAACUUUAGUUGCAGCAACGGCCCUUUCAUUGCCCUCCCUUGGCCUUUCCUUUGAAAUAAGGACUUUUCCCGUGAGUCAGCAGGUAUGAAUUUAUUUCUUUAAGUUUUCUAUACUUAUAGUAGGUAUGAAAUAGAAACAUAUUUGGAUUAAUUAUAGCCCUUAUGUAAUAGGCCAAGGUUGGAUUAAUUAUGAUUGUGUCCAAAAUAAAAUUUAGAAAUUUAGAUUUAUCUAGCUAAUUUGUGUUGUUGAAAUUUAUUUUGGGCCAAACAUAAGUUUAACACUUAUCUCACAUAUAAUUCAAAGUUUAGCACUUUUGCAAUUAUUAGUUUUAAAAUUGUGGUCUAUGUUAUUUUGAUUUUAUUUGUGAUGCCAUUGUCUUAAAUAAUUAAAAGUACUUAUUGUGUUUAAUAUGUAUAAAAUAGUACAUUUUGCAAAUUUUUUUUUGCUAGCUUUUUAUUAUUUUUGUUUAGCGUACUUUUUUUAUAUUAUUAACAAUUUUUAGAAUAUUAAAUGUUUUAAAAUUUGCUUCUCACUGAAACAGCGACCGAUAUGCUGAGACCGAUGUGGAACGUUCCGAGCCGCGACCGCGACUUUGAACCAUGAUUUGAACAGCACGUUACAAGUGUAAUUGCAGAAAUUUUCCCCCUCUUCUGCACUUGCUGAUAAGUCUAUACUCUAUAGAGCUAGAUGCAAUAAUGGAGGCUCUUACUACAAAACAGUGGUGCUUCAGUUGCUUGUGUUUCAUGCCAUGACACUGGCCUUUGAAGAGGUCUUUUGUUUACUCUGUUUCUUUCUUCAGUUUUUCGUCUUUAGUUUUGAGAAUAGGUACUUUUAAUUAGUCUUUGUAUUAUUCACUCAUUUGCUACUGUAUCAAUGUUUAUAACAUUUUUUAAAGAUGCUCUAAGUAUAUUCUUAAUUUUGAAAUUUGUGUGGGGAACCAGGUGAGGUGUGGGUAGGGGUUGUUGUUAGACUGCAGUUUGGUGAUCAAGGUACGCUCUAAAUAUAAAUUUAGGCCUAAUGUCAUUAGCAUCAUUUGUACUAAAGUCAUUGAUAACAAUCCUACAGAUUCAUCCUCACAGAUGGAUCAAUUUAGGCCAAAAGUUUAUUAAAAAAUAUUGGAAUUUGUUCUUCAAUACACUCUUUUGGAACCUAAAUUUUUGGGACAAUGUUAGUACUAUGGCAAGUGAAGUUGACAAGUCGCAGAACACUUUUCCUGUAGCACUUUUGUGUGCUUUCAUUUUGACUUGUUCAGGCUAUGUCAUACCUCUUCUAGCUAUCACUGGGGCAAUAUUUGUUGAUAAAAAUUUAUGAUUAACUAGAUACAUGGCUUAUAAAUUUUGUAGCACGAAUGAUUUCUGGUAAAUGGUUGAAAAUUUGGAUUGAAGUCGGAGUUGUUUUAUCAGCAAUUGGCUGAUGCUCAGUUGAGCAAGUUGAGAGGAAUAGCAAAGAUUGGAUUCUUGCCUAAGUUUAUUAAAGUAAUGUCAAAAUGGUUCAUGCUUAGCUGUUGAUAUUGUAAUCAACUGCUUUUUCACUUGGUCUUUUAUGUGUAAGCUACACAGAUAUGAUAUCAGCAAAUUUCUUGCAUGGUUUAGGGAUGCUUUUGGAAUUUCCAUCCUUUCUUUGGUUGAGAAGAAAAUUUCCAACCAGGAAACAACCUUAUCAGGUUUCGCGGAAGAUGCUGGCUCUUGAUUGUAUGCCUAAUUCUAUCAAGAUUUUUGGUGUUUACAAUGGCUAUAGCCACCAAGAUCGUGUAUUUGGUGAGUCUUCUGAUGACUGUUUGUGGGAUUGCUUCAUGCUUGGUAUUUGUUGCUGAAGUUGUGUGAGGCAAAGAAGUGGUUCAAAUUUAAUGUUGGGGAAGAAAUACAAGGACAAAGAUAUUUUUAUCUUUUGAAGAUUCUUGUCAAUAUAAGUACAGAAAAACAAGCUAAUGACUUGUCUAUCUCCAUGAAUUCACUAAGUGGGACACAUGUUUCCAAAGAUUUUAUUACUCUUGCCAUUGAUUCCAUGUUUUGGAAGAUUUCAUAAUUUCGCUCUGUCUUUUCUUGCGUUACUUUAAGCAUCACUAAUUGUUACACUUAGAAUUUGGAUACCUAUCAUCGAACUUUUAUCUCUAUUACUUUUCAUCCUUAUGAUUUCUGUUUGUUAUACACCAAUUUUUGAUUAAAAUUGUCACUUACUCAACAUUACCAGUUCCCUCGCCAUGCGCGAGUCUCACCCCUGGUAUCUAACUAAGAUUGACACAAAUAAUCCUAGAACUAUCUAAAAAUAGUAAAUCUACCAGCAAAAUCAAACAGAAUGACGACUAUUAUAUUUAUAUAGAUUGAAUGUACGGUUGGAAACAAAAAAUAGCUAUUUUUAGCAAAAGCAAAAAAAGUUCAGCGGCUAAAAGUAUAUGACUUGAGUAGUUUAAUUGCUAAUUAGGUUUCUUUUCCCUCGUCUUAUUUUCAUUAACCAAUUAAAGCAUAAGAGAUUUCUCUUUCUUUUUUAAUAAUUUAUUCCAUUUCCUCGAGACAUCCAAUAGCUUAUGGCUCCAUAAUUGAAAUUUGAAACCCAUGACCAAGUCAUACCCAUUUCUUCAAUCCGGUAACUGAGUCACAACACUGGCCAAAAUAAAGGACGGUAGAAAAGCAAAAUAACUGAAUAGAAAAGGACUACACAACAGCCAUUGCUACCUUGUAUCUUUUCGAUCCAUUUUGUACGCCUUGCUAGUCAUCUUUGGGAGCAACCGAAUUCCAUUGAGGAGGUGAUCAUUUGCAAAUGAGGGAGACAACUGAAUGGCUAUAUUUAAGCGGCAUUAUGAUCAGUAUUGCCUGGCAUAGUGGCAGAGCAUAUUCCCUAUGAAUGCCGUGCUAACUGCUAAUGAACAUGAAUUGUUCAUUAACAAAUAGAGGAUUAUAGUCUCAAAAAAUGUGAGUUUUAUCUAAUUCUGUUCUGGUGUUUAUCCCAUUGUUUAGCAAUUAGUUUACAAUUUCAGUUUGUCCUAUCUACAAGUGAUAGGCUGGCUAACAUAUGCCAGUAUGCCACAUCUCUUCUUUCUGUACGUAUAAUCUGAAACGUGGAAAUCUUAUCGUUAUCAUUUUUUGUAAUAGACGAGACGUGUGUGAUUAUGUACCACGAGUGGAUUGUGAAGUAGCCAUCUGUAAAAGCGCCACCAGCCAGUUUUUGGAAGUUAGAAUGGCUUGAUUAGCUAAGUUCCAUGGGUGCAGUCAGAAUUCAGCAAUUACCUUUUGGUUGUACUUGUGGAGUUAGUUUAGGUGUAGUUUGUGAAAAUUUUUACUAAAAGAAAAAAUGACCUGUUGGUGAGGUUUGAAGACCAGAGUGAAUGAGUGUUAUUUAGCACUUAGUAGAGAGGUUCCCUGCUCCCUUGCCCUGAGUCCCACAUCGGUUAGUAAGAGUGUGCGUGAGUUCCACUUAAGUUCUAUAGGUGUAGCCAGAAGUCGGCAAUUGCCUAUUGGUUGUACUUGUGGGGUUAGCAGUUAGCUUAGGCGUAGUUUGUAAAAAUUCUUGCUAAAAGAAUGGCUUGAUUAGCUGGAAUAGAAGAGGAGGGAUCAACUGAUUUCACCCAAACAAAGGAAGCAGAUGGUCUCUAGAAGCAUUUUGCGCAAAGUUUAUGCGAUAGAAUCUCUAUGCUGGUUUAAUCCUAGCUCUUUUAAUGGGUAAAUUAUUCAUAACUCUCUUGUACUUUUGCAUAAUGACACAUGACUUUCAUAAGAUUUCAAAAUAUCGAUAUAACCUCUCUUACAGUUUUGGGUAAAGUGAAAAUUUGACGAUAAAUAAUGUCAUUAAUUGGCAUGCCAAUAAUGCUUUUACUUAAAUACUAAAUUGAUUAAUGGUCUAACUAAUUUGUAUAAAAUUAUAGGGGAUUAUGUGGAUAGAUACUAAACGACAAGCUUGUUAAGUGGAUAUUUAUGCAAAAUCAAAGAGGGAAGUUAAAUAAAUAUUAUAAUUAUAAUUUCAUCACACAUACUUUUUGAAUGCGUCUCAGCUAAUCACCAUAAUUGGAGAUGCUUUCUAUCUGUUUUUCACUUUACAUAAAAUGACUGGGGAUUAUAUGGAUAUUUUAAAACUUUAGGGAGAUCAUAUGGUAUUAUAAAAAAUUGUAGGGGGUUAUGAGUAAUUUUCCUUUUUUCAAUGAUUUUUUAAGGGUAAAUUAUAUUUCAUCCUCCUAUGAUUUAGUAUUUUACCACAUAAACUCUUUUAUAAUUUUAAAAGUUGUACAAAACUUGCUUGUAGUCUGGACUAAAUGGUCAAACUGGCAAACACAGUCUUGUGUCAUAUAACCAAUUUCAAAAUCUAUACAUAACCUCUUUACAGUUAUCUAAUUAUUUCCAUCUUGAAACUGGGUUAUUUUUGAAAAUUUAAAAUUUUAGUCAGCUUUGUUACAGAUGGAAAAUUCCUCACUUUAGUCUUUUACGACAAAUAAUAAGGGCGUUACAUGUAAUUUUGAAAAUUAUAAGAGAGCUAUGUAGAAAGCACUAUUUCAUAAGAGUGUAAAGUAUGAUUUACCAUUGUUUUAAAAACUGCGUAUUAUGCUCACAAUUAGUGAUAUUUUGGUACACAUAUUUACUUUUGUUGGCAUACUAAAUCAAGUCUAAAAAUAAAAGUUUAUAAAUUGUUAUUUAGCAAUAUUUUGGUCAAGUCAAAUUUUUAGUAGUUUCAUUGGAGUCAAAUUAUGGUAGUUUUAUUGUUUAGGAAUUAGUAUUUUAUUAGAAAAUUCUUAUGGUUGUAAAACUUGUUUACCAAGUCAUGUAGUUUAUAAAUAGGGAGUCUUAUUAUUGUAUUAGUAGAACAGUAAAAUUUGAGAGAUUUGUUAUUUUGGUGUGUGAUUAAUAUAUUAUUGUUAGUAUUAUUCCUCUUCUCUCACACCUACUUGCAUAUGUAUAAAUUGGCUCCCCAUCUACACUGAUUUCAUGAAAUUUAUCUCCUGUAACUUGUUGAUUGAUUUUUUGGAUUCUAUAUCUAAUAUCAGAGACCUAGGUUCAAGAAAUUGAUUCUAUGAUGCCUGUGAAUAUUGAAAAUUGUUCUGACUAUGAGGUUAGUAUUGGACAUUUUUCACUCUUAGAUGGAGCAUAAAUUGCUUUGACGAAGUCAGUUGAUCGAGUUAGACCACAAAAUUGGUCAUGGAGUAUCUAGUUGAUGCCGGUUGGACCAUAGGAUUGGUCCGAAAAUUGUUAAAUUGAUUGUGAUUGUGAAGUUGUCAGUUGAAUUGUGAUUAUGAAAAUCAUGAAAUGAGUUGUCAAUAAAUUGAUAUCAAAUUAUGUAACAAGAAUAGUCUAUCCAGUUGGGUGAAUUAUUUUAGCGAGUCAAAAACAAGUUAAGUGAAGAGGUAAAUCUAUUCAGGUACAUGGAAUAUUAUAGUAGCAAACAUUUUUGUAGAUGAAAAAUUCAAAAUGAUACUAAUAGAAUUUUACAAGAGAGGUUAUUGAUCAUGAUGGUGGUGAACUCGAUCUAAGAGAAAGCUUGAUUUAAAGGAGGCAAUGUUGGUACACCAAAUCAAGUCUAAAAACAGUAUUUUCUAAAUUGUUAUUUAGCAGUGUUUUAGUCAAGUCAAUUUUUUAGUAGUUUUGUUGGAGUCAAAUUAUGAUAGUUUUAUUAUUUAGGAAUUAGUAUUUUAUUAGAAAAUUCUCAUGGUUGUAAGAUUUGUUUACCAAAUCAUAUAGUCUAUAAAUAGGGAGUCUAAUUAUUGUAUUAGUUGAGAAGGGUAAAAUUUGAGAGCGUUAUUCUUGUGGUGUAUGAUUAAUAUAUUAUUGUCGGUAUUAUUCCUAUUCUCCUGCAUAUAUUUUUAUGUGUGUAAAUUACCUCUCCAUGCAUCUACAUUGGUUCUAUGAAAUUUAUCUCAUCCUACAACAUUUUGAUAUAAUUUUUUUGGGUUCUACAACUUUAAUUUUUCUUUCAAAUGUAUUUUGUGGCUUAGUACGUAAGCAUCAAUAUAGCAAUUGGUCUUAUUUUACUGGACAUUCCUCUUCAGCUAAGAGGUGAUAACUGCCAAAAAAAUAAAAAUGUGCUAAAACAGCAAAAUUUGAACAUUCUGACCAUUGUUAAGGAUCCACUAUCCAUCCGUGGAUCCAAGUUAACAAAUUUGCACAACUCUCUGAAAUGAAUCCGAUUCACUUUCUAUGGAAUCCAGGGACUGAUUCUUAAUCCGUGGAUAGAUUCUCAAUAAUCCAUGACCGGAUUCUGAAUUUUAAAAUUCGUCAACAAUUGUGUAUAUAUAACUCAUCUCAUUUUAGUAUCCACAAAAGUAGUUGGCUGUGCAAAAACUGAAAGGAUUAUAGUUACAUUACAUUAGGAUCUCAUGUAGUUCAUGGUUUCAAAACUUGCUAUCUGAUUUUAAUUUCUUUUUACUCACAUAACAUAUGCUCUUGGUAUCUAAUACCAAUGCAAAAUCAUUCGAGUUUGGCAACAGUUUUCUAUCUUUAGAAUCAUUAGGGUUCUGAAAUUUAAUUGUAUUUACAUUGCAUGAGUUCGCAUUUAAAAUUCGUGAUGGUGACUUGUCAAACAAAAAAAAAAAUUUUGUGAUAGUGACCCGACCAAUUGAUGUAUCAGUGGCAGGGAAAGAAUAAGUGAAGGAUAAGCAGUGGCAGACUGUCAUAUUAUGAUAUUAAUGGGCACUAAUAUAAGAAUCCAAUAGCUAAAUUUCAAAGAAAUUACAGGCAACAUCUGCAUAUACGUACUAUAUCAUAGUUUCGUGACCCACGAGGUGUAUUAUUUUUCAUCGACUAAGAGCAUCACAGCUUCCUCCAAAAACAACAAAAAAAAAGGGAAAAAAAAAAUCCUGGGCCAUGAUAUUGGUCUGUCUGCAUCCUCCACUAGAUCGACAGUCUUGCUCCAGAUCUUUCUCAAUUUUUUUUCACAUAGGACGCCAAAUCAUCGGCAGUUUUAUUAUUAGUACAGAUCAAGGCAUUUUGAAACAAUUUCCCUCGAAACUCAGCACUAAGCAGCCUGCUUGCCUCUCUCGUGAUAUUGAUGAACAGACACAAGAAUUCCCAACUGCUUCCAUGAUUAUCAGGUUGAAUUCUUUCUCCAUCUAAAAAAGAUUAAUUCAAAGGAUCAUUGCUCGAAAAUCUGUUGCAAUUUUACUGAAAAAUCGUUCCAUGGAUCAGCAGUAAUUGUAAUGUCAAGAGCCCAACUUCCAAAUGGUGUCACACUAACAGCAAGAUUGAGUUUCUCUACCUCAGAAGCAAUUUUUGUCAGUACCCUUUCUAUGAUCUUCACAAUGAACAAUCAGAAAAACGUUCUUGUCUUAAAAUUUAGCCUAAAUUUCAAUCCGUGGCUGCUCAUCAGGGCCAGCCAUAUCAUCUAAAUAACCUUCAUUUUCAACUAAGAGUUGUGGUUUCUUCACAAGCACCGCUGGUUCCAUGGUUUGUUCCUCCAGCUUCUUUGCUCUCUCCUCAAGAAUGAAAGUUUUAUGCAUCUGCAAGAACUUAAAUGUCUCGUGAACAAGAAUUCUAUAAGAACUUCGGUUGCAAAUUACGUGCUGAGAUUUCAAAAUCUAUAUAUAGGUUGGAAAACUUGCACGCCCGAUCAAUUUAUUUAGUGUAGUCGUCACUGUCUGCCUGAUCAAUUUAUUUAUCUAACCGAUAUUAGCAAUCAACACAAACUUGUCUACUAUGCUGGUUUUUUUUUAUCCCUAGUUUAGGAAAAAUUAGAUAGUACCUUCUUGAGACCAGGAACUAUGGUGGAAAGAGCCAUGAAACUCUGGCUGAACAGCUCGUAUCGCUUUCUUUCUGCUACUACGUGAUCAUAGUUUUGGGUUCGUAACCUUGUACGACCGCCAGGUUUCUUUGCUUUUGUUUGGACAGUAGUAUUAGUGGCCUCAUCAAGUUUUACAAAUGAACCUUGGGAUGUCAAAACCUCAGACACUGCAUCAUCCUCAGGGUUCAAUGUUCCUAGACUCACUUGUUGAGGAUUUAUUCCUAGCAUAUUUGGAUUCCCAAAAGUGAGAAUCAGUGGACAAGAAGAAGCUUGAUCAAAAUUUGGCACAUUGUGGAUGCUUGACAAGUUAUAGCCAUUAGGCUUGUGCUGUUUGGCUGGUCUUUCAGGAACAAAUAGAUGAGCUACCAUCACUGAACUAAGAGAUCCGAAAAUCUGGAGAAGGAUGAAUUGCCUUUUGGAUACAGAACUAAGAUAUAGAAAUAGGUGGAGAAAGAUGAAUUGCCUUUUGAAGACAAGAGAAUAUUGAAAGUAAUGGACAGCUGCGGCAGAUAACUCUUCAUCAAAGACGUCCAUUAUUGAUCACUAAAACUGGAUCCUCCAUUCCCUGUUAAUUAAGACAAAGGAGAAGGUUGUAUAAGCUUUUCAUACGUACUUGAAUUUUUCCUCCUAAGUGAUCUUUGUAGCUUCUGAGAUGGGUGAAACAUAUCCAUACCUUAAAAAGCAAAAGUGGGAAAUAAAGGAAAAAACAAAAGAAAGAGCAAUAGAGAACAAGAGGCGUACAAGUCCAGGACAUUUUUAUCAGUGCUUCAAAAGGAUCCCCCCUCUGCGCUCCAUUGUCAGGGAAGGCCCCUCCUUCAAUGGAGCGCAGAGGAUGAUGAAUGGAGCAGAAGACAUCACUCAACCAUUUAUACACGGUUGUACGCCUGAUUCAUUUAGGGUUUGAAUGUGCUCAAGCUGCACGAUGACUAGUUCAUGAAAUAUUUUAUUUGAAGCGUGUAAAUUGAGAAAAUCGUUAAAUAUUACUAUAUUCGAUGAACGAUUAUAUGCCAUAAAUAUUCACUAAACUAUUCUACGUAACUCUAGUACCACAAAUCCACCAAACCUCCCCCAUCCCCACCCAAAAAAAGUUUAUUUUUUGGGUAAAAUAUCCAAAAACUCCCUGUAAUGUGCUAAAUAUUCAAUUUAACUCCCUCUAAUUUGAAAAUUUAUACUAUAACUCCCUGUGGUUUCAACUAAAUUGAAAUUGGAUGGAAAGCAUUUAAUCUAACGGUUAUACUUGAAAUAUCAAUAUUGCUCUUAUAUAAAUGAACUCCCUAUGAUUGGUUGAAUGUUCAAUUUAACUCCCUCUGGUUUGAAAAAUUACACUUCCUACGAUUUUGACUAAAUUAAAAAUUGAAUGGAAAGCAUCUCACGUAUAGCAGGGGCAAUAUUGAUAUUUCACACACAACCAUUAGACUUUAUGCUUUCUGUCCAAUUUUCAAUUUAGUCAAAAUCACAAGGAAUUAUAAUGUAGGUUUUCAAAUCAGAGGGAGUUAAAAUUGAAUAUUUGUCAAAUCGCAGGGAGUUUUUUGGUAUUUUAUCUUUUAUUUUUACUGCUUUUUGUGAUAUGAAUGGAUAAAAAGAUUCUUUUUUAUCUCAAUUAAAAAAAACACAAACAUCGGGUAAUCGAAACCAUUAGAUAGUAGAUAUAACUUGAGUAAGUCCGAUUACAUAUCUUAGUUGUACUUGUUAUAGAAUUUUAUGCAAAAUUAAAAUAUCAUUACGAUGCAAAAAUUAGUGUAUACAAACAAAAUAUUUUAUGUAACUAAAGCCCAUUAAUAUAUUAUAAUUAUACUUUGUACGGUAAAAUAAGUUCAUUAACUAUCAACAAUUGUACAUCAUGUAACUCUACUAUCACUAAUCCAACACCCCCCAUUUCCACCUACCGUACUCGCAUUACCCCACCUCCCUUCUGGAAGAGGGGCAAACAAUCGUUCUUGACAGUUCACGGCUAAGAUUUGACAAAAAAAAAAUUAUAUGAUCCAGAUCUCAUUUUGUAUUUAAUUUUUAAUAACAUGCAUGAGAUCUAUAAAAUUUUACUCUAAAAUUACACGUUAUUAAAAAUAAGUUACACCAUAUAUAAAUAAAAUUAUACCAUAUAUAAAAUACACAUAAUCUUCGUCAGGAACUGCAAUCGUUCCUGCCCUGGUCCCUCCCUCCCCCCCAAACCGACGCCGUAAAGCCCGAGCCCAACUUCUGGUACGAAGAUUCUCAUAUCUGCGACCUCAGCCUUUCCUUUAUUGUUUUGUUUUUUAAAAUGUCGUACAGAGAUUGUGGGCCUUUGACUUCUUCAACUCUCCCCUAUUUUUUCAACAGUCUGUCUCAUGAAUACCCGAUCCUUAUGAUAUACUAUUUUAAGUAUUAUAUUUUUAAAAAUAUAAAUUUAAUUAAAAAAAUAAAUAAAUAUAAGAAAGGGUAAACAAGAUUCAAUAGGAAAAAUAUAUAAAUAUAAAAAAAUAUAUAUAAAUAUUAGGGAUGAUAAUAAUUAUUAAUAUGUAUAUAUAUAUACAGUAGAUUAGGUGAAUGAUAAGUGUAUUAAUGUGUCCUAAGAAUACUUGCUAUAAAAAAUCCUUUUUUCAACCAAACAUGGACAGAGUUUGUAGUACUUUCUGUCUGUGGAAGUGAAACGGGGUCGCUUGAGAGAAGGGGGAAAAUAAAAUUAAAAAAAAAAACAGAGAAGUUUAGUGAAGGCUCAUGACAUGAACCAAGCAAAUUUGAUGUUGGAAAUUCAUGAUUUCCUGCCCAAAUCCCUGGAUUCUUGAACCAAAUUACUCCUUAGUACUUAGGAAUUCUAAUGCCAUCAAGGAUUUGAGCUGAAAUCCCUAUGUAUGCGAUACUUCAAAUUUUGAUAAGUGCAAGUACAAGGGAUAAUCCCCAAACAUAUAUAGGAAACCUAUGACUGAGCCAAAGGCUAUACUAUGUAUGUUACACAAACCAAGCCAAAACAGCCUAACUAAAUUUGUGCAGUCCAAUGGAUUGAUGAAAACCAACUCAUUAUAAGACCCCAAUUCUUUUUCUCGCUUUUGUCACAUUCUCCAACUAUGCACAAUACAAUACAUCCCGAAUAAAUUCUUUGCACAACCGGACAGGCCAAUCUAAUGUUUGAAUACCACCAAGAUUUGAGCUCUCCAAAUGUGAUAAACAGUCAUAGCCAGUCAAAGUUUGCUAAGCUGAUGACGAAAAGAUCAAUUAGACCUGGCAUUGCAUCUCAACCAGGCUAUUUUCAUUGGUCCAGCCAACAGAUCAGCCAUAAGCAUGAUAAACUCCAAUAUUUGCCUCGAUAAAACUUCAAAUCUUCUGCUUUAUUUUCUCCUUCUGUGUUCCAAAGCUUUCUCUUUCCUUCUUUUGUUUUCUGAAGUACUACUCUUCCCUUUUUCUUUUCCUUUUUCCGAUUUUGUCUUACUAAAAAUAGGCAAGUUUCGAUUGGUAACUUUUACUAAUGAAAAAGUAGUAUCUUUUACCCAAAAAUGGUAAGUUUCAUUAAAAAGGUGAAAAGUUUGUAAACAAAUUGUUAUAAACAGAAUGAUGUGUUUAGUAACGAAAUCGUAUGUUUUAGUUAAAAAAAAAAAAAAGAAUCUUAUUGCCGUAAAAGUUUGUCAUUUUGCUAAAAAGGAAAGCUUUAUUAGAAUACUAGUCAGCUCAGCAGGUGUAGUAAUACCAAUUAGAUUAUGUGAUAUUAAUUCUGCUGUAAGUCUUGCUAAUGUAAUCUACUCAAGAAGUAGUAAACUUUGCUAGCAAUAGUAAGAAGCAACUUUUUUUUAUCAAUUACUCACUUUUUCUAUUAACUGGUAUCCCUUUUUUUUUUUAAAAAAAAAAGGAAGGUAGUGCCGUUUUUCUAUAGAGUCGUAGUCACUGUUGAAAAUAGAUAGAUUUUGUCAACAAAGUGUUGAGAGAAAGAAAAACGCAUAAUUAGUGAACACUAAUGUCAAGGGAUGUGGUCAUCACCAUCGUUGAAGUGAUUUUGCUCAUCCUGAGAAAGUGUCCGACAAUGGUACAAAAGAGACCUCACAUGCUAUCUCUGUUGAAGAAGUAUUCAACGGCUACCUUAAUUGCGUGCACUCGCAGCCAAGGCUUGGAGAUUGUUAGGACGAGUCAAUAAUAGAAGAGGAGUUCAUUAUCAAAAAAAAAAAAAAAUUAGAAGAAGAGUUUUGUCGUGUGGUAUGAAAACGGUGAUUAAUUAAGCCAUGAUCAGUUAGCCUUUUGUUUUGUCGGAAUAAUAAUGUUCUUAUAAUAUAAUCAAUUCUAUUUUAUAGCGGGCUAGAGAGGAGGUUAAAGAGCCUUAUAACCUAAUCUAUCCUAUUUUACAGGGAGGUAUCUAUCACUUCUGCAGGUGGGAUUCGAACCCCUUAACCUAUAGACAAAAGAGGGAUUUAAUCGCUUUUUGGUGGCUACUAAGUCAAAACUCGAUGGUUAUAAUUAGUUAGCCAAUUUGAGGGUAAUUCUAACAUAAGUCCAUUGACUAGUAAUUAACACAUCUAAAUUCACCUAACAUGACAUGUAUAUACACUGUACAUACUAAUAAUUAUUAUCUUUCUUUGAAUUCAUAUACUUUUUCUAUUUAAUUUUUUCUAUCAUUCAUUGUAUUUAUUUACUUUUCUUAAUUAAUUUUACAUUUCAAAAAAUAUAACAUCUAAAAUAUAUCUAACGGAUACCCAAUGGGCACCUGUUAGAUAGACCCUUAGGAAAAUAAUUGAAGGAAAAUUCGAAAAAGCGCAUUGACUAAACAAAGGGACAAAAUCGAUGUGUGAUUAACUAGAUGAAUUCAUAAUGCAGGGGAAGUUUAUAUAAGGAAACUCAGUUUGUUUGGAUAAGAGUUUAUUUGGAUGAUUUAUUUGAGAUAAUUACUGUAGUACUUUUUAUGAUGUGAUUAGAGGUGUCAAAAUGGGUAACUUGGGCGGGUUUGGGUUGGGUAAAAUAGGUAAUGGGUAUAAGUGAAUCAACCCAUUUAUACUCAUUUAAUUAAAUGGGUAUAAAUGUGUAAGUUAAAAAAUGAAUUUGGUAACCUAAUUACCCAUUUAUAACCCAUUUAUUUUAACUUUUUGUAAACUCAUUUAAAUUCAUUUUUUGCAAACUAAGUUAUCAAUUUAUACCGUUCUUUGUACCCAUCAUUAGUUUUAAAUAUUUACUUAUAAUGCUCAAUAAGUCUAAUUACCAAUUUUUUUUCCAUUUAUACUCUAUGUCACAAAAUUGCAUAUUAUUUAAUAAUUGAAUAAUAAGAAUAUAAAAAUGUGAACUAAGUACUAUAAAAGUUAAUAUAAAAACUUAAUCCAAAAAAUUUUGAACUCCUAACAUAUUUUUCAUAUGUAAAUUUAAAAUUUCAUUUUAGAAAGAUAAGAAAAGAUGCUAAAACUUAUCAUAAAUUGGUAAUGCUGAAAAAUGAGCAAGUUAACAAAUUAAGAGAAAAUAAAAUAAUAAGAUAAAAUCAACAAAUAAUAAUAAUAAUGAAACAAAAAUAGUUAGCAUCAUGAUGAAAAGAAAAAUCUGAAAAAAAUGGGUUGGAGAAGAGAAGAGACUUGGGGGAAGAGAACUCUAAAUGGGUUAAUUGGAUUUGAUAGAUUACCUAACAAUACCCAUUUAAUAAUACCCAUUUAAUAAAUUGGUAUUAUUGGGUAAUCCAUUUAUACCCAUAUAUAAAAAUUUAAGAUACCCAUACCCAUCUAUUUAUGGGCGGGUAUGGAUAAAUUUAGUUAAAUGGGUUGGUUUGCCGGUAAUAGAUGUGAUGUAUGUGAGAUAAAAAAGUGAUUGAUAAGAUAAAAAGGUGGUUGGAAUUUGUAAAGUAAAUUAUUUUACUUCAAAUCUUUUUAAUCCAAACACACCCUCUAUUUGAACUAGAAAGGAGCUAGCUUUGACGCUUUAUUACUUAGAAGAUGACGUUGUAACUUAUUUCAGAAAAGCAGUACAAUUUCUUAUUGACGUUGUAAUACAGUUGUCCAAAGAAGUAAGUUUUUGUUUUUAGUGGUUAAACUAGCAAGUCAACACUGAGAUAAAGUGGUCAGUUUUCUCAACAAGAUUUUUCUAACGAGUAAUAGUUGCACUUGCUAACAAAGUCAUUUUCACCUAAUUUAGCAUUUAGACACUUUUUGAGAACUAACUUCACUUUUGUAAUCCAAAAAAAAAAAAAAACACCUGAGAUUACUCUUAAUGAGUGCCAAGUUAGUACCACUAGCCAAAUCCUUGGAAGCAUUAAUAAGGUUUUCAAACAAAGUGCAUAAGAAAACAUAAAUUUUUGGAUAUUAAAAAAGUAAGCGAAAAUAAUUUCUAUAUAAUUAAUUACAACAACUAAUUCCACUUUGAACCCUCUGAUAGAAAAAAGUUAACCAUUCUUAUUUUCCACCCUCAAUUUCAGUUUUGAAUAUGUUACAUAUCAAAGUUUCAAAAUCAUUACAAUUUGAUCUUUUCGUAAACCACAUUGACAAAAUUGAUGAAUUUUAUGUGCGUGCAGACCAAGAAUGCUAAGCAAUAGGUCUCAAAUUCACUUUUCAUGCUCAACUUUUUUUCUAUUUUUACUUUACACCACAUAUAUUAAUUCUUUAAGCAUUAUGCCCUCAAUUUGGUUUUGAUGCAUUGUCAUAGAUUUUCUAAAUGUGCAAUAGAAAUAAAAGAAUUUUUACCAAUACCUUGCUCCAUUCAAUUUCAUGAAAUUAUUUUUUGUAGAAUUUAUAUUUCUCUAAUUACCUAAAUAUUAGUUAAAUAACACAUCACUACGUAGAUAUCCAAGUGUAGAAUAGGGCGUGGUUUUAUAAGUUUAGGUGCUAUUAGAAGUAAAGGGCAAUAAACUUGGUUUUGAGUAAAUGUAUUAAACUUAUUGUUAAUAAUCCUAAUAAAAUACUAUAUGAUAGCAGUUUGGUUUCAACUAGCUUAAUCCAUCACGAGUAGCAUGGUUUCUUUGUUGGUUAUUAGAAGCACACUAAUAAUGAUCUUCAUAUAUAUAUAUAUGCUAAUAUAACACAAGUUCUUUGUCAAUUAAGCGUUCAUUUGUGUCUAAUUGUAUGGUCAAUUCAUACAGCUGUAAUAGAUGAAAAGUUAUGCAGAAAAUAUAUGCACAUAGAGUAAAAGAUUCAAAAUACUAAUUUUAUAAAUUUGAGGGGACAUGGUGUGCAAAAUAUUAGAUAAAAAUCUAUAUAUACCUAUUGCACAACUAAAAGUCUAUAACAUUACAUUAAAAAAUGAAUUUUAGAUGAAAUAUAUCCAAAUACUGGAGUUAAGGGUACAAAGUAGAAACAGGGGAGUAAGUUAGCGUGCAAAAUGACAUAGGUAUGCCCCCGCGUGAAUGGUCCAGUGGUAGUGCCUCUCACCAGUGAAUCUUGAGAUCACAAGUUCGAGUCUCCGCUCCACUGGAUUCCUCCGUGCACUUAACGUGUUCGGGCCGGGUUGGAGCGCCGGGUCCAGGCCAAUGGAGAUUAGUCGGGUAAGUUUUCUUCUUGUUACAAACGCAAGUACUUCUAAAUUUCAUUAGCCUUAUCCACUAUUAGUACAAAUAUUAGUAUUUUCUUUUAAUCAACCGUACAAAAACAUGAAUUUGGUGGACAGAGCUGAUACGUACCGGCUGCGUAUGGCACCAAAUUGUCUAUUUAUGUGACGCAGAGCACUGUCCAAAAAUAUAUUAUACCCAAUUUGUUUGUUCUGAUUGUUUAGACUAUAAAGAAUUAGGGUGGACUGGUGUUGGCUCCACAACAAUAAUUUAUAGCCAGCCUAUCAGGUCUAGUGAACUAUCCUAGCUUUUCUUAUUAUUUGACAAUUCGCAGGUCAUAUUCUUAACCACUUGUCCCUUUUGCUUCUCUUUCUUGCAGAUUAAAAAACGUCAGGUCUAGGAGAUGCCAUGAGUAUUUGAAGCAUCUAAAGGAGAGGUAAGGACACUAGAAGACCAAGCCACGAAGAAAAACCAUGGAAUCUGCAGAGCUUGCGAACAAGUCAGAAUUUCUAGCUGAAGGUGAGGGAUCUUCAGAUGAGAUGGGCAGCACCAGUGAUCAGCGGCCACUACCUCAAAUUGAAGCCAAAGUUUGUGAUAACAAAGUUCUUCUGAGACUUCACUGUGAAAAUCAACGAGGAGUGCUGAUAAAAAUACUCUCUCAAGUAGAAAAGCUCAAUCUUGCUGUUUCUAACACUAAUGUCUCACAAUUUGGAAAAAAUCGGGCUCUUGAUAUAACUAUUAUUGCGGAGGUAAGCUAAACUAUACACAGUUCAAUUUCUUCAAGUUUUUUUUUUCCAAGUGAAUAUUAAGGGAUAAAUUUUUUUUUGGUGUGCAGAUGGAGAAAGAAUUCAACCUGACAAUCAAAGAACUGGUUAGAAAUCUUCAAUCAGCUCUUCAGCUUGUGAACUAAGAAGCCUGGGGUUUCGUCUGGUCCUCAGGUUCAACUAGAUGGAUCAAAGGGCCUUACGAGUCAGCUUUCGUGGCCACUAGAUCCAUAAGUACGUGUUUCACGAGUGCAAAUGUAAAAGAACUGUUAUGUUUUCCAAUAUUUCAUAGGUAUAUGACUAGUUUACUUCAAGGUGUUUUACUAUGACUUCAUUCAGUUCAUUGUGGUUUUGUUCUGUUCGGUUCACGAAAGUUUCUAUCUGAUGUAGACAUUAUUUCUACCUUCGUAAAACAUUCAUUGGCAUUUGUGAAAAGUAUCAGGUGGCCCAAAUUACUUCCACGGCCCCUUAAUACAGAUACGGAGAUGCUUUUUGCAGUACCAAUUUUAGUGUUUCACUCGUGUAUAAUCUGGGUUUUUUUCUAUUGGUUAGAAAAAAGCAUGAAAUCGACAAUUGAGGUCUACUCAUUUUCUUCGGUGUGUUUCUCCAAAUCCCAAAAAUUUCCAGGUGUUUCCAGGUGUCUGAUACUGCAAAUGCAAUGUUAAUUUUGUUUACAUCUCAAACUCCGAUUAUUUGAGCGGCUGUCUUGAAGCUCGAGAGUCGAGACUUGGAAAGAUUUCAGUUAUACACCCUCUUUAUAACCAUAUUAUUGCAAACGAGAUCGUUAAAUGUACCUUGUCAAAGUAUCAAUAAGCAAAAGAUCCACUGCUGUUUCCUUUAAGAUAUACUCCAUUAUUCAUGCACCAAAACGGAAUUCAGAAGUGAAGGGGCAUAUCCAUGGUUCGAAAUCUCGGCCGAGACCGAGACGACUCGGCCGAAUCGUCACCGUCUCGGCCCCUACCGAUACGAUACCGUGACGAAACGAUACCGAAAUACUUGACUCGCCGAGAAAUCGGCCGAGUCGUCACCGCGACGGAUUGACUCGACCGAGUGACACCGAAUCACUCCGAGUUAUCCCGAGUCAAGACGAGAAAUCAGUCGAGUCACACCGCGACGGAUUGACAUGGCUGUUUCUUUUGCUAUUUUUUAAUUAUUUUUAUUUAGCAUACUUUUUUAUAUUAUUAACAAUUUUUAAAAUAUUGAAUACUUUAAAAUUUGCGUCUCACCGAGACCGCGACCGAUAUGCCGAGACCGAUGUGGAACGUUCCGGGCCGCGACCGCGAUCGUAACCGUGACUUUGAACCAUGGGCAUAUCCCUCAAACUAGUAUAUAAAAUGAAGCAUUAUGCCUUGUAGUAAACAACUAAUGUGAUCUGAGUUUCUAUCAAGGUACAAAAAUAGAGCAAGAGAUGCCUAAUUCACCGCAAAUGCUCAAACCUUCCUGGGAUUUUUCACAUCUUCCAAGCAUACAUCUUCGACAGCUAAAACAUACACUCAGUCAGGAGAGAACAAUAAAUUCUUGAGAACUUUCGAAUUUCUAUGAGGUCACAAGUGCUAAACAGUAGCUGGAAAAAUCAUCCCUUCAUCCGGCAGAAAGAAAAGAACUUUGGGGAACAAUUUGGAACCAUCAAUAGCAGUGGACAGUCACACUAUGUAACUUGUCCAUACAGCAGACAAGCUCUGGCUCCCAAUCAUAAGCAGUAAAACAAGAUGGGAUAAAGAUUCAUUGGCUGAUGAUGGAAGUUUGUGUAUAUUGGAUCAGCCUCAAAGUCCGCAGCUCUCAACACAUAAUGUUUUCUCCAAACAAUUCUAAAAUGAGGCACUAGGGUAAUUAGCAGAAGCUAGCUCAUGCAUAGCAGGCUUAGCUGAGUAUACACCUUCCUUAUCUAGCCGAGUAUACAGCAGAAUUAGGAAGGAAGAGAGAGAGGUAGUUAAUUUGUUGCUUCGAUUGAUUAUAUAUAUAUAUAUAUUUGCGUCAUAUUUGAUGUAUUUUCCUAUUUAUGUAGAUAUUGAAAUAAAAUUAUGUUUUAAAAAAAAAAUCCAAGCACAUACACCACUAGGCAAUAUGGUCUCCAACCAGUAAAAGGUGUAAAGAGUUCGAGAAGAAUAUGCUUGCAAUUAUGGCCCCUUAGGCCACCAGUCGCACUAAAAUGUGACGUGCUUGUCGUGCGGCAGAACCAUUUGGUGCCGCCCUUUAGUUUGAUCUUUGAUGGCUGUGUCUGGACAAAUUACCUAGGGUAAAAUACAGAAAACUCCUUAUGAUUUGACUAUUUGACACGCUACCUUUUCAUUAUUUAAAAACAUCCACACUAUCCCCUCGUGCUUUGGACUAAAGUGAAAUUUGACUGGUAACUGUAUGUUACCUGCAAGUGAUGCAUUAUUAUUUUUUUAAUAUUUUUUUAUUUUAUUGUCAUUUUUUCUUUCAAUUUUGGUGCUUUGACUUAACUAUCAUAGGUAUUUUUACAAAUUUGAGAAAUUAGUGAUGCACUUUUAAAAUUUUCUAAAAAUUAUUCAUACCCUCUUACUAUUUUGCCCUGUCGUCUCUCUCUAUUGAUGUCAGUCGCCACCACCGCCCACGGCUUUGUCUCCAAAGAUUCUUCCAACAACAAUGCCCCCAAAAUCCAAAUUCACCCAAAUAUCCAAGAAAAAAUUUCAUGAAUUUCAUAAGCUUCCAUCAUAAAAUUCUUGAAAAAGUAGACAAAUCAGAUGAGUGAAAAUGGCAUCCCUCUUCAUUUUUCGUUUUUCGUCGCAUAAUCCGGUAACCGCCGGAUGAUCCACAAGAAAAGCGGCAGGAAUCAAACAUAGCUAACCAGCUUUGAAAGCCAUUAAAAGAAAUCAAAUUCGAGGUAAUUAUCAGAAUUUUACUAAAAGGGCAUAGCUCCAGGAGCAGGCUUUUCACCGGUUGACGCUGUUGGGACCGGAAUCUUCUCAAUCUCGAAUGGCCUUGAGAUAUCUAGAGGGCUUGCACAACGAAUUAGAGCCCAAUUUACACCUUCAAAGAAGGGAUGCUGCUUAAUUUCGAUUGCCCCACGUUUGUAUGCCAACCUAUGUUGUGGCUCUUUAACUAGCAACCCUCUUAUAAGAUCUCUAGCUGAAAAACUGAUGACAGGAGACUUUGGAAAUUGAAGGGGCUGCCCGACAACGUUGAAUAAGGUCGCUCGAUUCCCAGUUCUGGUGGAGGCGAUGAUGGUGUGAAGUGGUGGAGGGGGAAGGGGAGCAGGAGAGAGGAGGAAAAAGAAAGAAAAGGUGAAAAUGAAAAAAAAAAAAAAAGAAUCAAAAAAUGAGCAGAUGCUAAGACCACCUUGCUUCGAUGUUGUGACUUGUGGAGAAUGUGAAAUAGAGGAAGAAGGAGAGGAAUAAUAGAAAAGAAAAGGAAAAAAGAGGAAAGGAAAGGAAAAUAAAAUAAAAAGAAAAAAUUUAAUAAUAGACAGGCUACCGGUUCACAGCAGGUCAAAAAGCGUAAUUCUACUCUAGUCUAAAGCAUGAGGGGGUAGUGUGGGUGUUUUUAAAUAAUGAGGAGGUAGCGUGUCAAAUAGUCAAACCACAAGGAGGUUUUCUGUAUUUUAUCAAAUUACCUAUCAAGUUUUGGUGUUACAAUCCAGUGUCCUAAGCUCUACAUGAAUCAGAUGUAUUCGAUUAUUUUCAAUAUUUAUGUAUUUUGUCAGGUAUAUUACACAUGUUUCAAAUUCUAUAUUGAUAUAUACAGACACAUGCAUGCAUUCAUACAUACAUAUGUCUAUUCUUUUAUUGAAAUUAAUGUGAUUUAGUUUGUACGCAUUUUUGGGUUAGUUCCAAUAAAUCUCCUCAACAAUACUCUUUCUAAAUCAACUUGCCCACUAAAGGUUAAAUUGUACGGUUUCGAAUCUUCUGUUUCCAAAUUACUCUCUAUCUCCUGUCUCUUCUUGUACAGCUGCCACGUAUUUUUAACUUUUUGAUAACCCAAAUUCAAACAAGCUAAUAGGUUGCAUUUUUGUUAUUAAUUUUAUGAUUAUUUCCCUCUUUAUUUUACCAAAUAUUGUAUUAAUUGAUAGAUUCUGUUUAUAUUUGGUGUUUUGUGUUAAUUAUAGGGCGUUGGAGUAAAAAGUGCUAAAAAAGGGUGAUUUUCUUGGAAUUGAUUGUCAACCGCAAGUUUCCCAAUUCAAGAUGAAGCCUACGUGGAUUAUUGACUGAAGAUUAGGAAAUUACCAUUUUUUUUAGAUAUUUUAUUUAGGAAACAAUUGGCAUUAUUCUUGAAGUUACCUUUUUCAAUUAGAAUUCUAGUUUCGGUUGCUGAAGUGAGAGCCCAAAUUUGUUAGUAAUUGGUAGUCAUUUAGGUUUCUUAUUAUCAUCUUUUUUGCGGGGUUGGCUGCAAUAGGGAGGACGGCCGGUUGGCCUCUCAAUUCGUCUUGCUUUCAUUAGUUUUAGAGGAAAACUAAUUGCAACCAGAUUCCACGAAGUCUGGCGGAAUUUCUUCUAGAUGUGUUGCUAAAUCUCCAUUUUCUAGUCAAGGAACAACGGAAGUUUUGGUUUAUUUAAAAAUUGUGAGAUCGAAUUAAUUUUAUUUAUUCAUUUUAUUUACUGGUAUUUGCAUAUUCUCUGAUUGUAUUGCUUAUGGUUGUUUUAUUAAUUGAGUAUCUUGGGCCCGGACGUUGAAUUAAUUUAGCAACCUAGUAUCAAUUGGAACAUUAAAUCUGUAAUUAUUUAAUUACUCUAAAAUAGUGGCAACUGGCAUGAUUGGAUUUGCGUCAGGAGAAUACGCGAACUAAUCUAAAAUAACUCUGGUAGUGUAUUAUUUGGUUAGAAUAGGGCUUCUCUAAUACGUAAGGCAACUGAAAAAUUAAAUCUUACGGGCGUACUUAGAAUUAUUUCUCGAUUAGAGUAGUAAUUAAUGGGCGUACCUUAAUCACCGACACAGUAAAAAAGAGUUGACUGUCAUCACUUGUUUGGCAGUUAUAACUUAUUUAUUAGUUAAUAAUUAGAAUUACCUUUGCAUCGAUAAUCAAUUAGGAAAACCAUUACCGAAAUUAUUUCUUGACUAGAGCUUAGUUAUUAUUAAUUUGAUUUUAAUAAUUUGUGAUUUAAUUUUUAGUUGGCUAUUUAUUGAACCAUUUAAUUAUUACCAAAAAAACCCCCCUUUGUUAGUUUGAAUUUCAAAAGAGACAAAUAACCCCAGUCCCUAUGGUUUCGACCCUACUUAUCACUAUCUACAAAAAUUAUAUUUUAUUUGAGUAGGUAUUUAUUAUUGCACAGACUCGACAACUUGUCACUGCCACGUGUUUCUAACAUUUUGAUAACCCAAAUUCAAACAAGUUGAUAAUAAUCAGUUGACAAGUUUCCUUAAAAGCAAAACUUGCAGUUUUCUUCUUCAUGUAAACUAGAGUUGAAGAAAUUCUGAUAGGGAACCACCGCUUGAUUUAUCCAAAGAAAAAAUAGUUUUGAGUUAUUGGAACAGUUUGAUUUAUUCAAAGGCAAAAAAGUUUUGAAUUAUCUGUUUUAAUUGAUUUUGAGUACAUUUGUCAAUUGAUUAUUAUCGGUUUGUUUGAUUUUGGAUUAUCAAAAAGUUAGAGACACGUGGCAGCUAUACAAAGAAGGGACAGAGGAGAUAAAGACUAAUUUGGGGACAGAAGAUUCGAAACCAAAUUGUACUAAUCCACUCCUUAUAAUAUCACAAUACAACUCAAUUGGGUUCCCCCUCCUUUGUAGAAUAGGAUAACAUAGACAUUACCAAUUAAUCAAAAAAAAAAAAAAGAGGAAUCGGGUAGAACAGUCCAAUUUAUGGCUAAUUUUGUCAUGUGAACCUCGCAUAAUUAUGAGAAGUGACCAAACUAUCUCCACAGCAACUAGUCAAUGACAUGAUCAGAAACAUCUAUAAAUGAAGUGGGAAUACUAUAAUAUUAAAUAGGUAAAUUAGCUCAAUUCAAUCUUUAGUGGGGCAAGGGGUUACUAGAAUAACCCUAUUCGAAUAAUCUUAUAUUUGUCAUUUCAAGAGAGACUAAGUGAAAUCUGGUCGGCAAAUCAAUCCCUACUACAUUUGUCUCAAAGGGAAGUCAAGGGGCACUGGGUAAGAAGGAUCGAGACGCUACUUGCAAAGCCCUAAGCCAUGUUGGUGGGGUCCUUUUAGCAGCAGCUUUAGUGUUACGCUUGUGUCUAACGUGGGGCUUGUAUUGAAUAGAAAAGAUGGAAUGGGCAAUUGAUGUCUUUUCAUUUUCUUUUGAUGUGCUUUACCACCACAAGAUUCCAGGUUACUCAUAGUGCUGUGUCACGGUCAUUGGGUGUACUUGAUUCCUAUUUGGAUUGUAAUUUUCUAGAAUUUUUAUAGAAAAUAUAUCAUAACGAUUUAAUAUAUAUGAUAUAAAAAAAUCUAUGUUUUUAGACUCAGACCGGGAGUCGACUCGGCCGAAUUCAGUAGUCAGGGAUCAAUGGGUUCGACCGGGGUCAAAAGGGGGUCGAACCGAAUGACAUCAUAUAUACGUUGAGGGUGGUAGUUUCGGCUUGGCCUUCUCAUCUCGACCCCCUCCAGGACGGCUCCCCCAUCCUGCUUGUCUAUGCCCCGUAUCGCCCUGCCGAGAUGAGUCUCGUACCGACUCUACCGGUCAUCUCGAGCACCUCGGCUACCGAGGUGCUUGUCGUGAAGCCCCUGAUACCUGAUGGGACAACUGGGGCCAAGUCACAGUCUGAUGCCUGCAAGGGGGAAAGACACUUGAUGGGAUCUACCUGACAGACCUGAUGAGACAGGCUGACAUGCCCAGUCUGUCAAGGCAUGGGAAGUUGAUCCCAACUGCCAUUUCUCUCCGAUUGUUCCCUAUAAAUACAAGGAGGUUACUUAGAAGGGAGGAUUUUUUUUUCAGGGUUUUACAAGAUAUAUUGUCUACAGGCUUUUUAAAUAAACUCUCCCCUGAUAGAAGCUAACUAGAUCGUCGGAGGUAAAUCGGGGGACUUUACCCCACCUCUGACACUCUGAACAGGUGACUUCCGCGAGACCGUACCCACUUCAGGAGAGUUACUCUCACACUCAGUACCGUCUGCUGAACCCGAAAAUCACCUCUUUAAUUGGCGACGUCCGUGGGAACCGGAAAACAUCAAAGACUGAAGCCCAUGCAUUCUAGGAGCAGGAAGGUUCUCACUAUUGGAGCUGAGCCAAGUGCUGCAGCUCAACACGAAGAUGUCUCUGAAGGACAGGGGUAGCUAGAGAAUCAGACCACAAACGGAGAAACCAUAGCCCGAAUGGCUGAGUUUGUAUCUGAGAAUCCUAAUAUUUUUGAAGAAUUAGGGAGGUACUUCAAGAGGCAAGGCAAGCAAAAAGUUGAAUCCUCUAAGAGAAAGUCAGAUGAGUCUCCCGAACUCCCAUCUGAUGAGGAAUCCAAGGGGAGACCUUCCAUCAGGAGUACUCUGAAGUGGGUCUCCUCUAAGAUCACCUUUAUCUCUAAGGCAUUCUCAACGGGCCUGCUGGGGAAAUGAGCCGAGGAGGAACCUCGGCACUUGGGAAAGCCAGGAGUGGAUUACAUGAUGGUUCCGCCUUUCACAGAUGAUAUCAAUGAGGAGAGGCUCCCCUCAAACUUCGAACUGCCUGCCAUACCAUCUUAUGAUGGCCAAGGUGAUCCGGAGGACCACAUUCAUGCCUUCAUCUCGGCAUUCCGAUUGUAUUGUAUUCCCGAUCUAGUCAUCUGCUGAGCUUUUCCAGUAUUCUUGCAGGGAACAGCUCGAAAAUGACUCUGAGAUCUGAAACCUAGGAGCAUCUCCACUCUGGGAAAAUUGGUGGACAAAUUUCUCCAUCGCUUUAUCUCUUCCAGACUGACGAAAAGGACCUCGGCUUAUCUGUUAAAUAUACAACAGAAUCCAGGGGAGUCCUCCGAUCUUAUGUGCAGAGGUUUCAAAAUGAAAACGUGCAGAUACCUGAACCUAAUGAGCAGGUAACUAUAGUCGCCUUCACAAAUAGAUUUGUUGUCAGGCUGUUCAACACCGCAAUACACAAGAAAUACCCCUGAACGUUUCGAGAGUUCUGGAAAAAGGUCGAAAAAGGCAUACGGCCCGAAAAUCUGAACCGCAUGAAAAAGGAAGCUCAGGUGGCAUGCUCAGGACAUGAUCCCCGAAAAAAGAAGGAAUCAAGCCGAGGUGAUGCUAGUAGUUUCCAGAGCUCUGGCCGAGACCGCCGGAGCAUUUUUAAUUGAAUUGCCAAUGGAAAGUCAGCCGUUCCAGAUUCCAAUCUGACCUCUCUGAAAACCAAUCGUUCCCAUAUCCUUGCUAUUAUGGAGCAGAAUCGUCUCGGGCGAGCCCCUCCCAGAUUGGCCAGAAGAAGGGAAAAGAGGAAUUCCAACCUCUACCGCGCCUAUCACCGAGACAUUGGGCACAAAAUCGAGGAUUACAAUGACCUGAAGAGAGAUAUCGAAGAACUGAUUAAAUGGGGGUACUUGAAACAAUUCGUCCGCAGAGAAGAAGGCAAUACGAGUGACCCUCGCCGCUACCGUCAGGGCGAACCCCGUCAGGAAAGCAAUCGAAGUGAACCCCGUCGAGAGAACAUAAAAGGGUUCAGAAAUAGCUGCCGACCCCUCGAAAAUCCUAGGGAGUCGAGGAAGCCUCCCCGAGAUGGAUCCCCUGGCUAUGAGUCAGGUUAUGGGCCAAACAUAGCUGGGGUCAUAAACACUAUUGCUGGAGGUUCGACAGGAGGAGAUAGCCAAAACUUCCAGAAGAUGACCUAUAGACAAGUCAAUUCAGAUCAGGCCAAGGCGAGUUCCCGCCUUACUGAAACAAUCACCUAUGGCCCAAGUGAUCCUAUUCCGACAGCUUCUAGCAGUCAUGAAGCCCUGGUGAUUGAGUUGCUCACCAAUAAUUAUCUCGUGAAAAAGGUGUACAUUGACCCCGGAAGUUCUGUGAACGUCAUGUACUAUUGAACUUUCGAAAGUUUAAAAUUGACAAGGGAUCAGCUCGUACCCGUGAGGACUCCGCUAGUGGGGUUUGGGGGGCAUGUUGUUCACCUGGAAUGGAUGAUUACAAUGAUGGUGACCGUGGGACGACAUCCUCGGUGUCGAACUGUCCUCGCCAAUUUUAUUGUGGUCAAAAUUGAUUCCCCGUAUAAUCUGCUCAUGGGGUGACCUACCCUAAAUGCGUUGCGGGCGGUGUACUCAACGUACCACUUAAACUUCAAACUCCCCAUGCCAGCAGGCAUAGUCGAGGUCAACAGCGAUGUCUGUGCCGCUAGAGAAUGCUAUCUCGCCACCCUCUAGGCAGCCUCUUCGUCAUCAGCCGAUUUGAAAACUGAGGGUAAGAGAUCUCGCAUCCUCUCGAUCGACUGCAUAGACCCUCAACGAUCCGGAAAGCUUGAAAGGUUAGAGACAGGACAUGAGAUCGAAGAAGUUCUUCUGGAUCCUUCAAAACUCGAGCAAACCAUCCGCGUCAGCGCCAGUUUGCCCGAGCCACUUAAAGGCGAAGUGGUUAACCUCCUUAAAGAGUAUCAGGAUGUCUUCGCUUGGACUGCUGAUCAGGUCGUGGGAGUUCCCCACCACCUCAUGUUACAUGAGCUGAAUGUUGACCCACGCACGAAACCUGUCAAGCAGAAAAGAAGACACUUCGGCCCGGAACGCGAUAAAACUGUGGCUGAAGAGGUGGAUAAGCUCUUGCCAGCAUAGAUAAUUAAAGAAGUGCAAUACCUCACUUGACUAUCUAACCCUGUCAUGGUUAAGAAGGAUACUGGAUGGUGGAGAAUGUGUGUGGAGUUUACAGAUCUGAAUAAGACAUGUCCGAAAGACUGUUACCCACUGCUGAAGAUAGACACCUUGGUUGAUUCGGCAAUAAGUUACGAGAUCCUUUGUUUCUUAGAUACCUUCAAAGGUUAUCACCAGAUACGAAUGAAUGAAGAAGACCAGGAGAAAACGGCCUUUUUCACAGAUCGAGGAAUCUACUGCUACACCAACAUGCCCUUCGGUUUAAAAAAUACCGGAGCGACAUAUCAAAAACUGGUAAAUCGUGUUUUUGAAUCCCAGAUAGGGAGGAAUGUCGAGGCCUAUGUUGAUGACUUUCUCCUAAAAAGCAAGCAUGCCUCGGCGUUCACAUCUAAUGUAAGAGAGGUCCUUGAGAUCCUCCGAGAUAUGCGGAUGAUACUCAACCCUAAGAAGUGCAUAUUCAGCGUGACAUCGGCAAGUUCCUGGGAUAUCUAGUGUCACACCGAGGUAUAGAAACAAAUCCCGACCAGGUGAAGGCGAUUCAGGAGAUGUUUUCACCCAGAAACAUUCGAGCCGUCCAAAGGCUGACGGGGAGAUUGGCGGCUCUCAAUCGGUUCUUGUCACAAUUUGCUACAAGGGUAUUGCCAUUCUUUAAAGUGUUGAAGAAGGCAUACACGUUCUCUUGGACUGAAGAGUGCCAAAGGGCCUUCGAGCAGAUGAAGGAAUACCUGCAUCAACUCCCCACUCUUACCUCACCUCGAGUUGGAGAAACAUUGGUGGUGUUUGGAUAGUGUGUUAUUUGAAAUAUUAUUUAAAAUAUUCAAAGUUGACUUUUGUGAAUAAUGGAACUUCCAAAUAAUCGUUUGGACAGUGAAAUAUUGCUUGAAAUAAUUGUUUGGACAACUACAACUUUUAUUUUUCCUUUUUUUAACUAAAGUAAUACAAGAGUCCACGAUUAUGAGAUAAAUGCUAGACAUUGAAGUUCCUCUGCCAUAAUUCUCAACACACUAAUUCUGGUUAUUGACCUUUAUUCCAUUGACGAUGGCAGCAGUUGAUUAAAAACUAUGCGAUAGGUUGACUACUACAGAAGGUUGUCAUCUAUCGCCUGCGGCGCCCUUGGGCUGCAUACAUCUAGUCCGCCAUUGCAUCGCUUGCUGCUUUUCAUGCUUCUACCUCCGCUCGAGAAACGUUUGGCGUCUGCGUACGUACCUUUUCUUCGAGGUCGGGUUGCACCUCUAAUUGGACAUUUUCAUCCUCGAACCUUUGAAAAUGAGCAUCUCCAGGUUGGAACAUUCUCAAAAAAUUAUGUAGCCCAUAGCAUACAAUUACCACACUAAUUUGUGUGGUCAUAUAAAAUUCGAUACUGGGCCCUUGAGGAAUUUAAAUCUCAUUUUUAAUACACUAAAUGUGCGCUCUAUAACGUUUCUAAGACUCGAAUGUCGAGUGUCAAACAACCGCUUGUCUGGGUCUCGUUCCCGAACAUUCUUGUAGGGUGGUAAGAAACCCAGAGUGUUUCUAUCCGCUGCAUCUACCAAGUAGUACUUCCCUAUAUUUCUCAAAUCAUGCUGGGGAGCAUGGAUGCAGAAUUAGUAACAAGGUUUUGUGUAUAUUACGUGUGUGUGUGUGUGCCGAAUUUUAAUUAAUUAUUACCUGAAGGUGGAAGUGAAAAAUUUGAUGGCGGCAUCAACGCUAAUUCUAGCACUCAUGCAUCGUGGGCACUGCCUUCCCAUCCAGUGUAGACGUAGUUGAAGUGCAUGUCAAAAUCGCACACUGCUAGGACAUUUUGUGAGUGUAUCCCGUGUCGAUUGGUAUAUGCCAUUUGCUCUCCACUUGGCGGGCAAACCGGAAUAUGUGUGCCAUCUAGAGCUCUAACAGCAUCCUGCCAAUCAUGAAAAAUCGACUGCAAAUGGUGCGAUUUGCAAGGACAGCAAAUUUUUCACUUUAUUCAGUAGACUAAAUUAUAGGAUUUUACCUGGAACCAUGGAUAGAAGUGUCUUGAGUUUGCAAUUCUUGGGUGAACAUUAUCGUGGUCAUACGGCCUUAUUAUUGUGGCAGCAAAUCUGCAUAGCCCAAGGAGAACUUUGUGCACGUUUCGAUUAAUUGUCUCCGUUGACCGGUUGAAUCGUUCCGCUAGCAUGCGCUGAGUAUGAUGAUGACUUACCAUGACUAGAGUCAUUGCUAAGGCUUUCUCUAUUUCGACCCUUUGUUGAUAGGAUCGAGACACAUAACCGUAAUUCUACAGUAUUUCACAUAAUCGAAGGAAAUUGUCAACUGUGAUAUGCAUGUUUUCCACACUACGUCGGUAAUGCCCAUUGAUCACCUCUUCAACCCACUGCCGUCCGAUUAGAGAGCCGUCGUGGUGAGGUAUUUUAUCUCUAGUCCUGUCACGAUACAGCAUCAUUAAUUCUGCUGUCAAAACCAACAUUGUCUCAUCCCUUUCAUCUUCCUCAGCUAUUGCCUCUCUCCGUCCUCUGCCCGUCCUCCUAUUGUUCGCCGCCAUAGUACAAUUGCCUCUAGAGAAAAAGGGAGUAACUGUAAAUUGCUAAAUCAGAAUCAAACUUGACAGAUAAGGAGCAAGGGAAACAAUUACCUUCAAAUACUUGGUGGCAGACAGGUAUCUUUAUCGUCAGAAAGAACGUUAGUUUGAGCUAGUAGACGAGAGAAGCUAGAGUUUUGUGAUAAUUGCGAGACUUCAAGCAUAAGGAGAACAAGUAAUUUAAAGUGCAAUAAAAAUACGAGCAAUACUACGCACCGACAAAACUCACAUGCAAAAAUGAACGUCUUUUUUAAAAAGGUUACCAUCUUUUUGAAAAGCCUAAUCAAUUAUGAUCGGCUCCUGUACAAUUCGGUGGACACAGCUGCCCUCUACCAAAUAAGAGAGUAAACAGUUGCUAUGGCAAGCAACUGAAAGUGGACUGGCAUGUUGCUGGAGUUGUGUGUCAGAAUACGCAGCCACUAAUAGCUGCAUGAAUGGAGCAAACAAAAAUGAUGCAUGGGAAUUAUGACAGGGGCUCAUUUCACAAUUCUCUUUCUCUCUGUUUCAUUGUUGUUGGGGUAAGUGAAAAUGUAAAAAUAGUACAGGACUAGAUAUGGGAGAGGGGAAGGGAGGGAGGGAAUAGGGGAGAGGGGAAGGUUAAAAUGAAAAAAAAAUAACAGUGAAUUUAUUUGACAUACGACAUUCUGGGUUCCUAUGGCUCAAACUGGACACAUGCAACUAAGGCACGAACUACGGUCAUUCACUGGCGUUCAUGCAAAAAAAGUCGAGAAUGCCUCCAAUGAGUCGUGGAUUCUUUUGCGGCUUUAGCUAGAAAGAAUAGCAUUUAGCUUAUCAUAAUUCGUGGAGUGCUGUCGGCUGGUCCCAGGUGAACAAGCAAUUUCCUAAAAUGGAGUGAUGUCGGCUGGUCCCAAGUGAACAUUCAAUAGAGUGAAUUUUGCUACUAUCUCUAUUCAGUAUAAAAAUAGAAAAGCGCACUUAAUCUAUUUAGGGAAGGUUCAAAUCGAGUUUGUAUAUUACAUAAACAGGACAUGGUAUAGCUGCAAGUGCCUAAAGAACUUAUAUAUUAAGAAACUCAUCUGCGGCUAAUUUUUUUGUCUUUCGCUACCUUCUACCAGUAAAAUUUAAUCACAAGGCUUGAAUGACUUCCAUCCACUGUCGUAAUCACUCAAAUCCUGUACUAGUACCCUUACAAACCAGUAGGUUAAACAGGUGAGAAAGUAAAUUUUCAUCUACGAAUGAUGAACUUCCUGAGUAAAAAUUACCAACUUUGACAAUAAAUAGCUCCCCUAAAUGAUGAAGUACAAUAGCAACCAAAUGGAGUGAUGAACUAGAAAAUGAUGAACUACAAAUGAUGAACUUCCGCAGUAAAAAUAGCUGUUAAGAGUUCACUUAGAAGAAUUAGAGAGUAACUGGCUACUCUUAGAAGAAUUAGAGGAGUAACUCAGAACUCUUGCAUACAAACUACUUGCUAAAAAAUUCUGUAAAACUGAGAGCUAUGAACACUUAGCCAACAAUGAAGCAAUGAUGAAGCAAAUGCCUCCAAUUAUUCCAUUCUGCAACUUCGUAAGAAACAGAGAGCUAUGACAAUUCAAGCCAACAAUGAGCUUCAUACGUACACCAAUCUCAUACUGCACAUAUCCAUUACGCAAUAAAAGUAACAAUUAAGGACUAGCAACAAAAUCUCACAUACCAAAAUGAAACAAAAAUUUGACAAGCAAACUCCACCCACAUAUUACACAUACCAGGUACAACAGCAGUUUUGUAAAAAGAAAAACAACUCCAGCGCAUAGUUCUUAGCGGUUAUAGGCAAGUCCUGAAGGUUGGGAAAAAAAAUACAACUCCACCUAACUGGAAAAAAAAGAGCUCCACACACAUCAUACCAAACUUACACGAGCCAAAGUUGACAACGACUAGGGAUAUUAUAUAUUCCCCUAUAACAGAACCGUUGCCGGAGUGAAUAUCAGAAAUGGAUUUGAGACGGCAACCCUUCUGUUUUGGUGGAAUAUGCUAUUUCAAAUUAUGCCUCACCUUUCUUCCUCAUAUGCCUUGCGACAUAUGCAUAUCUUCCGGUAGCAUAAUAGCGCAUGAAGAUAAUCCGUUGGCCUAAAUUUGUAUCUUCGGUGAGAUACGAGUCUAUUUCUACCUUCCAAUCAACGGGGAUAUCUAUGGCUAACACAAUGUCUUGACAAUUAUCAACUUUGUACGUCUCAUCUCUGUCUAUACGAUCCUUUCGAUCAGUGAUCGCCACCUCUGUGAAGUUCCCGAUCUUGCUUAAAGCGUCUUCAAGUCUAUCCGCAGAUGACCGGCCAGAUUUUGUGCCUCUGGAACCUUCUUGCUCGCCGGAGUUACCCAAACUGGAUGUUGGUCGCUUCCUACUACUGCCUCCCGGAAUAGGGGAGACGUAGUACACAUCCUCCCUUUCCCAAGAGGAGGUGGCUGAAGACGAUUGCGACGACGAUGAGGCUUUGACCUUGCCUUUCCGACUUCUCCGAGAGAUGGUCUGCUCGUUUCCCAGUUGUUCAAGGGCAACUGGCUGGCCAGCAGACUGUGCUCGUGUCCCUGUAGCCUUUUCCCCAAUCGUGAUAGGAGUGAAACACUCGUAUAAGUCGCAACUGAAGGGCUUAGAGAAGUCUUCGUACUCGCUGUAUGACUGUUGGUUAAAAGACAGAAGGAUAGAUCAUUUUUCAUGUUUCUAGCUUCUAUAUAUGCAUAAGCAAAGUGAUCAAGUUCGGUAGACAAAAAAUGAAAAAACUAACCGAAAUGAGAGCAGCCCAAUGGUCCUUGUCAGCAGUGAAAUUCUGGGUGUCCUCUUCCCAUCCGAUGCCAGUUUCGGCCUUGUAGCUGAGCCCCCUCAGUUGGCAAAAAACUUGCCAUUUCUUCUUGAACCGGUAGAAUCUAGAUUGGCACUGGGCAGCACUGACGUCGUCUCCAUGGUUUUCAAGCAAAUGCUCGGCUAUCUGAUCAUAAUUUCAUUCUAGCGAUCUACAUCGGUCCCAUUUUUUUGAUUUCUUGAAGGCGAUAUACGCAUCAAUAAAGUGCUCAUCCAUUUUAGGAGUCCACUCGAACUUACCUCCCAUCUCCUUUUGUAAAAUUGUAACUUCAAGUUAGUAGGCAUGCAAAUAAGUAAUGGUAAUUAAAAAUAUUUUGAGGUGAGGCAAAUGUAUACCAUACGGUUUGCCUCAAAGUUACUGAUGCACUCUUCAAUAUCAUUGGAGUCAGUGGAUGAUUGGACUGUGCAAUUGGAGGUGCAGCUGAUGGGAGGAGCUAAAGACAGAAAACAUGCAGAAAACUGACGUGAGUCACAUAAUCACACAAUUCAGUAAUGUUUUCAGGAGGAAAAACUGAAGUACGCCUUACACUGACUAUUACACUGCUGCUGUGUCUUGAGGGGCAUCUCUAUCAGUCUCCGUCAUGGCCUUAUUCAAAACGUAGGGAAAGUUUUUUUGGAAGGCAGCUCUCAAAAGAAACGUUUAAACUUUUUCUGGGUUAAUUCACGCUGAUUUGUGAACUCUACAAAUACAACAAAUAAUAGGAAAUAAAGUGGCACUAAGUUGAGUCCAGCUACUACUACCAUGUGUAGAAUAAAAACUGCUUUGAGUGAUAAACAAAGAUUGUACAAUAAUGGCGGCCAUGGUACACGAAUGGAUAUUGUAAGGUUAGAAUAAAACACCUUUUCUGCUUUCGCCUAAAAACUCACUAGUAUCUGGUGACAAAGGGUAAGUGCCAGCAUAACAACCAAGAUUUUUUCCUCCAACUCAUAUUGUACAGAUGCGAAGCUGAACGACCAUUACGGUGGGAAGUUAUUGGGCUAGAAAGGAUUUUUUUUCUAAAAAAAUUUAAAUGUUAUAGGAAUAGUUUAAGUCGCAGCAUGGUUGUCAAAUGUGUCCAUAACCACAGAUAUUUAGCGCACAUAGAGCCCCAAAUUUUUCAAAUCAUUCUAGCACAGUAGGCCAACACUAGCCGCAAAACAAGUCCACAUUCAAACAAGAAAGCAAAUCCCUAAAAAUUGGUCCUACUGAAAUUCAUGGCAAAUGAGAUGAUGUUUCUCAAAUUAAUUUUGACAACGGUGGCCAUUUUUGUAUUUCUCCUCAAUCCGAAAACCGGCCACAUAGAAACCUCUCUCCAAAAUCGAAUCAAAAUAGGUGGUUUUAAGCACAAACAGGUAUAAAAAAGUGCAAUAAGUGCUCAGAUCAUAUUUGCCACAAAAAAUUCCUGCUAUUCAUCCAGACACAUACAAAUCCAGAUUUAUGUCAAACGGUAAGUUGGGUUGAAUUUUUUUACAAAAAUUUCAACCCAAUUGAUGAUACCUGAUAGAAGCUCCCGGAUCGAAUUUUGUUGGCACUUCGAAGACGGGGGUGGAACUACACCGCUACUAAUAGGGACUCACAGCCGCUUGUGUUGCCGGAAAAAUGGUGGCUACUAUGUGACGGGUUAAACGAAACAAAAGGAAGCAGGCGGUUAAGGAGUUCCUGGAGUUGUGCUUGAGGAAGUGGGAAUAAAGAGAUGAGAUCGGCUUCAGAUCCAGAAGCGCACAGUGGUGUUUCAGUAAAUGCUAAGCAGCAAGGAAAUAACCGAAGGUAAAUUCAGUAGAUGGGUAAAGUAAUGAGGACCCAACGGCUAAAAAAUCUGAAUUAUGAAACCCAUGCGCCACGCGUCGUAAUGCAUGGACAGCUUGCACAGGACAAAACCCAGGCCUUGCUAACAAGACUAAGUACAAAAUAACAUGUGGGAUUCUAAAUUGUGAAAAAUAUUCAGUCAGUCCAAACACCAUUUCUUCAAAUUAUUCCAACACCACUCAGAUAAUUCAGUCCAAACAAAACCAUUAUAUCUCUACUUGUCCGCGGCUGAAGAGGCGGUGAACACAGUCCUAAUACAAGAUGAUGGCACCCAGGUCCCAAUAUAUUACGUUAGCCGAAUUCUUCGCGGUCUAGAGACCCGGUACACCCGAGCCGAAAAGCUCGUGUUAGGACUAGUACAUGCGGCUAGGAGAUUGAAACCUUACUUUUUAUCUCACCCCAUACGAAUCAAAACAGAUCAGCCUAUCAGGCAGAUACUGUCCUGACUUGAAGCCUCGGGACGCCUUACCAAGUGGGCCAUCGAGCUCGGGGAAUACGACUUCACAUAUGAGCCGCAGACUGCCAUUAAGGCCCAGACCCUUGCCGAUUUCCUAGCAGAACUCACCUUCCCCGCGGACCAAGACACCACCUCGGAAGUGUUGGAGCCACAAAGAUGGGCCUUGUAUGUGGAUGAUUCCUCUAACAAUGAGGGUAGCGGAGCCGGACUACUUCUCGAAGACCCUCACGGAGAUGCAUAUUCAUAUGCUCUCCGUUUUGAUUUCGUCACCUCCAAUAACGAAACUGAAUACGAGACUGUCAUCGCGGGUAGGGGUGGGCAAAAUUAUCCGCUAACUCGAAAACCCGUCAUAUCCGAUCCGAUUCGAUCUGAAAAUUAGGAUAUCCGAUUUUUAUUAUUUGAUCGGAUCAAAAGAGGGUCGGCUAUCCGCUAAAAUGCGGGGCGGAUUAGGGUCACAUAAUUAAAAACCCGCGGGUACCCGAUCUGCCCCGCAUAUAUAUAUUUUUAUUUUUAUUUUUAUUUUUAUACAUACACUAUAAAAUAAUAAGUUAGAAUUAAAUAAGCAAUUUUAUUAAACAAAUUGCAUUACAAAUAUGAGAGACUAUAGAUUAUUUACAAGAUUCAUUUGUAAAGGUCAUGAUCUUAUAUUUUAUAGAAAAAAGUUUAAUUAAUGUGGAACAUAUAUAUUAAAAAUUGUGCUAUUUAUUUCAUACUUUUAUUGAUUUUGAAUUCUUUUAAUUUUUUUCCUUUAUCUUAUAUUCUCUUCAUAUGCUUGUUUCUUGGUGGAAAACCUUUUUUUAGAAAAAAAAAUUAUUAAAUCUUAGAUGAAUGUAUAAAAUAUAAAAUUAAAUUGGUAUAAAUCAUUUUAUUUAAAAAAAUUAAAUGAUAAACGGAGCGGGAUGGGUACCCGCUGAUCCGACCCUAUCUCAGCGGGUACCCGAUAACCCGUUAUCGGGUACCCGCUGAUAUUCGGAGCGGCUAAGGGUCAGAAAAUGGCUGACCUACAAGGUGCGGGUUGGGUCAGCCAAAUGGUAAAUGGGGCGGGUAUCCGACCCGUGUCCACCCCUAAUCGCGGGCUUACAGUUAGCUCGCCGACUGGGAGUUCGGCAUAUCACUGUUUAUAGUGACUCCCAACUCGUCGUAUGCCAGGUACUAGGGGAGUAUGAGGCCAGAGAGGAAUUCAUGCAACGAUACCUCUAAAGUACACCAAUUGGCAGCUUAUUUCGAGUCCUUUAAAAUCCAGAGAAUACCUCGGUUUCAGAACCGACGAGCUGAUACUUUAUCCAGACUUGCUUCUGCCUCAUUUUCUACCCUCAACAAGACAGUUCUCGUGGAGGUUUUAGCCUAACCCGAUUACAUGGUGGACAAAGUCUAUCCGGUGGCCCCGAGGGACACCUGGAUGACCCUACUGGUCAAGUUUUUGGAUCAAGGCAUUCUUCCAGAUGAUAAGCCGAGACAAGGAGAGUGCACCGCAAGGCGGCCCGAUAUGCCCUCCAUGACGGCCGCCUCUAUAAACAAUCUUAUCUCGACCCAUGGUUGCGAUGCGUCAUCUUGGAAGAGGGAGAGCGCACUUUUCAAGAGAUACACGAGGGACUCUGUGGAGCUCACGUCGGUUAUCGGAUGCUGGUCAAGAAGACCUUGCUUAUUGGAUAUUUUUGACCCACUCUACGACGAGAUGCUUAGCUUUUGGUACUCUGUUGCCCUUCCUGUUAGCACUAUGCCCUGGAGCACCACCACCCCACCAAUCUUAUGAUCCCCAUCAUUUCUCCCUGGCCUUUCGAGUUGUGGAGGAUAGAUAUUAUUGGACUUUUUCCUCGGGCGGUAGGCGAUUACGCCUAUAUAGUUGUAGUUGUCGACUACUUCACAAAGUGGGUCGAAACCGAGCCCUUGAGAAGCAUAACUGGUUUGGCCAUUCAAAAGUUCUUAUGAAAAUGUGUGGUUUGUUAUUUCGGUUUGCCUCGAGUCAUCAUCUCGGACAAUGGGAGGCAAUUUGUAGAUAAUCCCUUCAAAGCAUGGUGCGAGAGCCUGGGAAUCAAACAGCACUUCACCUCGGUGGGACACCCCCAACCUAAUGGACAAGCCGAGAAUUUCAAUCGAACGCUCCUCCAUGGGUUCAAGACUAGGUUACAUCACCUCGGAUCCUUCUGGGUAGACGAAUUCUCCAGUGUGUUGUGGUCCUAUCGAACCACGCCAAUGUUUGCUACUCAAGAAACACCAUUCUCCUUAACCUACGGAUCUGAGGCCGUAGACCCUGCUAAGUUUAUUACUCCAAGUCCUUGAAUGGCGGCCUUCAUCGCCGAGGUGAAUGACGAGGAAAGAAAAAUUGAUCUUGACCUAACUGAGGAAAAAAGGGAUGCCUCAGGAGCCCGAAUAGCCCUGUAUAAGAAUAUCCUAGCCAAUUACUACAAUGCCUGGGUCAGACACCUUCGGUUCAGACCAGGAGACAUGGUUCUAUAGAAGAACUCCGUCAGCCGAUCUGAACCACAGGGCAAGUUAAAUCCGAGGUGGAAAGACCCAUACCAAGUUGUAGAGGCUAGUCAGAGUGGUUAUUGUAAGUUGGCCUACCGGGAUGGUGCCCCGGUACCGUGAACUUGGCACGCCGAAAACCUUUGGUUGUAUUAUCCUUGAAUUGUUAAUGUUCAGUUCAGUUACUGACAUCAUUACUUUAUGUUUAGUGUUUUACUCAAUUAUUUUCUAAAAAAUCACUUCAUGGUGUUAUUAAAAAAAAUAAGGGGACAAGAUAAGUAAAAGCGAAACGAAAGAGACAAUUUUGGGAUGGAAACAAACGAUAACUUUCAUUGAUUAUUGAAGGGGGAUUACAAGUAUAAAAGGCUGAGAUGGGAAGCUCAUCUAAGAGCCACCCACCUCGACGGAAUCCGCUCCCUUUCUACUGCCGAGCUCACCUCCUCCAAUAGCUCCGCCAAGCUCAUCACCCGAGACCUGUUCGAAAUCGGCCAUUUUUCGAUUAAAUUCCUCUCAAACUUCGAUCAAAUCCCGUCCGAACUGGAUGCCAUUGGCCAUGCGGUCGCACAGUUCCUUAGCAUCAUCGUUGUAGUUAGACUUGUCCUUCAGCAUGUCUAGCUGCUCUGGAGUCCGGAAAGAAGUCGCAUCCUGGAUGGCCGUGGUAUAGUCGAACAUGAAGCUCGGUAAAGUCAACUCGCCAAAAUCUUUCAUGAAAGCCUCGGAAGAGCGGAAAGCCUCGACGGUCGUACUGCCGGCCUUCUCUAUAACUUCCCGAGAUGACUGCUCCUCUUCUUGUCUUCACUUCUUUUCCUCCUCGAAAGCAGUCUCCAAUGAGUUGAUGGUAGCCUUAAAAUGCUCCAUUUCGGCCACCGCAUUGUCAUGUUGCUUCUGGAGCUGUGCUUUUUCUUCCGCGGCCACCUUCAGCUCCUUUUCAAGCCGAGAUACUUUGUCCAUGAGCUCAGCAGGAGGCUGAUUCUCGACCAUGUUGGUAUACCUCUGGAUAAGCUCGGACAAGAAAGCGGAGGUAGAAUCCCACGCCAUUGAAGUGCUCUGCAUCAGCUUUUCUGUGGUGAGUUUCUUCACGAAAGUGUGAUCUCGGGGCAGACUAGAAUGGACAAGGAGGUGAUGGGGCAACUCGGGGAUCUUUGCAUCUGUCGUUGACCGAGACGUCUCACUCCAGGCACCAGCGCCAACCGAAAUACCUUUUGUCCUCCCCUUCAGGCACGGAUUGGACGAAGUGUCGAUUCCAAAGGAAGGACCUAGUGACAGGCCCCUCUGGGGUUUGGAUUUGUUUACCUCGAACCAGAGAAGGUGGAGCGGCGACUAUCAUACCACGGGUGGCCACCCCCUUCGCAAUGGCCGAGGUCCUGAAGGUAUCUUCCUAGACCAUGAUCAAUGGAGUGGUGGUCGAAGUGCCAAGAGCGCUUUUCUUCUUUUGGACCCCCGAGGUCUGAUCAGGGGCCUUGCGUUUCAAUGGUCGCUUAACCACCGAAACCGCUCCUGAGGUGAUCAGAUCCGAAACUCUUAUCACUGUACAAGGAAAAAGGAUUAAUAAGAAUUAAUUAAAUGAAAUGAAACAAUAGGAAGUGAUGAAUGAAGAAUACAAUAUUUUUGAAACCGAGUAGAGAAGUAAGGGGGCGAUCCGGGGUGAUCAGUGCUCGGCUAAUGCCUCCAUUGACGAGGACCGUCUCGGGGUAGGCCCAGCAGUUAAUCCUGAGACCCGACCCGAGUAGUUUUUGAAAACCCUCCUCAUCGUGCUUCCCCGGAGAAUAAUCCUUCGCCGAGGUGGGAGGCCUCCACCAAAAACCCCUAGAAAAAUCCUCAGGCGGGAUAAAAAGGAAAUUGUGCUUCCACUCUUUUAUAGAUACAUGAGCAUCUACCACCAACUUCGGUACGCUCUUGCCUGGGUUCCCGAAGUAGAACCAUCCUUUCUCACUCCCACUGUUAUGGGUAGUAUAGCAACGACGGAAGAGGUUGAUGGUGGGACUCAGCCCUUAUUCCCGGUAAAGCAUCUCGAACCCGAUGAGAAUCCGGAUUGAGUUCGGGACUAACUGGGUGAUUUUAACACUCCAGUAUCUGAGGCAGUCCCGAAAGAAUCUGGUAGUAGGCAUUCUCAGCCCGACUUCCAGUUGGUCCGUAUAGAUGGCAAAUCUUUCUUUUGGGGGCCGUUCGGCAGUUUAAUCCGGCCGAGGUGUGUAAAUGCUGUAAUCUUGGCGAAAAGGGUACUUGCUGAUCACCUCGUUAGCCACAACCUAAUUGAUGGUGCUGUUGAAUAACGGGAGUUGGCCGAAAUCAACACCCAAGAGAUCGGAAGGGGUAGCCGGUUCUUGUACCCUUUCAUCCCGAGGUACUUCGGAUCCGAGCUCAUCAUUGUAUAAUUCUUCGGAUCCUUCCUGGAUUUGCUCUAGCAACGCCUCGUCCCCAACGGGUACUUCGACUUCCUCCUUCUCCGGGGUGGAAGGGUUCCCUUCCUCCUCUGUCGGAUCGGGCCUCUCCGCUGCUUUGAAGUUCAGCCUGACUGUCUCUCUAUAUGUACCGGCAGUUCGACCCAUAGUGCGAAAAAUAAAAGGAAGGGGUGUCACUUAUUGAUUAUAGAAAAAAAGGGGGCUGGGAUGAGCAAUUAAAGCAACUUGGGUGAUCUUUCUCCCAUACUUCAGAUGCCCGCUGUGACUUCGGAAGACUUAAUAUAGGGGGUGCUGUUAACUUCACGGCGAAAGGUUGAUACUAAUGAACGCCCCUAUUUAUAUAAGAAUAAGGGAAGGUGAAAGGACGGUGUCCCUCGAGCUUUCCCAUGACGCUUCUGCUCUCCUCAUUAAUGACUGACCGGUAUUCUGACUCCCUGUCACAUGUCUUUUCACACAAUCAUGAUGGCUGACUGCCAUUUUGCCUCUCCUUACUUUAUAUGACAUGUCAGCUAUCUCCUACUCACACGAAAGCCUUAGAAGUUGACCGUUGACUUGCCACCUCCCGAGGCUUGAGGAACUUAUUGAGAGUGGUAAUUUUGGCUCGGCCUCCUCGUCUCGACCCCCUCCAGGACGGCUCCCCCAUCCCGCUUGGCGAUGCCCCGUAUUGCCCUGCCUAGAUGUGCCUCGUACCGACUCUGCCGGUCAUCUCGAGCACCUCGGCUACCGAGGUGCUUGUCGUGAAGCCCCUGAUACCUGAUGGGACAACUGGGGCCAAGUCACAGUCUGAUGCCUGCAAGGGGGCAAGACGCUUGAUGGGACUUACCUGACAGACCUGAUGAGACAAGCUGACAUGGCCAGUCUGUCAAGGUAUAGGAAGUUGAUCCCAACCGCCAUUUCUCUCCGAUUGUCCCCUACAAAUACAAGGAGGUUACUUAGAAGGGGGAUUUUUUUUUUCUAGGGUUUUACAAGGUAUAUUGUCUACAAAUUUUUUAAAUAAACUCUCCCCUGAUAGAAGCUAACUAGAUCGUCGGAGGUAUACCGGGAGACUUUACCCCACCUCUGGCACUCUGAACAGGUGACUUCCGCGAGACCGUACCCACUUCAGGAGAGUUACUAUCGCACUCAGGUACCGUCUGUUGAACCCGAAAAUCACCUCUUCAUACAUCAUAUAUAUAUUCCUGCAAAUCAAAUUUACAAAAUAUAACUAAAGAACCCAAUCAUCUAAAUUUAUAUCCAAUUCAUCAAACAAAUCAUCAAAUUCAUCCAAACUCACAAAAUUUAUAAAAUAGAAAUCUCAUACAUGUUUAAUCCCUGAUUAAUAGCAAUCCAAAUUAGGUAACAAGUUCAAGUUCAUAAUCCCUAAGAUUUCAGUCAUUUCCUAACAAAAAUUGUUUACUAUACAGUUGCAGACAAAAGGAAAGUUCCAUAAAGCAAACAGGUCUUCCAUACCGAAGUCAGUCUGCCACCACCCUACAUCAUUUUCUUUUCACAUGCACCUCAAUGAUGUCAUUCUCCUCCAUUUCAAGCCCAGCAGGGGUGGCAAUAGGACUAAUUUUAUCUCCAUCAAAACAAAAAACUAGAUUCUGCAAAUCAAGCUUGACCUUGUCAGCAUACAUCUUGAAGAGUCUCUCAAAUUUAUCAUCCAUGAAAACUCUAAAUUGCUUGGUCCAUCCUUGUCCUGGAUCGUAAUAACAAUCUUUGCUCUGUCCUGGCAAGUAUCUGAGGGCUGUUCUGCAACACCUCUUGUAGGAGAUUGUGAUGAUGCAUUAAGGUGACUUUUCAUAGAUUCUGCAGCAGUGAACUCUCGUCUCACAGAUUCCUCAACAGCUUUCAAUGCGUCCUUUGCUGAUUGGCUUAGCGAAGCUAGUUCCUGCCUUUUCAAGUGACAACGGUGGAGGCUUUUAGAUUUAGGGUUAUCGGAGUUGAAGAGGAAAGGAAGAAAACUACGGAAUGAGAAGCAAAGUAACUGACCCAAGUUUUGUUAAUUUUGUUUGAUUUUUUCAAUCAUUUUUUAACUUUUUUAGUUGGUUAGUCAAACUUUUGAUUGAAAAAAAAGGCAGAAAAAGGACAAAAAAAAAUCGGGGUGGAUCAAAUUAUCCGGUUCACAGGUCAAAUCCGGUUUAUGACCGGGUUUGACCGAGUUUUUAAUACUCGAGUUUUUUAACUAACUCGGACCGGAUGCCUAGCUAGUUUUCGGUUCGACCGCCGGUUCGGUCUGAGUUUGAAAACACAAAAAAAAGUGAUUGAAAAUGCGUUCGUAAAAAAUUAUAAAAAAUGGAUUUCCAAACAAGACGUAUCUUAAACUGUGAUUUAUUGAGUGGCUGUUUUGAAGUUCUUGGGACUUUGAUUAACUUCUUAGCUUUAGACCCUCCCUACAACAGAUCAUUGGAACAAAGAUUCCACUCAAAAUAUAUUGUCAAAGAAACAUUAAAUAUACUUUCUUUUCCUAUGGGUUGAUUACACUUUAUAAAACUAGGAGUAUUUUCACUUUGCCCCCCGGCCGGAAUCCAAACAACAGAUCACUUUGCCCAUCAAUGAGUAUUACGCUAGAAAAAGUGACUGAGAAAAGCUAACUUGAACAAUUUCAGAGUAGAGAAGAUUUGCAUGGAGCAAUCGUAUCCUUCUUGUCGUUUAGAAGAGAAUAUAAAUAUUAACCUAAAAAAAAUAAAGAGGAAAAAGGAAAAUUUUGCAUAAGUUUUUUAGGUCCAAUUAAGCAUAUUUCACAGCUUCCACUGAAAUUUCAAAACUUUCAAUUAGUUUAAAGGAUUUAUUUUGACCAAUUAUAUAAAAAGUAUUGGAAUUUCAGCCUUGUAAAUUAGGCCCAUCUAGUCUUUUAAUGUCAAUUUUUAGAAAUCUAGUCAAGUUCUAAUUUGUUUCUUUCAUACAUGUUCAGCUUUAUAUGUAAACAAACACAUACACAGACAUAUACAUGAAUCUAAUUGUUCGGUAGAAUAUUGUACUUUUUCAAUACCUACCAACGUUUGUAUCUGUCAAUUAGGCUGGAUUUCCGUUGGGUAAUUCAAUAUCUUUUGGAUUUGUCCAAGCCGUGAGUUAGGAUCUGGUCCCGAGUAAUUAUGAAAAAAAAAAUUAAUUUGACAACCUACAAAAGUAAUAACAAAGACUAUAAUAAAAUGUGGAAAAAAUAUUAAAUAAUAAUGACACAAAAAUUUACAUGGUCCGGUCAAUUAGACCUAUAUCCAUAGAAGAAUGUCAGCAAAAUUCAUAAUCAUAAGAAUACAAAGCUUAGGACAUCUUAAAGCAGCAAAAUAAAUGAGAGACAAAUGUAAAAGAGAAACUCAAGAUUGAACAACCAAGGAAUGUUUCCGAACUUGGAACUCUCAACUCUCUCGGCUGGCUUUUAGAAAGAAAUGUAGUAGUGGAAUGGUUGGUGCCCCAAUACCACAAAAUAUGAAAGAGAUUAAACAAGAAAUCUCAAUAUUAGACAAAAGGGGGAGAAUUCCCUAAAUGAGUUUAUUUCUCUGGUAUAGAAGUGGCAUACCAAAUGCCUUGCCAAACCGCGUAUUUAUAGGAGAAAUUCUUCAAUAUGAAACCACCAUUCGAACAUGAGUUGCUACUGAAAUUUUUGACAGCUAAAGCCUUCAAAAUAAUAGUAGAGGUAUGACAUAGGCUGGUGAAUACUAGAGCUGGCAAUUUGUCCCAAGUCCCAAUGGGCUACCCAUGCCCAAAGGAACUUUGGGCGGGAUGGGUAUUAUAAUUUGAUAUUGGGUUUAAGUUGGGACACAUCCCAACUAUACCCAUUAAUGAAUGGGAAAGGGUGGGAAAUACUUGGGUACCCAUUGGGUUCAAAUAGCAAGGGCUCCGUUUGGAUUAGCUGUUUUUAGGGGGUAUUUUUGAAAUAUUUUAUUGUAACAGUGUAUAUGAAAAAUAUUUACUAUAAAUUUUUUUUUGAAAUAUUUGAUAUACUAAUAUGGAUGGGAUGUUUCUUGAGUUAUUGUAUAUUACUGUAACAUUGUAUUUGAAAAACUUAUUUUUUGAAAAAAUAGUCAAUCCAAACGGAGUCUUAGAUUCAAAAAUCAUCUUUAACAAUUUUUAUAGUCAUACCAGCGAAUAUAAUCUAGUAGUCUUCCUAGUCAUUAUCCACAAGAAUUUCUAGCAUUUCAGUCAGUUUAGAUCUGUCAUCCUUGGACAAUGAUCAGGAUAAAUAUUCAACAUCCUAAGGACCUUGGUCAUCUUGAUAUAUGUUAGAAUAUAGCUGUAUAUCUAUCUUUUCUUUUAUUUGUUAAUCUAAUUUUUGGUGGGAAUCUUGAGUAUAAAGCACUUGCAUAUUUAUUUAAUAAAACUAAAAAAAAUUUAAUAAAUCAAAAAUAUUAAAAUUAUAUAAAAAAUAAAAAAUGAAUUAAAGGAAAAAAAAUAUGUAGGAAAUGGAUUUGGGUAUUGGGCGGGAUCAAUCUAAAUUCAUCCCAAAAUGAUCCCGCCCAAGUUAGUCCCAAAACACAUAUGGGUAAGGUUUGGCUCAAACCCAUAUAACUCGGUUCCAUCUCAAACCCAAGCAAAUCCCGCCCGCCCAUUUUGCCACCUCUAGUGAAUACGUACAAAGAAAAAAAUGUCGAUGUAACCCACAAAGCUUGACAGCACCAUAAAUAAUUUUACAAGGAUGUCAAAGACAAAUUUCAACAAGUCUCCACCUUCACUUUGCAUCUAUCAUAUAGUAAAAUCGAAAAAUAGUAAACUUGAUCCACCUUCUCCUUGAAAACUUCAAUGAGCCAAUAUCAUAAAAAAUUCUAAUGGAUCCCAAUGGGCACAUUAUGAAAACCUCAACAAAUUCCGACAUGUUAAAUUACGAAAGUCUCAACAAAUCCCAACAAUUUAUAAAUACAAAAUCUCAACGGAUUCCAAUGGGCCAGAAUCACAAAGGCCUAAAUAGAUCCCAAUAGGCCAAAAUCAGAAGAGCCUUAAUGGAUUCCAACUGGCCUAAUUUACAAAAGUUUUAACAAAUCCCAACAGGCCAAAAUCACACAAGCAUCUAUAGAUUCCAAUGGGCCAAAAUCACAAAGUUUUCAAUGGAUAUUAACAAGUUUAAAGUCACAAAAGACUCAAUAGAUCCCACAAAAAGUCACAAAAGUCCUAAUAGCAUAUGGUAAAAUUGGAAUCAAGCAAAACUGAUGUUGAAACAGUAACAGCAUCUAUAAUAGUAAAUCUCUCUGCAAAAUAUAUAAAGUACGAAACUUGUACGGCUUCAUAACAAUAAAGCACUUGAAGUGAUAUUUAGAAUUCCACCUUUAUCUGUGUACCUUCAAACAUAUAAAGCUUAUAUAAACUUUAGUUCAAGUAGAGUCAAUUUACUAUCGUCCUCUUUAUGUAUAAAAGCUCCAAUUUAUCCCACAAGUCUUUGGCCGUCUUUAUUGAGCAAUUUCAUGCAAAACCUCAUCAGAGAGAUUUAGGAUAAUCGCCAAAAGGGCUUUAUUAUCCAUUUCUUUAGAUUGCUCAUCCAUAAUUUUUUUUGGCUUUUUCUCCUUUUGACGUAACGCUACUUCUACUCCAUCUUACAUGAGAAUAGCUUUCAUUUUAAGUUGCCACAAAUCGAAACUGACACUUCGAUCAAACUUAACAGUAUAGGUCUUCGUUAUCGUCACAAUGGUUGAAGCAAAAAAAAAAAAAAAAGAACUGAACCCGAGAUAACUGGGAUGUGAUACCAGUUUGUAAGGAUCUGGUCUCGGGUAAUUAUGAAAAAGUUAAUUUGACAACCUGCAGAAGUAAUAACAAGGGCUAUAACAAAAUGUGGAGAAAAAUAAUAAAAGACAAUAACGCAAAGAUUUACGUGGUUUGGUCAAUUAGAUCUCCAUCUAGAAAACAAGGUGAGCAAAAUUCACAAUAAUAAUGAAGAAUACAAAGUCUAGGACAAAAUUUCUAAAGCUCCAAAAUAAAUGAGAGACAAAUAUAAAAGAGAAACUCAAAAUUGAAUAAACAAAAAAGGCUUCCCAACUUGAACUCUCAACUCUCUCGAUGGCUUUUAGAAAGAAAGGUGAUAGUGGAAUCGUUGGUGCCCCAAUAACUCAAAAUAAGAAAGAGACUGAACAAGAAAACUCAAUACUACAGGAUGGCUUUUAGAAAGAAAGGUGGUAGUGGAAUGGUUAGUGCCCCAAUACCUCAGAAUAAGAAAGAGACUGAACAAGAAAACUCAAUACUACACAAAAGGAGGAGAAUUCCCUAAAUGAAUUUAAGUCUCUGGUGGUAGAAGUGCCACACCAAAUGCCUUGCCAAACCGCGUAUUUAUAGGAGAAAUUCUUCAAUAUGAAACCACCAUUUGAAAAUGAGUUGCUACUGAAUUUUUUGACUGCUAAAGCUUUCAAAAUAAUAGUAGUGCUAUGACAUUGGAUGGUAAAUAGAUAAAAAGAAAAAAAUGUUCAUGUAGCCCACAAAACUUGACAGCAUCAUAAAUGAUUGGGCAAAUUACAUUUUACCCCCUGUGGUUUAGCAUUUUUUAUAUAACUCCCUUAUGGUUUCAAAAGCUAUACAUAACCCCUUCAUGGUUUAGAUUAAAGUGUCAAAGUGACGGAAAUAAUCAUUCGUAAUGAAACCUAUGAAAAUAUCGAAAUUACUCUUGUUUAAAAACUAAAAUGGCUAAAGUAAAAAAUAUAUAUAAACAUAAUAUGCAUGACACUCUAAUCCUGUAUAAUUUUAUAUUUUGCCAUAUAACCCCCUUAUAGUUUAAUGAUUUACCAUAUAAUCCUUUUAUGAUUUUCAAAUAUAUACAUAACCCCCUGUGGUUAAUAAAUAAUUUUUAAUUUUACAUAGGGGUAUUUUUGACAUUUUAGUUGACUUUGUUAUGGAUUUCAAAUUUCAUCACUUUGAUACUUUAAUCCAAAUCAUGAGAGGGUUAUGUACAACUUUUGAAACUACAGGAGGGGUUAUAUAAAAAAAAUACUAAAUCACAAGGGGAUAAAAUGUAAUUUGUCCUAAUUUUAAUGAAUGCCGUCAAAAUAAAGAGUGAAACUAGUAGUAUAACUGAGUAGUAUAGAACAUCCUACUCACAGCUAAGAGUCCAAGAUAACUGCGAAUUAUAUAGGCAGUAAAGAUUGUGGUAUGGUGCAAUUAAACACGAUUGCUAUAUUAAAAAAAGAAAAAGAAAAGAAGAACACCAUUGCUAUAUUUCUUACAACUAGAAGUCAAUGCCUUUACCCAAGUUGUCACUAACCAUGUGUGUGCUCAAAUUUAGUAGUAACGACUUCAAAAGUCAUCGUCGAAUUUUAUCAACAGUGACAAGAUUUUUGUUGACACUGAAAAUCUUGUCACUAAAAAUCAUUUUUAUUGUAGUGAAAUUUCAAGAUUCGAUAUACAUUUGUAAACAUUACUAUUUCACGCACACGAUUUCGUUAUAGAGGCGUCACAAACAACAAUUUUACAAGACUAUAAAAACCAGAAUUGUACACAUGCCUCAGAUCUUUAGUCUAAGACCAUAUGUAGAGUACAAAUUGGCAUUUCGUGACGCCUUCCACUUCCCCUCUUUCACCUUCUGCGCACCAUUCAGGUAGAGACUCGAACACUGAGCAUGGAGGGCGGAAGGUUCCUUCUGAAGCGCUGGUAUCAAUCUCCUGACUUUGAUGUUUCCUUGUGCAUUUUAAUAAGAGAAAAAAAAAACCUCAAUCAUUCUUCUUCCAUUCACUAUAUAUCUCUAUAUAAGAUGCCAAAACUUGUUUAUUCGUGAGCUUCCCUUUCUUCAAACAUUUCACUUCUACAUUUUUCUGUACACAUUUCUGUCUCAUACUUAUACCAAUAAAUUACAGUGAAUUACGAACUCAAGAAGACCCACGUUCAUGGAUAAUCCAGUGAGUAGUUCAUGGUUCUCUGAGCUGGUGAGUUUUCUUCCUUUUUUCACUAUUUAUGAUGAGUUCUCCUUCGCCAUGAAUUUACUUUUAGCAGCACUAUUGGCACAUUGAAAAGAAUACAGACUUCCACGAUACCAGUGCUUUCAUCGCUUCAUUCAAGUUAAAAAAAAAAAAAAAAAAAAAAUAGCCUGUCAGUAUACCUUAAUUUUUUUAAAAUUUUUGGUUCUCUUACACAACUACUUUUUAGCUAAAAGUAAGAUUGUACGUAACAUAGUUCAUUUUCAUUCUCAAAUUAGGAAUUCCAAGCCAGAUUUUUUUUGCUUUUUUACAACUACUGGUAAGUGCUGAGAAUAAUGGCUUAAGAAUACGGUCAACGGAGGAUUCAGAACUCAAAAAUGGAUUUUUCCUUUUCGGGCAUAAUUAAAUGAAAAUUUGAAAUCUAGGAGCACGUAAAUAGCCUUGAUUUCUAAAUCUAAUUUGAUGUACUUGUCGAUCUAGCAUUAAGCUUCGUUAGAACAUAUUUUUUACCCAUAAUAAUGCAAAAUUUGCAAGGAGUUUCAAGAACUGCAUAUCUCGUAAUUAUAUUGGAAAAACUUCCAUUGAUCACUUAACCUAUUUCUUAUACAUUUCCACUUUUCUUUCAAAUACAGGGAAUGGAAGAUUCAUUUUUCAAUGACCAAUAUGAUGUUAUGGAUUUUCUGGAUGAAGAAUUCCUGAACGCAAAUUUGUCCCCGGAAGGGAAUACUAAUUCCUCCACCUUCAUUCCAAUAAGCACUUGCAGUACCACUUUGUCUGCAUUUUCAACCAUGGAUGCUCCUCCAAUUAGUACUGAAAGACCGGCAAAACAGCAAAAGUCCGAUGACUUGAACUCUUCCAGUCUUGGAAACAUCCCAAAUCAUCAUAAUCAGCCAAUGAUUCUCACUUUUGGCAAUCCAGUUAUGCCCGCAGAAAUAAAUCCACAACAGAUAAAUCUUGAGGAUGAUGCCGUGUCUGAGAUUUUGAAGUCCCAUGGUUCAUUUGUAAACCUUGAGGAGGCAACCAGAAGUUCCCAGAAGAGAAAGAAAACAGGUGGCCGCACUAGGCCAGCAUCGCAAACUUAUGAUCACAUUGUAGCAGAAAGGAAGCGCCGCGAGCAGCUCAGCCAGAGAUUUGUAGCUCUGUCAACUCUAGUUCCCGGCCUCAAGAAGGUAAUUUAUGAAUUUAUUAUUACAAGAAUGACAAGAACAUCAAUAAACCAACAAAACGUUUUUGAUAUUAAGAUCUUAUUGCUGUCGUAGAUGGAUAAAACUUCUGUUCUUGGAGAUGCUAUCAGUUACUUGAAACAUCUUCAGGAGCGAGUGAAGACGCUGGAGGAACAAGCAGCGAAACAGAACAUGGAAUCGAUGGUGCUUGUGAAGAGAUCACAGCUCCUAGUUGAAGAUGAAGGAUCAUCAGAUGAGAUGGGUGGCUCUGAUGAGCAGCCACUCCCUGAAAUUGAAGCUAAAUUAUGCAAUAAAAAUAUUCUUCUCCGAGUACACUGCCGAAAUUAUCGAGGGGUGCUGGUAAAAAUUCUUUCUGAGGUGGAAAUGCUGAAUCUUACUCUUAUCCACACAAGUGUUGCGCCAUUUGGACGUUUGGCUCUUGAUGUUACUCUUAUGGCCGAGGUGAGCUCAUAGUUAAGGAAGAUUUAUUCAGGUUAAUAUUUUGAUUGGCAAUGAUACAUCUUUUUUUUUUUUGGUUUGUUCUAAUUCCUUAAAACAUUUUUCCAGAUGGAGAAAGAAUUCAACCUGACAAUGCAGGAAUUAGUUAAAAGUCUUCAAUCCGCCCUUCAGCGGGGCAAGCAAGGCGAUUGAAUGCUGUUCGACGUCUGGCAGUUAUCUACUAGUGCUGAUUGACAAGUAUGCAAAAAGAAAUGGCAGUGAAGACCAUGAAUGUAGACCAUGAAUGUAGGUUUAUUUGUCAAAAAUUCUUACUUUCGUAAGAAAAUGUCAGAAAGGAAGACCAUGAAUGUAGGAAGACCAAGGUACAAGGAGGUAGAAUUUAUGGAUGACCAUGACCGUCUUGAUCACGGGAUUAGACCAAAAAACAGUAUCCUCGAGGGUCUCGAGGCGUGUCAGUAUACUAAGAUAUUACCAUGUCCUCCAGAGGGAUUUUCCUGAUUGGUUUUCUACUUCUUGGCCAUCAUUACUCUCAUUUCGCUUGUGUUCCUUAAAAGAAUGGAUAAAUUUUUCUCUUGUAUCCAUCUUUUCCUCCGCCAAAAUAAUGAUAAAAAAAAUAUUGGCACAUAAAAACGCACAUAAUGAUAGCUAUUGAAUAAACAUAGAAAUAUAUGUCUGAAGAGAAUAAGAAUAAAACCAAAAAUUCGCCAUCAAGCAGUAAAUGAUUUUAUUCACUCAAAACUCAUCAGCUAUAAACUAAGAAUUCUUUCAAAUUUUGGAGGCUUUCCAAAAUUUCUCUGUUCAGUCUCUCUUCAGCUAAAAUUUUCAGCCAAGCACCAAUUUAUAUAUGGGCUACAAUUGCAUGACUGAGAAACUUAUCAAAUGCAACAGACCAGUAAAAAUUCUGACGCGGACUUUAAGGUACUUGGAUUAGAAUUUAGAACCGAAAAAUGAUUUGUAAUCUGCCUAGGGCUAUGAUGGAACUAAGUUACAAUUAAAGGACCAACGAAUUAUACACAUGACACACAAGCUAAAUAAAUUAACUAAGUCUGAUUUGAAUAUGUUAACAAGAAAUGUGAAGUUUCCCCUUUACAAUAAGGAUAAUGGUGUAAACUACAACACAUGAUAUAGUAAAAAAAAUCAACAUUUCCUCUCUCCUCUUCAUGAGUUGACAAAAUAUAACGAGGAGAAAUUGCAAGAGAAACCAAAAAAAAAAAAAAGAAAAAAUGAUUAUAACUUCCAUUAUUUGUAUAUGCAUCCUAAGAAGGGAUCUUUAUUAAAAUGUUAAAGCUAAUAUUAUCAUUUUAGGUGGAUAAGAAAAGUAGGUAUAAUUUUUAAAAUCUCGAGGGAGCUCAGUAAAAUUAUCAAAAAUCUCAAAGGAGGUUUUUGAAAUUACUAUCCCACUUAUUAUGCAAAUAUUUAGUAAUAAUCAUGGUAUAGAUAGUUUCAAAUUUGAGAUCCUAACUAGACUGGCAUGUCAUGGCUUAGAAAUCUUAAUAGGGUAAAAUAUACUUUACUCCCUUGUGGUUUAGCAAUUUUUCAUAUUAAUCCUCUUGUGGUUUUAAAAAACUAUAUAUAACCCUUUCAUGAUUUGGGCUAAAGGGACAAAGUGACAAAAAAAAUCCUCUGUAAUAGAACUCAUAGAAAUGUUAAGAUUACCUUUGUUUAAAAACUAAAAUGGCUAAAGUGACCAAAAUAUAUAAACAUAACAUACAUGACACUUUAACCCUUUAUGAUUUUGUGUUUUACUACGUAACUCCUUUAUAAUUUUCAAAAUAUAUACAGAAUUCCUCAGUGGUUAAUAAAUAAUUUUCAACUUUAUAUAUAGAUACUUUUAACAUUAUAGUUGGUUUCGUUAUGGAAUGUAAAUUUCGUCAGUUUAAUACUUUAAUCCAAAUCAUAAGAUUAUAUAUAACUUUUAAAACCACAUGGGGUUACAUGAAAAAAUACUAAACUACAGAGGGAUAAAGUGUAAUUUAUCCAUCUUAAUAUAUCAUGUUGUCUUAUUUUAUCCAAUGUUACAACGCAUAGAGGAAAAUUACUUUCCGUUGCUUGCUCUCGCCAUUUGCUUAUUGUGCUUUAUUCUUUUGAUACAAGUAUCCCAAUUGACCUGUCUUCGUUUAUGAUAUGGUAAAAAUGAACUAUUCAUACUAGACGAAGUUUACGCAAAACUAUUUCAACAUGUGUUAUUUAACUCAGGUAGGGUAAUUUAACAGAGCACUCCUAGGUGUUAAAAUUAAUCGCGACACAAGUGUACAAUUAUGCAUAUUAGACCAACUUGCUCAAAACAUAAGUCAAUAUUAUUAAUCAUUUCGCUGGAAAUCGUCCUGCACGAUUUGCUUUCAGUUGGUUAUGAUUAAAGAGAGGGACCUUAAGAAUUAGAAAAUUACUUUUUUUUUUUGUAGGCAACAUCAUCAAAUAAUUAAUUAGCAAAUGCUACGUAAGUAACCAAAAUCCAGCAACCCACGAGUCCCACGAGAAGCCGUACUCUACCUCAACCAAGACCAGGAAAGAUUUGUCCCAAAAUAAACAAAUGGCGCAUAAAAUUCUUGGUCUAGCUGCAUGCUUUUCCAAAUUGACAUUCUAGCUUACUUUAGAGUCUUAAUCUCUUGAAACUUUUUGACAUAGGCUUCAAAAUUGGCAGCAUCAUCACUAACAAGAUUCUGUACUCAUACUUUUGACUGCCAACUCCGCACUAAGCAGCCUGCUUGACUCUGACGAGAGCAUCGAAGACUUUCAAACUGUACUUUGGCGGCCAGAUUGAGUUUUUUCUCCAUCUUAUUAAAAAUUAAUUAAUUAAACACUCAGAGGCUCAUUAUCUAAAAUUCUGUAAGACAUAUAUAGCAAUGUUUGUCACUAACUUAAAUUGGAUCCUCAGCAAUAUUUGUAACGUCAAGAGCUAACCUUAAUUUUAAGCGUUGAUCUACACUAUCUCCAGUGGCCAAAGUUAAAAUGAACAUUUUAACUAUGAAUUUUUAAAAGCAUUGCUUGUUCCACCACUAAUUUGUAAAGAGCACAUAAAAUAAAAUUACUUGUUCUAUGUUAUAUGAAUGCUUUCACUAUUACAAGUAAUUGUUCAGAAAGUUAAGAAAUAUUUGCAUCUUAUUUUGCCCUCACUAAAGGAAAAUUCUGGCCCCCACCUUUCAAAGGGUGCAAAACUUGUGUUGGUAACAGCAUUAGAGAAAUAAAAUAAAUAAUUUAAAACUAUCUGUAGCUUCUCUACCUCAAAAGGUAAUCUGAUCAGCAGUUAUUUUAGGAUUGCAUACUUUAGCUGCAAUUUCAGUGAGUAGCUGCUUAUAUAUCAAGGCCAUCAAUCAGUCUCAUCGGGUGAUCCACCGUCUUCACCUUAGAGUUUUGAUUUCUUCACAAGCACGUAGGAUACCGGCUGUUACAUUGUUGAGCUAGAGGGGCCACUGCCCAAUUCCAAGAAAAUUAGGUUUUGUCCCAUGAUAACUUAGAAAAUUUACAAAAGUAUCCUUUGUAUUAAAUAAAAAAAGAGAAAAAGUUCCCCACAAAAAAAAAACUUUGAUAAUUAUGUAUGAUGCAUUAAAGUUUAGAUGUGUAUAAAGCUAGCCGUGUCAUAAACAAGGGCAAACUAGGGGAGCGGGGCAGGGCCACCGCCCCAAGUUCUAGAAAUUCAUGCAUGUCACCCAUAAAAUUUUGAGAAUUUUCAAAUCUUUUAUAUAUAUAUUUAACUAUUUGCCCUCCCAAAUUCUAGAAAGUCAUGCUUUCUACUGUUCAAAGUUUGAGAAUUUUCAAAAUUUUCUAUAUUUAUUGAUCUUUUGUCUUUCAAAACUUUGGCUCCUAAUUUUACAUGUGUAUAUAUUGUGCCCUCUCAAAUUAAAUUUUCUAGUUCUGCUACUGAAAACAAAUGUUUCUGGUUCCAUAUCUGCAUGGUUUACUCCUCUAGUGUAUUUACCCUCUAUGGAAGAUGUCUUGGGUUUGUGACAGCUUCUCCAAGGAUAGAAGUUUAAUACAUUUGCAAGAGUAAGAAAAGCUUGUGAAAUAUGAAAUUUCAAUAAACAAAUCUGGUGCAAGUUAUGUAGUUAGAUGUGUGCGUGAUGAGUACAGUUACGCAAGUUGUGUUGUUAGAUAUAUGUCCAUGUAUAAUUAUGCUGAGGUAGUAUAAUAGGUAUGUAGUUGAUCAAGACUCUGCUUGCCAGCAAUCAAUUCGACAUAUGCUCCUACAUCAUUAACAUUGCCCCUAAAUUUACUUGAGAUACCAAUUUAAUUCCCAUUUUCUUGAGGCCAAGAACUAUGGCCAAAGGAGCUAGGGAUCGCUGACUGAGCUACAGCUUCAAAUUCUUUCUAGUGUUGUGUGAUCAUACAUGUGAAAAGGUGCGCCAUUUGGCCUCAGAUCAAUCCUUCAAAGAUUUUAGAGACUGUUAUUGCAUUUUUUUCCCCCUUCUCACAAAGGGGUAUUUUAGAAUUUUUGAGGACAAAUUUAGCAUAGUGAGUAUAUAUUGUUACUGCAAUACUAAUAAUAGAGAAAGUAAGUAUAAUUUUUCAAACUAAAGAAGAGCUGCCUGCAGUAGUCAGAAAUCUCAGGAGAGGUUUCUUAAAUUAUCUCAAUCUUUAAAGCUUAAACGGGAAAACCACGGGCAGACACCAGUCCGAGCCGAUUGGUUAGAAAGAAAAGCUUUGUCGUCCACCGUACUUGGAACCUUUAAUCUUGCAAAAAGUUUUAUGCUAUGAUAAAAUUCUUGGUCGUGUUUUGGACGUUACCGUGUACUAUCAUUUUGAUGAAUUAAGGCUGCAAACGAGUCGAGCCGAGUAGAGUUUUGAACUAAUUGAGUCGAGUCUCGACUAAAUUUUACCGAGCUCGACGAGCCGGCGAGCCGGCAAAUUUCGAGGUCGAGCUCGAAAAAAAAUAAAAAAUAAUUAUUUUAUUUUUAAAAAAAUAAAUAAAAUAAUAUUUUUUUAAUAAAUAAUAAAAUAUUAAAAAUAUAUACGUAAUUUUACUAUGAAAAUAAAAAAUAAAAAAUAUAUAUAUAAUAUACGUAAUUUUAUUAUUAAAUAAAAAUAAAAAUAAUAUAUAUAUAUAUAUAUAUAUCCAAGGCUCGCGAGCUAACGAGUUUAAUAUUCUGAACUCGACUCAAGCUUGACUCGAGCCGCUCGAGCGGCUCGAUUCAUUUGCAAUCCUAUGAUGAAUGUCUCUUUGAUGCAGUCUCGAGUGGUUUUCUACGCCCAUCAUAUUAAUGUGCAUACAAUAUUAUGGUUUCUAAUUGAGCGGCGAGAGAAUUUUUUGUGCCUGGUCCAACAAUUCCUAGCCUUUCUCACCGUCAUAGAAUAUUCAAUGUUAACCAAUACCCGUAAAAAGUCAUCACUGGUGGACGUUGCUAGAGUUCUGGAUACUGUAGAUUUACCCUGUUGUCGUUUGGCUUUUGGACACCCCUAAAUGUUUGAGUCAAAAACUCAUUUUCACGUUAGAAUCAAGAAGGUUGCCUUUACAGUAGAUAUGUAGGCAAGCAAAAUCAUUAUGGCGCAAAAGACAUUCAAUUUCAACCAUGUUAUGUAUUUUUGGACCUUUCUCACUUCAGAGUUUAAAGGGUAAAUUACACUUUAUCCCCCUAUGAUUUAAUAUUUUCUUACAUAAGCCCCCUAUAAUUUCAAAAUCAUAUAUAAUUCCCUCAUAAUUUGGAUUAAAAUGUCAAAGUAACGAAAUUUGCAAUCCAUAACGGAGAUAACUAAAAUGUCAAAAAUAUCCCCUAUAUAAAGUUAAAAAUUAUUUAUUAACCACAAGGGAGGUUAUGUAUAUAUAUUGAAAAUCAUAAGGGAAUUAUAUGGUAAAGUACCAAACCAUAAAAGAGCUAUAUAGUAAAAUAUAAAAUCAUACGGGAUUAAAAUGUUAUGAAUAUUAUGUUUAUAUAUUUUAGUUAUUUUUAGUUUUUAAACAAGGGUAAUUUUGAUAUUUCAUAAGUUCCGUUAUAGAUGAUCAUUUCCGUCGCUUUGACAAUUUAAUCCAAACUAUAAGAAUUUAUAUAUAGUUUUUAAAACUAUACGGAGAUUAUGUGAAAAUUAACUAUACUACAAGAGAGCAAAGUGAAGUUUGCCCAAGUUCAAAUAUGCAUGUCCAGUAUAUGUCGUGCUUUAUUUGCAAGUGGUUCUAGUCGUGGAGUAUUACGCCAUAAAGACUAGUUAGAAGACCACUGUAGGUUUAGAAUUGAUUUUCAUUUAUAGAAUAUCCUUAGUUCAUCUGACAAUAGAUGAUGACUAGGUAUAGAUGUAUGCUAUUUAUAAAAACGUAACAAUGAUGUAAACAGAGAUAGUGUAUCAUGAAUUUAAUUUUGUUCAUAUUUUAAAAAAAAAUUAUUGACAGAGUAAUUAGAAACAUUAAUCUGUUAAGCUCGUUGGUGUCUUCACUGCUUCGCGUGAUGCACACUUAUUCUAAGAAAUUCAACAAUCAUUAUUUGUCCCUGAGAUUGAUUGACACAACAUGACAAUUAGAGAGGAAAACAUAAGUCCGAAAGUAGCAUUACUCAGUUGACCUUAAUUCUUUCGAACAAAGCUGCGCCUGCAAAUACACUUGCUUAGGUAUGACAAUUGAAUCGGUUUAGGAUAGAAAACGCACCAAUCUCCAGUCUUACCAACUAGACCUUUUUCUGAAUUAACAUACUUAAUUCGAUCCACGUCCUCCAUGUUUAUUUGAUAGCACUAGUAUAUUUUAAAUUCUAGUUGAAUCAUGCAGACCUUUGACAUAUGCGGAUAUGCCCAUGAAAAAAGCUUGACCCCAUGAUUUAAUGGUAAUAAAAAGUUAGCCUCUAAUAAUGCAAAUUGAAAUCAAAGCUACAUUAUAAAUCCAUUAUUUGCAGAUAUUUAUGUUAUGAUUUGCUUAUCUUUUAUUGUGGGUUUGUCAACUAGUAAGUGCAUUUUCUAUGAUUUUCAAGAAAACAAAUUGGAAGAUUGAAUUGAGAAGAUAUGUAGAAAAAUCAAGGAUUUUGUAGUGAAAAUUACCAGAGAUGUGAUUGGAUAUAUCUUUGGGCACUUAUCAAGGAAUGAUGGUUAAAUUUGGAAAAUCUUGUCAUGCAAUUACACCUUGCCCAACCAAAGACGAAUCCAAUUGCAAUCCAACUAUGGAACGAAGUUUAGUGGGAAUUGGAGAGAUUUUCUCUAUCAAAUAUCUUAUUUUAUAAUGUUUAGUCAUGAAAGCUUAUCAUCACGGCAAUUUUUCUUACCUUAAAUAGGAGAAGCAAAACAUCCAAGAAUAGGAAUUCAUUCCUUCAUGCAGUAAAGUUGAAGAUUGCACUAAGGACUGAGGAGAGAAUAUAUAUGCUAGACAAUUAAUAGGGUAAUUCCAAUAUGUAAUAGAUUGUGUUUUUGCUCCAUAGAAUGAAAGGCAGGAUUGCACGUUUUGAUUGAAGCUAGAAUCAAUUGUAUAGAAUGACAGUCAUGAGUUUAUAUGGCAAAUUGAAAAGAACUUAAAACCAAAAUACCAAAUGUAUAUGAGCCUCAACAAUUAAUUAUUUAUACGUGAUAGUUGUUUGUGUAAUUUCCAUUGGAUACAUCAUACAUCUAUCUCUAAUUGAGCUGGGGCUAAUUAACUGCUAGUGAAAAUGGAAGGUGACCAUAUGUCUUGAAUAUAUAUUAGGGUAAAAUAUACUUUAUCCUCUUGUGGUUUAGUAAUUUUUUACAUUAUCCCUUUGUGAUUUCAAAGUUAUAUAUAAGUCCCUCAUGGUUUAGACUAAAGUAUUAAAGUGACAAAAAUAAUCCUCUAUAACGAAACCCAUAAAAAUGUCGAAAUUACCCGUGUUUAAAAACUAAAGGUCAAAGUGAUGAACAUAUAUAAACAUAAUUGCAUGACACUUUAUCCCCUCAUGAUUUUGUAUUUUAUAUCACAUAACCCCCUUAUAGUUUAGUAAUUCACCUCAUAACCCUUUUGAUUUCUAAAAUAUAUAUAUAACCACUCUGUGGUUAAUAAAUAAUUUUCACCUUUAUAUAGAAGUACUUUUGAUAUUUUAGUUAACCUUAUUAUGAAAUACAAAUUCCGUAACUUUGACACUUUAAUCCAAAUCAUAAGAAAGUUAUGUAUGGUUUUUGAAAUCAUAAGGGAGUUAUGUGGAAUAGCGUUAAAUCAUAGGAAGGUAAAAUGUAAUUUAUCUUAUAUAUUAAGGGUUCACGAAGAAGUGAAGAAAAUUUCAAGUUAGAAGAGUGCAUUUCAUCCAUUAUAUACUAAGUAAGAAAGGAUUCCUCCUCUCUCUAAAAGUGAGAGCUUCUCUCUCUAAAAUUGAGAGCUUCCUUCCUCGGUGUAGGAGCAAAAACUUUUUUCACUUCUCUUACCAAUAUCCCGCCCAGCUUUUGAAACUUUUUCAAAAUUCAAGAACACAAAACGUAAAACUCAUCUGGCCCAACAUUUGGGGGAUACUUGAUCAGAUCAAUGAUGGGAUCAUUGAAGAAGAUAGUAUAUUAUGUAGAUGCUUCAGUUUAAUAUUGUCUCAGUAGCUUUCUCUUUCUUUUUCUUUUCAUCCUUCUCUUGUUCUUUCUUUUGGUCUCCACCAGUCAAGGAGCAGAAGUAAGCUCAUGUGCACAGAAUCCUGAACUAUGGAACUCCAGGAACCCAGUUAGGGGGAAGAGGGAAUCUUUUAUUGCUAUCCGAUUUUCGUUUCUUUUGCUUUAAUUAGUCUCACGUUUAUAGUUUUUUGUGGUGCUCUUUUUUUUAUCUCUUUUAUACUCAGGUCAAAAGGUUGUUUGUCCUUCUUGAGAUAGUACUGGGUACACUGCAUGGUUUCGGGGAAGAUGGAGGAAGCUCUAGCAAACGCCUUACAAAGAUUUGAUCUGUCAGAGACAAAUGGGUGGAAUAGAUCUGAGCAGUGAACAUGUGGCACAAAGUGUUCCGGAUUGUAGAGGAAGCUUGGUUGGAAGAAUAAUGGGAGAUAAGAUAGCCAACUUCACUGGGGUAAAGAAUUUUACCAACCACGUUUGGGGUUAUCCCAGAAACUUAAGAGUUACUGAGAUAGGUCCAAACGUGUUUCAAUUUCAGUUUGAAAGGGAGGAGGAACAGGAAAAGGUUUUGGCAGGAGGUCCCUAAAUCUUAGAUAAUCAGGUUCUAGUAACUAGAGAAUGGUGUGUAGGCUUUGAAAAAAAUGUUGAGUGUUUUAGGUUUGCCAGUCUCUGGAUUCAAAUCUGAAAUCUGCCUGUUCAUUGGAUGAGUAAUGCAGCAGGGAAGAAGAUAGAGAGAGUGUUUAGAAAGGUUAAAGAAGUCCUCUUACCACCAGGGGAUAGAAAGGAGGGGAGACAUAUGAAGAUAUAUGCUGAAACAGACUUAUUACAGCUACUUGUUAGAGGGCCAGUGGUGAAGCUUAAUGGAGAAAUGGUCUAGAUAGAAUUUAAGUACGAAAGAUGCCUAGACUUCCGCUACAAGUGUGGAAUUAUAGGACAUGGAGAUAAGAACUGCAGACUUGAAAUGAGCUCCAAUCAAACUCACAAAGAAGCCCAAUUUGGGCCAUGGAUGAGAGAUGGGAAUAUAAUGAUGCCACUACUCAGGGGUGAGCAUGGAAAAGAACUGAUUCUUAAGGGUCAAUCAAAAACUUCAGAGGAGGGAGUUAUUGAAGAAAAUAAGGGGAAUGGGGUAGUGGAGAGACUGGAACAGAAUGAGUUGAUUAGGAGAAGAGAAGAGGGGGCGGGAAGGGCAAGGGAGAGAAAAGAGGAAACAUGCAGGAAAGUGGAAAACAGGGGGAAGGAAAUAGUGAUAAGUAAUAAGGAAGGGAUAGAUAAGGGGUCAAGGAUAAAUGAGGAGAGGAAGAAAAAUCAGGAUAGAGGAAAAGUAAAACAAGUACAGGAGGAGGAGGACAUGAUAAGGGAAGGUGAAGGUCUUAUGGAUCUAGAAAUGCAGGAAGAUGCAGUUGGACAAGAAACAAUGGAAAAACCAGCAAACAAAGAGAAUUUUCAGAGAGAACAUAUAGGGGAAAAUAAAAAAAAAAUUGCCCAAGGAUUAUCUGUGAAGUUGGAAGACAAAAGAAAACAUCAAAAAGGUUUUCAUAGGAUCAAAAGAAUCCCACUUGGAGAGAUUAAAGACAACAUUCAGGUGGGGGAACAAGGAGGCAAAAGAAAGAAGAUUACAGUAAAUAAGGAGGGCGAACCAAUGGAAGAGGAUGGUUAGGAUGAACCUUUGCUGAAACAAGGGCGAAGGAAAAACAAGAAAAUAGCUAAACAAAGGGAACUGGAGGCAAUCCCAACAAAGCCUCCAUAGUGCAAAUGAAGGUCCUGGUGUAAAAUUGUCGAGGUAUGGGAGCACCCUUGACAAUUCCCCAACUAAAGGAGAUGAUAAAUCUCCACUUUCCAAGCAUUAUUUUCUUGGCUGAGACAAAAAACCAGAAAACAGUAAUGGAAAAGAUCCAAAAAUAGAUUAAGUUUGAUCAAUGUUAUGUGGUAAACUCCAGUGGUAAGGCAGGAAACCUUGCAAUGUUUUGGAAGGAUGAGAUAGAAGUGGUGAGCAUAAAUAAGGAGAGUUUCUUCAUAGAGGUUAAAAUAAACGACAUAGAGUCAAGAUGUGCAUGGUGGCUGGAGGGAAUAUAUGCUAGCACAGAUGAGAAUACCACAAAGGAACAAUGAAAAACUAUAGAGCAAAAAAAGAGGGAGUGGGGGAAACAUUGGGUAAUAGUAGGGGAUUUUAAUGAUAUACGAUCUGGGGAAAAAAAUGGGGAGGGAGAAGGAGACAUGAGAGUAGUUUUACUGAGUUUAAUAGGUUCAUAAGGGAAAAUGAGUUGGUAGAUAUAGGAUUUGAGGGCAAACCAUGGACAUGGUGCAAUCAGUGGGAGGGUAAGGGGGAAGUAAAGGAAAGACUGGAUAGAUGCCUUGCAAGUGUGAAAUGGUAUCAACUUUUUGAAGGAGCUAUGUGUAGCCAUCUAGAAAAUGAAGCAUCAGAUCAUAGUAUGCUCAUAUUGGAUACCAAUCCCACUUAGAAGACAGUAAAAAGAAAAUUCUACUUUGAUCAGAGAUGGGCCAGGAAUGAGGAAACCAAAAGGAUAAUAGAAAGAGCAUGGAGAGCAGUUCAUCAAGGAUCAAGAAUGUUCAAGGUAACAAGGAAGAUAAAAGAGUGUAGAAUGGCUCUUUUAACAUGGAAAAGGAGCAACAACCAGAAUUCAGGGGAGAAAAUUAAGCAUAAAAAAAAGAAAAUACAGGAGAUAAAAAACAGCAACAAUUCAGGAAAAAUGGGACAAUUAGCAGACAUGAAGCUGCAACUCAGUAAAGCAUAUCGUGAGGAGGAAUUCUAUUGGAGUCAAAAGGCAAGGACUAGGUGGUUACAGGAAGGUGACAAAAACACUGCAUUCUUCCAUGCUAGUGUAAUGGCUGCGAGAAAACAAAGAAAAAUCACAAGUUUGCAGAAGGACAAUGGAGACUGGUGCAAGACUGAGCAGGAAGUGAUGGAGGAGAUAUGCAGAUACUACAAACAGAUGUUCACUACUGUAGAAUCAGAGCAAAUGGAGGAAACAAUGCAGGGAGUUCCCACUACUAUUUCACGACAGAUGAAUGAGAACCUGAUAAGACCUGUGGGCGAAGGAGAGAUACACAAAGCACUCCUCUCCAUGCAUCCUAACAAAUAUCUUGGGACAGAUGGUAUGUCUCCACUUUUUUUCAAAAAGUACUGGCACAUUAUCAGUUUAGAUGUGGUUAAUGCAGUGGUCAGUUUUUUUCAUACUGGCAAGAUGCUAAAGGUUGUCAAUGAAACUCUAAUAACUUUGAUUCCAAAGGUGGAAAAUCCUAUCAAUCUGACUCAAUAUAGACCUAUUAGCUUGUGCAACACUCUAUAUAAAAUCAUUUCAAAAGUGCUAGCUAAUAGACUCAAAAUUGUUUUGAACAAGUGCAUUAGUGAGACCCAAUCUACUUUUGUCCCGAGUAGACAAAUUGUUGAUAAUAUUCUCAUUGCCCAUGAGGUGAUGCCUUUUUUGAAAAACAAAAGAAAAGGAAAAGUAGGAUUCAUGGCUCUUAAACUAGACAUGUCAAAAGCAUAUGACAGGGUUGAAUGGAAGUUUAUAGGAAGAAUGAUGAUGAACAUGGGCUUCUGUCCUAUCUUUGUUAGGUGGAUUUUGUCUUGCAUAUCCUCAGUCUCUUAUUCUUUCAAUCUUAAUGGUGCAAAAGUGGGAUCUAUAAAAUCCAGUAGAGGCCUGAGACAAGGCGACCCCCUUUCUCCUUACCUUUUUGAUAGGGUGUUAAUUGUUAGUAAUUUUUAUUAUUAAUUUCCCCUUUGUUCCUACCAAAUAUUGCUUUAAUUAUUAAUAUCUAUGUAUAUUUGGUAUCUGGACUUAAUUUCAGGGAUUAGAGCAGAAAAUUACAAAAAAAAAGAAGGGACUUGCUCCAUAAGAGGGAGACUUCAAAAAGCCCCAUGGACCUGGCCCACAAGGAGAGAAAGAAACGGAAUGGCUGAUGAAGAAUUAAUUGGUACUAAGGGCUCUACUAGCAAUAGCAAACGGGAAGAGAGGAAACAUUGAGUAGGGCCUGGCCCUUUGGUACCCUUUGUUGACUUAUGCGGCAGGGACCACGGAGAAUAGGGAAGGCAUUAGUCAUUUGGCUUUAAAAGAGAAACAAACGUACACAGGAGCUCUUAUCACUAGUUUUAGGAUAGUUUUAGUUCAGUUUUAGUUUUUCUUUUCCUUUUCCUUUGUCAGGCACACGCCAACUGUUCGACAAUAUUCCCUAACGGGAAAAACAUCCCUUAUUCCUUGCUUUCUAGUGAAAAACUUGAUGCCUUUACAGUCAAUUAAUUUGCAUGGAUAUUUAAUUAUGCGGCGUGGCUAAGCCCUUCAUCUAGUUGAAGGCCAACUUGAAGGCGCGGUUCCAAAUAUCUGUGAGAUCGAAUUAAUUUUAUUUAUUUCUUUUAUUCAUUGGUAUUUGUACGUUUCCUGAUUUAAUUGGUUAUGCUUGUUAUGUUAUUUGAAUGUCAAGGGCCCGAUAUUUGAAUUAACCUAAUGAUCUAUGCCAAAUUAAUUGAUUGAAUCCGUAAUUGUUCAAUUGACUAAUACCAGUGGCGACUAGCGUGAUUAGUUUCAUGUUAGAAAAACGUAUGAUCUAAGUUAAACAAACCCUUGUAGCGUGUUUGUUGGUUAGGGUUGGGCUUUUCUAAUUAUUAUUGCAAUCGAGUAAUUAAAUCCUACGGUCGUACUUAGGGUUAUUUCUUGGUUAGAGAAAUAGUUAACGGUCGUACCUUAACUAUCGAGAAAUUAAGGAAAGGUUGGUUGUUCAUCGCGUGUAUGACAACUAUAACUAAUUUAGUAAUGAAUAAUUGAAUUAUCUUUGCAUUGAUGAUCAGUUGAAUGGACCGUGUCUGAAAAGUUGCACCUUUGGCUAGAGUCGUAUUGAUUAUUGAUUAAUUAUUAUUUAUUCCUUUUAGUUGUUUCAUUAGUUAGUUAAUUAGUAAUUUUAUAUUCUCCAAAAACCCCCCCAUACUUCGAACUCUAAAAGAAAUAAGUUAUUCCCAAUCCCUGUGGAUUCGACCCUACUCACCACUAUAUACAAAAGCUGCAUUUUUCCUCGAGUAGGUAAUUAUCAUUGCACAGGCUCGACACCCUGUCACUUUUCUUAAUUUGUGCAGAAGGUUUGUCUCAUCUGAUAAACACAAAGGUUGACAAGAAAAUGAUCACAGGAAUCAAGGUGAGCCAGAAAAAUCCACAAAUAUCACAUCUAUUCUUUUGCAGAUAACUCUUUGAUUUGCUGCAAAGCAACAAUCCAAGAGGCCAAACAGGUGAAAGAGCUUCUAAAGAGCUAUUCAGUGGCUUCAGGACAGCUUGUAAAUUUUGACAAAUCAGCAGUUUACUUUAGUAGAAACAUCCCAAUGGCAAAUAGGGCAGCCAUUUGUGAAGAAUUGGGGAACUUCAAGGAGGCAGCUAAUGGAAGAUAUUUGGGGCUACCAAUGGCGAUAGGAAGGACUAAGAACCAAGUGUUUGGUUAUAUCAAAAGUGCAGUAAACAAAAAGCUAAAAGGCUGGACAAACAAAAUGUUGAGUUUGGCUGGGAAAGAAGUGCUCAUAAAGUCAGUAAUUCUAGCAAUGCCAAACUAUGCCAUGGCAUGUUUCAAACUGCCAAAAGGACUGUGUAAGGACAUUUGCAAGAGUAUAGCCAACUUCUGGUGGGGCAGUAACCAGCAGGAAAAGAAACUACACUGGAUUAGUUGGAAGAAACUAGCAGAUGUCAAAGGAAAAAGGGGUUUGGGGUUUAGGGAUUUAGAAGCUUUUAAUAAAGCUUUACUUACUAAGCAACUUUGGAGAAUCAUUUGUUUUCCAAAUUUGCUUAUGACUAAAGUGAUCAGAGGCAAAUAUUUAAGAGACCAUAAAUCCCUGGAUACCCACCCUCCCAAUUCAGCUUCUUGAUCAUGGAGAAGUAUUCAUAGUGCAUGGAACUUGAUUGAAGAAGGACUAUGGAAAAGAGUGGGGGAUGGAAAACAGGUGAACAUAUGGUUGGACAGAUGGGUGAUGUGUUCGGAGACAGGAAAAGUUUCAACUCUAUGCCCUCCAAACUGCCAAGUGCAAACAGUAAGCCAGCUGAUACGAGAAGGAAGUUGGAAUGAGGUCAUACUGCAGCAAGUUUUCAACCAAAAAGACAGGGAGCAAAUAGCUAGCAUGCCUCUCAGUGCGUUUAAAAGACAAGAUAGAUUCUUUUGGUGUUUUUCGAAAUCUGGAACCUACACUGUCAAAACAGGUUAUGCAAAGGUUGUGCAGGCAAGCAGUAAUGUCAAAAAAAGAUAGAAGCUGGAGGAGGAAACAAGCUGGAAAAUUAGGAAACAUAGCAUCUGGAAGCAACUUUGGAACCUGAAUUUAAAGCACAAAAUAAAAAACUUCAUCUGGAAGUGAUUGCAAGAUAGAAUAGCUGUUAAAGAGGCUCUCUACAAAAGAACUGGUAAAGGGGACAAUAUUUGUACAAUCUGUGGAGAAGAAGUAGAAACAGUUGAACACAUAUUUUUCAAAUGUCCAAGAGCCCAAAUAGUAUGGAAACUAGCACCAGUUAGAUGGGAGGAGCUGGGGGAUUUACAAAAUAAUUUGUGGAGAUUGUGGGAGGCUGUAGCUCAGACGGGAUCAAAGGAACAUGGGAUGGAACAUAUCAGCUUGACAGCAAACAUCUUAUGGCAAAUUUGGAAAGCAAGGAACAAGGUAGUGUUUGAACAGCAAAGAGGUGAAGCAAGAGAUAUAGUACUGAGAGCACAACAAGAAUGGCUCGAAUUUGAAGAGGUGAUGCAGCAGGAAGGAGUAACCAAAUAGAAAGGAAUGGCUUCGAACUAGAAGGAAUAGAUAAAGGUACCAUCAUUAGAAGGAAUCAUUCGAAUCAGCACAGAUGCUGCUAUCAAUGCAAGGAUGAUCAAAACAAGAAAAGGAAUAGUUGCAAGGCAUUGGACAGGCAAGAUUAUAAGAGCAAAGGGAGUAGUAGAAAGAAAAAAAGGUGAAACUCUAAUGGGGGAAACAUUAGCCAUUAGAUUAGCUCCCCAAAUGGCACGAGAAGCAGGCUGGAGGAAAAUUGCUAUCCUAUCAGACUGCAAGACUGCCACAGAUUACAUCAGAUGUAACAAUGUGCAGGAUGGGAUUCUAGCAACCGUCCUAGAAGACAUUGAGGAUCUAACACUAUAUUUUGAAUAUUGCACAAUAUCUUGGGUGCCUAGAACAUCUAAUAUAGCAAGUCAUAGGCUAGCACUUUUUGCAUCAAAGCUAGUUAAUGACAUAGAUUGGAUAAAUGACUUCCCAAUUUGGUUGAUAGAAGCAAAUAGGAUAGAUGAAAGGGCUGUUGCCCCCUUUUGUAACUAAUUCUUGUAUUAUCAAGUGUUAAUAUAUAUAAAGAUAUUGCCAUUUGUUGAAAAAAAAAAUCCAUUGUAUACUAAGUGCACGAAGCCAACUUUUAUUUACUUAAAGUUGACAGCGACAUAGGAUGGUCAAUAAGACUUUCACUCAUUCACGCUUUUGAACAUGCUCUCGUCUUACAACAUUAGGGGUACCUUAGCUGUGUGAGACACAGCUGGUCCCCUAGAAAUUUAGUUAAACACACAAUAACAAAUUUUUGUAAAUACAGGAGAAAUUUUGAGCAUCAAAAUAAUUAAAUUAAAAUUUGUCGCCAAGAGAAAUUUCGUCUACGAAGUUAGCACCUAUUUAUCAUGAUUUGAACAAAGAUUUUUGAACCAAUAUUAUGUGAACAUAAUGAUACCAACAAAAAGGAGAGAUAAUAAAUACACUGCAUUGUCAGUUUAAUAGCUGCAUAACUUUAAUUGUGACUAAACUAAAAGCAUCAUAAUACUUCUAUCAGUUUAAUGAUCAGAAAAAGUUUAGAAAGUCAUCAUGAUCUGUUAUAAUCUUAAAUAUCAAUAAAACAUACAAACUUGUACAGUUUUCUAUUUUAUUUUUAGAGAAAAAGCAAGUUAUUAAUCCAUCCAUUUAAAUCUUUUUUAAAAGCAUUACAAACAGGUGAGAACAUUAUCUGCCAAACAGUUUGGGAGAAAUAGCAAUUUUAGAUAAAAAUAUAAACUAUCACAUUUGUAGAUUUACAUGUACAAAUUCGAAACCAAACCAUUUGUUUGAUCACAAAACGUCUUCUUAGUCAAGAUUGAAUUUUCUAACAAUUUUUUGUCGAGUCACACUCUAGACUAAAAGCCUCAAUUCUGACUUUCACAACCAACUACAAUCUUUUAACAACUGUAAUCAAUUAAGCUACUUAAAUUGGCAAAAGUUGGCUAACUCUUUCAGCCAAAUAGUCAUGAUAUGUCCAGUUCCAUACCCAACUUAUAUUAUCGUUUGAGACUCUGAAAAAGGAUAAAAGUACAAAACCAUAGAGCCAACUUAAGCAAAUGAUUUUGAAAUCUAAUUUUACACUUCUUUUAUUCUCAGACUAUCAUUUGCUAAAAUUAAAAAUCAUGAAAAUAAACCACCUAUCAUGUAUACAGUCUAGUAAUCCAAAUGAAGAGGUAUUGUUGGAGGGAUUAGACAAAAUCUUAUCUUUCCUGUAAGACCAAAACAUUAUUUUUUUCUCCAACAAGAGCAUCAAACAUUCACUCGGAUAAUUAUAGAAAAACAAAAAAGCAUACUUCAAAGAGAAUCAAGUAGGAAGCAAAAAGGAAAAAAAAUUAGAAAUAGCUAAAAAUAAUAGAAAGAUGAUAAGAGAAAUAUGGGACGGUGAAUUAGACUAAAAAAUGACUGGGAGAGUAAUGAGGGAGUGUUGAGAAAGGAAUAAUUAUGGAGCAUGGCUUUGGUCAAAUGUAGUUAGUAGACUUAAUCUAGUUUGAAAUAGCCAAAUUAGUUUAAAAUAAAAAAAAUUUUGCACUCUAAAAAAUGAGAGAAAAAACCUCAAUAAUAGAAUACUACAUAAUAAGCAAGGAUGUAGUUUCAAUACAAAAACAAUAUGUAACUUCUGAAUAAUAAAGCAAAAAUCUCACAUCAAAUAGCUAGCAUAAAGAACAAAAUUCCGAACAUUAAAAACGAACUAAAGAUCAGAAUUGCAAACUACAUAGAUUUGCAUUUAGUUUCAAGGCAAACCACACAAAAGAAGAACCAACUUGCUAGAGCAAAACAAACAAAUGCUUAAUGUAUAGGAUGCAAAUCAUGUAUAAAAUUAGGCAAAGGUUGUAAUCCAUCAAUGUCUACUAUCCUGCAAAAGCAAUAAAUACACAGCCUUGAGUGAUUAGCAAAAAUUGACAAUACUAAGAGAUGAAAGGAAAAGAGGGAAAAAAGGGGGGGGAAAUGGAAAAAGAAAGACAGACAAAGGAGGAAGUCGUGAAGAAAGAAAUAAGCAAAUAGGUUUCUAAUCAAAAGGCAAAUGAUGAAAAAAAUAUUAAGUAGUACGUACCAAAGAGAGAGAUAAUAAGAGUAGAUGAUCAUGAAUUAUGAUUACCAGACUAAACAAGAAAGGAAGUAUCAAAUCCAUGAUCUCCUACAACAAAAUCAUUCAUUUAGUUAAUUAUGGAAAAAUACAUCAACUAAUCCAGUAGAAAAAAAUAGCAGAGUAGAUGAUUAGGAUAAAGGGAAAAAAAGAAAAAAAAAAAGGGCAAAUUAUACUUUACACCAUUGUGGUUUAGUGCUUUUCUACGUAACCCUCCUAUGGUUUCAAAAAUUAUUUAUAACCGCCGCCUCAUAAUUUGAAUUAAAGUGUCAAAAUGACGAAAUUUGCAAUCCAUAAUAGAGUCAACUAAAAUAUUAAAAAUACCUCUAGGUAAAGUUGAAAAUUAUUUAUUAAACACAGGAGGGUUAUGUAUAUAUUUUGAAAAUCAUAAGGGGGUUGUAUGGUAAAGUACUAAACUAUAAAAGGGUUAUAUGGUAAAAUAUAAAACCAUAGGGGGUUAGAGUAUCAUGCAUAUUAUAUUUAUAUAUUUUGGUCACUUUGGCCAUUUUAGUUUUUAAAUAAGGGUAAUUUCGACAUUUUCAUAUAUCCCAUUUUGCAUGAUUAUUUCCAUUACAUUGACACUUUAAUCCAAACUAUGAAAGGAUUAUAUAUAAUUUUUAAAACUAUAGGGGGUUAUGUGAAAAAUAGCUAGACCACUGGGGGUAAAAUGUAUUUUGCCCAAAAAAGAAAGAAGUAUAGAGUGAAAAUUGAAUGUAGAAGUGGCACCGUAGAUGAAUAUUUGUGUGGUUGUCUUUGACUAGAAAAGAAAGAGGAAAUGAGGGUAAAAAAAAAUACCAAAAGAAAGGACUAAAAUAAAGAUAACUUUCUUAAAGGAUUAAUGAGCCACGUGUCAAAGUAGAUGGGAGCCACUUAGCAGCCAUUGGACCUGCUAUAGUAAUUUCACUUCUUUCUUAUAUAAUAGGUAGAUACAAGAGUUUUAAAAAAAAAAAUUGUAUCUUUUGGAGUAGCCCGAGAUUUACUCAACUAAAACAUGGCACAACCCAAGAAAAAUGGUUAUCUUGUCUUAAUUCUUAAUACAUACAAAUUAUAUAUAACUCUCAUGCAUGUUAAUUUUCCCUUUGCAUGUUCGCAGUUCAAUCUGUGAAGAGUAUGAAGCUGGAGAUUUUCAAAGGCCUCGAUAGAAUGGUUCUAUCUAAGGACGUAUUUAAUAAAACAUUAUAGCGCUUUAUGGUAUAAAUUUGUAUGAGAAAUGAAAAGGUUGGCCUAAAUUAUAUAUGUUCAAAAUUUUCAUUCUGAAAAAUUCAAGGCAUGUACUAUAUAGUUCUUCACGAAAGUUAAACAUAAAAUUGUUACAGUUGUCGAGAGAAAGAUGUUCCAGUUCUUGAUUAAGAGUAAUUUUCCCUUUUCUAAUGAUUAUGGCUUCCAUUAUACAUCGCAUCAAAAUUCGCCGGCCAUAGUCAGCUCCGAGACACAUGCAUCUGUUGUUGUGUGCACAACACAAGUCAAACUUUGGACGUUAUCUAAUAAUAAUAACUAGGAGGUAAUUGGCUGUGCUAAGCACAGCCUAGACCCUAUAAUCUGUUGUCAUAUCCAAACUUUAUUCAUGUUUGAAGAGGGUUGUUGACCUUCUGGGUUUGGUAGCAUAGACGGCUGGAAUUGGACUUGCUGAGGAUAAAUGCGCCGAAUUUGUGCUCAGAAGAGCCGUGUGGUAGAGAGAAAGGAGGAAAAGGGUUAAACGGCAAUUUGGGAAAGAAACAGUGCAAUGGCAAAAGAAGGAAAAGAAAUAGAAGGCUUGAAGAGGGGUGUUGACCUGCUGGGUUUGGUAGCAAAAUCUCCUCUUCUCUGUUUCUUCCACUCAGAUAGCCGAAUAUGAACCUACAAAAGAUGCUAGUGUUCUACCAAUUUUCUGAACAAAGCAUUGUACUUUCUUUCAGUUAGAACCACAAAAAUCCUCCACAUGCACGUGAUUGCACUUGUCCCAAGAAUUAGCUUCUUUUAGGGAUUGUACUUGGUUUGAAUUUACCAGUGAAUUCUUUCUUUUUUCUGCUGCUACGAAGUGAUUCAACGGCAAUUUGAGAAAAAAACAGUGCAAUGGCAAAAGAAGGAAGAGAAAUAGAAGGCUUCGGACAAGAGAAGCUUUAGAUUCAGACAAUUUGCAAGAAACAUUUUACCCUGCCAUUCCUUAAAAAAACAAAUGCAUAUAUUUUUUGUCAUUCAGAAAUUAUUGCAUUCAUUUGCUCAACAAAAAAUUUUUUUGUCAAAAUAAAAGACAAAUGCUCACAUAUCAAUAAAUUAAAAUAAAAUUGAUUCGAAAGUGUAUAUUCUAUUAGUUGGUUAUUUCAUUUUUGCAUUUAUAACAAAUUGGAACCAAUUUCUUUUUUUUUUUUUUUAUCAUUUUCCCACUUUGAAGAUAUCUUUUUCUUUUCCUCCGAGUUCAAAAAUAGCCAAGGUUUGAUUAAGAAAGUUUAAAUAUUUUUUUAGCAUGUAGAUUAAAAUAAUAAAAUUCUUGCUAUUAGAUUUGGAUAUUUCUUUUAAUUUUUGAAAAUGUGACAAUUUUUCUAUCAUUUUUUGACGGCUUCUAAAAUAGCAAAAGUUAUAUUAACAACGUAGCAAAAAAAAUAAAAAAAUAUAAACUUUCAAAAAGACGAAUAGAAUUUUAUGAUUUUUAAUAAAGUCAAGUUAAUCUGUGAAAUAUAAGUUUAAAUGAUAUUUCAAAUCGUAAUAAAUAUAAAUUCAAAUAAUGAUAAUGAUAAUAAUAUUAUAAUUGGAUUACAUCUGUCCAAGACCUAGAGCUUGAAAUCAAUUUUAAAUAUUUCUUUUUGUUUUUGAAAAUACGGUGAUCUGAAAAAUACUCUCUCAAAUUGACAUCAUAAUAAAUAUAAAUUGAAAUAAUGAUAAUAAUAAUAAUAAUUUGUAAUUGAAUUACAUCUAUCAAAAGCUUACAAAUUGAAAAAUCCAAUAAAAAUAAUUGGACCUCAUACUUGAAUGCCAAGGCCAGACCAAAUUUGGUCAUUGUGCAAUGCAAUCCAAUCUAUCUAUCUACCGUUGCCUAUAAAAAGAAAAGGAAAGAAUAAAAGCUCAAAAACUCACUAAGAGUGCCAUGUGUCAAUGAGACAGCAUGCUACAGUAACAGUGCAAAGGCAAAAGAAGGCAAAAGAAGGAAAAGAAAUAGAAGGCUUCGGACAAGAGAAGCUUUAUAGAUUUAGACAAUUUGCAAGAAACAUUUUACCUUGCCACUUGUCAGAUAAUUAAGAAGCCAUGUGGCAAGAGGAAAGGAAAAUACUAAACCUGGCUCUUUUCUUAUAUACAAGGUAGAUAUAAGGUGCAUUUUUGACAAAAAAUAAUAAUAAUAAUAUAAGGUGCACGUGCACCUACUCAGGGGAAACGAGGGAAUUCUUCUACCUAUAAUUUUCCGGCGCAAAAACAACAAAAAAUCUUAUUUCCAAAUUCAAGGGGAAUCUUUUUUCUGAAAUAAAUCAAUUGUAUUAUGUAUUAUAAUAUUUUUUGUUAUGUGAUGUAUGUAAAAUAAAAAAUACAUAAAAAUAUAAAAAAUGAUAAAAAAAAAUAUACUUAUAUACAUAAACAAUUAUUCAAGCAUACACAUGUUAGAUCCAAAUUCCAAAAGAUAGCAACUUGAAGAGAAUUACUAUCCUAAGGAAUACUAUUCUUCACAUUUUGAAGAGAAUUACUAUAAUUUACAAGUUAUAUGUUUUUAGGCCAUUAAAAAAAAGGAACUCGAAGAAUAACGAGAUCAUCUUCUUCUUCUUUUUAUUUUGCCACUUCAAUACGGAAUGCUUUUUUUUUUUUACUCUUAUUUUAUUUAUAUAUAACGGGGUUCAUUUUCUGUACUUUUAAACAUGAGCAAUUCAUGAAAACGUCUUCAUAAAAUGUGCAGGUUCCUGCCACUACUUAUGACAAAGCAAGACUUGAUAAAUAAAUCUAAAAUUUAUUUUCCGCAGGUGUCUGAAAUUUAAAGAUUGAACUUUAAGUAUUGAAGUAUUAGUUUGGUAAGUUAAAUAAGUCUUAUCUAUCUCAUAAUCAGCUGAAUUUGAACGGGAAACUCUAUUCUAUUUCGUGUGUGUAUAUCACAUCGUCUAAAAGUAAUAAUAUACUUUAUUUUUAUAUUAUAUUUUCAAAUAUCAUUUUUGACACUAAUAAGUUCCAUUUGAUUCUAUCAGGACACUUAAAAAAAAAUUCUGAUUAUCCUUGACCAAGUUUUUUUUUACCCAUAUAGGCUCCAUGUAAUUAGAAAAUCUACUUUUUUUUUCCCUCGCAUUAGAAUGAACAAGUGCAUGGAUCCUCAUGCUACAAUCAUGGAGUAUUUGUAGUCCAACAUGGUUUUUCCUUUAUUUAAGUCCAACAUGCUUGUUGAUUGUAGCCUGUAGGGGAGGUCAAGUUUCCCCGUCGAUCGAUUCACACAUUUAACUCUCUGAAAUAGCUGGUCCUCCAACUUGCUGUUUAGAGUUUAGACCAUGCUCGGAGCCAGGGACAGAUUUACAGUGAAUUGCCUCUGACCCCACCAAAUCCUUAGUAUGUAUGUAUAAAUUAAGAACCCGGGUGGAUUGUUAUUUUUAGAAAUUUUUUUUUUUUUGCAGAAAAAUGUACUGUAACGAUUUGAUAUAAGUGAAAUACAAAAGUGAUUGAAAAAUAUUUUUAUGAAAAAUAUGAAAAUUUUCUAGUAAAAAAUAGCAGUCCAAAUGUGUUCACGGAAAUAUUAUGUUCCAAUAUUUAGAUAAUAUUAUUCACUUGCACCCAUUACUUUUAAGUCCUACCAAAAUCUUUAAUAUAUAUGUAAAAAUUAAUAACCACAUACCCUCGCAUUUAGAGAUUAUUGCUUACCACCCUUUAACAAAAUAAGGUGAAUUAUCUUUUAUCUCCUUGUGGUUCGGUAUUCUACAACAUAUCUCUCCUAUGGUUUAAAAUUCUAUAUAUAAUUCAACUCAUGAUUUUUCAUUAAAAUGUAACCAUUAGUUUUUCUAUUAAUAAUAACGGCCAACAAUAAAAAGUCAAAAUCAAACUAAUAAAUUGACAAUUUUAUCCGAUCAUUACUUCUUCUUCUUUUUUCACUCCAAACAUAAAAAAGAAGAAAUUGAAAUAAAAAGUAGAUAAAUAAGAACUAGAAAAUUCCAUUAAAGAUUUGGUUUAAAAACCUAUAAUGAUAUUUAUAGUAAAAAAAGAUUUGAUAUUUUUUGUUUCUUAUUUAUUUAUUUAUUUUAUAUUUCCUUCCCUCUUUUUUGUUCCAUAUUUAUUUUUUAUUUCCCAUCCAUCUCUUUUGUAUUUAUAGAAAAUUAAGAUUUUGUAGGUCAAAGUACAAGUUUUCAAAAUCAUCUCUUCUCUUCCCCAAAAAAAUAGAGAAAGAAAAGAAAACAAAGAAAAAAAAGAAAAAAAAAAGUAAUGAAAGAGUGAAUUUGUUAAUUUAUUAGUAUGAUUUUGACUUUUGACUUUUGAUCAUUAGUUUUAACGAAAAAAACUUAAUGGUGACAUUUUAAUCUAAACUAUAAGGGGAUUAUAUAUAGGUUUUUAAAUCAUAGGAGGAUUUCGUGGUAAAAUACCAAACCACAGGGCGGUAAAAUAUAAUUUAUCCAACAAAACAUAUAGGUGUCAUCCUAACUUAACAAGCUUAUAAAUAAACAUGUGCAUUUUAAAUUAUAUUUUAUAUUAUUUGUUAAACAUGUGCAUUUUAAUGCUUGAACAGUUAUGUUUACGCAGUGUAUUUGCCCCCACUAAUUUAUAUUUCUAGCUCCGCCAUUGUUAGAAGCACCAUGUAAACAAUAGGUAGUUCGCCAUUGGAUAGAUUAUUAUUUGAAAUAAUUACUGUAACACUUUUUGUGAUGUGAUGUAUGUGAGAUAAAAAGGUGGGUUGGAAAACGUGUUUACGAUGUAAGUAAAAUAUUAUUUGAGAUAAUUUCACUAUCCAAACAAACCCAUAUUUUAUUGGUGAGGCGACCUUUUUCCACGUGCAACCCUUCGAAGCUAUGACCAUAAUAUAAGAGAAAAAGUAAAAAAUUUAUGGAGCCCCAAACUAUCACCGUUAUUAAAUUUUGGCCCAUAAUCUAAAUUUUAUCUCUGGUUGGCCUCUAAACAAUUGAAAGUAUAUAGUUUAAGGAUUUUUAGUCAUUUUAAACAUAAGUGAAGACGAACCAAAGGACAUUUUUGUCCAACUAUAAAUGAAAGCAUUGAGACCAUCAGGUCCAUUAGAUGGAAUUCUAAUAAAAAAACAUUAAACCAUCUUCGCUGGUGAUUUUGAGCCCCAAAUUUCUUAACACAGCCACAAAAUUAAUGUUAAAUUAUAAAACAAACCCUACUAAUCACCCCAACCUUACCUUCCACUCCCUCUACCAAUCAUCUCCUAGUAUCUAAUGCUUAGAAUCCAGGCUCUGCAACUUCAACUAUUGCUUAAACUGGUUGAUGAAACUAUCAGCUUUAGCAUCAACCUCGUUGUCAACUCACUAUCAACUUGGCACCCUAUCUCGCAAUCACCAGACGCCGAACAUCCACAAUGUCAUGCUCCUUGAAGUGCUUAAACGCAAAUUUCAAACAUGUUGACUUCUUUAUCUCUAUCAAUAGCCUCGUUAGAACCUCAGUCGUGACUAGCUUAGUAUCUAACUUUGACCUGCCAAUGCGUAGGUGACAGGUUGUCGAGCCUGUGCAAUAAUAAUUACCUGUUUAAGAGAAAUACAGAUUUUAUAUAUAGCGGUGAGUAUGGUCGAAUCCACAGGGACUAGAGAUAAUUCAUUUCUUCAAGAGUUCAAAGAAUGAGGGGUUUUUUGAAAAAUAUGAAAUAACUAAUUAACUAACCAAUGAAACAACUAAUAGAAAUAAUCAGGAAUUAAUCAAUAACCACUACGACUCUAGUCAAAGGCGUAAUUCUUUAGACACGGUCUAUUCAACUGAUCAUUGAUGCAAAGAUAAUUCAAUUACUCAUUACUAGAUUGGUUAUAGUUGUCAUGCACGCGAUAAAAAACCAGCCUACCCUUACUUUUUCGAUAGUUAAGGUACGACCAUUAACUAUUUUCCUAACCAAGAAAUAACCCUAAGUACGACCAUAGGAUUUAAUUUCUUGAUUGCAAUAAGAAUUAGAAAAGUCCAACCCUAACCAACAAACACGCUAUGAGAGUUUGUUUAAGUUGGAUCAUACGUUUCCCUAACAUGAAACCAAUCACGCUAGUCGCCAUUGGUAUUAAUUAAUUGAACAAUUACGGAUUCAAUCAAUUAAUCUAGCAGUAAAUUAUUAGAUUAAUUCGAAUAUCAGGCCCUUGACAUUCAAAUAACAUAACAAGCAUAAGAAGUUAAAUCAGAAAACGUACAAAUACCAAUGAAUAAAAGAAAUAAGUAAAAUAAUUCGAUCUCACAGAUGUUUGAAACCGAAUUCUCAAAUUGACCUUCGACUAGAAAACCGAGAUUUAGCUACACAUCCUCAAGAGAAAUCCACAGGACUCCCUUGAUAACCAUUUGUUCCUUCUCCAAAAACUAAUGAAAGAAGACAAAGAAAAGAGACAAGUCACGACCGUCCCUCCCAAUUCCUAUUUUGUAGCUUCUUAAGGAAAAUCAAACUCCUCCCGAAAUUGCUGCUGGCCAACUCCUAAUCAAACGGGAAUUCGGCUUUUUCUCUCUUUUUGUUUCCUAUUCAGCUUCUACUACUAAUAAUAAGAUAUAUAUGUUACCCAAAAUAUAAAAAGGAACUGCUAAAAAUAAUAUUCCAAGUUUCCUAAUCCAAUAUUAGGACUAAUAAUGAUAAUUAAAAUCUUCAAAAUCUUACUUUGAUACUGCCUUGAAUUUGAUUUGGACUUGGAAACCGGUUCCGAACGUGCCACUAUCAAAUUAUUUGGAAAAUUGCCCCUUUUUGUCACGUUUUACUCCUUUUCCUACAAUUAGUACCAUUAACCAAAUAUAAGUAGAAUUUAUCAAUUAAAACAAUAUUUGACUACAAUCAAGGGGAAAAUAAUUAUAAAUUUAGCAACAAAUUAUGACCUAUCAAUUUUUUUCACACCUAAACCAUGCUUGUCCUCAAGCAUGAGAAUAACAAAUUAAAUAAUCAAAUUCAAACAAUGGUUAUUGCUCAAAUCUUCUACUGCCAAGAUACAAUUGAAACAUAUGUCAAGUAUUAGUGGCAAUUUUUAAAAAAUAUCUCUCCAAUUAGCUUUCAAGAUCAUUGACUCUUUUAAUUUAUGACUAACUAAUCUAGAAUAUAAAAUAUUCAACCAGCAUCCAUAAGCAAAUGGUUCGACUAUUAAGCAAAAUCUCAACAUUAAAAUUCAUGGAUCAGCGGCAAUUUAUUCAAACACUUUCACAUUUUUCACUAUUAGCACAUUUUUUUCUAAAAUAUCUCCAUGCUUGAUUGAUUAUUUUUUUUCCAGGGGAAAUGCUUAGUCUUUAGCCAUUUAAGCGUUUUGACGCGAACUUCAACAUUGGCCAAAUGAAGGAGGCCGGUUACUCAGCCAUUAUCGCUUAAAAUCACAUCCUCAUAGUUAUCAUCGUUUUUUGACGUGAAAAUCGACACUUGUGGUGAAGGCCUCUAGUUAUUGGGUAAUGAUACUAGCGGAGUAUAGCCAAAUACUAUUCAUAAAUAAGCAUCAAAUUAAAACUAAAAAUCACACAAACUCGUUUCAUUUCUUAAACAUUGAGAACUAAGAUUAAUUAUUGAACCAAUUUGCAUAAAAAAAUGUUAGACAAAUAUUUACAAUACUUAAAGAAGUUAACCAAAAAAUGCAAAAGCCACAAAAUCUCAAAUAUUCAUCAAAAAGAUACUCUUAGAUUUAAUCAUGUCAUACUUAACACCUUAGAGCGUAAAAUCUUAGCAAUAGAAAAUUUUAAACCAUCUAACCAUCGUUUAUCAGGAACAUUCACAAAUAUACACAAAGAUAGGCAAAAAUUGGAUAAAAUUCGACAAAGUCAAACAAAAAAUUUCAACAAAAAUAUCUACACUUGCACUUUUUCAAUAAAAUACCAAUAUAUUACUCCACCCACACCUAAAUCUCACAUUGUCCUCAAUGGAGAUCAUAAAGCAAAGAAAGUAAAUAGGGCAACAAAACUUCCCUGAAUACGUGGUAGAGGGCCUCGGGCGGCUGUGGCAUAGGUGCAAAUGGUGUAGUGAAAAUGGUGCUACAGCAAGGUGCAACAGUGACGGAUUGCAGAGAGAAGGAGAGCUUCGGGGUACGUCUUGGUCCAAGCGACAGCGGCGGCGCGCGGCUGUGUUAUGUGAAGUGGCGGCGAACUACAACAGGGGGAGAGAGAGAGAUUGGUGGCGGACGUGUUAGUGUCGUGGCGAUGAGCGAGCAUGGAGGACAGCAGCAGCGCGCGGCUGUAGUGGCUGGCGGCCGUGGGUUAAGCGCGACUUGCGGGAGCGGCGGUGGAGGUGGGGUUUCGGCCGAAGAAAAAGAGAGAAUAGGGGAAAUAGGGGAGAAAGAAAGAAAGAAAAGAGAAGAAAAGAAAAAGAAGAAAGAAAGAAAAAGAAAGGAAAGAAGAAAAGAAGAAGAAGGAAAAAAAAUAUUUUUUGAAUAUUUUUUCUUUUUUUUUCCGAGAUACGGUUGUUUAAACAUGGCAUGGGCACGCCAAGUUUUGUAAAAGUAUUCUGAUCCUGGGGUGACUUUUUGCAAAUCAACGCGUGCCCUCCUUGCGUGAGCACGCCAAGUCUCCAUGUCCUGCCGGUGUUGUGAAAUGUUGAGGUUUUACCAACAUAGCGCGGGCACGCCAUGUUUUGCAAAAGUCUCCGGACCAUGAGGUUGGGACUUACAAAUUAACGCGUGCCCUUCAAAUGUGGGCAGACCAAGUUACCCUGUUCUGGUCACUGUUGAUGAAAACAUCCAGAUCAAUCAGUAACCAAGUGAGAAACAGCAAAUUUAAAGCCUUGAACAACGAAAAAUAAAUAAAAUCAAUAUUUGGGUUGCCUCCCAAAAAGCGCCUUUCUUUAAUGUGUUUGACUAGACAUUUUCAUGUUUAUUCACGGAGAAUAAAAUCUUGUGACUCGUUUCAAUGCUUCAUUCUCUAUAUAAUCCUGAUAGCCCUCGUAAAUAGAAUAAUCCUUGAGCACACGAGGUACAGUCUUCCAUGGAUUAGUGGAUAGCGCCAAAUGAACAAGUAAUGACCUUAAUUCUUCACUCACUCCUCCAUUACGAGCAUUUACUGGUUCAAGAUAUUUUGCCAUCGUAACUCUUAAUUUAUUCCUGUCAUGAAAUUCAAAAUCUUCUGGUAUAAUAAAGUCAACGUCACUAACAGGAAUUAAAGAAUAAGAGUCAGGAAAAUAUUGAUUAAGGAAUGGAGGAGAUGUCACCGCAUUUGGAGAUUGUUCACUGGAUUUAUUCACUUGAACAAUUUGAUAUUGGAGUUCCAUUUCUUGUACUUCAAUUCGCUUUUCAAUUGUAUCUUUAGAUCUGUUUUCUUGAGACUCUUACAGCUCCAUGUCACUUGUCAGGAUAAUUGCACUCUCAUCAUCUUUAAGGUCGAUGUUGGUCUGUGAAGGCAAUUCUUCAUACAUUCGAGAAGUCAAUUUCGUUAUUCUAGAUGUCAAUUGAUUCAUUUGAUCUGCUAGGUUAUAAAUGCUCGCUUGUGUCUCCUGAAUGCUCGCUUGUGUCUCCUGAUGAAAUCGAUAUGUAUUAGCAGUUAGUAAUUUCAUUAUUUCUUCAAGAGACAUACCUAACAUGGAUGACGGUUCUUAAAACUCUUGUUGUUGAAAAUUCAUUAGUCUGGUUGCAUAAUUAAAAUUGGAAUCAUCCUACCAUCCUUGAUCAUACCCGUUUGAAUAAGGGUCAUACCACGUUUGAUAUUGAGGUGAAAAAUCUCCAAAAGUAUCUAUUGAAACACUUAGGCCAUCGUAAAACGUGAAGUAUAUUUCGGUUGAAUGAUCUAAGGCAAAAUAACUUCCACAAUUUGCAACAACCAAUUGAUCAUUAGAAAAAACAUUAGUCUCAUAACCCCUUCUAAAAAUAAAAUCCAGUCUAUCACCAAAAUACGGAAUGUUAGUAGCCAUAAAUUAUAUAUAAAAAAAUAAGAGAAAAAUAAAAAAUUGAAAUCAACAUGAACUCAAAAAAGAAACAAAUUAAUUGGAAAUCAGUGCCCGGCAACGACGCCAAAAAUUAAUAGAUUGUCGAGCCUAUGUAAUAAUAAUUACCUACUCAAGAGAAAUAUAUAUUUUGUAUAUAGCGGUGAGUAGGGUCGAAUCCACAGGGACUGGGGAUAAUUCGUUUCUUCUAGAGUUCAAAGUAUGGGAAAUUUUUUGGAGAAUGUGAAAUAACUAAUUAACUAACUAAUGAAACAACUAAUAGAAAUAAAUAGGAAUUAAUCAAUAACCAAUACGACUCUAGUCAAAAGUGCAACUCUUCAGACACGGUCCAUUCCACCGAUCAUCAAUGCAAAGAUAAUUCAAUUACUCAUUACCAGAUUGGUUAUAGUUGUCAUACACGCGAUAAAAAACCAGUCUUUCCUUACUUUUUCGAUAGUUAAGGUACAACCAUUAACUAUUUCUCUAACCAAGAAAUAACCCUAGGUACGACUAUAGGAUUUAAUUUCUUGAUUGCAAUAAGAAUUAGAAAAAUCCAACCCUAACCAACAAACACGCUACGAGGGUUAGUUUAAGUUAAAUUAUACGUUUCCCUAACAUGAAACCAAUCACGCUAGUCGCCACUGGUAUUACUUAAUUGAACAAUUACGGAUUCAAUCAAUUAAUCUAGCAGUAGAUUAUUAUGUUAAUUCGAAUAUUGGUUUCUUGACAUUCAAAUAACAUAACAAGUAUAAGAAGUUAAAUCAGAAAACAUACAAAUACCAAUGAAUAAAAGAAAUAAGUAAAAUAAUUCGAUAUCACAAAUGUUUGAAACCGAGUCCUCAAAUUGACCUUCGACUAGAAAACCGAGAUUUAGCUACACAUUCUCAAGGGAAAUCCACAGGACUCCCUUGAUAACCAUUUAUUCCUUCUCCAAAAACUAAUGAAAGAAUACAAAGAAAAGAGACAAGUCACGGCCGUCCCUCCCAAUUCCUAUUUUGUAACUUCUUAAGGAAAAACAAACUCCUCCCGAAAUUGCUGCUGGCCAACUCCUAAUCAAACGGGAAUUCGGCUUUUUCUCUUUUUUUUUUUUCCUAUUCAGCUUCUACUACUAAUAAUAAGAUAUGUUCCCCAAAAUAUAAAAAGGAAACUACUAAAAAUAAUAUUCCAAGUUUCCUAAUCCAAUAUUAAGACUAAUAAUGAAAAUUAAAAUCUUCAAAAUCUUCCUUUAAUAUUGCCUUGAAUUUGAUUCGGACUUGGAAACCGGUUCCGAACGUGCCACCAUCAAAUUAGUUGGAAAAUUGCCCCUUUUUGUCACGUUUUGCUCUUUUUCCUACAAUCAACACCAUUAACCAAAUAUAAGUAGAAUUUAUCAAUUAAAACAAUAUUUGACUACAAUCAAGGGGAAAAUAAUUAUAAAUCUAGCAACAAAUUAUGACCUAUCAGUAGGGAUGGCAAUGGGUUGAAUAAAAUCCAAUAUCCAUGGGUAUUCGACUCGAUGGUUAGUCUGAUAAGAUGAUUGAUGGGUUAUUGACUAGGGUUGGUGUUAACAAGAAAUUACGGAGGGUUAAUCCAAUAGGAUUUAGCACGAGAACCCUAAAAUCCCAAUACCCUAUAUAUAUAUAUAUAUAUAUAUAUAUCUAAGGUUCCAAUUUUAUCUUUCGAUAACACAUUUCUUGAUUUUGUAACCAAAUAGCAUAUAACUCUAACCCAACACAAAUUAAGACAAUUAUGAUUAAAAACAGAAGAAUGUCGAUUUAACCCUUUAUUAAAUGUUGGAUUUUUCUCAUACAAGUUCUAUGGCUUUAUCCAAGUUUAAACCUCAAUGUAGUGUUAAUUUAACAUGAUGUAUGUAUUGAUUUUAAUUUGAUAAAAAUUAAUUUUCCUUUUUUGAACUAUUCAAUUAGUGGGUAGAAGAUACCCGAUGGACAAUCUGAACUCGUAUAUAAGAGGAUUUGGUAAUGGGGAUUAAAAGCCAGAGGGUUAUUGAUAGGAUUUGAUGAAAUACUUGCAUAUGUGGAUUAAGAUUUGGUAAGAUGAAUUUUCCAGGGUACUCAACCCACUGCUAUUCCUACCAAUGUGACACCCUUUGAGCUGAUUGUGCACUUCAUCCAAGCAUUGCAGUUCUUCAUCCUCAACAUUAUCCGUAUGGCUUUGCUCAAAAUCCAAACACCUUCCAUUUUCUCAUCAUUUUCCCCGUGUCCUUGCUGAAAAUGGAAAUGGUUUCCAUUUUCUUCAACAUUUUCCUCAUGGGUUCCCUAAAAAACAAAAUGAGUUCAAUUUUCUUGAGCAUUCUCCUUGUGGGUUUACUGAAAAAUGAAAUGGUUUCCAGUUUCCUACCCGUUUUCUUCAUGGGAUUGCUGAAAAAAUUGAUGGAUCUGAUUUACUUGAACUUGUUCGAUGAACAAUGCUUGCUUCUCUUGAUAAGUUGUUCAAAGAUGAAGCUGGUGAAAGAAAGAGAUGAUUAUGUCCUUUUAAUUUUGGUCCUGUUCUUAAAUUAUGGUUAGACAAAAAUGACUUUGAUUUCAGUUUCAUUUACGUCUAAAAUGACUAGAAGUUCUUAAACUAUGCACUUUUAAUUGAUUAGGGGCCAGUCGAAGAUAAAAUUUAGAUUAGUGGACAAAACUUGACAAUGAUAAUAGUUUAGGGGCUCUUUAGAUUUUUUACUCAAAGAGAAAUUUCAUUGUACAAUAUAUAUUGGGGUUUCACAUUCUAUGUUGUAGUUUUACUAGUAUAUUAAGGCCCUAUUUGAUAACUCAAUUAGGUACUUAAAUUUAAUGAAUUCAGAUUUUAAUAUGUUCAAACGUGUUUGAUAACCAAAAAUUAAAUAUUUGAAUUAAUUAAUUGGCACUAAAUUUUUUAAGUAAAAUUUGUUUCCAAAAAUUAAUCAUAAACUAUUCAUUUAUCACUUAAUAUAAUAUACACUCAAAUAUAUCAGAUUUAGUACCUAACAAUUCAAUAACUUAAUGAAUUCAGACUUCAUAUUUUAGAUUUCAAUUUUAUCAAACGCACUCUAAGUCUUAUAGCAUGUUUUAACUACACUUGUUAUUCAUUUUCCAACGACCAUUUGUAGAUAUUAAAUACAUGGACAUGUGUUGCCUUGAUACAUGAUGUAAAUUAUGAUAGAAAACGUAAUGUUAAAAGUGCAGAAGAAAUCAAAAACCUCAACAAUUACAAAUGACACCAACCAUUAUUAGGAUGUCAAAUGAGAAAAGACGUGAUCUUAAUAUAUGGUGUAAUGAGGAGGCAAUACCAAAAGUUUAAUAGACGAGUUAAAAACUGAUCGUGUACAUGUCUUGCCUUCCACUUUGCUUUCACCUUCUGCGCUCCUUUGAAGGCAGCUCAAACACUACAAUGGAGGGUAUAAAGCCCUUUUCGAAGCGCCGAUAUCAAUCCCCAGAUUGAUGAUUUCUUGUACAUUUUAAUAAGCCUCAAUCAUUGUUCUUUCUAUUCGCCAUCUCUUUAUAUAUGAUGCCAAAACUUCCUAGUUUUGUCAGGGAAAGCUCCUAGCCGGGGAAGUUGAUAGUGGUGAGCUUCCCUCUCUUUUCACCCAUCUUAAUUGUUUUCCCGUUAUUCUUUCCUUCCCCAUUUACAUUUGUAUCUCAUACUUCAUUAUGCCAAUACAUUAAAAUCCCUGUUUCUUGAAGAUCCUUCUGCAGAUCCAAGUUGAUGGACAAUUCAAUGAAUUCGUGGUUCUCUGAAUUGGUAAACAUUUUCCAACUUUCACUGAUUAUGAUGACUUCUUUUUUCCCUCAUCAAUUAUAGACAUUGAAAAACUAAGAGGUACAGCUCCGGCCCGUGAAUGCAUUGACCACCACAGGGCUUUCCUUGCUUCUUUCAAGUAUUGUGGGUUAAAACAAAUAGCUUGCCUGUGGACUUGACAUCCCCCAAUGCCCUUAUUAUUUAGGCACUUUGUUUUAUUACUAGCUCGAAUUUCCCUUGCCUUACAAGCUAAAAAGUUUUCUGCGCAACAAAACGAAAAAAAAAAAAAAAGAAUGCUUAACAGAUUUUGUUGUCUUAACAAAUAGUUUUUCCAGAAGAAAUUUUAUGUAACAUUUUUUAAAUCCAUUGCGAAACUAGGAAAUUAUCGCUCAUUUAGUUUUUCUACAAAUACGACUGGUUAGGAGCCAAGUGCUGAGAGCAUUAGAUACAGGGAAUGGAGGAUAAAAAAUAUGAAAAACAAAAGACAAACAUGGAGGUAGGUAUAAGUUGCCUUAGUUGCUGCUUCAAAUUAUUAGCUAAGGAAUAAAUUAAUAUAAAUAUAAUUUAGUACACUUCAUGAUCUAGCAUUAAGCUUAAAUUAUGAACCAAAUAUGUGGUCAAGAAGGGUCCAAGUGUUUCAUCAAAUACGUUUAAUCUAGAUUACUUGGUGGACUAAGUAGUCAAAUAAAGUUCAGUGUCAUUAUUAACUUCCAGUUGGGCGUUGCUUUGAUUUUCUGAUACUGUAAAAUUAUAAUGUGUCCAUGUAUAUCAAAAAAGCUAAAAAAAAAAAAAAUGCAUAGGGAAGGGAAUAACGAGAGUGGUUGAUACCAAUUCAACAAAGUGUAUUAAGUCCUCUGUUUUCAUUUGCAUUUCUGAGAUGUUGCCAAGAAAUCAAUUAGGGCAUAAUCACCAAUCUCUAGUGUUAUAACAGAUGCAGCGGAACAGAAGAACAAACAAGAAUAGACAAGAACAACUUGGGGGAAAUCAGAUUUUAUUAGGGUUGUGAUUGGAAUAGUUUACAGACUAAAAUAAGGUGUAUAUAUAUACAACCAAACAUUCUGGACCCAAAAAUAGGCCCAAAACAAGAUCCAAAAUAAAACAGACACGGUAACUAAUAUAUACCGUAAGCUCAACAUCUAGGCAUCUCAACAUCUAGGUCCACACACACACACACUCUUACAAGCAAUGGACUUCCUACUAAUGAUCCAAUAAAAAUGUUGAUCGAGUUUUAAGGGCUAUGAAUCAUGAUUAUCUAUCAAAUGCUUGUAGAAUAUUCAAUCUUUCACUUUAACUACAGGAAAUGGAGGAUCCAUUUGUCGAUGAUCAAUGUGAUAUCAUGGACUAUUUUGAUGAAGAUUUCACUGCUGCACUUGGAGAAGAUCUGGAAAGCAAUUUGUCUGCUGUUUCAGCCAUGGAAGCUCCUCCAAUCAGUAUUGAAAUCCCAGCACCACAGCAGAAUUCUAAUAGCUGUAACUCGGCAGCCACCCUUGAAAACAUGCCAAAUCAUCACAAUCAGCCAAUCAUCCUUACUUUUGGGAAUCCAAGCACGCCAGAAAUAAAUCCUCAACCAUUAAAUCUAAAGGAUGAUGGAGUAGUGUCUGAGGUUUUGACAUCCCAUGGUUCAUUUGUAAAUCUUGAGGAGGCAGCCCAAAAUGCACGGAAGAAAAAGAAAACAGGCGGCCGGGUUAGGCCAGCAUCGCAGAUUCGUGAUCACAUUUUAGCAGAAAGAAAGCGCCGCGAGCAGCUCAGCCAGGGAUUUGUAGCUCUAUCGGCCAUUGUUCCCGGCUUCAAGAAGGUUUGUAGUAUUUCCAAGAAUCCAAUUUUUUAAAUAAAGAAAAUAAACAGACAAAAAUUUUUCUAUCAUUGUGAUAUUUCAAAUGUUUAAUGCAACCAAAUUUUGUGAUGUCAUGUCUCACGUCAAAGGGGGCUAAUUUAAUUAAUCCCACGACAAGUUAUUCAAAUAUAAAGUGUGCUGUUGAUUUUCCGGAUCGCGAUUACUAUAAAGAAACAGCAUAACCUUCUAUCAUUGCUCUCUCUCUCUCUCUCUUAUACACAACUACUCUAUUAGUAGUUGUUUUUAGCCACUAGGCUUAAUUUUGCUUUUUUUUUUUUGGAGCUUCACAUAGUUUUGGUUACCAAGAUCUUAUUCUUAUUGCAGAUGGAUAAAACUUCUUUUCUUGGAGAUGCUAUCAUUUACUUGAAACAUCUUCAGGAAAGAGUGAAGACGCUCGAGGAGCAGGUUGCGCAACAAACCAUGCAAUCUGUCGUUCUAGUGAAGAGAUCACAGCUUUUAGUUGAAGAUGAAGGAUCUUCUGAUGAUACGGGCGGCCCUGAUGAGCAGCCACUCCCGGAAAUAGAGGCAAAAAUGUGCAAUAGGAACAUUCUUCUCAGGAUUCACUGCGAAAAGCAUAAAGGGGUUCUGGUUAAAAUCCUUUCCGAGGUAGAGAAACACAAUCUUGCUGUCAUGAACACGUGCGUGGCUCCGUUCGGAAAUUUCGCUCUUGAUAUUACCAUAAUUGCUGAGGUGAGUUUAGCAGUCAGAGAAUUUUUUUCCUUGGGAUUUUGUUUACAUGAAUAUUGAAUGUGAUGAUACAUGGUUACACAUAAAGAAUUGCAGCAGAAGUGAGGUAGACUUCCACAUGCUAGAAGCAAGGUAAAAAUAUUGAAAAAGAGAUAUUGUUGCUGGGGGAUUUGAAGUUUUGAACCAGCAAAUCUCACCCCGAGAGAGCUAGUCACCAAUUUUUAUGUUCGAUAAUCUAUUAGUAAAUUUCAAUGUUUACAAUUUGUUCUAAGUAUUGAUUUCAUUAAAUCUUUCCAGAUGGAAAAAGAAUUCAGCCUGACAAUCCAAGAAUUAGUUAAAAUUCUUGGAUCCGCUGUCCAUCGGGGGACGGUGGCCGAUUAAGAGCCCCCGGUUGGACCGCCAAGAGAACUGUUCCAUAUCCUAUGGGAUCCGACAGAUGCAAUGGUGAAGAAGACAGACGACGUUCACAGGCCAUACUUUGAGAUUGACAACAUAUGGAUGCCUAUGCAUAUUAGUACUUGCCCGGUUUUAAUGAUCAGGAAUGAAAAUUACUAUCAAGAUUAGACUAAAAAAAAAAUAAAAGGCCUACCUCCUCGAGGGUCUCGUGAGCUUUCGAUUGAUUUUCGUGUGUAGCUAUUUGGCAUUGCACGUAGACGAUACAAAUAUACAAAAUGUUACUGGUUCCCUUUAGAUUACAUUUUUAUGAGGUAUUUUGGUAAAUUUUUGGGUUUGUUAAGAUUUUUUUUUUUUGGUGUUUUCACAAAUUUUGAUUUGUUUCGACUAUUUUGAGUAGCUUUAGAAGCUUUUGAUGUAGACAUUGUAACACUUGUUACGAUUUAAUGUAUAGUUGUAUGUAAUAAUUAUAAUAAUAAUACUAAUAAUAAAAGGUGUUACAAAAGCAAAAAAUGAUUGUAGCACUGCUAGCAUAUCCUAUCUUAAGGAAUUUUCUUCAGUUGAUAUUCCACUUAUUAGGGCCCAUUAAUUUGAUGAUGAAAGGUUUUCUUUUUUCUUUUAUUCCCUUCAUAAUCAAGAAAAAGAAUAAUUGUUUCUUUUAUUUCCUAAUGUUCAAUCAAAAUCAAAACAUGAGAUGUUCUUUACAGUAAUACACGGCUUAUGAUUAACGACUUAGUCAAUCCACGUGUUUAGAAAGCCAUUAUUAGCUGAUGUCUGAUGAUUAGAAAGAAUUGACAAAGUCUGCAUUCUGGUCAUUGAUUGAUGAAUCUCACAAGUCGUGUGGACAGUACUCUUCGACACCAUGUGAUACUCUCGGGUGCUACAACGUGUUAAAGUACACUUUGAUGCCCACAACAGCAAUGAGAUGUUUUUGCAUGAUGAAUCUUGAGUAGCCAAAUACUUGCUAAUAUAUUUCAAUUACCAAGAACUAUACAAGUUUGAAUAGCCAUGUUUGAACUAUCAAUGCUCUUGCAUUCAACAUUAUCUUUAUUCCAGUUACAUAUUGAAAGCGGUUGAAAAUGGAAUAGGGUGUGGCAUAUAACUGAAACGAAUGGAAUGGAUGGCUGGUGAUUGAGGAUUAUGCGUACGAAGCAACCAGUAUUGUGGUAGGAUUUGUAAGCACCUGUGCGGAACUAUCGCAGUAAUUUGUUGGGGUUACUAAUACAUCUAACUCUACUCUACUAGCCAUCAAUGUUUUUAAAAUCAGAUGGGAGAGGGAAUUGAAGGAGCUUUUAGUUCACGAUUCAACCGGUUUGAUUGAUUCAACUCCGAUAUAAAGGUUUAAUAAUUUUUUAUUUAUUCUGGUAUUAAUAAUUUUAAUAAAAUUGAAAUAUUUGUAAAGAUAAAAAUUUAGCGAAUUUCAGUUCAAAAUCUCUGUUUCUACCCAUUUUUACCAUUCCAAUCGAUUCUUGAUCAAGUUUAGUUGAUUUCAUUGAAUUUUUGAAUUAACUAUUGACUCGAAUUAGAAGUAUAAUCAAUUUGUUCUUCCAUUAAUUGAACCGACUAGUCUAAUCCGAUUUUCAAAAUAGUAGUAGUCAUGGUAAUGGUCUUUCUCAAGAGAAACUUUGCAAUAUCCACUUAACUAGUACAUUGUAGCUAGCAUUACCCUUUGGUCCGUGACAGGUGCCGAACCUGUGCAAUAAUAAAUACCUGCUCAAACAAAAUAUAAUUUCUGUAUAUAGCGGUAAGCAGGGUCGAAUCCACAGGGACUGGGGAAAAUUUAAUUUCUUCUCAAGUUUCAGAUAUGGGGGGUUUUUGAAAAUGAGAGUAACUAAAUUACUUGGAAUGAAUUAAAAUAAAAUAAAAUAACUACAACUCAAAUAACUAAUUAUCACAAUAAAAAUAAUAAUGGACGAACUCUAGCCAAGAGACAACUUCGGAGAUGGUUCACUUAAUUCGAUCACAGAUGCAAGGAUUAUUCCAAUUACAAUCUGAUAAAUUAGUUAUAGUUGUCAUACACGCGAUAAACAACCAACUCUUCCUCAAUUUGUCGAUAGCCAAGGUACGACCGUUGACUAUUUCUCUAAUCAGGAAAUAACCCUAGGUACGACCAUAGAAGUUCAAUUCCCUAAUUGCAUGAAUAAUUAGAAGAGCCUAAUUCUAACCAAUCAACACGCUACGAGGGUCUCUUUAAGUUAGCCUGUCUAUCUCCCUGACACAAACCCAAUCAUGCCAGUUGCCACCAGUUUAGGAUAAUUAAACAAUUACGGAUUUAACUACCCUAAUUGGCUUCAGGUUAUUGAAUUAAUCUAGAAUCCGGGCCCUGGAUAAUCGAAUAACAAAACAACCAUAUGAACAUAAAGCAGAAGAUAGACAAAUACCAGUGAAUAAUGGAAAUAAAUAAAAACUAAUUCGAUCUCACAAAUUUAGUAGAACCAAAUCCUCCGUUGUUCUUGACUAGACAAACUUAGCCACGCCUCAUGAGAAAAUCUUCAAGUAAUUUCAUUGAGGUCCAGGCCAUCAAAAGAGCCAAGAAAGAAAAAGAAAACUAAAACUAUGCUAAAAACUAAGCUAAAACUCGCCCUUCAGCCUUUCUUACUAUUGUCCUUAUAUAGCCAAAAGGAUACAUGACACAAGGCUUUCCUUUAUCCCGUGGUCCCCGCACGAAUUGAGAGUCCAAUUCCAAUUUUACAAGCCUUGUACGUUUCUUUCUCAUUUUAAAGUCCAAAAGGAAUGAUGACUCCAAAUGCUCUUAUCCCGUGGUCCCCGCUGAGAUUGAGAGUCAAACAAACUCAUAAGAAAAGCCUGCCGAAUUACUCCUUGUUUCCUAAUGUUCCUAGGACUCCUUGUACCAGCCUUCUCUUCAUCAGCUCAAAAGGGAAGCCGUUUGUUUGAUCUCUUGUGGGACACGUUGAGGGAGCUUCGCAGGAGACUCCCACUUGUGAAGUAAUUUGCUUCAAAAAGUCCCUGCUUUUUGUAGUUUUCUGCUCCAUUCCCUGGAAUUAAGUCCAGAUACCAAAUAUAAGUAAAUAUCAACAAUUAACACAAUAUUUGAUACGAACAAAAGGGGAAAUUAAUAAUAAAAUUGCAAACAAAUAAUGCCCUAUCAAUUCCCCCCACACCUGAAUCAGGCUUGCCCUCAAGCAUGAGAAUAGCAUUUGAAUACCAAAAUUUUGACAAUGACUAUCGCUCCAACUACCGUAUUGCCAAGAUACCCAGAAAAACAUACAUCAAGCAUCACAGGUCAAGAUCAAAGAAAAUUACUCCGGUUAGCUUCCCAACCACCAACUUCUCCAAUUUAAAACAAGCUAAUCUAAGAAAAAGGAAUGGUUGUUCACAUUUAUCAGCAAAUGGUCCAACUACUAACCAAAAUCUCGACAUUAAGAUUACAAACCGGCAAGCUGACUUAUUCACACACUAACACAAUCUUUAUUUCACUUUUUUUUUUCCUUUUUGUUUUUUUUGUUAUUUUAUUUUAUUUUUUUUUUUUGUUUUUUUUUUUUUGUGAAUAACAAAAGACUUAAUCUAUAGCCAUUAGAGCCUUUUGACGCGAACUCCAACAUUUCACAGAUGGAGGAGCCCGGUUACUCAACUCCAAUCGCUACGGGACCACGCACUCAUAGUAACUACUACCUUUUGACGCGAGAAUCGAUACUUUAGGUGAAGAUCCCCGGUUACUCAAUAGUAAUCACUAGCGGAGUACAGUCAACUCUUAUUUAUAACCAUAUAGCACAAAAAAUAACAGCAGCCAGCCUCAAAUUUCCAAACAUGGAGAACUAAAAUUAAUAAAUGGACCAAUUCACAUGAAAAAUGCCAACAAUCAUUCCCCAUGCUUAGAAGAGUUAACCAAAAAUAGGAAAAGUUAAGCAAUUAUUGAUAUUCACCAAAGAGAUAUUCCUGAACUCAACCACAUCAACUUGAUACCUUUUUAAUAAACUUGGCAAUAGCAAAAUUAGAGACAACCAUCCGGUAUCAAAACUUGGUAUUCAUAUAAAAACUGACCACUAGGAAAAGAAAAGAAAAGAAAAUAAAUGAAAAGGAGAUAAAUAUCCGACUUAAAACAAAGGAAAAAACACCUAAAAAAAAUCGAAAAUUGAAAAUACUAGCACCCAAAACUGACCCCCCACACCUAAUUCACACAUUGCCCUCAAUGUGAUAAAUACAGUAAUAGUAAGCAAAAGAGCAACGGUACUUCCCUGAAAUCACGGGGACCAUGGCGGGGCCACAGCAGUGGGUGAGGCGAGGGAUGGUUGAGUUGGGUUGGAGUAGGCUAAGGUCAAGAGGUUCUGGACCAAGAAGAGAACCUUGAUCUCACUAUUGCCGCAAAUUAGCAAUUUAAAGCCCUGAGCAAUUUAAGCCCAACAAGUCAAUCAAUACCAGAAAAUCAUUCCAAACAAUGUACCAGUUAAACUCCACGGGCAAAGGACGUCCAACCAAUUUCACUCAAGCAAACUAGGAGCAAUGCGACUGAUUAAACAAAGCAACAAAUUUCAGCAAGUGGACACAAAUUCAGCCAAGAUCUCAACAACUGGUUUCAACUUGACAGCCAAUUACCCAAUCUAAAUUCCAGCAGCAACCGAAUAUUAUUCGAUCAAAUUCCAAGAAUUUCAGGCAAUCGCCGUGACCAGUACCACUGGUGCAUAUACAAGAAGGGAUGAAAUCAAACGGCCAGCAAUAUAGCAGCAAUAACAAUAGGCAAAAAAUCUCAACCAGUACCACUGGUGAGUCACAGGGAAAAAUUAAAUUCAAUAACAAACCCCAACCAACAAAAUGCACACUGUAGGCACCCAAGGUCGAGACAAACUUCUCAACAAAGCAUCAAUUAUAGGCACUAAGCAAUUAGGGUCCCAACGUAGUCAAGCACAACAACAAGUCAGCCCAUCAAUUCAAUUAAUAGCAGAAAACACCCCCACAGAUAGCAACAAUCAAACUCAAUUCCGUCCAAACUGAUUCCGCAGAAAUUACCCAAUGAAUUUAACUGCUCGAAACGCCCUCACAGAAAACCAACCCCAAAAUGUGCAGGAGAAACCCCAAAUAAAUCAGCAGAUGAUAAAUCAAGAAAAUUAUCCCAAUUGCAAAUCAAUUCCAGCAAUUAGUUUCUAGAAAUUGCGAAGGGGGAAGGGCAAGCAAUACCUCCACCUGUCAAUUUUUGACAGGUGGCGAAGGUGCGGCGAAGAGGAAAAGGUGAGAGAGGGGGUCGCCUGCGCGGUGGUACUGGAGGCGUCGGCUGGGCGUCGAGCGGCGAUGGUGGCGUGCUGCUACUGCGCCUGGGGGUGCGCGCAAGGAGCUCCGCUGCUGCUAGCGGCGGACGAGAUGAAGCUUCCGGCGGCGGUGGUGGCGUGCUAGGUGGAAAAAGGUGCGGUUGGUGAAAGUCAACAGGCUUGCUGGCUCGGCUGCGCGCUGGUGGAGGUUGGUGGUGACCGCGAGGGGAGGCCGGAGCUGGUGGUGGCGCGCGAUGCUGCCGCGCGGGAGAAGGGGCCGCGUGCGGGCGGCGAUGGCGACUGGGCAGUGUGGUUUGUGCGAUGGAAGAGAGAGGACUAGCGGCGUGGGUUGGUGGAGGCCUGGAGGCGAUGGUGGAGGCGCUGGUGGCAGACAGCAACGGCGGAGAUGUGCGCAGAGCUGGAGUGCGGCGUGCUGGUGGCGCGGCUGUCGCGGAGCUCGGGUAGGCGGCGGCUCUGGUUGAAGGAACAAGAGAAAAGGGGAAAGCAGGGGCAGCGGGGAAGAAGGAAGAAAGAAAAGAAAGAAGAAAAGAAAGAAAGAAAGAAGAAAAGAAGAAAAAGGGAAUUGUUUUUUUUUUUUGUAAUAAUAAAAUUUUUAAUUUUUUUUUUUUAGAGGGACUCCUGUCUUAGGCGUGGGCACGUCUAACUGCUAUAGAGUCCGCAGAUCCUGAACGAGAAUUUCUUUCCCUCAAGCGUGACCACCUGGCGUGGGCACACUUAACCGCUAUGGAGUCCGCAGAACCUGAGCGAAAAUUUCUUUUCCUCAGGCGUGACCAUCUGGCGUGGGCACGCCUAACCGCUAAUUUCCUGCCACCAAUCAUCAAACCAUUAAUUGACACUAACACUUAACUAAAACUUCAAAAAUGCAUGAAAACUAAAACAAAUAGUCUUGGGUUGCCUCCCAAGUAGCGCCUUUCUUUAAUGUCUUUGGCUAGACAUUUUCAUGUGUAUUCAUGGAGGAUAAAAUCUUGUGGCUCGUUUCAGUACUUCAUCUUCUAUGUAAUCCUGAUAACCCUCGUAAAUAGAGUAAUUCUUGAGCACACGAGCUACGGGCUUCCAUGGACUAGUAAAUGGCGCCAAACAAGUCAACGAUAAUUUGCAUUCUCCACUCUCUCCUCCAUCACACGCCUUUAUCGGUUCAAGAUAUUUGACCAUCGUAGCUCUUAACUUAUUCCUGUCAUGAAACUCAAAAUCGUCUGGUAUGAUAAAAUCAAUCUCACUAACAGGAAUUAAAGAAUAUGAGUCAGGAAAAUAUUGAUCAAGAAAUGGAGGAGAUGUCACCGCAUUUGGAGAUUGUUCACUGGAUUCAUUCACUUGAACCAUUUGAUGUUGGGGUCUCAAUUUUUGCUCUUCAACUUUCUUUUCAACUGCAUCUUUAGAUUCCUUCUUCUUGAGACUCUUGCAGUACCAUGUCAUUUGUCAGAAUAAUUGCACUCUCAUCUUCCUCAUGGUCGAUAAUAGUUUGUGAGGGCAAUUCUUCACUCAUUCGAGAAGCCAAUGACGUUAUCCUAAAUGUCAAUUGAUCCAUUUGAUCUGCUAGGUUACGCCUGCUCACUUGUGUCUCCUGUUGAAUUUGAUAUGUUAAUUCAACUAUCUCUUCAAGAGACAUACCUGACAUAGAUGAUGAUUCUUGAGACUCAUACUGCUGAAAAUUCAUUGGCCCUGUUGUAUAAUCAUAACUGGAGUUAUCCCACCAUCCUUGAUCAUACCCGUUUGGAUUAGCGUUAUACCACGUUUGAGACCAGGGUGAAAAAUCUCCAUAAUUAUUGAAUGGGACACUCAGAUUAUCUUGAUAUUCGGGGCACAUACCGGUUGAAUGAUCCCUGGCAUAACAAAUUUCACAGGUUGCAGCAGCCAUUCUUUUUUUAAUAGAGUUUAUUGCCUCUAAGUAUGCAAACUUAGAAAAACAAUCAAUCUCAUUGCCUUCCCCAAAAACAAAAUCCAGUAUAUCACCAAAAUACGGAGUGUUAGAAGCCAUAAACUAUAUAAUAAAAAAUAAGAGAAAUAAAUUAAAAAUGAAAACAAGGUGAACUCAAAAAGAAACAAAUUAAUCUGACACCAGUCCCCGGCAACGGCGCCAAAAAUUGACAGGUGCCGAACCUGUGCAAUAAUAAAUACCUACUCAAACAAAAUAUAAUUUCUGUAUAUAGCGGUAAACAGGGUCGAAUCCACAGGGAUUGGGGAAAAUUUAAUUUCUUCUCAAGUUUCAGAUAUGGGGGGUUUUUGAAAAUGAGAGUAACUAAAUUAAUUGGAAUGAAUUAAAAUAAAAUAAAAUAACUACAACUCAAAUAACUAAUUAUCACAAUAAAAAUAAUAAUGAACGAACUCUAGCCAAGAGACAACUUCGGAGAUGGUUCACUUAAUUCGAUCACAGAUGCAAGGAUUAUUCCAAUUACAAUCUGAUAAAUUAGUUAUAGUUGUCAUACACGCGAUAAACAACCAACUCUUCCUCAAUUUGUCGAUAGCCAAGGUACGACCGUUGACUAUUUCUCUAAUCAGGAAAUAACCCUAGGUACGACCAUAGAAGUUCAAUUCCCUAAUUGCAUGAAUAAUUAGAAGAGCCUAAUUCUAACCAAUCAACACGCUACGAGGGUCUCUUUAAGUUAGCCUGUCUAUCUCCCUGACACAAACCCAAUCAUGCCAGUUGCCACCAGUUUAGGAUAAUUAAACAAUUACGGAUUUAACUACCCUAAUUGGCUUCAGGUUAUUGAAUUAAUCUAGAAUCCGGGCCCUGGAUAAUCGAAUAACAAAACAACCAUAUGAACAUAAAGCAGAAGAUAGACAAAUACCAGUGAAUAAUGGAAAUAAAUAAAAACUAAUUCGAUCUCACAAAUUUAGUAGAACCAAAUCCUCCGUUGUUCUUGACUAGACAAACUUAGCCACGCCUCAUGAGAAAAUCUUCAAGUAAUUUCAUUGAGGUCCAGGCCAUCAAAAGAGCCAAGAAAGAAAAAGAAAACUAAAACUAUGCUAAAAACUAAGCUAAAACUCGCCCUUCAGCCUUUCUUACUAUUGUCCUUAUAUAGCCAAAAGGAUACAUGACACAAGGCUUUCCUUUAUCCCGUGGUCCCCGCACGAAUUGAGAGUCCAAUUCCAAUUUUACAAGCCUUAUACGUUUCUUUCUCAUUUUAAAGUCCAAAAGGAAUGAUGACUCCAAAUGCUCUUAUCCCGUGGUCCCCGCCGAGAUUGAGAGUCAAACAAACUCAUAAGAAAAGCCUGCCGAAUUACUCCUUGUUUCCUAAUGUUCCUAGGACUCCUUGUACCAGCCUUCUCUUCAUCAGCUCAAAAGGGAAGCCGUUUGUUUGAUCUCUUGUGGGACACGUUGAGGGAGCUUCGCAGGAGACUCCCACUUGUGAAGUAAUUUGCUUCAAAAAGUCCCUGCUUUUUGUAGUUUUCUGCUCCAUUCCCUGGAAUUAAGUCCAGAUACCAAAUAUAAGUAAAUAUCAACAAUUAACACAAUAUUUGAUACGAACAAAAGGGGAAAUUAAUAAUAAAAUUGCAAACAAAUAAUGCCCUAUCAGUCCGAUUAUAAACACUUGAAAAGUAUUUACGCGAAUUCCUUUCAAUUAUUCACCUCUAAAGAGGCAACUUAUUCUUGAUGUUGGUGAAAACAAUCGAAAGAGCCAAGAAGUAAUUUGCGGUUCAAAUGGAGUCGCAUGUCUUACGUGAUUGGCUUGAACCAUGAGUGCGAAUCUACUCACAAUCUAGUUCGAGCAAGUUAAGGUGCGGUCUAAUUUAUGGAUUUUGUACCUUUGGCUUUUUGUGUUUGAUUCAUUUUUUUAAAAAGGGAAAGAAAAUGAUAGGCAGAGAAAGGGAAUGAUAGGUCAAAAGUGGACAAAAAUGGAGGAAAUAAAAUCUCUCUUUCAUUGAUUUACUUUUACUGGUUAAAUAACGUACGUAAUUCUUUCAUUUAUUUUGUUUGUUUUUCCUUUUUACAUGAUUGAAAUCACUCUCUAUUUUUCUUUUUUCUCGUUAAGAAGAUGAAAAUCUGAUUAGUAACUUUAAGAAUCACUUCUAGAAAUCUUUAGGCAUCACACCUAAAAUUAGAAUGUAUCACACAAUUCCAAAAAAAGACAUUGAGUCUGCAAAAAAAAUUUAUUAAUGAUAAAUUUAUUAACGAAUAUAUAUAUAUAUAUAUAUAUGCAUAUCUAAAAUAUAUAAAAGGGGGAACGUCCAUUUGCUACAGUCCAUCCAUGGGCCGGUUUCGGUGGUAAUUCUCAUGAGUUCGUGGGUUAUUUUGGUCUUUCCACCGUAUAUGCCUUGCAAUAGGUUGUUGCUUGUUUUCUCCAUAAAAGGGGGAACGCCCAUUUGCUACAGUCCAUCCAUGGGCCAGUUUCGGUAAUAAUUCUCAUGAGUUCGUGGGGUAUUUUGGUCUUUCCACCGCAUAUGCCUUGCAAUAGGUUGUUGCUUGUUUUCUCCUUCUAUUGCUUCUGUUAUUACAAUCACAGAUCAGAAAUCAGAAAUCGGAAAUUAUAUAUUAUAAUUAUAAUGGCCAACAAAGAUAUUGCACUUUAAUGACCCUGUACCGUGCAGUCUUCAAUGUUUCCAUCUUCCCAACUUUCUGCUCCAUCCAUGCAAUCCACAUAUAUAAAAAUGGAAUCUAUUUACUCUAUUGCCCUUGUCUAAUGUUAAGUUGACUAUUUCUCUUGUAAUAUUUAUCUUUAUAAUAUAACUGUAGUGUGCGUAUAUAGGUCUUUGCCCUUAUGAUACAUUUGUGCACGUGUGUAUUUCACGUACCCUCCCCUCAACUGUUUAACUUUGUACAACAAUCUGAAUUGGUGAUUCCUUGCGCACUCUUUCAUGUUGCUCAUUAAUUACUGAUAGUGACGGUCUAUCAAGUAGUCAUUUUUAGUCACUUAUAUUUAUCCUUUUUCACCCCACUAUAUACGUUUUCUCCACUUUUUAUUACCAAUUAUCCGGUAAUUUUCCUAUCCCACAGUUGUCAUCAUGCCCUUUGAAUUUUUUCCUCUCAUGCUUUUUUCCUCCCGUUUAUACAUGUUUACUUCCACGUGUUCUUUUUUUACCACUCCUGUUUGCACUUCGUUUCUUUUUCCUUCUCUGAAAGCCACCCAGUCAGUAGCCGUCUCUGUGUUCCUUGCUGUUCAUCUUCGUUUUUGCUCCUCCACUCACCAUGACUUCCAUCUUGGUGCUGUUCUUUUGUUCUUUACUAUAUGUUUUAUAGUUCCGCUAGAUGUUUAUCUUCAUCAUCUUACCCAUGGUUCCAGCAAAGAAUAUUCUAUCUAUUGCAUAUUUGUCUAGGUGUUAGCCAUUUACUUCUGCCUUUUGCAUAUCAUCUUUUUUUUCCUUAUAAUUCUUUGUAUUUUUUGCUCAGGUCAUCGAACAACAACGUUUUGCUAACUGUUAAAAGUCAGUAAGAGAAACCAAUUUCUUUCCAUUACUUUUUGCUGAUCACUCAAAGUUGCGAAGCCGAACCAGUUCUUUGCGCCGGUAACUGGUAUGCACACGACUCUUACCCAUAACUCUUCCAUGAUACGUUUGCUUUUUCUGCCCAGUUCCGUUCUUAAGAAUCAUGCGAACGUCUUUUACUUAUUAUUUUUUUGCUAUGCAUGUAAUCAUUAUCUAAUGUAUAUAAUGUUUUGGUAACUUACACGUGAAAACGAUAUAAUCAUCCUUCUGUUUCAUAUUUUUUAUUAUCCAGUUAUAGCAACUAUUAUUUUUAUUCAUUUUAUAGCUUUCCUAUAGUUUGUUUGUGACCAUGCCGCGAAAAUGAAAAUAUACUUCGUAUGAAGAAAUGUGUCUACACAAGAAUCAUCGUCGUAGGGAAGCUAAGGCGUCUAUGCUUGACCCAAUGGUUCACACUAAAAAUCCAGCUAAACUUGAAAGCAACAAUAUUGUAUCCUCGACUCCAGUAUCUCUACUUUCUGAGAAUCAACUGUCUGAUGCUUCAGAAAACAUAAGCCUAUCGCUUCCUAUGCUAUCCGAACAUGUCCUCAAAACAUCUGACAUACCUUCAGCAAGUAAGACACUUCGUUUAGUCGUCCAUAUAUACUCCAUCUAACAAAGCAUUCAGUACACCAAUUUUCUUUAAAAAAUAUAUAUUGAUGUCUUGUCUAAGAAUCUUUGUCCAUCAAUAAUGCAGCCUGUUCAUCUUCUAACAACCAUGUCUGCUGUGAUGUUAUAAAUGGACCGACUAAUGGAGGUAUUUAUACCUUUAUCACUGCUAUAACUUCUCCCACUAUUGAAUAUUUGUUUCGUGCAAAUUUUCCUAAAUACAUUCGUCCAUCUUUUACAUUUUACAUCCAGUUCAACAACAAAUAGUCUUUCCUAGCUCUCAAAUGACCAGCAACAUGCCAAAACAAAAUGCUGGUAUAUAUGAAAACUCUAUCUAUUGCCUAAGAUACUCAAUAAAUGUAUCUAUAUCUACAACAUGUAAUUGAACAGUCUCCCAUUCUUAGGUCAUCAGCAAAAGGUCAAAAAAAAAAAACAAUGGAUUGAUAGGAUUCCUACUCAACCCUCUGUUUUACCUGUUGUCCAAGAUUGUGUUUUUUGUGGUGCUAAACGUUUCUACCAUGAGCCACCUGGUUUUUGCUGUGCUUCCGGUGAAAUUCGAUUAGUUGAGACAGAGAUGCCAGCUCAGUUAGCAAAACUGUACACUGCUAAUACUCCUGAAGCAAUCGAAUUUCACCAAUGUAUUAGAAGCUAUAACAAUAUGUUCGCAUUCACGUCUCUGGGAGUUCAUUCUGAUAAAGAGUUGAAUAAGAGAGACAGAGGAAUCUAUGCAUUCAGAGUACAGUGCCAAAUGUACCAUUUUCUCAAUCCCCUGGUUCCAAUGGACGGCCACAAACCAUCAAAUGUAUAGUUAUACUAUUUUGAUACUGAGCAUGAAAUUGCGAAUCAGAUGGCCAUUUCUAAUAAAUUUCAAGAAACUAUUCUAGAAUAGCUGCAGCAAAUUCUGGAUCACAAUCCAUACGCAGCAUUUUUUCGCAGUUUAAGAAGCUUUGAAGACAUUUAUAACCAUAAAGUUUUCUUAAACUUGCACCCUUCUCUAGACCAGUGUGUGUAUAAUACUCCAACAGUCUCUCAAGUGGCUGCCAUAUGGACAGAAAAUGACCUUAAUAUAGAAGAUUCCUCUCAGCAUAUACAGGUCUAUCCAAGGAGUGGUAGACCACAAAUCAUUAAACACUAUUUUGGAUGUUAUGACACGUUACAGUAUCCCUUAAUUUUUGCAAGAGGUGAGACUGGAUGGCAUGAAGGUAUACAAAGAAUUUUUAAAAAUCAACAGUCUGUACAAGAUUCCAUGACAUGUCAGGGCCAUGAUAUCCAUAUAGGCCAUUAUUCUUCUGCAGAGGAAAUAAUUUCAGCUGAGAAUGCAGGUAAUUAAUAAAAUAUGAUAUGUCUUAUGUAUAGUCCUUACUACUAUCUUUUUCUCAUCCACAUAGUCUAUCAUACCUUUUGCCAACUUCAUUGUCUUGCACCAAUUUUGCAGAAAAAAAGGAGCACUGUCUCUUGUCGUGACUACUAUUGCUACAAGUUUCAAAUGCGCCAAAUUGACAAAUCCUUAAUACUGCACUGUGGGAGACUCUUCCAGCAAUUCUGUAUCGAUACAUAUGUCAAGAUAGAAUUAGCAAGCUGGGUUUUAAUCGAAAUAGGCAACGACAGAUCAGAACAGAUGUUUACUAAGGAAUUUUAGACAGCAUUUCAAAUGGAGAAACCUCUAUAUCAAACGUUGGUAAACGAAUAUAUUUGCCUGCUUCUUUUAUUGGAGGUCCUCGAGAUAUGAAACUAAGAUACAUGGAUGCCAUGACGCUGGUUCAAAAGUAUGGAAAACCUGACAUAUUCUUAACAAUGACCUGUAAUCCAGCUUGGCCUGAGAUCAAGAAGCAUCUGUCUGAUGGCGAAGAAGCACACAACAGACCUGAUGUAACAUCAAGAGUAUUUCGUGCCAAACUAGAGAUGCUCAAAAAUGAUAUUAUCAAAAAAGGGCUUUUUGGCAAAGUAGCAGAUACAUGUAUGUUAUAGAAUUCCAGAAAAGAGGCCUCCCACACGCACAUUUUUUGAUAAUCCUUGCAAAUAGAUGCAAAUUAAACUCACCUGAAGCUUAUGAUCGAGUUACAUCUACAGAAUUACCGGAUCCAGAUCCUUUCCCUUACCUCCAUUCUGUUAUGGUUGCUCAUAUAUUGCAUGGACCAUGUGGAACAGCUAAUAAAAACAGCCCAUGUAUGAAGCAAAAUGGAAAAUGCAGAUUUGCCUAUCCAAAGGAGUUUGCUGAAUUCACGAGACAUAAUAAGGAUUCGUAUCCUCUUUACAUGCGCCGUCAUGAUGGAAACACUGUCACAGCUCGUCACUUCCAGAUUGACAAUCGUUGGGUUGUUCCCUACAAUCCAUACUUACUUGCCAAGUAUGAUUACCACAACAAUGUUGAAGUUUGUUCCACAAUUGAAGCUGUUAAAUAUAUUUACAAAUAUAUCUACAAAGGACACUCAAAGAUCCUGUAUCAGCUCAAUGCAGCAGAGAAUGAUGGAGCAAUUGACGAAAUAAAAAACUUUCAAUCUGGACGUUGGAUAUGUGCACCAGAAGCAACAUGGCGAAUAUUUGUUUUCGACCUCAGUAACUUGAAUCCAUCUGUCAUGGCACUACAGAUACAUUUAGAAGGAGAACAGUCAAUGGUUUUCAAUGAGGAUGAUAUUCUGGAGAGACUUGCAGUGGAUGAACGAAUGUCACGAACUAUGCUAACAGAAUUUUUUCGGAUGAACAGUUUAGAUGCACGUGCACAAGCCUUAAAAUGUCUUUAUAAAGAAUUUUCUCAGCAUUUUGUAUGGAAUGCAACUCACAAAAUAUGGGAACCGAGACAAAAAAGAAGCACAAUUGGAAGACUAACUGCAGUGCAUCCAACUCAAGGUAAAAAGUACUACUUACGGAUGUUACUAAUGCAUGUCAAAUGGCCUAUGUCUUAUGAAAGUCUAAAACACAUUGGUUCAAGAACAGCUUCAACUUUCAGAGAAGCUGCAGAAAUUCUAGGCUUAUUAAAGACUGAUGAUAGGGCAGAACAAUGUUUACUUGAAGCUGUAUCAUUCCAGAUGCCUUCUACUCUCCGUCACUUGUUCGCUCUCAUUAUGGUCCAUGUACUACCUCCUAAUCCAAUGUUGCUAUGGCAGAAAUUUGAACCAUACCUGUCUGAAAAUAUUUCUAGAGACAAGUCUUUAUCACCUGAGCAGACAAAACUAAAAGUUCUCCAGCUUAUUGACUCUCACCUGCAAUAUAUGGGCAAACAUCUUGCUGAUUUCAACAUAGCUGUCCCUGACACUGAUGCCUUUUCCAUUCAAAGAGACACACAAGAAAUAGGGGCCGAGCUCGACAUCAAAGUUUUUGCUGAAGACAUAGCAUCAGUUGCUCUUCUUAAUGAUCAUCAACAAUCUGCUUAUAAUAAAAUCAUCAAUAGAAUUGACAACAACAUAGCAGGAGCUUUUUUUAUAGAUGGGUCAGGAGGAACAGGCAAAACAUUCUUAUCAAAGACUUUAUUAACAACUGUGAGGUCUAAAGGCCAAAUUGCAUUAGCCACAGCAUCAUGCGGCGUUGCUGCUUCCAUUCUUCCAGGAAGACGUACAGCUCACUCUCGAUUUAAGAUUCCAAUUCAUGAGGACAAUGACAGUGGCUGUAAUGUUAACAAACAAAGUAGCAGUGCAAGAUUGAUCAAGCAAGCCAAACUCAUCAUCUGGGACGAAGCAACAAUGGCCAAAAAAUAUGCUAUUGAGUGCUUUGAGAAGCUACUAAGGGAUAUAAUGAACUCAGAUACAGUAUUUGGUGGCAAGGUUAUCGUAUUUGGUGGUGACUUCCGCCAGACAUUACCUAUUGUCAUCAAAGGGUACAAAGAAGAUUACAUUUCUGCCAGCUUGGUAAAAUCUUAUGUUUGAAACCAUCUUGAAAAACUCCGCCUGGUUGAAAACAUGCAUGCACAUUUAGAUAAACCAUUUUCAGAUUUUCUUUUGAGUCUUGGUAAUGGAACUUUGCCUUGCUUUGAUGACUCCAGAAUAACAUUGCGACACUAUCUUACAAUACCUUUUGUUGAUGAUCAAUCUUCACUUUCUGUUCUAAUCACCAGUGUCUUUCCUGACCUCAUAGCAUUUGGUACACACUCAUUGCAUAUACUUAACAGAGCUAUACUAACUACUAAAAAUGAAUUUGUGCACGAGAUAAACAACCUCCUGAUCACAAAGUUUCCUGGUACAGAACACAAAUAUGUAAGUUAUGAUGAAACUAUAGACCAAUCCAAACAAGCAGAACACAAGGACUUUUUACAUUCAUUAGAACCUCCAAGCCUGCCACCACAUGAACUCAUUCUAAAAGUCAAUAGUCCUAUUGUAUUACUUAGAAACUUGAACCCAAAAGAAGGUUUAUGUUACGGAACACGACUAAUUUGUCUUGGUUUUGCUCCCAAUGUUAUCCAUGCACUCAUUGCUGUCAGAAAUCAUAUUGAAAAACAAGUCUUUAUCCCAAAAAUCUCAUUACAAUGUUCUGACAGUAACAUUUACAUAGUACCCUUCAAGAAAACACAACUUUCAGUUAGACUUUGUUUUGCCAUGACUAUUAAUAAAGCACAAGGACAAACACUCGACUUCGUCGGCUUGUACUUAAAGGAGCCAGUAUUUGGUCAUGGUCAGUUGUAUGUUGCUUUAUCUAGAGCUAAAACAGCAAAUGAUGUUAGAGUUUUAGUUAAGCCCUCUCCAGAUGAGCAGACUGACAUAGUUUCUACAAGAAAUAUAGUAUACAAUGAAGUCCUAUCAAUUGCUGGUGUUAUCUAAGCACUGUCUCUCUUUAGCUUCUAUCAUUAACAUCUAACUUCAGCUUUAUUCACUUGCUCCUUAUAAUACACAAAUAUGAUUAUCCUCUCUUAAAUUAUGUGUUUUAUAUUAACAUUUUAGAUCCCAUUUCAUUCACAGUAGCAUUUUCUUUUCUCAAUAAUAUUGUUACUGCCACGCUCUUCCUUGUAGUCAUGGAUAGCAGAUGUAUUUUAAUAAUAGACUUCCAGGAGAAACAGCGCCAAUGGUUUGCCAAACUUUAUGUAAUAGAGGUGACAAGAAUCUUUGACCCAACUCCAAGAACAAAGGCAUACCGAUGGCUCUUAUUUGCAGAUGAUCAGGUACAUAUAUAUCUAUAACAUAUACAAUAAACCAAUACUUAACUUUCCUAUAACUUAUACAACAACAUUAUGUUCCAUUAUCUAUCUAUAAUCCUGUAACCUACAAUUUAUAUUUCACAGAAUGACACGGUUCAGGGCAUCAUUUAUCAACAAUACCUGGCUUUCAUUGGCGAAAUAUUCAAGCACCAGGCAUCAUACUACUUCGGUGGUGCAUAUAUUAGCAAAAUUCAAGAUUCCCGCCACCAAAUGGGUACAACACCUCUUCAGCUAACCUUUGACAAAAGGUCCUUCAUACAACCAGUUGCAAGUCCUUUACCAAUGUCAUUGCCAAUGUAUUUUUCACUCACUUCAUUCUGGGACCUAGACCAAUAUCAAGGCAAAGAUAACCAAAGACUCAGUACACAACACACUCCUCCUUAAAUUUAUUUUAUAUAAAUCAUUAGUUUAUGUCAUGUUUCCACUUUUAUUAAUACUAACCAUUCAACAGAUAUCAUGUGUAUUGUCAUUCAAGCAUUACCUCAAAGAAUGAUUGGUGGAGCCAAGCCAUCAGUUAUCCAAGAGUUCAUUGUUGUCAAUGAAGAGUAAGCAAAACGAGAUUUUGUACACUUUAUCUUACCUAUUCAUCAAUAGCAAAUGAUUUAAACUUUCAUUGUAUUUCUCUAACUUUCAUAGACAGCAUCCACUUAUCCUCACACUCUGGGAACCUUUUGUUGAUAAUGAAGGAGCUCAACUUCUUCAAAUUGCACAUACCUACCCAAUUGUUGUCAUUCUCAGACCUAUAGUAACCACCUUUUAUGGUAUAUUUUGUAGAACAGAACCAUUUCUAUCUAUAUUACAAAGCCUACAAACCAAAAAUUCUAACACAGCUUUGAUAUUGUUACAGGUAUCUCUCUGAGGACCAAAGGAAGUACAAAUAUACUCCUUGAUCCUUCAUUUCCACAGAUCACUUGGCAGGAUGGUAUGCACGCUUUCACAUUCAAACUUGCUUCUCUAUUACUUACAUUUCUAUAUAACCAUGACUCAAUAAUACAAAUCAGUAAAUACACUGCUAUUAUUACCACUGCUUGCUACAGGAUUGAAGAAAACAAGAACUACAUUGACAAUAUAAAAGCACAAAAACUAUACGAAAAAGCAAACCAAAAGAUCAAGCCACCGCCUGAAAAAGAUAUUUGACAGAUCUCACAAAUUCUUGGUGCAUACAUUCUGGUAAGCUAAUACACUAACUUAACUCCAGACAUCAAGUUUGCUUUAUAUUUAAAUGGUACCAUUAUAGAUAUGUAUCAAACUCAUUUUAAAUUAUAUAUGACCAGCCAAAAGAUUUCUGGAUAAAAGGAACAAUCCAGAUUACAAAUUCUCGGCAACACUUCUAUAUUGCUAGCUGUGCCGACUGUGGUUGCACCACCAAUGCACCUAUGGAAUUUGAAUUCUCAUGCCACAAUUGUAACAAGAGUCAAACAAAACCUAUCCCCAAGUAAGUCAUUAUCCCAUUCAUAGCAAAAAAGACCUCUUAUUUAUCAUAUUAACAUAUAUAUAUAUAUAUAUAUAUCUACAUCUAUAUAUACAUAUAUCUAUCUAUCCGUCUAAAAAUGUUUCUGUAAACACACAAAUCUACAAUUAUCCAUUUUCAUAUAUUAACAUAUCAUUUUCCUAUUAUACAUCUCCGUCUACAUUAGUAUAUUACUUCUCAUCCCUAACACACUCGAAAAUUCUCUUACAUAGGGCCAGACUAUUUGUCCAAAUAUCUGAUGAUUCAGCUCAUUUGGAUGCAUUUGUCCAAAACAAUUACGCUGAGAACAUAAUUGGGCUCACAGCAAGACAAAUCUAUGACCAAAUAUCAUCUGUGAGAAUCACUAAGUUACACAAGCAAAUUUUUACAGUACUUCAGAAAUAUAUACAAUAAUCCAAAAAACUCUCUUUUCUUAUUCUCCUCAACAGGGACAAGCAAUUCCAAUUCAAAUAAUCAAUGAUAGACUUUUUUCAGAACCUGUCUACUGCCAAAUAAGGACCAGCUCCAACCGUUCCACUCCACAGGGAUUGCCAAGCUUCUUCCUCUCCUCAUAUGCUGCUGUCUCCCAACAACCUCUCGCUGCAAUUGAAGCUAACCCACAUGAAGAAUCAUCCAUCGGCAUUGUCACAAGUCCAUCCAUCACAUAUUUGACAUCUGAAAAACAAUCUGCUUAAACUCCAAGCAACAAGACAGAACCAACACCAACUUCAGAGCUGAGAGAUUCUGAAAUCACUACCACAGACACCACAUGCACACCAACAUCUUCUGCUAAACGCAAGCUACAACUGGAACCUAAAAAAGAUAGCAAACAGCCAAAACAAGGUUAACAAUGUAAUGCCAUCUAAAAAAUAGCUCUUUUGAACCAACGUUGCAUAAUCUCUGUUAAUACCUUUAGACCAUAUCUUUUGGUACAAUCUGUUCCAGCUCUUUUGUAUCUCUAACUGCAACUUUUCUAAGCAUCGUUAAGAAUCUAAUGUCGUAUAAAAAUGACUCCUUUAAACCAACAGUGCACAAUCUCUGUUAAUACCACAGCAUAUCUUUUGGUACAAUAUGUUCUAGAUUUCUUCACCUCUCUGCCUACAAGUUCUGCGAACAUAUAUAGAUCCAUGACCUAUUAUACCAACAGCUCUGUCUAUUCACCUAUUAUAGGUGAAUACAUAUCUGAAUUUUGUAGUUAUUCAAGUAUAAUGACAGUGGUACCAAGGAUAUAUUCUUUCUACGUUGGUGUUUUUUAAUAUCAAAGCUGUAUAUUCAGCUUUUGCAGUGGCAAGAAAUACAAUAGUGUGGCUUGGUUUGAUAUCAUGUUCCUCGGUAAAGACAUUCCAGUUGUCUGUGAUAUAUUUCCCUUCUAUGGUCAUUGAAAUUGUUUUGCAGCCUGUAGUGAGCUUAAGAACUGGUGUCCGUUCUGGAUUUAUUCCUUGUCUCAAGAGUUUGGGGAUUUUUUGCAAAAAAAUUGGGAAAUAGUCUUAAUGUAUAUGAUGUGUUUUAUGUUGUGAAAGAUUCUAUAUUAUGAAUGUAGUAAAAAAUGGCAAAGUUACCAAUUGAAGUCUGUCGUUGGUGGAGUAUACAUGGUAAAAAGCUAUGUUUUUUGUCAAUAUUUUGGUGAAAGUUUGGGCUUAAUGAUGAGAAAUAGGUUCUAUGUAGUGCUCGACGUUCAGCUGGGUCUGAAAUGGAUGGAUGGAUAAAAUUGUUAGCAAACAUUUAAUUAUGAAAACAGUUCAUAGUUUUAUAGACAAAGAUGGUCUUACCUCCGUUCACAGGAGAUGGAUUCGUGUUUGUUGUUGAGAAAGGAGUUGUCCAUGGUAAAUAAUCUUGGAAUUGGUGUUCAUUAAAUAUUAUUGUGUCAAAAAUGUUUUGUCUAUCAAAUAAAAAUAAAAUUAGAUAAUAGUUUUGUAUAUUAUUAUCCAUUAGAUAUGCUUUCCACCCAACUGUAAAAUCUCAUCCCUGUAGUUGGAUUUGCCAUUCCCUAUGUCCAUGCUUCAGAAAUAUUGUUGUUUGAAUUUGUUGUUGACUGGCGUUAAAGAACGACGUUGGAAUUUUCUGUAAAUAUCAUAAAGUCAUAUACUUAUGUCAAACAUUUCUCACAAAAAAAAUUAUGAAUAUGGGUUGAAUGAGUACCGUAUUCAACGUGCUGUUCUGCCGUAUUACAAAGCAUAAUUUUAGAGCUGGGUCUUGAAUCUGAUGUCUUGUCGACGAAGCGGUAUCUGUGGAUGAUCAGGUUUUCAGUAAGUAUAAUAGAAUUUUUUCUAUUUAGUGUAGUCUUAUAUAUAGAUUGUUAUUGAAAGAGUAAGAACUUAGACAAGAACAUACCUGAUAGAAUGGCGUCCAUACUACCGUAGGAAAACUUUGAUGAACGAACAAUGUAAGGGUUAAAGCUCGUUUUAUAGUUGUACUUCCUCAUUUUUUUGGCAUAUUUGUUUUCAAUAUUUUUGAAUAGUAAAAUGACCUUCUCAUCAAUAUUUUAGUUGUUCUCUUUGGGAAUUUGUUCAUAUAUAUUUGAUAUUUUGUCUAUUGAAUAUUUUUAUUGUUAUUUCUUUGAUUUUUGUCACUAUAUUACAAAUGAUGCAAUCAUCAACGGUACAUAUGGCACAUAAUGCACAGCUACAUAUAAUUGCUUUUUUCUGCUUAGAAAUGAAAUAAUUGAGUUACUGGUGUGAUGUUUUGUUUGAUAUGGUACUUAGUCAUUGGUCACGUGAAUAUCUAUCAUGUUGUUUUUGAAUAUAUAUACACUAUUUCUUCUUUAUCUUUUCUAUUAGGUAUACCAUGUUUUUGUUUCUUGCUUCUUGUCUCUACAUAUUCGUUCUUAUCUAUAUAUUACCUGGGUAUAUAUAUAAUGUUUAAUUUAUUUCUUGAUUUUUGUUGAUUUAAUUAUACACUUACUGAGCAAUUAUCGACUAAAUGAUUACAAAUUUACUAAUUAAAUUGUUUAAUGGUCAAUUACUAACAAAAAAUAGUUUGAUAGCCAAAAUAUAAUCUGAUCAAUAGUUUAGUGGCCACUAAGAUUUUGUACCUUAAUAUUUAUUUAUUUGUAAAUAACUAACGAUCAAUAUGUACAGUGAUUUAAUAGUAUGGUCUUUGAUUGAUUUCUUGCAGCUUUCUGUAAGCCAUUUGUUUUCAUCCUUUGUUUGUUAAACACCCCCAACACAUAACAAAAUUUACCACUCCCAACAGCCCCAUCACACAAUAAAAUCCAACACCCCCAACACAGGCUAGCGCAGGGCCCAAAAACUAGUGUGUGUGUGUGUAUAUAUAUAUAUAUAUAUACAUGCAUAGAAUCAGAAACUUUGGAAACCCGGGCCCCUUUUCUUGUGGAUAAAACAUAAAGGACCAUUAUAUGCCACUUAUUAGAGACAAAAACUGCACUGCAUUUCGCCCAUACUGCAUUGGUUCUUAGAAAAGUUACUUCUGUGACCUGUUUUAACUCUUCCUCUCAACUUUAGGUUAGGGUCCUCUAAUAUAAAAAUGAGGGAAGGGGUUGUGGCAGCUUCGAAAUUCUCAAAUAUGUGGGCAGUAGUAAUGGAAUGACAAUAUUUCAAAAGAAAGAAAUCAAUGUCAAUCAGCAUCAUACAUCAUAAAGUAGCAUCACUAUUUAUAGAAAUACAUAUAAUAAUUCACAAGCCAACGAGACCCGCGAGAGGAAUUGUUUAUGCCAUCAUGAACCACGACCAAAACAAGAGCGUCACACAAAAAUCUUUAAAAUAAACCCAAAAAAAAUUUUGGCAAAAAUCUACAGAAUUUUGCCCUCCCAAUCUAAAAUCUUGCUAAAAACAGACGUUAAGAAGGGUCUGUUUGUUUUUGAUGGAAAACAUCUUCCGAGAAAGUAAUUGCCUUAAUUUCCAGGGUUUGGUUCCAUUUUAACCCGGGGGAAGUCACUUCCCUUGUAAAAUAUAUAUUUUACUUCGGCGGAUGUAAAACGACUUCAAUCAUAAGCUUAUUGAAGUUAUUUUCCAGCCACCACCCCCUCUCUUUGGCCCUUGUUUGCUACCUCUAUCUUGUCCCCAGCACAUUACGCAUUAGUUGUCUCCUCCACAGCUCUAUUCAACCCGCAUUCUUCUUCCCUUGCACAUUAGCCUGCAUCAUCAUGAGCCAAAGUCAUGGAAGACUAGUGCAAAGGAAUUAGGUCUAUAGAAACAACGUGGAUUGGACAAAAAGAGAAGAUUUCUAGUAGAAAAGAGAGAAUACAACUCUAAAACUUUUACAAACGGGUACAGAUGUUUUCAAAUUGAUUAUACAUGAGAGAGCUUGACAGUUUCGCUGAUCAAAUAGAAUUUCCAUCUUUUGCUUUGACAAUAGGAAUCAAUGAUGAAAUCUAUUAGGUCUUUAUGAACAAAUUUUGGCUAUAAAACUAUUCUUGUAACACCUGCUUUUUAUGUUCUUGCUAUUAUUUACCUUGGAUCACAUUUCAUUUGACGGUGGAAAUGGUGUUUGAGGUGGUGGAAGAGGUUUUUGUGGUGGUUGUGAUGCAUUGAUAGCAGGCACUGAAGAGUAGUGUAGUGGUCAUAUAUUGUAAUGGCUAUAUUACUACUGAAAAUUUAUUUUCAAAACAGUGACCAAACACAAGAAAAUUAGGAGAAAAACAAAAUAUUUUCUGAAAAUGACUUCUACUGAAAUUAUUUUCCCAAAGAAAACCUUUUUAUGUCGAAUCAAACAGACCCGAAUUUGUUUUCCUGUCUAAUCGGCAUAAAAGCUGCCCGUUUUACUUGUUGAAGGGCAGAACCAAUGAUGGAGCCAAGGGGGGCAGAGGGGGGCCACGGCCCCCCAUAAGUUUUGAAAAUUUUAAUUCAUAAGAUGUAAAUAUAUCUAUAAGACAAAGUUGGCCCCCCCUAAUUUUUUACAAUUUUAGUUUAUAUUAUGAGAGUUUAUAUAUAUAUAUAUAUAUAUAUAUAUCUGUGUGUGUGUGUAUAUGAAUUAGCCAACUUUGAUUUAAUUUUUUCUUCAAAAAAGUUAUUUAUUUUUUUAUUGUGCUAAUUAUUUAACAUUCAAAAAAUUAAACAUAUAAUUUGAUAAUUCAUAGUAAAUUAGCCCAAUUUGAUAUAUUAUAAUAAAAGACUCAAUUCAUAAUUAUCAAUGGGUUAAAACAAAAAUAAUUACUUUAUUGGUUCAUAUACAAAUAUACAACUUAGCCUAAUUGAUAAAAAAUUUAAAAUUAGUGAUCUAUACUCUUGUUGACCCAUAUACAAAUGUACAAAUAAUUACUUGAAGCCUUUGUGAAGACAAGAAAUUGAGUGAUCUAUCCUGUUGUCGACAGAUUGAUUAUAUUUGUUCUCACUCUUCCUAUAUCAACUGCAACUAUAGAACGGACAUUUUCAAUUAUGAAUAUAAUCAAAACGAAGAUCCAAAACAAGAUAAAAGAUAAUUUCUUGAAUGAUUAUCUACCAAUGUACAUAAAAAAAAGAAUUUGUUCAAAAAUUUAGUAUUGAUUCAAUUAUAGACGAAUUUAGUUCUAUGAAAGAACGUAAAACUCAAUUUACUUUUAAAAAAAGAGGUUGAAAUUCAAGGUAUGCUAACAUAAUUUUUAUCUUUUAUUAAUUGAAAAUAGUUAUAUUCAUAUUGCACAGUUAUAUUUUUGUUUUUGCACAAGUGACAUAUUGGAGCAUUUUCUCAUAAUGUACAAUUUGGGUAGUUUGUGAUCUUAUAAGAUAUUUAAUCAAAGGUUAUUUCUUAUCCUAAUUUUUGUUAUGACUAUGCUGCAUAUUUAUGAAAUAGACAUACUUUUAUAAUUAAAAUUAAUAUUUGAUAUAUUAAGAUGUUAUAUAUUUAAAUAGAUAAAAAUUAUUUUGAAUAUAACAUAUUAAGAUAAUUUUGUUCAGAAAAAUUUGCCGCCCCCCCCCCAAGGAAAAAAUAUUGGCUCCGUUCUAUAGUCUAUAGAAUGGACAUUUUCAAUUAUGAAGAUAAUCAAAACAAAACUCCAAAACAAGAUAAAGGAUAAUUUCUUGAAUGAUUGCCUAACAAUGUACAUAAAAAAAAGGAAGUUGUUUGAAAAUUUAACAUUGAUUCAGUUAUACAUGAAUUUAGUUCUAUAAAAGAACGUAAAUCUCAAUUUAUUUUUAAUAAAAGAGGAUGAAAUUUCAAGGUAUGCUAACAUAACUUUUAUCUUUUUUUAAUUGAAAAUAGUUAUAUUUAUAUUGCAUAGUUAUAUAUUUGUUUUUCCACAAGUGACAUAUUGGAGCAUCUUCUCAUAAUGUGCUACUUAGGUGGUUUGUGAUAUUAUAAGAUAUUUAAUCAAAGGUUAUUUCUUGUCUUAAUUUUAGUUAUGACUAUGUUACAUAUUUAUGAAAUAGACAUACCUUUAUAAUUAAAAUUAAUAUUUGAUAUUUUAAGAUGUCAUAUAUUUAAAUAAAUGAAAAUUAUUUUAAACAUAACAUAUUAAGGUAAUUUUGUGCGAAAAAUUUUCGGCCCCCCUAAGGAAAAAAUCCUGGCUCCGUCACUGGGUAGAACGAAAAUGUCAGGUUUAAUUCUUUCUCCAUUAUGGGGGAAAAGUAAAAGAAAGAAUGCAAGGGACAUUAAUUCUAUCAAAAUUUUGUAAAAAAAUUACUAAUUAAAAGAGAUCAAGUUAAAUCUGUCCCUAGAUCUAUGUACAAGAAGCUUACCUCAGCAUUAUAUAUUAGAUUAAUUUUUUCAAUAUUGAUAGUAUAAAUACAUUAUUUUACCAGUUGUUUAGAUGCAUGACACUUCAUUGCUUCUAAAUUGAAAUCUUACUUUAUAUAACACAAUGUAUAAAAAAAUAUGCAUAUCGUCGACGUAGGAAAAAUUAAUUCGCAAUUAUAAUGUUUGCUGCCAAAUUUCCAAUGAUGCUAAACGAGUAAUGAUAACAAUUAAGCUUCUCUAAACUUAAAGUCCCAGAUGGCAAAACUUUUUAGUAACUAUUCAAGUUUUUAUUAGAUUAUGUAAAACUGGCUAGAAUAAUCCUAACGUAUGCAACUACAAGGAAAUAGCACAAAGUCACCAAUAAAGGUAUUUAGCCUCGUUUCCAGCUUGCCACAAGUAUCCCUUUCCAACGGACAACUUUGUCCCCAACACCCGCAACAAUCUUCAACAAAAUACAACCUUUUCCGCAACUUUCCACACAUAAGUGGUCAAUGCUAAUCUUCCAAUCUGAUCUGCCCCACAAAAUUAUGUUCGACUUUCUUCUGAGCUCUAUUGUUUCACCAAUGCCAAUUCUGCAUACCAUUUGCAAGAACCUCACCAGAAACUUCUUGCCAAGAUGCCUUGGUAACAAACUGAGUGAGGAAACUUCUUACCAGUUUGGCACUUGAGUUUUUUGUCAAGUUUGUCUGCUACAAGUUUUUAAAAACUUUAGUUACAGUAAUCUCAAAAAAAUUGUCAAAAUUUUUAAACUAUACACUUGAAAAUAUUCAAAAACUAGUUUUGUACCCAUUCGUUGAACGGGAAUCGUCGAAAAAUAAUAAACUUUAGUCAAUUUAUAAAAAUAUCGAUAUAAAAUACAUAUUUAAUGUAUAAUCUAUUAUAACUUGUCUUAAGUAUAUUACUAUGUGCGCAUUAUAAUGUAAAGUAUUCUUAUAAUAUAAAUUUGAACAUCUAAUUUAGUGGAUAAUAAUUCAAAAAUAGAAAAAAAACAUUCAACAAUACCAUAACAUUCAAAAAACUUGAAAAUAAAUAAAUAGUGCAGUAAAUAGUAUCAAAUAAUAUUCUACUAUUCAAAAACUUGUUUUUAUUUUUUUCUGUUUGAACAUUCUCCUCGAUUUGUCAGUGCAAAUCAGCAUUUAUUUAUUUUCUAUUAUCACUGCAUGAUAGCAAAGUAGGAUAACUAAGUAUAAAAAAAAUAAAUGAUUUAUCGCAUUCAAGUUUGUAUAUAACAAUACGUAAAGAUUAUAAUUAAGUAAAUGGUCAGAGUCUUUUAAUUAACUAAUGAAUUUGCAGAUGUAUCUAAUAGAGAUAUUUAUGUCUCUUGUAUUUAUAUCGCAUUGCUUUCCAGUGCCUUUUGUUUUUGGUUGUUUUUCUUGAAGGCAAAUUAACAAAUAUCGUAGUAUAUGAUCACAAAAAUCAAUUAACAAACAUGUUAGAAAAAAUCCUACAAAAAUAAUGAUGAAAGUACUUGUUUAAAUCAUAUGUCUUCAUAUAAAACAAAUAGAAAAUAAAACAAAAAAAAAACAAAAUUCAAGAUAUGUUACUAAACUCUUACAAUUGAACAUGAAUUUGAUGCUUAAAAUCAAUAUAUUAGAGGCUAUAUGUAGUGUAGACAUAGGAAAUAAGAAUUGAUAAGAAUACAACGAGAUAUUGAUAAGAACAUUAAAAGUAUAUUUAUCUUAAUUUAAGUUACUUAAAGUACGUAACUUUAGGUAGGAAAUAAGAAUCCUAUAAUAUUAAAAAUUCUUAUAAAAAAUAAAACCAUAAUCGUCCAAAUAACUUUGGAUAGGAAAUAAGACCUUAUGUGACCUGUACUAUAUAUGUAUAUAAACCUGUACGUAAUAAAUUUACAAAUGCAUUAUCAAGAUAGAUUUUACCGACCUUAAAAGACCACCUCUACUAUAUCGAGUCCUUUAAGUGCAUGGACUUCUAUGAUGUGGGUCCACACACGAAAUACUCCCCACCAUCUCAGCAGAGAUGUAUUGUGAUUAAGGAAUUAUUAGUAGAAAUAUAUUAAAAAAAAGACGGGCAGAGGACACUACGGACAGAGACCUUUCUCUUGGAUUGGAGGACACUACGGACGGAGAAUCGAGUAGGGGCCUUCGGGGUGCAAAACUUCAACAAAUAUCUAAUGUUUUAUCUCAUCUUUCUUUAGCUAUGAUAAUGGGAUUUUAUUUCUUUGGUUGAUGACACUCCAUUUUCUUUAUGGACUUUUUUAGAAUUUUUCAAUCAGAUGAAGUGCCAUUUCUCUUUGUACAUCAAUUAUGCAUGGGGACUGUGAGUCUUGUAAAAACUUUCUCGGGCUAACUUUCUUUAAUUUUCAUGUCUAGAUUGUCUAUAUGUUGUUCUAUAUAUGGGUAGAUUAUCUUAAAAUAAAAAGAAUCUAUGAUGAAGCUAUUAAAAAAAAAGAAUAGGACACUAUAAAAAAAUAUAUUAUCAUUUAUUCCUAUAUAUCUAAUAGAGGAGAUUUAUGUCUCUUUUAUUUAUAUCGCAUUACUUUCCAGUUCCUUUUUUGGGUAGGAAAUAAGAAUCAUAGAAUAUUAAGAAUUUUUAUAGGAAAUAAGAAUUGAUAUAUAUCCAAACAAAAAAAGAGCAAGUCACGUAGGAAACUACUUGCCGUCUCGUUAAGUCACAUAGGAAAGACAAAAUAUAAAGGGAUAAGUAUGAGGAUACAACUUUAUUAUAUAUAUAUAUAUAUAUAUGAUUUACACACUUCAAAAAUUUUUUAAAAACCUUUUACAUUAAGUUACAGUAACACCCAAAAAACUACUUGUCAAAUGGGGCCACAAUCAAACUAAUUAAACUCGCUACCAGAAUUCACCCAAGGAAUUAAGCCAAGGCUUAAGAGUAAAGAGCAAGAAAAUUUUAUUCUUCUCAAGGAAGCCAAAAGCCGCACUUGUGUAUCGAGAUGAAAAUCGACUUUGAAAAUUACAGAGAGAUCAGAUUAAAAGAUGAAAAUGAACUUUCAAGGUAGCUUUGGAAUAGGGCUGCAAACGAGCCGAAUCAAGUCAAGUUUUGACCUUUUCGAGUCGAGUCUUGACUUAAUUUCAUCGAACUCGAACUCGAGCUCGAGUUCAAGCUCGAAAAAAAUAAAAAAUAAUUAUUUUAUUUUUUAAUUAAUAAAUAAAAUAAUAUUUUUUCUUAAUAAAUAAUAAAAUAUUAAGGAUAUUUAUGUAAUUUUACUAUUAAAAAAAUUUAAAAUAUAUAUAUAUAUAUAUAUAUACUCGAGCUCACGAGCCUAACGAGUUUAAUGUUUUGAACUCAAACUCGAGGUCGACUUUGGCUCGACCAACUCGAGCUCGACUCGAGCUUGAAUCAAGCCACUCGCGAGCGUUUGCACCCCUACUUUGGAACUACCCUCCAGCAGUAGGCGUUUUCUAGGCACUAAUAUCAUAAUUUAGAUGAUGAAAUUAAAGUGGCUUUAUUCCUUGACCAAAAGUACAUAUAUUAGUGAAUACUCCGUAUAGCUAUUGGAUAUUUCAGAGAAGUUGAACCAUUACAAGUUGAGGAAAUUAGCUAUAACUUGGUAUAUGGAGGUGAGAAUUGAGAACCGUUUGUUGCACAUGGAAAUCAUACCAUAAAAUUCCCAAACCAUAUAAAAAUCUCACCCUAGCUCCUUCCGCAUCAAAGUUGUUUAAAAAAAGAGUUGGUUAUGAUGGUGCUAAUCAGCUUUGCCUUGGAAUUUAUUUUAAGUUUGGAACUAAACUAAUUGACCCCCCAAAGUGAGAUGCGCAUAGCAUAAUUUAUAAGCCUAUAGUAUGUUAUCAUACUCUUUAGUAAAGCUCAAAUGUUUAGAUGAAGUUUCAUCGCGUUUAAUUUCACCGUUUGAUUUUCUUCUUCCUGUGGUACAAAUGCAGCAUGCAUUAGAGGCCAAGUUAUUUUCUGCUCAUCAUCCUUGAGGUACCAAGUUUAGUUACAUAUUUUUCGCACAUGAUGAUUGAAGUUGAACUUUUUUAGUGUAUCAUCUCUUUAUUCUAAUGGGAACAGGAAAAGGAUGAGGUACGAGCGACGAGAGUUGAAUUCUCAAAGCAAUUAAAGUUGAACUGUGAAAAGAAAAAUAAGGUACUGGUAGUCCAGGGCAUUUUCAGAUCAAUGGGCCCUAGGAAUGAAGAAUAAUCAUUAUUAAAGAAAACAUAUACAACGAGCACCAUAUAUUAUGCAAAAUUAGUACAUAUUGAGCCAACGAGCCCCACGAGAGGCAUUAUUACCAAUAACGUCACUCCAAAAGAAAAUGAAAUAAGAUAAAAUAUAGGGAUUUUGCACUCGCAAACUGCAGUCUUAAUACAUAAUGUUUAUUGGGAUCUUUUACUUAAGACUAAGCGGCAUGCUUGCCUUGUUGGAGGACAGAUCGAAGAGUAUCGACCAGUUCUUUUGUUGUCAGGUUGACUUCUUUCUCCGCCUGGAAAAGAUUACCACGAGGGAUCAUUAAAUAGUAGAAAAAUCUAUAAGAAGAAAAUUGAUUAAAAAGAUAUCGAACUUUAAAUUCGUUCCUAGACCUAUAUAUAAGAAGCUCACCUCUGCGAUAAUUGUAAUGUCAAGAGCAAAAUUCCCAAAUGGGGAAACACAAGUAUUCAGUACAGCAAGAUUGAGCUUGUCUAUCUGAGAGAGAAUUUUGAUGAGCACCCCUUUAUAAUUUUUGCAAUGUAUUCUUAGAAGAACAUUCUUGUCGCACACUUUAGCUUCAAAUUCAGGCAGUGGCUGCUCAUUCGGGCCAGCCACCUCAUCUGAAGAUCCUUCAUCUUCAAGUAAGAGUUGUGAUCUCUUCACAAGCACCACAGACUCCAUGGUUUGCCUAGCAGCUUUCUCCUCCAGUGUCUUUACUCUCUCCUGAAGAUGUUUUAGGUACUCGAUGGCAUCUCCAAGAAUAGAACUUUUAUCCAUCUGCACCAUUAUAAGUUCUUCUCAGAAAAAACUUUGUCACGAUUUUGAUGUGUAAGUUAUGUAGUGAAAUGUCUAUGCAUGUGCGAAGUAAAGUCAGUGCGGUUAUCAUUGUCCGCUAUCUAUAAUGUUUUCUUGAUUCGGUAAAGAGCAGAGUGUCAAGUAGAAAGCUAAAUAUAGGCACGUAUUUGGCAUAUGAAUGAAGUUGUAGUCAAAUAAAAUUUCAUGGGGAUGCUAUUGUGGUAACCGUAAUUAGGCUGCAUGAACGUGACAAUGGCAUGAAAAAUAACUCUCUCUCAAACCUUAGUUAUGGAUGAGAAAAUAGAUGGUACUGCUCACCUUCUUGAGGCCAGGAACUAUGGCGGAAAGAGCCAUGAAUCUCUGGCUGAGCUGCUCGCGUCGCUUUCUUUCUGCUAUUAUGUGAUCAUAGGUUUGUGAUGGUGGCCUAACACGACCACCAGGUUUCUUUGCUUUUGUUUGGACGGUAGUUUUAGCAGCCUCAUCAAGUUUUGCAAAUGAACCAUGGGAUGUCAAAACCUCAGACACUGCAUCAUCCUCAGGGUUCAAGGUUCCUAGAGUCACUUGAUGAGGAUUUAUUUCUGGCAUAUUUGGAUUCCCAAAAGUGAGAAUCAUUGGAGAAGAAGAAGCUUGACCAAAAUUUGGCAUGUUGUGGAUGUUCGACGAGUCGUAGCCAUUAUUAGUCUUGUGCUGUUUGGCUGGGGUUUCGAAACCAACAGGAUGAGCUUCCAUCACUGAAGGUUCACACAAUGCAGGAGUGGAGUUGCAGCUUGGAAAGAUAUUGGAGAAAGACGGAUUCCCUUCUGGAAAAGAAGAGUUUUGGAAGUCGUCGGCAGGCGCAGCAGAUAAUUCAUCGUUCAAGAAGUCCAUGAUAUUAAAGUCAUCAUUGGACAAUGGAUCCUCCAUUCCCUGUUAAUAAUAAGAUAAGGCAGCAUGUCAUGUAAGAAUCGUUUAUUCAAUAAAUGAAAGCUUCUUCCUCUGAUGUGAUCUAUACUUUGCGAAAGCCACAACUAGAAAUAAAAUAAAAGGAAAAGCAAAUGCAACAGAAUUAAACAGAAGACUCUGCAGUUCAUUUAACUGACAAUCGAUUCCGAUGGUUUUCAUAAAUUUUGUUUUCACAUGUUUUUGCCUAGUAAUGGUCAAGUUAAGCUUGGCUUGUCUUAGUUCAAACAAAAAAGAAGAUAAGCCAAAAUAUUGUGUCAGGUCUCUUUCAGCAAAAUUUGGUUUGCCUUUCUGAGAAUCCGUUGGGUUGGAAUCUAGUAUAACCAUUUUAAGCUUGACCAAAGAAUCUAUACGCUACACAACGAAUAAAGCAAUUUGCCAUCUAACAUCCACUCUAUAUUUCUAAGUUGAAAUUAAAGCUAUGCCAUUAUGCCAAAAUCAUACAAUAUCUUAUAUUUUUGGGGACAGCUGCCCUUUUCCUGCACCCUGAAGGUCCAUCUCUGCAUGUAUUUAUCUAUUUGUCGUGUAGUCUCUUUGCUCUUGGAUUCAAUAUUCUCCCUCAGUCAUACUAUGACCUUUCUACUACACUUCACCAUUCGUAGUAAACACGAACAGAAAUGACGACGAAAGAAAGAGGAGGAGAUAUAGUAAAUAUCUUCACAGGACUGAUAAUGGAGAAAGAAAUAUUACCCGAAUUCCGCCAUAUAUGUGUUAUUCAAACUAGGAAAAAAGUGCAAGCCAUUACUACCUAAACUGGUCGAUGUCCAACAUGAAAACUUAUCAAAGAUCAAGAAAGGGAAGACAUCAAUAGUAUUACUUCGCAUGAAUGAAAUCUGUUACCAGUUGAGAAAACCACGAGCUCGCUGAAUUAUCCAUCAACAAAGACUACUUGAAAAGAUGUCAAAUUUCUGCAAAAUGGCCAUUUACAGAAAACAAAAGGGCAGAACAUUUAGACAAGAGCAAACCCCAACCUAAGAUAAAGAAAUGUUGUCAGAAAAAAGAGCUCCUAGCAAGAUGAGGGAACCUCACCUCUUUCAAGUUUCAACACUCCUGCUGCUAAGGGCUUCUUAAUCAAGAAAAGAAGUUUUUGGCAUCUUAUAUAGAGGUGGUAAGUAAAGAACAAUUAUUGGAAGAAGGCAUAAAACCGGAGUUUUAUAUAAGCGCUUCAAAAACAGCCCUUCGCGCUCAAAUAUAAGGUUGGAGCCUCCUUCAGUGGAGUGCAGAGGGUAAAGAAUGGAGCGGAAACGCAUAACUCCUGCGUCGUAAACAAAUUGAACCCUUAAGGAACAGUUCGGAUUUGCAGCCAUCGAACAAGUGUUGACAACCGCAUCUGUCAAUAUUUUAUAUCAAUUAUGUAUUUAUUAUUUUAUUAUAUAGAUAUUAUAUGUAUAUUAGUGUAAAUUUAAUAUUGAAAUUGAAGAAUUAAAUAAAUUUUUGAACUCUCAAAUCGAGUUCUCACCCAUCAGAGUUUUAAAUCGAAUCGAACUCGAGUUUAGAUUUUGAACUCGUAUAGGAUUCAAGUUCAAAUUCAAAUUCGAAUCCAAAAUUUUAAAUUGAACUCAAACUAUGAAAAGUUCCAUUCAAUUCUAUUCAUUUACAGUCCUGACACCAACCAAUAUAUGAGCUACGUACAAUAUAUGCAUGUCACCUAUGAUUGAUUUUAGGGGGUAGUCCGCCCAUGUGCUAACUUUGCACCAUUGACGAGAUAAAUUAUUUGCUCGAUAUUGGGUUGGUAGUGGAAGAACUAUUCAAGGGAUAGAUGUUUAAAACUUUAAAAUUCUGGGGUGUUGGGACUUCUGUGAGUCGUCUGACCAGCCAUGCAAGAUAUAUGACCGUCCAGCUAUCUCAUUUUAGCUAGUAAGAUUAUUUAGAGUUUGCAUAAACAAGUUGGUAAGAUACUUGCAUUAACCCCAUGCUUCACAAGUAUUGAGUUCUUAUCCACAGGACCACCUAGCAAUGCAACUUUCUUGGAUUUGCAGUAUUUGUUUGUGCCUAAUUCAUAUAAGCUUCUUUCGGCAAUUCCUCAAACAGGGGAGUGCAUCUUCUCUCCCGCACCAUAUUCCCGACAACCCCUUACUAACUGUGCAAAAACUAUGAAUUAUAGUCAGGGACCAGCAUAAUGUUGCACUUUGAAGCUGGCUUACUUGGGAAGGGUUUAUGAACUGGAAUCUCAAUUUAAUGUUGACUUUUUGAAAGAAAAAAAAAAAAGUGAAGUUUGAUCUCAUAAGUUAAUUAAAACAAAGGAAACAAAUUUUUUAUUAACAAGUCCUCCAAAUUAUUCAAUUAGAGACUUAGUGUUUAGACUUUCCUUUCUUUCUUUCUUUUUUGAAGUUUUUCGCUUAUGUUACCAAGCAUCUAUGUAUGCCAUGUGAUUAUUCAACACCCCAAAUGAAAAAAGGGCAACUGUGGUUAAUCGAUUCAAGUAUGAAGAUAUGCGGAUAUGCAAUUUUCUGUGAAAAGUCAGAAAGGAAUUAAAAAGAAAUGUUUUGUUUCGCACUUAGCUGCAGUUGGGACAUAGCCUUUAAAGUUAAUCAAGGAAAAACACCACACCUACCUUAUUAUCGAUGCACAACCGCAUCAAUGGAUUUGCUGCCUUAGAUGGGAAAAUUUUAUUAAGGAUUUACCCAUAACUUUGUUUUCUUCGUUUUGCUUUCGAAGUUUUUGAUUUCUGUUACCAAGUAAUGAUUAACCGGCUCAAGUAAGGAGAAAAUGCAGACAUGGAAAGGCAAAUAUAGGGGACUUUUUUUUUUGACACAGAUUCAGGUGGGAUCCUAAUUUACUCAAUAAUUGAAGCAAAAACAUAACAGGCAUUAUCAUUAGAAUUAAUAUCCUUAUUAUUGAUACCCAACUAGCCAAUUAAUUCAUCAACAGAUUUGCUCUCCAAUAGAUUAAGAUAUGCUCUUCUUGUCGUGUCUUGACUCCAAACAUAAAUUCUACCUACUUCUCCAAUUUAGAUGAGUUUUUUUUUUUUUUUUGACCAUUUGAUUAGGUGAUAAAGAGGCUACAUACGUAAUUCAUUUCACUGAUACAGUAUUUAAAGAUAGUUUUCCAAUAUGAACGGAGUGAUCAUAUCAUGCAAUCCGGUUUUAAGUACACAAACGUCCAUGCAUGAGAAUCCAGUACCAGUUUUCUUUUCUAGAUAAACCUGUUUUUGAGAAAAAUAUGGUCGUUUUGAUGAGUUUAACUUGAUGGUACCAUCAUCUUGAUUCUAGAUCACAAGUUUGUAAGAUUACUGGGGAGGAGGGACUAAAUCAAUACUCCCACGGACCUGGAUUUACGUUUUCCAUGCAUUAUUAACUUGUUUAACCGACAUUAUAGUACAUAUUAUGUAAAGCAAGAACCAAACUCUCCCGUCAAUAACUAGUUUCUUGAUUAUCUCCCAAUGUAUUUCCAACUUCAUUUUUCCAUUCGUUUUCUUGUUCCCUUUUCUUUGCAUUUCAUCAUCUUCCCUUUUGUCCCCUUUUCGGAUCUCUGUUUUCCUCAGUAUCGCAUUAUGGGCAAAAUGAAGAGGCAGCCUGCAGUUUGGGGUGCACAUAAAAUCAAACUUCCGUGAUAUAUAGAAGCAUAAGUGGAGUAUAUAGUAUACAAUAAAUUUGCAAAGGUUUCAAAUUCCUGCGUGCUUGCUAUCGUGUCAGAAAAGCAACCACAAAACUUGAUUCAUUGGAGCCAUGGUAUGGUACUUCAAAUCUAAUCUCAUGUCCCUGCCACAAUGAAACUGUUGAAAGACCACAGAAAUGCUAGCUGCCAAGUGCCAACCCUUAUUUAGGUAUUGACUUAUGAAACGCUUGCCAAUUUCUGCCAUUUCUUGAAUUUGAAGGAAAGUUCUUGGAAAAGCACUCUAGGACGGAACUUGCUCAAUCACACUUGCCUAGAAUGCUCUUCCCAUUAGGCCACGACAAUUCAACAAAGAAAAUAAAAAUGACAAUCAAAUUUGGAAAAUGGAUUCUGAAUUCUAUCUUGUUUGUAUUUUUCUGGUAACACUAGUAAUAAGGAGCCUUUCGAGCCAAAGAAAAGGUUAUUUUAAAAGUCUAAAUAGGAUGGCGCCUGGGUCUUGAAGAAUAAAUCUCUAUAUCUGCAGCGGCCGUAGAUUUUUCUUUCUUUUUUUUUUUUAAACCAGAAUAGACACUAUCGGUUGCUUUCACACUUUAUAGGUCAAGUCUUCUCUCUUACUCAUGAAUCAUGAUGAAUAUCUUAGGGUAUAUUUGAUAAAAUUAAAGUCUGGAAAUUGAAAUUUGAAAUCUAAAAUAUGAAAUCUGAAUCCAUUAAAUUAUUGAAUUGUUAAAUAUUAAGUCAAAUAUAUUUGAGUGUAUAUCACAUUCAAUGAUACACAUUCAGAUAAGUGAGUAGUUUAUCACUUAUUUUUUAGAAAAAAUUUUAUCUAGAAAAUUCUGUAUCACUUAAUUAAUUCAAAUGUUCAAUUUUUUAUUAUCAAACGUUUCUGAACAUAUUAAAAAUCUGAAUUCAUUAAAUUUAAAUGUUAUCAAACAGGGCCUUAAUAACGUUUUCAACAAGCCACAAAUGUACAAAAUCACUAAUUUUAGUGCUUAUUUUUUCUUUAUCAGAGAGACAAAUAAGGAAUUUUUUUUAUUUACCACUUUCAAUCUUAUAUUGACACAUUUUCUGCGGUAAUGAUCAUUACCAUUUAGAUUAAGGCUUAUAUAACGUGUCUUUAGAUUGGAAUGGAUUUCAAACUGCGCCUAGUGUAGUCUUCUCUCUUUAUUGGAUCGCUUUUGGAAAAAUUAGACUUGAAUUGUCGAAGAUGCUUUUCAAAAAAAAAAAAAAAAUCUCCGAGAUGGAAACAACUCUUGUAGAAAAACUUGUGAGGAGGUUACAUCGCAAAGGCCAUUAUCACAUUAUCUUCUCACCAUGACUUGACUUGCACUUAAUAUGCCUUCAAGAUUAUUCCAAAAUCGGGACGCACAAGGCUUCGCGAGUUCCCUCCUUUCUUUUACUUCAACUUCUCUGCUUUUCCUCCUCUUUUCAUAAGACCUUCCUUUUACUUCAACUUCUCUGCUUUUCCUCCUCUUUUCAUAAGACCUUCCUUUUCAAGGGUCCCAUAUAUUUCAUUUUAUUUUAUUUUUUUUAAUAAAAUCUCUCCUAAGUUUCUUAGCUAGAGUUCUCUCUAAAGUUUCCUAAUAAGAAAUUUCUAUUUCUCUUUGAGUUGAUAGUGAGAAUUUUCAAUUUUUUUCUUCUUUUAUUGUUAGAUUCAAAUUUAUUUUAGAUUUGACUUUUUUGGGUUUUCGACCUCUCUCGAUAGGCUUCAUUAUCAUUAUUGGAGUUGAAAACUGUCGAUUAGUAGAUUUGGCGAUUGCAACAUAUAAAGAAGAAAGCUCUCAACAUGUCUCAUCAUCAUUAUUAGAGUUGAAUCCUUUGAUUAGCAAAUUUGAUGAUUGCAAUGUGCACAGAAGGGAGCUGCAAUGAUUUAUCUUAUUAGAGAACAAUUUAAAAUUUUUUACAUUUUCCAAAUCUAUUGCAUCCGUUAAAUUGCAGAUGCAAUCCAGUAUAUGUUUAAUAUGCCAUUAAAGCAACGAUAUAAAUGAAAUCAUGCUGGACAAUUUCCAGCAAUUCGUCAAUGAAAUUUGGUCUUUAUCAAAAAAAAAAAAAAAAAAAAAAGAGAUUCCUAAUACAUGAUAGAGGAGAGAAAUCGUUGUGACUAAUAUAGGGCAAUGUGGUACAGGAAAACGAUAACUUGUUUCCUACUGAUAAUGACUUUAAAUUCAAGAAUGGUCAAUUCAGUCAAACCAUGUGCAUGGAAAGGCAGUCUGCAGUCUGCACUCUCAACCAAAAAAAAAAAAAAAAAAAAGGUUCAUAAAUUAUCAAGGACUAGAAGUGUGGUUAUACUUUACAUCGCAGAGACUUGAGGUCAUAAAGUGGCUUUGUUUGUAUUGCAUUUUUUAGAAUUUUUUGUAAAAAAAUUACUGUAGUUAUUUGAUAUAUGUGAGAAAAAAACAUAAUAGAGAAAUGUGAUCAUGAAAAAUGACGCAAUUUUCCGGUGGAAAAUGGCUGUCCAAAUGGGGCUUUCUAGAAGUUUUGGAAGUUACAAGUAUUAAACUCUCUCAAUCGGUAUGUUUGAUCGCACAAGGCUUAAAAAUUUAUGUAUCUAAAUAAUAGAGGUGGAGAAUCCUAAAAUUUAAGAAUAAAGAGAUAGAAUAUAUAGCAAUAGAUUUGAGAGAAUUGGUCUGACCUCCAUAUUGGUUUGCCCUACUUGUUAGUACAUGCUUACGAUGGUGAUAAAGAAGCCGGUCUUUAUGCUUGCGUCCAAUUAAGUGUGCGCCAGCCAGAUUCUGAAUACGAAACUUCUCGGAUUUGUAAAGUAUACCUUUGGGUGCACUGAAGAAAAAUAUAAAACUCUACCGAUUAGUACUUUUCACCGCUUGAUAUUUUAAAAUGAUUUUUCUAACAGAUGCCCACCGGACAUUUGUUAAUACACUUAUACUUUUUCUAUUUAAUUUUACCUACUCUCUCCUGUAUUUUUUUGGGGAUGUUUUUGUUAGAUGAAAUUUUUAAUAACUGACUACACUAACUCUAAAAAUAAUAAUAAUAUUUUCAAAAUACGCACCUCAAAACACUUUAAAAUUACACACUCAUUCCUCUCCUCUAUCACCACCUCCUAACCAUUUCCACUUUCAUCGCUAUCGCCGCAGGCCAAUCCACCGCCACCGAAACCAUCAGAUACUCAUGUCCACUUCUUUCUUUUUUUUUUCCUUUCUCUAUAAAAAUUUUUUUUUCAAAUUUUACAAUAAAAUUUUAUACAAGCACCUAAAAAACACAUCAUCUAAAUGGCCUUUAAUUCUUGGUGCAAAUCAUCUAUGCCCGGAUUCUAAAACACUUCCUUGAGCUUCGAUGCAUGGAAACAAUCACGUCCGGCCAGUAUGUAAUCACUAGUAACGCCAUAUAAAGCGUGCGUGACAAAUUCCUUGUUUCUUAAUAGAGAAACGGAUCCAUCUGCCCUGUGGCGCUCCUCGUGUGGUCGUUAUAAGCAUCUGACCUUCCGAAACUUUUCUUGUUUCUAUUCCCAGCCAGGGAGCCUCCUGCAUCCAGCCACUAGCAGCGAGUAGCGACUUUCCGCACAUAAUCGUCUCCGAGUUUCAAUGAUGAAAACGAUAAGAUCUGGGGAGAAUUUCAGAAACUUCCCUCGAGGGUUUCUAAUAAUUUCACUUAGCAAUCUUUAGAUUUUUAAUAUUACACUUAUCUUUUAUUGACCCUAUAAAAUGAUCAUAAUAACCUUAAUAUAUUAAUGUUUUUUAUGCAAUUAAAAAAUAGGCUUCUAAUCUUGUGCAUAGGAAUGCACCGCACAAUUAAACAUUUAAUGGAAACAAAAACAAGAUUCACUCAUAGAAUAAUUAAUUAUGUCAUAACAUAAUUCUAACAUAUUAAAAAUUAAUUUUAACUUUGUUUGAAGGAUCUGAAGAUAAAUAAAAGAGGAUGUAAGCUAAAGGUUUGGAUUGCUAAAAAAGGACAAGGCAUGUGUUGGUACUUUAACAUUUGAGGGAUAGGAUGUUACAUUAAUACAGUUGGUGAAAUUCUUUGAGCUUAGCAGUACUGUUUUUUUUUCUUUUGUAACUUAGAUUGAUCUUUUAGAAUUUAGGACAGUUGAUGAAAUUCUUUGAGCUUAGCAGUACUGUUUUUUUUUUUCUUUUGUAACUUAGAUUGAUCGUUUAGAAUUUAGGGACUGGUGGUGGUGGUGGUAGUGGUCAUGGUGAUAAUGGUACUAAUUUGAGAUGAAGGUUUAAAAUAAUAGAGAUGAUGGUUGAAAGUGGGUUUGAGAUUUUAUGCAUAGUUCAUAUCUUUUUUGAAGAAUUUUAUAAGAAGGUAAAAUGAACUUAAAAAAAUUCAUGAGGGCAUUUUGGGUUAUUCAUUUAAAAUUUUGAUCAUUGAAUAGUUUUUGUUACCAAAAUAAUAAACUUAAGAGAGGUAUACAUAAUUUUUGGAACUUUAAAAGAACUAAGGCUUUGUUUGAAACUUAAGAGAGGUAUUUUAAUCACUUUUUUAUCUUACAUAUAUCAAAUUGUUAUAAUAUAUUUUUCUAUAAAAAUUCUUAAAAAUAGCAUUUCAAAUAGGGCUUAAGUGAAAUUGUUAAAAACCUCAAGGUUUCCGAAAGUAUCCCUAAGAUUUGUUUGUAUUCAUUUUUUCAACAAGAACCUACCACUCCAUUCCCUCACGAUCACGAAAUUCCUUGCACGUAAUCUUAUACAUUACGUCAGGCGAAAGAGUUGCAAUCAAAAUCAUAUCGUACUUUUUGUGUCAGAGAAGUAAUAAUUACGUUUACGUUGAAAGGGGUUUGAUUUGUCUAAGUUAAAUUAUUUGAAUUUCGUGCAAAGAGGAACUUACUCUAUUGAGCUCCUCAUUUUUUUUUUGUUUUGUCAAAAAAAGGACCUAGUCCCACUUCAAACUCCAACCCUUUUUUAGAUUGUUAGAUUCUUUUCUCAUUUUUGUUACAGAGUCGAACUCUGGUGGAUGUUCUAACUAGAAACUACACCACCUUACUCUAUUAAGCUCCUCGCUAUUGCUUUUCUCUCUAAUUAUAUAAAUUUUUUCUAAUCAAAUACUUGGACAAUCGUAUUGCUUAAUUGAUUUUCGAUAUAUUACUUAAUUGAUUUUCGACAUUCUAGUAAAUCAAUCAAAUUCCGGUAUUUACAGUUUUUGUAUCCAAUUUACUUUUGUAGGAGCUUUAGAUUAGACAAAAUAUUUAUAUUCAUUCUUUAAAAAGCCAUUAGCAACAAAAUCAUAUAAACCUUUCUGUCUAAUAACCCAAAAUGCACUCGUGAAAUUAUGGAAUUCAUUUUACUUUCUUAUAAAAUUCUUUAAAAAAUAUGAAACAUGCACAAAAUCUCAUAUUUUCACAUUUCAAACCUCAUCUCUACUAUUUAAACCUUUCAUAUUUUCACAUUUCAAAUUAGUACCAUUAUCACCAUGGUCACUGCCACCACCAGCCUCUAAAUUUUAAAACCUCAAUUUAAGUUAAAAAGAAAAAAAAUAUAUCAGCACUGUUAAUUUCAAAAAAUUUCACCAAUUGCAUUAAUAUAGCAUCAUGCCUCGCAAAUAUUGGAGUACCAACACCAACUCCGUUCUUAUUAAACCUACAGCUUACAUCUUUUUUUAUUCAUUUCCGAAUCCUCCAAGCAAAACUAAAUUUAAUUUGUAAUAUAUUAAAAUUGUAUCCAACACAUAAUUGAUUAUUCCAUGAGUGAAUCUUGUUUUUGUUUACAUUAAAUUUCUAAUUUUGUGAUGCAUUCAUAUGUAUAAGAUUAGGAGCGAAUCGUUUAAUUGCAUGAAAAAUAUUAAAAUAUUAAGAUUAUUAUGAUCAUUUUAUAAGAUUAAGGGAGAUAGUAAUAUUAAAAAUCUCAAAAGCACUAGAUAAAUUUGUUAGAAACCUCAAGGGAGGUUUCUGAAAUUAUCUCCCGAGUUAUCGUACCAUUGAGAAAUCCACCUGCAUAGUGAACCGCUUUUGUUGUCAGGUACGCCUUCAAGACUUGGUACUUCGUUCCUUAUUUGAACAUAUUGAGCUGGAUAUAUAUGGUCGAUUGCUAGAUAAAGCAAUUCUGCAACAUUAUCAUCAACAAGCAGCUAAUUCUUCUUUCUCUGCUUUUUUUUCCCUUUAAGAGAUCAUGGGAUUCUAUUUUCAUUGAAUGUGCUUACUAAGUCAAUCCAAACAAGUAUAUGAUUUUUUUUAAUCUCAUACCCCUUCCUGCAUUCUUCUCACCUCCAAAUAUUAUGUUUAGAAUUCAAACCAUAAACUGCCAUAUUUAGAAAGCGCACCCUACAUCCCUUGUAUCCUUCUCCCCUUCAACUGCCGUGUUUAGAAAGGACUCAGCCGCUCGAGAACAAGCAUAUAAUAUUUUUCUAGUGUAAAUGAGAAAAUUCGAAUUCAAAAUCUUGCGUUUACACUUCUUCUCCGGUACUAUCCAACCCACCGCACAACUAUAUGGUGCUGAUUGUUGCGUCUAUGUAAUUAUUUUUGUGGGGAAAUGUAUUUGAUCUCUUUUAAUUAUUGGAUCUGCCGGUUUGGUUACUAAAAGUUGGUAGAUUGGAGUUUUUGCAAUGGGCCAAUCAUCAUUAUAGUCAAAAGUUAUAAACUAAUUAAAUUUCGCCAUUUCACGUUGUCUAAUCGAUAAACUAAAAAUAAAAUUAAGGGCAAAUUUUACUUUAUCCCUUGUGGUUUAACAUUUUUUAUAUAAUCCCCUUAUAGUUUCAAAAGCUAUAUAUAACCACCUUAUAAUUUGGAUUAAAGUGUCAAAGUGACAAGAAUGACCAUUCAUAACGGAACCAUCUAAAAUGUCAAAAAUACCCUUAUGUAAAGUUAAAAAUUAUUUAUUAACCAAGGGGGUUAUGUGUAUAUUUUGAAAAUCAUAAGGGAUUAUAUGAUAAAAUAUUAAACUAUAAGAGGGUUAUAUGGUAAAAUAUAAAAAUUAUACAGGGUUAAUGUGUCAUGUAUUUAUAAAAAUAAUUUCGAUAUUUUUAGAAGUUCAAACCAUGAGGGGGUUAUGUAUAGCUUUUGAAACCAUAGGGAAUUAUGUAAAAAAUACUAAAUCACAGGGGGUAAAAUGUAAUUUGCCCUAAAAUUAACUUAAAAAUCCAAAGAUUGACAAACUUGAAAACCAUUUAUUAGAACUUCAAACCAAAAAAAAAAAAAAUCAGCUAGGCCUUUGAACACCCCUCCCUAAUUUUUGUGUUGCACUGGCUUCAUCUCAAAUUUUAGGGAUAAUUUCAGAAACCUCCCCUGAGGUUUCUGACAUUUACACUGACCUCCCCUGUAGUUUGAACAAUUACACUGACCUCCCCUGAGGUUACUAAUCCUUUACAAAUUCAGUCCAAAUGAUUAAAAUAUUAUUUUAGAGAGUGAAAUUAGAAUUUUGUACCCGAUUUGUCCUUUGUGCCACAUGUUCAAUGAAUGGCAAAGUAGUACAAAUUAAUUAAUAAUUAAUAAACUUUAACGAGCGUAGUUUAUAGGCAAAUACGUAUUGCCUAUUUAAAGGACCAGCUCUUUACAUGUAUUUUACUUUCAAACAUUUACUUUAUCACAAAUAUUUAUUCUCAAAUACAGAUUUGUAUUUAUUCUCAAAUAUUUAAUUUUUGUUAAACACAAAACCUACCAGUUUUUCUUCCGUAGAAAUAUUAAUAUAACACUUUUUCAAUUUUAGUUAUAAAUAUUUAUGUAUUUAACAUAAAUUAAAUGAUUCAGGAUAAAAUAUCCAUAAAGAGCCAAUACUUUACUCAUGUAAUGGAUGAAAGUCAUAAAAAAUUAAUAGUUUAUAAGGCCAUUUAUUUUUUAAAAAAUAUUUAAUUUAUAUUAAAUAGAUAACCUACUGAUUUUUUUUUGCAAGAAUAUUACUUUAACACUUUUUAAUUUUUAAUUACAAAUGUUAAUAUAUUUAUCAUAAAUUAAAUAUUUGAAAACAAAAUAUCUGUAAAGAGCCGAUACUUUAAAUAGGAUAUGCGUAUUUGCCUAUAAACUACACUAUUUAAAAUAAGGAGUAUAGUUUAUUGAUUUAAGUUAAGGAGUGUAGUUUAUUGAUUUAAGUAAGGAGUGUAGUUUAUAGGCAAACACGCAUAACUUAUUUAAAAUACCGGCUCUUUACAGGUAUUUUAUUUUUAAAUAUUUAAUUUAUAAUAAAUAUAUCAAUAUUUGUAAUUAAAAAUUAAAAGGUGUUACAAUAAUAUUCUUGUAAAAAGAAAAUCGAUAGGUUAUCUAUUUAAUAUAAAUUAAAAUUAAAAAAAAGAAAUGGCCUAUAAAAUGUUAAUUUUUUAUGGCUUUCAUCUAUUACAUGAGUAAAGUAUUAGCUCUUUAUGAGUAUUUUAUUCUGAAUCAUUUAAUUUAUGUUAAAUACAUAAAUAUUUAUAAUUGAAAUUGAAAAAAUGUUAUAUUAAUAUUUCUACGGAAGAAAAACUAGUAGGUUUUGUAUUUAACAAAAAUUAAAUAUUUGAGAGUAAAUACAAAUCUGUAUUUGAGAAUAAAUAUUUAUGAUAAAGUAAAUGUUUGAAAAUAAAAUUCAUGUAAAGAGCUGGUACUUUAAAUAGGCAAUACGUAUUUGCCUAUAAACUACGCUCGUUAAAAUUUAUUAAUUGUUAAUUAAUUUGUAAUACUUUGCCAUUCAUUGGACAUGUGGCACAAAGGACAAAUCAGGUACAAAAUUCUAAUUUCACUCUCUAAAAUAAUAUUUUAAUCAUUUAGACUGAAUUUGUAAAGGAUUAGUAACCUCAGGGGAGGUCAGUGUAAUUGUUCAAACCACAGGGGAGGUAAGUAUAAAUGUCAGAAACCUCAGGGGAGCCUCAGGGGAGGUUUCUGAAAUUAUCCCCAAAUUUUAUAAGAAAUGGCUUGUUGGAACUUGGAACUCUCCUUCCCAAAGUUGGCUUUAUGUCCACUCUCAAGUACAAUUCCUACCCACAUCAAAAAAGGAAAAGUACAUGAUGGACUGGUCAAUCCUAUAAUCAUCUGUUCAGUGCUUUGUAGUUGUGGUCCUUAAAUCUGAAAGGCUUUGCAGAUUGGAAUAUAACAGGUUAGCAAGGAGACCCUUCCAGCAGGCAUUUUAGAAUGCCCCCAUAGAACUUGGGGUGUCUUUGAAUAAGGAUUUUUUUUUCUUUCUUUUAAUCCCUUAAAAGUAAUACUGCUUAUUAUGAAAAUUUUCUUUCUUUCUCACCAUAGAUCGGAAGUUUGAAACCCUACCCUUGCAGAGGGAGGAUGUGUAGUACGACACUCUUCUGAUCAAGACGAUCUCUUUCUUCUAACCCCUCAUACAACUUCCUUCCUAUUAGAUUAGAAUAAAAUAGAUUAUACAUGUUACGGUAUAAAAGAAAAGAUAUACAUACAGUUCGAGAUCAUCAUCCAAUAAUUGUGGAUCGGUACAUGUAGGAUAUUGAUCAAUUUGUUAUAGCUUGAUAUCAUCAUUCAAUAAUUGUGGAUCGGUGCACAUAGGCUACUGAUCAAUUUAUUGUAAAUGUUAAUGAUUACCUCCUUAAUAAUAAUGAAGUCUUUUUUUUUUUUGGUCAACCAAUAAUUUCUAGACUACUCCACUUAUGAAGAUUGAAGUAUCGUUAGAUCAGACGGAUUUACUACACAUUUAUUUGAAUUUGAAGAAAUCAUAUAUUACUGAAAAAUAAUGAGACCCCGCAAAGAGAAUUAAAGGGACCGUUAGUUAACAAUAACGAAGUAUCAUUCUUGUUUUUAUCGACAAAAAAGUUCAUUUCUCGAUCAAUUAAUAAGUGACUCUGGACCGAAACUUUAAAGGCACAGAAAGGUUCAUUUGGUCGAUCAAUUAAGUGAAUGUGGACCGAAACUUUAAAGGCAAGUUGGACGUGUCAUGUAUUGCUUCCAGAAUCAAUAGAUGAGGUUCUGCAGUUGAUGCCGAAUCACUGUUGGUCGGAAUGACCAAAUACCUGGCGGAUUUCGAGCAACCCGUGGAAUCUAAAGAAACUAUUGGUCAGUUUUCCGAAACAACAUGUAUGAUAAGAUAAAGCCCACUAGAUGAUUUGGAGUAUCAAAGCACUACGGACGACUUUUGGUUCGGUAACUCGUUGAAAAGUAGUGCACCAAUGAAGUUUUUAACAAAAAUAUUUAUUAAAUAUUUAUUGGAUAAUGUGUAAUUUAAAAUUUUUUUAAAUAUAUUUCUGUUUGGAUUAUUUAGUUUUUUAAAAACUAUAAAAAUUUUUAAAAAGUACUCUAAAAAGUAGUGUAAUUUUUUUUUAUGUUUAAAAAAUAUCCCAAAAUAUAUUUUAAAAACUCUAUUACUCUUAAAUAUCCCAAAAUAUACUUUAAAAACUCUGCUACAGUAAAAAUUUUUUUUAAAAACACCCCAAAAAAAUAAUUAAUCCAAACGGACCGAUUAUAGGAUAAAAUGAUUAAAUCUAAUAUUUUAUUUUAAAAAUUCAAAAGCUAUUAUAAAAACACUAAAUUUGAGCUUGUGUUAAAAGUGCUUUUAGUUUUAGCACCAAAACUUCAACUUCUAAUUUUAUGGAGCGACGUUCACCAAAGGUAUCAAAAGUACUUUUAGCAUUAAAAAGUACUCUUUUAUAAUAAAAAAAAACACCACAAUCUCAUAUGAGACCUAAAUUUGAAAUUGAUCAGUUUAUUUUACCCUUCCUUUUCAGUGUUUCUUCCCUCGGCAGGAAAAAGAAAAAGAAUAAUAAUGCAAAACCUUCAUGCCCUCUUGUAGGAUUGUAAACGUGGUACCCCAGAGUGGAAGUAAGUUUUUGUCCAGUUCUUUUCCGUCCGACAACGUGACAAUGCGAGACUAUUUUUUGUCAUUCUUAGCCGUAGGGCCGUCAAUCUUGAAUCUUUGUUGGACAGUUCACAGCCUCGCGCCUUUUUUCUUCACAAGCUAUAUAGCUCCUUGCAAGCUAAUUGUACGUGUUUUUUGUUUUUUUAACCCAAUCCGCAACUGAAAAAUCUUUGAAACUUUUGCAAUUUGCAGUCUCAAUCAACUUUUUCCCCCGACAAUGGAUAUGCUUCUCUCGUCAAAGGAUAUGUUUGUCCAACGUGUUUUGACGAGGUAGUUCUUCUUAUUUUCUAGCUAGGUAACAAAAAAUCCAGGAAGAAAAGAGGCUAACCAAUUCCAAUAUCAAUGCAAGUCACCUAACCUACCCUAACGGCAGCUAAUAGUGGUUCAUAUGAAUUAGUAAUAGGAGCGAAUUAGUAAUAGUGGUUCAUAUUAACGAAUUAGUAAUAGUGGUUCAUAUUAAUAGUGGUUCAUAUGAAUUAGUAAUAGGAGCGAAUUAGUAAUAGUGCUUUUAAAUAUAUUAAUUAGAGACAUAGUUUAAUAAUUGCUUAUUGUAUUGGAUAAUGUGUAAUUUGAAAAUUUUUAAAAGUGUUUACCUCUUUAUUUGGUUCAUAAUACAGGAUAAAAUGAUUAAAUUUGAUACUUUAUUUUUUAAAUCAUAAAAGUUAUUCUAAAAGCAUCAAAUUUGAGUUUUUGCUAAAAGUGCUUUUAACACUAAAAGCUCUGCUCAUAAAUUUAUGGGAUGAUAUUCACCAAACACUUUAAAAGUAUUUUUAGCACCUAAAAGUGCUUUUUUUUUUUUUUUUAUCAAAAGUACCGCAAUCCCAAACGAGGCCUAAGAUAUUAGCACUUUUGAAAAAAAAAUCUCCAAAACUUCUUAAACUUCAUCAAAUGCAAAAGAAAGGAAAGAGUGUCUGAGAUUUCUGGAGGAGUGCUAAUAUGAUUUCGCUAAACUUGAUAGGUAACUCCCCUCGUUUUUAUUUAACUGCAAUGAGUUAUUAAUUAGGAAAAGUUAAAUUGUGAAUCGACUACUAGAAUCUCAAAUCAAAUUAUAUUAAGGCCUAAUUUCAAGGAUUUUGAAGAGGAAGAACGAAGUCGUGUAAAGCUAAGUCAGAAGGGAAAAUCAAAGAUGGAGUUAAUAAGUUUUCUUUACAAAUAAAUCGGUUGAUUAAAUUUAGUUAAGUUGUCAUUAUAAUCAACUUAUUUACCCUUUUGUGUACUAAAAUUUUAUUUGACUUUUUUAAAAGCUUUUGUUUAGCUUUAUCUAGCUAGCAUUUCCUCCACAUUUCUUCAAAAACUUGGAGAAACAAUUACGUGGCCCCUUUAUUUUCCCCCUAGCCUCCCAUUUCACUUCUUUAUUCCUUCUCUUUCUUUCCAUCCGACAGGAAGGUCAAAAUUCCUCCAAAUUAAAAAAAGAAAAGUAGAAACGGCCCAAUGGGUUUAAAAAAAACUUUAGGCCCAAAGAAUUGUUCUAGCAGUAGCACAUAUUGGGUAUGGGAAAUAACACAAAAUCUCGUCUCAAAAACCUUUGAAUUUUACCCAUUCCAUCAACCUAGAGCCUAAUAUUUGCAAACAGGCUUAAGUCCAGCAUAUAUAAUGGGCCGUCCAUUUCCCAGUUCGGCAUUACCCAAUACAAAUUUCACUAUCCUUUUUCUUUUUCCAAUGAAAUUUCCCGAGCACGCCUGUAUUUUCCAACUGAAGCAAAAAUGGCGAGCAUCUUGCAAGUGCCAGUUACGUCGUCGUUUCCCUGCUUCUCGUCUUCAUCAUCGUCCCUAAAACGACGUAUCCUCAGCAGAACAGUCUCCGCAACCAGUAGUGCUAAAAUUCCAGUACCUCCAAUAAACCCUAAGGACCCUUUUCUAUCGAAGCUUGCUUCGGUUGCCGCCUCGUCGCCGGAAGUACUCCUCAAUCGGCCUCCGAACUCCGACACGCCGCCGUAUUUGGAUAUAUUCGACUCGCCGAAGCUCAUGGCCACCCCCGCCACGGUCCGAGCUAUUUUUCUUCAUCACUGGACUUUCUGUUUUUAAUUUUGCAAUGCAAUUGAAGAUAAAGUAUUGCUAAUUAUUAAGUAUAUUAUGAUUGUUUCCUAUACAUAUAUACAUAUAUAUAUCUAUAUAUAUAUAUAUGUGUGUGUGUGUGUGUGUGUCAGUUUUCCACAAGAUAACAGUUUUUCCAGAAAAUAUAUAUAUAUAUAUAUAUAUAUAUAUAUAUAUAUAUAUAUAUAUAUAUAUAUCUGGAAAAACUGUUACCUAUAUAUAUUUUUUAAAUUUUGAAGAGAAUUGGUGCAACGUUUUUCAGGUGGAGAGGUCUGUUUCAUAUAAUGAACACCGGCCGAGGCGGCCACCGCCAGACUUGCCAUCGUUGUUGCUGCAUGGUAGGAUAGUGUACAUUGGGAUGCCGGUAAAGAGCCCUAAAUCUUUAACUACUUUACUGCCAAUAUUUGAUAAAAUAUGGCUUCAGCGAUCAGCAAUGCAGUAAAGUUGUUGCUUUUGUCUGUUAAACGCUGGUGGGCUCCUGCCUGGUGGUUUAGUUAUCAUAUGUUGCUUAAAAAAAUACUCAAAAGUGAAGGAAAUGCUUAGGUUUGUGCUAAUGGAUUGGAAUUUGCUGCGACACUUUUUUGGUGAAUGUGACAUUCUUGAAAACCUUAAUAUGGUCAAAUAUAACAAAUUGGAGAGUUGGCGACUCAAUGUAGGCCUACACAGUGGUGAUUUAAAUGCAGUUUGGAUCUUUAUGGGAAGACAAUUUGUUUACCUGCGUUGUUUUGUUGAUAUCAAACAACAAGAUAAGGUGAUAGCAAAAAAUAAAUAAAUAAAUAAAAGCAUCAGUGUUACAAAGGCCAACACACAAAACUGUAUUGAAUAGAUAUUGCUACAAAUAUUCAUACUUCUUAGGUUGAAGAAGAUGAUGGCAGAAGUGAAGUUGUGUAUCAGCUACAAAAUUCAAAAGCUUUUGAAAGUGGUCAGGAGCAAACUUGAGUUUCUGAGGAUUUUGAUAAACAAGUGUAUGGGUUUUCAAUGUCAACUAUCCAUGAAUUUGAUUGCAUUCAUGGAAAAUUUUAAUCUAGCUGGCUAAAUUUGUAUAGGAUGGAUAACGUAUUGUGGUAGAAGGGGUUUUUUGGUUGUCGUGACCUUGGUAUCAGGGAACAGAAGGUGUGUGUGAUGUGCUGAUUUUGAUUUCCAAGUUGUGUUUUCUAGUGUUAGAAGAUCUCUCUUUUUAUAGCAUAUCAGUUCUGGAUCAAACUUUGACUUCCAAAGUUUUGUUGGUAAACUCGAUCUUUUGAAGCCAAUGCGGUAAAUUGUUUGAAGGUGGCUUGGCUUAUAGCUGGUACCUGGGAAGAUGUUUUUCUAGCUUCUUGAUUUCAUAAGCGAAGGGGCUGCCUUGAUUCAAGAAUGGGAUCGAGAGGGCAGCCUGCACCUUAUGCCUUUCUGGCACAUUUCAAUGGCAUUGGUAUGAUAAUUGUUUUAAAGGACAGGAUUAAACAGCAUAAAGUACCAGCCUUUUCAGAUUGCUUAACGUUAUCCGAUAUAAUUUUAGGCUAUAAUUUCCUGCUGUUGGGUAAAAUUUCUUACUGCCAAUAGGAAUUUCUGGCAACUUUUUCCAUGUCUUUUUGAGGAGAGAAGUGGAUAGACAUUUGCGUAAGAAUGCAGGAGGCAAAAUAGGUGUAUUUUCGAAGUAAAAUCAAGGAUAGGUUGCACCUCAUUUUCAAACAGACUAGUCUUUGAAAUUUACUUACAUAGGAGCACAUCUUGUGGUUAAUGCUUGGUAGAUCAUUUCAUUCUCGACAGUUAAGUAGUUCAUGAAUGAGAGGACAAUAGAUGCCAUCACAUGGAAAGGAAUUUAGUUGCUUUCCAGUUCCAUAAACUUCUUGUACUAUGCCAGUAUUGUAAUGGCAAGGGAAAUAGACUAUCAAAGGCAUUCAUACAUAUAUAGGAUGCUGUUUGUUGGUCAUCCACAAAAUUCAUAAAUUAAAAGCACAAGCUCACUUUCUGCUCUUUCUGAACAUAAAAACUAAUAGAUCGAUUGUCUGGGAUGCUACCUGUGGCCAUGUGGUACUUUCAUUCUUGUAAACUAACUCGUUUUGGUAAGUUUUUGGUAUUAUUGCCUUGCUGCAUGAAUUAUUCCCCAAAGACUUGUCUAGUGCUGAUUUGUUUUACCAGUUAUGUUGUAUGAUGUGAUAAUCAAACCUGUUUCUUUUACCAGUUGGUGCCAGCGGUCACUGAGCUUGUAGUUGCAGAAUUAAUGUAUUUACAGUGGAUGGAUCCAAAAGAGCCAAUUUUUCUGUACAUAAAUUCUACUGGAACUACUCGUGAUGAUGGUGAAACGGUGAGCCUUUGUGUUGCAGAUUAGUUCUCUUUGAGUACUUAGCUGUUGUUGCGGAACUUGCUGUUAGUUGGCUGUCUUGUAAUGUUAUUCAUACAUGCAUCUUAACCUCAAAUGCAGUUAGUUGUUUGUCAAGUUUGAUCUUGAGUGCAAAUUGGGCCUUCUGAAAAAGGUGAAAAGCUACAAGGAAAUUACAGAUGCAAUAUACUGAAAGAGAUGCCUAGAAAUUAAAAAAAAUAAAACACAUAGGAGUUUAGACAUGUUUAAAUAACCAGUUGUAGAUUGAGAUGAGAUUUGAAGACAAAGUGGACCAGUAAUGGACCGAGAACUUACAAUGCAAUUGAAGAAUUGACUACACAGAAAGCAAGAAUGCAAGUUAUGUUGCUGAAUGGAUAGUAAGAGAUAUACUUCUCGUUAAUAACCUGAAUAUGGUUUGUUACUAAUUGCCAUCCUGUGUGCGUCUGUCUUGUCCUUGGAAACUUUUUGGCACUUUCUAUUUAUUGCUAAAUGUAUGCCUUGGGUGCUGUCUGCGAACUUACUUUUAUACCAGUCAACACUGUAGGGACCAGUUUUCUCAAGGGUUAGUCUUUUUAUAUUAAUCUCUUUACUUACAUACUGAUUUUUGCGUACUUCUCUGAGUCUAGUAUACUAUUAAUUUUCAAUUAAGCUAUUUUUAUGAAACCUUCUGUGUCUUAGGUCGGCAUGGAAACGGAGGGUUUUGCAAUCUAUGAUGCAUUGAUGCAGUUGAAGAAUGAGGUGAGCUUCUCCUAUAGGUUAUAUUUUAUGUUAAUAAAGAUGUGACAUCUGGCAUUUUAUUGGAGCAUUUAGGCUAAUUUAAUGUCUAUCCUUCUUAGAAUUUAAAUUUUAUAGCUUGCAUAAAGUAGAUGAGAGUUAAAUUCAUUAGCCAAACCUUGCAUGUUGUUGACUUUUCAAUCUAUCUAGAUUGAAACAGUAAGCCUAGUCCAGUUUUUAAAAAGCAGUUUAGUUAUGUUGUCAGAUACGAAUUAGGUGAAAAAUCUUUUCCCUGUUCAAGCUUAAUGAGGCUAUGACUAGAUUAUGCCUAUUGUUGACUUCUGAUAUCUUUGUUUCGUCCUUGGUCAAGUUUUUUUCUGUGCAUGAAUGGAGAGGUAUCUGUAUUGGAUAACAAAUUGAGAUAUGGUGUCUCUAUCCAGUGCUGCUAAAAUACACGUUUGCUUAAUAUUUCUCCAAUUAUAAUACAAUGCGCAGCUUUGGAUUGAAUGAAGUCAUUCUGUGGAUUUUGAUUGAAUAACUAAACAUACUGAGUGAUCUACAUUGAGGCAAUUUCCUCAAAUGGUUACUGUUGCUACUGGAGAGUAGUAUUGAAUGCUUUGACAGUUUCUUGUUAUUUUCUAUCCUCUUAUUAUAAUGUGAAAUUCAGAUACAUACUGUGGCUGUUGGAGCUGCUAUAGGUCAGGCAUGUCUCUUGCUUGCUGCAGGAACCAAGGGGAAAAGGUUUAUGAUGCCGCAUGCAAAAGGUAUGCUGCGUUAAUCAAAUCUGGUUUCAUGUGCAAUAUUUCAUGUCCUCUGACUCGAUGCAUUUAGAAAUUUGACAUGAAUUUUGGUUUCUGCUCCAGCUAUGAUUCAGCAGCCUCGUGCGCCAUCAUCUGGGUUAAUGCCAGCCAGUGAUGUUUUUAUACGUGCAAAGGAGGUUAGUUCAAGCUUUUGGUGGCAUUUUUUGCUUUAAAUCCUGCUGAGAUAGAUUUUAUGGUGGAUACUCAUGUGAAGUAGCUUGAGGGUUCCUUGAAAUGAGUAUGAACAGAUGUACAGCUUGAAAAAUGAGGACUGUCCUCAUGCAUUAUCAUGGUUUAGAGUUUCACUUUGUCAUCUACCCGGUAAAAAGCUACUCAAUGCAAAUUUGUGCCUAAUCCUCGCAUCAUCUUCUUAUAGGAGCUUAUUUCAUCUUCUUCUCAAACAUGACAAGCUAAGCACUUGUUGUUUGGUGCUAUUAGAAUUCUGGCACACUAUUAACAUUUAGGGAAUGUUUGUCCUAACUUUAUUUUUAUUGCAGGUAAUAAUUAACAGAGACACCCUUGUUGAACUUUUAGCUAAGCAUACUGGAAAUGUGAGUAUCCAACAUCAGAUUUAUCUCUCUCCGGCUUUGAUUUAGUAGCAAGCAGUUCAUGCAGAUUAAUUGUUGAAAUCUUAUAUUAACAGUCAAUAGAGGCAGUUGCUGAUGUGAUGAGAAGGCCAUUUUACAUGGACUCAACCAGAGCUAAAGAAUUUGGCGUCAUUGACAAGGUCAUUUGUUGAUCUGAGUCACCCCUACGAUUUUAUAUUCUUGGGAUUCAGACUCAUUUGAUUUUUAUACAAUUUGAUAUGGGGAAAACCUUGAAUUACGCUAGUAUUAAUCAACAGCAACUUGUGGUUCAGAUACUCUGGCGUGGUCAGGAACAAAUUAUGGCAGAUGUUGCCGCUCCAGAGGACUGGGACAAGAAUGCUGGAAUUAAAGCCUUUGAUGCAAUUUAACAUUUUCUCCAGGUAAUUACAUGCAGUAUAAAUUUUUCUCUUAAAUACAGGAGUAUUGGAAUACUGAACUUGAUUAGAGGCUCUGGUGACUGGAGCUUGCAGCUCCUUUGAUUCAUGCGGGUGCUGCAACAUCCUUUGUUGACCAUAAAGUUGAAAACGUUCGUCUUAAUUCUGGCUUGAAUUUCAAAUGGACUUUAUCCAUCAUUGAUAUAGAUGAAUACAAAUCAUUUAGAGAAAGCAAAAACUUUCAAAUGAACUUUAAGAUGAUUUGACAGAGUUUAAUGCACAUUUAGGAUUGUGGUGGGUUAUCAAAAAGCACUUCGCUUAGUAGAGUGUUGAGUAGAAGUACUUAUUAAGUGCUCGAUUGUAUUGUUUCGGUGCAUAAGUGCUGCUUGUAUUUGGUUUGUAUCUAUCUCUUUAUUCAAUUAGGAGUUUAUGAUCAAAUGCCCAGAUUUUUUGUUUUCUUAAGCACAAAAGUUAUUCUAAAUAUACCCAUGUUGAACUUCUGCUGAAAGUGUUUUUCAGACCAAAAACUCUACUUCUAAAUUUAUGAAAUAACACUUACCAAGCACUUGAAGGCUUAGUUUGGGAGUUUCGGAUAGAGAAGAAAAGAAGGGAAAACUGAAGUUAUAAGAGAAGAGGAGAGAAGAGAAGAGAAGGGAUUAUUAUGUUGUUUGGGAGUUUUGAGAAUUAAUGGAAUGAUUAUGGAUAUGAAAGUCAUUAAAUAUUUGUUCAAGACUUUUUUAAGGAUAAAAUAGGCAUUUCAAAAAAAUUUGAGAAGCAUCCUCAAAGUUUCUCUCAUUUUCCUUCAAAUUUGGGAGGAAAAGUUUUGCCUACUGUUCAUCUUUCUGAAUCCUCCCAUUUCCUUUCUUUUCUUUCUUACUAAAAACUAACAAACAAAGGAAAACUAUAAAUUUUCUCUUCUUUCCCUUUCUUUUCUGUCCAAAUCCUCAACUGCUAAAUGAAGCGUAAAAGUGCUUCUACCGCCCAAAAGCAGUUUAAGCAAAAGCACUGCAAUCCCAGCAAGCUCUGAAUGCUGCAGUCAUUUUAUGGGAAAUUACAACGCCCUUGGGCAGAAUUUUAUGGUCCUUUAAUCUUUCCCUUCUAUCCCUUAGUGAUAAUAGUGGUUCACAUUUUAAAUGCUUAAUACAAUUUUAGGGUCCAAAAUACUUAUUUCACUGUCCAACGGUGAAAUUAGUUAUAGAUCCUAUAUCUUUGAGCUGUCUAUUUAACUGCGCUACCCCACUAGUCAUCUUUUUACAUUAGUAUUCUGAUGUCAAGCAAAUUCAAGAUGUUUUAUCUUCAACGUAGAGAGUUAAUGUGGGAGUUUUUGAAGUGUACAUUGUUAAGGAAUCUAAAUUCACAAGUUCCAUGUAUCCAGUGCCCGCACCACCAACCCACCCCCCCACCCCCUGUAAAAAAAAAAAUCUCUUCCAAAACCAAAAAAAUCAUACAUGCUGCACAUUGUGCAUGGCAGUGUUGAUCCUCUGUAUAGGUCAAAUGAAUUAUGAUUGCUUUUGUUUAGGAUUGGUGAUUUGAGAGAACCUGUUGUCUGGCUGAAAGCACAUCUAUUCCACUAGCGAGAUGAAAAGCUUGUGUCACCUGAAGGAUUUAAAUCGGACGAAGGAACUGUCUGCUGAAAGCAAGGAUUCAAAGCGAAUGCGUUAGCUGGUUCAAGUUUGUUCGCGUACACAAAUUUCAAGUAUUAGUGGAUAGUGGAUCAUGGGUAAAUUUAACAGUAUCAUACGUUUCUGAGGCUUACAGUAAUGUUUUUAGCCUAUGGAUAACAGUAUAGACUUCCCAAGCUCUACAGGCUUUUGGCUGAAAUGUACCGCUGAUUUUUCUUAUCAACUUUUGUGUAUCAUAAAAUGUCAUAAUCUCACAUUAGGUUGCUGCUUUAUCUAGUGUAAUUCAUUAUUGAUACUUGUACACAAGCUUGCCUUGAACUUUACCCUUUGUUGGCUGCAAAAGUAUGAAUUUGUGCAGAGGAAUUGCAAUUCUUUUGUCCAAAAUCCUCAGUUGUUCAAGCAACAAACACUUUGUCCUCAGACAGAAUGGCCCCUAUUCAUGGCUUCCGAUUUCAUUUAUGAUGGAAGGAAAUGUGAUUCUACUUUUCACCUUCAAAUUCUGGGUACUCUAUUGCACAUUGCUGGGGGAACCGCAUUUUGAAAUAGCAGAAAUUAAAAUUAGAGCCUUCAAGUGCAUAAGCCAGAAGGGAUUGGAUGAUUAGAUUAACAGCACCAAGUAUCUAGUUUCUAUUUAUAUUUCUUCAUUAAAACUUUGGAUUAAUCUUCAAUACAUAGACAGUAUAUGCACUUUCAUUAUUAGAUACAUAAUACAUAAUUCAAAUUUUACAUAUGUAUUGUAUGUUAUAGUAUAUACAUUGUCGAUUUAUUCAAAAGUUCAACUCUUAUUAUUAAAAGCAAAUAAUUAGCCGAUGACUUAAAUUGAUUUAGGGAAAACAAAGUGAAAAUCUAGAACAGUGAAAUGAGAACCUGCUCAUGUAAUCUUUGUACUGAUUUUUAAGCAAUGAUCUAUUGAUCGAGAUAUAGACUGUUGAAUAAAAACAAUUUCUGACCGGAUUUUUUUUUUGAUUCAUCUGACCGGAUUUAUUUAUUGACUAUAAAAACAAAACUACUGGGAUAAAUUGAAUAUAGAUUUUUUGAAUAUCAAAUCCCAUCAUGAGAAGACCUUGAUGAAGCAUUAAUGAUCAUAUCCGUUUUCCCGAGUCAAAAUAUGAAUAGCGCUACAAAUUUCGGCCACCAUUACCACCACCGUCACGCCGCCUUCAUCAUAGGAGGAGCGAGCUGUGCCGCGGCCGCGUUGCGUUGAACGGUUGAAGAAUGACACGGACACGGCUAACAGCUUCCCGUCACUCUUAUCAUCUUUGAUGAUGGGCAAGCCGCCAUUUCUGUCGAUUAAAUUCGCCGUGGUUCUCUCCUUUUCUCUGGCCGCCACCGCCUCGUCCACGUCACUCUUCUUCCCCAGACCCAAGCCCCAAAAGCAUUCUACCGUCUCUAUACCCAAAGCCAACACCAAAGACUUGCUGGCUCUUCUGGGCUCUCCCCAACAGGCUGCUUCUGUCAAUGCCGAAGAAGCUCAGAAACUGAAAUCUUGUUUCAAGUUCCUAGUACCGUUUUCGCCUCCCGCUAGACCCGGCAUUAACGACCCUUUUCGACGUUCGCUCAAUUUUCGUAAAUCUUUGAGCAGUGAUCAUAGCGGAAGAGGAGUGAGAGACUGGGAACGCGAUAAUGAGCUAAUAUGGUGGCCGCCAGCCCCGGUUAUGGAGCUUGCUCGUCUUGCUGUUGACUCUGGUGGCGAUCCCGGUGCUAUUCAUAGAGCUCUUGAUCCUACUCCUAUCAAGGUGAAGUUUUUAACCUCCGAUUUCUUUUCUGAAGGUUUUUUCCCUCUUUUAUUUGUCUGAAAUGCGUAUUAUCACCCAUGUAAAUUAGCAAUAUGUUUUCAGAGUCUAGUUUUUAGCUAAAUAAAGCUGCUUUCAAUUAGUAAUAAUGGAAGAGCAUUAGAAUUAGUAAAAUUGUUGAAAACAGAGUAUCUUUCAUGGUUGUUUGCUACGACAUUGAUAUUUUAUUAAUUUGAAAUUACAAAUGAUAUUGUUAGUUAUAUUCUGUAGUGCCAGAAUAGGGAAAGCCAUUUCUUAAAAAUUCUUUUAAAGAGGAUUUCUUGGAAAUUGAUUUCUUCUUUCUGCGUUCUCUCUUCCUUUUCUUCUCAAAGUAUUAUCGGUUCUCUUUCCACUCCUCACUCUCCUUCUCCAUCAAUUUACAAUACGCGUGCAACUUUCAAGUGAUUAUCUCCGUAAUAUAUCCCUCUGCCUUUGAAUUGUUGUAACAUCCGAAUAUGGUGCCGAACAAAUUAUUGUUUGGACCAGUUGAUGAGGAGACCUGGGUAUGUUACAAAAGCAACAAUUUUUAUGUACAUUUGGGGGAAGUUCUCUCCUGGAAGCUUCGGAUGCCACUUGGACGCAACUCCUGCACCCAAAUGCAGGGGUUCAUGUAUUUUACAUUGCCUCCUUGCAUUUUAGUGCAGUUAUUGUCCAUCCAGGCUGAAGUCACAUUGCGGAAUUUGCUGCAUGGAUAUACAAGAACAAAAAUGUUGCCUGAGUUACACCAUAAACACAUUAUUCCAAUGCCAAUGCAUUCAAACCAUCAAUUGGCCCCCCUAAUUUGUGGUUGGGGCUUGGAUUUGGGAACAUAGUGGUAGGUUCCCAGAUGCCUUGGAUGCAAUUGCAUCCCUAGUUCUUGAACUAGCCAAUCAAAGUUAAAAUUAUGUGGUUUUCUACAGAGUUAAGUUCUUCGAGGAUCAGUUUUUGGUAAGAGACCAAACAAGAAAAAUCCAUUGAAUUUGGUUUCAAAAUUACGUCCUGUCUCAGCUCUGUAAUGUGUCCCUUAUUGGGUCUGAAUGUAAGCAUUAUUGUUUGGCUUUGAGCAUAAUUGGUGGAUGCAAUGUCUUACUUAUUCCAACUUACAGGUACCAGAUGUUGAAGGAUCAAAAGAAGAUAAAUGUGAGCUCACAAGAACUCCUUAUGGUUGGCGCUUUAUAAAUGAGGUAAUAAUUUGUUUAUUAGGGGAUGGGAAAGUAUUUCGCAACACAUUGCCAUAACUUCAAUUUGUUUUGCAUUAAAAGCCCAAGUAAUGGUUAGGUUACCAUUUGCAAUUUGGGAGGUUAAUUGUUCAAUAAACAGAGAUAGGAAUUUCUCUGCUCAAAGAGGCAAGGCUUGGCAGGCCCUGCAUCUUAGAGAAACAGAAUGGGAAAGUAUUGUUAUCUUGAGUUUGUAUUGUCAUGUUUUUGUCUUGUUCUCUUGAUUGAUUUUUUUUGUUUAAUUUCCAUUAUGUAGGAGUUGAAUUCAUACCUAAAAUUUUUAUUUGAAAUGAUUGUUGCUCGGGGUCCGAACGUAGGACUGAAUGUCUCAUUAAACCGCUAUGACUUCUUUCACGGCCACCUUUUUAUUGCUGUGGACUCUGGAAGACUUGGGAUUUUGUAAGUUAACAAACAUCUACUUUUGAGUCAACUUCAGCCAGGCCAUUUACAACUAAAAUUGUUUUGACAAUUUCUUACAAUGGAAAGAAACAUUAUGUGAAAAAGUUUUCAUUGUGAUACAAGAUGAAAUUUCUACUGAUGGUAAGCUAAAUGGUUUGUAGACUCGUUUUCUUAUCUCAGAGAAAGGUCAAACGGUGAUCCACUGAGAAUUUUCUUACUGUUUAUAAAAUGAUGAGUGAUAAUCAUGUACAAUAAUUAGAUGAAUUCUUUAGGUUGUUUCUUAACACAACACUAGUUCAUUGUCUAUUUUGGAAAGUAAAUCUCAUAAAGUCACAAGGUGCUUAUGAUAUUGGUGCUCAUCAUUUUUAAAGGUUCCAUGCCAAAGAAUACCCUGCCUACGAGAAAGAGGUGUUUCCUUACAACAUGGGUUAUUGCCAGAUUGGUAAGUUGAUCUGGAGUAAUGUCAUACAUACUUAGAAAAUGCAUUUUCUUUGUUUUCUGUUAUUUCCAGUUCUGUGAGAUUAUUUUUCUUUCUUGAUAGAUUUGAUUUGAAAGAAUAUUCUGCAUAAUUUUAGUUAGUUAUCUUGUAACAAUCUCCAAUUUUCUUGGAUGGAAUGCUUAAUAAGUGCUAAUAUGGAAUGUGGACCAUGACAAACAAUAUGGUAAACAGUUUUGGAAUCCAAAAAGCAUCUAAUGGUUCUACCAGGUCCCUUUCUAGGUGGACAGUUCUGCCCCCGUCUGAAUAUGAAACUUUUUUCCCAAUCAGACUUGGAUAUGCAAUUUGGAACCCAAGGGCUUAGUUGGUUUCCUCCAUGAGUAACUGAAUUAUGAAAAAAUGAAUUGCGAAAGCAAAAUAAUUGUCUGUUAUAUCACCUUUCAUUGUUUGCGACUACUUACUAAAUCGACAUUGCAAAAUUGCAAUUGCUUGUAUCAAAUUGAACUCAUGGCUCAAAGAAAUUGUGAAAGUACCAUCUUCUGCAGUUUUUUUCUACAAUAAUUGUCUUUGGUUAUUAUUGUCAGGUUCUAAUGUUACUUAUGACGAUUCAAUGAAUUUGCGUAACAUCCUGUGGCUAGCCCCUUUGCCAAGUAAUUCCACAAAAACGUGGUUGGCGCCUGGUAUUUCUUCUCAUUUUACCUUAGUGGACAAAGUUUAACGUUGUAUCAACAGUUUCUGCUUCAAGUUCAAAAGUUAUAUGCUGGUAUGCUUGUCCUGUUUUUGCUGCUUCAAUUAUUAGAUCUUCCAGCUGUGGGGUGCUUAUGAUUUUGCAUUCCCUAAAACUGGUUUCCAUGUAUGUGACUGGAUGAGACAUAUAAUGUAGUGUAUGUUUGAUUGCAUUUCGAAAUAUUUGACUUUCAUAGACUGGUUUUGUCAACUUUGAAAGAAGUUAGCAUAUGAAGCCUAGAGAAAGCUACAUAUGGGUUAAGUUUUCAAAGCUGUUAUGUAAGCUGUAAGAUUCAAACCACCUCAAGUUGAAAGGAAAACUACCGUCUGCUUUCUUUCAUUUCUUCCCUUCUUUUCUAUCACUAAAUUUGGUGGAGCUUUCAACAAAUGCACUUUGAUAGUCGAGUGACCAAUGACUGCAAACGAAAUCUUACAUCAAAGAGUGACAUUGUCAUCUCAACAUUCAUAAGAGAGAAAACUCGUUUCCAAGGUGGACAUAUAAGGACCACCAUAAAACAAAAAGAAUGGAGACAAUAAUUGCUGGGCUUAUUACAUACAACUGGCUUAUAUUGCUCUUUGACUGGAGCAUGGCCUUCACCCCUACUGCUUUCCCUAACUAGUGAGAUAUUUCUCUGAAUUUGGUUUUCUUAUUUUCGAGUACCAGGAACAAAAUCUCAUCAAAAUGUAUAUGGCAUUAUAUAGCAAAGUCACCAGUUUUCUUAUUUUUCUUUUCAAGUACCAGGAACAAAAUCUUAUAAAAAAGGACAUGGCAUUGUAUAGCAAAGUCGCUAGUUUAUGUGUUGGACAUUUUCUUGAAUCCUUACAUAAAAUAGUUUUUCGAGUUCCGAUGGACGAUCAUUGACUAUUACAUUUUAUCCGAAAGUUUUACUAAUAUUUUGCUUGGUUGCUAUUCCCAGGAGUCCUUGUGGUAUUAGAUGCCCAUCCAGAAGGAAUCAUUUAUCAGGACCUCAUUCCUGAAUAUGUUAAGUUUGCAAGGACUCUAUAUGAAGGUUCUAACUCCUUUUUCUAGACUUAUUAAACCUCAUUGUUUAGAAGAGUUAAUAAGAAGUCUAAUGUGAUUAAUAUUUGUCUGUCAGAGGAUUUUGGGGAAGUUGUAGUUGAUGUUAACUACCUAAAUGUGGGAGCUGAAGUGCCAAAAUAUCAACUCUUCAUGUGCUGACACCUUCUGAAGGUAGAAAGCUCCUUUCCUUGGUGUCAUGUCAAAUUUGUUGGCAGAGAACUGAUGAAUCGUUGUGUGCAUUUGUAAAUGUGACUGAUCUUCAUGCUAUAUCUCCAUCUUCCACCGCAGUAUUAAAUUCUGCAUACCAAAGAAAAUGAUCAAGCUUCCUGUUUGCAAGUUCAAUUGCUUCAGAAUGUGAUGGACUAGCAACCUCCCACCCCAUUUCACUGGAUGACUAUCUACGCAUAUCUUUCUGUUGUUUCUGAUAAUGAAACAAAAUUAUACGCCUUCCAUGCGUCCAGAUCAUGGCUGGUGAAUGUGUUACUGUCCUUCAAAGUCUCUGUCAUUUAUGAUGAGGGUGCAGCAAGCGUUUCUUGCCUCUUCUUGUUAAAAUGAGAACAAAUCCAAAUCCAUUGAUGAUUAGUUCUCUCUCAUUGGACAUUGCAUGAAAGAAUAGGCGUACUUGAAUCCAAUUGUUCAUGUCUGAUGUCUCCAUAACAGUUCCACUUUUUCUGGAUGGUGUAUUUUGAACGUCUGUAGUGUGAAUUGUACAAUUUAAAGUGCAAAGUUUUUCUCUUCUCCCUCCCUUGAAACUUCAGUAUGAUGCAUCUCUUUACCUAGAGUGCAUUUCUAAUCCAGAGAAUUGGUUACCGGUUUAAGCAAUGCAAGUAUAAUACAUUAAUACAGUAUCCUUGUCUUUGUUUUCUGCGUGAAGUAUGAAGUAAGAUAAUCCCAAUAUGCCAUGCAUGAAAAGCAAUCCAACAAUUAUCUGAACCCUUAAUCAGUUGCAUUAAAUUUGGUUGGAUUGAAACGCGUUAAGUGUGUUAAGAGUCCCAGAUUUAUGCCAACAAGUUCAACAGAAAAGAUCAAAGGAAGAGAUGUUUUUGGCUGUUGAGCGGGUAUGUUGAAUGCAUGAAAUGAUGACAGUGACUUCAACUGUGUACUGUGAUUUGAGCGUUUAAAUCAUGCAUGGCGCGUAUCAAAUUACCCAGAAUCAUUCGGUUAAUUACUCUGAUUACUGUUGAAAAAAGAAUAAAUCGGGACAAUAUUGUUCUGACAUCGGACAGGUAUCAAACUAUGAUGGUCGCCUGUUGGGCUGAUUAAACCUUGCAACAAAGAAAUAUCUACUUGUAUAUAAGAAAGAAAGAAGGUUUAAUGCUUUUCUUUACUUUUGCCAAGUGGCUUCUCAAUUAUUUGACAAGUAAGGCCAAAUAUUUCUUGCAAAGUAUUGAAGCCUUCUCUUAAUAUUUCUUUCAAAUUGAUCGAAGCCUUCUCUUUAUUUUGGCAUUAGUGCUUUUCUUUUCUUUAGCCAUGUGGAAAAGUCAAAUAUUCCUUCCAAAUUGUACAAAACCUGUCCUUUCUUUUGGCAUUGAACUCUUUCUUUCUCAAAUUGCCGAUGAAGCCUUUUCUUCCUUUCUCUCUACCAGACAGCUAUUUUGACCAGACGGCUAUUCUGAUCAAAAAUUCGGCGCACCUAUUCUAAGCAAAUCCAAUUCCAAACGGCUAUUCUACCAAAACCCAAUCGGAAACGUUGGGAUUUUUAUGUGAUUUGGGAGAUGGGUUUUGUGAGUUCCUUCUUUCAGAAAUUGCCGUUGAAGCCAGUAGGUCAACUGCCACUCCAGACACCUGAUUUCAUGUUGCAGAAAUUGCUACUCACUCACAUGGUGUUUGUACUUCAAAGGAGGAAAAUUAGGAGCAGGUGAACUGUUUUGCCUACACUUGCCGUAGUUUCCUCUUUCUCUAAUAUCAAAUUAACCCAUUUCAUGUUGCAAGAAUUGAUUUCAUGUUAACCCAUUUCUCUUUCUAUUGAUUUCAUGUUGCAAGAAUUGUGGGGCAGUCACAUGAUAAUUAUACUUCAAAUGAGGGAAAUUGGGAACUUUUUGUUAGAUUAGGUAUGACAUUCUAUUCUCAUUAGUUUUCCAUUCAGCCUUACGAUUAUGAUGAGAAAUAUCUUUUCAGAUGUGAUUUUUCCCUUGUUCCAGUUAUGAUAAAAAAAAAUAGGUUUCCUAUUCAUUUAGCCUGUAAAUUUUCCAGUGAAUUAUGAAAUCAAAAAAUAAAAUAGAGGUAUUUAUCAGUGCAUGGUGCUGGCUCCUCUGUCUUAUGAACUGCAAGAAGAAGUGUCUUGAUCUUUACACCUUCUUUGGAGUCUCUUUGGUGAGAAAAAGUCUUUCCCUUUUUUUUGUGAAAUUUUUCCCGUAUGAGUAAUACACGAAUUAAUAAAUUCUAAUAUACACAUAUGCUUCAAUUGAUAGGUUCUUUCUGCUAUGAUUCAUAUCAUCAGUCAAGGAAUCCUUUAAUUUGAAGGUCAGCUUGUUGUCUUUCUUGAAUCUAUGAGCAGUUUUUCUUCAUUUAUUUGACUAUAUUUUCAAAAGUGAAAUUUUAGUGUUCCCUUUUCUUUGUAGUAGUUUUUCUUCAGUUUCUGCUUCAUUUAUUUUAAGUUUGCUGGUGCUAUUUGUUUUGUGUGAUCCUUUAUGAAACAAAUAGUUUUUAUUUAAGUAGGUAAUUGUGUUAAUAUUUUCUCAAUCCAAUUGUGUUGCUGCAAUCCAUUCACCUGAAAAAACAAGUAAAAAUGAAGAUAUGAACCCAGCUCCCAGUUCAAUAAUCCUUAUUUUGAAAUUUGGUGAAUUCUUGAAUAUAUAUUAUUAGUGGCAUACCUACAAAAAAGAAAGAUCCAUUUGCUAAUAUGAGUAUGGCCAACUGAACUGUCCUAUUGGUUUGCUUAUGAUCAAUGUUCUAUCAAACAGCCAAAUUGCUAUAUAUACUAGAAAAAAGAUUAUAACAAUGGACAACAAUAACAUAUUUUGUGAGCCAAAAUCAUUAGCACAAUAUAUUUUGUGAGACAAACUUUUGCUUGUGCUGAUUUUGGGGCUGUGACUGCUAUGCUAAAGUUAUUAUUACAUGACAAGUUUAUUUUUAACUAAUUUCAAUCUCCUGCUAUUGGUGCUUUUGUCUUUAAUUACAAUAUACAUAUCUAAAAUAUGUGACCUGUUGUUGUUCUAAAUAAGGAAUAAGAGUGAUUAUCUAUUUUUUAGAUAACUUUAAGGCCAAUGCAGAGAGGUUGUUAUUGGCAAAGCUUGUUUAGUCAUCUAAGUGAUUAUUGGUUAAACAACUUAAGACUUUGUACCUCUUGUUUCUAAUUGAUUAUCUAGUGUGUGCCUUGUUUGCUAUUUCAUUUAGUCUAGACUUGUCUAGGGCAAUGAAACACUUGAUGGUUACCUCUUAAGGAUAUUGUAUACAGAGCAUCCUUCGGCUGUUAUUCAUUAUAGCCCUUUUAGGCAAAACUCGUUCACUCCUUUAUAUGACUAUCAGUUAAGCAACUUAGGUUAUUGUGCCUGUUUUAUCCCAAGUUGCAUGUAAUAUGCUUGUUGUUUUGUCUAAUCUAGACACAACCUUAGGAGAAUGAAAAACCUGAUGAUUACUUUUUAAAAACGGAGAUUUGAAUGGUGGUACUUGUUGUAGUCUAGCCAAAAGCUGGGCUCCAAAGGCAUCAAAUGUAAUAAACAUUUCUAAAGGAAAAUAAAGGUUAUUAACUUGGUAUUCGGAUCAGUUGUGGUUUUAGGUGUCCGCUAAUAUCCUAUUAAAAUUACUUUGUUUUGUUUAUAGUGCAUCAUUGCUCUUGCUGUGUUUGCCUCUAAAGUUCGAAUUAUGUAUGCACCUAUUUUGUUGCUUUUCUUUGCCCUUUUUUGUUCAUGUUCUUUCCCUGAUAUUUCUUUUUCCUUGUGUUUUGUUACUUGGAUAAUCUACACUUCAUCUUAGACGUAGAGCUUUGUACGCACAGAGCAAAUAAAUCUUUUUGGUAAAUAUAGGAGAAAAUUUGAGUAUCACAACAAUUAAAAUUUGCUAUGAAAAGAAAUUCCGUUUAUAAAGUUAGUCCUGUAUUCAUCAUGAUUUGGACAAAGAUUUUGAACCAAUACUAUGUGUCCGAAAAAAAAAGACAUAAUAAGUACACUACAUUGAUGUUAGCUGCAUACUUGAUUGGUAAUUUAUAAUUUUAAGAAUGCUAUUUCACAAACAUUACUGUUAAUCUUAUCUUAUAUGAAAAUAUAUGACAACAGAUUAUAUGGGGCCUAGGUUGUGCUUAGCACAGCCGAUAACCUCCUAGUCUUACAUAUAUAGAAAGACUUGAGAUUUUUACUCACAGGUUUAGCCACGUAGCGGAAUGAAGGGGGGAGAAAAAUUUUCUCCCGUUUAUGCCCUGAGAAUAUUGUUUAGUUCUCCGAAUAGUGUAUCACUGGUGAGGUCAUUUUUGUCUUGUUACAUAAAAUUACUAUCUUGCCCAGAGAAAAAUAACUAGCCCCAAAAUAGUAACUAACUGUUGAGGGCUAUUUUUGACUUUUUAUUAAUAAUCUUUUGCUUUAUUUCUCAGUCUUUUCCCAUCUCUUGCCCUCUUUUUUUAGACCAAAGAAAGCGGUAGUUGGCAUUAGCUCUGUUGUUCUCCACUUUUUCUUUGUCUCCGUUAUGAAAGAUAAGAAAUCAAAAAGCCAAACAAAAUUAUGGAAAUGCACCGAUGUGGCUGGAAAGCAAAACACUCCCUUUGCAUUUUAUUUUACAACUUUAGCCUAUCAUCUUUUGUUUUCUUCUUCAUCUCUCUCUCUCUCUCUCUCUCUCUCUCUCUCUCUCUCUCUUUUUGUUUCCCGUUUCUUAAUUUUCCUUUCAGCUUUCUUUUCUCCCACAAAGAAUCAAUUAUGGCUGCCCAUCCAUAUCCCAACUGUGGGAUUGUUCCACAAAAGAUGAUAAUCCUCUUUUCCUUUUCAUUGUUUCCGUUUCUUGGACUAUUCUUCUCUUCGGUGGAAAAAGAGAAGUAGAGAAGCAGCUGAAUAGCUUUUAGAAACAGUGGCCAAGAAAUGGGUUGUCCGCCUGCUUCCUCCAACAAUUGGUCAACAAUUUCAGGAUUGGCUUAGCUAAAUUACGGCUGCUCAUCGGAUUUUUUCGUUAGUCCUUAUCUAUUCCUUUUUAUUCCCCAGUCAUUCUUUUCCUCUUGCUUUGUCUCUUUUUUUUUUUUCUGUUUUUCGUUCUUUACUUUCCCCCUCCUGUUGUUUACAGAUCACUCAGUCAAUAAUUUCAUGAUUUUCUUCUCUAAAUUAUGGCAAUCCAUCCAAGUUUUUUUACAUCUGUACUCUUUAUUAUUAUACCCAACCAUGAGAAUGUGGUUUGUCCUUUUGUAUUCAUUUUCAUUUCUUGCCCGGUUGAGAACUUACCCAGACUCAAAUAUAUAUAUAUAUAUAUCUCUGACAACUUAUCAAGUUUGCAUCUUUAUCUGCUCUAUUCAUAAUGGCUAAUACUAUUGCUAGAGAUAUAGGUUUGUCCUUCUGUUUUCCUGAUAUUGUUGACCAAUUGCCAAAUUAUCAAGAAUGAAGGAAAGCUUGUGCCUUUAUAUUAGAAACAGAAGUACUGGUCACAAAAAACUACACCCUUCUUCUACUUUGUUCUCUGCAACCUUUCGUGCUGAAAAUAACUACUACUUUUCUUUGUCUAAUUUAUUCCCCUGCCAGUAUUUAAGAGAUUGGAUAAUCUGUCUACUUUUUAUUUUAGUUACCAAAUUUCUUCAAGAAUCAAGAGGUUAAUUGCAGUUUGAAACAAUUGGUGCAGAAAAACUUCUGAUUUAGCUUCCACGGAUUUCUAGCAAGUAGUUGCUUCAAUUUCAGGUCACUCUCUUUAGUCCUUCAAUUUCUUGCUUUUUCUUUUCCUGUUAAGAAUAUGGUACAAGUAAUUACCAAUUAAGGGUUGUCACCAUUUAUUGAAUACAGAUAAUCAAGCUAAAACAAGUUAAAUUCUCAACCUAAAGUUUAAACUAAAGUUCCAACCUUAUGUAAAAGCAUAGAAAUCAGGUUUUGCCCCACAUUAAAGGUAUUAUGCAUAGAAAUCAGGUAGGCAAUAGAAGAAACAAAACUUAAAAUAGAUAAUCCUAAUAUUGAGUUUCUAGGAUUUGUUGUAGCUAGCUUAGAAGUGUAGAAUAUUAAUUCCUCAAAGCUAUUUGUAAAGGCAACGUUCUUGGUUCCACAGAACUAUCAAAUGUUAAAACCACAAUAUGUUGGCUGUUUUAUGCAUUCACAUAAUUUGAAUGUAGUGAGUGAUGCAUAAUCUCUUCUAUGAAUACUAUUACACCCAAUUAAAGAUUACAGAAUCUGUGACAGUUUCUCUAAAUCCGAGUAUCUAUAAAGCUGGAACAUUAAAAAAAUGAGGUUUUCUUGAUGAAAUAUGUUUGCUCACUAACUUUGAACCAUACACCCUCGUAUUUGCACUAAAAAAUGCACAAACCUAAUGAAGUCAGAUUGUUUGGUAAGAAACGAUACUAUGUUCUUUUGUAGCUUAAAUGACUGUAGUUUUUAGAUUGUAAGUUCAUUUGGUUUCACUUAUUAACUGAAUAUGGCUGAAAAUAAUUGCACCUUUGCAAUCUUUCCUACUAAAACUAAUUACUCCUUUCUUUUUGUUUUAUUUUUUCCUCUGUCAGUAUUAAUAUUAUUAGAUAGUUUGCAUAGUUUUGCGUUGACUGAUAGCAUUCUUCUACAUCCAAUUUACAUUUCCAACUCCGUUCACCAGUUCAGCAUAUUUGGGGUUGAUGGAUUCAUGCUAAGGAAUUGCUUUACUUCAAGGUCAUUUCUUCUGUUCCUUGACUGCAUAGAUUUAGUUAUCAUAUUAUGCAUGGUGCAUUGAUGGAGAACAAAACAGUACUCAGGCCUAAUAUUGCUUUCAUUUUCUUACGACUACUUUCAUUGAGAUGAAAAGAUAAAGGAAUGCAAGUAAAAGUUUUAGUUUAGUAGAUGAGUGGUUUAAUGAAUGCUACAAUACUCAGGUUUCACUAAAAGGGAGCCCACAUAUCUCUCACAAAAUAGUACAAUCUCAAGAGCUAUCAACAAAUUUCCCCCUUUCUCUCUUUAUGGGGACAACCAUUCUACUAAAAGCAAUUUGUGUUCUUUGUUCUCUGUUUUAUAGAUGGCUAGCUGCCAUGGAAGCAAUCAUUCUACUGAAAGUAAUUUUUACAUUUUCUUCUCUGUUGUACAACUGUUCCUUUUCUUUCAUGUAAAAAAUAACAUUAUAAGCAGAAGGUGAAUAUAUGUAAUCCCCAGAAACUGGUAUCUUCAUUGUAAAGGUGUAUGAAUUUUGUGCUUUUUAAAUGGAAAGGAUAUUAUGUAAUUUCAUUUAAGAAGUAAGGUUCUACCUUUGCUUCUUUAUUCUUACUCUUGUUGAUUAAACAUUUACAAAUGCAACAUAGUAUAGGAUCUUUUGAACAUUUACAGAUGCAACAUAGACUACGUAGUAUAGGAUAUUUUGAUUUUCAUUAGAGAGAUGCUACUGCUAGAAAGCAAUAAUUUACGCACUUAAUAUUUUCCACAUCUUGCCAGUAAACGUAUUUGGCAUGCUAUGUUUACAACUUGAUGACCAAUGAUGCAAGCAAUCCACAAAAGUUUUUUAAUUAUACCACAAAAUCACUGAACUUAAUAAAAUUUUCUACAAUAAUCUCUAAUAUCAGAUUUCUUUUCAGCUAAAACUUUAAUCUUCUAGCCUAAAAAUCCUUUUAAAAAAUUUUUAAACUUAAAAAAAAAAAAGAAUAGCAAAUAAUAACAGUAUUUAGGUUGGUAUUUCAAUUAAUAAAAAUAAAAAAAUAAUGUUCAUAUCUAAUAUUGUUAGGACCAACAUUUCUUCAAUUUUAAUAGGUAGGCAUGAGCUAUGGUAAACACCUUAUUACAUUAGAUACAUCUACAUAAGAAUUGUCACUACUUACAAUUUAGGUGCUCUAAAUUAUAUUUUCUACACAAUAGGUUGGGAAUUGGUUGUGCUAUUGGAUUUAGAUGAAUAAUUAUUUAAUCUGAUGAGAAUUUUGAACCUUUUCAAAUGGGUAAUUUAUUUCUAAUUUAGAAUAAGAAUUAGAUACAAUUGUGCCCAAGUUUAAAAAUAAGAGUGGCAAAGAAUUUUUCAAUAUUUGUUACACAAUAGAUUGGGCAUCGGCUAUGCAAGGCACAGCCAGAACCAUUCUAGUAUAUAUAUAUAUAUAUAUAUACAUAUUUAAAAAAAUGCUGGCAGCCCGCAGCAUCAUGAAAUAGUAAAAAAAAAAGGUGUUUGUCUGCUACAAGUCUUUUAAAAAUUUUAACUACAGUAACCUCAAAAAAAAUUUUAAAAUUUUUAAACUAUACAUUUCAAAAUAUUCAAAAAUCUACACAUUUCAAAAAUUUUUUAAAAACUUCUAUAGUAAGUUACAGUAAAAUUUUAGACAAACUCCCAAAGAACUCACAUUCCAAACAGGUUUCACCAAAACUUUAUUCUUGCCUAUAUAAACAGGCGGUGAGCAUUUUUAAUGGAGUAAAUAAAGUCAUUUAUGAGUAUUUUUGUUAACAAAAAGUGCAAAAGUGUAGUUUAUCUCCUAUAGAUUUUUUGUGAAAUUUUUUGGGCUGUACAAUAACUUGUUUAAUUCUGCCAUGAUAACUUGUUUUCUUUUACUUGGCUUGCUGCAAGUUUCUGAUCACUUGACCAAGCCAGAGCCAGAAAAAGGCAGGCAAGCUAAAUUACAAUUUUUCUUAUCAAUUUCUCUACUACUUCUACCAUGAUCAAAUAAUGUAGAAAAUAGGAAUUGGCGUUUAAGCAAAUUAGUUUCUAAUAUCUUUUCUCUUUAAAAUGUUCUGAUUCAUUUGACCAGGUUAGAGUCAGAUAAAAUACAAUACCAGGCAUUCACCAAGCUAUAGGUUCUUUUUUGUUUGAUCAUUUUUCUGUUUACUUUUACGAUCAUAUUUUCAUUUGUUGGAAGUAGAAGGGUGAACAUAACGGUGUAUCACAUGGGAUUUUUAAAAUAUUCAUGAAAAUAUCUAAAAGUCACAUAUGGAAGUGUAUAAAAUAUAAGAAUAAAGGGAUUGAAUAACAUAAAUUUAGAAAAAUUAACAUGAUUAAGGUCAUGUUUGAUAAUCCAACUCAAUAUUUAAAAUUAAUGGGUUCAAAUUUUAAUAUGUUUAUAUGUGUUUGAUAGUGAAAAAUAGAACGUUAUUAGUUAAGUAGAUUUGAAUUAUUUAGGCAAAAUUUACUUAAAAUAAUGGGUAAUAAGCUAUUCACUUAUUACCUAAUACAGAGUACCCACGAAUGUUAAAAUUUUAGUACUUAAUAAUUCGGUAAUUUAGCAUAUUCAGGUUUGAGUUUUUAUCAAACUCUCGUUUUUAUAAUUUUUUAAAAGUCUAAAAAGUUGUUAGCUAAAAAGAAAUCUUGUUUAAGAGUUGCAACAAUGAGAUCAACUUCUAAAACAUGCAAUUACAAUGAGCACAUUUAUUCAACAAAAGCUUUUUUAAAUAUCUUUUUAAUUGUAUCACAUACACAGACUAAAAUUGAAUAAUUAUAUCUCAAUAAUCAAUUUAUCACUAUUUAACACCAAAUUAGAUAAAGAUUAGAUUUAUACCUGUAAUCUAUCUAAUAAUAUUUAAACAUGAUCAUUUGGUGUUUGAUUAACUUUUACAAUUACUCUUGAAAAUUCUACAGAAACCAAACUAGAAUGGUCUAGUGGACCGGGCCAGGGUUGGUUUUGUCUUUCAGCCCAUUUUAAUGAGUAAAACCAGCCAGCAAAAUCCAGUGGGUCCUCUGUCCACAUUACAUCAACACGUGUCCCACUGGCCCACAAAGAUAUUUUUAUUAGGGAUAAUUGCAGAAACCUCCCCUGAGAUUUCUGACAUUUGCACUGACCACCCCUAUGGUUUAAAACAUUACACUGACCUCCCCUGAGGUUACUAAUCUUUUACAAAUUCAGUCCAAACGAUUAAAAUAUUGUUUUAGGGAGUGAAAUUAGAAUUUUUUACCAAAUUUGUCCUUUGUACUACAUGCCCAAUGAAUGACAAAGUAUUAUAAAUUAAUUAACAAUUAAUAAACUUUAAGGAGAAUAAUUUAUAGGUAAAUACAUAUUAUCUAUUUAAAGUACCGCCUUUUUAUGGGUAUUUUACUUUCAAACAUUUAAUUUAAUACAAAUAUUUACGCUCAAAUACAGAUUUGUAUUUACUUUCAAAUAUUUAAUUUUUGUUAAAUACAAAAACUACCAAUCUCUCUCCCGUAAAAAUAUUAAUAUAACACAUUUUUAAUUUUAGUUACAAAUAUUUAUCUAUUUAAUAUAAAUUAAAUGAUUCAAAAUAAAAUGCCAUAAAGAGCCAAACUUUACUCAUGUAAUGGAUGAAAGUCAUAAAGAAUUAAUACUUUAUGGGCCAUUUCUUUCUUUUUUAAAAAAAAUAUUUAAUUUAUAUUAAAUAAAUAACCAACCGAUUUCCUUUUUGCAAUAAUAUUACUGUAACACUUUUUGAAUUUUACUUACAAACAUUGAUAUAUUUAUCAUAAAUUAAAUGUUUGAAAGUAAAAUACCCGUAAAAAACCAGUAUUUUAACUGAAUAAUGCAUGUUUGCCCAUAAAGAGUCGAUAACUAUUUAAAGUAUCGGUUCUUUACGGGUAUUUCACUUUCAAAUAUUUAAUUUAAUACAAAUAUUUACACUCAAAUACAGAUUUGUAUUUACUUUCAAAUAUUUAAUUUUUGUUAAAUACAAAACCUACCAAUCUCUCUUUCGUAAAAAUAUUAAUAUAACACUUUUUCAAUUUUAGUUACAAAUAUUUAUAUAUUUAACAUAAAUUAAAUGAAUAAAAUGCACAUAAAGAACGAAUACUUUACUCAUGUAAUGGAUGAAAGUCAUAAAAAAUUAAUACUUUAUUGGUCAUUUCUUUUAAAAAAAAUUUAAUUUUUAUUAAAUAAAUAACCUACCGAUUUUCUUUUUGCAAGAAUAUUACUGUAACACUUUUUAAAUUUUACUUACAAAUAUUGAUAUAUUUAUCAUAAAUUAAAUGUUUGAAAGUAAAAUACCUGUAAAAAGCCGGUAUUUUAAAUGAGUAAUGCAAGUUUGCCCCAUAAAUUAUACUCCUUAAAGUUUAUUAAUUGUUAAUUGAUUUAUGGUACUCUAUCAUUCAUUGAACAUGUAGCACAAAGGGCAAAUCUGGUACAAAAUUCUAAUUACACUCUCUAAAAUAAUAUUUUAAUCGUUUGGACUAAAUUUGCAAAGGAUUAGUAACCUCAGGAGAGAUCAGUGUAAUUUUUCAAACUACAGAGGAGAUCAUUAUAAAUAUUAGAAACCUCAGGGGAGGCUUCUGCAAUUAUCCAUCAGGGAUCAAUACGAAUGUCAUAGAAUUUUGUAUUGACAUCUCUUGUGGCUUAAAAAAUUACACUAACCUCCCCUGUGAUUUAAAAAAUUACACUUACUUCAUGGAGGUUUCUGCAAUUAUCCCUAAUAAUAAAACAAUCACAUUAUCCACUUAGACGUGCGCAAUGAGCACCCUGCGGACGUUAGCAACAAGUCAACAACCCUACCUUACUAUAUAUAGUGAGUCCCUUUCUUCUCCACUGCUACACUCGCGCUGCCGCCCACUCCUGUUUUUCAAUAAUGGGAAAAAAGUAGUUUUUAUUCCAUUGCACAAAUUUAAAAAAAAAUUAAGAUUAAGAAUUUUCGUGUGUGAGUGCGUGAGAGAGAGAGAGAGAGAGAGAGAGAGUUGAGGAUGGUUGUGGAGCGGUGGGUUGAAACGGCCGUCGGCGAUGUGUUGAAGGACGGCGCUCGGAUGCUACAGAUUAAGUUGAAAAACCGGUUCAGAGUCGCCGUCGAUCACCAUCGGAGAAUGGCGGGGUUCUACUCCACCGACGGCGAUGGAUACUUCUCGUCGACAAUGCAGCGGUUGAUUCAGCGAUUCAGCGAGUUCCGUAGGGAUUCUCUGCCUUCGUCCACUAUGUUCUACCGCAAACGAGGUUAAUCUCUUAUAAUAGUACUCUUUUCCUUCCUUUUUCCUUUUUUUUUUUUUUUUAAGUAUACGCUGUUUUGACGUUAUAAAUAAUAUCUACAUCUUUUUGUGCAUUUUCUGGUUAGUUUUUAAUUUAAUGCUAUUGAGUUUUGUUAUGGAUGGUGGUGAGGUGGACUUUUUCUUACAUUAGGAGUUCCAGGAGUUGAUUAAGAUCGAGCUGCUUAUAAUUUGUAUUCAUGAUCGCUAAUGAAGUUUGGGACUUGGCUGUCGUAAAAUUGGUGAUUGUUUUUUGAAGUCUGAAUUUUAUGGAAUGUAAGUUGUUGAAGCGUGCAUUUUUGACUCAUUGAAAUAUGGAUAUUAAUUGAGGAUUUGGUUGAAUUUUUUGCAUGGCAGUAUCCCUUUUGGAGAAAUGUGUUGAUAGCUUAUAAGUGGACAAAAAUAAGUUAGAAGGAUGAGAAAUCAUACUCCAUAGAUACCCAGGAAGAAACGCGAAAGUUCAUGUUGAAGUCUAGCUAUUUACACUAAUCUGGGAUAAAGACUUGAUCAGGGAGUAAACUAGCCCAAGACUUGAAAUUUAACAGGAUGGGAAAAGGCCAAAUUGUUUCGGCUUAAUGAACCGGAAUCUUCGUGCAAAUUUAAUAUGGAUGCUCACUAACUCCUAGUGUCAUUAAAUGAUUUAUUCUUCUCAUCAUUAUCUGUAAAUGCUCUGAACAGGACAACUUAUUCAAUUAGAUCAAGAUUGUAGGUAAUGAUUAAACUUUAAGUAUUGAAAUUCAGAUCUUCAAUUUUAUUGAAGUUUUCCUGAAGUUUUCUUUUCUCUACUUUCUUUGUAAGAACCUGUAUGUGGAAAAAGUCCUAGGUUUUCCCUUAGUAUUGGAAAACAAAGCUUAAACUUUCCAGUAUGAAUUAAACCUUGAUGCAUAUUUCUUGUGCUUCCACUUUCGUCAAAUAGGAUUCGGAAUUUAUGGUUGACACUCUGGAUUUGAUUCGUGACUAGUUAUUUAUUGCAACAUAACAAUAUAAGAAUGACAUGGAGGAAGUAUCUUGAUGUAAUUUCAUGUUAUGGAAUUGAGAAAUGAUGAACUUGGAAUCUUCAGUUCUAGUGAGCAAUUAAUUUUUCAGACCUAUUGUUUCUCAAUUUUUUUUAGGGGGUGAAAGGGGUAGCAGAAAGAUCUAGUAUGGCAGAGUCGACAUUGUGAUCCUAACUUGUUUCUCUAAUUGCUUUGGAAAAUAACCAUACAGAUUCUACAAUAAUUGGGAUUGAAGUUCUGUUCAUUUAUCUGAAAGAGAUGUCAAUUCGUGUUUUUUUUUCUUUAAACAAUGUCCUUUUCAUCCCGAAGAGGAAAUGAUAUAAAAAAAACUUGGUUAACUUUAUUGAUUUGUAACUCAUAUGUGUGUGAAACGGCAAGCCAUUUUACCAAAUAGUUGUAUGAGUUGCUUGAUUUCAAAGAUAUUUGAUGAAAGCAACUUGUAAAAUGAACUACAUUUCACUUGAGUCUUGCUAAAUAGUAAAAUGAAAAACAGACAAGUAGCAUUCUCACUAUACCUGCAAAGGACAUUAUGCUUUAUAUUUCUGGGAGCUGAUGCUCAUUUCUGGGUGAAGAUGACAAUACCCUGAGAUUUAAAAGUAGUUAGAUUUAAAAGUAACUACUUUUGAAAAUUUUCCUUUUUUUUUUGAGAUUUUAUUUGCAUUUUUACAGUCAUUGGAUCAAAUAUUGGUGGAUCAUAUUAAAAGUCAGUACUGAAAUAAUUUUAUCAUUGAGCUGUAUACCUCUGGCCUUCUGCAAAGCAAAUUUAUUUUAUCAUCUCCAGACCUAGUUGAUUAAACAAACUGAGACAAAAAUAUUGGAGAUAGACUUAAUUAUUCCAGGAAAUCAACUCUGUCUUCAAAGGGAAUUGUUUCCUUCUGUCUGUCUAUUUUUUAUCUUAAGGGUUAAAUUGUAGAUAGAGUCGUUCUGCGCUGUAUGGAAUCAUCUUCUUUUAGAGCUGAUUUUCCACAUAAGAUGAUUUGCUUAUGUACAGAGAGGAGUUUUUGCUUCUCAAUUCUACUACUCUUCCCUCUAUCCUCAUCUUUUUGUACAUGUACUCCGUGUCUCCUUAAGAAACUAUUUCUAAGAAGAGGGGAUGUGGUAGAGUACGUAGGGAUGGGAAGCAGGCAUGAAUCAUAGCUGGCAGUUUAUCAACUAACUCCACUAGCUAAUGUGAUCUGAAAGUUAUUUAGAGACUUUGAGAAAGUUUUUCUAGUUGUAUUAGUUGGAUUUAUAAUAUGUGAACUUUAUAAUUGCAGUUAGUAAAGACAUUGAUCUCGAAGCAGAUUCAGUCCUGACCCGAGUGCUUCAGGCUGUGGCUGUUCCUGUUUUUGGAAAUGUUUGUCAUGUUUUCAUGCAUGGCCUGAAUCGAGUGCAGGUAUGAAAAUUUUUUCUGGUGAUACAAUUUAAUAUUCUCUCUCUCUGUGUUUUUGGCAUGUUACAAACAAUUAAAUGACUUGCAUCACAGAUAUAUGGUGCAGAAAAACUUCACCAGGCUGUAUUAGGUAGACCAGAAAAUAAGCCCUUAGUUACAGUAAGUACACCAAUUCAUAGUUGUAUUUUAGUAAUAUCAAUUGGUUUACAUUUUCCCUUGCCCAUAAAAAUAAUCAUCUGAUUGCGCUAAGCUGUUUAAAUCAUUUGUAGGUUAGCAACCAUGUUGCUGCCGUAGAUGACCCCUUUGUUCUUGCUGCCUUACUUCCUCGAAAUGUUCUGUUAGAUGCUCAUAACUUGAGGUGGACACUUUGUGCAACUGAUCGAUGCUUUCGUAACCCUUUGACAUCUGCAUUCUUUAAAUAUGUGAAAGUGCUUCCAGUUUCUCGUGGUGAUGGUAUUUAUCAGAAGGUACUUCAUUGUUUGAACUUACAACUUUUUUAAAGAUAUUAUGUAUACAUGGUAUCAUAUUUUCAUCUCCACUUUUCAGACUUCAUUUCUUUAAGGUGUAAAACUAUGUGCUUAGUGAGCUUGUGCUAAGGAAGCAGAUAUUUUGUUUAAUUAUCCAAACUCUGUGUAGCUGUCAAGUUUUCAGAUGCUUUAAUUUGGGCUCAAUUGAGGGUGCUCUCGUUUUUAAACUGUGGCUGAUAUUAAAGCUGGUGCAGCUUCUCCUAAGGACCUUUAAUUCUUUGUAAUUUUCAUUUGCCUGUUCUGGUCUCAAGAUGCUAAUUUUGUCAACUAAUCUGUAAUAAAAAUAGGUUAAUUUAAAAUUAUUUCGGCAUUCUUUUAAUGCCUCGCUUUCAAUUCGAACUUGUGAAAAUAGUUUUCUCUUCCCCCUGUAUUCGACCAUUUGUCACUUCAUAGGUCAAGCAAUUGAACAUGGUGAACAUUUGUCAGUUGUGUAGCUUGUAGCGUACAUGCAACUGUUUUUACUUCACGGCUUAAUAGCUUGAAUGUCAUCUAUCUCUGCAAAUUUCUCUACAAUCUGAUCAUUUCAAAGUUGGCUUAAUUUCUUCUUCAUAACUUGAUUCAGGGAAUGGAUGUUGCUAUAUCCAAAUUGAAUCGUGGUGAGUGGGUUCACAUAUUCCCCGAAGGCAGCCGUUCUCGAGAUGGAGGGAAAACCAUAGGUCCUAUUAAGAGAGGUGUCGGCAGGUGAGAAAUGUCUUAAGCAAUCUUGUUCGUGAAUGAAAUUCAUCCCCUUUUAAAAGGUUAAAGAAUUGUGGUUUAUUCCUAUAUGCUUUUUGGUACAUGGUUUGCUGAUUCAAGCCUAGUGACUUUCCCCCCGCCCCCAAACCCCCCCCCCCCCCAACACAAAAAAAACCAUUGUUUUCCUGUUGGAGGGUGGCCUCGGGGGGACUGGGCUAAGUUACUGAGGGAAAUUGGCAAAACAAUUGUCCUUUUAUUUAGAUGUUGCUUCUUGAUUAUGGGAUGAGAUUGACUGAGCAAGGUGGACAAGAUUGUAUUGCAACAUGAUGUCUGUCUUUUCUUUAAUGUCUCAAUUAUUGUGACAUUGUGAGGAUUUGAAAUUGUGCAAAUUAUCUAAAUGACUUUUGAUAUGAUAGUGAUAACUUCUUACAGUACCAUAUUUGUCCCCGUUUCUGCAAACGAGAUGAGCUGUGAAACUAUUCACAUAAGCUUUUAUAGCUUGAAUAAGCUGUCAAAAAAAGUCUCUAUGCUGCAAUUGGUUCUACUUGCUUUUGCAGUAAGAACUAAAAGCUGUUACCAGGCUAGAAAAUGCAUCAGGUGAUAUGUCUUGUAUAUAUUUUUCAAUCUGGCCUGUAAGUAGAUAUGUGUUAUGAUCUGUUUAGAACUAAGUACUGCAGCUCAGAGUGAACCAAGAGCUCAAUAACUUGAGAGGAACGCAAUCUAGUUUAGACACCAUGACAAAGUAUUUUGAGUAGGUUCUUUUUUAUACGCAUCUGUUACGGUUAUUAUGCUUGAUGGAGGGGAUGGGUGUCUAGUUAUCUGAUAUGGUAGUUUAUAGUUGACAUUGCAUUUGUUUUGCUUAAUGUUGCACCCUGGAUUUUUCAUGCUUUGUGCCAAAUUUAUCCUAUUGACUGGAUCAUGUCUGCACUUUGACAAUAACUGUAACAGGUUGAUCUUAGAUGCUGACAAUGUACCAAUAGUUCUCCCAUUUGUGCACACUGGCAUGCAAGAUAUAAUGCCAAUAGGAGCCAAGCUUCCCAGGAUUGGUAAGACGGUAAGUACUUUUUUGUUUCACCAAGUGGUGCUAUUUAUUUUGGAAAGUUGUGAUAGUUUCAAAGCAUCAUCUUGAGCUUUCUGUUUUCGGAUGGUCAAUUUUGGAACACUCAUCCGAUAAGCUAUCUUUCUGUGAUCUGGCCUGAUCGAUCGAUCAUAAACUACAGGUUACUGUACUUAUCGGUGACCCCAUUCAAUUUGAUGAUAUACUCAAUUUGGAAGAAAACCAGAAUAUGUCCAGAGGGAAGCUGUAUGAUGCCGUGAUUGCUAGAAUACGCGAUCGACUGCAGAGGUUAAAAGCUCAAGUUGAAAGAUUAGUAGUGAUUGAACAAUCACUUCAACUUCAGAAUUACCCUACAAAGGUCACCGAACAAUCAGCUGGAAUUUUGCGCCAGGUUGAUUGGGGUUCGCCUGGCAAGGAAACUUAUACACGACUUGAAGACUAUCUAUCCCCGAGGAAAAAUUUAACAACUGAAAAAGUAGAAGUAGACCAAACCCAGUUACAAGAAAGAAGUUUACAGAGUCGGAAUUCUAGAAUGUGUUUGCUCUGGGAAGGUGGAAUUGGCUCUAGGAAUCAGUGUUACAUGGAAUCCACCGAGUUAAUGGGUUUUGCAGCUAGAGGUUUAUUAAUGAAUAAUACUCCUCGGGUUAAUGACUGCUUUGUUGAUAUUCAAGGAGUUAAUCCAUUGAAGGCUUUGAAUGACUUCAGGAAAUCAAUGUAUGAAAGCUACUAUAGUCCAGUUUUUGCUGACAACUGUGUAAUUUAAGGUUAAAAUAGAUUUUUUUUUUUUUUUUUAAAACCAAUUUUCUGUUUUCUUAUCUUGUCCUACCCAAUUGGAGUCAUUAGCACCUGGAGUAGAUUGAUUUCGGGGAAACAACCAAUAAACCUUUAUUAAAGAUAUGGUCUGUCUAACUGGUACUGUUUUGGCAUUCGUUAAAAUACAUUUUAUGUGUUAAAUUUUUAAAAAUAUAAGAUUAAUUUUAAAAAAAGUAUACAAAUAUAAAAAGAAUAAUUAGAAAAAGUGUAUAAUGUAAAAGAAAGUAAUAAUUGUUAAUAUAUAUAUAUAUAUAUAUAUAUAUAUAUAUAUAUAUAUAAUUUAGGUAUGAUAAGGAGCGCUUAGGCACUAUUAGAAAGAUCCUUCAAGCUGUAUCUGAAAUUUGAACCUUUACCCUGUGAGUAGGAGCACAUGACAUGACUAAAAGGCACAAAGCAGGGGUCUCAUUUGCAUCUUCUGUAUGAUCAUCGGGAAUCAAACUAUUUGGAUAUGAAGUUAUAUGCCAAAAUUUUUUUGAUUGUAUCAUGAUGCACUUCUUAAUUGUUGUUUUAUAUUUUAAUCACUUUUUAAAAAUCUCACAUACAUUAUUUAUUGUUCCGAAAAUCAUUUUCAAAUAACUCUUGUGCAAACAUGCAGUAUUUGUCAUUUCUAAAUUCUAGUUCUCAUAGUGGACGAUUUCAAAUGGUCUCCACACCAACCAUUUGAGUCCAAAGAAGUGUGAUUAGUUAAAGCAGAAAUGGUGCUUGAGAAUUAGCCAAAAUAACCGAAAUAAUAAUAAUAAUAAUUCAAUUUCUGCCGGCCCCAACGGCGUAUCGGAGCAUUGUAUUCCGGUUUUGUCUGUUAAUUUUUGCUACGCGAAAUAUCUAAACUUGACAGUUAUUAAUCGAGUUGAUUUGGAAUAAAAAUAAAUCAAAAAACGCAAUGAUAUUAAUCUGAAAAUUAUCUUAUCAAUAUAUUUCCUCUUUGUAAGAUUUGAAAUUUCCAAUGUAUUAUCAUCAGGGUGAUUAACAAGAUUAUAUUUAAUUGUUAAUAUUUGCUAGAAUUCAAUUUUUUUUUUUAAAACGAAUGAGUUUCGAUACAUGAUAUGUAACUUAUAUUUAAACCGGAAAUAAAGUGCAGGGUAAAAAGAAUGAAUUCAGAAAAAAAAAAUUAAUUCACAAAAUUAAAAUUACUGUGAUACUUACCUAUUUACAGCAAAAGUGGAGAUAAAAAAAAAAAAAUCACAUUUCCAUUUAAAAUGAGAAACAAAACGGAAACCGUAACCCCACGGCACGGUACAGAUCAUCACAAAAUAUUAGAAUCUGGUAAUAAAUUCGGGAUCUGCACACACAGUGGAAGGUGUGACUGUGUGUGAAAAUUUACUACCCGGAAAAAAAAAAAAGAAACAAAAAUGUCAGACGACGAUGAAGAAACGAGUACGCAGCCGGAAGAGCUGAGUCACAAGCAAAAACUAGAAAUUGCAAAAUGGUUCCUCAUCAAUUCUCCCCCUGGCGAAAUCCAAUACGUAGCCAAAGGUAUGUUUAUUUAUUUUGGGUACAAUAAUCUAAUCGCCUAACAACUUUGUGAUUUUUUUUUUUGGGGGAAUUUUUGUUGACAAUUAUCAUGUUUGGGGGGGGGCCGCCGGCUGCAGAUGUUAAAGCGGUUUUGAAAGAUGAAAAUGUAUAUGAAGCAGCGGCAGCGGAGGCAUUUCCUCUGUACAACAAAUCUCACAUGAUUUGCCUACAACUUCCUGACCGAAGUGGCGAUGUAAUUUUCGCUUCCUUCCUUUUCCAAUGCCGUUUUCUAUUUUGUUUUGAAUUUUUUUUCCGGCCAGUAUUGUGUUGGAUUUCUAGGCUGAAUCAUUUUUUGGACUGCUGAAAUAAAUGCUUCUAUAAUUUAUGCACAGUUAUUGGCAUGCGAGUUUAAUAAUUCUCUUUCUAUUGAAGCCCUGCAAGUUUAUAAGAAUUUUACCUUUAAAUGCAUACUUCUUAAUUUGCCAUUGCAUUUGUAAGUUUUCUUAAUUUAACUUGAACCUCUCCAAGAAACUGACAAUCCGCAUUUAAUUAAUUCUUACCGGGCAGCUGGUGGAUAAACCCCACUUAUAAACAUAAGGUUAUAGCCUUCUUUAGGAAGAGAUAGUCAGUGCAUCCUGUGUACCCUGUCUUGAUGGAGCAGCAACCCGAUUAUGAGUAAAGAGAUAGGUUUUAUAUAUCCGCUGCCUGAUAAUUUUUAGCCGAGUUUUAGGAGCUUUAUCGGUCAGUAUACUUGGAGGAGGAGGAGCUUAAUUGGUUAGCUAAACACUGGACUUCCAGUUCUCACGUUGAUCAGUUCAAAAGGCUGGUUUUUGCUGCUAUGGCACGUGAAUUGUGCAGAGCUAGGGAUGGAGGUGUUUUUUAGUGUAGGCAUGUUUCUGCUGGUAGUGUAUUUCUGCUAUCGUGGAGAGCGUGGUUUAUGUUGUGCUUGCCUGGGGGAACUUUCCUACAACUAGAGAGACAUUUGCAUGGGCAGUUGAUCUUGUUAGAAGUUUUUGUUUAUUUAGGUUCCUUAAUUUUUGAAAUGUAUGGUGUUAGGUUCAUGUGAUUAGUACUCCUGUAUAUAAAAAUCAAAUUUUUUUUCCUUUAGGAAGGAUUUAUUGUUGCUAAAAUUUGGAAUUGCUUGUAGUGUUGUACAUGAAGUAUUGAGUGUUUUAAUUUUCCUUUGAUGUUAUAUGUACAGGUGAUGGUGACAUCGUUUAGUGAGAUUACUGAAGAUGAAUAUCUUGAUCCUAGGACUGCGCAAGUGGCUGUGGUUAACCAUGUUAAGCAAGUAAUUUGCUCUUUAUCAUCCAGUUCAUUAUGGAUUUGAAUUAUUCUCUGCUCUUCCUUUGGAUUAAUUUAUGGUUUGUUUUCUUUUCGUGAUGAAAUGCAUAAUGAUCAAGAAGCACCACUAGAGGAUGAAAGAGUUGGUCUAGUAGCAAACACUUGUGCUUUUUACCAGUCAAAUUUGCUAUUUCCAUACACGUAGUAUAAAGUUUUUUUUUUUCCAUUUAUCAGCCCAACUGGUAUUGACUUUUUGAAAAAAAAAAAAUUUUGGCUAUAUGUGCCCGUGAUUUUGCCCCAUCAAGCUGAAAAAGCAAGCAAUAAAGUUAAGAUGCUGACGAGGUGGAAGCAAGGGUACCUGUUUGGUUUGUCUUGAACUAAUGGGAAGGUCCAAUAGAAUAUGCUUUCUGAGGCUUUUUAUAUUGUUUAGAGAUGCAAUGUAGCCUUGAUGUCAAUAAGGGAAUUCUAUUACAGCUAUUCACUCGUCCCCCCUCAGCUACAAGACUGAGUAAAUUGCUCUUCAUUUCCUCAUUCCAGGGAUCAUUAAGUGGGAUUGCAUUAGGCUUUGUAGGUUUUGCUAAGUGAACUCUGUCGAUUGAAAAACUUAGUGUGUUAGAGCCCUAAUUUUGCUAAUUUGGUAAGGUGUCUGUUUAUUUUGUACUGCCUUGAGUCUUGGAGUCUGUAAAUGAGAUACCUGAAUAUGUCUUGACAAUGAACUUAGGCUUUUCUACUGCUGUUUCCUUUCAGCAGGUGUACCUUAGUUUUUCACUUUUUUGAGAAAUGAGCUUAUUGGCUUGUGGAUUCUUAUAUAUGACAAAGUGCACUGCUUAUUCAGUCUUGCACAGAAGUUAGACCGGCAAGUGAUGAAGAACUUCCAUCUGCAUAUGUAGAGGAAUAUCGGUAUGUUUUUGGAUCUCUUUUUGGUAAAAAAACUUCAUGCUAAUUUUUUUCUAAGAGCAUGUUACAUUGGUUUAGGUGCUUGUAAGUGCUUCUAUAUAGGACAGUUUACCACCUCAAAUGUUCUUGAAGUUUAUUUAGGAGGGUUGAACUUAUUAUUUGGCUAUCAUCUGCAGGAUUGAAGUAGUUGGUUCGUUUUUUAAAAUACCCUAGAGGCUUGGAAAAACUUUUGCGUUACAUAUGUUUAAUAGAAACACAAAUGAGGGUUCUCUGUAAUGAUUAAGCAGGCAUAUAAGUACGAGGACUAAUUGCUUAAAGUUUGUUUGUGUUUACCUAAGUGAGUAAUAGCAUAUGGAGGAUGUGAGGGACAUAUAGCAUUCUCAAACAUUGAUUUAUUUGGAGGUUAACAUUUCAUUAUAUGUUGAGCAACAGUGAAAGCUGCAUUAUAGUUACCUAGUAGCAUAAAUGUUCUUCUAUUGGUCUAUUCUCCGAAGACCCUAACUCUUGAGCAUCUGUGUUAAUUGUGGUGCAUUUUGUCAGUGUACACACUGUUUUGGUUAUAUGACUGCAAUGAGCCAAUUAUUUUCAGCUCAGUCACAGAAUUUUGAUAUUACUUCAUGAAGUGCUGUUCUUUUUCUAAGUUACUGCUUUCCACGAUUUCUAACAUGUUCCUUUUGAUGGUGUUACUUUUCAGGUGCGCGGUGGAUGCAGAAAUUAGCAAGUAUGUUGGCGAAGCUUAUCCGAAAGGUGUAUGCUCAGUCUACUCUUCCAAAGGAAAGCAUGUGGAAGAACCUGGAUCUAAUUUUGAGCUUGUUGUGGUGAUUUUAGCUUCUAGACAUAGUCCUCAAAAUUUCUGGUAUGCCAAGGCUGAUUUCUCGGAAUUAAGUAAGGAACUUUGAAAUGGUUAAGGAAACUACCAAUUAGAAGCUAAUGCUUGUCUUUUGCUAGACAAAAACCAAAAAUAGCUGUGUCAUUCCAAAUUUGAACUUGAGACUCCAUCAAGGCAUUUUAGUUUACUUUCCUAUGUAUUUUAUGUGUUGCAUAGUCUCGUCAUUGUGGGGUAUCCCAAACCUUUAAUUUGCUAUUUCUUAUGAAAUCUUGCAAGUGAGGCUACACUUUUGUGGUAUUACUUCAAGAAAAAAUUUAAUUACGCUUUCCUAUGCCAUGGAAUGAUGGAAGUUUGGAAAGAAAUUAAUUACUGGUGAAUUGCAAUCUUUUCUGCAUGUUUUAUCAUGAGUUGCUCCAAAGUUUCAAAGAAAAGUAUCACUACUUUUAUUUGCAUUUGAGCUUGGCAAAAGGAAGGUUCUGCAAAAUUGUUUCAAUGUCCUAUAUAGGCUUGAACAUCUGCUAUCAUAUGUGCAUAAUUAUUGUGGUAAAAGAUAUCUAUAAUUUCUGAAAUUAUUGUGGUAAAAGAUAUCAAAAUUGUUUCAAUGGAGUUGAUUCUCUCUCUCUCUCGUCCCUCACCUCCCCCUCCAACAAAAAAAAAAACCUUAAACUGUCUGUGCAUGGAAUUCCAAGAUAAAACAGUGGGAGGGGAAUGCAUAAAUACAGAAAGUCUUGAUCAUCUUCAAGCCUCACUUUUCUGUUAAGAACUUGAUGUCUGUGCCGGGUUUUCCAUAUAAUAUGCACCUUGAGUGCUACAAGCAUCCUAUAUGGUCGAAUGCAUUUGGGAAGGAAUUUAUAACUUGAUAUUGGUGUAUGAUUUCAGUCUGAAAGUGGAGAGUUUUGUUACCCUACUUUCAGUCUAAAAAUGGACAAUUGUACAAUAAAUUGUGUGAAAGACAAGGCCAUGGUUGCCAACACUCUUUAUUGAUGACAACAUUGUGAAAAUUUAAGAACUUAUAAAAUGAAAUCUUGAUGCUGAGACCUAGGAGUUGUUGCAUUCACCAGAUAUGGUUAGCUAUAAUUAAGAGGAGUAAGAUACAGCAUUCUUCUAUUUAUGUUUUGCUGCUUAAAUAGUUGUCUCGUUGUGUAAUGGUGCAGCAAUGGAAGUUGGCGGUCAAUAUGGAAUGUUGUGUUUGAGGAUGAGCUACAAAUUGUGGAACUGAGAGGCAGAAUGGAGGUGUGAUUUGUUAUUUUGUAUUAUGAGUGUCCAGUAAGAUUUCUUUUGUUGAAGUUUUCUCCUUGUUUUACCUUGUACUGUUUACUAUCCAAGAUUAAGUAUACUCAUGCUGAGAAAGACGUGUGUAAUGUGGUAACAUUUUAUGUUUUCCUGUUAAGGUAGGGGCCCACUAUUUUGAAGAGGGAAAUGUCCAAUUAGAUGCAAAACAUGAAUGCAAGGAUUCAACUGCAUUUCAGGUCAAGAGUAUGCUAAUGUUUGUCCUGAAAUUUCUUUAUUAUAUCUAGUAUAAUUGUUGCAUGUUUUAAAUCUUCUUCUCUGUACAUUUUGUUCUGGAAUGGAAUUAUGUUUCUUUCUUUAGUUCACAAAUCAUGAACACUUCUAUAGCUUAUUCGGUGUUGCAGAAUGGUACCUGAGAUAUAGAUUCAUAAGCAAAGUUUGGAUGUCUAACAUGAUCACGUGUCUUGGAUAGCUUUCUGUGACACUUAAAAGAAUAUGGGAUAAUAACUUCAGCAACCUUCUAAACUUUCUGGUAAAGUAAAAUUCAUUCGAGUGGUUUAGACUCGACAUUUUUGGUGAAUCGAAAUCUUUUUAGGGGUUCAGAAUUCUGGACUCUCUCUCAAAUGAAUUAUGCGCUAAUAUGGGUUGUAAAAGAUCUGAUUCCAACAGUUAUCUUCAAUCAUUAUACUGGAUAUAGCUGCCUAUUUCUUUUACGUAUGACAAAUGCUUUUUUUUUUUUUUUUAACGAGUUGCAAUAACACUUCUGGAAGAAGAACUUUGGAGUCUGAUAGGGCACUAUAACAAGAUAUUAUAUACGUGUUGUGGAGGAUUCUGAAGGUUAAGAGCAACUGUUGGUGUGAUACUUUUAUGUGUUUAUUUAUCUAUUUAAUCAUGUAUUUAGUUUAUGUAGGGGAGCGUUGAGACUUUGGGUUUGGCUUAUGGGGCUUUGAAAGUUCUGAAUGAUUGAAAAAACAGAUUAUUUGAAUCUCUAUCUGACAUGUAUGUUACAUAUCUUCAGUCGCCUGAUGAUUGUGCUGCUUCUGUGAUGAAUAUAAUUCGCCAUCAUGAGACGGAGUACCUAAAUUCUCUUCAGGUUUGGUACUCCUCCAAAUCUUAAUUUCUGAUUUUUUUUCGUAGUGUUUGCACUUGGUAGUUUAUGACUGACAUUUGUUUAUUGACAGAAAUCUUAUUUGAAUCUGCCUGAUACAACUUUCAAGGUAAAUCUAGGCUCUCAUUUGGUCUGGGAUCAUCUUCAUGAAAUGAAGUUUCUGGUGGAUCUGGUUUCUCUUUAUGCCUAUUAUGUGAAUUUUAUUCUAUGCUCAGUAGUGUAGUGACAUUUUGAUAACUUGCUCUGCUGGUAUUUGUUGUAAGCCUUAAGAGGACCUGUGUCUGUCAAUUGUUCUGCCUGUCAGUUCUUGCACCACUAUGUUUCUAACCAUUUAUAUGUGAUGCUUUUGAGAUGGAGUGUUGGUCUAAUUCUACCAGCAAGUGUAGGGGUUAUAUAUGCUAGUAAUAUGUUUCACCCUCAAUUCGCAUGCUGAUUUAUAGAUGUUCACAAGGUUUCUUCUGCUUUCCUUUGCCUGCUGCUGCAGGACCUUCGAAGAAAGCUUCCAGUUACUCGGACACUAUUCCCGUGGCACAACACUAUGCAGUUCAGCUUGACCAGAGAUAUAUCAAAAGAACUUGGCAUUGGAAAAUAGGAUACGGUAUAAUCAGCAUCUAUUUUUGAGAUUUCAUCCAGCAGUGUUUUUGCUCUGCGUAUGUAGAUCCAAAAAUUUUCGUCCGAGACUGCAUACAACAUUCUUUGUUCCGUUUUUACAACCUUCUAAAAAUUUGAGAUUAUUGUGAGGAUUUAAGGAAAGGGUGCGGGGGCAGAAAUGCUGAAGAGCUAAAUACAGUUAUAGUUCCUUGAGCUGCAAUGCAAAUGCUGGAACCAGUCUGUUCUUCUUCCUGCAAAAUCAUCUUUGUCACAUGGUGCUCGUAAAUUUUUCUGCUUGUGUCUGAUCGUACCUAAUUCCAAAUGAUGAUGGGCAUCUUGUUGCCUCGAGUUUGUUUAUGUUUUUUCUUCUGUGAUGUGAUGGAAGUGAAAAUGGAACCAUCUCUCAUUUCUAGUUCUUUUUUUUCUCACGGAUGUGGUGAGAAAAGAGAGGGCUAAGAAAGAAAGUGAAAUCUUUCUGGCAUUUGGGAAUUUAGCCAGGAAAGAAAUUGAAAGAAAAGGAGGGAGGGAUUCCACACUCCCUCCUUUCACACUACAAAAAUCGUCAGGCCAAAAUUGGGGUGGAAAGCGUGAGUUAAGUAAAUGUUUUAAUAUAUCAAUUUUACCCUUUCAAAGAUUAUAAUAUAGUAAAUGUUUUUCUAUGUUACGUGAAUUUCAAGCUUCAAGGGCGCUUAUGUAAAAUUAAAUCUUUUCCUUUCAGUGCCAAUUACUCCCAAAUGGAGGAAAUACUUUUCAUUAUCUUUCUCUCCAAAAACUCCCAAACAACAUGAAGAGAUAAAACAACGUCUUCUUGUAUUUUAUUUUCUUUUCUAACUUAGACUUUCUCUUCUCUUCUUUUCUUUCCCGAACUCCCAUACUAGCUCUAACGUGCUUAUCCCUUUUUUUUUCCUUUUUACUAAUUAAUUUAUUAUAUUUUCCCAUUAUUAUAGUCAUAAAUAAAAUUCAUCAUUGAAUGAAAAAAGAAGUUUUAUUGAACGUUAAAUUAAACAUUGUUAAAUAUUUAAAUUUAAACUAUCAAUUUUAAUGAGAGAUACAAGUCAAGAAAAUUGGGAUCAUAGAAUUUUUUAUCUUUUAAUGGAAUCAUCUCCUUUCUCUACUGUUCUCUUAAGAGGAGCGUGAAAAAAAAAAAAAAAAAAAAAAAAAAAAAAAAAGGAAAGUGCGACAUGGUAUUUUGUGAGAAAAAUCACACCUGUAAUUGAGAAAUUCGUCGGAAAGCCGAAAAAGAUGCAUUGCUAUUUGCUACAAGAUUCCAUUGCCGGGAUUCGGGCGGGGAUUGGCUAAAAAGUGAAGAUUCAAAGAAUGUUAAAAACAUUCCGUUACCGGGAAUCGAACCCGGGUCUCCUGGGUGAAAGCCAGACAUCCUAACCGCUGGACGAUAACGGAUUUUUUUGUUGAGUGCUGCGAGCAAUAAGCAUUUUAUCUAUAAUCACUCGUUAUUAUCCAUGGGUUCACUGGCAUUUUUAUUGGCAAAAUACCAAAUCCAGGUUGGGAUGUCUCAAUUCUCAAAUGUGAAUUGGGAAACAGAAUAGAUAAGAUAAUAGGAAACAAACCGCCUCUAAUUAUAUGUUUCACCAAGAAAAAAAAGCUUGAUUUACUUGUAUUACCAAUUCUAAUAUACAUAGUUAAUUGUUCUUGAAAGUAAAAUAAAAUUAUAGGUAAAAAUUUGCCUUUUCUCUUAUUAAUGUCUUUCAUUAUUUUGUAAAAUUAUUUUAGAAAGUGGAUAAACUCACAUUGUACCCAAUCCCUAUGUAAACCUUAAAAUAAUUGCUCCAAAAAAAAAAAACUUAAAACAAUUAUGUAGACAAAAUCAAGCUUGAAGAAUAUGGUUAAAUCCCCAUUGUUAAAGAAAAAAAAAAAUCUCCGUCAAUACUAAUUUUCUUAUUCCUUUUGUAAAAUACACUAUUAAAUUUUGAGUAGAAGAACAUUUUUGUAGAUCAAAUCAACUUUUAAUUUAACCAUUUUCAUAAUAAACCCUUAUGCUGAACACGGGCGAGUCCACUUAAGAAUUUUAUUGGGAGUUUAACAGCAAGACAGAAACAUUGGAGGCAAAGUUGCGAAAAAGGAAAACUACGGGGGUUAGAUUUGCAAAUAAAAUAUUCUACAUUUCUACUGCCGCCUACCAAAUCACAAAACCCUUCUCCAGCCUCGUUUAAAAAGUUUUAAAGUCCACUCCGGCAACCAACGAGCUCUGUCCGAUCCCUUCGUCUCGUGGGGAUCAAUUCAAGUAAUUCUUCUCUCCUUUUCUUCUAUCUCUUUCGUCUUUGAUUUCUUUUAUUUGUUCAAGAUUCCAACAUGAUUUCCCAAAACUUCUUUUGUUUUUCGUAUGCUUACUAUACCAGAGGCUUUGACUCAAUGUGCUAGCGUAGUUUAAAUUUAUGAGCUACCCAGAAACUGUGUAUUCAUGUUUGUUCAAGUAGUGGAACUUAAUUCGGCUUUGAUUUUGUUGAUUCUUAAUUGGGUUUCUUUUUUUUUUCCCCCCUUUGCAGGUAAAUUGUGGUUGUUGUAGGGUUUUUGGCAUCGGAAGCAAUGGUAAGUUCGGGCAUUAGCUUUUAAAAUUAGCGUCAAACGACUGCCCCUGGUGUUUCAUUGUUCUUUUAGCUGAUUUGGGUUUUUCUUGUUGUGACUGUUUUUCGUUGUUUCAGCUGCCACUUUCUCUGCUUAAGACUGCUCAAGGGCAUCCCAUGGUAACAAUUUCAUACACGUUAUUCUUCUUUCUUUUUUUAUAUUUCAUAAUUGUUAUGCAAGUUUAUUUGUAGUGUUGUUGUUUUACGGGGUAUUUUGAUAUAAUAAGUUUGUGUGGAGAGUUCAACUAUGGGUGUGUUUGUGGUGUGCUUUUCAGAUGUUUUCUUGGUAGAUUGGUGUUUUCAGAAGAAGUGCUGCAGUCAUUCUUAGAUUUGUUGUUUUUGUCGAGUGCUUUUUUUAUUUUUCUUGAUAGGUGAGUAUCCUAGGGAUUAGGGUUGUGAGUUGCUUAGUGUGCUUAGACUCGUUUUUAUGCAUUAUCAAUGUGAGAGUUCAUUUUGAAAAGUUCAAACAUCUCAGAGAUCCAAGCAUAGGCUUGUUUUCUGUGUGCUUUUUUUAGAGUUUGUUGAUGAAUGUUUUUGGAAUUAAGGUUGUAAUUUCUUUAUUAUAGUAAUAAUGAUUGUUUUUAUACAUAAACAGUAUGAGCUACACUCAUGCAGUAAGUACAACAGGAGAAGUAAGUCAAAAGCAGUUGUCUCAGAGUGGGAAAGCAUAAUUAAGAGCUCAAUGACACCUAGAAGGUUCUAGUUUGUUUCUGUGUUCUCUGACACAAUUUUAGAGGAGCAGCCAGGAAAAUUGCUGUAAUUUUUUUUGGCUUGAAUAUAUAUUUAGACGAUCUGAAGAGCUGAUCAAUGGCACCUUGUUAUUGUUUGCGCUGUUUAUCUCAAGAUGAAUGUUGAGAUGGUACAUGCUCUUGUUUAGUGGAUUUGCUUGCUCAUGUAAAAUUUGUUUUCUUAUUACAGUUGGUGGAGCUAAAAAAUGGGGAAACGUAUAAUGGACACCUUGUCAAUUGUGACACUUGGAUGAAUAUCCAUCUUCGUGAAGUCAUCUGCACAUCAAAGGUGAAUUUUUGCUACCAUGACUUGUUUAUCAUCUCUCUGAUUGUUAUGCAUUGGUGUUUCAUGUAUUACGGGUGUAGCUUAAUGAAAAGUAAAUGCAGGAUGGAGACAGAUUUUGGAGAAUGCCAGAAUGUUAUAUUCGUGGUAAUACAAUCAAGUAUCUACGAGUUCCAGAUGAGGUAUGUUCACUUCAUAGUCAUAAAUAUGCAGAUUUGUUGUUUGCUUCAGUUCUCUUCCUUCUCUGCUUUGACAUCUAUAUGCUUCUGCUUCUUUCUGGUUUGUGCUUGGUAUCUGCUAACACUAAUAAAAGCCAGGAUUUUCUUUUAAGCGUACGUGCUAUCUGUAUUUUGCCACGCUUAGUUAAAACUUGAUACCUAAAUGUCAUCCAUCAUAGAUGAGGCCCUGUCAUCACUUCUUUUCUUUAUGUUAAUGGUCCAAUUGGGAAGACAUCCACCUAGUGCUAGCUUGGUUUUGGCUGCAAUGGUUGAUCAUUGAGCACAUUGACUUUGGCAGACGUAAAAUGCUCCUCCAAAUGGAAUGUUUUACAUUCGUUGAAUGGCUUUUGAUUUUGCACACUGAUUUUGGAGGACCAAUUGCUAACUUGUUUAAUUGGAAUGUUUUACCUACUCAGAUACAACUGUUUUGUAUAUAGGUUUGUCCAUUAAAUUAGCUUUAGAGUGAAGCUUUCUGCUGUUUGGUAAGCCCUUAAAAUAUUGUCAUGAGAGUAUUCUGGGAACUAGAAUUUUUCUUCUUCCUGCAACGAAAAUCAAAAAGUAUAGUUGUACUUUUAGGCGUCAGAUGUACACACACACUCUCUCUCUCUCUCCCCCUCUCUGGAGUGAUGCAGCUUAGCCAAAUCAGACAUUGAUGUGCUCCUUAAAGUGUUUCUUUUAAAGUCUUUAACAAUGGUAAUAUCUGGAGGCAUUUUAUUGUUAUGCUUCCAUGCAGUUGUUUAAACUUUAAUUGGGGCACAAAAAGUGGAAGUGCAUCUAUGUGAUGACAAAAGUACAGAGAUGGGUUCCUUGCUGACCAGAGCUUCUUUAUGAUCUUUUUCCUCGUCUCUCUCCAAUCAACCCUGCCUUUAUUUAUUGAACUAUUUGUUAUAAGAUCCUAGGUAGUUGUUUAGCUCAACCAUGAGUGAAGAUCACAUCCUUAAAAACAUGAUUUAUACAACCCCUUGAAGGAACUUUAUCCCACUGUCAAUUUCAUCUACAGUUGAUAGGGGCAGUAAAGGGUUGAAGAAUGUGGCUAAUCUGUUUUUCCUUUUUGUAGAUUUUUAUAUGAACCUUGGUAUGCUUUGAAUCCUUUGAUGACUCUUCAAAGAUUGGUGAUAUGUCGACUGUGCUUUCUUUUAAAACUGGAUCUUGUUUGGAACUAGGGAAUUAUAAAAACUAGGAAGUCAAGGUAAUGCAUCAUUGGGCUAGUCCCUUUGUAUCCUGCAGUUGGCUCAGAUUUGGUUUGGAUCAUUAGAAUGAUUCUUAUUUCUUGCAUAUCCAGCUACUCUAGUCCAAGAUAGCGUUAUUCUUCCUCUAUGCUGUAUGGAAUUGUUGUCACUUGACAUGUUUGGUAAAGACUUUUAUGUCAGAGACCUCUGAUUCCAUAGGACAGAGCAUUUUAAAUGGUUAUUUGCUAUCUUUGUAAUUGGACUGAAAACCUUUGUUUGGUAGUAUGCCUGCAAAACAACUGACUGAUUAUCAAUUUGCAUAACCUGUUGGGUGGGACUUUAUGGCUAUACAUUACAUUGUUGGGUUCCAUUGGAAAUACAUGUCAAUUUUUCCUUGCCUUGCACGAUAUAUUGGAUUGAUGAAUUUUGAUUUUCUCAGGAUACUGAUUAUUUGUGUAUCUUUUGCCUUUGUCGUGUCAUUCAAUUAUGUCAAUGUGCUUAACUCUUUUAAAGUGCUGAAAAUUGUACCUUUUUCAAAUUUUUUUUCCAGGUGAUUGAUAAGGUUCAAGAAGAAACAAAAAGCCGUUCAGGUAUUAAUUAUAGUAUUGAUUUACUUCUGUAUAUGAUUGAGCCCAAAGAAGGAUGUCUUCUCUGUGGAUGCCUUCUCUAAAUCAUCUGAAAUUCACAAUAAAAUUUGUUUUCUACUUCAUUCAUUGGAUGGCGUACUAGUAAUUGUAGGUUCCUCGUGGUAUAGAAACUUGUAUGUCUGGGUUCUUUGAUGUAGACAGAAAUUUCCCUUUGUUACUUCAACAUCAGUCUUGUAUUCUAAGUAAUACAUUUCAAAGUGGCAAUCAACCAGGAGGAAGUAGCAAAUCAGAUAAGUACAAACAAUCUUGUUGCAAUAAUUACAGCCUGUCCAAAGACAUUUUGCCGUGUAUAUUACGAUGUGUUUGAGAUUGAAAGAGUACAUUACAGAUGUUGGAUUGUUCCAAAAGCACAGUAAUGCUUGUAUAGAAUUCAUUUUAUUGAGGGCAAAAAUAUCAAGGAUAGAAGGAAAGAAAGUAAUGGAAAAUAGCAUUUGAGCGAAUGAUAUAUUGUUGUUACCAAGCUAUUGUUAAAUCUCCAACUUCAUUAAUGUAAUUGAACAGACUAAAGAACAAGAGAUUUACUAUGUGUUUCAUUACUUUUUGGAGAUGCAUUCCAGUAUUUCUGAUGAAUUGAACAGAUUAAAGUACAAGAGAUGUACUGUAUGUUUCAUUACUUUUUGGAUUCCAAUAUUUCUGAUCAAUGUAAAAAAAAAAAAGAAGGUAAAUAGCUUUUUCUCUGUGUACUGAAUGUGGAAUUUGGCACAUUAAAUUAGUUUAUGGUCAAAAAUGGUUUCUAAUCCUGACCACUUUUACAUACUUUUUCAGAUAGAAAGCCACCAGGCGUUGGGCGUGGAAGAGGAAGAGGUAGAGAUGACAGUGCUGCUGGGAGACAGGGAAAACCAAUUGGGCGUGGCAUGGAUGAUGGAGCUGCCAAAGGUGCAGGCAGGGGCAAGGGAGGACCAGCUGGCAGGUCUGGUGGUGGUAAAGGUAUGAAUUUGCAGUCUAAGUUGUUGGUUAUUAAGAAGCAAGCAUCAGAGAGCUGUGUCUUAAGAACUUUCAACAUAGCAUUUCUCAUUUUAAGACUUCUGAAUGAUCUCAGAUACGACUUUUCCUUCACUCCUUACAGUCCAAACAACCUUUGCAAGUUUACACUUGCUUUUUCUCUGCCUCUGUUAUGACUUGAAUGAUGAGGGAACAAAGAGUUGUCUUCUAAAUACCUUAAAAUUGUUCUCUCAUUUUUGUUUGCAAGUCUGUCUAACGGGUGCCCAUUGGGUACUCGUUUAAGAUAUAUUUCAGGUGUCAUAUUUUUGAAAAUGUAAGAUUAAUUAGGGAAAGUAAAUAAAUACAAGGAAGGGUAGGUAAGAUUAAAUAGGAAAAGCAUAUAAAUGCAAGGGAAGGUAAUAAUUGUUAGUAUGUGCAUGUACAUGAUAAGCUAGGUGAAUUUUAGGUGUGUUGAUGAGUGUUCAAUAGGCACCUGUUAGAAAAAGUCCUAUGUUUGUUUAUUGAAAGAUUUCCCUGGUUGAAUGUUGGUGGCAGGUGGUGGGCGUGGACGUGGCUUGUAGUUCUUUAGCUAGCUGCAGAAUCAACUUCCUUGGAGCAGAGUUGCCGAUUUUAUAUGGCAUUUUAUAGUGUUUGUUAAGGUACAGGAUUGAAGAAAAAUGACUGCUUUCUUGUAAAAGGACCGAGGUGUAAGGAAACUGUUUCUGUCCAACAAUCAAACAAGCAAGCAAUGUAUUUUAUAGUUCCAUACAUUAUUUUGUUGGUACUUCUUUUGGCUGAACGAAAUGUAAGUAUUAUGGAAUCGUUAUCUUUUCUUUCUAUCUCGAGUAAUUUUCGGUUUUUGAUUGACUUCUAAUCCUUAUAAGAAAUUACAUCGUGAGAACUUCUUGACUGCAAUCCUAUCAAUUACUCAGGUAUCACAUGGUUAGACUGUGGAAGCCUGCAACUUUCCUCUUGCUGGAUUCUACAGAAUCUGGCUGGUGAGGUUUUUACUUGGUGAGUAUUCACCCGUUUGGUUUGGACUCCGGAAUAGCAAUGGCAAUGGGUAUAAAAUGAUCGAUGGAUGGUAAUAGGUUUUGGCGAAUCCUUUUCACUUGUUUGGUACCAGGCUGAAAUGGGAAUCGAUGGGAUUGGUUUUUUUAAUUACAAGAAGUAAUUUCAUCCUUUUUUUUUCCCUUGUUUCCUAAAAUGGCCAGAUCCUCGCAGCAAAACCGCCCCAAUUUCCAGCCACCAGCCCUACGAGCCAAUUGUCCCCAAAACAUCAAAGUUUCAUCUCAAACUCUUCAAAUCCAUUUCCAUGUAAAAGCAAAAAUUCAAUUGAAUUUGAACAAAGUACUCUGCCUUGGAUUUGUAUAAAACUAGAAACUAGAAACAAAGGUAACUGUGAAUAGGUCUAAAACUUGCUAUUUGUUCACUACCGAACCCCUUACAUUCUAUCUGGAUGACUAACUUAAGCAUCAGAUUUACAACGAGGGAAUGUUGCCACGGCGUUUGCACCAGCACAGGAAAGGCCGAUCCCUGCCCGCCCGCACAAGUAUCAUGCCAAUUGAGAGCCGAUUGAAAAGUGAAAACAUCAUCCCAAAAUCACCUCGUUGAGCAGCAACCUAAAUGGGCAUAUCCAAAUAAAACAAACUCCUCUUUCGAGCUGCUCAAGCAAGUAGGUUAGUCUCUUUUAGUAAUAGCGGGUCCAGAUUCCAAUUUGUCCAGGCAAAACGUCAGUUUAGCAGUCGAAUCCGACAAAUGUCCACUUGCAAAGUUGCAAUCAAUCUGUUAUUGUUUGUAGUUGCAGCUUUUUGUAAAUUCUCAAAUAGCGAUAGCUUAAAAAAAAGAAAAAAAAAAGCUAAAUAACGAGAAUUUUGCAAUAACAUGUUUUUUUUUCAUUAUUGGGUGGAGAUUAGGGGUGUUUCGCGAAUCGAGCCGCUCGAAUACGAGCUCGACUCGAGUUCGUCAAUAUCGAGUUCGAGUCGAGCUCGAACUAAUUAAGUCGAUCUCGAGCUCGAGCUUGAAGUCAAAAACAUUAAACUCGUUGGCUCGCGAGCGGCUUGCGAGCUCAAUUAUAUAUAUAUUUUUUAUUUUUUAUUUUUAUUUUAAUAGUAAAAUUAUAUAUAUAUUCAUAAUAUUUUAUUAUUUAUUAAAAAUUUAUUAUUUUAUUCAUUUUUAAAAAUAAAUAAUUAUUUUUUAUUUUUAAAAAAAUAAAAUAAUUAUAAAUAUUUUUUAUUUUUUAAGCUCGAGCUCGAGCUCGACUCGAAUUUGACUCGAGCUCGAUAUUUUGAGCUCGUCGAGCUCGAGCUCGAGCUCAGCUCGAUUAGCCAAAGCUUGACUCGAGCUCGACUCGUUUGCACCCCUAGUGGAGAUGCUUGAAAAACAUGCCGCCGAAUUUAGAAAAUUUUGGAUUGCCAUUUUUUGUAGAAAAAUGUCCUGUAGUGAUUUGAUGUAUAUGAGAUAAAAAGGUAAUUAAAAAUUUUGUUUACAGAAAACGUAGAAAUUUAUGAUUUUUUUCUUUGUGAAAAAAAACUUGCUUGUGAAUCCACUUCAUUGCAAGCAAAUUGCAUAUUUGAACAAUAAGCAUAUAACUAUAAAGGAUACGUGUAAAAAUGUUCAAGAGUUAUAUGUUUCUCUUGUUCUAGUCCCUAUAGUAGUAAUAAAUAACAGUAAACAGCGUGUCAACGUUUGAAGAACUUUCAAUAAUGGCAGAUAUUGAAGAAGAAAGCAGUCAAUCAAUUACUCCUACAUUAGCUGGCCACCAAAAAAAUUUUAAGACUAUUUGGAUUUAGAUCAAAGAAUCAAAUCUCUUGUCGUGCAUUCUAAAAAUUCCAAAGUGGACAAUUUCAGAGGCCUCACUGUUGGAGUAUAUACUACCGCUUAUAUUUCCUCUUCACUCUUCAAUUUUUACUUGUCUUGUACGUUAUAGGUACCGUCUUGUAAUGUUUACUUCCUCAGUAAUCAACGAGUUCCCAUGAGUCAACUGGAAAGAUUUGUGAAUCAGUUAUACUUUCCAGGACAGAUUUGAAGUGCAACAGGAAGUGUUUUCUUAACUUCAAUGAUUAAACAAAAUACUGUAAAAAAAUUGGAAUGUCCACAUCCAAUUUUCGAUGGUGCUAAUGAGUGUUGUUAAUAAAAUAAUGCAAGCAGCUCAACAUAAAAUAAUUGGAUUUUCUUAUUGUAUUUGAUCAAUUGAAAAGGAGGUGUAUUGUCAAUUAUUACUGGUUUCUUGACGUAUAAAGAUGUAUUAUAUCUCGCAACAACCAAUAGUGGUGACGUGAAAGAAUUUCCUAGGUAAUACGAUUGUGUUGGUGAUCUUCCAGCGUCAGAAUGUUGAAAAAAAGUCACAAAAUGGUUGCCGAACGUAUCUGGAUACUAAUAAACAAAGCCCUCCUUUCAAAGUUUAAAUCCCGAAGAAGUAGGCUAGCAAAUCAAUUAGGUAGUUGCCAAGGGCCGUAAACUGAGUCGAGUCGAGUCGAAUUUUGAUCUAAUCUAGUUGAGUCUCAAAUUAAUUUUACCAAACUCGAGUUCGAACUCUCAAUGUAAAGUUCGGCUUCGAACUCCACCUCGAAUUUGAGUCGAAUCAAGCUCGAGCUUGAGUUUAAAAAAAUAAAAAAUAAUUAUUUAAUUUUUAAAAAUAAAUAAAAUAGUAAAUUUUUAAUAAAUAAUAAAAUAUUAGAAAUAUAUAUGUAAUUUUACUAUUAAAAUAAAAAUAAAAAUACAUAUAUAUAAAGUUGAACCGGCUCUCAAGCUAACGGGUUGAGUAUUUUUUAAUUUGAAUUCGAACUCGAGCUCGACUCAAGUUUGGUGUUGAUUGAGUUCGAGUCGAGCUUUGAUUCGAACUGCCCACAAUUGAUUUGUGAUUGGCUCGUGAACAGCUCGAUUUGUAUGCAACCCUAGUCGCUAACCACAAGGCAACUAUAGAAUGCAUUUCUUGAUGGCAUUUCUCUAGGAUAGAAGUGAAUUUCUUUCCCAGUAACCCUCUGCUGCAUUUGAGGGAUCGAUCUUCUAGUAUAAAUUAACGUAAAAAUAGUGUAAAUUUUGCUGAUUGAUAAAGAAAUAAAUUCCGAAAAAAGGGCUAGUUUAUUUUACUUUCAGUGGGUCCAGAUUCCAUUUUCUCCAAGUAAAAGAACAAAAUAGCAUUCAAAUUUGACAAUUAUCUACUUGUGAUGGGUCAAUCUGGUAAUAACUAAUCAUUUUAUGGAUCAGGUUUUCUGGUUCUUUAUUAAUCUCUUAAACUCAGUACUUCAUCUCUGAAGUGUAAAUGGAAACAAACAAAGAAAUAAAAUAAAGAAAUAAAAAAAAAAAGUAAAAAAAGAGGAUAAACUAUAAAGAAGAAGCAUUUUCUUGGAAUUGAGAAGAGGGAUCUUUAAACAGAAAGUAAACUAAAGCAAGAAAAACUUUCUUAGUAUUUUGUAGUGUAAGUUGUGUAGUUCAUUUGUUGUUCUUGUACGCUUGCUUGGAAUUUAGCUGUGAAACUAGUUAUGAUUACUUCAAUAGGUAAGGACACUCUUUUUUUUUUCAGGAAAUACUUGAGGGCACUCUUGAAUGGCAUUUUUUAUUAGGACUGAAAUGCCACAUUAUAGUACUGAAAGCUAACCCAACCAAAUGAUUCAUGAAACAAAUGGUUGUAUUAGUCAAUUUCAUAAUGCUGGAAAACAGCCAAAGCAGCCAAACUGUUUUCGUGGUACCACCUCAUUGUGAAGUAUUAUUCACAUCUUGUGUUGGCUACUAGCAUUAGCAUUAGGAUUAACUGAAUCUCUAUCUUUCAUAUCUUCUUCUCUUUUGGUGGUAGUAGACUAGUAGAGUUGAAAUACAGUAAAUAGAACUUUGGUUUUCUGUAAAUUGGCUUCAAAUGGCAGACACCAAAGAAGGUAUGACUCAAGAACAGCACCAUGUCACCAUAGAAGCUCCUAAAGCACUGCAAGACAAGGGAGAAGAAGUAAAAGAAGUUGAAGAGAAGCCUCAGAACAAGACAAAGACUAAGCGAGUGGCUUCCUUGGAUAUUUUCAGAGGCCUCACUGUUGCGGUGCAUAUUUUUCCCAUAAUCCCUUUUCUCUCUAAGUCUUGAAUUCGGAUACUGUAUUAUUUAUGUAUGCUAAAGGUAUCUGAAACCUUGAUAUUUUGUUAUCAGUGUUGCUAGAAAAAUCAGAGUUGUGAAGGAACUUCUUUUAUCUGGUUGUUGAAUACUUUUGCUUCCCCACUGGAAAGUUUUCGAAACUCUACUGGGAAACUAUUAGGAUCAAUAAUUUUCAGGAAAAUCUUUGGUGCAUUAACAAGUGUUUUCUUAUGCUGCUGCAUGAGCAUACAAUACAAAUUCUAUUACUUUAUAAGCAGCAGCUGCUGAACAUAGAACCGUUGGGUUUUCUUAUUUAUUGAAGGAAAGGUAUGAGCUGAAAAAAUAUGAGCAUAUGAUAAAAUAUAAAUAAAGUGGUAAUUCUAUUCUAAUAAGGAUUACUUAUAAUAGGAAUUACUUUGACAAGUUGCCUAAUUUGAGUGCUAAAAUGAAAUUACGAACUUGCCUCUGAGUUCAGUAUUGAAUCUGUAGUUGCCAGUGCAUUCCACUCCUAUAAACCAACUAUUCAUAAGUUACUAAUGGUUGAUAUUUUCAAAAACGCAAUAUCAGAACUAUGGUAACCUUACUAGUAUCUGCAGUGUAAUUCCUUCUUUAUGACUGUUGUGACUGUAAAAGAGUUUCUAAGUGCAAAUACCUGUGGACAGUUGAUGGUACUGGUUGAUGAUGCUGGAGGAGAAUGGCCGAUAAUUGGGCAUGCACCAUGGAAUGGUUGCAAUCUUGCUGAUUUUGUGAUGCCAUUUUUUCUAUUUAUUGUCGGAGUGGCAAUUGCACUUGCUCUCAAGGUUGAUUUUCUGCCUUUGAUAGAAUGUAUGCUUGGCUGAGACCAAUAUUGCAUUGCUUUCUGAUUAGUUCUACUGUUUCAUAUGUAGAGAAUACCAAAAAGGUUAAUGGCUAUUAGAAAGGUAAUUUGGAGAACUAUCAAACUUCUCUUCUGGGGUCUUCUUUUACAAGGUUUGUUUUACUGUUUUCUUCCCAUUUAAUGGAUGUGUGCUGCUUUGUUGGGGACCAUGUCAUUUAGUAAUAUAGUAGCACUUACAUUUAAGUGGUAGAAACUCAAGUUCAUUUCAGAAUCAAUAUUCAACAAGUAAUUCUUGCAAAAGUAUUAUAGCUUUCUUUUAUUGGCCUUUUGUGGUUAAUGGUGGCCAAAAAGUAUUGAACUCUAGGAAACUUAUUUAUAUGCUAUUAUAGAUAUUUGUAGCCUGACCUCCUUUUGAGCCCCACUAAGAUAUAUAUAUAUAUGUGUGUGUGUGUGUGUGUGAACCGAGUUGAUGCUGGAAGACUGCAGGGGGUGGCUUUGUCAAAAUUUAACGUAUUUAUGUUGCUAAGACAAUGAUUUUGCAUGAAGAUGCUCACAUGAUUUGGAAUUGUGUAAAAAGCAUUUGAGUUUCAAUAGUGAUUUGGCGGCCAUACUUUCAAUGGAUUAAGGUUUCCUUCAAGGUGGUAAUCUUUCAAAAGUUGACCAUAUACUGACUCACCCCUUUUAACAUUUGAAGGUGGUUACUCUCAUGCACCAGAUAAACUUACAUAUGGUGUCGAUAUGAAAAGAAUAAGGUGGUGUGGCAUUCUCCAGGUGAUCCGAAUUACAUUUUUCUUAUUUGUUGAAGUUUGACAAGUUUUUUUCUUAGUUCAACAAACUGUACACUGAGCCAAUUUUGGUUUGCACUUCUAGAGAAUUGCUCUUGCUUAUCUGGUAGUGGCAUUGUUUGAAAUCUCAACAAGAAAUGCUCAAGUUAAGGAUCUUUCACAUCAAUGGUUCUCUAUAUUCAAGAUGUAUAUUUGGCAUUGGUUUGUACUCCACUCUUCUUCUGAUCUUGUACAAUCAAUCAUAUUGUAAAGUAUUCUGAUUCUGGUAUAUUCUUCAGGGUGUUAGGAGCAUCUGUUUUAAUUAUUUACCUGGCUGUGUUAUACGGAACUCGCGUUCCUGAUUGGCACUUCAUCGUCCACAAUGAAGAUAGCACACUUUUGGGCAAGAUGUUAACUGUAUGUUCUUUGCUUCUGCCAUAUAAAGAAUACUAGCUUCUGCUACUCUAGAUACAGUUACCGGGGUCCACUGUUUUACAGUUGUAGAUGUCAUUGAUGUUGUGUUUACUAUUGCUGGAGAUUCAGAAGCAGGGAAAAAUAAGCUUUAGCUACUUAGUCGAUGUUGGCCAUUCAUUCUAAGGACAUUUAAGAAAAUCUGAAUUGUCUAUGACCAGCUUCAUAUCCCCUAAUUAUAAUACUUCACAAGAUGAAAAUAAUUCAUUCAUUCAAUGCAAUCUAAGCAUAUCAAGCAAGUGUAAUUGUUGCAUUUCUCAACAAAGAUCAAUGUGCUUCUUAAUCAUUCUUGUGGUUGUCAAGUGGUGUUUGUUUCCCACUCGCUUCUCUCUCUGAGCACCUUCAGUCGAAAAGGUAAAGAUGAUUUGGUACUUGUAUAUGCAUUCUAAUUGGUUGAUUGUGCAGGUAACCUGCAAUGUCAGAGGAAAAUUGGAUCCUCCUUGUAAUGCAGUGGGUUAUGUUGACAGAAAAGUGCUUGGUAUUAAUCACAUGUAUCAACAUCCAGCUUGGAAGAGAUCCAAGGUCUGCAGGGCUGUUUUUGAAUGCAAAAGUUCUUAUCAAUCACUAUGUACAUUGUUUGCUUCUGCUUUACGGCCCUCGGAAACUUUUCAUGGUAAUUCUGUUCUGCAGGCUUGCACUUACAGUUCUCCUCAUGAGGGACCUUUUCGGGAUGAUGCUCCAGCAUGGUGCGUAGCACCUUUUGAACCAGAAGGAAUUCUGAGGUAUGUAUCAUUAGUUCAUUUCAAUUUGAGAACUGCCACUAGUUUUAGUUGAAAUAUUGGCCUGGUCCUAGUUAACAUGUUCCAACAGCUAACUAAAUGUAUAGCUAAGCCAAAAUAGACGAUGCUCAAUGCGCCUCUAUCUUUUUAUUAUCUAUGUUCAGGAUACAGUUUGGAAAUUCUAAACAAGUCUUUUGACUGCAGCUCAAUUUCUGCAAUCCUCUCUACAAUCAUUGGAGUUCAUUUUGGACAUGUUCUUAUACAUACGAAGGUUUGAUAGAUAUAUAUAUCUUAUGUUUGGGACAACUGUUAUUCACUGAAUGUCACUAAAAGUCCUUAGUUCCUGAAUUUCAGGAUCACUCAUCCAGACUUUGGCACUGGACUGUCAUGGGUUCAGCUCUUUUGAUUUUUGGAAUUACUCUUCAUUUUACACAUGGUGAGCCCUGCUAGUCUCUCUUUCCCUAUGAACAAAUCAAGCAGCAAAUCGUAUUUCAAAUCCUCGGACUUGGUUUUAUUUGACACUAGGACCAUAUCAGCUUUACACAUUACGCAGCAUCUGUAGAGCAUGAGAUGAAAAAAUUACAUCUCUCGUUCGUCUGGUCAUAUACAUCAGUUUACUCACUGAUUUGGUUGGAUGCAGCUAUUCCCUUAAAUAAGCAACUGUAUACUCUCAGCUAUGUUUGUGUGACGGCAGGAGCAGCAGCUCUGGUGUUCUCAGCAUUCUAUAUCCUGGUAUGCUACUCGCAGAAUAAUCUUAUGGCCUGCAUAGAUUCUAGUCACACUGGUUCCUUAGUGAAAGCUACAAAACUAUGCUUUCUUGAUUGUGCACCUACCUGGUUUGACUUGGCACAUAAUGAGUUUAUCUUCCUCUAGUGCUGACCCUAAAAUGUGAGUAACUUGCCCUUGGCAUUUCAAAUGACAUACUUUACUGAAACUACAUGUCUUGUUUGAGACUUGUACCUCAACAGCUAAGGGUGCUUUUGAUAAAAUUGAAGUCUGAAGUCUAAAGUCUGAAUCUAUUAAAUUAUUGAAUUAUUAAGUAUUAAAUCUAUUACAUUUAAGUGCAUAUCAUAUUCAGUGAUAAGUGAAUAGUUCAUCACUUUAUUUUGAGAGCAAGUUUUGCCUAGGAAUUUAGUGCCACUUAAUUAAUUUAGAUGUUCAAUUUUUGGUAAUCAAACAGUCUGAAUAUAUUAAGAUCUGAAUCCAUUAAAUUAAGUACCGAAAUUUUAUGUUUUCAAGCAUAGGCAUUGGUUGCACUCAGUAUAAAAUGAGUCUGACUUCCUGUGCUAGAUAGACAUACUCUUAAACUGAACUUAGAUGAGAAUUGCAGAAACAUGGAAAAAAAUGAUUACCAUGCCACCAGUGAACACACUGUCAAGUUUGCAAGAGAAAUUAUCAUUUCAAAUAAGAUAAUUAGAGCAGGCUUCAGGUAACAAAGGAGGUCAUCUUUACAUGCAAUGGAGAAUCAAAUGAAGCAAAACAAAAUUUCGAAGUUUUGGAUCUAGCGCCAUUCUCUUGCACAAAUCAAAACAAAAACUGGUAAUAUCAAAGUUUCCUAAAGGCAUACAAUGACACAAAUUCCAUUUGCCCUUGUUAUCUGCAUGGAUGAAUCUUCGAGCCCUCGUGGAUACUAACUUAACAAUGAAUAGUAUCAUUGGGGGGUAUCUGAAAUGAGCAAACUCAUACUUUUGCUUACUCAAUCUUGAUCUAAUCAAGUAUUUCUCACUCCAUUCCAGGUUGACAUUUGGAAAUUGAGGUAUCUGUUUCUGCCACUUGAAUGGAUUGGUAUGAAUGCCAUGCUUGUGUAUGUCAUGGCAGCUGCAGACAUUUUCGCAGGAUUCAUUAACGGGUGGUAUUACGACAACCCUCAUAACACACUGGUACUGCACUCCUUUUAGCUGCCAAAUAUUCAGCCUUAAUAUGUUUGUUUUUCACUGCUCAAUUAUAGCAAUACUAAAACAAGCAUUGCAAAAUAUAAUAGCUGCUCUUCAUUGUCAUUGUUAUCACAAGCCUGUCUGUCCCCUUUAAGUUCUUGCAAGCUCUAUGCUACUUGAUGAGUUUCUGACUAUCAAAACAUUCUCUAUAGGUGCAUUGGAUUCAGAAGCACAUAUUCAUUGACGUUUGGCAUUCAACAAAAGUAGGGAUUCUACUUUAUGUCAUCUUUGCAGAGAUACUGUUCUGGGCUAUUGUUGCUGGCAUUUUCCACCGUUUGGGAAUUUACUGGAAGCUUUAGUUUCUGUGCUUGAUGCAUUUUGGUCCUUUUCUAGCUUUGUUAAUUAUAGCACCAUAUUUCAUCAUAACUGAUACCUUCUGCUACCUGUAUAAGGUUUUAUGAGCUGAUUUGUUGUUGAACUCGACAUUUUCAAUAGGUCUCCAAAUCAGAAAAAUGGGGCUUAAGACGCUCACUUGGGCUGUAGUGCAAUAACUUUUGCUCAUUCCGUUCUAUUGAUUUAGGUUAAGGUCUAAUCCAUUCGUAAGAAUAUGCAAAGAUUUUACCAAACAACUACCAAAGUGCAGCCAUGGGUCCAACAAAAAAUUUAUUGAGUGUUGUUGGACUAGGGGCCGAGGAGCUUGAUACCCCUUAAAUAAAGUUUUGAAUUCAAAUCUUGUGAACGGAGAAAAUAAAAGAGUCAUGCCGUAAAUGGCGAUCCGAUACCAUUCGAAUUAGCUGGGGUCCAAUGCAGUCACUAGACAUCAAGAAAUUUACACUAAAAAAAAAAACAGAGUUCCAACCAAAAAUUAAUUUCAUAGGAAUGAGGAAUCCAUAUAAUAUUGUCUUCAAGAACAUGUUGGGCUCUUAUCAGUUUUUUUUUUUUCCAUUAAUUGUGGUAGGACAAAAUUACAUUAGCAUAUAGGAAGCAAAGUGUGCAAGAACGUCCACUGCAAAACUGAUUGGUAUCUUUUAUUCGCGCAAAGUAUAUGAAUUUGGCAAAUAAACGUUUUUCAUUUUUGUUGACUUGUUUUGCGUUGGGGGGGGGGGGGGGGGGAGAAGAGAGAGGAAGAAGACAAAGAAAAAACUUGAUUGUAUAUAUUACCUUAAAAGAAAUUACUAAAAGCUAUCACAAUAUCUGACUUUGUCUUCAAUGUUCCUAAAUUUUCAAAUAGGUGCAAGGUAAUGCCAGGCUAUCAGAUUUAGAUUAAGGAGAAUAAAGAGUAAAACGGAGCUUCCUUGUUUGGAUUGAAGUUUUUCAAAGAAAAUUUUUGGGAAAAUGGCCUGUUUCAUCCUCACAUUUCACAAAAAUAUUCUUUUCGUCCCUCACUUUUAAAAUGAAACAAUUUCGUCCUUGACAUUUAAAAAUUAAAGCUAUUACAUCCUUGAACUCAAUUUUCAAUCUGAAUCAAAUCACCUAUUAACUUGAUUACAAAUUUUGAAGGUAUAAUUGGUAGAUUACUUGGUUAACUCAACUUGAAUUCCUACAUUGUCAUUGUAUACACUGAUGAUUUUAUAUACCUGCCAUAUCAUUUCAAUUUAAAUUUAAACACGAAAUUUUGUAUUUAUGAUACACAUCUAGACUCGUAAGCGAAUAUAUUAAUGGUGCAUGAAAAAAUUUUCCCAAAAGAAAAACUCUACUAUUCCAAGACAAAUAAUGGCCUUUAUGUUAUAAUAUUUAUUUUUGUGGUUUGAUAAAUGUCAUCCGAAUAUGAUGAAAUUGACCGAGUGACCUAUCAAUUCUAUCUCCGAAAUUUAUUACUGGGUUAUUGGAUGGUUUGAUUCAGAUUGAAAAUUAGGCUCAGGGAUGUAAUAGCUUUAAUUUUUAAAUGUCAGGGAUGAAAUUGCUUCAUUUUAAAAGUGAGAGACAAAAAGAAUAUUUUUGUGAAAUGUGAGGGAUGAAGCAUGUCAUUUUCCCAAAAUUUUUUAUACUUUUCGUGAUCAUAUUUUUCAAUCACCUUUUUAUCUCACAUACAUCAAAUUGUUACAGUAUAUUUUUCUACAAAAAAUCCAAAAAAUAGCAAUCCCAACAACCUAUUUUUCCAAGAAAACUAUUAUCUUACUUAUAGAUACAACUAAUAUCCUGUGAUUGCAUUCUAUUUUAUAUCUCUAGCUUAUUUAUAGUUUGUAUACAAUUUGAAUUAUUUCAAGUCAAAUGACAAACAUGUAUAAUAAGCUAAACACACAAAAAAAAAAAAGUGCGCAACAUACUAUUUUGAGGUAAAUGAAUAUCUUUCCUUAUUUCAAUUAGGUCUUUUUCACAAUUUUUUGUUUGUUGUGCCAUGUGGUCAUUUCUGUGCAUCGCCUUUUUCUUUUUUCUUUUUUUUUUGAAUUGCUUUGAUUAUAAGUAGUUCAUUUAUUUUAACAAUUCUAAAAAAAUCUAAUUCAAACGUGCUACAUUGGUCCUCCUAAACUAUUGUAUACUUUAAAAUAAAAAACAAAGGUUGUUGGGGGGGGGGGGGAGUUUCGUAACGGGUAUCUAUUGAGCACUCGUUAAGACACAUAAAUUUCACCUAAAUUAUUAUGUAUACAUAUAUUAAUAAUUAUUAAUCUCCCAUACAUUUAAACAUUUUUUAUAAUUAAUCUCGUCUUUAAAAAAUUAACACCUGAGAUAUAUUUCAACGAGUGCUUCAUAGGUUACACAAACCAAAAGGAAAAAAAAAAAAGGGAAAAAAGGGUUCUAUUCACCUUUUGUAGGCAACCAAUUCCCAAAUGGGCUAGUCUAGAGAACAACUCCGUUAAUUUGUUACGCAUCCUGAUUCUACACUUCAUUUUGGGCUCGGAAUCCAAUAUCUCCACUAUGGGCUUUCCUAGUUGUGAUCCAAUUCAACCACCGAACACUCCAUUCGUCGGAGAAAAGUUUCGUCUCCCCUUUCAUUUUCUUGAAGAAGAAGUUUUUCUCAUUUAUUCUCGUGAAAGGUCGGAGCUCGCAAGUCUCUUUACUCUCUCAGAACAGAUCCCUUUCUCUCUCACACACAACACACACGAUAGACACACACACAAUCUGGGGACGGUGAAUUGAUCGGAGAACAUUAUGGCGGCGCCGAUGGUAGAAGACAGCAACUUCGAAGACGACCAGCUCAACUCCAUGUCCACUGACGACAUUGUUAGGGCUUCUCGCCUUCUCGAUAACGAGAUUCGGAUCCUCAAGGUUUUUUUUUUUUUUGCAUAAAUUAUUAGUAAUAUGAUUUUGGACUUCGUUUGUUUGCUAUGAGAAGUUGAUUUUUUUGGGGAAAAUGAUAAAAUUAAAUUAUUGAUGUUGAUCGUGCAAUUUUGGUGAAAUUCAGGAAGAGUUGCAGAGGACGAAUCUAGAAUUGGAUUCCUUCAAGGAGAAGAUUAAGGAGAAUCAAGAGAAAAUUAAGCUCAAUAAGCAGCUUCCUUACUUGGUCGGCAAUAUAGUAGAGGUGAUUUUUAUUUUAGGGUUUUUUAGUUUCAAUGUUUCGUUUCUGACCUUUUAUGCUGUAAAUUUCACUUAUAAUUUUAGACCAAAAGGAAAGUUUUUUUUUUAAGGUUUUUGUGCAUGUUGAGAGAAACUUUGCGUAUAAGUUUAUUCGAUGAGCAUUUCCAUCGUUCAUGCUUUUGGCCAUGGUUUUUUCAUUUUGAACUUCUGAAACUUAUUGGGAUAAACAAAAUUAAAAGAGAACGCUAAUUGUAUGAAGGUUUCUGUGGUUCAGGAUGCUAAUUUGAUAAAAGAAAACCUAAACUUUAUCCAGAUUUCCCCUGAGACAUUCAGAGGAGAAAGAAGAUAGGAGAAGAAUUAAGUACCGCAUAAAAUUUACUGUGAGAUUUAUAACUAUUUUUCUGUAUCCAAAAUCUUUUAAUCGUCUUCUAUUAGCUUAAAGUUUUGGGUUGUUGGUGGAAUCAGCAUCAGCCUACACACCUAUUACUGGCGCUUUUGAUGUGGAGGGCCCUUUAAAUGUAUGCAUUAUUGCUUUUCUAGUUACUUCUUGCUUUUCUUUAACUUGAAACUUUUUGGCUUGAGCCUUGUUCUCUAUUUUUACCCCCCUCAGUGAAUGCAUUGGGUUUCAUUUGACUUGGAUGGGGAAAACAAAAUUAGGACCAUAAGUGAAUUUCGUUCUGGACUUUGUUGUGUUUCAAUUUCUCUGGCAGUUAUCUUCCAUUAUACUUUUGCUGGAGAGUCCAUGCUGAGGUUCUAGGUGAAGGAGCAGGUGUUUUUCAAAGGAUUUAUUUUUCAUCAUGUGAUUCCAUGUUCUCAUCAAAAGCCUCCUUUGGGGUCAGCAUAUCAUAUAAUGUAUGUUAUUUAUUUUUCUGGUGAUUGCUAUAUUAGCUAAUAUGAUUUUGCACUUUUCAGAUUUUGGAAAUGAACCCAGAGGAAGAGGCUGAGGAAGAUGGUGCAAAUAUUGACCUUGACUCUCAAAGGAAGGGCAAAUGCGUUGUAUUGAAAACUUCCACUCGCCAAGUAAGUUGCCUUAUAGAAAGCUUUAAUGAUUGUUUAUGAGCUCAAGCUUCUAGAAUCAUGUCCUAGUUCAUCAUAAAGUCCAUACAUUUUUUGGUUUUUCUAAACAUUUUGUAUUUUGAUUGUAGACAAUUUUCCUUCCUGUUGUUGGCCUUGUUGACCCUGAUAAAUUAAAGCCUGGGGAUUUGGUUGGAGUAAAUAAAGAUAGUUACUUGAUCUUGGACACACUACCGUCUGAGUAUGAUUCUCGAGUCAAGGCGAUGGAAGUUGAUGAAAAACCAACUGAAGAUUAUAAUGACAUUGGUGGUCUGGAGAAACAGGUAAAGUUCUUACUUUUUGGAAUGCUUUCUGUUGUGGCAUUCUUGGAUUUACUUAUUUAGUUGGCCAUGCUUAUGGAAUUGUGUUCGUUGUCAUAGAUCCAAGAACUUGUUGAAGCCAUUGUUUUGCCUAUGACCCACAAAGAGCGGUUUCAGAAGUUGGGGAUUCGUCCACCAAAAGGGGUCCUUUUGUACGGACCUCCUGGAACAGGGAAGACAUUAAUGGCUCGUGCAUGUGCCGCCCAAACAAAUGCUACUUUCCUUAAGCUGGCUGGACCCCAGCUUGUACAGGUGAUUAUGAUCACCAUAGAUAUCCUGGAUAAUUUGUCAAGUGGUCCUCUAAUUGUCAUUUUUGGUCUCUUCUAAGUCUGUUUAUUGGAACUUCCUGUGGCUUCUUCUGGGAUACUCUAUGGUGUAAUUUCUAAUGAAGCAUGUCACAUAUUCACUCGUUUGUCUGCUAGUAGGAGUUUAGGUCGGAUGCUCUGCUUGGAGUUUCUAGCAAAACUUAUCUUUUUGCUUUCAAACUUAGGAUACUCUUUCCAUUCAAUGUGCCUUUUUUUCAAAUUUUUUUUUUCGGUUAAUGAGCAUUAGCGAAUGCCAGAGAAUUAGUUACAAAUUUGACUUUUAAGGGGCAAAUAGAAGUCUCAUCUUUAUUUUUGAAGAAUUACUAGUGUUUUCACUAAUCAAAACAGAGGACUUAAUUGCUGCACCUUAUCAUGGAUUUUGGAGCACCAUAAGAAUUCAAUAAUUUGCAUAAUCUUUGAAUUUUAGGCCUUUUUGGAGGAAGUAUUCAGAUUUCUCUUUGGUGCUUUUGUUGCUAGAUGGUUUUAACUUUUCCCUUCUAUCCAUAUUCUUAAUAUGAGAUUUAAUUUAUUCUUAAAAGAGAGGGCUGUGGUUAGCUUAGUUUUCCAGGUGACAAAUGAUUCUGCAAUGUGGUGCAUGAGGGCUGUAAUUUGGUGUUCUUUAAUAAAGUUGACAGGCAAUUUGUAUAUAAUAUAACUAAAUAUACUUUGAUGCAGAUGUUCAUUGGAGAUGGAGCAAAGCUUGUCCGCGAUGCUUUCCAGCUUGCAAAGGAAAAAUCUCCUUGUAUAAUCUUUAUUGAUGAGAUUGAUGCCAUUGGUACAAAGCGUUUUGAUAGGUAAGCAAAUCGCUCGGGGUACUGCUUGAUUUUAUUCAGCCUGGGGUUUUUUGUGCUUAAUGGAUUCUCAUGGUUUAUAAGACGUGAUUUAUUAAAAAUUGGAAAGAAAAAAAGAGUAAAGCAUUGCAUAGCCCUAUACAGAUUGUAGCAGGUAUCCAUCCUUAUCUGAUCAAGUUAUGCUUUUGUUUUGCAGUGAAGUCAGUGGGGAUAGGGAGGUCCAGAGAACUAUGUUAGAACUGCUUAAUCAGCUUGAUGGUUUUAGCAGCGAUGAUCGGAUAAAGGUUUCUUUUUUUAUUUUUUUUCACACCCCUUUUCUUUGUUCUCGUUGUGUUGGCAUAUGAUUUUUUGCGGUUAACUUGGGAUAGGUUUCGACACACAGGCAGUAGAUGUUCUUCCUAGUAUAGUGCUAUUUUGGUGCUUUUGCAAUGAUAUUAGAUUUUAGUCAUUUAUGUUACUUUGAUACUUGUCCAAGCUCAACUAGUGGGCUUCUACGAAAUUAUGUCUAAUUUCUGACAGUUUUGUGCUGGUGUAUCUUGGUUAAAUUGUUCUUAUUUUUCUUUUGCUUUGGUAAAACAUCUGCAGGUGAUAGCGGCGACAAAUCGAGCUGACAUUCUAGACCCUGCCUUGAUGAGAUCAGGUCGACUUGAUCGCAAAAUCGAGUUCCCCCAUCCGUCUGAGGAGGCCAGGGCUCGGAUCUUGCAGGUACAUCUCUUAACUUAGAUUAUCCUUUUCUUACUGCUUAAUCAUCAUGCUUUAGUAUUGUCCAUACCUUUCUGGGGUUUACUUUUCAUUUUUAAUUAUUUUAUCUUGGUGUGGUGGUAUUGCAGAUACACUCCAGAAAGAUGAAUGUUCACCCUGAUGUGAACUUUGAGGAGCUGGCUCGUUCAACAGAUGAUUUCAAUGGGGCACAACUGAAAGCUGUCUGCGUAGAAGCAGGCAUGCUAGCACUGCGGCGCGAUGCCACUGAGGUCUGUCUCUCUCUCCGCAUUGUUUUUUUCUUAAUAUUUUUUUCCUGUUUCCGACUUCUUGGUUAGACACGACUUGUGAAAGGUAUUUGCACAUUUAGAUACCAAAAGCAGGGAUAGGGGUAGAAGAUGGGGAUUCAAAAUAGUCGUCUUUUUUAAAGAGUAUUUUGGGGAUUACGUAUGCUGCUGGGAUUAAUAUGAGAAAUUGGUUAAGAUGCUGCACAUGGAAGUUGGAAUGUUUUUUCAUGGAGGGGUUUUCAGACAUCUGAGCUCAUUUUUUAAAACAACUCUCUUCUUUUUCCAGGUGAACCAUGAAGACUUUAAUGAAGGUAUCAUCCAAGUUCAAGCAAAGAAGAAAGCCAGCUUAAAUUACUAUGCAUAGAGAUCAUGUGGGUUCAGUGAUUUCAAGCAUGUGGACGGCGAACGUAUGCUCACGUCAUAACUCCAUUUACUUGGCUGUGCUGUCAUUCUCGUACCCACACUCAUCUUUUUUUCCCCUGGGAAAAUCAAAAGAGAGAGAAAAGUGGAGGAAAGAAAGAGUGUUCUAAAACUAAAUCAGGAAAACAAGUUUCAGGCGGUAGAUCUUUUUCUUGUACCGACACUAAGCCGUACUGGUUGACAUUUUGAUUUGUAUGUAUUUGAAUGCACAAUGCAGUGGAGUAUUUGGGUCGCAGGUGUAACUUCUUCUUUGCUUGUCCCUCCAAGGUUUUAAAGCGGCUUUUAAUAUCAUUCUACGCCUACGUGAAAGCAUUACUGGAUUGGACUUUCUUUGGUUGUGAAUGUGCACUAUAGGAUGUUUUAGCAACUAGCGCGAAGACUAGUUGCCUUCAGGUGGUUUAGUUCCUCUUUUUAUCUUUUUCGUCAGUUUCAUGUGAUCAUGUAGAUGCAUUCUUUUCUAUAAUUACUGGCAAAAGAUAGGAAGCGGGUGCUACCAGCGUCGCACAGUUACUGUGAAAUUCAAAUUGCCGCUGGGAACGAAUGUGAGUAGGUGCUACCAGCGUCCGAUAGAUGUAGAAGAUCAUCAAGCUUAAAAGAGGACAUCAUGAAGCAGAAUUACGUGCCGUUAUUGUUGACGGUAUACUGGUUCUGCAUAAUCUGCUGUAAUGGGCAUGGCAACAACGGAAUGCUACUCUGAUUAGCAGCAGCAGCAGCUAGUGAAAUGUCAAGUUCCAUGUUGACUUGCAACAUUUACCAUGUUGCUGCUGUUUCUUGUGGCUUAAUUCCAAAGCAAGUCUUUAAGAAGUGAAAACUAAGAAAAAAGAGAGAGAAAGUUCUCUUCUUCAUAUUUCUGAACUACACAAUGUACAAAUAUAUAUAUAUAUAUAUAUACACAAGUGUAAUCUAUUUUAGAUUCUAAAAUCAUGCUAACCUAAAUCACUCUAUCGCCUAAUUUUAUAAUCAAAACAAAGCAAAUCUAAUCUUUUCUAAUAUUUAUAAUAGCAAAUCUUUCUAUAAUCACAUAUUUUCAACACUCCGCCUCAAGAUGGAGCAUAGAUGUUAAUCAUGCCCAUAUUGCCACAAAUAUAAUUAAUUCUCGGAUCAUUUAGAGAUUUAGUGAAAAUAUCAGCUAACUGCUUUCCAGUUCUCACAUGACUGGUUGAAAUCAAGUUUUGCUGAAUUUUUUCACGAACAAAAUGGCAAUCAAUUUCGAUAUGCUUUGUUCUCUCAUGAAAAACUGGAUUUGAUGCUAUAUGAAGGGCAGCUUGAUUGUCACACCAUAACUUCAUUGGAAGUGAAUUAUUGAUUCCCACCUCACACAAUAAUUGGUGUAUCCAUAUAAGCUCACAAGUGGAUUGUGCCAUAGACCGGUAUUCAGACUCUGCACUAGAGCGAGAUACUACAUUUUAUUUCUUACUUUUUCACGAUACCAAAUUACCUCCAACGAAAACACAAUAUCCAGUUGUAGAUCUUCGAUCAAUUUUAGAACCUGCCCAAUCCGCAUCUGAGAAGCAUUCAACAUGAGAAUGGCCAUGAUUACCAUAUAGUAUACCACAUCCCGGAGUUCCUUUAACAUAACAUAAGAUUUGCUCUAAAACUACCCAAUGGGUGGUUCUUGGUGAGAACAUAAAUUGACUCACAACACUAACUGGAUAUACAAUGUCACGACGAGUCACAGUAAGAUAAUUCAAUUUUUCGACUAACCUCCGGUACAUUUCAGGAUCUGAGAAUAACUCUCCAUCAUCUGCUAUAAGUUGCAUGUUGGGAAUUAUUGGUGCACUACAUGGCUUAGCACCAAAUUUUCCUGUUGCUUUCAAAAAAUCAAGGACAUACUUCCUUUAGCAUAAGAAGAUACCUUGUUUACACCUUAUAACCUCAAUACCUAAAAAGUAUUUCAAUAUACCCAAAUCUUUUAUUUGAAAGUGCGAUUAAAGAAAAUUUUUAAGGGCUGCCAUACCUGUAUUGUUACUACCAGUAAUAACAAUAUCAUCAACAUAAACCACUAUUAGGAUAAUACCAACUUCAGAUUGUUGAUAAAAGACAGAAUGAUCAGAAUUAUACUUCUUCAUGCCAAACUUUUGAACCACCUUACUGAAUCUCCCAAACCAAGCACGAGAACUCUGUUUUAAACCAUAUAAUGACUUCCGGAGUCUACAAACCUUACUAAACUCCCCCUAAGCAACAAAUUCAGGUGGUUGCUCCAUAUAAACUUUCUCUUGUAAAUCCCCAUGAAGGAAUGCAUUCUUAACUCGAAUCUAUAGAUAGAGAAGAUGGUGGAGGAUGUGAGUCUAUGUGUUGAGAACGACGAGAAUAUACUUGAGUGAUCGGUGGUCUGAUAGGAACAAUUGUUGUAACAGUAUAGACUAGAAUAUUAUCUUCCUCCUCCUGACUACUAUAGACAUUAGACUCAAAAAAAAUGGAUAUGUCUCAAAAAAUGUAAUAUCAGCAGAAACUAAAUAACGAUCUAAACUUGGAGAAUAACAUCUAUACCCUUUUUGAAAAUGUAAAUAACCCAAAAACACACACUUGAGAGAUUUGGGAUCUAAUUUAAACACUUGAAGACGGGUAUCACGAACAAAACAAGUACACCCAAAUAUACGUGGUUCAAUGGAGAAUAAAGAUUGGGUUGGAAACAAAAUUGAAUAAGGAAUCUCACUAGCAAGCACAGAAGAUGGCAUGCGAUUAAUUAAAAAAGCUGUUGAAACAGCAUCUGCCCAAAAUUGCUUAGGAACCUUCAUAUGAAAUAGAAGGGCUCUAACAACUUCUAAUAAGUGCCUAUUUUUCCUUUCAGCAAUACCAUUUUGUGGUAGUGAGUCAAAACAUGAAUAUUAGUGAAGGAUUUCAUUUUCUGACAUAUACGAAUUAAAGAGUUUAGAAAAGUAUUCUUUUGCAUUAUUACUUCACAAAAUAUGGACAGACACAUUGAAUUGUAUUUUUAUUUUAGUACAAAAGAAACAAAAGAUACUAAAUAAAUUUGAACGACUUCUCAUUAAAUAUAAUUAGAGCUGUUAAUCGAGUCGAGUAUUUGGCUGCCGAGCUCGACUCGAGUUUAAUUCGAGCCGAGCUCGACUCGAGCUCGUUAAGAAAACGAGCUUUAAAAUGUGUUCGAACUCGGCUCGUUAAAUGUACAUGUGGCUCGAGCUCGAGCUCGAGCUCGACUCGUUUAUCACAAACGAGUCGAGCUUCAUGAGCUCGAGCUCGAGCUCGUGCAAAUUAACAUUAAUAAAAACCUAUAAUUUUUAAUUCAUAUAAUUUUGAUUUCUAAAAUGACAAAUAUGCCCUUCAUUAACGAGCUCUAACGAGCUACUUGAGUAUCAAACGAGCCGAGCUUACUCGGCUCGUUAACUAAACGAGCAUGUUUCGAGCUCGAGCUCGACUCGUUAACCAAAAUUAACGAGCCGAGCUCGAGCCUUAACGAGCCGAGCUCUAACGAGCUUUCGAGCUACUUGAUUGGCUUAACAGCUCUAAAUAUAAUCAAAUAACACGAAAGUAGUCAUCAACAAAAGUGACAAAAUACUUAAAACCAAAUUUAGAUACUAUUGGACAAGGGUCCCAAAUAUCAGAGUGCACUAAUUCAAAAGGGGAUGUAACCCGUUUAUUGACUCUAGGCAAGUAAGGCAAACGAUGAUACUUGGCAGAUUGACAUGACUCACAAUCUAAAUGGGAUAAAUUCUGAAAACUUGGAUACAACUUUUUCAAGGUAGGUAGAGAUGGAUGACCCAAAUGACAGUAAAUUUCAAGAGAAGUCAAGGUAGAAAAACAUGCAACAGGUUUCGGCACUUUCGAUGAAGGGGGUUCAAGUAUAUACAGGUCGCCAUACUCACGUCAUUUACCAAUAAUCUUCCCCGUCAUAAGAUCCUGAAAAAUACAAUAUUCAGGAAAGAAUGAGACAGAACACUUGAGAGCUUUUGUAAUUUUACUGGCUAACAGUAAAUUAAAAGAAAAAUUAGAUAAUCAUAAGACUGAAUAUAAGGGGAUAGAUGAUAUAGAAAUUGCUAUACUAGAACCCAUAACUGAAGCACAUGACCCAUCAGUCAAAGUAACAUUUGGAUGAUCUUUGUUAGGAUUAAAAGAGGAGAAGAUACCUUUAUUUCCGGUCAUAUGAUCUGUUGCACCGGAAUCGAUGAUCCAUUUGUUAGAAAAUGACACAAGGCAUAUAGUAAGUUUACAUGAAUGAUCAAUAGAAGGAGGAAUGGUACUAGAAGAUGGGUUAGCAGAUUUUUGUGAGGCCUGGAACUUAGUAAAGCGGGCAAACUCAUCAGCAGAGAUGAGUAUGGAUUUGUUAGAAGGCACAUAAUUGUUUUCCUGGGUUGCGAAAUUUGCAAAUGGGGGCUGCUGUUGAGAUCUACCAUGAAGGUCCCAACACGUACGUAUGGUAUGGCCUGGUUUCUUACAGUGAUAACAGACUCAUUGAUUUGAGUUGUAUUGUCCAUGACCAACAACCCCACCAGUCCCAUUUUUGCCAUUGUUUCUAUCAUUAUUUCCUCGACCAACUCCAUUUCGACUCACGAGAGCGCCAGUAACAUUGGAAGUAGACAAAGAUUUCUCGGUUCUCAACACUCGUGUGAAAGUGUCAUGGAGGGAAACAAUCUCUGGGUUAGAGAGUUUGUGUUCGAGAAGCAUCAAACUCAACUGGUAAUCCUGCAAGAAAACUCAUUACAUCCAUUUGUUCCCGUUGAGACUGUUGAGUUUUUACAUCAGUACUAAAAGUAAGGAGAGAAUUCAAUUCCUUAUACACACGUUUAAAAUCCAUAAAAUAUUCUGUAAGGAAUCUCUGCUAUUUUUUCGGAUGGUAAAAUUCCUUGCAAACAUCAUAUGUAUGAUUUAAAUUACCCUUACCAGAAUACAAAAAGGCCAAAUAAUCCAUAAUAUUUUUAACAAACUCACAAUGAUUGAUGAGACUGACUAUCUCAUUAUCAAUAGAGUUUCGGAUCUGCAAAAAUAAUUUUGCAUCUUUCCUUAGCUAAACCUUCUUUUCUUCCCCAUCAACGGAUGGGUUAUCAGUGAAUUGAUCAUCUCUAUCAAUGCUGCACAGAUAUAUCCGAAUAGUUUUACUCCAAUCCAAAAAAAAAUUUCCACUCAGUUUGUGUUCAGUAAUCUUUGAUGUUGUAACAAUAACAUCAGAAAUUACUGUUUUCAUUUCUCUACUACUAACUUUCAUAUCUGCCAUUAUAAUUCACACAAAAAAAAUUUUAAAAGUUAUUCAAUAGGGUCACGUCAAAAAACAAAUUGAUAACAGAGUCUAAAGCUCUGAUACCAUGAAAACUAAAAAAAAAAGGAGGAAAAAUACUCUUCUUCAUAUUUUUGGAUUACACAAUAUACAAAUAUAUAUAUACACAAGUAUAACCUAAUUUAGAUCCUAAAAUCAUGCUAAUCUAAAUCAAUCUAUUGCUUAAUUAAUAUUUGAUGCUAUAAUCAAAACAAAUCUAAUCUAAUCUUUCCUAAUAUUUACAAUAGCAAAUCUUUCUAUAAUCACAUCUCUUCAACAGGAAGAAACGAAAUUGAGUGAUACAUGGUUUUUAUGGUUACUUAGCAUGGCACCUACUUCUGUUUCUUCUUGAUUGUCGAUCAAAUUACAGCGUCCCUGCCUGCUUUUAUUUGGUUGCGCAAUGGCUCUUUAUCGAGGUUUAGCAUUUUGCAGUUGCACCUUCGGUCUUGUUUAAAUGAAAGACCGAAUGCAUCCAACCAUGGAUGGAGGAACAAAAUUACACAACCACAGGCAGCUGGAUGGAGCACAAAUAUGCCCUGUAUGUAACUUACUUGGUAUCGAUUGUGCCUUUCCAGUCAAAACCUUAUAAGGUCCCUCCAAGAAUGACUAUGCUCCAUCAGGACGCACUUAAUCGCACCAAACAUCAGCUACUGUAAUAAAUAGACCUGAACCCUCCACCUUUUAGAAGAGCUAGAAUUUUACUGCCAGCUGAACAUGGUAUGAGGAAAAGUUUUGAUUUUGCAUACAGGGAACAAUCCCCAAGCUUGGUUUAUGCAGGAUGCUAAUCUGAGAAGGCAUCCACUUCAUGCAACUCACUGAACCAAAAAUAACAACUCAAAACUACACUGAUGCAAGUUGUUGGCAAAGUCAUUAGGAACUCCUAUUAUUCUCAAAAUCCUCUGUUAAAACAUAUAAGCAUGUAAGAAAAUGUAGCUAUCAAAAUUUAAAACGCCAAGGCAAGGCGUGUUCUACUGCCAAAUACUAGCACAACUUGAACGUAAUAAAGACCACUACACAAAACAGCUUCCUGAUUAUUGCACGCUUUAUUUCUAGCAUUUGACCUCCUUCAGCCCAGGUGCAAGGUAAAGAAAAGUUGGAUCGGUGGCACCUUCUUUGUAGUAUGCAAACACGAUUGAGCCAUCAUCAUGCAUGCUCUCACCAACAAAGCUGCAGAACACAUAAAACGAUCAAACAAUCAAUGAAUGUUUUCAUCCAAAACAACACAGCGGCAUUCAUCUAUAUACUGCUUCAAUUUCAAAUGUGGAAGUAGACAGAGAAUCCUGUUUCAUCAAAUAGGGUCGACACAGAGACAGGGAAAAGAUUGAGUGGACUUACAACUGAAGGUCGCUCAGCUUUGACAGGAGGUAUUUAGUUGCUCCUUCAAUGUUCUUUUUGAAAGCAUCCAGCUUCUCAGGCUCCAACUUUGGACUUAAAUUCUUGAUAUAUUUCUUGAUGUAUGCAACAAACUGCUUUUUGUCGAAAGCGGGUUGCUCCUACAAAGAGGCAAGAGUCUCUUCAUUGAAUAACAAGAAAGAAUAAAAGAGGAGGUCCAAUUUGGAGUAGUUUUGCAGCAAAAGUAUACCAACCUGAAGUCUGAAAGUAUCAACAAUAUCAACAACCUUGACAGCUUGGUCGUCAACUCCUUCAUCUUCUUCUCCACCUUCAGCAGAAGGAUUGGCCCCAAUAUUCACCUCCACAGCACCUUGAACGACCCACUGAUUGAACAUUCCAAUAAUUAAUGUCAAAUUUGACUUGUCACAAAUAAAUUUUUCAUGCUAAUAUGUGAAGCAUGGCCUAAAAUGUCUCUUUCCCUCCUGAUACAGAACAAUUCUACAAAACAAAAAAUAGUUGAAAUAAAAAAAAAAGGGACGAAAGCCUUUACCUUCCCUUCUACUUCCCACAGCAUUCCAUUCUCAAUUUCCUUAUAGGGGAAUGAGUCGGAUAGAAGCUCAUCGCCUGGAAAUAAUAAAAAAUUUCAUAGUAUUACUUUCUUGAAGCAAUAAAUAAAGACUAAAAGGAGGAGUUGAUGCAGUUGACAGCUAAAAAAGGACCAGUACCCGAGCACACAGGAAAGAGAUUGCCACAAAUCACAGCUUAAAAAAAGCUAUCCGUGAGAAAUAGUAUAAAGUUUCAAUCUUUAUAUUAGAAGGAAAACAUAAUUGCAAGAAACUCUGCAAGAAUGCUACGAUGAAUCUGGUAGCCACAGAAGCAAUUGCUAAGCUUAUGUAAAAGGUAUACCAAUUAGCCAUCUUUAAAUAUUUUUAGAUCCCAAUUAAUCAGUAUCAACAAACUUUUACUGACAAUUUGGCAAUUACUGGUUGUGUACACCAUACAACUCAACAUGCUCUGAGAUUAGAAGACUCCCCAGCAACACAGGCAGUGCACUUGUGCUUUCUUAAAUAAUAGUAGCAAUUAAUAAGUCAAUUGCUCCUAAAUUUAAAUUAAACAUGCUUGAUAUCAUUUUCCGACCAAGUUUCCCUUGAAGGGUUAGCUAGAAUUCCUUAGUUUUGUGCUCCUAAAAUAAUCUUCAGGGUAAACUCUAAUCAUUCUGGUAUCAACGAAGGACAGAAGUAAAGACUCUGCACCGAUGCUAUUCUCUUCCUUGAAUUGAAAUUCAUAACCGAAGAAACACGCAGGUAGAUCAGCCCCAACGUUAAACACAUAAUUGGUAUCCAAUUAUAGAAACCAAAUAAAUAACAAGUUUACAUCCAAUAAUACAAUCUAAAGGGUUUUUCUUCUUCUUUUCUUUUUCAUGGUUUUCACAUGUAUGAACUCAUGCGAGAAGACAACGAAAAAAAAAGUACAAAAGAAUUAAAUUAAACUCUUAAGCAAACAAAACAUAGGAACUGUUACAAGAAAAAGCAACUUUGGUUGUAUCAUGCAACAAAGUUUUCACACAGAAAAGGUUAAGAAAAGAAGUGUACCAGAAAGAAGAUCCUGGUAAACCAACAUGUUUGCAGACUUGAAGUUUCCUUGGUUGUCAGAUUUUUUUCUUUCUGCUGGCACUAUGGAAGACGUACUAUGCUAUAAUUGUACAGUAAGAGGUAACGAAAGAAAAGGUAGUCCUCCUAAUAAAGCCGGGUGGUGAGCUUUUAUAGUGGAGAAUUUGACGGUGUCCCUUCAGGAAUAGGAAAAUCCUAAUUAAUAAAACCACUUCAUAUUAGGAAUUACUUUAAAAUUUAAAUAAUCUUUUUAUUUGCUUUUAGGAAAAGAAAAUCCUAAUUUCAGAAACCUCCCCUAAGGUUUCUGACAAUUUUAUUGAGCUCCCUUGAGAUUUGAAAAUUUACACAUACCUCCCUUGCCAUUUAAAAUGAUAAUUUUACCCUUAAACAUUUUAAUGAAAUUCCCUUAUUUGGUAUGUUUAUAUUUAGAAUGAGUUUUAAAAUUAUUUUUUCAUUCUUUUUCCUUCUUAUUCCCUUUUUUUAAUUAUUUACCAAUAAAACUGUAGAACUAUUACCAUUGCUUGUAGUUUCUAUUAUACCCAAACAUAGGACUAGUGUUUUUUCGAAUGAAUUAAUUUUAUAUGUAAUUCAAUACUUUUGCUGAUUUUUGUUUUCUAUUUUUUGGUACUAAAAUUAACAAUAGAUAAAAAAAAAUGGCCCAAAAUCACUAUCAAAUUAUGAUAAUCCCACUACCCGAAAAAUUCAUAAACUCUAAAUAAAUUAUUUCAACAUUUUCUUUUCUAUCUUAUAAAUCUAAAUCUAUAAAAAGUGGCAUCAAAAGUACCCUAUCAUAAUGAAAAAAUAAUUAUUAUAGUUAUUUAUCAAAUAGCAGAUAUGGACAUGAAAAUUUUGACACCUUUUCCUUAUAAUUAUACUAGAUAAUCUUAUAAUUAUAUAGGAACAUAAAUUAAAACUCAUUACACAAGGGCAUUUUUGAGUAUUUAUUUAAAAAAUUGAUCAAGCCAAUAUUAUUUUAAAAUUUUGUUACUAAAACUGUCAAACUAAAGGAGGUAAGUAUAAUUUUUCAAACUUUAGGAGCUCAGUGAAGUUAUCAGAAACCACCUCACGGGAGGUUUCUGAAAUUAUCCCAAAGAAACUUGCAAAUUAAUGGGAUUUUGAGAAUUAGAUUCUCCUCCUCUUUUGACUGAUGGCCGACAUGGGCCUUUCUUCUCCGGCCGGUUGUUUUCUUGGCUAGUAGUGCAAUUUGUACACUUCUAUUCUACGUUACUACAAGUGGGAUGCAAGUGAUAUACAGUUGUGUAUGUAUGUUGUAUGUGUCUGCUGGGCGGUGCAUUGAAUUUGGAUUGCAAUCAUUUACUUCUGACUUUGGAUCAAACCCAAUAAAGAUAUUAUUAUCAAUUUCCGGAAAAAAAUAUUAUUUAAAAAAAAAACUGGUUCAAAAUGAAAAAACGAGAUAAUAAGUGAAACCAUAAAAAGGGAAGAGAAUCUCUGCUUUGAGUACGGUUACAUGGUAAAUCUUGCACUAUUAACUUGGUGGUAUUGUAGUAUUAUCAUAGGCUUGUGAAUUUUCUCAUUAGUUAGUUGAAAUAUCAAAUUUACCUUUUUGGUUAGAAUAAAUUGGUUUUAAAUUAGUUAAACUGAAGUGAUGAGAGUUGGAUAUUACUCACAGACACUUAAAGAAUGAUAACUUCAAUCUUGGAGUGAUCAUUUGUUGGGUAAACCCAUAAGUUUGGUUUACUAAGGGUAUCAUUUGUUGGGCUUAUUUCUUUCUAACUAUUUAGACACCAUCUUUGGAGUGAUUUUUUUGUUCCAAUUUGUAUGUGAUUGAUUGUUGAGCAAUGACUGUGUUUUAUUUUGAUGCGCUAAACUUUUGGUUUAAUAAAAGUUAAUUUAGAGAGUUUUUAAACCAUUUAGAUGCAUGUAAUUUGGGGUUGUUUGGCAAAUGAAUUUUGCCAAGUUUUUAUAAGUUUUUAAAUAAUUUUAACUACAUUAACAUUAAAAAACUCCUCAAAGUUUUUAAAAUACACAUCUCAAAAUACCAAAAACACACAAAAAAAAUUUUUUUUUCCUUCUUUCCUUUUUUCUUCUUCCUUCACCCACCACAGCCUUCGCCAUCAGCCAACACCAACUGGCACCUCUGUUGAUGUUAGCACCGGUUUUCUUUCUUUUUUUCUCUUUUCCCUUUUCUCCUUCCUUUUCCUUUCUCCCUCCCUCUCCUCCUCCUGUCCCCUCUUCGCUACCGCUCCUCCUCCUGUCCCCUCUUUUCUUCUCCCUAUCCCUUCCCCUUGUACAAUUUGGUCGCGUGACCAGAUCGCUAGUCAUAGUGAUUAGAUAUUUAGAUCACGUGGAAAUGGGAGGGGAAAUGUGGCAGAUGGAGGGGGAAGAGGUGGUGGAGGAGAGGGGAAGAGAAGAAGGGAGGGGAGAAGGUUGGGAGAGGAGGGAAAAAGAAGAAAAAGAGGGGGAGAGAGAACAAAAUAUAUUUAAAAAAAAACUCCAUCUGUUGUCAAUGCUGGACGUCGACAAAGGUUUUGGCGACCGGCGAUAGAGAGGGAGUAAGAUCAAUGGUGGGGUGAGGGAGAUGAAGAUAAGAGGAAAAAAAAGGAAAAAGAAAAAGAAAAAAAUUUACACACCCUAAAAAGUUUUGGAUUAAUGUUUCCUACACUGACAGCGUAUACACUGUCAAUAUUGAAUAAAUGACAAUUAUACAAAAUUUGAAUUUGAAAUUUAACUUUUGCACACAUGUCAUGAAUCCAACGAUGAUAAUGUAUACACUGUCAGUGUAUAUAAGAUUUACUUAAAAGUUUUUCUACAAUUUUUACUGUAAGCUACAAUAAAAUUUUAAACAAAUAUCCAAAAACCUCAAUCAACUACCUCUAGAGUAGUUGGUCACUAGGGAGAGGUUUAAAACUCUCCUUGAGUGUAAGUCAAUGAAUCAAAUCUCUUAGUUUGCAUUUUUCUUUAGGAUUUCUUGAAAAAAUUCAACAGCGAAAAAUCCAAAAAACUCAUUUGGUUUUCAUGAAGAAUUGACUAAUUCCACAAUGCACCCCCAAACUUGUACAUUUUUCCACUUUGCGCCCUAAAUUUUGAUUUUAGACAAUUUGCACUUUAAACUCUUAAUUUUGAAUAUUUUGCACCCCAAACUCUCAAGUUUGUCCAAUUUAAGUCUAAUCGAUGACUAUAUUUGCAAAAUUAAUGAGAUAAAGAGCGGUGAAAAUCAAUGACAAUAUACUAUUUUAUUCUAACAAUGAUCUCUUAACUUUUUUCACUAAUUUUAAUACAUUAUCAUUGAUUUAUGAAGUCCAAAUUAUUUAUAUUAUUAAUGAAAUUUAUGAGAUAAAAAAUGACACAAAUUAACAAUAAUAUAUUGUUUUAUUUUUGUUAUGAUACAUUAGCACCUUUUGAGAACUUUCAACAUAUUAUCAUCGAUUUGUUCGGUUCUCUAUAUUAUUUAUUUUACUAAAGUUAUUAUUGGUUGAAUUUAAAUAAAACAAAUUUAAGAGUUUAGGGUGCAAAAUAUUCAAAAUUAAAGUUUAGGAUGCAAAGUGAGAAAGUAUACAAUUUCAGGAGUGCAAAAUAUAAUUAGUCCUAAAGAAUUUGAUAGGGUUAAUUAUCACGUUUAACAAGUGACUUAUGGUGCGUCUAAAAACUGAAUUUGAAAUCGAAGUUUGAAUUUAUUAAAUCACUAAAUGGUUAAGUACUAAGGUUCCGUUUGAUAAAACUGAAUCUAAAUUCUAAAAUCUGAAUAUUAAAACAAUUAAUUUGCUGAAUUUUAAGCACUGAAAAGAAAUAUAUGAAUGUCUGAAUCUUAAUACUGAACCUAUUUAUACUGUUUGAUAAACAUUUAAAAUUGAAUGCUUAAUAAGCUAAAUUGUAUAUUUUUGCCCUUCUAUCUUUUCAUCCAAAAAAGAAAUAAAAUUUAUGAUUUAAUUAACUUAAAAUUGUUAGGUAUAAAACUGGCAAUAUUUAUUUUUAAAUCAAAUUAAUAUAAAAGAUGAGAUAUAUUAUGAAAAACAUUACAAUCCAAUAAUUCAUAUAACAUCUAAUAUUUUGAAUAGAAAAUUUAGAAUUAGAUAAGGAUUUUAAUUAGAUAAGAAUUUUAAAUAGAGAAUAUUAUGUUGUUUAAUUGGAUAAGGAUUUUAAAUAGAGGAUAUCAGGUUGUUUAAUUAAAUAAGAAUUUUGAAUGUAAUUAACAAACAAUGGUAGAUUUAAUAGAUAAGAUAAGGUCAUUGAAAUAAAUUUGUUGAAUUAAGUGUUCAGUUACGAUUCUUGUGUUGAAAAAAAUACACACAAAUUCAGAACCACUUAACAAGUUGAGCAAAUAAAUUUUUAUUUAUCAAACGUCCAUAACUUCUGAAUGUCUAAAAAAGUUCAGUUUCAACAAUCAUAUAUAUAUAUAUAUAUAAUAAAGUCGUAUCCUCAUAUUUAUCCCUUUGCAUUUUCUCUUUCCUACGUGGCUUAAUGAGACGGCAAGUAGUUUCCUACGUGGCUUGCUACUUUUUUGUUUGGAUGUAUAUCAAUUCUUAUUUCCUAUAAGAAUUCUUAAUAUUAUAUGAUUCUUAUUUCCUACCCAAAAAAGGAACUAAAAAGUAAUUCGAUAUAAAUAAAAGAGACAUAAAUCUUCUCUAUUAGAUAUAUAGGAAUAAAUCAUAAUAUAUAUUUUUUAUAGUGUCCUUUUUUUUAAUUUUUUUUACAGCUUCAUCAUACAUUUUUUUUAUUUUAAGAUAAUCUACCCAUAUAUAGAACAACGUACAAACAAUCUAGACAUGAAAAUUAAAGAAAGUUAGCCCAAGAAAUUUUUUACAAAACUUACAGUCCCUAUGCAUAAUUGAUGUACAAAGAGAAAUGGCACUUCAUCUGAUUGAAAAUUUCUGGAAAAGUCCAUAAAGAAAAUGUUAACCUUUUUAUCAUUUUAAUUGUUACAAUAUCUAGAUAAAUAUAACUUUUAGAAUAGGUGUAUUUAUACAGGUAUAUGUUAAAAGUCUUGGUAAGUGAUGCAACUGGUAGUGCUUGGUUUGGUAUUUUUGAUCAAGAGGCUGAAAGAAUAAUAGAACACAAACUUUCUUUUAUUUUUGACGAAUUUAACAAGGUAAACUUAUAUCUAAUUUUUAAUAAGGAUUAAUUUUUCCUACACUGAUAGUGUAUACACUAUCAACAUUGGAUGAAUGACAACGAUGCAAAAUUUGAAUUUGAAAUUCAAUUUUUGCACACAUGUCAUGAAUCCAACGAUGAUAGUGUAUAUACUGUCAGUGUAGGAAAUAUUUACUCUUUUAAUAAUAAUAGACAAUCCGACACUUAUUUUAGCCGUUGAAUAUUCUAACAAAAAAAAAAAUCUAUUAUGCAUUUCAUUUUCAGGAAGGGUUUAGCAGUGAAAUCGUAUCAUCAAUUAUAAAUAAGAUUACGUGGAAAUCUUUUGUGUUCCAAAUCAUCUUGAACAAUUACAAUCUGGAACAAGAUAAUAACAGAUUUACAGUGACUAGAUGGUUCCACUGUGAUUUCGGGAGGAAAACGCAUUUCAUGCUUUUACAGGUAAUGUGCAAUAAAUUUUUCUUAUAUUUCACAUAUUAUAUCUCAUAUAAUAUUUUUGUCUUUAAUUUUGAUAAAUCAUUAUCAGAUUGGUGGAACCGACAACCAAUACCAACCUGAAACAUUUUCUUCCCAUAUCCCAAUUAGUAUAACAGAUGAUUCUAAUCAACAACAUUUCAAUACACUUCAUAUGAAUCAUUCAUCAGAGGGUUCAAUAAAAAUCACAGAGGAAAGGAAUUCUCAUAAAAAGAUUUGCAUGAGAAAGUAGAUUUAAUAUACUAUUUUACUUUCUUAAAUUAUAAUCUUUACAUAUUGUUAUACAUAAUUUUGAAUGCGAUAAAUCAUUUUUUUCCAAUACUUAGUUAUCCUGCUUUGCUAUCAUGCAGCGAUAAUGGAAAAUUAAUAAAUGCUGAUUUGCACGGACAGAUCGAGGAGAAUGUUCAAACAAAAGAAAAACAAAAACAAAUUUAUGAAGAAUAGAAUAUUAUUUGACACUAUUCACUGCACUUUUUAUUUAUUUUCAAGUUUUUAAUAUUAUGGUAUUGUUAAAUGAUAUUUUUUCUAUUUUUGAAUUAUUAUUCACUGAAUUAGAUGUUCAAAUUUAUAUUAUAAGAAUACUUUGUAUUAUAAUGCGCACAUAAUAAUAUAUUUAAGAUAAGUUAUAAUAGAUUAUACAUUAAAUUUUUAUUUUAUAUCGACAUUUUUAUAAAAUUAACUAAAUAGUUUAUUAUUUUUCGAUGAUUCCCGUUCAACGAACGGGUACAAAACUAGUUUUUUAUAUUAUCAAACAAACUCCAAAUAUAAUAUAUAUGAGUGUAUAUCAUAUAAAGUGAUAAGUGAAUAGUUUAUCAUUUAUUUUUUUAAAAUAGUUUUAUUUAGAAAAUUUAGUUCAACUAGGUCAUGUUUGAUAACCCAAUUUAGUACUUAAAUUUAAUGGAUUCAGAUCUUAACAUGUUCAGACACACGUUUGGUAAUCAAAAAUUAAACAUCUGAAUUAAUUAAGUGACACUGAAUUUCCUAGGUAAAGCUUGCUCUAAAAAAUAAGUAAUAAGUUAUUCGCUUAUCACUGAAUGUGAUAUAUGUGACAGCCCCACCUCCCCCUAAGGCGAACCAAAGGGUUCGGCGGACCGCCUGCCUAACUCUCGCCGGGACUACGGAUCCGGAACGAGCGUAAACCCUACCAACCGCUCAAAAGAACUUCGAAAAGAUAACAUUCACUGUCCGAAACCCAAACAGGCACAACAACUUUAGAUAACCCUAGAAAAGAACAUUUCCAAACCAAAUCAACUUAGAAACAUGGUUAAACACUUUUUAUAUACACAUGGUUGCAAAUUUACAAUUCAAAAGGGAAUUGUUUGGUUAAAAUACAUUUAAGGUUUUCCAUACAUUGAGGAGCUACACAAAAGAAGAUUCAAACUAGCUCAACUCAUGUUUCAACAUAUCAGAGUCUCCAAAAUGUGGUUUCCUAUAAGGAAAACAAGGAUAACGGAAUGGAGUGAGUUAGAAGCUCAAUGAGGUACCAAAAUAAUCACAGUCAAGAACCAAGGAACUUCACGCUCAAUUAAUCACAUAGGUGUAUCAAAUAAGGAGAGGAACCAAACAACUUAGAUAAAAGGAUACAGAUGACUCUCAGGAGCCAAAUUUCCCGUUGCAGUACUUGAUCCGACUACGUUGACUCUCCGUCAACUUUCAAAUAAGGAAACCAGUCCAGUAGAACACCACUUUAUCGCCAAAUCCUGUUCACCAAUCACACCCCUUACCAGGCCCGAACUACAAAUAGAAACAGAAAUGGUAAUACUCGAGUAUACCGGAAUCAAGAGUCUCAAUACUCAAAGAUUCUAUAAAAACAGGCAUCCACAGAUUGUCAAUUUCCUCGACCAAGCCCUUGCAUGGCUCGAUUUAAUUAACUCCCCAUGAGGUUGAACUCAGGUUUAACAAGGAGGCCGUUGGACACAUUUCCAAACGACAUUAUAACAAGUGCAAGUAAUAGGCUCAAGUUCAUAACAAAUACAAGUAAUAGUUCUCAAUUGGUACAACACAGGCAAGAGAACGAGUGUGAUAAAGUACACCCUCGUUUCAAUCAAAUUAAACAGGAUUCAUAGUCAUUCAUGUCAUAAAUUUCAAGUACAGAUAACUCAAAUAGCAACAAUGCAAGGGAGUGGUACACUCACCAGUUCAAAUAAGGAUACUUCAAAAGUUUCCUUCCCAAGUGUGGCUUUAAUCGUCGGCACCUCCUAGAACAAUCAAGACAAGCACUUAAGACUCGACUCCAAGACCUAGUAUGGAAUUCGCAAUUGAGAUUCGGUUACGAGCCAUAUGCCUAGUCAAAAGAGCCAUUAAUGCAAAGCAAAGAGGUGACCUCGGAGUGAAAAGGUAACAAUUAAUUUUAAAGGCAUGAACAACCUCAAAACCCUACCUACAAUGACUGACCAACUCCAAAUGUGAAGUAGAAAAUGAAAGGAAAAUCAAUACUAGGAAAAUAGGAUUUUCCAGUUUCGCGCAACCCUAUAUGAAAAAUCAUAUCUCAAGUUUUGUAAGUCCAAAAUUAGUAAAAGUUAUACCGUUGGAAAAUACAUUCAAAAGGCUAUAACUUUUCAGAGAAUACCCUCAUAAGAUUCGGAACGCAAGUCAGUCAAAUUCAAGUCUCAAGUUGCUGCUUUAUCCAGUGAAAGACAGAACAGGUACCAUAUUUCAGUCAACUUUGAAAAAUCACCAGAAAUUGUACAGACAGAAACAGGGUCUGAAAUUUAUACGGUUUAUAGCCCUAUGAAUCUAGUUUAAAACGCAACAAACGGAACUUAAUCCCGACAUUUCUACAUCAAGAUAUAGCACAUUUUCCGAAACUGUGCAGAAGCUCCACAAAAAUUUUGACAGCAUUUCCCUUGUCUUUCUUUACUUUCCAUUCAAACCUCAACACCCACAAAUCACAAGCUAUCAAACACCUUAAAUUAGAGCCACAACAAGGCUCGAAUACGAGUCGAUUUCGAGUCAUAAACCGAAUCCACAUAUCACUAGAGUAAAAUAAUAUGGAACGUAUAAGUACAAAAUCAAACUAGAACAUAUGCGAAAACGAAGCUUGGGUUGGUAAACAAAAGGCAGAUUUGCUGUUGCUUAGCGGAAUUAACACAACUAAAGCUAUCCUUAUCGGAUUGAGGUGUAAUUUACACCGUUUUGAAGCUAAGAGAAAGGGUUACAAUGUUGAUGAAGAUCACUUAGUCCAAAUUCCAGUGUAACCUAGUCAAAUUCCCAAUUCUCAGAACCAAGUUCCAACUAAUCUGCUAAUUAACCGUACUAUAUUUAAAUGGCCAUAUCUCAGGCUACAAAAGUCUAUUUAAGGCGUUCUUAGAGGCGUUGAAAAGCUAAAACAAAGACCUACAACUUUCAUGAAGACCACUCAGUCUAGUUCUCACGUUAACUAGGUCAAAUUUACCAAAAUAAUUCCAGAUUUUCCAGUUCAAAAUUCACUGCGGAAAUCAACUAGCAGUCCUGCUUUAUUCACUCAUAUCUCAUCACACAUAACUCCAAUUCAGGUAAUUCCAAAGCCAUUUGAAAUCUAAGAUACAAGGCUAUAAUUCUUAAGAAGACAUCAUCAACCAAUUCGAUAACAUUCCUGGUCAAACUAACCAAUUACAUAAGCUGAUUAUCAGUUUCGGACAGAAACAGGGCAGCAGGGGUAUUUCGGUCUUUUCAUAGAUUACGUUGCUGCGAUUGAGCUGAAAAUUUACAGGCAGCUAGUUAACACCAUUUGCUACAACUUUCAUGUUUUAACCUAAGCCUGAUUCGGCAUCUAACAUGUUCAAAUAAAAUCGGACAGAAACAGGGUCAUUCAAAUCCCUAACCUGGAAUUUCCAUAAUACUACUUCCAACCAUGAAAUAUGCUCAUAAACUACCAAAACUACAACUUUAUACCACUAAUUAGCAAUUAAUUGAAGUAAAGAAGAGGUUCUUGGCAAAAUACCUUAUCUUCCUAUAAAAGAUGGUAGCUUAGACUUUGUCCUCCAAAAAUAACUCCACAAACACCUUGGAAACUACCUGAAAAGUAAGUUUUAUGGAGUAGUUUGGAAAUUAAUCGGUUGAAACUCAAGAUUUGGACAAGAAAUUGAAGUGGAAGAUGAAGAACUCUUUUGGUUUCUCUCUCACUAAUUUCAGCCAAAGGAGACAAGAAAAUGAAUGAAUUUUGGUCAAUUUUUGGUAUUUAUUUGGUAAAGGUGAUAAGAUGGUCUUAUGGUCAAAAUGUAAGAAUUAAUCAACAAGUGACACUUGUCACUUCAAUUAAUACAUGGUUAUCCUUUUGUCUCUCCACUCUCAUCCAUAUAAUAACCUCUAAUUAUCUCUUAGCACCUGGUAAAAUAAACCCGGUAUCCAAAACUUAAUCUAACUGGCCAAAUUUUUCCGAACUUUCCGCACUAGUGGGUCCCACGUCCGGUAUAUGCUCUUAAUUUCUCAAAAACCAACCGAUACUAGAAAAAUCAUCUAAAAACUAUAUUUAAUCAUAAAAAUUAUUUAGAAAAUUUUUCUAAUAAAGAAAAUGCAUAAAAGGCAUACAAUUAAAUAAAAUUAAGUCUAGAAAAUCAAAAAAUUUACGGGUUCUCACAAUAUAUACUCAAAUGUAUUAUAUUUAAUACUUAACAACUCAAUAAUUUAAUGGAUUCAAACUUUAAAUUUUAAAUUUCAGAUUUCAGUAUUAUUAAAUGUUCUCUAAAUUAAUUCAGAUGUUCUAUAUUUUAUUAUCAAACACAUCUAAAUAUGUUAAGAUUUAAACCCAUUAAUUUUACGUGCUUAAUUGGAUUACCAAACAAAACCUUACUUUGUCAACCCAAGUACCUAACCCAUGAGCAAGCAGGUUUAGUAGACUUAUCUAAGAAGUAAAGAGCUUUUCUUAAAGCUCUAGCAUCUAGUGGUUAUUAAAUAUCAUAAAUUUACUUAUCUAAGAAGUAAAAUAUCAUAAUUUUAUUAAAUCUGCACUAGCAUCUAGUGGUAUACAUAGAUACAGACAGAUGUUAAAUACAUAAGAAUGAAUGCUAGAAAUUAAUAAAAAAUAAAAAUUACACCUUGAAAUUUUAGAUACAUUCAAAGAUAAAACAGUAUAGGUCCGAGCCAUUUAUGUAUUUUUCAACCACCUACGCCACAUAUGCUAAUUAACUGCUUCAGACGCCGUUAUUAUGGUGAGAUCUAAUGAAAUAAACCUAAAAAAUCUCAUAUCUGAUAACUAAUCUGUAAAAAACUCAAAUCUAACAAAAGUAAUUAAAAACUAAAAACUCUCAUUAAAAAUCUCUCUGGGAUAGAAGAAAAUUUUCAUUAGAAAACUUUAAAAGAGAAGAAACUCUCACUAUAUAGCUUUAUGAGAGAAGAAACUCUUAUUAGAUAAUCUUAAGAGAUACUCACUACACAAAAAGGAAAGCAAAGAUAAUCAUGAAGGAGGAGACGAAUGGAGAUUGAUCACCCUCUACCAUUCUAUGAAGAGGAUUAGUUGCUAGAGGUAUCUAUCCUACAGUAUAUCUUUUAGAUUCAACAUCAACCAUGCUUCAACCUUGGAGAAUGAAGCUUUGCUUGCAAGGAAAAAUAAAUUUUUUUUUCUAAGGAGGAGGAUAAUUCAGAUUUAGGAGGAGUGAUGUUCAGCAGUUAUGAGCUUGGUAUGAGGGUUUGGUGCCAACUAGCUGCCAAUUGACAUCCUUAAUUCUAUGAAUUUAACCAACUACAAUGCAUCACCAUCAUCAACCACUAGAGUCCAACAAGAAUGAAACUUGUUAAUGGUAGCUAUAUGUCUUGUCGUUCUGGGCUGCCCCCCAGCAGAUCAUUACUUUUUCAUCUGGGCUGCCUCCCAGCAGGGCUCAUCAUUGAUGUUUGGUACACCUAUUUCACAAUGCGGCAAAAGCCAAAAUCCAUAACAAGGCAGUGUAAAUUUUUAUUUGAAAUUUUAGAUAUUCAUUUCAAUUUUCAAAUCAACUUUCUAUAGACUGAUUAUCAUCAUUAAAUGCAUGAUAAGUAAUUCAAAUUUAAAUUCAAAAUUCAAAUUUUAUAUACAUGUCACGCAUUUAACCAUGAUAAUAUAUCCGCUUUCAGUAUAUAAGUUUUAACUCAUUCAUUAAUGUGGCUACAACAAAGAUCUAAAUAUUCGGUAUAGUGAUAUGUUCUACUUAACCCUAUAUCUAUGAAAUAUUUUAUUCUCGAACAGUGAAAAUAUAUAUAUAUAUAUAUAUAUAUUGACCAGAACCAUGAUUAUCAUCCAUUCUGUUGCAGAUUAACCUAGAUUUUUCUAUUGUUACUCAUAUAACAUUCUUGUUUCGAAAUUUUGUCAUGUAAAACACACUCUUUAAAGUUGGACUCAAUUAACUCAAUAUGAAUUGAACUUGAUUAAUUCAAUAUGAGUUGAUUUCAAAUAAUAAUUAAGAGAAAAAAAAACCUUGUCACAGGUAAUAGGUGACUAGUAGAAACUCAACCUUAAUUAAACAACCUUUACAUGUUUUUACAUUAGCAGAUAUAUAUUAUAUUACAUAAUAUGAAUUCAAAUUUGAAAUUCAAAUCACGCAUACAUAUUAUAAAUUCAUAGUUGUUAAUAUAAAAAAAAUCACAAUAUUGCCAGUGAUUAAAAGUUAAUCUAAUAUUUACCAAUUGAGACUAUGAAGAGGCAUAUGGUCCACAGCUGCAGGUGUUAAAAGAUUUGAAAGUAUGGCACCCUUUACAUGUACCUCAUAUGUGGCAAACAAUGGACAAUGAUGAAUAUGAGAAUGUGAUUAGAUUGUAAGGUUUAUAAUGACAAAAGUAGAUGACACUUUUUUCUGUGUGGCAGGAGAAGACAUAAAAGGAGAGAAUAUUCGAAGGUUGGAGCCAUACAUAUUCGUUGGCUCGGAGCAUAAUUUGACGAAAAGCAAAGAAUUCCCUACUAUGACGCAAUAGGUAUUGAAUCUCUUGGAGUAGGUUUUUCUUUCAAGGAAGUCAAACUAAAGCACCGGCCGACCCAGCCAUGCUUUUAUAUUUUUAAUUUGAGAAAAUCGUUCAAAACACUUUUUAUUAUGUGAUGUAUGUGAGAUAAUAAGUUGAUUGAAAAUAUAAAAAGGUGAGUUGAAAAUGUGUUUAUGAUGCAAGCGAAAUAUUAUUUGAAAUAAUAUGUGUAUCCAAACAAACCCAUUUGUUCUUUAUUUUUUAAAGAGUAACUUCUACGUUUCUUAUAAAAUUAAGUCGAUAAAAUUCAGAUUCAACUUUUAUUUUCAAUCACUUUUUAUCCUGAAUCUAUCACGUAACCAUAUAUGGUCAGUUUUUUGAGGUAAAAAAGUUGUAGUAUUUCAAUUUAGAAUUAAUCUUUCCUAUACUGAUAACGUUGGAUGAAUGAUAACUAUGUAAAACUUAAAUUUAAAAUUCAAUUUUUGCACAUAUGUCAUGGAUCUAACGGUGAUAAUGUAUACACUGUCAGUGGUUAUAAAAUUUACUUUUUCAUUAAUAGAUUAAAAAAAAUGGCUCGAUUCAUUUUUAUUUCUAUAUUUAAAAAAAUAAGAUAUGACUGGAAUUACAUUCUUUUUUUUUUAAGUGAAUUUGACCCGAUUCAUAUUCAUUUUUAAAGUACGAUGCAGAUAGGUGGUUUUGAAUCUCAAGAGUAGAUUUUCCUUUCAAGGAAGUCAAACUAAAACACCCAGCCCACCAAGCCUGGCUGUUCUAUUUUUAAUUUCCCGAGGGAUACUUUGUACUUCGUCUUGUUUUUGCUCUUCACGCAGAGCAUAUGAUUUAUGACCAAUAUUUCCAGCUCCAACCAAAUUCUUGCUAGUCGAAAUGAGUUAGUGUUCAAAAUUAAUAUUUUAGGACAAAUUCCACUUUGAACCCUUGAACUUAUAUCACCUUUUACUUUGCACUCUAAACUUCAAUUUUGAAUACUUUACACCAUAAACUCUUGAUUUUAAACAUUUUGCGUCAUAAACUCUCAAGCUUAUCGUAUUUAAGUCCAAUCAAUGAUAACUUUAGUAAAAUUAACAACAUAGAGGACCCAACAAAUCAAAUACUGAUGUGUCAAAAGCAAUCGAAAAAUGCCAAAGUAUCACAACAAAAAUAAAACAAUACAUUUUGUCAUUCAUUUAUACUAUCUUUUUAUCUUGUUAAUUUUACUAAUAAUAUUAGUAAUUGAGACCUUAUAAAUCAAUGACAUUGUACUAAAAGUGGUCAAAAAGUUAAAAAAUUGUAGUUAAAAUAAAACGGUACAUUGUCACUAAUUUUCACCGUUCUUUAUCUCAUUAAUUUUGAGAAUGUAGUCAUUGAUUGGACUUAAUUAAAUUGGACAAAAUUAAAAGUUUAGAGUGUAAAAUGUUCAAAAUUAAGAGUUUAGGGUGCAAAGUAUCCAAAAUUGAAGUCCGGAAAAGUAAUAUAAAUUCAGGGAUGAAAGUAGAAUUAAUCCAUUAUUACGUUGCUACAAAGAGGCCUGGCUAUGGAGACAUCUUCAUCCACAGUUCUAUUCAGUUCAGAGACAUAAAUAUUACUCUGGUCAUCUCACCAUAGAUAUCUAUCCAGGAAUAUGAUAAAGCUGAUUUUAUCAAUAUAUAUAUAUAUAUAUAUAUAUGAUAAAGCUGGUUAUGCAUUAAAAGUUUAGAUAAACGGUCAAACCAACUUCAACCAACUUGGCCUGCAAGUUGUUAAUGAAGGAAUUUAAAGUAGAAAAUGACAAGAGCUGGCAAGGAUUUGGACCAAAUGCACAUCCCAUUUCCCAAAGGACGAGAUAAAGGUUUUAGGGUCUGUUUGGUUGGAAGUAAAAUAUUUUCCUUGGAAAAAUAUUUUCCGUGGAAGUAAUUUUCCAUGAAAAUCAUUUCCCUUUCAUCAUUUUCAGGUGUUUGGUUAGCUUAUUGAAAAUAUUUUCUUACUUCAUUUUUCUGGUGCUUGUUUAACUUUUGAAAUAUUUUCACUUUUAUCUCUAUCUUUACUUUCUACACAUUAUAACUACAUACUUCUUCCCAUGCAAAAUAAGAAAAUUUAUCUCAUUGUUUAACUUUAAAAAAUCUUAGAGAAAUGUAUAUAUGAAUAAAAAAUAUCUCCUUAAGCAAUAAACAAAUUGCUGGUCAUUUAAUGUCAAAUAUCAAUCACAUGCAAUGCUUAUUGUGACAUAUAUCUUGCACUCUCACUGCUGAAAGUUUCUCUAGAAAAGAAAGUCCCUAUUAUACAUAAUUAAUUACUAGCAUAGGAUGAGCAAGAUAGGGUUUUUUUUAAUUUUGAAUAUACUAGGGGGAGGGUUGGGUUGGGUGGUACGGGGGAGGGAGUGUAAGGAAGAGGUCUUGGAUUCGAGUCAUCCUGUUUACACUAAAAAAAAAAAAGGAACAUACUACAAGAUGUUUUCAGUAAGUUUGGAACAUACUACAGGUGGGAUGCAUGUAUUUCGGAAAACAACUUCAAUAAGUUUGGAAGUAAGAUGAGUGAAAAUAUUUUACAUAGGAAAAUGUUUUCAGUAACUUUUGUGCAACCAAACACAGGAAAUUAGGAAAAUAUUUUCCUGGAAAAUAUUUUCACCCGAAACAAACGGACCCUUAAUGAGCCUAGUUUUCUACUCCAAUAUUGGUGAAAGAAAAUUUGAUUUUGAACUAUGUCAAGAUAAUCUACGAAGGUCGCUGUGUCUAAUCAUGGAAUCAUGAAACGUCCACUAUUUUAAUUAGAUACAAGAAAGACAAGUGACAAAUAUCUGAAUCGACAACUAGUCCAGAGGAGAAUCCAACGAGCAAAAGAUUUGGUGCGCCUCUUGCUUUUGUCUCUGAAUUACGAGGAUUGACACAUUGACAAACAAUUUUCUUGGUUGGCCUAAUUAUGAGUAUUUGGCAUUUUACUUACAAGCAUUUUUGGUCCUUCAUUUUCUCCUUCACCUUCUAAAAUAAUUAACCUGCAUGGUAUGGAUAGCUCGGCCACUUCGGCCGAUAUUGAGCCUUCGUAGAGACUUGUCUUGGCAUAGCUUACUUAUAUGGGGUCAUCAGAAGCUUCAGCCCACCCCCUCAUACUCGUAUUAAUCGAUGAUUGAUAUGAUUGAUGUGACAGUCAAUCACCUUAUUAUUCAAUUUUACUACUGACACUGCCAGCUAUCGCGUCUUAUCCUAUCGUACGAGAUCAGAUUACCUGUAGACUUCAUCAUUUUGCUUUCUAAGUCAUCUGGUAUAAAUAUUGAUUCUUUACCCACUCAAAAGGUAUGUGCUCUAACUCACCCAAUAUAACUCCCAACAAUUACUGACUUAAAUAUCAAAAUGACUCCACGGGUAUUAACUAGCAUGGUAAAAUUUUAAAGGGUAUUGAGUAAUUGCGGUAGAGCUUGAGUAAAUACGGAAUUAUGACUUUGAGCUUCUUUAAAAAGGAAAAGUAUUAUGUGUGUAUGGAUACAAUUAAUAGUCAAUCACGUAGUACGCCUUUGACCGCGUGUGUUGGUUAGGACAACAUAUUAUGUGCACGUGUUCAGGUGCAUUUGACACGUGCGUCAAUGGCUUCGACGCAUUGACUGGCCCUUGAUAACGUCAACAAAAUACAAAUCUAAUUUUCUGACAAGAGUUCUUUUUUUUUUUCUUUCUUUCUUUUCAAAAAAAAAAAGUUAUUUUUUUCCCCCUCCUUUUAUGCAAUUCUCUAAAAAUCGUUAGUUGGAUGAGUACUUCAAAAUGUGCAUUUUUUUGUUUUUACCUAGUGUUGUCUAAAAUCUAAAUUACGUGAAGUUCAUAGAAGUAAUAAACAAAUUGUGCGAAUUUACUGUUCUUUAACAGAAUUUGAUAUUUUUUAAGUACAAAUAAUAUCCUUGAAAGUCCAAUUUGGCUCAACAACUUAAAAGGCCAGUAUUGUUUGCAUUUUUCAUAAAUCUAACCCUUGUUAUAUUUUUUCAAAGGAAACAUUAGCUAUUUUUUUUUUUUAGUAUAAGUGGGAUGGUUCGAAUUUAAAAUCUGUCAUUUACACUCCCUUCCACCGAACCAUCCAACCUGUUUUUCUCCAUAUUAACUGUUAUUUGAAUUGACAUAUGUAAAAAAUAUUUAAUUUUUUUCUACAUUGACAGUAUAUGCAAUAGUAAGUACAAAUGUUUAAUAACUAAUUACAAUUUGAAUUUAAACUUGAAAUUUUAUAUAUGUGAUAUGCAAACACCCCGCUAGUACGUAAAGUUUGCUCGUAUACACAUAUACGACAGAUUAAACCUUUAAACAAUGUCUCGAAGAUUCAUCCUUUAAACCUUGUCUCUCAUAUACAUUAAUCACCUGGAUCUACGAAUGCCACUCGUUAAAUGCGUGUAUUAUUUCUAGGUAAAUUGCAGCCUUCAUCCUAGGUUUAAGGCCUUUAUCCGACGUCUUUAACUUUCAACUCCUACAACUUAAUUAUAUGUAAAAGUUCAUUAUUAAAAAAAAUUAUAUGUAAAAGUUUCAUCCUACUCAUUUUUCACGUAGAUUAUUACAUUUAUGAGUUACGUCUCAUACGACUGUUUUUGCCAAUUGCCCGUUAAAAUUCUAUGCUAGCAUUCCACUUUCGCCAAAUCGAUAAUAAAUGUUUUGUGGUGAAUUUACAAAUUAAACAAAAUUAGUAAAAAAGAUCUGUUAUAUCAAAGUUUAUAAUACAGUAAUAUGCAGGACACGUAAUAUAUGCAUGUGAGAGUUUUCCUAAAUGGGAAUCUUAUAUGGUAAUAUUCAGAUCUUAAACAAUAAAAUAAGACGAUUAUUUUACUGAUUUUGUUCUACCAUUAUCUUUUCUUAAUAUCAUACUAGCUGGCAAUUAUUUGUUUUUUGACUAUAUAAUGCCGUGUGAUACCGUUAUUAGAAGUACAAGUCACUCGAAUCAAACUUGAAUAGUGCAUCUUCAGUAGGGCUGCAAACGAGUAGAGUCGAGUUGAACUUCAGUCUAAUCGAGCCGAGUCUUAACUUAAUUUUAUCGAGCUCGAAUUCAAACUCAAAUUCAACGAGCUGCCAAUUUAAAAUUCGAACUCGAAAAAAUAAAAAAUAAUUAUUUUUUAAAAAAUAUAAUGUAAUAUUUUUUCUUAAUAAAUAAUAAAAUAUUAAGGAUAUAUAUGUAAUUUUAUUAUUAAAAUAAAAAAAUAUAUAUAUACUCGAGCUCGCGACGAACUUAAUAUUUUUGAACUUGAGUUCGAUUUGGCCAUCUCGAUCUCGAGUCGAGUUUUGACUCGACCCACUCGCAAACGGUUCAAUUCAUUUGCAGCCCUAAUCUUGAGUUCGAUUGUGGUUGAUUCUAGCUAAAAUACUGGAGUUCGAGUUUAAUUUGGUUUUAGCUUACUCGAACUACGUUUUGAGCUUGAUUGUAUUUUAGCUGAACUUAAGUGAUAUAAAUCAAUAUUUUUAUAUUAUUCUAAACAAUGGAUAUGAUAGAUGUUUCACACUAAACAAUAUAAAAAUUUACAAUAUAUAAUUAUAAUUGAAGAUCGAUUGAACUUGAUUAAGGUCUACAGGCUUUCAAGUAUCAAAUAUAAGGCUUAAACUCGAGCUUGUCAAGCAAUUCGAAUUGGUUGAAGUUAGCUCGAAUCGGCCAAUGUGAACUUUGACCGAAUAAACUCGUUAAUAGUUUGAUUAAACUUGGCUCAUUUGCACCACGAACCAUAACACAUACUUAUUUAGAAAGUAGCCUUUGAAAAUAUCUAAGCUUUAAAGCUAUGUUUGCAUUGAAAGAUUUGAUAAAAGAUUUGAAAUUCUCUUAAAUAGGUCGUGUGGAUGACUCAAGAGGUAUCUAAAUUUGUAAUCUAUCAACUUUAGGCAUUGUUUAUUUUGAGUAAAUGGGAGGGAAAGGAAAGGAAAUAAAGGGACAAGAUUUUUAUUGUUUGGAUUAGUCUAUGAGGAAGGAAAGAAAGGUUUAGAAAGGAAAGGGAGGGAUAAAAUUUAGUUAUUUUUUUUAGUCAAUUUUCUGUCCAAAAGUGGGUGGAAAUGAAGGGAAAGGACAUCAAGAUUAAUGAAAUUUUUGAAAUUUUCUAAAAACAUAUCAGGUGUUUACAAACUAGACUUUUUAAAUUAUGGAUAAAAAUGUAAUUAAUUCAUAAUAGUUUCCUUUCCUUCCGUAAUUCAAAUAAGACAAAUGAGCUCAAGUUUUCUCUACUCUACUUUCUUUUCUUUUUUAGUAGAAUCCUCUCUUUUCCUCGCCUUGCCAUUCCUUCAAUCCAAACGACGCCUUUGUUUAUAAAUAAUUGGUAGAUUAUAAACAAAAAUACCUCGCAAAAUAUCCAAGCAACUCGAGGAAUCCGAGAGAUUUUCAAAUCAUUCAAUCCAAAUGCAAAUCAAAGUUGUUUUUUUUUUUUUCUAAUAUUUGGCGAGAGCAUAGAAAGAAAGAAGUAUUGGAAAUGGAAAAUAGGAUAAAAAGAAAUCUGGGAACCUUCACUGUAAGAUGAGUGAUCAAGUUCCCUAAAUGCAAGAGAUUUUCUAUUUCAAAAAUAUAUUUUUCAAGGCGACUCAAUAGACAAUCUUUAAUGCAUCUAAUAUAUAUCUAAUUUAUUUUAUUAUAAGUGUAUACAUUUAUCUUCAUCAUUUUUAUUACUACAUUUUACACGUCUUCAAACCCUUCUGACGCGUGUCCUUUAUAUUUCUUGUCAAACAGGCUCAUAUAUUCAGUCUCAAUCUAACAAUCACGUGUUUCAUUUCCCUUUUUUCUGGUAAAGUAUCGAAACACAUGAGAUGUAGUUAAUCUGAGCAUGUGCACUUAUAUGCUAAAAGUUUGGCGUAAUUUAGAUAUAUUAAUGUUAAAAAAAAAAUCUAUUUUUUCUACUAUAAGAUUAUGCAAACACGUUGUAUUAAGAUUAAUACUCGCCUAAAUGUGAUGUGCUCCAACCACAAAUGUAUUACAAGGGAUAAUUUUAAAAACCUCCCUUGAGGUUUCUGAAAAGUUCACCAAAUGCUUUUGAAAUUUUAAAUAUUAUACUUACUUUCUUUGACCCUAUAAGAUGAUCAUAAUAACCUUAAUAUAUUAAUAUUUUGCAUGCAAUCAAACAAUUCGCUCAUAAUCUCGUGCAUAUGAAUGCAUCACACAAUUAGUCAUUUAAUGGAAACAAAAACAAGAUUCUCUCGUGAAAUAACUAAUUAUGUCCUAAAUACAAUUUUAACACAAUACAAAUUAAUUUUGACUUUGCUCGGGGGAAUCUAAAGAUGAAUAGAAGAGGAUGUAAGGUGAAGGAAAAAGAAUGGCGCUAGUGGUGGUACUCCAACAUUUAAGGAAUAUGAUGUUAUUAGUGAAAUUUUUGAGUUUAACAGCGUUGAUUUUUUUUUUUUUUUAACUUAGAUUGAGGUUUAAAAAUUUAGGGAUUAAUAGUGGUGGUGGUCACGGUGACAAUGGUAUUAAUUUAAGAUGUGGGAGUAUGAAAGAUUUAAAAUAGUAGAGAUAAGAGUCGAAAAUUUAUUUGAGAUUUUGUGCAUGUUCCAUAUUUUUUAAAGAAUUGCAUAAGAAGGUAAAACGAAUUUUAUAAUUUCAUGAUGGCAUUUUGGAUUUUUGACUAUUAAAUAGUUUUUGUCACCAAAAUGAUAAACACAAGAAAGGUAUGUAUAAUUUUUAAAACUUAAAAAGAACUAAGUGAAAUUGUCAUAAACUUCAAGGGAGGUUUCUGAAAUUAUCAGAUUAAUACAAUAGCAGUGGGAGUUCCCAACUUACCAUCAGUAGUCCAUCACAUACGGCGGUUUGGUUUGGUUUGGUUUGGUUUGGUCCCACCCCUGCUUUCUGCUUCUGUCUGCAUAGUUACCAAAUCCAACGGCCCCAAAACAGGCGGUGUCCCUGACUCCUUGCUGACGCCAAAAAUUACAGUACUACCACUACUACCCAAUUGCCCCCAUCCCCGAAAAAAAAAAAAAAAGAGAGAGCGAGAAAACACGUUUCCCCCAACCAAUCCUCCCCUCACAUGUUUUUUCUUCUUCACAUCGUAAAAGCUCUCGUCUUCCCGUCUUUUCCCCUAUCCAUCUCUCUCUUACAAGCUAUCUUUAUCUAUAUCUAUAUCUACACCGACAUAUCCAUAAGCAAUCGGCUCUGAAUUUUGACUUUAAUUUUGGGGGAAAGAAGGAAAGGAAGAAAGAUCAAGGAAAAGGCCCAAAUAGAUAAAAAGGGAUUAGACUUGGAGAUUGAAUGCUUGCUCUGUUUUUUUUUGGGGGGUUCUGUUUGAGGGAAUUGAGGGGAUUGCUGGGAUUUGGUUAAUUUGGGUGAAUUGUUAAUUUAAUUGGAGGAAUCGAGGUGGGAUAAUUUAGGGUUUUGGUGGUGGUUGAUUAAUUUAAUUUAAUUUAAUUUGAUUGGAGAUGGGAUUGGACGGUGGGGAUAUUCUAGAUGACGGCGAUGGAGUUGGAGGAGGAGGAGGAGGAGAGGGAGAAGGGGAAGCAUUGGUCACCGUUCCGUGUUCGAUUUGUUUGGAUGCUGUGACUGAUAAUGGGGAUAGAUCUUGGGCUAAGCUUCAAUGCGGUCACCAAUUCCACCUCGGUGAGUUAUGAUUUUUUUUUUUCAUUAGCUUUGUUCUCACGGUUUUAGUUAUUUUGAUUGUAUACUUUCCCUUGUAAUUAUUGAGAUCUGAUUCUUUAAUUUUAGAUAACUGCAAAAUGAUCGAGAAAGAGUGGUCAGUUGAGUUUAAUUUACUAAGUUGGGGCGGAUUGAAGUUUGUAUUUUUGUGGUUUUGGAUUAUUCCAAUUUGAUCGGUUUUUGCUAUUUUAUUUCUCAAUUUUUGCUGAAUUAUGUGGUUGAUGAGGUGGGCAAGUGUGUUUAUACAUGCAUGAAAGCUGUAGAAGUAUUUACUAGUAUUAUUUGUUUUGAAAAUAAUGUUGAAAUGACGAUCUAAUAGUGGCAGGGAAGGGUUAUAGUGAGUUGGGUUGAUUAAAGUUUGACCUUUAGGAUUUGGCUACUUCCACCACUACAGGUUGUUAGUGUUUUCCACAACAUCUAGAUAAAUUGUGGCUUGAUCGUUUGUAAAAGCUUAAUUUUCUUGGGUUUUGGUCAAGUCAUGGUUUGUUGGUUGCAGCACUGGUGUUUGGGGAAAAUGCGUUUGAGAAAAGAUGAUAAUUUUUGUGUGUGUGUGUUUUUUUAUGGAUGUGGGCGGAUUUAUUUUAAGAACUUCCCAAGAGAUUGUAUUGAUUUAUCUCUCAAGUGUAAUUAUAUUGGAAUAGAAAUGAUGGCUUUGGAUUCACUCAAAUAGAUAUACCGUCACAUUUGCACAACUUUCAGUUUCUUUUAACUGCAAAUUAGUCUAAGCUCAUUAAUACAAGGCAUUAGUACUUUCUCUUAGCUGUAAAAUCUGAUAAAAAUGAAGCAGAAGGACAACCUUACAUCUGAUUCUUUUGCUUCCCUUGAGUGUAUUGAACAGUGAGCUGAUAUUUUGUAACCUGUAUUGGAUAAUUCAGUAGGUGCACCUCAUUUCUUGAAUUUUGGAGCAAUCAAUUGAUCUUGCUAGACUUUGUGUUUCUGUUGUGCUCAAUUGAUGGAUUACCGCUUUCCCUUGGACUUAAGAGCCUGAGGUUAUUACUUCCCAGUUGACUUUGUGAAAGAAGGGCUAAGUAUUUAGAUUCCAAUCUUGGUAAAGGCAAGAAGGAUUGCAUUAGUCAAAUGCUCAUAAAAAAUGAUGGCACAUUUUAAGACUAGGAGAGAGUUAUCCAUCAUUCAUACCAAAAAAAGUAUUUGAUAUAUGGGAAUGAUUGCUGGCCAUUAUUUUUCAAGAAUGGAAAAAAGACCCUUUAAGUUUGAAAGUUAUUAAAUGCCAUCUGCUUGCCCAUUCGUUCUUUGCUCCUUGUAUUGUUCCUUUUAAGAGCUGAAGAUAUCAUAUAAUUUCCCAAGGAUUUAGCUCGUUACUAUUUAUAAUCAUAUUGCAUUUUUCUCGAGUCCUGAUGAUUGUGUGAAGGUUUCUUUAUAUUUAGGUCUGAAUUUUUAGUAAGAAUUUUGACAGUGUUCUGGUGUACUAAAAGAUUGACUUUCUUUGCAAUCUGGUACUAACGAAGAAAAGAAAUGGUUUGAAGGUUUCCUUGGGUUUAGGUCUGAAUUUUUAGUGAGAAUUUUGACAGUGUUCCGGUGUACUAAAAGAUGACUUUCUUUGCAAUCUGCUAGUAAUGAAGAAAAGAAAUGGUUUGAAGACUGAGAUUUGUGUGGCAACUUUUGGAAUCAAAACCGCUGGCUGGACAUUUGUAAUCUAAGUAGUUAGUAGCCAACAGCCAGAAGCCUUAUAUACUAUUGCACAAUGUUCAUACACCUAAUAUGGGCUCAAAUUCUGGGGUAACAGCACCUGUUGAUCACAUGACAUGGCAUGCCUGUCUUUCACCAUGCCAUAUUGCAUGUGGCUGCUCUGCAGGUGUAACUAUCCAGUUGUCUAAACUAACAAUCAUCUGAGUCUGAACCAUUGCCCAGCACCCAAUUCUUAUGUACUUGUAUAUAAUAAACUUAUAGUACCCUGUUUGAUUCUUAUUGAGGGUCAUAUUAUGCGCUAGAUUCUUCAAUUUGAUUCAGUUGACACCUUUUAAAAAAGAUUCUGUAGUGAAUAUUAGUAUCCGAUAAAAUUCUGGAUAACAUGAUGUGACAAAAAUGCUAAAUUUGAUAUGACCUUUUGAUCUUCUUUGUCCUUUUCUGAGAUUUCUGCUUUCUUUACGCAAUAGGCUUAUGUUUUGGCUGUGAUUGCUCUCUAUGGCUAAAACUAUUGCUUUAUGCUUCAUGAACUCUGAUUUUCUAUUUGGGAAUGUCACUACAUAAAAGCAAAUCAUCUAAAAAGGAACAGUAUUGUACAAUUCAGAAAUUUGGUCCCAUUUCACCAGAAAAUAUAUAGUCAACUCAAUAUAUGUUCCCUUUUGCCAUUAAUAUUGCCGCUUCGAUUGUGGUUCAGGAUGCUGGGGCUUUUUUCAGCCUAUUCAGAAUUUGUCAUUUGUGAAGUGGAAUAUGAUAGACAUAUAAUAUGGGAAUGUUGAAUUUUGCUGGCUAACAGUCGAUUCUAUUGACCUAUUGCUUCGGUUUUAUUAGGGAAUAUUUGCGUUGGAUGAAUUUUUUAAGUACAAUGCCAGGGAUGGGAAAUUGUGAUAGACUAUUGUCCUUGCUGAGGUAUUAUUGAGGGAUAAAGAUUUAAUGAUUUCCUUUUUUUUUUUAAGAAGUAGAAAAGAUAUGUAUUAGUAGGUCCUCUAAUGACUUGAGGAACUUAUGUGGUUUUAACUACAACUUUUAAGGAUGUUUGAACAAGUUGGUACAGGAGUUCAUAAAGAAAGGAAGCAAAAAAAAUUGAAGUGCAAGGAGAGUUUUCAACCUUUGUUUUAUUGUGCUGAAUACUGAGUUGAGGAGGCAUAUAUAUAUAUAUAUAUAUAUAUAUAUUUUCAAAGCUGUAUGGCCUCUUGAAACUCCUGAUGUUAUGUCCUCUUUUUGAGGACACCUGCUUGGGAGGCAAUGUUAGGAGUUGGUAAUCUAGGGGAUACGAGGAUAGGCUUAGCCCAUAUUAGGAAAGAAGCUGGCAGGUUGUAUAAAUUGAGCACCUGUUUGUUAUGGUAGCAAUCUUUUCAGAAUUUGUAGAGGUUCAUGGAUAUCAAUAUUAAAGUUGACAGCGUGCUUCCUCUCCCUUUCCCUUUCCAUGUCAUGUGGUGCAUUUUGAAGGAGAGUGGUCGGUGGUCAUCUGAUACUUCAUACAGUAUUAAUAUUUUUCACCUGCACAAUAUUCUUCAUAACCUUCUUGAGUCCUAAAGAAAUCAAUCAAUCAGAAAGCAGUUGAAAAGGGGUGAGCCUAUCUCCCAACCUAUCUCCCAACCAGCAGAUGAGAGUGCCCUUUUUAUGUCUUUAUGUUCUACUGUGCCCCUAUCCAUUUUAGGAUGACAAAUGAAGAAUUACUUCAGAUGGGUUAGCAUGUGCUACUUCUGUGACUGGAUAUGAAAUCAAAACUUUCAUUGAAUUAACAGUUUGUUAUUGCUUCUGGUUCAUCGAAUCUUCAGUUUGAUUAUUGAAACUAUUAUGAUCUUGAAUGGUAGGUUGUGCUGUCAUAUAUUUUUGCCAAGGAUGUUCCUGUCUUGCAUUGAUUUCCUACUAGUCAUUAUGGAACAUAUUAAGCAUAAGAGGCUUGAAUUUUGGCCAAUGUAAUCAGCAAAAUUAAUGUCUUUAAUGAAUUCUAUGGGAGCCAUCUUUUUCUGUGCUCAAACAAACUUCACUGUGAUUUGACGAUGACUGACUGUUCCCAUUUCUCCUAUGGGUAUGUCUCUCGUUCUCAUGCAGAUUGCAUUGGUUCUGCGUUUAAUGCUAAGGGUGCAAUGCAGUGUCCCAAUUGUCGAAAGAUUGAGAAAGGCCAGUGGCUGUAUGCAACUGGCUGUCGACAGCUACCUGAGUUCAACAUGGAUGAAUUUGCUCAUGAUGAAGAUCUUUAUGACCUUAGCUACUCUGAAAUGGUAAUAUAUCUUGUUGAUCCUCUGUUAAGAGUUUUUCUAUGUUUUGGCUUCUGUGGUUUUCUAUUUUUCUCAUGUUCUAUGACUAUGGUAGCUUGCUGAUGGUCUGUGAUUGGAAAAGAGUGUCACAUUGACACACGCACAAGCAUAUAUAAAUAGCUUUGAGUUUGUAGAAAGAAGUGUUGUGCUGUCUGAGUUUGCUGACCUGAUGUAUUGCCACUUUGAUUUUCCUACUGGCUCUAGUUUGGCUGCUAGUAAUUACGUGUUAAAUGUCAAGAUGGAACAAGAACGAAAUCACAUUAUGAAGAAUGUAAGUGGACCAUUAAUAAUCUUGGCCAUCUUCUUCAUUGAGAAUCUGCAUCUGGAGUUUGUGCUAAUAAUCUAUAUGCAGUUUGUUCCCCAGCAUCUGUUAAAAAAAGAAAAUAGAAAGAAUAAAAAAACUGACUGCAAGCUAUGGACGUUUCAUACGAUCUUUUGUAUUCUGUUCCUUCUCUCUCAUGUUGGUUGUCGCUAUACAUAAGAUUAGUGAAGAGCUUUCCUUAUUAAAGGUUGUGUGCUGAAGGAGUAUUUUAGCUAAUGAAAAGAAGUAUCACCAAAUUAGUAUAUUUUUACUUGUACAUUGUCAAUUGUUAUUGUUUUUCUGAGCUAGAAGUGUCUUAGGCUCUAGGAAUUAAGUUCACACUUUUCUGUAAUGAAUGUGGCUCAGGGUUCUGGGCAAGAACUGGUUGUUUAAUCUGUUGGUUGUAAGUUUGAGAAGACAACACUGAGUAUAGCUGUGGACCACAUACACAGUCAUUAUGGAAGGAGAUGCAUCUACAUGUUUACACAUGUUAAAGGACUUCAGGUUUCAUUUUAUUGAUAACUGCCAACUAUAGAGAAGUUACUUGAUCUAUCAGCACACGAGUUAACUGCAUUCCUGCAAUUGCUCGAAGAUAGAAACUGGAAUUGUUUGUACAUUUCUUUCAUGUCCCAAAUAUCAGUUCCUUAAACUUUUUUCUUGAUUAGCGUGUGAUGUUUUGAAGUAUGAACCAAUAUGCUUAAGUAUAAUCUACACACACUUAUGCUCUUCAGGUUUGGAUAAUCAUUUAGUAUGCAGCAAUGGUAUAUCUUGCUAUGAAAUUGGUUUCAUAUGGUGGCUAUGUUACUGCACUUGAUUGUGUUACUUUUUACUGGUAACUGAAGCUAUGAGUUAUGGUGUGCAUUUUGUCUUGUGUUUUUUCCCGGAUCUGCUGCACCUCUUUCAGAAUGUGGACUACUAUACUUGUAAAAACAUGUUUUAGAAUUCAGCUUGUGGAAUAAUGUGCUCAUACUUUUGUUUUUAACCACGUAUGUAAAUUAUUAGAGUAGAGAAUACUUCUUGUUCUAUGUUUUCAAUAUUUAUGACAACUCAAGUUUCUUACAUAUUAGCAGUUUUUGCAGUCUAUUGGAGUUCAUUGGUGUCCAUUUAGCGGAUUGACUCGGCUACCUUCAUCUUUUGAGUGAGUACAACCACAAUAUACUUUCUAAAUGAAUUUGACUUUCGUUUCAUGAUGCAUUCUUUUGUGAACUUUUGAAUGCUACAGCAAAUCUCUCAGUUUUCGAUGUUUUUGAAUUCUCACCUUGAGGUGGGUUUGGUUUCUGCAACUGAAUAUCACAUCCAAGAAGCCAUUUGUGUUUCAUUAGUUGUUACCUCUGAGAAGGGGCUGAGCUAGAAUGUGAUUCAGUGGGGGCAAACUUAACAUGUGAAAUUCUACUACUAACGGUAUCAAAAGAUAUAUGUUUAACUAACAAUGUAAUCAAUACAUGCCAAAAGUUAUGUACAUAGUCAAUUCAAAAUUGAGCAAAAAAAAAAAAAAGUAUCUCUCAAAUGUCAAGUUCCUAAUAAAGGAGUUUUCUUCUCUUCUAAUAAAUUUUCUCUAGAUUUCUUGUUAAGAUGAAAAAAAAAAAGAAUGAGCACUUAGGAAGCUCCACUGCGUAAGUGAAAAACUUUUCAAAUGGGUUUGUCUGCUGGAGCACGUUGGAAAAGACUGAGAAAGAGAAUAAAUGGAAAAUUGAGUCUCUCUCUCUCUCUGUUUAGACAAGGUGUUAUUUAUUAUUAUUAUUUUUUAAUUUUUAAGUGUGUUGACUUAUUUGGAUGUAGGGACAUAAAAAGUGUGAAACACCAAUAAACUAUUUUUGAAGGACAGUGGGGCAAUUUCCUUUAAGUGUGGGUUAAACCUAUAACUUUUUACCUAUAUAUCGAGAUUUUUUACCUAUAUAUAAUUGCCCCUCUACUUUACCUGCAUCUCUGUCUCUAAUCCAAAAAAAAUUGCUCUUCCAUACAGCUGUGUUUUGCUUUGUUUUUUCCCACUAAACUCUUCUAAACAAAAGAUAUUCAAAUGUGAUAGCCAGGGCUCGCAGUAAAGAAAGUAUUAAGGACCAUGUGGUGGAGCACAACUGUGGUGUUCUUACAUCAUUGAAUGAUUUCUACUAUCCAUUGGGGGGAAAAUACUGAAAAGGAUUUUUUUUAAGUGGAUGAUAUCAUGAGUUUUUUGGUGUGGUGGGAUUUGAGAUCCUGAAUUUAUAAUUCCCAGCAGUGAGCUGCAUUUUUUACUAAAGUACUCUCGUCUGUUUUUGUUCAAAUAUGUGUUUAAUAAUGUAUUGAGAAUUUAGAACUACUACUUGUUGCAGAGUAGAUUUAAAGUAUAGGAUCAGUCUGCCUCCCACCCCAAUCAUCUAUUCUCUCUCCUCUUGUUAUUUGUGUAGAGCAUUAUAUGCUCCUAGAAUAGUAGGAACACACAGAAAGUCAUUUGGAGAAAGUUUAAUCAUUGUAGUGCCAAGCUUUAAAGCUGAAAGGCAUAUAUUUUAUUCAAGCUAAGAGAAACACAAAAAUAGGGGAGAAGCUCCUAUCUUGUUCAGUCACCAGAUCCAAGAGCUUGACUCUUUGAUAUAGAAAAUGAAGCGUUCGUGGAUUAAAGAAUUUAAGCUUCAUAAUUUUUGAUGCAUGUUGCCUGUAAAUGCCAAUAGGAAGAGAAGAAAUUGGAUAUGUUUUCUGCAUAAGGAGAAGUUCAAGGUCAUCCAGUCCAUUUCUACUUUGUGACUACUUAAAUAGAGUUCUAAAUCCAUUCGAGUAAGGAAACCCACUCGGUUUUCAGUUAGAUGGGAAGGGAUAUACGAGGUCCAGUGGUAGCCUAACACACAGCACUGCAGAAAGCUUUUAAGGCGUGCCAAAAUUUUGGUGUUUGGUUUAGUGCGGGAAUUGCUAGUUUUUGCACAUAUACUUGUCUAAGUGGCUUAUGGAGACUCUGGUGCUCUGGUUUUCUGGAUGAGAUGUAAAUUUAAAGUUCCUAGAUUUCCUAUUCAACAUUGUAUUGAUUAUUUUUGUUAAAAAUACAAGAAUUGUUCACAUUAACAAGGUUUGUUGUCUUCAAGCUUUGAUCCAUUAGUUAUUGCCUUUUUUGAAAAAGGUCUGUUUCAGUAUAAUUGGCCAUUGUGGAGGUGAGGGAAUGGUUAAGUACUGCAAUCCAAGGUGACAGGCCAACCUGGUCGGCCCUUGAUACCUUGAACUGAAGAUUUUAGGUUGGAAGUUUUGGUUUGAGAACUUGGUGAAGGUUGACCAUUCGUUAUCAACAUUAGAAUGGGCUGUACUGAUUAUUUUUCUGUAACCCUUGCUCAACCACUAGCAAGUCACUAUUCUGUUAAUGUACUUGUACUGGAUGUUUCAUGUUUAUUUAUGGCAUUUUGUUUUUUUGAUUAAGGCGACAAUUGAUGUCACAUUAAGGUUGUCUUGCUUUGAUUUGGUCAUGGUGUUGUCACAUUGCAUUUUGAAGUUUAGAGUUACUUUUGUUUCUUUCUCAUUUACAGUGUUUUGACAUGUUAUCUUUUUACACUUUGCAGAGAAGGAGAAUACUCAUCUACUGCAUGUAAGGUCUUUUCUUCUGACUUAAAGCUGCAAGUCUUGUGAAGCUUGGUAAUUGAUAGGGCAUUUCCUAUUUUGCAGAUCAUGAAAUUUUUGGACAACAUGCUAUCCUUGCUGAGCAUACAGCUAUAUCAUCUGCGAGUCAUCCAUGCCCAUAUAUUGCCUACUUUGGACCAGUCCAUCCCUCAUCAUCAAAUUCAAAUGCUAGCGUUUCCGAUGGUUCUAAUUUUAAUAAUCAUUGGAAUGGUGCAUCUGUACCAAAUGAGAUACCUGCAUCUUAUGCUUUCCCUGGCAUGGAUGUUCAUUAUCACAGUUGGGAUCACCAUUCCUCCCCUUUCCCUACCACAAGCAGUCGCAUUGGUGGUGCUGAUCAACCCUCAAUCCCAUCCGCGGCUCAAAGAGCAGCUAGAACGAAUUCUGAUGUUCCGAGAUCGGGAUCCUUUGUGCAUCCUUUCAUUGUUGGUCACAGGUUGGUAUUUGUUCAUCAGUAAUCCGAUAUGCAUUUACUGGAUUAGGCGUCACAACUUCUUUUGUAAGUGGUGUUGUACUAGAAUAUGCAUGUAUCCUGUAACUGGGCCAAAGCCCUCAAAAAGUACACAUGUCAUUGCCAGAUCAAAGUCCCUAGUCUCCCAAAGGGAGGAAUAGAUUGAAUUAAUGAAUAGGAUUGAGUUCUAUUGUUCAGAAGGAAAACAUCAUCUUAGACACUUUUAUUUUAUAUUGAACGAACAAAGUUGAUUUUAGGUAGUCCAUCUCAGAAAGUUUCUCACCAGCCAGUUUAACUAUAGGCAAUAUCACUAUCAGCAGCAGGCCUUUGCUAUUUUUCCUGUGCGAUUGUUUUGUUGUUUUUGUUUCCUUUUUUUAACAUUAUGAUAUUCUGAAUAAGGACACAGUUCUGCUGCCAGAGCUGGGAGCUCAGUUGUCUCAUCAAUGAUUCCACCUUACCCUGGCAGUGUAGCUCGGGCCCGAGACCGUGUUCAAGCUCUUCAGGCAUAUUUUCAGCAACCAAGCAAUACACCAUCAAUACGCAAUCCAGUGAUGUCUGGAUCACGGAGAUCAAGUGCUCAUAGGAGUGUGGCACAAGUUGGUCCAGUUGCUUCAUCGUCUGACCAGACUGGUGCUUUUUAUUUCAUCCCUUCAAGUUCAUCUGGAAGAACCUAUCAAGAAGCAGAAAAUUCCCUGCCCAAUCGCUUCCAUGGUUGGGACCGAGAACACUUGCCUUCGUUUCCCUCGAGUCAGAUUGAUAGAGACCCGGGUUGGGGACCAUUCCAUCAAGCAGCUGGUGGGGCUGAUGGUAGUCUCAGGACUAACAGCUUUCGUCAGAGGCAUGGACCUGAGAGGAUGCCAUCACAAAAUCGGUCAUAGACUGCUUAUUAUGUCGUGAUGAAACGUUAUGAUAACUAUGACUGAAACACAAUUUAUAUAUAAUGUUUGAGAAACAAUGAACAACAGUUGUAGCCUGUCAAGAUUGGCAGACGAAAAGCUGUUAGAUGGCCUUAAAAGUUUGGUGGCCAAGUGAUUGUGUGAUGGAUUUUGGCUUCCUUCCUCAUGUCUUUGCCUGGGGGACAAUGAGAUCCACUCUUCAAUGGCAAAGUUGUAAACAUUUCCAGCAAUUGGCUUUGAAAUUGUUUUCAUAACGAGUAACAUGACAUCCAUGUUCUCAGGAAAUUCUCUGAAUAAAUCACUCAUUGGCUGUUCAUAUUUGAAAAGUGAAUUCAGGUCAAGAAACCGAGAGCGAGCAAUUGCCUUGGGACUCCGCUGGCUGAAGGCCUAUUCUCAAUCUUACUUUCUUAUUAAAAGAGCAGACUCCUUCGUAGACAUGGGAUCUUAACUCAUGACUGGAUAAACCCUUCGCUUGACUCUCGAACUCAUGACUGGAUAAACGUCUAAGCGAUUUUGUCAUGUUCCCCAGUCUCAACUUUUUCGCCACUUGCGUGAUAGUAUCUUGUUCCAGUCUCUUUGCUUUCCGACAUCUUUAUUGUUAUAUAUUUAAAGCAUGAACACCAAUUUUGAUGUUAAAAUUUCUGUGAUUUCAUGUAAUGUCAAGGAAGCCUUUCUUCCAUUGGCAACUUAGACAACUCGCUUCCCGUUCUUUUUAUCUUUUGCCUGCUUCUGGCCUCUCAAUAAAACCUAGUACCAUAUAGUAACUUCCACUAGGAAUACAGAGAGUCCGACAAAUGCUGAAGAUUCUAAUGUGCACGAGCGUGUUCUCGACAUAUAAUUCUUUCCUCUACAGCUAUAGCACCAAGGCAAUUUUUAGGCUUGAAAGGUUAUAGAAGAUGAUAUCCUUCCGUUGCAUGAUGCAUAUUGCAAAUUUCAGGACAUCUUCAUUCGCCGGAAUUUCGCGAGGCAGGUACCAAUUUCAUUGAAGUACCCACCAGCGUGGCUGCAGAGCGCCUCCCCUUCAAAAGAUCAGCCGGAGCUCCCCCAGAAACCACUUCCUCAUCAAUCUCUUCGCAUCGAACACUACUUGCUUGUUUGUUAAAACAUCAUCAUAGCAAAAUCUUUAACAGGAGGCCUACUUAUCGAGAUCAAGUUCUUUCAGAAAGCAAAGCAAAAUCCUCGCAUGAUAAUAGGGAAGAAAGUAAAAAGUGAUGGGACUUUGACCACAACCACGUCACUCCAUCAAUAAAAACAACAGCGCUAUAUAUACCCAUUGAUGCGUAAGCCGACAACCAUAUAUUAGAAUACGCAGAAGGAAAAUGAGAGCGCCGACAAGAGAGGACACAGUAAUCAGAAGUUCUAAUGCGAAAAUCAAUCUCCACAUCAUAAGGUAAUACAUAUUUAUCAGGCCAAAUUCAUACGUCAUGUAAGUUCUGUGAAGGGCUGAAGGUGACAGCAUGUUCCUUGCAAAAGCCGCAACACAAUAUUACUAAUCCAAAUCCCAGGGAACAAAUGAUUGGGUCCUACUAAGUCUGCUCCGUAGAACCCUCAUUUAAAGUCAGCCAGGGUAGAGCUUGAAUCAGCUUCAAUCAGAUCUCACCUGUAAAUUACAACAAUCAAAAGGGCAGUUCCUCGAGUACAAUAUAAUUAGAAAAUGGAGGAGAAAGCAUACAUACAGGAGAUAGAGAUCCAGAGAUGCUCCUGCUUCGGCUCCUACUAAGGCUUGGACUUCUGCUUGCAUAUUUGCGACGCUGUGAAAUAUACAAGAUUAAAUGGGAUCAGUAAGAAUUCAGUUUUGUCGAAUGGAAAACAAGAAGUAAUCCCAGAGGAGUUUAUGACUUACAGAUAGUAUUGGGCUUCUAAAUUUCCUUGGAGAUCUGCAAAAAUUUCCAAAAUAAACCCAUUUUAAUAUCCAGAACAGUCCAAUAUGACUUCUGAUCCAUAUGCAUCCAUGCUACCUCGACGUCGAUAAUCAAACCAAGGAAACAAUAUCUACCAGCAAUCUUUAGCACCACUUAACAUACACACUCUUUUAGACCAAUCCAAAAUAAUUUCACGUUCACUGUUGUCCCAUUCUUCAAAUCUGGUCUUCUCCAACGUGGGAGGACAAUGAUACACAAUGCUAGGGCAAAGAGUAAGACAAUUCGCUCAUACUUUACCAACAGCAAAGCUAAGAAGCUGUUGUAAACCACACAAAGAUGAUGCUGUCAUCGUUACCUUGGGUUCAGAGUUACGAAGUGCCAUUCUAUUCUAGUUUUUGUUACUUUUUUGCAAAAACCACCUUAGACAAGAAUCCACAUUAGGAAAGAAUCCAUCAUCUUCACUAGGGAAGUUAGCACCAUGGGCAUCACUUGCCACAGUUAAAAAAGUAUUAACAAAAUUUACCAUCCAGGCUAUGCAGCAGGUGCUCAUCAACUAAAACAGCAUGCAGCCACAGGGCCCACAACCAAGAGUUGCAUGAUAUUUGAGCACCAUAAUCCUCAAGUCCCUAACAUGCAAAAUCCCCAGAUCGCCGCGAAAAUCCAGAUCUAGAAAACAAAAAAACCAAUCUUCAUAACAGUAUCAUUAACCACAAAAGGUGGCAAGUCCUUUCUGAAUUGACCCCUAUCCCCGAGGAUAAAAUGGAUUGUGACACUUGAGAACAAAAGACAUCUAGCAUACGCAUAUCUUAUUAGAAUUACUAAUCUGAAAUUCACCCAGAAGUGAAGCCAACAGUGCUGACUUUUGUGAAGAAAAAUAUUUUUUUCUUUUUUCCAAAAAUUGUCAACUACUAAGGUGCCUUUUGAACAGACUAUUAAAAUGCCUGAACGGGACAGACUUCUCUGUAACUAGAAGUUAAAAUGCAUUAUGCUAGAAAGAAGCAGUGAAUCUCCUUUUCCAGAUAUUGGAAAAAAUUAAGGUGCCUUUUUGACUGGUGAAACAGAACAAAAAGCCUAGAUAAUUCCAUAUGUUUUACAGGAAAAGAGACCAUAAAUAUAUAAAUGUAAAUUGAAAACUUCAAGUAGAAGAUCAAAAAUUUCGUAUCUUUCAUCUUUUCUUAAUUUCAUUUACAAAAUUGGGUGGUCAAAAACUAUCCAUCUCAUAUCAGCAACAUAAGAAGCAAAACAUUUUGCUCCUUUAAUGGUUUCAUCUUAAAAACUCAAGAUUACUAAAGAAAAAGUAACAGAACAUGCAGCAGUCAUCCAUAGAUGACAAGCUUAGCAUUAGAAACCAGAAGCUGGACCAAAAAACAAAAAAAGUUUUAUAUCCAACAAGAAGACGAGGAAGGAAAAUGAUUGGUUCAGUGAUAUCCAAAGAACUAAGAAACAUUCAUCACUAGAAUCAUAAUCCGAGUAAUAAGCCACGUAAUAGAAGCAUGCAAAGAAGAGUAAGGAAAAUGAAAGAAAGAUCACACACUGUUCCAAAAAAAAAAAAAAACAGAGAGGAGAGAAAAUAAUAACCACUUAAAAAGCACUUUAAAUGGCAUAAAGGCACUAGCUUUGAACAAAUUAUUUCUCAGAUGAAAACAGAAUAAAGCACAACCAUUAAAAUCAAAAUGGAGAAUUUCAUAUUUGGAAGUAGUCUUCUGAAAAUGACAGUUAACCCUUCAAGCCCGUGAUAAUCAGGAGAGAGAAGAGAGUAUGAAUCAUAUAGCAAUUUUGACUUAGCUUCAUAAUACAUAUACCUCAUGUUAACCUUGUUGAUGCAACAAAUCAUGAAAAUAUAACAUCUCAGGAACUCACUCUGGCAGUUGCUGAUAAAAAUACCAGCCACUCUCAUGCAUUUAGGAAACUACAAUACAGCUAUACAACACACAGAAUAUAACAGAACUGGAAGGCUUCAAGCACCAAUAAAUUGUUUGAUAAGCCAAAAAAACAAAAGCACAGCAAUAAUCUACCUUGAAACAUAAUGAGGGGAGUCAGACAGAGCCCCUGAUGAAACAGACCUUGAGAGAGAUCUAGAUGGAGAGCGACGAGAGUAUCUGGCCCUUGGAGAAGCACUAUGUAAAAGCAAAGUCUGUCAAUGGGUAGAGUAAUUCAGACAAAAAUUAGAAAGGCAGAUAAAUUUAGAAUUCAUCAGACCUCCUGCUCCUGCUGCUGUAGCUAUAGCCAGGACUCCUACUCCUUGAAUAGCCAGGACUCCUACUAGGACUUCUGGAGAAGCUUCUUCGUAGAUCGUACUCCUCCACCUAAAGUUUCACAGACAAAAAAAAAAAAAAAAAAUGAAAGCGACUGUCUAAUAACACCAAGAUAGAAUAUAAAGGGUUCAUCAUUACAUACCCGUAUGUAAGCCCGGGAAUACUGAUUGCGAAACAGAGAAUCAUCAAGUUUCCGUAUCUGCAAUGAAUUGAGCAAACAAGUAAAGAACAUUAUAUCAUAGCCUGCCUUCCUUCUCCUCCUUUUCAACAAUGAAGAACUAUUGAAAGAUACAUAUGGCAACUUUCAACAAAUCAGGGGCAAAUUGCAAUCAAAAUAAAAUCAUGACAGAAAUCUAAAACACUGCAAAGGAAAGAUUGAAGAUCACUAACAUUUAAAAAUACUGGAACAUAAAAAUGGAACUCUAUGUCCAGUAUUAACUUACCGCGUACUUCAUGUCAUCAUAGUUGGUGUAAUCAAUAAUCCCUCUCAUACCUACACAUGAACCAUGACAAUAAAAACAGUUAUCAUUCCAAAUAUAGUGUUAUAAAAGAAUCAAAUCUUCAAAAGGCAUUAACAGGGGAACGAGUACAAAUCUUAGAAAACUCAGAAUGACAAACUUAAGAUACUUAAAAUUUAAAAAUAGGACAGUCAUAAUAAACUGUUUGCUGACAAUCUUAAAAAAGAACAAAUAAAAGACAAACAAGCUAGAAAACAACCAUUAAGUAAUUUUAACAUCCACAGAAGAUGCUCCAAAAAAAUAAAUUUACUAAGAUGACCACCCUAAAAAAAUUUAAGUAAUAUGCACCAGGAAAAAAUGUAGUGUUAUUCCACGAAUAAGCAGUGUGUUACACCUCUUCUCCCACCAAAUAUAUUUGCAACUGGUACAUAAAUUCAUGCUACUAAAAGUAAAUUUAGAAUCCUAGUUUAACUGUUAAGGUCUCUCUCCAUCCUUUUUUUUUUUUAAAUAGGAUGAUUGUUGAGCAUAUCCACAUAAAUAGACACACAGGCAUUCCUGCGUGGGGAUUGUUCCUUUGAGCAGUAAUGGGUAGAGGUACUUUCCAACAAAAAGGUUUGGCACAUCAGAGGAUCCAGAAAAGUCUACACUGAAGUUUAAUAAGUUGUACAGUUCAGCUCCAUAAAGCUAAAUAUUUGCGUCGUCCUGAGAUGCACAGUGUGGCCUCAGAGAAUAGUAGUAUGCUACAAACAAGUAAAGAUUUGCCAGAAUUCUUUUUAUAAAAAUCAUCGAUCAGCCCCCUCAUCCACAUUGAGAAUAGCUACCAAACAGAUGUAACAAAAAUACACAUAACCAAACACCAGGCUGACAUAGAUGUGCUAGAUAAACCUCUAAGUUCAACUAGUGCUAUGGGCACACCCAUGUCUGUGCAAUUUAAAUAAAUAAAUUUAAUAUAAAUUAAUGUGACAUGAAUUUUUCUUUAUUAAAUUGAUAGUUAUUUUGAUAAUUAUACCUACAAGUGAUUAUGCUGGCACAUGUUCUUAGGCAAUUUGGUUGGAAAUUAUGUUGGUUAUACAUAAUUGGGUAGUUAGAAUAAAAAUUAGUUUUUAGGUAGUUAGAGUGAAUAUUAUGCAGGUUAUAUAUGAUUGGGUAUUUAUGAUACUAAUUAGUUUUUCUGAGGAUAACAAUGUAACUUUAAAAAGUGGCAAAACAUGUUUACACCAACCCCCUCCUUUCACUUUAUAUAUAGUAUAGUAUGUUGCUAAGCCUACAGAAGGUGCUGAAACACAAAACCAGUGACACUUGAGCCCACAGAAAUUUGCAAUAGACUCUUAAUAUUAAACAAAAACACAAAUUUAUUCCAAAUAGAAAAAAUAUUAGACAACUCACCAUCACGAUCACGGAAAACUUGAGAGAAACAGACAUCACCUGCUCGACGCAUGUGAUCCUAGUAAAAGAGAUAAAACUAAUCAAUUUUAAAAAAGAAAGAACUAAAAUCAGAUAGCCCUCUAACUAAGAAAAUCUAGAACUAAAAUGGGAUAGCCCUCUAACUAAGAAAAUCUAGAAUUCUCACCUUCAAGUCCUGCCAUGAAGCAGAAGGUGGCAGCCCUGUGACCAAAACUGCACAAGUUUGAAGUGUUACCAACAAAUUCUACAUGUAUUACAUCCUUAGCAUAAAGCAAACCAAUAACACGUAGCAAUGACUCACCACGAUAGUCAGAGCGCCUUGAAACACCACCACGACUCCCUCCACUAUUGUAACUGCUGUAGCGAUCAUAUGAUGAUGAUGAUCCUCGCCCACCAUGUGCGAGUUCAACCUGCAACAACAUGGGGUAAACAGACAAAAUUAAGCAAUUUGAUACACAUCAAUCAACAUAGUCAAAACAAGGAUGGGGAACUAACCCUUAAUCGGUGACCAUCAAAGUUAUAACCAUCUCGACCGCGAAUAGCAUCAUCAGCAUCACGGUAAUCAUCAAACUGAGCGUAUAAAAGAGUUCAUAAGUCAGAAUAGAUAGUGAAACACAAAAUUAGAACAAAGAGUUCACCUUGUUGAUUGUCAAUAAUCCAGGCAUAACUAACCACUAAUGAUCCAUUGAAAACUCAAAUCCUGAAUCAAUCGAGAAACUCACCUCCACAAAUGCAUAACCAGGUGGUCGAGGAGGAAUUUUCAAGUCAAUAUCCACAAUACGACCAUACUGCAAUAAAUCAUUAGAGAGAGAACAUAAAAACAAUUAGCAAAUAUUGUCUUGUACAUGCACAUACUAACCAACUAGGAAACAGGACCCAAGGACCUCAUGCCAUACUCUAUUCGGUCCAGUCAAGAGAAUCUCAACAUCCGAUGACAAAUGCAUGCACAUGUCAUUUCUAAAUAUUAGGCACCAAUGAAGAAAACAGAACUAAAUUACUCCCAACAUAGGAAUGCAUCCCAUGAUUCAGCCACAAAAUCAUCCGAAAUUUCAAAUUUAACACAAAAUUAUUUGAUUAAUGGCAAAAGUUUCGGCCUUGGAAUCCCAAUGGUUGUGCUUCAAGCUAGUCUAAUUCCAGCAUAAGGUUUAAUACCACAGAAAACAAGAAAAGGGGCUCUGUUCUGUAAUAAAGGUUUAGCUUAUUCCAUUUCCCUUCUCCGGUUUUCAUAGUAUCUCUUUGCCCAAAAUAGCAUCAAAGGAAGGUUAACUCGCAGAAUAGACAAGCAGCCUUGAAAAUAUAAGUUCAAAAUUCAACUUAAUUACAAGCAUAUGACCAUAUUUGUAUGGUUAGAACAUAAAUUCAGACAGUAAGGCACUAGCUACAACUAAUCUUGAGGAAUGCUUAUAAAAAAAUAAAAGUAAAAUAAAAUACCUUGUAAAACAAGUCUUCCACUUCACUCUCACGGAUAUCUCCGGGGAGAUUUCCCACAUAAAUGGUUCGGCUUGAGCGGCUUGAGCGACCCAUUUCUUCCUGCAAUCAUAUAAAAUUGGUCGCAUUUAAAAACACAUAAAAGUGCCAUUACAUACUUGUCAUAAAAGCUACAACCAGGAAAAAGAACUAAAUAUUCAUCAACAUUAGACAAAUUCAAUGAUCUAAAAUAAAACUGAAUGUGAUUAAUGAUAAAAACUCAUAAUCGAUGAGAGCAAAAGACCCCUUGCACUAAUUUAUUAAAUCCCAAAAAAUGACAGACAAUGAAUUCAUUAAUUAAUUUUUUUUAAAAAAAAAAACCGAGUAACAAGCAAAAAAUCAAUACCUAAAAAUUCAUGGAAACAACAAACAACACAGUACUCCCAACCCAAACAGAAAAGCAAACACAUUUUUACAAAUAUACUGCAUGAGGUAAGUCCAUAUAACACUAUAAAUCAUUCCAAUCACAGAAUUUCUUAUUUGGACACCAAAAAUUAAUAACCUCAAUUCUCUCUCUCUCUCUUUUCUUUUUCCCUUUUUGCACAAUAUACAAAUACCAGAAAGAGAAAAAGAGAGCAAAAAGCUCUAAAGAUUCUUUUACUCUUCAAUUAUGAGAAUCUAAGAUUCCCAAAACCCUAAUUUCUUCAUUCCCCACCUUUCUACAGUUAAUCAACAAUCAAAGCCGUUGAAAAAAUUCGGAUCAAUUCUAAAGCUAAACUGAAGUACCAUUACAGGUCCAAAAGGAAAAAAAAAAGGAUCAAGAUUGUUCAAAAUUGACAGGAGAUUAGAAUAACAAAUAGAUGAAGCGUUAAUAAAUUCGCGUCUUUUCUAGUCGUAGUAGACUGGAAAUAAAUUUUCUGGAUUGAAAAUUCAUUUUCUAGAUAGCUUAUAAAUCGAUUUCUAUUAAAAAUUCACUAACCUGAUAAAGAAUUCGACCAGAGACUUCGUUUCUUGGGUGGGUUGAGAGAGUCUGGGAAAUAUUUAAAGUCCGAGGAGAGAUGCGACCAAUAUAUAGAGAGAGGAAAAAGAAAGAGUUGGAUUUUUGGAACCUGAUCUGACACGCGUACGGGUGGACGGUUUAAGGGUGACUGACUCUGGUUUGACAUGUGUACCCCUUUUGGCCAUUUCAUGGCUUCCACGACCACGAUAGAUACUUUUGUGCUGUUUGCCCGUGGUACGUUCACGUCACAAUAAUCUAUACAAACAAUAGAGAAUAUAUGACGCUGAAGAAUAGCGGGCCUGUUUGGAACCUGAGUUUUUUGAGAGUUUGUCUAAAAUUUUACUGUAGUGUACUGUAGAAGUUUUUGAAAAAAUUUUUUAAGAUGAAAAAUUUUUUAAAGUUUUUUUAAGAAGUUUUUUGGAAGUUUUUUGGAAGUUUUUUUCCUUUUCUUUUUUUUUCUUUUCCUUUUUUUUUUUUUUUUUUUUUUUUUUUCUUUCUCUCUUCUUCUUCUUCCUCUUCCUUCCCACUCCCCCUUCCCUCCCCCGUUACUUCUGCGUUGCCUCCCCAGCAGCAAUGGUCACCAUUUUUUGUCCUUUCUUUUUCUUUUUCUUUCUUUCUUUUUUCUUUUCCUUCCUCCCUUCCCCUUCCCCCUCAAAAACUCCUGUGCCCACAGCUUCUCCGGCCAGCCCUCAUGCAUCCCCGAUUCCUUCUCCAUCUCCAAAGAUUCCUCCAACAAUACCUGCGGCUUCUCCCUGGUGAAUGCUCCGGCAGUGUCACCGCCUGCAUCAUCUCCAAUUGAAAGCUCAACGAGUUCUCCAGUUCCAGCCACUGCAGAGAUUCCAUCCGCCAGUGCCAGUGUUCCUUCCACUUCUGCGACAUCGGCAAAAUCGCCGGCGAUAUUCCCUUCGAGCAGAAACCUGCCAAGUUGCUCACCGGCUGGGACGAGUUUGGCAUCGGAAACUUCGCAAGGCCCAGUUGCUGAUGAAUCGGUGCUACCUCCAUUCAUGGGGGGCCUAAUUGUUCUUGCUGAGCAUUGGAAGAGGUGAUGACAGAGGUGGUGGUGACGGAAAAAGAAGAAGAAAAAUGGGAGGUGGGGGAGGAGGAGGUGGUGGUGGGUUGGAGUGGGUGACGGAGGUAGAAGAAAAAGGGGAGGGAAUUUUUUUUGUGUGUUUUGGGUAUUUUGAGGCAUGUAGGUAAAAAACUUUGUGAAGUUUUUUGGGGUUCUUGUAGCAAAAAUUGUUAAAAAACUUGUAGGAAACAAACUUGCUAAAAACUUGCACUUCCAAACAGGGCCGCAUUUGAUAUAAACACUUUUUAUCAUCUUUUGAGUUUUUUUCAUUUUUAUUUUUUCCUAAAAAAUGGAAAAAAAUUUUCCCCAAAAAAAUAACAAUCUAAACAAGACCUAGGCUCUGCGGACAUUAGGGAGUUUUCCAAAUACAUGUUUUUCUUUAUGAAAUUUACAAUAACAUAAUCCAAAAAUAACCCCAAAACACUCUAAGGGUAUGUUUGGUUCCCCAUAGAAUUGGGGUUUAGAAUUGGAAUUGGGCUGUUUAGAUUCUACUCUAUUUAAAAAAUUAGAAUUGAAUUUGAAUUCUACGGGGAUCCAAUUCCAUGAAUUGAAUUCUUUACCGGACCAAAAGAAUUCUAAUUUCAAUUCCACAACUAAACCGGAUCUACACGCGGAUCUAACAUGGGUCAAAAAUUAAAAUCAGGUCAAGCAUAAGUUGCAAGAAAUAGUUUCCCGUUCCGAUUGCUCCUUCUCCACCAUCGUUACCACCUCCAAUACUAACCUCUCCUGCCACUGUCUUCCUCCUGCCUUCUGUUUCUCUGGCCACUCCCUCCAUCCUUUGCCAAUCCCGCCACCUUCCGCCCAUCACUUUGCUCAUCACAAGACCUACUCCGUCCAAUUUUUGUCACUCGUGUAAUGAAGUCAGUAGUUAAGUAGUAUAAAAGGGAAGAAGUCGUGAAGAGAAGUUAAGAGAAGGCGUGGCAGUAGCAGGAAGAUGUCAAGAGAAGUCGUGGUCUGGUGAAGACUGCAGUUAACAGUGUACGAAAGAAGAAAGGUGUGAAGUCAGGAAAAGAAAAGUCGUGGAAGAGAGAGUGAAGGCGCGAUCCAUAAAUCACGCCUUUGCUGGGUUCAUGCUGUUCUUGCUGAAGUUGGGGACUAGACGAGCUUGAAGAUUCUGCUUACACGUGUCAAUCCCUCAUUAGUUAUUGGAAGGAGUUAGUUAGAGUAGCUUCUGUAAAUGAUACGAUCAUGUAAUCUGUUAGCUAUCAUUUGGUUAAGAUUUGCUAUUGUAACCAGAGAGGGAAUAUCCCCUCUAUUGUCUUUCCUCUCAAGUUUCCUGCAUUCUUUUCCCUCUUCUCCUCUUUCCCGCCAAUUCUUAUUCUGUAUCUAGUUUUGAAGUUCAUCAAUGAAAACGAAAGGUGUUUGUUCUUGAAUCCAAUCGAAUCUGAGUAUUUAUUAAUUUUUGUUUAUUCAACUUCCAUUCCUGCAACAUUUCUGGUUCUGUACCACAACGGUGGUAUCAGAGCUGGUCUUACGAGUCAUAGGGAUGACGAAAAAUCAGGACAAAACACUGAGAAGAGAGGUAGUGGAACUUGGUAGUGUGGUCAGAACCUUCACCAACAAAAAUGAGGGAAUAGAGCAGGCCAUCAGAUCAAUGGGAUUCAGGUAGGAUGCUACUGAAAAAUUACUAAAGGGGCUAGAUCAGAAGUAUGAAGGAAUGAUGAAUAUGAUGACUCAGCUAAAGACUAAAAUGAAUGACAUGGGGAAGGAAUUUGAAGGAAGCAGCAGUUCUAAGGAGGUGGCUCAACUUGAGGGAUCUAAGUUGGAACCACCAAAGGAAGUAGCUGGAAGGAGAGAAUUCAGAACCAUCAACAAACUACCAAAAAUAGAUCUACCAAUCUUCGAUGGGGGCAAUCCUAAGGAAUGGAUCAGGAAGGCUAACAAGUAUUUCAAGAUACAUGGAAUAGAAGAUGAAAUGAAGGCUGAAGUAGCAGAACUUUACUUCAGGGAUAGAGCAGACAUCUGGUUUCAUGGAGUCUUCUAUGGAAGGGAAGCUAUACCUUGGGAAGAGUUAACUACUGCUCUGUGCAUCAGAUUUGGGGAAGGAAAACCUGAGGAAGCCAUUGAGGAGUUCAACAAGCUAGCACAGGCUGGAUCAGUAGCUGACUACUUGAAAAGAUUUGAAAUGCUCAAGGCCCUGGUAAUGCCAUCCUUACCACAUUUAUCUGAUUCCUAUUAUAAAGCAUGCUUCAUGAGUGGAUUGAAAGAGAAAAUUGUCAAUAUGGUGAAAAUGUCAAAACCUGAAACUUAGCGAAGUGGCCAAAUUACAAGAGAAGAACUUAAAAGCUAUACAGAAGAUACACAAAGCUGUUCCUGCUAGUUUUAGCAGUCAGAAAAGUCAUAUAAAAACACCCCCUCAUACCAGAUGAAACCAAGACAAUCCCAAACACACCACUAGACCCCCUAACCAAAAUGCAACAAACCAAAAUCAAUUCAAGAAGAUAUCCCAUGCAGAAUUUAACCUGAGGAGAGAGAAAGAAUUGUGCUAUAAAUGUGCUGAACCUUAUAUUUUAGGACACGUAUGCAAACAAUCCCAUAUUUAUUACUUGUUAGCUGAAGAAGCUGAAACUGCAGAAGGAAGCAAGGAGCAGGAAGAGGAGGUCUAUUGUGACUGUAUUAAUGGGGAGUUGGUAGAUGAACAUAUAGAGGUGUCCAUCCAUACCUUGGCUGGAGGGGCAGGGCACAAAACCAUAAAACUAAAGGGCCUGGUUAAGGGGAAACAGGUUACUACACUAAUAGACAGUGGUAGUACCCACUGUUUUCUGGAUGAACAACUGGCAAAGGAACUGAAGCUUAGCACACAGGGACCUAACUUGAUAGUUAAUGUGGCCAAUGGAGAAAGGGUAGAAUCCAAGGGACUGGAUAAGUCUAUGCAGUGGGAAAUGCAAGGUCAUCAGUUCCAAUAUGCCUUUAACACCUUAAGAUUAGGAGGCUGUGACAUAAUCCUUAGAGUAGAUUGGCUGGCCAAGCACAGUCCCAUAGAAUUCAAUUUCAAGGAGCUCAGUAUGAUGAUCCAUAAGGGAGAGCAGGAAAUAGUGCUGAGAGGAGAGGAUACUAGCACUAGUUUAAAGAUGAUCAGAGGAAGCAGGUUGGAUAGGUGGUUGAGGAAACAGGCAUAUGGGAUGGUAGGACAACUAGUGGCAAUAAAAGAGGAGGAUGGUACAGGUUAGAUACCUGCUAAAAUCAAUUAAGUGCUAGAUCAAUACAAAGAUGUCUUUGAAGAACCCAAAGGGAUGCCUCCAACCAGGGGCCAUGACUACUAGAUUGUUCUAAAAGAGGGAGCCAAGCCUUUCCAAAUAAGGCCAUACAGGUGCCCUUACGUACAGAAGGCAGAGAUUGAGAAAUUAGUAAAGGAAAUGCUGGAAAUAGGCAUCAUACAGCCUAGCAGUAGUCUUUUUGCCUCACCAGUGUAGCUGGUUAAGAAGAAGGAUGGAACAUAGAGAUUCUGUGUGGAUUACAGGCAACUGAAUGAGUUAACAGUGAAGAAUAAAUUCCCCAUGCCUUUGAUUGAAGAGUUGAUAGAUGAGCUGCAUGGAGCCAGGUACUUCACAAAAAUUGACCUAAGGGCAGGAUACUUUCAGAUCAGAGUCAAGGAGGAAGAUAUUCCAAAAACAGCUUUCAAAACUCACCAAGGACUCUAUGAAUUCAAGGUCAUGCUAUUUGGCUUGACCAAUGCACCAGCAACCUUCCAGGGCCUGAUGAACCAGAUUUUUCAAGAUCAGAUGAGGAAACAUGUGUUGGUGUUCUUCGAUGAUAUUCUAGUUUACAACCCAACACUGGAGUUGCAUGUCAAACAUGUAACUAAGGUAAUGAAUCUUCUGAGACAACACCAAUUGUAUGCCAAGAUGAGCAAGUGCUCUUUUGCUCAGUUGCAGGUGGAGUACUUGGGACACAUAAUAUCAGCAGAAGGAGUUCAAGCUGAUCCUAAGAAGAUAGAGUGCAUGGAGAACUGGCCCAAACCAACUAACAUCAAGCAGCUAAGGGGAUUUAUGGGACUGACAGGCUACUAUAGGAGGUUUGUCAAAGGAUAUGGAGCCAUAGCAAGGCCUAUGACAAAUCUGCUGAAGAAAGACAAUUUCCAUUGGAGUGAGGACGCAGAGAAGGCUUUUCAGGAGUUAAAAGGAGCCAUGUGCCAUACUCCUGUGCUAGCAGUGCCUGACUUCACACAACCCUUCAUCAUUGAGACAGAUGCAUGCUAUACUGGCACAGGUGCUGUUCUGAUGUAGAGCAAGAGGCCCAUUUCCUACGUUAGUCAAGCCUUGGGACAGAAGAACAUGGGGCUGUCAAUCUAUGAGAAAGAGUUGCUAGCAUUAGUGACUGCUGUAACCAAAUGGAGACACUACUUAGAGGGGCAUCACUUCAUCAUACACACUGACCAUCAGAGAUUAAAGUAUUUGCUGGAGCAAUGGAUCACUACUACUCUCCAACAGAAGUGGCUCACUAAGUUGCUAGGACUGAGCUAUGAAAUUCACUACAAGAAGGGAAAAGACAAUGUAGCUGAGGAUGCACUUUUUAGACAAGGCAGAGAGGGGAUAGGGGAAUGCACAGCCAUAUCUUGUGCAAUGCCUGCUUGGAUCAGAGAGGUAAUGGAGAGUUAUAAGGGGGAUGAGUGGACUCAAAAGACCAUAUCACUGGUGCUACUGUCUCCUACACAGGCACCAGACUACUCUUACCAGGAUGGUAUUCUCAAGUACAAGAAGAGAUUAGUAGUGGGGAGGCAAGGUGAUACCAGGAAGAAGCUUAUCACUGCAUUGCAUGACUCCCAAAUAGGAGGACACUCGGGUAUUCAAGCCAGCUACAUGAGAGCCAAACAGCUGUUCUACUGGCCAGGAAUGUACAAGGAGAUCAAGAAGAUGGUUUUGGAAUGUGACACCUGUAGGAAGUGUAAAGAUGAACAUGUGGCUUAUCCAGGACUGCUAUUAGGAGUGGGAAAAAAAUUCGAUCCGAUCCGAAACCCGACCACCCGAUCCGAAAAAUAGAAUAUCCGAUCCGAUUUUUCUUGGCGAGACAAAUGCGGGUUGGGUACUCGUAAAAACGGAUACGGAUACGGAUCAGCAAAAUAAAAAUCCACGGGUACCCGACUCGCAGGGUAUAUUAUAUAAAUAUUAGAAAAAUAAGGGUUCAUUAUAUAAUUUUAUAAUUUUUAAUCCUAAAUGUAAGUAAAGUAGUUCACAACCUCAUAUUUUAAUCUCAUAUGAUCCACCUCUUCUCAUCUUGUCCAAAAAAAGUGAAUAUUUUUUGUGAAACCUGAACCAAAUGAAUAAAAUAAAGAAAAAUUUAUGAAACUCUAUCAUAAAAAUUGUUCAUCCCUUUCAUUCGUUUUCAUUUUUAUUCUACUUCCAUCGAUUUUUUCUGCAAAAUUUUGAUCAAUUCAAUCAAAGAUUUAUGUUUGGAGCUCCAAUUUUCUGUUAACGAAAUAAUAAAAACAUUUGUGUCUUUCAUUUAUUUAUUUAUUUUAUUGCAAUUGUGUUUCUUAAAUUUGUUUCCUUUAUUUUAGUGCAAGAAAUUUAUUUUUCUUUUUCAUCACCUUUAAUGCAACAAGGUCUAUUCCAAAGAUGUAAGAAAGUUGGGAAAAAUUUUUCAAAAUUAUUUUAGUUAUACUUUCUUAAAAAAUUAUUAACUCUGUCCAAUUCUUUUCCAAACUUGAUUCUACAAUCGACUCAUUUUGGAUGCAAUCUUGUACCAUAAUAUCCUUAAGGAAAUUGGAAAAGUUGCCAUAUACUUAUUAUUCUUAUGUUUGUUAUGUUGUAAAAGGAUGAAAUGUGUGAGAAUGGUGAUGUACUCAAAAUUAUCAUAAAACUUCGUUUUAUUCUUGUGUUUGUUAUACUUGAAAAAGUUAUCAUAUACUUAUUAUCCUUGUGUUUGUUAUGUUACAGAAGGAUGAAAUGCGUGAGAACGGUGAUGUACUCAAAAUUAUCAUAAAAUUUCGUUUUAUCUAUUAGAUUUUAUUAUUCUAAUAUAUACUAAAUUUAUGAAAUCAGUUUGAUUAUUGGAAGAAAUAUGUGAGAAUGGUGAUGCAUGGAUUUUGAUUAUAAUAUAUCUACCAAUGUUAAUUGGAAAGCAUACUUUUUUUAUUGGAAAACAUGUUAAUAUUAAGUGAAAAAUAUUUUUUUAUUGAAAAAUAGUUUUUUUUAGGGGCGGGUACCCUAUGACUCGCCCCUUUUUUUCGAGUACCCGAAAAUAUUAGGAACGGGUUAGAUUUGCAAAAUGGCUGAUCCGAUAUUUUAGGGUUGGGUCAACCAUAUCUUGUUAGAAACGGGUACCUGACCCAUGCCCAUCCCUAAUUGCUACAACCAUUACCUAUCCCUCAAUAUUCAUGGAGCCACGUUACCACGGAUUUCAUUGAAGGACUGCCACAAUCAAAAGAGAAGAAUACCAUAAUGGGUUGUGGAUAGUUUCACCAAAUAUGCCCACUUCAUCAGUUUAGCACAUCAUUUUGAUGCACCAAAGGUAGCUAGACUUUUUAUUGAUAAUGUCAGUAAAUUGCAUAGGAUUCCUCAAAGCAUGUUGUCAGACAGGGAUAGGAUAUUUGUCAGUCAAUUAUGGGGAGAGCUGUUCAGUAUGUUGGGAGCUAAACUAGACUACAAUACAGCUUAUCACCCUCAGACUAAUGGUCAGACUGAGAGGGUCAACCAAGUGCUAGAGAUGUACCUCAGGUGUGUGACUCAUAUAGAACCUAAGGGAUGGAAUCAGUGGUUGUCCUUGGCAGAAUGGUGGUAUAGCACCUCACACCACACAGCCAUUUAAAUGACUCCAUUCGAGGCAUUAUAUAUCCUCCCCCCUCCUCAACUGGCUUUAGGACCUUACCUUCAGACUAGAGUAGCUGCAGUGGGAGAUUACAUCAAAAAAAGGCAGCAAAUGGACAACAUGUUGAAACAGAACUUGAAGCAGGCUCAGGAAAGGAUGAAGAAAUAUGCUGAUGAGAAGAGGAGUGAGAGGGAGUUCAGUGAAGGAGAUUGGGUGUACCUAAAGCUACAACCAUAUAUACAGAGUUCAAUAGCCUUGCGAGGAAACACCAAACUCUCAGUAAAGUACUUUGGUCCAUACUAGAUAGCAGAAAGGAUAGGAGAGGUAGCAUACAGACUGAAUCUACCCACCUCUUCAAAGGCUCACCCUAUUUUUCAUGUGUCAUUGCUCAAGAAAAAGGUUGGUGACAAGACCACCCCUACACUCCAAUUACCAGAAACAAAUGAAAAGGGGCACUGGAGGGUAGAACCAGUAGCAGUGCUUGGUAGGAGGAUGGUAAAGAAAAGAAAUGAUGCUGCAACUCAGUGGUUAAUCCACUGGUGGGGCACAGACCCUGCAGAAGCUACAUGAGAGGAUGCGGAGGAGAUUAGGAAACAGUUUCCCACCUUUCAAUCUUGAGGACAAGAUUUACUGUUAAGGAGGGAAUAUUGUAAUGAAGUCAGUAGUUUAGUACAAAAGGGAAAAAGGCGUGAAGAGAAGUUAAGGAAGACGCAACAGUAGCAGGAAGAUGUCAAGAGAAGUUGUGGUCUGGUGAAGACGGCAGUUAAUAGUGUACGAAAGAAGAAAGGCGUGAAGUCAGGAAAAGAGAAGUCGUGGAAGAGAGAGUGAAGGCGCGAUCCAUAAAUCACGCCUUUGCUGGGUUCAUGCUGUUCUUGCUGAAGUUAGGGACCAAACAAGCUUGAAGAUUCUGCUUACACGUGUCAAUCCCUCAUUAGUUAUUGGAAGGAGUUAGUUAGAGUAGCUUCUAUAAAUGAUACGAUCAUGUAAUUUGUUAGCUAUCAUUUGGUUAAGAUUUGCUAUUGUAACUAGAGAGGGAAUAUCCCCUCUAUUGUCUUUCCUCUCAAGUUUCCUGCAUUCUUUUCCCCCUUCUUCUCUUUGCCGCCAAUUCUUAUUCUGUAUCUAGUUUUGAAGUUCAUUAAUGAAAAGGAAAGGUGUUUGUUCUUGAAUCCAAUCGAAUUUGAGUAUUCAUUAAUUUUUGUUUAUUCAACUUCCAUUCCUACAACAUUUCUGGUUUUGUACCACGACACUCCGUCUCUACACUUGCCUCUGCCACUUCUCCAUUACUACUGUAAUCACCAUUAUUCCUCUCAGCCUGACAUUUUGGGCUCUCUCCUUCAGCUUUUCUGCUUUCCCCAAAUUUCAGAUACAUUUAGGGCUUGUGAAAGGUAACUUUAUCUUUGAAAUUUUUUCAAUUAAUCAUUGGUUAUGGGCUUUAUUACAUAGCUUUGUUUCAUUGGACACAUUGCAAUGGUUUGUUCUGUUUUCAUGUCUAUUUUUUCUUAUGAUGAGUGCUAAUUGACUAUCAUCCUCUGUUAUCUCUGUGUUUUAGAAUGGAGAUGGUAGUCUUGGAAGAGGGUUUAUGUUUGUAGUGUUUUCUGGUUUUUAUUUCAAUAAUAGUGGGCAGGUACCACUUAUGAAUGUGAUAGCCCGUUUCCUUACUCUUUUUCCUAUUGCAAUGCACUAUGGAUUUAAGGCCCCUUAAGCAGGAAUUAAUGAUAUCUGCUCUUACAUUAGUAGCUCUCUAGGUUCUAGUGGAGGCACUUGUUUCCAAAUGGGCUUUGACUGAGCUGUAGUUGAAUAUGAAAUUAUGUGAAGUCUGUAUAGAAGAAAUUCUGAAGGCUUAAUACCCAAAUACAUCAAAAGUUAAUUUUAUUUCAAAACGAUUGUGGUGUUUUCUGUGUCUAAUGGUAUAUUGUGGCAUUAAUUUAAAUAUUAAUCAAUUCCUGGGUUGAUUUAUCAUCUCUUGUAAAAUGUUGAGUUGUUUGCUUCAUGGUCUUUAUUUCUAUAAGCAUGAGCUAUUGUUGAUUGGGAUUCUUGAUGUCAAUUAGUAACUAUAUAUCUUGAAUAAUUACUAACUAUCCAGUUAUUAGUUUGGUGCAAUAAACUGAGAUACUUUGUAUGGGUGGCAACGUUUACUGAUUAAGUGCUGGUUAAUUGUUCCCAAAAUGGUUGCUUGUCUUCAAUUUUUGCACGCUUUAUGGUAAAAGCAUGCAUUAGUUAUUCACAAAUAUUCGGAAUACCUUGAACACCAGCCUGCUUAUAUACUAUAAGCUAGUAUACUGGUUUUCUACUAAGUUAGAGAAGUUGAGUGGGCGAAUUUUUGAACUGAAGAGCGAAUGAAGAUUAUUUCCUUUUUCUUUUUGUAUUCUACUCAACAGACUUGUGUCCUUUUCACUUGUCUUGGACACCUAUAAGAAUGUACUGCAUGCUACCAACAUGUAACUUUGCAUUGCCUCAUUGUGGCAGCUGGUGUUCCUGUUUUUAGGACUGCCUAUGCACAUUUUGUUUUACCCCUAAGAAGUAUCACGGAUUGAUAGUUUGUUAUGCCAAUCAAGUUACUAUUCAAGGCUAGCUCACUGCUGGUCAAGUAGGUGAUGAACGUCCAAUAUGAUCUAUGAUGUAGUGUUUUUUAUUUUUUUUUGGGUAAGAAUCUGAUGUAGUGUUUUUCAUGACUGUUUAACAUUAUAUGAUUGUAAAGUAGAUGUUCUAAUUUCAAUUUUGCACAACUUUUGAAUGGUGAAAAACUUGUCAAGUUUACGGCAAAUUUUGUAAAAAUUAGUCAACUUAAUUUCACUUUUGUGUAUAAUAGUAGUUAAACUCGAGCAAUGAAGUAUAUAUGUUAUAAAUGCCAAAGCUUAAACUUAAUUUCGAUGUUGGUGUAUGAUAAAAUUAGUGACGAGGUAUGGUAUAAACGGUAAUGACUUUUACAAAUAUUCCCACGAUUGAAUUUAUUAUAGGGUAGUGGAAAGAGGUUUUCUCCAAUUAAAUGAAGUAGAGCUUGGUCUACUUGAACAAGAACUUAAACUAAUUGCUUGUAGAGUAACAUAUGUAAAUAAGCCUUGGAUAUAACUGCAAUUUCCCAUGAUUAAGCCUAUUAAUUCUACUUUCUUAUUUUGUUAACUUUUCACACCAGUAGUGUCUUGUUCUUUAAAGGAUGGGAGAUUAUUGUAUACUUGUUGUAGCAAAUUAGUGACCUAGUCAAAUUUCUUAGAAGGCGCUGAAUUUAGAUGAGAAUGAUACUAAGAAGCAAGAGGCAGGUGCUUCCUUUCUUGUGAAAAUGGUACAUUUGCUCUACAGCGAAAGCAAAAUGGUCAUUGUGUCCUUAUUCAAGGAUUAUUUAUCAAAGGAAAAUGGUCUUAAUUUAGCAUUAAACUUAUGCAGCUUUACAAUCACCCUUACCUGACAUGGAAACAUUGUGAACUGGCAUGGGCAUCUGUGUCUUAAACCCCCUAAAAAAUCAGGAGUAUUUCAUACAGGGAAAAGGAAUGUUACUAGUGCAUUUGCUGACUAUAUUUGUGUAAGAACUUUCCAAGGCAAUUGUGGACUAUAUUUUUUGACGUCACCAUCGAAUUUUUGAUGUUCAUGAAGGCUGUGUAGGUCUGCAAGGAGGAGGAAAGUGGUGGUGCCUUGGUGUUUCAAUGUUGAAGCUGAUGGCUUGGUUCCUUUGUUUUGUGUUUUUGAAAUCCACAAUUGGUUGAAUUCUUGUCUUACCUUUGAAGCUAGAAAGGACUAUUACAAUUCAAAAGAGCUACCUUUCUCUUUGGCUUGUUUUAGGCUUUUAGCGAGAAUACAUUUUUCUAUUUCUUUUAGCGAGAAUACAUUUAUUAAACUUUUAGUGAGAAUGCAUUCUUCUAAAGAAUCGUGAAUUGUGUUGCAAUAUUUUCUAUUUAUAUUGUCGUUGUUGGUUGUGGUUUUGCCUGAAUGUCUCAGCUGGUUGUUGCUCUUGGUAUUUUGCAAAAAAGGAAGUAAUUUGCUUUUUUCAUUAUAGAAGUCAUGGAUUAUAUCAAUAUUUGGCCGUAUCAAUGUUUGCUUUUUUCAGAUGCCAAGAGACUACUAAUGGCUAGGACUGGUGUUGCUUCCAGAGGCCAAAAGUUUCGAUUGCUAACAAACCAUUUCAAUGUUAAAGUAGCCAGAAAUGAGGGCUACUUUUUCCACUAUAGUGUAUAUAACCUCUAUCUCUAUGAUGGUUGUUUAAGCAAGCAAUUUAGCACAAGUAUUCUGCUCUUGAUAUGUAGGUGUCGAUUUAUAUUAUCAUUGUUGCAAUAUUUUCUAUUUAUAUUGUCAUUGUUGGUUGUAAUUUUUGCCUGAAUGUCUUAGCUGGUUUCGGGUUUUUGGCUGAUAUUUUGUCAAAAAAGGAAGUAAUUUGCAUUUUUCAUUAAAGCUUGAGUAACAAUUAGCUAAAUGCAAGAAAAAGUAAAUUAGUAAAGGUACAAAUUGGUUUUUUCCUUUAAAUUUUUAAUAAAAAUUAGCUAAAUGUAAGAAAAAAAAGAAAUUAUUAUAUAAAAACAAGGAAAAAAGAAAAAUUUUAUGUAAGCAAAUGUUUCAUGAAAAUAAUUCUAAUUCCUAAUGAAUUCUUCUCUCAUCCAAACAAAGAAUUUGGAAUUCCAAAUAAAUUCCGUAUCAAUUCUAUGCAUUUUCCAAAUGAAAGAAUUGCAAGGAUUUGGAUUUUUAAUUCGUAGAAUUCUAAUUCUAAUUCAAUUCCAAUUCUGUAGAGCCAAACGUACCCUAAUUACAGUUCCAAAUGCAACCAACAAAAACACAAAAAAAUUAAAACAAUAAGAUGAAUCCUAUUAUCUAUUUCUUCUUCCAUCCACUUCUGCCACCCACCACAAUCAUCAACCACUUCUCCCUCCUUCAUGCCUUUCCCUUCCCUCUUCCCCUCUCUUACCUCUCCCUUCCUUCCCCUCCUUUCUCCUCCCCUCUUUUUUCCGCUUCUCCCAUCCUCUCAUUCCUCCUCUCUUCCCCUUGUCCCUCAACCACAAAUUUGGUUGCACCGAUCACAGUAAGAAAAAUGAAGGGAGAGGAGGAGGGUUACAGGAGACAAGGAAAAGGAGGGAAGAGAACGGGAAAGAAGGAAACGGGGGAAGGGAGGGAAGGAAGCAGAAGAGGGAGGAGGACGAAGGAGGAAGGAGAAAGGAAAGGGAGAAAGAGAGAAGAGGAAGAGCAAUGAUGGUGAUGAAGUAGGAAGGAGAGGUGGGUGGCAGUGAUGGGCGGUAGUCAAAAAUCAUAACUUUUACCAAUACUCUAAUCAAAAUUUAAAUUUUAAAAACACUCAAAAAAAAUUCAAAAAAAACACUUAGGAGGCACUUGGUUCAAGUUUAAGAAUUAGAAUUGUAAUUUAAAUCAUAUUUAAAAAAUAUAGUAUGGGUUUUGGUGGAAAAAUAUUUUAUACAAUAUAUAAAGGGGGAGUGUCACUAUAUGGCGUAAACAUACGGUGUUAGUCACUUUUUAAAAUUUGUAAUAUACCCUUAAUUAUAAGGACAAAUUUGUACUAAUAAUUUAAAAAAAAAUCUCCAUAAUUAGCAAGAAUCAAAAAGUAGUUAUCAGUUCAAUUGUUCACUCAUUAUAGCUUUCUUUCACCAACUCUUAAUGCCCAUGUAUUUUACUCCACUUCUAUUAUCUUUCUACAUGAUCACCUGCAUGAUAAUCGAAUUUGAUCCAUAAAAAAACUCUUUACUCUUUAAAGGGAUAAUUUUGAUAAAUAUAUUUUUGUAGGCUACACACAUGAUAGAGUGUGUCAUGAGCACUAGUUACAAUAACAUUUGCUCGGUAAACAUUUGUAAGGAAUGAGUAUUACAUUAAUUUAUUAUAUUAACUAACCAUUUUUCUUAUGCCCCUCUCUUUUCCCUUUCAACUACCAAUUUCCCAAUCAGCAACUGCUGCAAUUCAAUAGUGAUUUGACUGCCUAUUUUGCAAUCACUAGUGGAAUUAGAGCUGGUAAAAAAGCCCAAAAUUCAAUGAUCACCCCAACCAGUCCAUUAAUUUUAAAAGAUGGGUUGGAUCAGUUGGAUUAUGGGUUUUGUUAGGUUGGAUAAGAAAAAUCUAACUUAUUCAUUGGGCGGGUUAGAUUUUUCAUUUGGAUACCCAAUACCCAACUUACUUAAAAGUAAUUCAAAAUAAUAAAUACAAGAUUCAAUACACAUAUGCCCAACCACUUGCACUUGGGCAUGUGUUAAUUAUUUAUUGACCAAUUUAUAUUCAAAAUUCUCAUAUAUAUGUUUUCAAUUAAUUUUUUUAAUUUUUAUUUAAAAGAAAAAAGAAACUUAAAAUAAAAACUCAUGCUUAUUUUACCUUUACAACAAUAGUUAAAAUUUCUCAACUUUUAUAAUAAUUUAUUAUAUCUUUUAAAAGUAUGUUGUUUUCCUCCCCUUUUUUUAUAUUUUUUUGUGAUUGUUCUCAAGUUGUUACUUGCUUCUAUUUGUUAAUAUUUUGUGUACGUAGAAUAGUGUUUUAAAUUUGUUCUAAUUACAUUUUUUUACUUUUCCCUAACUUGUUUUAUUUCAUUGACAAUAAUUCCUUAUCAAUAUUAUAAUACAACAAAUUAUAUGUCUCUUACUGACAUUUUCAAGUAUAAUAUAAUCUAGCAUUCAAUAAUUUAAAUAUAGAGAAUAUUACAACUUACAAUAAAGCAGAUAUGAAUAGUAAAAGUGUUGAUAAGUUGUGACAAAAAUAAGUUUCAAUCAAUUAGUAGUAUUAAAAAGUAUAAAAUAAACAAAUUUUUUUAACUAAUCUACUUAAAUAUACAAUUUAUUAUCUAAAUUCACAAUACAAGCAAUAUAAAAUAUUAUUCUAUUUAUGAUGUGUUUCUAAGGAGUUUAAAAAGUGAGUAUGUGUUUGUGUGUGUGAAAGUGUAUUAGUGUGUGAAAAUACAUUUAUGUACAUGAAAAUGUGUUUAUGUAUGUGAAAAAUUUUUUUGUGUGAAAAUAUAUGUAAGAAAGUUUAUGUAUCAAAAUGUAUUAAUUAAUAUAUUGGGUCAUGGGUUUGGGAUGGUCCAAUAUGACUCAACGCAAAAUCAACCCAAUUUAUAAUUAAGCAAGUUGGAUAUAACCCAUUUAAAUAAAAAUUCAAUAUCAACCCAUCUAAAACCCAUCCAACUAGGGCUGUCAACGGUCCGGGUCUAGACCCGGACCCAGCUCAGGCCCGCUAAUAUUUGCCGAGUAGGGGAAGGCAUAUAGUUCCGUGACCCGGACCCGGACCCAUUUUGUCUAAUGAAUUUGCGGGUCGAAUACGGAAUAUGCCGUUCCGACUCGUAUAGGACCCGAACCCGUUUUUUAAUUAAUUAAUAAUUAAAAAAUAUAUACCUAUCUCUAUCUGUCAUAAUUUUUCAUACCACUACUUACUUUCAUUCCCAAUUUGUUCAACCCUAAUAGUCUAAUACCCACCGCUGCCGCACCUCUCUUCUCUGUUGCUCCUUACCCAACUCCAGCUAUCCUUUUUCUCCUCUGCCUCCCGACUCCUGAGUCAUGCCUCCGCCAGUCACCACUCACCAGACACCUGACCUGGACCGGCGAAGCUUCUAGUUUGCUCUUCAUCCCCAGCUCCAAAGAAAAUCGCUGGGUCUAGCUAGCUCCAAAGAAGCAAGCCCAGCUCUUCCGUCAUUCCGUGAGACUUCUCCUCUUUUGCUCUACCUCCGUGGCUCCGCCAGACACCAGUCCGCCCUGACGCCUGACGAUUGCAGCAAGCCCAGCUCUUCUAGGCUUCUAGUUCUACCAAGUAGCAGCCCAGCUUUCUUUCUCAGUCAAGUAUUUUUUUUAAAAUUUUUUGUGGGGGAAAAUUGAGAAGAUAUGAGAAAUGCUGUAGAACGAAACCUUCUUACCUCCCCAAACAGAAGGUAUUUUAGUCGUUGUUAGUGAUAGUUUCUUGCGAGCUAGAUUUUCGUUGCGGAUUGCAUAAGAAACUUGACUUAAUCUUAAUGUCCCAAUUCAAUUUGUGAAGGGUAAAUGAUCAUUUCCAUUUUGAAGGGUAUAUAAAUUCAAUUGAACUCCUAUAAGUAACGAAGUAGUAGGAAAUAUUUGGCCCACUCAACAAGAAAAUUUGUUUGCAUUCAGCCCUCAGUUCCUCUUCACCCAUCGUCGUUGGUCUUUUCUUUUUGUUUUCUGUUUUUCGGUAGAAAUUUGGAGGUCUGAAAUAUAAAACAUCUGAUGGCACCAAAGUGGAAUGGAGCUAGAUUAAAUCUUGGACUAGAAAAUAGAAAUAAGCAAAACCAAAAAAAAAAAACAGAAGGAAGAAAGAAUAUAAGUAUUUUUCUAGAAAGAAGGUAAGUGCAAAAUGAAAUUAGGGAAACUAGAGUUCAGGGAAGAGAAAACAAAGAGAAAAUGGCAAUCGACUAAACUCAACUCUUUCAAGGAGAAAAAAGAUCCUAAAUCCUAAAUGUAGUUGUCCUUUUCAACUCCAAAAUAGGGCAGCUUAUCCUUUUCCCCCUUUGGAGUCUUACUAACACAAUAUCAACAUUUGUUAUUCUCCUUUUUUUCUAGAAAAAAGUAAAAAAAUGGUUGAUGCAUACAUGAAUCUGCUCACUGGAUUUUUUGCAUUCACUGGAUUUUGAAUGCGACAUUCUAAGGAAUUUGUCUUGUACCAUGUUUAUCUAAUAAAUUAUGUUAUUCACUAAUUGCAGGAUGUCAUCUUUGCCGAGUAAUCCAACAGGACCAAGUAGCACAGCUGAUGAGAAUGAGAUUGCCAUUUUGGAUUCGGAAGAGGAGGAGGUGAAGGAAGAUGAUUCGUGUAAGAAACCUAGGGAAAAGAAAUUAACAUCUAAGGUAUGAUUUGAUAUGGAUAGAGUUAAGACUGCUACUGGUAUUGUUGCCAUAUGUAAGCAUUGUAAAAAAAAAUGGCCAGGGAUAGCUCAUGCGGGACAAGCCAUUUGAAAAAACACAUAGAUAAUUGCAUUGCUAGAAGACAUAGGAGUGGAGGGUAGCAAGUACUUCAGUUGGCUAAAAAUGCUUUGGAUGAUAAAGUUAAAGUUCAAACUUUCAAGUUUGAUCAAGAGAGAAGUAGAAUGGAUUUGGCUAGAGCUAUAAUAAAACACAACUAUCCUUUUACCAUAGUUGAGUAUGAGUACUUUGAGAUUUUUUGAAUAAUUUGGAGCCAAAUUUUAAGCUGGUUUCUUGAAAUACAGUCAGGGUAGAUGUGAUUAGUGUUUAUAAAGAAGAAAAGGCAAAAUUGUAUAAGUAUUUGGAUGAUUUUGAUGGUAAGAUAAGUCUAACUACUGACAUCAGAUCACCAAAAUUUUGCCUAUGCCUAUUUGACAGCUCAUUAUGUCAAUGAACAUUGAGAAUUGAAAAAGAAAAUUAUUGCUUUUAAAUUUGUUCCAUAUCCUCAUGAUGGUGAAACAUUAUUUAAAUUUAUUUCUGAUAUCAUCUUGGAAUGGAACAUUGAUAAAAAGCUUACCUCUGUUGUUGUUAAUAAUGCAUCUUCAAAUGAUUCAAUGGUUAAAUGUUUGAAAUCAUGGCUAUUGGAUAAGUCAUUGCUCAAUUUAGGAGGUGAUCUUUUUCAUGUUCGAUGUAGUGCACAUAUUCUUAAUUUGAUUGUGCAAGAUGGGUUAGUUAUUAUUGGAAAAUUGCUUCAUAAGAUUCGAAAGACCUUAAAGUACUUGAAAAGGUCUACUUCUUCUUAUCAAAAGUUUGAGAAUGCAAUUAAUCAAUGCAAGAUGAAAAAUAAAAAAAGAGUGGGUAUGGAUGUUCAAAAUAGAUGGAAUUCUACAUUCUUGAUGCUGGAGACUGCUUUGCCUUUGAAGGAAGCUUUUUGUCAUUUAGAACAAAUGGACAGAAAUUACAAGUUCAAUCCUUCAAAAAAUGAUUGGAAAGUGGCUAGUGUUGUUCAUGGUUGUUUGAAAAAAUUUUAUGAAGCCACAUAUCAUUUUAGUGGUUCUAUUUUUCCCACAGCAAAUGUUUUCUUUCCCGAUUUAUGUAAUCUUCGUAUUAAGAUGAGGCAGUGGGAAGUUAGUGAGCAUGAUUUUAUUCGAGAAAUGGUUAUUCCAAUGAAAGCAAAAUUUGAGAAAUAUUGGGAAGAAUGUUCUUUGGUGCUAUCUAUUGCUGUGGUGCUUGAUCCUAGAUUUAAGUUGGCUUUAGUAGAGUAUUAUUACAAUGAUCUUUAUGGAGAAGGUGGUGAAAGAUAUGUGGAUAGAGUUCGUAAUGCUAUUGCUGACUUGUUUGUUGAAUAUGGAGGUGACCUUACUCCUUUUUUGAGUUAUGUUGGAGAUAAUAUAGGAGAAGGGAUUUCUAGUUGUGGUAACAAAAAUAUAGAUGUAGAAGAUGAUGAUGAUAAGUUGUCUGAUUUUGACAAAUGGUAUCAGCAAUCAUGUUCUUCUACUAUUCUUGCUAGUCAAAAAUCUGAAUUGCAAUCGUACUUGAACGAGCCUGUAUUUCCAAGAAAAGAUGAUUUUGACAUACUAGGCUGGUGGAAGGCAAACAGUCCAAAAUUUCCUAUUCUUAGCAAGAUGGCUCAUGAUAUUCUUGCAAUUCCAGCUACUACUGUGGCAUCGGAAUCAACAUUUAGCAUUGGCGGAAGGGUAAUUGAUGAGACUCGUGCUGCUUUGCUUCCUGAUGUGGUCGAAGCUUUGAUAACAACUGGAGAUUGGUUACCUUUGAAAAAGAAAAGAAGUAAGUCCUCAUGUUUAUGUUUCUUUUGUUGUUUUUUCUUUUUAAAUCCAUAUUACAAGUUUAUUUGGUUGAGUUACUCUAGAAAGACUAAUCUACUUUCUUUCUCUUUGUUUUCUUAGAAGUAUUUGGAGAAGAUUUGAGUGAUUCUUCUAAAGUUCUCAAGUUAGGGUGUAUUUGUGUAAGGCCAAUUUGAUUUCUUUCUUACCUGAUUUUUUUUUGUAUUAGUUAGUAAUUAGUUUACAAAUAUAUUGUAUCCUUGUUUUUGUUGCAGAAAAUUGUGAAACUUGAGAGCCAUGAAGACUAUUGUAAUCUACAGGACUUCAUUAGUUGGUUGAUGUAUUUGAUAUUUAUGUUUGAUUGGACUUUUUAGAAAUUGUAAUUUGUUGGAUGCUAUAUUGGCUUUGUUGCUAAUAUUGGUUUUGUUGAAAUUGUAAUUUGUUGGAUGUCAUAUUGGCUUUGUUUGGACUUUUUAAAUCCUUGUGUUUGUUGGAUUAGAUUAUAUGAAAUAGUUUGCUACAUGCUGUUUUCUUCUUGUUAAUGUUACUUUAUAUUAUCUUUUAUGUCCUUGUUGGCUGAAAUCUGUUAAGUGUUUAACUCUUGAGCUGUGGUGAUGUUAGGAAAAACGAUUCAUCACCUUGUUCCUUUUUGUUUCUAGUCCUUUCUUGAGCUGAUAGUCCCCUCGAUAAUGGCAAGACUAUUGAUUGGAUUGCAUAUUGGAACCUUCAUCAUGAAUGCUUCUCGAAGACUGGUGUUAGUUCAUUAUGUUAUAGUUAUAGUUAUGUUAUAAUUCAUUUAUAGUUCACCAGUCUGGUGAACUAUAACAUAUUUGGAAUCCCUUUUGGAUUGCAUCUCGAACACCAAUCUUUGAAGGCUUCAUGGGGUCACUCCUGAGAGGGGUUAGCUAUGCUUUUGAAUAUAAGAGGAGAAUGUGAUAAAAAUUAGACUGCAUUUUCCAGGUGUUACUUGAACAGGUUUUUAAUAGGUCUUUUUGCCGGGUAGACCCGGCCCGGAUUUGGGACCCGUCGGGUGCGGAUCCGAUGAAAGAUUAGAAGACCCGUCAGGUAUUUGGGUCGAAUCCGGAACUAAUCCAGUAUAACGGGUCCGGGUCCGGAUAUAUGCAUUCCGACCCGGACCCGACCCGUUGACAGGCCUACAUCCAACCCACCCAAUGGCAAGGUAUAGGUGGAAUAUGACUAUUCAUUACGAUCUAAUUUGUUACUUUCAUUCAAUCAAAAACCUAACCAUGUUACCUGAUCCCUCACUUCUCCUUUGUUGCCUAGUUCAGCAGCAAUAUUUCUUUAAAUUUGUCCUUUCCCAGCAUACUUCUCAAGAGCUAAUUUUCGAAUUCCUCCAUAGUCUUCGCUCCAAAGCCGUCUCCUCUAGGUGAAGAAAGGACGAGAGUGCAAAUUUGCCAUGGCGAAUAAGAGGGAGGAGGAAGCCCAAUCAAAGAAACAGCGUAUUAGCAGUAGUGGUCAUUUUAUAGGAAGAGAAGAAGGAAAGUUUGACAGUGAUGAAGAAAAAGUGGAGAGAUAAAUUUGCUAUAAGGAGGAGUAGGAAGAUGAUUGACAUCGAAUAAACUUGAUGUCAAAUUGGUCAUUUGGCAGGCAACAAGGACGAAGGGAUAGAAGUGAAAGAGAGAAGUUUUGAAGGCACAAUUAAAAAAAUUAAACAAAUUAGAAUUGGAAUGAAAUUUGGGGAUUAACAAACCUCUCAAUUUAGUGGCUAAUUCCUUCGAUUGUUGCCUAAAAAAUAAAAAAUUGGAAGAAUAUUGUUCUGACAUGGAUAUGGUAUGAAACUAUGCCUGUCGGGUUUAGUUAGCCUGACAGGAAAGAUUUUUUUUUUUUUAAAUGCUGAGCUGCAGGGCUUAGUUAGCCCGGCAGCAAAGAAUUUUUUUUUUUUUUAACAAUGCUGGGUUGCCCGGCUACCAAGCUGAAUUUUUUUUUAAAAAUAUGUUGGCCUUUGACUGUUUUUAAAGUAAAUUACCAAUUGCAUCAGAUACGAAUGCCUGGAAUGCUAUACUGCUAAAUUCGACAUUUUAGGAUUAUCUCCAGUCACAAAAGGUGGGUAAGAUUAGUAUGUGGCUCUUUUGCUUUUAGGGAAAAAUGCACUUUUCAUCCUCAAAAUUUGGGGAGUUGACCAAUUUUAUUCUCAAAGUUUAAUCCCAAAUACAUUUCAUCCUCAAAGUUUCGUAAUUUUGACCAAUUAAGGACAAUUGACGAGAAAUAUCCAAUUGACCGUUACAACCAACGGUUUUACCCAACAAAAAUGGGUAAAACCGAAUGAAGCUAACUUUAAAGGAACAAAUGCAACGGACAGAUGAAAAGCUCCAUUGUUGUCCUUCUUCCCUCUGCCUUGCAAUCCCAAAAUUUUUUUGCCAAUCUUUGCAGCUUUAAACAUUUCAUCCUCAGAGCAUCCAGCAGUGGAGCUCUCUGUGCUCUCAUUUUUGCCUAAAUGAGAAGCAGAAGUUCUGAAGUCUCUAGUGGUUCAUCAACUCCAUUCUGCAACUGUGGGUUAAGAACAAAAAUGAGCAUCUGUUGGCGCUGCGAGAAUCCGGGAAGAAGAUUCCUUGGUUGCUCUCUGUGGCCGGUAAGAAAUAUUUGUCUAAAAAUAUUGGUCCUUCAAUGUGUUAAUUUAGCUAACUAAUUUCAGAGAAAUGUCAUUAUUAUUAUGGUAGAGACCCGAGAGAUGCAGGUACUUUGAAUGGGUUGAUAAGCCAAUUUGUCCAAGAGGGAGAGUUCUCAUUCCUGAUUUGCUGAAAAAGAUUAACAAAAUGGAAGAACAAGUUGAAAGAAUGCGUAAGAGAGAGAAAUUUUUUAUUACGAUAAUUGUGCUUUUGGUGGUUUUGCUAGUACUGAGUUGGAGCAGUAAAGGCGAGGGAAAAGUAAAGGGAGGCAAGUUGCUGCUAACAUUGGAGUGAUUUUGAUAAAAUUGCAGAAGAACAUUUUGAAGUUGGCUGUGUUUGUUGUUGGAACGAGAGUUGCAUUUUUCCCUAUGAAGUAAUAUCCAAUUGUAGGGUAUAGAAAGGGACUUCUUUUGUUUGUACAAAGGUUCCAAAUGAACUCUGCAAUUUAUGUAAAUGGUGGGAUUUAGGAAAGGAAAUGUAUUUGGCAACAAUGCAAUUUAUGAACUCUGCAAUUUAUUUUGUUUGUAAAGCUAUGCGUUGAGUGUAAGAAAAUGGUCCUUGUCAAAGUGUUGUUCAUAUCAUAUAUAUAUAAUGGCCAUAAACUGAUAAACCACAUGUACUGAUAAUACAAACAGAUGCAAAUAAAUCACGGUGGAAAACAAAUGCAAAUAAACCAAGCUGGUAACUAAGCUGAUAAACCAAGAUUGUCCCACAUGUACUGAUAAACCAAAUUGGAAAAUAAAUGCAAAUAAUACAAACAGAUGAACAUGAAAACAACUGCCAUAUAUGUAUAUCAUAACUUCAAUACAAUUAAAGUGCAUUCCAAAUGAAAUAAAGCAAACUACAUAACUGUUGUUGAACAUGGGUCCAUAAAUCAAAUAAAGCCAGCUAUCACAUUACAGCCUGCAUUUCCAUAAUUACUAGGCAAGGCAAAAGUUGAAACAACAAAAGUCAUUCACUAAUUACAAAAGCAGCAACUUGGCUUGAACAAAAGCAGCUUGGCUUGAAGAAAAUUCAGCAUGUUGUUUCUCCUAUCACAGUAGUUUCUCCUUUCCCUUCGAUCUAGAUGAACUAGGAACACUUAAAUCUGCUUUGGCGGCAGCAGCAGCAACAUGCAUAUGAACAUCUCUAAUCCUGAAGGGCAUCUGUACUUGUUCUUUAGUUUGUGUUCUGGCUUCCUUGGUGUUAUAUUUCACUUGGGACCUUGACAGCCCAAACACUUCGUACAUAUCCUGGUCUACUUGAUCUGGGGCAGAGGAUGUUAUGUCAAUCUCAACUAGUGGCUCAGCAUUCUGUUGAUGUUCAGUGUUUGAAUCAUCAUUACAAACUGCAGCUGCAACUCUUCUUGUACGUCUAUGUCUCUUUUACACAAAAUAGUGACGUAGCAAAAGUCAAAUUGCAUAUAGACAAAAAUCAAAAGAUGUAGCAGGUUUUUCUACCCUUUUAUUUGAAAACUCAGUAGCAGGCUUCUUGAUUUUCUUUGUUCCCUGCAGUUUAAAAGGAAAACAUGUCAUUUAUAUACCAAAUAACAAAGGUAGCUGUAACGAGUCAUCAAAACAACUUACAACUUUUUUUCCAUCUUGGCUAGUUGGAUUGUUGGUAGAAGCAGCAACUUGGCUUGAACUAAUAUUAGUUUCUGCAACUGCAGGAUCUUGAGCAUCUUUGAGAAGCUUGCAGGACCUCAUAUUAUGUCCUCUUUGAUGACAGUAUCUACACUUGUUAAUCUGUCUCACUCUUGUCACUUUCUUCUUAGUUUUUUUCUUGGCUUGUUGAACCUCCUCUGCACUUCUCCUUCUCAGUUUCUUAAGCUUUCCAGGUGCUCUCCCAUAUAAGGGUGGCAAAGGACCUUCACCAACAUCAGUAAGCUCCCAUUCACUUUCUCCAUUCAUGGGACACACUGAUCCUUUAUAGCACUUCAUAUAUGUCUCCACUGUAUACCAUUUUGAAACAUAUAGCGGAGGAUCCUUUUUAGCUAUCCAUAAUGCAUUAAUGGCAUGGGGACAGGGAAUACCUGUUAGUUCCCAUUUUCUGCAAGAGCAUGUUUGCUCAUUGAUGUUCACUGCAUAUUGGUCACCAUAUGGGCAACUAACUUCAUAAAGAUCAUCAUUUGACUUAAAUGAAAAACAGUCAGGUGUUCUAUCUAUAUUUUUCUACAUAAUGUGAAGAAUUUUGGGGUAGUAAGGAUAAGUCUACCACUUCUCUUUGGCCAGAUUCCUAUUUUUUUGCAUUCUCUGCAUCAUGUACAACCGUAUUGCUUCAAACAUUUCAAUUAUUGGCUUCUCCCUCGCAUCAAGAAUUUUGCUGCUGAAGCACUCACAGAUAUUAUUCAAUAACAUAGCACAUUUAGGAUGAGUGCUAAAAUAAACUCUGCUCCAUUGACUUGGUGGUUUGUCAUCAAACCACUUGGCUGCCUCUAUAUCAAUUUCAGCCAUUGCUUCCAUUCUGCUAAUGAAUUGGGUUGGUGUUGUUGCUUUGGCAACAGUUCAUAACAUUCUCCUCAAACCUUCUCCUUUGAAACUAGUAGAAGAAAAGUUAUUAUGCAAGUGUUUCACACAAAAUCUGUGGGCUGCAUUUGGGAAAAUCAUAUCAUAUGCUUCAAUUAGACCUUAUUGUUUGUCACUUAUUAUUGUCCACUCAUAAUCCUUUUCAAUUUUCAAAUCUUCUUUAAAUAGUUUGAAGAACCAGCACCAUGAGUCCUUACUUUCACCCUCUACUGUAGCACAUGCUAUUGGAGAAAUGCCAUUAUUGGCAUCAACUCCAACAGCUGUUAGCAAAACUCCUCCUACUGAUUCUUUCAAAAAAGUACCAUCUACUCCAAUAAAUUGCCUACAUCUAGUUAGAAAACCAUGCUUCACUCUAGCAAAAUAGAUGUACAGCUUCUCAAAUCUGCCUUUUCCUGUUUUUGAGUCUCUAAAGCCAUCAACAGUUUUCAUUAUAACAGUGCUACCAGGGUUGGAUCUUAGAAUUUCAUGCAUAUAAACUCCUAAUUUGUUGUACUGGUCUUUUUCACUGUCUUGAACAAUUUUUAUUGCUUUUCUCUUUGUCCUAUAUGUUUAAUUUUUUGUGAAGGAGCACCUAUUUUCUUUCAUUACUAUCUUCCUAAAAUGCUCCAAAUCUAAUUUAGGAUUACACCUAAACUCUUCACAGUACUUCUUAGCUACCUAUCCAGAAUGCACAAGAGGGUUAUCAUAUGUAAAAUCACAUGUGUAAUUAUGUUCAAAUGUUCUUAUUUGAAUAGUUCAAUCCCCAAUUAAUUUCCUAACAUACAUAAGCCAAUUACAUUCACUAUUUUUGCAUCUAGCCCUCACCCUCACUCUAUCUUGUUUCAUAAACUUACAAGGCCUGCCUUGUUUCACACUAUAAUUAUGUAUAGCAGUCUUGAAGAGUUUCAGACUUGUAAAGGACAUGUACAGCUCUAAUUUUGGAUUGUCAAUAUGCUUAGGAUCAAAAGUACGAGACCUCAAUUUAGACUCUUCAUCAUCAGACUCAUGAAUGCUUUCAAAAUCAUAUUCAGAAUCAGGAACCUAUUCUGUUUCAUCAGAAUUAGGAACCUUCUCUGUUUCAUUCAAAGGAUCAGGAAUCACAUUUUCUUUCCUGUGAUUGUCUACUCCUAACCAUUUAGCAUUUUUGUCAAUAUUAUCAUGAAAUAUACAAUUAUCAGCAUCAUCACCUAUUUCAUAAUCUGAAUCAAUAGCUGAAAAAAAAGUCUCAUCACUUACAUUGGAAUUAUUAUCACAAUUAUUAGCAGCACACCUUCCUUGACCUUCAUCCCUAAUAUUAUUGUUACCAUCACCAUUUUGGAGUUCAUUUUCCGUCUCAUCUACCUCAUACGGAUCAUAACCAAGUUGUUGCACUAGAAUUUCAUGAAAAGAUACUUCAAGAUAUAAGUUAACUUCCUUAGUUGGUCCAACCUCUCCCUUAACAUAACCAUUCAACACCCUACUGCUAUCUAUCCUCCUAAAGGUGUUAUUUUCCCAACCAUAGUACACCUUAUGACCAUAUACACCAGCACUCUCAGUUAAUCUAUCCAUUUCGAAAACACUUAAACCUAUACUCUCAACAUAGUCAAAAACACAUAAAUCUCCACCUUCGUAAUGGGGAUUAGAAGUAUAUGAAAUGAGGCCUCCAUGGUGACAUCUUAAUGUAAUAAAUGUGCUGCCCGUUUCUGGUUAAAGAAAAUAAUAUAGAUCAGACUCUUCAGAAAAAAAAAAAAGCUUCAUCAUUUCAGUACAACAAACUGUUGACCCACACAAAAACUACCAAACAAGGACCACUUUUACACUUUUUCCAUACACAUGGCCAGAUACACAUGGCCGGCAAAAUAUACCAAGUAUUAUUGUUUAUUAAUCACUCUCACCACAAAUUUAUAGUCAAGCGGCAACUAUUAUUAGACAUAAGGGACCACAUUCACACUAAAAUAAUCAAAUCAAGACAAAUUUUUUGAUUUAUUUAUACCUCAUGCAAAUGGCCAAAUUUGGAAAAAAAAAAUAGCCACAAAUUAUAGUGGGAAAAAAGUACAAACACAAGGGAUCAUAUAUCAGGUUUCCUUCUCCAAAAAAACACAUAUCUUUAUGCAAAUGUGGAGCUGUUGAUUUUGGGUAUAAAUACUGUAAUUUGGGGGUCGACAAAUGUGGAGCUCUUUCUCCCGCAAUGCCAUUUUUUUCUUCACCUAAAAUGCUCCACGGAUGUCGUUUAUGCCCUCCUUCUUACCAGCAGAUGCUCGAAAAGUGGAUGAAAGGAUUGGCCAAAAAAACUUUUAGGGCUGAGAACAGCGAAGAAAGAAGGAGAAGACAGGAGCUUUUUUCCUUUUGCUAUUUUGUGCAUUUUUGUCCGUUAGAAAAAGUGGCUCCAUUCGGUUUGACCCGGUUAUGAUGGGUAUAAAGUUGGAUCUGACGAAUCGUGCUUCUCACGUGCAAAGUUCCGUCCCAAUAUUUGAUUUGUCCUCCAAUUCCCGUCAAUUGUUCUUAAUUGGUCAAAAUUACGGAACUUUGAGGAUGAAAUGUGUUUGGGGUUAAACUUUGAGGAUGAAAUUGGUCAACCUCCCAAACUUUGAGGAUGAAAAGUGCAUUUUUCCCUUUGCUUCUACUUAGCUAUUUGGUAGUUUGGGGAAAAAUUCUUAACUUCAUUCUUGUUGGCAGGUGCUCCUUCCUUCCUCACCUAUGGAUCAACAUGAAAAGGGUUUUACUGUUGAUAGUGAUAUUCUUUACCCAAGAUCUCCUAGAAACGUAUCAUCCAAUCGAGCAAAGUCUGAGUACGGAGAUUCCAACUCCACAGGAGGCUUUAUGGAGUUUUGGCAGGAGUUUAAACUUACAAUCGUUGGUAUGAUGAACAGUUUGUUUGAGAGCAGCAGAUACUAAUGGAAAUGUGACCAGUGGCUUUGUGGCUAAGGCUCUUGGGCCUUCAUUAAUGGGCUUGGCUGUCAUGGUUAUAAUAGUAGUGGUGCUAAAGUAAGUGUCUUUCCCAUUUGUUGCAAGUGAAUUUGCCAAAGCCACAUCAUGUCUACAUUAGGAGUUCUUUCCAGAAGGGGUAGAGAAAUCUAAGAUAGCAUUGGAAAUUACUCAUGUGUACAUACGAAGCGAGAAGUUCUAGUUUCUGUUAAGGUUCCGCACAUUUUCUUAGAACGUUUGUCCUCUUUUUCACUAAAUUUGAUGAGUAUCUUUGGGUUAGAGAACUUUUGUUUUGUUAAUUCUCAGAGAUUGAUAUGGCUUUUGUUUUGUUAAGGCCAUCAUUCAAAAAGAAAAAUUUCUUUUAGCCCGACAGGUAUAGUCUCAUAUCAUAUCCAUGUCAAAAUAAUAUUCUUCUGAUUUUUUAUUUUUUGGGCAAUAAUCAAGGAAUUAACCCAAUUUAGUCAGGAGCUGAGAGUUGCUACAUUUUUAGAAAUCAUUCUAAAAUCUUAAAUCCCAAACCUUUAAUCCAAACACCACAAAUGACUUUUAUUCCAAAUCCUGAUUCCAUACCUUGGAACCAAGCAGCCCCUUAAUUUGUAAUGACUAUUUAUGGUGGAAAGUUUUUCAAAUACAAUAUUACAAGAAUAAAUAUUAUAUAUACUGACGGUAUAUAAACUAUCAUCAUUGGAUUCAUGGUACAUGUACAUAAGUUGGGAGUUUAAAUUCAAAAUUUGUAUAGUUUUCAUUCAUCUACGACUGAAAAUUAAUCCUUAUUACAAUGUAGUUUUUUAAAAGUGCCACAAAAAACAGUUAAUUCAUAAGUACCCAUUUUGUAUUUCGAAACACAAAAAUUAUUUUAAAAGCAUUAGUGGUGAGCAUGUGCUAAAAGUGUGCUAUACUUCUAAAAUUUUAAAAUAAUACUUACCAAAUACUUAAAAGAAAGUGCUUUCAUCAUCCAAAAUAAAAAUUAUUUGAGAUAAUUUUGUGAAAAAGUACUAUAAUAUUUUUUUGAUAUGAUGUAUAUGAAAUAAAAAGGUGAUGAAAAAUGUGUUGAUGAUGCAAACAAAUCAGUGUGUGUAAAUAAGGUGUAAAUAAAGUGAAAUAAUUGACAUCCAAAGUCCAAACACACUCUUUGUUUUGCAAAAGUAACAUAAUCCCAAGCACCAAAUGGUACAUUACUAAUAUAAGAUCUAGGCUUCAAUAAUGUCAAUUAUUCAUGCAAUAUAUCAAUUAAAUAUUUAACACAAUUAUGCGUACUAUGCAAUGUAACUUCUCACACAUUAAAAUAACAAAUGUCUAGACAACAACACAACGUGCAAUAACGGGAUAAAAUUUGAAAAUGCAUUAGAAAUUCUGCUCUGUAGACUCAUCCAAUUUGAAAUCUAUUCAAUUUCCACCAUCAAAUUUCUACAGAUCACAGGUAAUUACAGAUCACACUGCUUGUCGGGUCAUCUCAUUUCCCAAGUGUUUAUGAGAUACCACAGUAGUUGCAACACAUGGGGUAUCUUUCACAAUUCGAACUGGUCUAAGAUGAUUUUUUGUGUUAUAGGCUCGAUACACGGAUGUACUUGGAUACAGACAUGUACACUUCUUCUUCUUCUUCUUCUUUUUUUCUGUAAGUCCCACAUAUUUGUAUUUUGAUACAUUAAUAAAUCUGGUUUAUAACAGACCUUUCCAACCAAAAUUUAGCAGUGACAUGCACUUGCAAAUUUAUUGAAGUAUGCAAUUGGGUUAGGCUUCCCUUUAAUUGAAAAAUUAAGUGUAAAUUACAACCUCAAAAAAUAGUGAAAAUUACAAAUAAUGAUUUGGAUGAGGUUGAUGUUUAGAUGAAUGUGAUUGAUUGCUGACGCAAUUUUUUAAUAAGUGACAAAAUUUAUUAUAUAAUUUUUGGUAUAUAUUAUUUUAAUGAGUUAAUUUUAUAUACACUGAUAGUGUAAACACUAUCACGAAUUAUGUGCAACGUAUCUAAUGGUAAAAGUGUAUACACUGUCAGCGCAAUCUUGUUUGGAUUGCUAUUUGUUAGAGUUUUUGUAGAAAAAUAUAUUAUAAUAAUUUAAUAUAUGUGAGUUAAAAAGAUAAUUGAAAAGAUGCGCUCAUGAAAAAUGUAGAAACUUUUUAGGCAAAUACCUUUCCAAAAAAGUUAACGUACAUAUCUCAUUUAAUCUAUAAAAAUAUAAAAGAAUUUUAAUGCUAAUUUGUUCCACACCGAUUUGGACUAUGGACUAUAGUAGAAUUGACCAACUUCUUUGUCCUUCCUUAAAUCCAUAUUGGCUCGAAAAAUCAUCUCGGAACCAAAGUUCAGUGGUUACCAAAAAAGAACUAAAUCUCUCUUUGACUUGUAGAUCGGAGGUUUAAAUCCUACCUGUAGUGAAAAAAAUCUAGAGGAGGUGUCAGCGUACCAUUUUGCUUUAGUUAGAUUCUCAUACCUAUUACCAUCUUAUGCAUAGCUUUUUUAGAUUCCCUCUCUCUAAAUUAGAAUAAAUUAAGUUAUAGAAAUGUUAUUGUUAUCAUAAAAAAGAAAAAAGAAAAAUGGUCUCGAGCACCAUAACAUGCCUAAUCUGUCCUUUUGGUAUUCCCGCUUUCCUUUCUACUCUACAACUUGAAGUCAAUCUUGUACUGCCAAAUAGAGAAAUUUUCUUGCUGUUGCUCAACACUCAUUUGCAACACACACUUUAAUGCUAAUCCGGUACCCCUUUGUGAAUUAGCACAAAGCAUUGAAAAUUGCUUCCAGGAAGUGCGAGGAUGCAAAGCUAAAUUGGUUUGACUUUGAUCACUUGCUCCAAAAAAGAGAAACUAGGCUGUAAAUUCUCAAGAGUAUGACAGUAAAAUAGAUGUUACACACAAUACUUCUUUUCUCCUACCAAAAGAUGUGGAUGCUCAUAUCAAAUCACUUGGACGCACUCAAAUAAAUUGCUAGCAACUCCAAAAUUGUAAGCUCUGCCAUCAAAUUGAGAUCUUGAAUCGUUUAGAACAUCUUAGUGCAAAUGAUAGUGAUAAUUUGAUGAAAAAUGACGAAGUUUGUAAUGCAUGACUAUGAGAUUGAAGUGUAAAUAUAAGAUGAGAAAACGUCUCAACCCCUUGUUCUCCUAAUUUUUAGGACUCCAUUAAUUUGAUAGACGCAUGCCCUUAAUUUUGUUGCCAAAAUCUAUUGUAAUUUUCACAUUUCUUAAACACACUUUAGCUAACACAGGUGCAUGAUAAGUAUCAUUAUUCAUAGUGGUGUCAAGCCUCAGAUAGAUUUUUUUUUUUUUGGUAAAAGAAAAGUUUAUGUGGGUUGUGCUUGGAUCACCACUAUAAGUCACAGCAAUGUUAUCGGACCAUACGUUGAAGUUUUUACAAAUUAUCCACUAACACAAUCCUCACAUUAGUAACGAGAUUCAAAUAUACAACCUUUCGUAAGCAAAAUGAUCCAUUCUUACUAAAUAUUCAGUUUAGUAAAACUGAGGUCUAGAAAGUAAAAUAUGAAAUCUGGAGUUGCUUUCAUUUGAUUUCUUCAUAUUUAUCUAAACCUUCACAUCAAUAUAGUUAUUUUAUUAUUUAUCUUUUUCCUAAAAUAUGCAUACAUAUAGGGUCCGUUUGUUUCGGAUGAAAAUAUUUUUCAGGAAAAUAUUUUCCUAAUUUCCCGUGUUUGGUUGCACAAAAGUUACUGAAAACAUUUUCCUAUGUAAAAUAUUUUCACUCAUCUUAUGAAAAACAACUUCCCUUCCAAACUUAUUGAAGUUGUUUUCCGAAAUGUAUGCAUCCUGCUUGUAGUAUGUUCCAAAUUUACUGAAAACAUCUUGCAGUAUGUUCUUUUUUUUUUUUUUUUAGUGUAAACAGGAGGAUUCGAACCCAAUACCUCUUCCUUAUACUCCCUCCCCCGUACCACCCAAUCCAACCCAACCCAACCCUCCACCUAGUAUAUUCAAAAUAAAAAAAAAACCUCAUCCUGCUCCUAUGCUAGUAAUUAAUUAUGUAUAAUAGGGACAUUCUUUUCUAGAGAAACUUUCAGUAGUGAGAGUGCAAGAUAUAUGUCACAAUAAGCAUUGCAUGUGAUUGAUAUUUGACACUAAAUGACCAGUAAUUUGUUUAUUAUUUAAGGAGAUAUUUUUUAUUCAUAUAUACAUUUCUCCAAGAUUUUUUAAAAUUAAACAAUGAGAUAAAUUUUCUUAUUUUGCAUGAGAAGAAGUAUGUAGUUAUAAUGUGUAGAAAGUAAAGAUAGAGAUAAAAGUGAAAAUAUUUCAAAAGUGAAACAAACACUAGAAAAAUGAAGUAAGAAAAUAUUUUCAAUAAACCAACCAAACACCUGAAAAUGAUGAAAGGGAAAUGAUUUUCAUGGAAAAUUACUUCAACGGAAAAUAUUUUUCCAAGGAAAACAUUUUACUUCCAACCAAACAGACCCAUAAAGUGUGCCUCACCGACUACUACUAGAUAUUGAAUAUAUGCAAAAUAUAUUAUUUAUAUAUAUUAAUAUUUUUAACAAAUUAGUUAACAUAAUGCAAUUGUACAUUCAAUGAUGUUACUCGUUUUUAUAUGCAAAAAAAUUGUUCCUACUAUUCUUCUUUUAUUUUUUUUCAAAAUUUGAAUGCCUGGUCAAAUAAGCAAGUUGUACUAAAUUGGGAAUCGACAUUGGCGGCGUAGGAAGCAGUUUAACACGGAAUACAUAAGCGCCAACUGUUUCUGAGAGGCAGAGCUUGCGAAAUCCGCCUUGGCCUUCUCUUUCUUCCCAUUUCCCGCUAUAUAAAUAUGCUCACCAAACCAGAGAUUCCCAAUCCUCAACAGCCAGAUUAGCCAUCUCUUGUUCAACAACAGAAGGGAAGACAUGGCUGUUGCUGACUCUAAAACUGCCACUAAAUCCUCCUUUGAAUCCAUCAGAGAAUGGGUUGUCGAGCACAAGCUUCGUACUGUUGGUAAUUCUUGUACCAUUUUCCCUUCUUUGCUUCUUUUUCGCUUCAUUUCUCUGGUGGGUUUUCCUUUUUCUUUUUCCCCUUUUUAUUAAUGAUUGUUUUGAAUUGGGUGAAAAGGGUGCUUGUGGUUGAGUGGAAUUGGAGGAUCCAUCGCUUACAAUUGGUCUCAACCGGCCAUGAAAACCAGCGUCAAGAUCAUUCACGCUAGGUACCACAUCAAUCUUUCUUCGUCCUUUUUACUUGAUUACCUUUUUCUCUCUUGAAGAUCUAUUUAACUAUAGUAUUUUUAUCUUGUUCUUGAACAUUCUUGUGCACUUUUUGGAUUAAAUUCUCUGUUCAGGAUUUGAGCAAAUUGGUUGAGAUGGGUAGAUUGGGAGGAGGGCCCUUUUCAUGUGCUUUUUAACCCGAUCUUUUUUCCUUUUCUUUUUCUGGAGAAUUAGGCAUUGUGAUUUUGUUGGCAUAUUUGAAUACAAUUUGAUCUCACUUUACGUAGCCCUGCAUAAAGAUUGUAUCGUUUUGCGUGCUACUAGAUUAUUUAGUGCCAUUAGCUGAUCAUAAUAUCUAGAUCAUGUUUUCCUUGCUUGAUGAAAUUGAUGGGAUAGGAAAGGUUUGGGAUUUAUAUGCUCCGAAUUUAUAAUAUGGAAGGUAAUUUACGCAGUGUGCCUAAAAGAACAUGUUAAUUGUUGCUCAUGAUAUCUUCUGGCUUUUAAGUACUUUAGAUACUUAGUUUAACCAGGCAGUGUUUUUAAAUUCAAGAUGCUAAGAAACAAAGUGGUUGUUGGAUUGCACCAUUUAUUAGACUGAGAUAAACAGAGGCCGAUUAUUUAAGUUUGUUGAAGAAUAUAAAAGCUUGCAUCUUUAAUCCAUGUCUGUGGGCUCCUUGUAGUCAUUUAUGUGGACAUUUUACCCUGCAAAUCCAUCUACCCCUAUUUGGCUAAAUAGCCGUCAUCACAUUAACAAAAGCCUCUGCUUCUACCUAGUAAAUUGCAUAAGCUAUAUUGCAGUAUCCUUGAGAAGCGAAUAGUACAGUUUGCCAUUUUAACAUACUUUUUUUAACCAACUGCUACACAUUUUAUGCAUGAAACAUGCAACAGAUACUGACUUUGGUUUGAUGCAAAAAGCAUGUUUGAUGUCUUUGAGAUCUACUGUGUGAAAUAACUUGAGAAAAUGUGAGCAAAGAAAUAAUUUUUACACUUUGAUUGCAUAUCCUAUGUACAUUUGACAUAUAUAAGCACACAUCUUGAAAAUGAUGCAUGCACGUGUAAAAUAGCUAAUUAACUUGGUAUAGUAGUUUUCUUGAGUGGUGGUGGGUGAUUAGACUGUGUCUGGAGAAUUGGAGAAUGAAGUGAAAUGUGAAAUGAGAUAAAGUGCAGAGACUGAAGUGUAUUGGGGAUGUGAAAUUAAAGAGUUUGAACUGUGCCUUUUUCUCUACCAGCAAUGGCAUAUGCAAUGGUAGAAAAGAUGUCCUUGAGCAGGAUCAGCCGCAGAGGGAGACAGAGAAGUGGAAAUUUUGUUGGUUUAAGUUAAUCCCAUAAGUGAUAGUGGAAAGGUGAGGAUGUCUUAAGGUAUCUGGGUAUACUUGCCUUUUUCUAUAGUUGUAAAUGAUGCAAUCGAGGAUUGGGACAUAGAGAGUUAAAGAUUACAGUGAAGUGAGGAAUGGCACAAAGUGUAAUACAGAAAAUUUUUUGGAGACUGGAAUUUGACUUGGUGACCUUAGGGUUUGUGGAUAUCUUCCAUCUGGUUGUCGUGGUUUUGUAAGGGAAGAUGGUGAUUAUGGGGCGUGUUUUCAGGUUUUAGUGAAGGUAUUGUUGAGUCACAGGUAGUAAGUUUGGUCUUGGAAUAUGAGAUCAAAGAAAAGAAGUGGAUGGUUUUUGUACUUGUAGGUUAAGGAAGUUAAGAUAUUUUGUUGUGUUAAACCAAUUGCUUUGGAUGCUGACUCUUGUCAAAUUAACGUAGCUUGACGUACUGAAACUAUUCCUUCUGAUUUCUUCAAACUACUAUGUGUAAAUGGUAUGGUUGUCUAUUCCUUCUGUUCCAUUUUGGGGAUUGUCUUUUAAACAAACUUGUUUCUAACUCAUUCUUUUUUCCAUGGGAAGACAUACUAAGCACAUGAUAUUGUAUUAAGAAUAUGCAAACUGGAUUUUUUCUUCAGGAACCUGUACUCUACCUUUUCGUUCUUGCUUUUGUAAUAUUCAUAGUCGUCCCGAAACGUUAUCCUCGUUUUACUUCAGGUUGCAUGCCCAAGCUCUGACAUUGGCUGCACUGGCUGGAGCUGCCGUUGUUGAAUACUAUGACCACAAAACAGGGAAAACACAAGAUCGAUAUCCCAAAUAUCUUCCGCUGGAUACAUACUCACAAAAAGACUGAAGAAUUAACCUACAUGUGUAAUUUUGAAGAGGGUACAUCAAACUCAUUAUGAUUCCAAAAUUGAGUUUUGACUGAAAACGUUCUUGUAUUUCUAUAUGCUACGGUUUUGCUGAUUGAUCGGUGAUGUAAACAUGUGCCGCCACUGGUACAUCUCGUGAUUGUUCAUCAAUAACAAGGCAUUAUUUGGUCCUUUUUAUAUAGAGUUUAGCUACCAUCAAAUAUCUUUCUGAUUAUCUAGAAUAUUGUGUCGCAUUCGGACGUAGAUUUAUUGCUAGCAAGCACUUGUGGUAAUACAGGCAUGAAUAGAUUAACUAAUGACGUGAUUGUUCUUUCCAUUGGAAUCUAAUUGCAGUUGAACUGCGUUUCUUGCUGAUUGGCUCUCUCUAAACCUAUUUGAUUGGAUUCUGAGUGCAAAACUAGCCUUAUUGGGAUUGUUUGAUUCUUGCAUUCAUUCUAAAACAAGCAAGGACAAGUCAUCUUCAAUUACGCAGAGGUCAAAAUGUCGCAACUCUAAUAUUCCUUAGUUGUUAUAGAUCAUGACUUCUUACAAUAGACUUUUUAUUUUUUAUUUUGGUCAAAAGCAUUGUAUAAUUUCAUUUCUAACUUGAUACCAUAAGGUCUGUUACAAAAGGGCUACUACCCGAGUAAUCUUUCUGUGCGCUCUCAUGGAGCCUAAGAUUGCAAACGAAUCGAACCGAUCGCGAGCGGUUCAAAUUCGGUCAAUAUCGAACUGGUCAAGUCGAACUCGAAUUCAAAAAUAUUAAAUUCAUUAAUUUGCGAGCCACGAGUUCGAUUAUAUAUAUAUAUAUAUAUUAUUUUAAUAAUAAAAUUAUAUAUAUAUUUUUAAUAUUUUAUUAUUUAUUAAGAAAAAUUAUUAUUUUAUUUUAUUUUUUUAAAAUAAAAUAAUUUUUAUUUUUAUUUUUUUAAGUUCAAACUCGAGCUUGACAUUUUGAUUUCGUCGAACUCGCUUCGUAAAAUUAUGUUGAGGUUCCGCUUAAUUAGACUGAAAUUCAACUCGACUUGAUUCGUUUGCACCCCUUGAAUCCACAAGAGAAAGUUUCCUUUCUCAUUUAAGAUUUUUAGCAAAUCUAACAGCAAAUUUUGCUAGAUUCUUAGUGAAGAGCUGAUUUCUGGUUAGGUCGCCGAGCUGACCUAAUUCAGCUCCCUCUUUCGGUGAAGUGAAAGUAAAAGGUAGGAGUGCUGUCCCGAAGUGAGAGGUGGGGCUUUGUCCCCUGAGAUCACUCCGACGGUCAAGUCAAUAUAGAGAGAGAAUAAAAAGUAAUGAACAAUACGAGUGCAACAGUAGUCUUACUUGUAAGGAGUGAACAGAAGAUAUUUAUAGAGUGUGAGAGUGGAGGGAAGGACAGUGGGUUUAAGCCACUGGGUCCCGCUUCCUGAGGAUUACGGCUCCGCUCUGCACCUGCAGCCUCUGUUCCUGACAAGGGAUAAUAGUUCAGGCACUUUGUCAGGUGGUCACGCAUAUUCCCAAUAAAGGGUCCUAGGGUUUUCAGUUAAAGUGGUGGCCCUUAAUGACAUGUCAGGACAGCUGAUAUCUCCCGCGUGCGGCCGAGAUACGACGGCUGAAGAGGUGAAUUUCGACCCGCAGGAGUGAGUCACCCGAACUGGAGGAAUACCUUUACCUUGGGCAACUCUCUUGGACGAAGUCACCUGCUUGGAUAAGAAAAGGGGCUGGAUCCCCCGGUAUAAUUUCGAAACUUAAAUCAGUUCGGAUAUAGAGAAGUAAGAAAGUAAUGAGUGGAGAUAGCGUUCUACCAGAAAUUGGUCAUCCCCUAUUCCAGUAGAGGUGUUGUGUAUUUAUAAGGGACGGAUUGGAGAGAGGAACUGCCUGCACAAGUCCCUGAAGAUCUGAGAUAGUCAGUGCAUCUGGUGGACUUGACCAGUCUAUGAAAAGAUGUGGUGUGAUAUCCCGUCAGAUUCAGGCGGCAUGUCAGAGCAGCCAUUACUCAGGCGUUAGAUGUGUCAGGGGUCACAUCCCUCCUUUCCGUAAUUGUCGAGCAUGCAAGGUUCACCUCGGAGAUACGACCUGGACCAUAUAGCCGAGGUGGCAAACGAGUUCCAACCGUCUCGCAGGAUGAUUCGCCGAGGUGGCCUUUCAGGACACGUCAGAGGACCAGGCCUCGGGCAAUCCGAGCCUAAAUGGCCCUCUUCACUAAGCCCCCCAAGCUUUGGGAAGGACGAGCACGGUACUCGCCGAGGUCGUUAUUUCCCGAGGCUGACAAGUGUGCAAGGCACGGGACACAGACACGUCAUGACUGUGCAGGGGGGACUAGGAGAGAGGUGAAAACAGGGGCUGUCAACUUUAACGUCGGGUCAGUCAAAUCGAGUGUCAGAUGAACAGCACCGUCAUUAAUGAGGAGAGAGAGAGAGUUUUUUAGGGAAUCCCAAAGAUCGCGUCUCUUCGGCUUCCCCCUGUCGCCCAUAAAUAGGAGCCUUUUUUCACCGUCUCUUUCUUUACCAAAAAUUGUGAAUCACCCCAGAGCUCUGUUUCUUUGUCUUUUGACUUCGGCAGUCUUUCUAAACCACAUCUUCUUCGGCAAUUCCUUCAGAUCACAUCUUCUAAGUAAGUUUUACUUCUUUUCCUUCUGAUACAAUGGCUAGAACAGCUCGUACUCACAAAGAGACAGUGCGGCCUGACUUUACCGAGGCAGAGAGGCCUGACCCCUCCGAGAAGAGAACUGCUUCCGACGUCGGGGGAGGAGGUGCAGAGUCAUCUCACCGAGCUGGGACAUCUGUGGAACAGCACGAGGGGAUCGAGGUCGAUCCCGAGGUCUUAUACAACGAUGACCUCGGAACCGAAGUCCCAAGGGACGGGGGUCUACAAGAGCCUUCCACCCCUCCGAACGUGGAUUCUCUUAACUACGGCCUGAUGCCGACCUUUGGGAGUAAGUUGGUGCAAGCUUCUGUAGUCGAGGUGAUCCGCAAGUACCCCUGGAGGAGGGAUUACAGUAUUUACAUACCCCAGCCUCACCAAUCUGCCGCACUGCCACCAAAGGAUAGGAUGGCUAUUUAUGUGGAACAACUAGAGGCCGGACUCAGGGUGCCUACCACAAGAUUUUUUCGGGACUGUUUGAGGUUCUGGGGGGUGAGAAUCACUCAACUCACCCCCAAUGCCAUCCGCGUCCUCGUCGGCUUCCAACUGCUAUGCCGCCACCAGGAGAUAGAACCCACAGUUAACCUAUUCCACCGCUAUUACUCACUUAAGAACAGCGGGAGCGAGAAUGGUUGGUUUUACUUCGGGAACAAAGUCCCGAAAUUAGUGGUGGAAGCCCCGAGCUCAAUAAAGGAGUGGAAGCAUAACUUCUUCUUCGUCCCGGCUGAGAACUUUCCUCGGGGGUUCUGGUGGAGGCCCCCCACCUCGGUAAAAGAAACCUCCCCGAGCAAGCUGGAAGAACACAACCUCCAGAAGCUACUGGGGUCGGGUCUCAGGAUUAAUUGUUGGGACUUUCCCGAAAUGGUUCUCGUAGAGGGCGGGCUCAGCCGAGCACUGAUCAGCUCGGACCACCCCGUCCUCCUUUCUACUAGGCUCCACCGACCUUGUACUUUUUCGCUUUCCCUUUUUUGUUUUUCCUUCUCGAAUUCUAACUAACUUUUCCUCAUUCUUUGCAGUGGUGAAGGUUUCUGACCUGAUAACCUCGGGAGACGUCGAGGUGGCAAAGAGACCACCCAAGAAGCGCAAGGGCACCGCUGAGCCCUCCGCCAGGUCUGCUAAGAAGACCACCGCAGCGACAAGCGACCGCGAGCCAACCGUAGUGAUCGUGGGCGAGGGCUCACACACCUCGGCCUCUCCGGGAGGCUCCCGUGCCUCGGCUAUUCCUGUGGGGGUCCCCAUCCGAGGGGUCACGAUAGCCACUCCACCUCGGGGUCAGGGCGUGACUGCGUUCCCCGAUAAUCCCGUCACGGGGUCCUCUUUGUUCAACCUCCACCACAUGGCUUCCAAGGCGGCCGAGGAGGACAAGAGGCACCCCGGAUCGCACUGGUGUCCGGAGUGGGAGAUCAACGUCAACGAUCGUUGUAAGAACCCUCUGGUUGCCCAGGAGCUUCUGGUGCACUCGGUGUUGCCUCGGGACAGCAUUUAUACUAGAAAGCUCACUCCGGGCGAGCUGAUGCAAAUAGGGCUGUCGACGGUCCGGGUCUGGACCCGGACCCGGCCCGAACCCGCCAACAUUUGACGGGUAUGGAUAGGAAUAUAGGCCCGCGACCCGAACCCAUAUUAUCUAAUACAUUUGCGGGUCGGAUACGGGAUAUACCAUUCCGACCCGUAUCCGACCCGGACCCGUUUUAAUUAAUUAAUAAUUAAAAUAUAUAUACCUAUCUAUCAAUUAUUCAUACCAAUACUACUUUCAUAAUUUCAUUCCCAAUUCUUUCGAACCCUAAUACCCAUCGCCGCACCUGCACCUCCCUUUUCCCCUCACUCUCUUUUCUCUUUUGCUCUGUCUCCCACCUCCGCUAGUGACCGCUGACCAGUCCGCUCUCCCAUCUCCAUCUCUCCAUCUCCGGCGACGCUCUCGACUCUCUCCAGCUCCAAAGAAGCCCAGCUAUCAUCGUUACCGUCGAGUCUGGCCAGCUCCAAAGAAGCCCAACCCGGUCUAGUCUCACUGUCUUCUCUCUUGCACUCUCCAUCUCUGACGCCGGCGAGCUCUCUCCAUCUCUGACGCCUGGCGGUUGCAGCUCCGGUCGAAGCCCAACACUUCCAGCUCUUCCAGGCUUCCAGCAGGCCAGCUUUCUUGUCUCGUCUGCUUUACCUUUUUUAUCCCCCUUUUAUUUAAUAGGGAGAAGAAAAAUUAGAAAAGCCGAAAAGAAUUGUAAAGGAGAAGGCACGUCUCCAGAAAACCUACAAUUGAAAGUGGACGAUAUUUGCAUCGCAUUCUUUCGGUAACCUCAUCUCAAAUGCAAAGUUUGCUGGAUAGUUAUUGGAUUGUGCAGCAACUGGCUCUUUGUUUUUUUGCUACUACAAGAUAUGAUACCAUGACAAUAAAGUAGGCAAGUGGAUCACUCCCAAGCAUUUGAGAGGUUCUUGUUGAAAGGAAAAAAAAAAGAAAGAAAUCCAAAAGCCCUGUUGCUCGGCCUCUAAUUUUCACCAAGAAAAUAAUUUGUUAUUAUUUGGUCUCUGCACAAAGUUAUUUGAAAGAUUUUGCACUCCAAAAAUCGAGGAGCAAAAUUCAAUAAUAAUGCGUCUAGAUUAUGAAAAAUGGAAAAAUGCGCUUGAUUGCUAUAACUAGUUAUUAAGGUCAGCAGAAAAGGUGAAGAUGAUAGAAAGAAAGGAUCUCAGGCAGAUAAUAAAAUGAGGGCAAGGAUAAAGAUGAAGGUGUAAAUCAGGUUUUUUUACUGGUCUUAUUCGGGUAGGCCCUACCCGACCCGGGACCCGUCGGGUGCGGUUCCAGAUAGAGAUUAAGAGACCCGUCGGGUAUUUGGGCCGGUUCCGGAAUUAAUACGGUAUUACGGGUCCGGGUUCGGAUUUAUUGAUUCCGGCCCGGACCCGACCCGUUGACAGGCCUAGAUGCAAAGUGCUUCAGUCUCCUGAGCCUCCACCACGGCCUUCUUUGCUGAAAUGAUACAACGCUACGGGCGUUUUAUGGAAACCUUUGAGCCACCAGCCGAGCUCCAGAAGAAGAUUGCCGACCUGGAAGAAAAACUGAAGGCAACUGAGCUAGAGCGCGACAAGGCCGAGGCGACAAGGAAGAAGGCCGAGGUCGCGAACAAUUCCUUGGUCACCGCCCUUGACGAGGAGAGAUGAAGAAGGGCCCAAGAGGAGCAGUCGACCAAGGAGGCCAUAAAUAAGGCCGGGGUAACUGCCGUGGAGUCCUUCCGCAGCUCGGAAUCCUUCACGCGCGACCUCGGGGAGCUUACGCGACCGAGCUUCAUGCUUGGCUACACUUCGGCCAUCAAUGAUGCAGCGCCCUUCCUCUCUUCUGAACAGCUGGAGUCCCUUCAAAGCACUCCUCACUAUAAUGAGGACGCCAAGAAGCUGUGCGACUGCAUGGCUGAGGGAAUCCAAACUGGAAGGGACCUAGCCGAGAUCCGGAUCGAGUUCAACAAAUGGCUCCAGAAGUUUGAGAUAGAUGGUACUGAAGACGACCAAGCCGGCGGAGGAGCUGAGGGAGGACAGGAUGCCGAAACGGGAGGCGCGACCAUGGGGGGUCAGGAUGCCGGGGUAAGCGGUCAGGAUGCCGGGGUAGGAGGUGCUUAGAAGCACUCCUCUAUGACCUCGGCCUUUUGCUUUUUGUUCUUCAAUGAAAUCAACUUUUUGUUCUCGCAUAUUUUUUGCCUCUUUUUUGAUCGAAUUGAAUUCAACUUUUCUUAUUUUGAACACUGCUUUGUCCCCUUAUUUUUCACUUGAAGAAAAUAAAUUGAAAUUUGAACAAGUGAGAAAUAACUUGGAGAACUGAAAUUUGAGAACACGUACUCUUUAAGGGUAAUACAACUUAAGGUUUUCAGCAUGCCAAGUCCGGAGCACUCGAGAGCCAUCUCGGUAAGCUAAUUUACAAUAUCCAUUUUGGUUGGACUCAACAACACGGUAAGGUCCUUCCCACUUGGGGGUUAGUUUACCCUGAGAUUCAACUCGACUAACUGAGUUCUUCCCUAGAACAAGGUCUCUCGGAUUGAACCGCAAGUGCUUGACCCGAGCAUUGUAGUAACCAGUUAGGAUAUUCUUAUAAAUGGCGAUCUUAGCUGCGGUCAUAUCACGCUUUUCCUCGGCGAGGUCGAGAUCAACUCGUCGUUCCUCUUCAUUGGCCUCGGCAGCAUAUGCGGCCAUACGCGGGCUUGGUGUGAUGAACUCGGUUGGGACAACAGCUUCAGACCCGUAGGUUAAGGAAAACGGGGUUUCUUGGGUUGUUGACCUCGGCGUAGUUCGGUAGGACCAGAGCACACUGGGGAGCUCUUCCAUCCAGGACGAUCCAGCCCGGUGGAGCCUAGUCUUGAGUCCAUGGAGAGUUCGGUUGAAAUUUUCGACUUGUCCAUUUGCUUGUGGGUGUCCAACCGAGGUGAAAUGCUGCUUAAUCCCCAAGUUUUCACACCACGCCUUGAAAGGAUUGUCUGCGAACUGCCUGCCAUUAUCCGAGAUGACCACCCGGGGCAGGCCGAAGCGACACAACACGUUCUUCCAAAAGAAUUUUUGAACAGCAACUCCGGUUAUGCUUCUCAGGGGCUCGGUCUCGACCCAUUUGGUGAAAUAGUCUACUGCUACCACCACAUAGGCAUAAUAUCCUGGAGCUUUUGGAAAGGGGCCGAUUAUGUCAAUUCCCCACUGCUCGAAUGGCCAUGGCAAAGUGAUGGGGAUCAUAAGAUUAGUCGGUUGGUGGUGCUCAGGAGCGUGGUGCUGACAAGAAGGGCAACAGAGUACCAUGACCUGGGCAUCUACCCUCAUGGUGGGCCAGAAGUAUUCGAGCAGCAAGGCUUUCUUCAUGAGCAUCCUGAAACCGACGUGGGCACCACAAAAUCCCUCAUGAAUGUCUUGAAGGACUCCCUUACCUUCUUCCGGGGUGAUACACCGCAACUAGGGGUCGAGGUAAGACCUCUUGUAUAGGAGGCCUUGUCGGAGGAUGUACCGAGCUGCUUUUCGUUGAAGCUUCCGUGCUUCACCUCGGUCUUCUGGAAGCUCACCCUGACUGAGAAAUCGAGUCAAAGGCCCCAUCCAGGUGUCCCCGGGGUAAAUGGGGUAUACAACCUCUCCUUCGUACCCCGGCUCGGAUAGGACUUCCACGAGAACCGUCUUGUUCAGGUCGGCAAAAGAAGUAGAGGCGAGCCGGGAGAGAGCAUCAGCCCUCCGGUUCUGUGACCGUGGUAUCCUUUGAAUUUCGAAAGACUCAAAGUGUGCCACCAGUUGGAGGACCUUAGAGAGGUAGCGAUGCAUCACCUCUUCCCUGGCCUCGUAUUCGCCUAAUAUUUGGCACACGACGAGUUGGAAGUCACUAUAGACCAAGAUGUGUGCGGCCCCGAGCUUUCGAGCUAGUUGUAAGCCGGCAAUGACAGCCUCGUAUUCGAUUUCGUUGUUGGAGGCAGUGAAGUCAAACCUCAGGGCGUACGAGCACACAUCUCCUUGAGGGUCUUCGAGGAGCAAGCCUGCUCCACUACCCUCACUGUUGGACGAUCCAUCCACGUGUAGAAUCCAUCGCUGGAGCCCAGCGAUGGCCACUUCAGCUGUCACCGGGGUGGUAGCUCGGAUGGGUUCUUUCACCUCGUCAAAGGUGAGUUCGACUAAAAAGUCCGUGAGAGUCUGGGUCUUGAUGGCUGUGCGAGGUUCAUAAGAGAGGUCAUACUCCCCCAACUCAAUGGCCCAUUUGGUAAGACGUCCCGAAGCCUCAGGUCGUGUCAGGAUCUGCCGGAGUGGUUGAUCAGUCCUCAAACAGAUGUGGUGAGCUAGGAAAUAGGGCUUGAGUCUGCGGGCUGCGUGGAUCAGGGCCAGCACAAGUUUCUCCGCUUGUGUGUACCUUGUCUCGGGACCUCGGAGAACUCGACUAACGUAGUAGACGGGCAUUUGGACUCCUUCCUCCCUUAUCAGCACGGCACUCACGGCCUCCACCGCAACAGAAAGAUAUAAGAUCAGCUUAUCCCCCGGUCGAGGUGAGGUGAGCGUGGGAAGGUAGUGAAGGUAAUCCUUCAGCUGCUCAAACGCCUGUUGACACUCUUCAAUCCAGGAGAAGUGGUCAGUUUUCUUCAAUACUUUGAAAAAUGGCAGAGCUUUGGAGGCUGACUGCGAUAGGAACCGGUUCAGGGCGGCCAACUGCCCCGUCAACCUCUGGACAUCGCGGACGCACCGAGGUGGAGACAUCUCCUGGAUAGCUCGCACCUUAUCCGGAUUCGCUUCUAUACCUCGCCUUGAGACGAGAUAACCUAAAAAUUUUCCCGAGGUGACCCCAAAGACGCAUUUCUUGGGUUCAGCAUCAUUCGCGUCUUCCGGAGAUAUCACGGACCUCUUUCAGGUCGGCCAGAAAAGCGAAGGUCGUCUGGCUUUUGAGGAGGAUGUCAUCUACAUAGGCCUCAACAUUUCGGCCGAUCUGAAACUUGAAUGCUUGGUUGACCAAGCGUUGGUAAGUGGCUCCGGCAUUCUUCAGCCCGAACAGCAUGGUAGUGUAACAGUACGUGCCGCGGUCAGUAUAGAAGGCCGUCUUCUCCUGGUCUUCUUAGCUCAUACCAAUUUGGUGAUAACCUUUGAAUGCAUUCAGGAAACAGAGGAUCUCAUAUCCCAUUGCCGAGUCUACUAAGGUAUCAACCUUGGGCAAUGGGCAACAGUCCUUGGGGCAGGCCUUGUUGAGAUCGGUGAAUUCGACGCACAUUCUCCAAACCCCCGUAUCCUUCUUGACCAUGACCGGGUUGGACACCCAGGUAGGGUAUUGGACUUCCCGAAUUAUUUUAGCGGGUAAGAGCUUGUUCACUUCCUCACCGACAGCUCGGCUGCGCUCAGGGCCGAGGUGCCUUCUCUUCUGUUUGACCGGACGGACUUGGGGGUCGACGUUCAGCUCAUGCAUCAUGAGAUGGUGCGGGACCCCUUGGACCUCUUCGUCGACCCAAGCAAAGACGUCCCGAUAUUCUCUGAGGAGGUCCACCAUAUCUCUUCGGACAGGACCGGGCAAUCGGGUACCAACGCAACUGUUUGAUCAGGCUUCGUGGGGUCCAGGGGAAGCUCUUCCACCUCAUCCCCAAUCUCCAGCCUCGGGACCUUCUCAGCUCGCUGAGGAUCGAUACUAUUUAUUGAGAGAAUAUUUGACCUCUUCUCGGGUCUCGUUCCGGAGAUUGAUGGGGAGGCCGCUUGUAGAGUGGCGAGGUAACACUCUCGGGCAGCGCAGACUUCGCUACUGACCUCGGCCACUCCUGCAUGGGUAGGAAACUUAAAACUUAGGUGGUAUGUAGAGUACACCGCCCGCAGAGCAUUAAGAAUAGGUCGACCCAGGAGCAAGUUGUAUGGGGAGUCAGCCUUAACCACCACAAAAUUCACUGGGAUAGUUCGGCAGCGGGGGUGGUGCCCCACGGUUACCGUUAGGGUCACCAUUCUCUCGGGGUGCACAACGUGCCCCCCGAACCCUACAAGAGGGGUUCUCACCGGGGUCAUGUGCUCCCUGGUCAGUUUAAAACUCUCAAAGGUGCGGAGGUACAUGACGUCAACUGAACUUCCCGGGUCUAUGUAGAUCUUUUUCACAAUAUAGUUGUUGGUGAGGACUUCAAUCACUAAAGUUUCAUGACUGCUGGAGGCAGUUGGGACGGGAUCACUGGGUCCGUAGGUGAUCACCUCGGACAGGCGAGAACUCGACUCGGCCUGAUCUGGAUUGGCCUGCCUAUAGGUCCUCUUCCGGGAGUUCUGACUAUCUCCUCCUGUCGGACCUCCGGCAAUGGUGUUAAUGACUCCGGCGAUGUUCGGCCCAUAUCCCAACCCAUGUCCAGCAGAUCCGUCUGGGGGAGGCCCUUUCGUCUCCCUGGGAUCCUCAGGAGGUCGGCAGCUGCUUCUGGAGGUCCGCCGCUCAUCUCGGCGUCGGUCUCCUCGUUUGUCUCGCCGGUUUUCAUCUCGUUAGUGGCCUCCAGCUCGGUGGAUGAACUGUUUUAAGUGCCCCUGUCUAAUGAGAUUCUCGAUCUCUCUCUUGAGAUCGUUGCAGUCCUCAGUCUCGUGACCAAUGUCACGGUGAUAUAAGUAGUAGAGGUUCGAGUUCCUCUUGUCUCUGCUUCCAUACAUCCUCGGUGGGGCUUUUCCGAGGUUGUUUUGUUCCAUCACGGACAACACCUGAGACCGGGAAGUGUUCAAAGGAGUCAACUCGGAGUCGAGAAUGGGCGACUUCCCUUUGGAUAUCCUGUCGAACACGUUUCGGCGGUCCCGGCCAGGAUUUCGGAAGCCACUUCACGUUCCCACUUCAGCUCGGCUGGCAUCUUUUCCCUUUCGGGGAUCAGCCCUUAGACGGGUGGCUUGGACCUCUUUCUUCAUGCAGUGGAGGUCUUCGGCCUGUAUGCCCUUUUCAACCUUCAGCCACAAUUCAUGCAGUGUGCGGGGAUAUUUCUUAUGGAUCCCCGUAUUGAACUCCCCGGCAACGAGUCCAUGGGUAAAAGCAGCGAGGGUUACCUACUCAUUGGGGGUCAGGUAUCUGAACGCUUUUCUCAUGGAACCUCCGGACGUACGACCGAAGUGACUCUCCCGGAUUCUGUUGCACAAUGAACAGGUAAGCCGAGGUCUUGGUCGUAGGUCGGGAGGAGACAAACCGGUGGAGAAACUUUUCCACUAAUUCACCCAGGGUCGAUAUGCUCCUAGGUUCUAGGGCCCAGAACCAUUUUCGAGCUGUUCCCCGAAGGAAUACUGAAAAGGCCCUGCAGAUGACGGGGUCUGGGAUGCAGUAUAGGCGGAAGGCCGAGAUGAAGGCAUGGAUGUGGUCUUCGGGGUCACCUCGGCCAUCAUAAGAUUGUACUGCGGGGAGCUUAAAAUUGGGAGGAAACCUUUCCUCGUUUAUAUCAUCUGUAAACGGUGGAGCCCUCAUGCAGUCCACCCCGGGUAUUCCCAAGGACCGAGGCUCUUUCUCGGGUCGUCGCCCCAAGAGCCCUCGAGAAAACGCCUUGGUCAGGAAAGGUACCUUAGAGGUAGCCUUAGAAAAUGCUCGCUUUGAGGCACUUCGGCUUAAGCGCCUCCCAUCUGACCCUUCUUCAGAUGAGUCCUCAGGAGACCCAUCUGACUUCCUUUUAGAGGACUCGGGCUUUUGUUUGCCUUGUCUCUUAAGGUAUCUCCCCAACUCUUCAAAGAUGUUGGGUUCUCAGUUACAAACUCGGCCAUACGGGUUAUGGCUUCUUCGUUUGCGGGCUGAGUCCUCGGGGACUCCUGCCCUUCAGAAAUAUUUUCUUGUUGAGCUGCAUUGCUUUGCUCAGCCUCUAUAGCGAGAGCUUUUCUGCUCCUAGAACGCGCAGGCUUCAUCUUCUAAUAUCUUUGCGUUCUCACAGACGGUGCCAAUUGAAGAGGUGAAUUUCGACCGGCAGGAGUGAGUCACCCGAACUGGAGGAAUGCCUUUACCUUGGGCAACUCUCUUGGACGAAGUCACCUGCUUGGAUAAGAAAAGGGGUUGGAUCCCCCGGUAUAACUCCGAAACUUAAGUCAGUUCGGAUAUAGAGAAGUAAGAAAGUAAUGAGUGGAGAUAGCGUUCUACCAGAAAUUGGUCAUCCCCUAUUCCAGUAGAGGUGUUGUGUAUUUAUAGGGGACGGAUUGGAGAGAGGAACUACCUGCACAAGUCCCUGAAGAUCUGAGAUAGUCAGUGCAUCUGGUGGACUUGACCAGUCUAUGAAAAGAUGUGAUGUGAUAUCCCGUCAGGUUCAGGCGGCGUGUCAGAGCAGCUAUUACUCAGGCGUCAGAUGUGUCAGGGGUCACAUCCCUCCUUUCCGUAAUUGUCGAGCAUGCAAGGUUCACCUCGGAGAUACGACCUGGACCAUAUAACCGAGGUGGCAAACGAGUUCCAACCGCCUCGCAGGAUGAUUCGCCGAGGUGGCCUUUCAGGACACGUCAGAGGACCAGGCCUUGGGCAAUCCGAGCCUAAAUGGCCCUCCUCAACGGCCAUCUAGGUCAUAAAGGCCGAGGCCCACGAGAGGUCGCAGAGACCUAGCCGAGAUCUAUCCGAUGUGACAGGAAGGAUCACGGCCAUGGCACCACUUCAGAUAUGGCGAUCCGAAGUGACCGCCUUCACUGAGCAUAUAUGUUACCUAUUCUAUUAACAAAAGAAAAGGUACAUUGGUCAAACAAGCCUCUCAUGUUAUCAAUAUCGUCUAGUAUAACAGCAGUUCUGGAUUCCAUAACAUUUUCCUCCAUGAUCAUGUCCGCUAUUGCUUUGCAAUCUGAUUGGAAUUCCUCUUCCUUCCAUUGUGCUUCUCGGGCCAUCAUCAUUCCCGUUCUGAGUGCUACAGCUUCCUCCACUGGUUGUUCGCUUGAUUAUGCCUCAAAUCUUGCCACAUUGCUCUAAGUUUAUAACCAACGAUGCAAUUAAGCUUUUUCACUAUUUAUAUAGUUUUGGAGGAUCAGAUAAGUUCCAAUUCUUUGUUUCUGGUUUUGGAUCCAGGUUUAGAUGAGCGGAUUUUUAUUGUCUCCCACUCUGCUAUCUUCAAUCAUCUUCUUUUUUUUUUGCCAAGUCCUCCCACUAUAGAAAAAUUAAGAGCAAAACAGUGCAUAUUAGUACUCUUUUAUAUUUUGGUUUCAAGGCCCAAUAGGAUUUCCUGCUUUCCCUUUUUUUUCGUGACUAAAAUUUUGAAGCCUACAAACUUUUAUUCGUGCUAAAAUCUAUGCUUGCAAAUUGUCUAAUCAGACAAUACUUUUAUCAGAGGAGUUCUUUUUAAGCAUUUCCAUUAUCGUAAAAGCCUACCACUUCUUGAAAACCAAUGUAGCAUUAUAUAAUAUGCGAAUGCGACCUACUAAUGACAUAGAUAUUCACAUAAAUAGCUUCCUCUAAAGAAUUCUUGAUAAUUUCUCCAGCUAAAUUGUUCAAGUUCUUCUGAUCUAGAGCAUCAAACACCUCGAAACAUCAAAAGUGCUUAAUCAAAGGCCAUAGGUUUACACCUCUCAUUUAUUCUUGAAAAGUGCUUGAGCUAUCCUUCCAUUAGCUCCCUUGGGCAGGAAAUCCACCAGGGGAUCCCUCAUUACCGGUAACAUAAACAAUCCUUAAUAUCUCUGCUGGAGAGCGUUUGUACGAGGAGGAGUAAUAAUUCGCAGAUAGGACAUUGCUUGAGGUCUGAUUUUCUGCGCCGAGAUUUGGGUGGACAUGGAUGCCUUCAUCCUUGUUGCCACCCUUAGCCAAGAGGUUUUUGACAUUGGAAAUGCGAGUUGUAAAAUCAGCUACCGUGUGUUGGUAUAGUUCCACCACUUGAUCUGCCCGUUGGUAGAGAUAUAGCCUGAUAACGGGCAUCUUGGCCUGCUUCAACACCUAAUAAUCCUGCUGAAACCUGUAAAUCAAGCGUUAAUAAAUUGACCUCGAGCUCACUUCAAUAUUGGAAAUUAAUUGACGGGCGCGAUUGGUUUAUAACCUGAUACUUUUGUGUUAGAUGUCCCUCUGCUGCGUGAUCUUUUGUGCUAACAAGAUUAUAGACUUAUGCGCUUGCUACGGUAAGUCUUGAGGAGAGGGUUUAUGCCAACAUAUCCUGUCAGUCCAAUGUAUGGAACUGCAUAAGUAGCCAGAAAGAAACUUAGGCUGUUCUCGUAAGGGUUGAAUGGAGGGUCGAGGUGGUAUCCAAAUGCUGCAUCAAUGAUCUUUGAGAAGAGUUCAGCACUUAGAUCAAUCUGAGCUCUUGGGAUCAAACCUACAGCGUCUUGAAGGGCUCUACGCAAUUAUAAGCACAAAAAAACAGUUAGGUAAUGAAGAAAGAAAUCUAGAUUAAUGAACCUUUUUAAGGUUUUAAAAAAAGGCAAAAGAACUUAAUUUUGGAUAUGUAGUAAAUUAUCUACCUUAGAUGGCCAACUCCUUGAUAACCAAACAGUUGCAAUACUUUGUGUGAGCUUGUCCAAAUUUGCUUUUAGGGCACCAAUAGGAGCAGCGCAUCCGAUCCUCAACCCCCUCAAGGAGCCUAUCUGUCGAGUCUCAUCCUAAAAAUUUUGACACAUGUAACAAAUCAUGCGAUUUCAUUCACCCAAUCCUACUCUGAAGCCUAUUUGGGUAUUCCCUUCUCUUGAAUGUUACGAAACCCACUCAGUGUAUCAAUGAUCCAACCAACAAGAAAUCACAUCAAACAAAAAUCUAUAAACCCUGAAUCCAUCAAGUCCAUGUCACAAGGCACCCCGCAAGAACCAUUCUGCUUGCAAGAAUUCCAGAUUCUGUGCGAAUUGCAACGACUCAAUGUCACUUCUGGAAACUUGAAGAGGAGAAUGAAAUAUCAAAAUGGCUAGACAUCAACGUUAAUAACAAGAAAGUGUAAAAGAGAAAUGAUGAAUGGAGAGCCAUUGAUGUAAGUGAAGACAAUUCUGCUCAUAAAACUUGCAACUUCUUGGACUUUAUACAAGUAGGAGUAGAGCAUUUUUUCUGUAUAUAGCAUGGAUCAUCGUCCAGAAAUAAUAUGAAUCAUGUAAAUUUCCAUUUGAGAAAUUAAUUAAAAAAAUCAAUUAUUCCACCAUUCUUUUAUCCCCUAGAAAACCUUUUUUUUUUUGGAAGAAAAUCAUUUUUGAAGUUUGAAGUGAAUGCAGUUACUAAAGUAACAUAUUCUUUUUACCAAUUUACCUUUGUCGAAAAUAUAAGUGCAAAGCGAGGGCAGUUACAAAUUUUUGUAGUAUGUAACUACAUGUACCAUAAUUUCUUUGGAUUAACAUAUUAUGCUAUUUAUGCAAAAUUACUCUUACGUUGCUUUUUUUUUUUUGUUUUUUCAAAUUCAUAACUUUACAUUCAAGGAGUUGUUUAGAAGUAGUUUAUUGAUAGUGUGUUUGGAUAGGAGGUUAUUUGAUAUAUUUAUUGAAAAUAAUUAUUGUAGCACUUUGUAUGAUGUGAUAUAUGCGAGAUAAAAAUGUGAUUAAAAAUUGUGUUCAUGAUAUAAGUAGAAAAAAAUUUGAUUUUUUUUUUCGCAAAUCUUGCUAACCAAACAUACUUGCUUAUCCGUUUCAGAUUGUUUGAGAAAUUUUUUUGAAUUUUUCCUUCAUUUGUAUCAUACUAUCCUUAUUUUUAUGUAAAUGGAAAGUUUUAAAUCUUUUUUUUAAUUUAAGUGAAAAUUUUUAAAUUGAAAACUUUCUACUUACAACCCUCUCGUACAGUCGAAUAUUAAAUACUUUUGGGUUCAGGGGAAAGCAUUUAGAUGGAAUUUCAUCCAAGUUCAUGGGCCCAAAUUCAUUGGUAAAAAUAACUAGUUACAUAAUCUCGUAUUUUCACGUACCUGAUUUUUGUCUAUAAUUAAGAUAGUUUUACGGGGGUAAGAAUGUCUCAAUAUUUAAACCAAAUGCAGGUCUUCUUGAUAUCUUUUGCCAAUGGUUGUUUUUUUUUUUUGGUAAAAAACAAAAAAAAAUCCCUGUGGUAAGCCUAAUACACAAAAAAAAUUCCUAUGGUUUCAAAAUAUACAAUACAACACCUCAUGCUUUGAAUUAAAUUGUAAAAGUGACGGAAUCCGUUAAACUUAACGGAAAUGAGUCAAAUAACUUAUUGGAAUCUAAAAAAAACAAUUUAUACCUAAUUUUUAUCAAAUAUACCUAUUCUAUCCUUUAACCCUCAAUUCUCUCUAUUUAGAUAAGCCUGUCAAUCGGAACUAAUGAGUCGGGCUUUCAUAAGGUCAAACUCAAUUCAUUUAAUUUGGAACAUUUUCGAGUUUCGGGCUAUGAGUUUUGGGUUCAUAAAUGUGAAUCUCAUACUCAACUCACAUAAUAUUCGGGUUAUGAGCCUUAAUCGAGGUUAAUCCAAGUUCACUUAUUACUCCUUAAUUUUUUUAAUAUAAUUACUAUAACUAUUAAGUUUUAAAACUAAUUUAACAUUUACAAGACUGUAAUAUUAAAACUAAACAUGAACAAAUAAUAGUUCUUAAAAAGUAUAUAAACCAAAACUUUUUCAACAAUAUUUAUAUUUCAUUCAAAAUGCAUGAAAAAUAGUAAUAAAACAUGCGAUCAUAAGCCAGUACAUCUUUAAAAGUUGAAACUUUUUUUAUAAUCUUGUGAUUUGAAUGCAAACAUGCUUGAUGAUUUGUGUUUGUAGAUCAAAAAGAAAUCAACCAAUAUUAUGCCAACACAAAAAUUUAUUUAACCAAUAAGAAAAGUUAGAGAUUCAAUUAUACAUCACUAAUAUUGGCUCUCAAGAAAGCUCAUGGAAGAGUCUUUAGAUGUAUUUUUAUAUUUUGUAAUAUAUAUAUAUAUUUAGUAUUUAAUAAUAAUAUAUUUGGAUAUAUAAUUAUACAUAAUAUCAAAAUAUAAAUAUUAUAUAUAUAGAUAAUUAAAGGACCGGACCUAUAUCGGGUUUGAGCCUAAUAGGACCCAAGCUCGGUUCAUAUUUAAUUCGGGUUUAAUUUUUAGGCUAAAACUCAGACCGGCUCACUAAAAUGUCGGGCUCAUCGGGCUUUUUGUCCGGCCGAACGAGCCGAGUUCGAGUUGGCCCAACUCCAUUGACAGUCCUAUAUUUAGAGAAUAAAACAAAUUAUUUUUUUGAGUUGUCUUUUGCUUAAUUAUAUCAGGCCAUUUUGGUCAUUUCGUCCAUUUCCGUUAAGUUUAACCGAUUCCGUCACCUUUACAAUUUAGUUCAAAGCAUGAGGGGUUGUGUUGUAUAUUUUGAAACCAUGGAAAGCUUUUCUGUAUAUUAGGUUUACCACAGGGGUUUUUUUUUUACCCUUUUUUUUUAUAUAUAUACUUGAAUAACUAUACAUGGUCAUGGAACCUUUCUCAACUCUUUUUUUUUUUGUUUCUUUUCAUUGGACAUUUUCCUCAAUAAUUUUUUUGACUUUUGAGGUAACAUCAAACAUAUUAAUCUGAUAUAAUAAUAUUUACCUAGAGGAAAUAAGAAACUUGAAAAGGUGCUCAUUAAAGCUAGUUAUCAAUACUAACUAUAUUAACCCAACUAUCCAAUGGCCUGUUGCCAAAAUCAAGGGUUCAAAUCCAUUUGAAUUACGACUCUAGUACGUAGGUCAGACUAGGGGUGAGCAAUUACGGUAAUUACCGAAUUACCGAUCGAAUUUGAUUUGAAUUUGGUAAUUCGAAUUCGGUAGUUAGGUAAUUCGGUCGGUAAAUCGGUGAUAUCGAAUUAAUUAGAAUCGAAAUAGGGUCGAAAAUGGUUUUAUAGUUUUUUAAUUCGUAUUUACCAAAUUCGAAUUUAUUUCGGUAAAAUGGUAAAUUAUUACCGUUUUCAAUUUCGAAAUUCCGAAUUAAGUUAAAUAGGAAAUAAUAUCCUUAUGUCUAGAUGUUCCAAUUUCAGACUUUUGCCCUAAAUUAGCAUUCGUUCCCAUCAGGUAAAAUCGUUCCCAUUGGCUCAAAUCCAUCUACCCAGACGGUGCAGUCUGUGCAUAACCUAUGGUGUCUCCACAAUCCAAAUGCACCUUGGUUAAGCGAGGAUACUGCACCAGAGUGCUCAACCCAAAGGGGUACUGUGCAUGUUUUGACCAUUCCCUGCAAUCUCCUUCAACCUUGAUUUGGAUCUCCUCCAGGUUGGGACAAUCCUCAAGACCAGCAGCAGUCAAUGGUUAGAAGCUCACCCACGCCAAUCCAGAGUGAAAGACAUUGCAGUCUAUCCCAUGAGUUGCUACAAAAUCCAUUGCCGCUGUUGUUAAAUUGCAGAGCAGAGCAAUUCAGAUCAUAGGAGUGUCUGCACCUCUUCUUCUUGCUGCACAUGAUAUCACUAUCAUAAUCUCCAAAGUAGUUAACAAAUCCAUCCGACUGGUUCAAUGCCCUAAGAAGCAAUUUUCACGAAUUCGAUUAAAUCGGUAAAUUUUCAUUUACCGAAUUCAAUUCGGAUUGAAUUCAAAUUCGAUAUUUUCUAUUUCGAAUGCGAAUUAGGUCGAAUAUUUCCAGAAUCAUUUACCGAAAAUUACCCAUUUCAACCUAACGAAUUACCGACUUCGAAUUCGAUGCUCACCUCUAGGUCAGACCAUGUUAAUUAUUUUUCUCUUUAUAAUGUGGAUUGAAUUGAUCGUAAUUUUGAAUUGUUAUAUAAAAUAAAAAAGAAUAUGAAAAACAGCCAACCAACAAUGCUAGGUCAACCAUAAAACAAACAUUAAUCAAAAUAUUGGCUUGAUUUUUUUUUUGAAAUUUGUGUUCUUGCUUUUGUAUUCAAUUUUGAAAAUAUAGGAAAGAUAAAAUUUAAUUCAACAGAAUUAGUUAGUUGAUGUAAUAAUUUCCUCAAUUCAUCUCGGUCUAAAAUUAAGUCGAGUAUUUAAGACCCUGUUUUCAUUUGCUUUAAAUUUUACAAAAUUUAAUUACAAAAAUUGAUUGUAGAAAAUAAUCAGAAUCAACAAAAGUUACUCUUCAGCUGAUUAUAGAUUUUAAUUUUUUUUAUUAUUAAAAAAGUUCAAAAUUAGAAAGUAAAAACAACCAAAAACACAACAAAAACUUAUUAUCCAAAAUUAAAAUAUAUAAUCAUUUAAAAUAAUUAAAUUGAGAACAAGCCCAAAAUUGGUUAGAAGUAACACUAUGCUUCGUCUGGUGCUAUUUUUACAAUGACACUCAAAGGGCCUUCAACUAAGAAUUGGACCUCAAAGCCCACUAAUACAAAACACCUCCAUUCAUGUUUUUUUUUGGGAUAAUUUCAAAAACCUCCCCUAAGGUUUUCGAUAAUUUUAUUCGGCUCCCUUAAGGUUUACAUAAUUAUAGAGACCUUCCUUGUUAUGAUAAAAAGACAAUAAUGCCCUUUAUUAAUUGUCAACUCAUUGAAAAACUCUAUCAACUAUUAAAACUCUCUCAUCUACUAUUAACCAAUAAUUCAAACCACAGUCUUUUAUAUUUAACUACCUAUUCUCUUUCUCAUAUAUCUAUUUUUCUUUCAAACUCAUUUAUUUAUUAUUAUCAACUAAAUGUGUACUAUCGCUACUAAUAAAAUCACCAUGCACAUUAAACCACCAAUGCUUAUAUAUCUUUCCCAAUCCUCGAUUUGCCAUUAUUAGUAAAUAGUUUCCUUGCACCCAUUUUUGUUUCCAAUUUUUGAUAGGUAUUAGCAAAUUGAAAUUAUCAAAUGACAAAUUGAGUGUUAAUUUCAUUGUCAAAUUAAAUGGAGAUGAAGAUAGUAACAGUGAUAAAAAAAAAUAAAAAUUAAGGAUAAGAAAUGGAAUAGGAACUAAAAAUAGGUUAUAUUGUUAUGGUUAUCAUGAAAAAAAAAGUUCUUGAUAGAUAUUUAUAACUGCAUUGUGUUUCCAUUUUUUAUUUACAAUUAUUGAUAUUAUUCCUUUAGAGAGAAUUUGAUUGAUUUUGAAUUUUGUACCAAUAGAAUAUAUAAGAUAUUGAUAUUAAUAGUGAUGAUUUAGAUUAUUCUGUAGUAAAAAGGUGGCGGUCAUGUAAUUGAAAUUUAGGGAUAUUGAUGAAUAUUGUAGUAUUAAGUAAAAUCUGAUAUUGUUAUGAAAUUGUAGGUAAAUUUUUGGGUAUAUGAUGUAGCAUUUAAAGUUGAUACAAUGGUUUGCAUCAGAAAUUUUUAGGUAAAAUAGGAACAUUAGAACAAAGAUAAGUGUUUAGUUAGUGGUGAUUUGAAUGUUGAUAAGUAGGUAAUAGUGGUAGGAAAUAAAUAUAAAUGAAAUAGAGACUGUAAAUCAUUUUUUCCUUUACAUUUUUGUUGUGAAUUAUAACUCAGGAGCAUUAUAGGAAUUUUAGAAAAAAGUAUAGCCUUUUGGGUCUAGAAUGUUACUUAAAUAGGAAAAAUAGGGGAGAUAGGUGUAAUUUUUAGAAAUUGAGGGGAGUUUUCCUCAAUUGUUAAAAACCUUAGGAGAGAUAUGUGAAAUUAACCCUUUUUUUAAUCCCACAUGAAGAGCGGCCCAAUCAAUAAUCCACACAAAGCCCUGUAUAAACUCUCCAUCAAAAACCCUAUUCCAUUUCCUUUUCUUCGUCGUUGCGUCUUCUUCUGCUUCUCUGCUCGAGUUGACAAUGCUUCAUCUAGUGCUAUUUUUUCAAUGAGACUCAAAGCCUAGUAAUACAAAAACACCUCUAUUCAUGUUUUUUUUUUGGGAUAAUUUUAGAAACCUCCCCUAAAGUUUUCGAUAAUUUCACUCGGCUCCCUUGAGGUUCACAUAAUUACAGAGACCUCCCUUAUUGCGAUAACAAUACAAUAAUGCCCUUUAUUAAUUGUCAACUUGUUGAAAAACUUUAUCAAAUAUUAAAACUCUCUCAUCUAUUAUUAACCAAUAAUUCAAAAUACAGUAUUUUCUAUUUAACUAACUAUUCUUUUUCUCAUAUAUCUAUUUUUCUUUCAAAUUCAUUUAUUUAUUAUUAUCAACCAAAUGUAUACUGUUGGCAGUUGCUACUAAUAAAAUCACCAUACACAUUAAACCACCAAUACUUAUAUAUUUUGGUAUGUAUUCCCAAUCCUCAAUUUUCCAUUAUUAGUAAACAGUUUCCUUACGCCCAUUUUUGUUUCCAAUUUUUGAUAGGUAUUAGCAAAUUGAAAUUGUCAAAUGACAAAUUGAGUGUUAAUUUCAUUAUCAAAUUCAAUGGAGUUUUUCAUUAUCAAAUUAAAUUGAGUGUUAAUUUCAUUAUCAAAUAGUAGUGACAGUGAUAAAAAAAUAAAAAUUAAGGAUAAGAAGUGGAAUAGGAAUUGAAUAUAGGUUAUACUGUUAUGGUUAUCAUGAAAAAAAGUAUUCUUGGUAUAUAUUUAUAAUUGUAUUGUGUUUCUAUUUUUUAUUUACAAUUAUUGAUAUUAUUCCUAUAGAGAGAAUUUGAUUGAUUUUGAGCUCUGUGCCAAUGGAAUAUAUUGGAUAUUGAUAUUAGUAGUGAUGGUUUAGAUUAUUUUGUAUUAAAAAGGUGGCAGCCAUGGUAUUGAAAUUUAGGAAUAUUGAUGAAUAUUGUAGUAUAUUAAGUAAAAUCUGAUAUUGUUAUGAAAUUGUAGGUAAAUUUUUUGGGUAGAUGAUGUAGCAUUUAUAGUUGAUGCAAUGGUCUGCAUCAAAAAUUUUUAGGUAAAAGAGAAACAUUAGAAUAAGGAUAAGUGUUUAUUUAGUAGUGAUUUGGAUGUUGAUAAUUAGGUAAUAGUGGUAGGAAAUAAAUAUAAAUGAAAUAGAGACUGUAAACCAUUUUUUUCCUUUACAUUUUUGUUAUAAAUUAUAACUCAAGGGCAUUAUAGGAAUUUUGGCAAAAAGUAUAGCCUUUUGGGUUUAAAAUGUUACUUAAAUAGUAAAAAAAUAAGAGGUAGGUGUAAUUUUUAGAAAUUAAGGAAAGUUUUCUGCAAUUGUUAAAAACCUCAGGGAGGUAUGUGAAAUUAACCCUUUUUUUGGUUUAAUCGGCCCAAUCAAUAAUCCACCCAAGGCCCUAUAUUAGAGCUGGCAAAAAAGCCCAAAAUUUAACAACCCGCCCAAUCCGCCCAUUAAUUUUAAAUGAUGGGUUAGGUCAAUUGGAUUAUGGAUUUUGUUGGAUUGGGUAAGAACAACCCAAUUUAUUCCUUGGACGGGUUGGAUUUUUUAUUUGGGUACCCAAUAUCCAACUUGUUUAAAAGUAAUUCAAAAUAAUAAAUACAAGAUUCAAUAUACAUAUGUCCAACUAUUUGCAUUUGGACAUGUGUUAAUAAUUCAUUCAUUAAUUUGUAUUCAAAAUUCUCAUAUAUAUAUAUAUAUAUUAAUCAAUUUUUAAAUUUUUAUUUAAAAGAAAAAGGAAACUUGAAAUAAAAGCUCAUGUUUAUUUUACUUUUAUAACAGCAGUUAAACUUGCUCAACUUUUAUAAUAAUUUAUUAUGCCUUUUAAGAGUAUGUUGUUUUCCUCCCCCCUCUUUUUUUUUAUUGUUCUCAAGUUGCUACUUGCUUUUUGUUUGUUAAUAUUUCGUGUACGUCUAAUAUUGUACAAAUUUCUUUUUUUAACCUUUUAGGAUUAUAUAAUUUCGGAUUCUUCAAAUUAACAAACAAAAGCUUACUUUGUGUCAGCCUAACUUUUCAAUAAUUCAAAAUAGGAUUAAUCUUUCCUAUACUGACUGUGUAUACACUAUCAGCGUCAGUGUAAGAAAGAUUUACUCUUCAAAAUAAUGCGAUCCCGAUAUGAUAAAAAUAUCAGAAUAGUUCAUGAAUUCUCCUCUCAUUUAUUUCUUAAAAAGUUUGGGAUUUUCCUUAACAAUUUUUUGGGGACCAAUACCAGUUUUACAAGCAUAUAAAUAUUUUCUGCUUUAUAUCAGAGUUGUGGUAAUUCUAAAAGGUGGUAAUUCUAAAAGAUUAAUAUGACCAUAGCAUCAAGUAUGAUCCUAGAUAAUUCUAAUUAAUCAGGUGAUGAAUUAUCUAACUAUAUCUAUAAAAAAAAUACCUUCUAAUAUAUCAUAUAUGUAUAUAGAUCAUGAUAUUAACUUUGAAUCAAUAUAGUUGACUUGCGGAUUCUAUUUUAUUUUGAUUAAUUAUGGCAACUUGGGCAUGGCUAGUUCAACGAUUUCAAUUUCGUCUGAAGCAAAUACCUCCAAUCUUCAAUUUCAUGAGAAGUUUGGAAUCAGCAAGACAAUUAAUUUUCCCUCUUAAUUACCGAGUCCAAAAACCAAAAUACAAUAAUGUCUCUAGUCAUUUAAUAAGUUUUAAUCAAUUAGUAGUAUUAAAAAGUAUAAAGUAAACAUUUUUUUUAGCUAAUCUAUUUAAAUGUACAAUUUAUUAUCUAAAAUUCACAAUAUAAGCAAUAUAAAAUAUUAUUCUAUUUAUGAUAUGUUUUCAAGGAAUUUAAGAAGUGAAUGUGUGUGAAAAUACAUUUAUGUGUGUGAAAAUAUAUUUAUGUAUGUAAAAAUGUGUUUAUAUGUGUGAAAAAAAUCAUUUUUGUAUGUUAAAAUGUAUGUAAAAAAGUUUUGUAUUAAAAUAUAUUAAUUAAUAUGUUUGAUCAUAUUUGGGUCAUGUGUUUGAAAUAAUUCAAUAUGAUUCAAUCCAAUUUAAAGUUGGACGGGUUGCAUAUAAUCCAUUUAAGCGAAAACCCAAUAUUAAUUCCCCUAAAACCCGUCCAAGCUGCCGAUUGCCAGGUAUACCCUAUAUAAACCCUCCAUCGAAAACCCUACUUCAUUCCCCUGUCUCCUUCGCCGCUGCUUCUCCUUCUGCUUUUCUCCUCCGUUACAGAAUACCAAAUCAGGUAAUUGCCCCAACAACUCCAUUAAUCUACUUUUAUGUUCAUAUUUCUGAUUAAUAAUUUUUCACCAUUUUCUGUUUGUGGGAUAAAGGAAAAUGAGUAAAGGAAGCAGUGGUGCCGCUCUCAAGGGAGGGAAGAAGAAAGGAUCGACGUUCGUGAUUGAUUGUUCGAAGCCGGUGGAGGAUAAGAUCAUGGACAUUUCCUCACUGGAAAAGUACCUUCAAGAGCGUAUCAAGGUCGGCGGGAAGGCCGGCGCUCUUGGAGAUUCCGUCUCCGUUGCUCGUGAUAAGACUAAGAUUACCGUCACCACUGAGUCCAGCUUCUCCAAGAGGUAAAUUUUUUCGCUGAUUUUUCUUUGAUGAAAUUCUCCCUUUUUUCUUUCUAUUGAAUCUUAUAAUGGGUCUGGCUUCUAUUUGUAUGCCAUUUUGAUAUCUGCUACUGAUUCUUUGAAGUCGCCAUUGCCACUCAUUUGAUUCGAAUUUUAAGUUAGUAUUUGCUUCUUUUUCUGGAUGGACAUUUUGGUUUUAUCUGCUUUGUGCUCUGGAUGAGCCUGAUCUAUUCUUGCUGUUUUAGUUUUGGAUGUGUCCUUCAGAGACCAGCAUUUUAAUAUUUCAGUUGAUUUGAGCAGGUCUGAGCCUAUGGGACCUAAUCAUUUGAUUAUUUUAUUUUAGUUGAUCUUUUAUAUUUUUAGUUGAGCAGGUCUGAGCCUAUGGGUAUUAAUAUUGGAUUUUGACAAAUACUGGAUUAAACUUUUGUGGUUAUCGUAUAAAGUUUGUUAUGAGGAACGGAUUGAUAUGAUAAUGAGACCAUUUCUACACCCUGCAAUAAUCUCCACCGCAACACCCCCCCCUCUUUUUUCUAAUUUCACGGAAAAAUGAAAAUACAAAAAAUCCACCUAACAUGUUCAAAGUUUUCUUGAUGACUGAAUAGUCUUCUGUGAUUAAAAAUUCUUCUCCAGUUUACUUAAUGUGAAACUGGAUGACAAUGGUGCUUGUUUCGUGACUCUUACAUAUGGUAUCACUCGGAAGUGGAGAGAGGUGCCGGAUUUACGAGUCUUUUUUUUUUUUGGCUCAGGAAGAGAAAGCUGUUGAAAUCUGUUGUUCUGUACUAUUAUUUGUUGAGACAAUUUGUUUUCUGAUUGGCCCUUGGGACUUCUCUAAACUGAUGGUUUUCAUGUGCCGUUUCUUGUCGACAGUUUCCUCAGCUAGAGGAUCCUUUCGUCAAAAUUUUGUGCUCUAAAGUACAGCUUUACUUAUAGGUUGGUCUUUUGUUUCUGUGGCUCAGGUAUUUGAAGUACUUGACAAAGAAGUACCUAAAGAAGAACAAUGUGCGUGAUUGGCUCCGAGUGAUUGCUUCCAACAAGGAUCGGAGUGUGUAUGAGUUGAGAUACUUCAACAUUGCUGAAAAUGAAGCUGAGGAAGAAGAUUGAUUAGGAGGAUAGAUCAUUUAUCCAAGAGUCAGCCUUGUCAAUUUGCGUAAUCUGUAGCUUUACUCUGGCUAUUGUUUCUUUCAGUGACAUUAUUUUUGAGUUACGUAUGUGUAAUUUGAAAUCCUGCAAAUUUUGUUAUUUCCCCUUUGGGAAACCUGAAUGAGAGACGCAAUCAUAUCAGAUUAGAAACUGUACUGAAAUUGGUUUUUGCAAAGCUCAGACUCGUAUGCACUUAUGUUGAUAACGUUACUGAUGUCUAGAUCACUGGCUUGAUUCUGGACUUGAUAAUUAUUAUCAGUAACUUGUUCAGUAAAACUGCAUUUGCUGGUGGAGUGACUGUCAUGGAUAACUAGUACUGUGACAAGUGUUGCACCGGACACAAUACCAGGCUCUAGUAGGAGUAUGUAAAGUUAUUAUGUGGGUAAAGUUCAUGAACUGCUUUUGUGUACCUUUGCUGAUGCGAAGAAGAUUGGUAUGCUUUUGUCUUUUUUCCUGCUAAUGGUGUUGAAAGAUGUAAAAUUGGCGGAGGGCAAUAUUUUUUUUCUCAAAAGGAGAAACAUAUGAUAUUAAUUCCCGAUAUUCACAAGACCAUCACAUUUUCGUAACAAUAAAAAGACGGGAUUAGUCUAUGAGUUCAUGCAAGUAUGUCAUACCUCAAUGGAGAAAUGUAAGAUUAACCUUUUGUUUUGUUUUGUUUUUUUUACUAUCCUGUUCAACCUCACAUAAUCAUCAUCGGACCCACACCAAUAAUGUCAUCAUCGGAUUGGAUCCAUUCCGCACCAAUAUUCUGCGUGCAUCGUUGACUCUUCAACAUUGCCAUCUUCCUUUCCAUUUUUUGUUAACACGAUCAUACCUUUUAUUUUAGACUACUUCUAUUCUCCGUUAAAGACUCCAAGAAAGGGUAACCAAAAUUUCAAGAAGAAGAACAAGACAUUGGAGAGGAGUUGAGUACUGCAGUUCAUCAGAAAGUGCUGUAGGCUUUCCUUUAAGCAUAAUUCGUGUUUCUGAUUUGAAAUGUUUAAGAAUUCAUGUGCAGCCUAUGGAUGUUUUGGGAUUUUGUUUCUUAGUCUUCCUGUAGGCUUUCCUUUAAGCAUAAUUCGUGUUUCUGAUUUGAAAUGUUUAAGAAUUCAUGUGCAGCCUAUGGAUGUUUUGGGAUUUUGUUUCUUAGUCUUCCUGCAUUUUACCCUUCUCCAUUUCCUUGGUGAUUUAUUUGCAAUCCUUGUGAUUGUUUGAUGGCUAUUAUAAAUGGUAAAAAAGUGAAUUUCGUUAAACGUUUUCACCCCUAGUUGUGUAAAUCUGAUGACCAAUUGUGUUUAUCAAAUGCUGUUGGAAGUAGGAACUAAGCUUGGAAAGAGGAAAUGUUUUACAUUUCUGGUUAUUAAUGUCUAGAGAGACUUCUGGGUUUUGUUAAUGGCUCGUUUGCUGUCUUUAGACGUCUUAUUUUUGGAACUCAUCUACAAAACUCAACAGAAAUCACUACAAUGGCUGAAAAAAUUGAAGUACUAUUACUCCCCUUCGCCUUCUUACCAGCCGGCUCAGUAGUCUUCUUCUUCUUCUUUUUUUUUUUUCAAGUAUAAAUGUAGGCGGGAGGUCUCGAAUCUGGUAUCUCUAACUUACACUCUCUCCCGCGCACGACCCCCGCCGCAGCGGGGCUUAGUAGUCUUUGGUUUUAAUAAUCUCUGCAAGAUCAGUAAUCUGACUUGUUUGCAAUACUUGUCUGACCAACAGAUUCUGUUUGACAGACUGUGAAAUUGAGAGAUUGACGAGAGUGUUCAGUAAGCAAACAUAACUUGUUUGGUUUAAGAGAACUCAAAGAUGGACAGAUCUCGUGUGUGGACACCAUCUGACGGUAAUGGACAAAAUGUAAGCUCACCAAUCUCAAACUAUAAGCAGAUACGAUCAAAUAGAUCUUUACUGGUUUUUUUUUUUUUUUUCUCUUCUUUGGGAUGUUUUCUAUUAACAGGGCAAGAUUACAUUUUGGAGCUAUUGUGUCAUUUGUUGUGUACUGCUCAUUUACACUUCUUCAGAGAAGAUAGGAAUCCUUAUGUAAGUGCUGCUCAUACUAUAUGUCUAAGACUCUUUAUGGUAAGUGGGAAUUUGAUUUUAUUGGACCCCAUGGAUAAGCAAAUCAUUGGUUUCGGUAGCUUAGAUUUUAGAUCAUAUAUAUAGAUAUCGUUCAUUUGUAUCAGCUUCUUUUUCAUCCUCGUACUAGGAACUCAAGAAAACUAGGAAAUUAUAGUUUCAAAAUUGCUGCUGACAAUAUCGGAACAAUACGGCCAUUGGAGAAAGCAUGUCAUUUCAAUAAAAUAUAUCAGCUAGGGGACUCAAUAGCUGAUACCGGAAAUCUUGUUCGAGAGAGUCCCUUCGGCAGUGGUUAUCCUUUCGCCCAUCUUCCUUACGGAGAAACAACCUUUGGAUUUCCUACUGGUCGAUGUUCUGAUGGCCUUCUUAUGAUCGACUACAUCGGUAUGUAGUUAUUCGAACUAAUUUUUUGAUUCCCGUUUCUUUCUUAGGUGAAUAAUUUCUUUCAGUUAUACGUAUUUAGUUUUUUUACUUGAUCAAUGAAAAAUGUAAUUCUUGCAACAUGAAUUUCCUCUUUUGUCGGUUUUCGAAGUUCAAUCUGUCAGUCUUGCAUGCCUAAUUUUGUUCUCCAACACCCCCCCCCCCCCCGGGAACAAAAAAAUGUUCAAUAAUACCUGGUAAUGAGGAUCACAAAUUUUAUUUUACAGCAUUGGCAGCUGGUCUCCCAUACCUGGAACCCUCCAUGAAAGAGGAUGGAAACUUCACCACUGGGGUAAAUUUUGCUGUUGGCGGCAGUACUGCUUUACCAAAAGAGGUGUUGGAAGCUAAAGAUAUUACCAAUCCAAUAUCCAACAGUUCACUUAGUGUACAGUUGGACUGGAUGUCCUCUCAUUUCGCCUCUAUUUGCCAUACCAAAGAAGGUUUGCAAAACAAUCUUUACCAACUAGGAACCUAUAGCUAACGUGUUAAAAGCAAUUAUCCUAUGUUUGUAUUCUUAAUUUUUGAUCCAGGAUGCCGUAAGAUGCUUGAAAAAUCUCUUUUCUUCGUUGGAGAGAUUGGUGGUAACGAUUAUAAUGUGCCAUUCCUCGAAGGAAGAAGCAUGAAUGAGUUAACUGCCUUAGUGCCAGGAGUCGUCCAAAGUAUUACCAAUGCUAUCAAGGUUAGUUUUUUCCCUCUUUUCAUUUGGUAUGUCUUUAACUCAUUCAAAAUUCGUAAAUUCCCCUGGUAGCAGUUUCAACUAGACAUUCAAAAGAUUACCUAUUUCACUUGUUCAAGUCAGGUUAAAUUGUUGAAUUCUAGACACUUGCACAACAUAGUUUUGAUCCUAAUAAAAAUUUUUCUGUUUCAGAGAGUCAUUGAUUUUGGGGCAACUCGAAUUAUUGUCCCAGGAAACUUCCCAAUCGGUUGUAUUCCAGUUUAUGUUGCUUGCUUUCAGACAAACGAUACAGCAGCAUAUGAUGAACAUCAUUGUCUUAAAGACUUGAACAACUUCGCUGAGAUUCACAAUCAGCUUCUAAAAGCAUCCAUCAAGAAAUUGAAAAAAGAUUAUCCCAAAGUUGUCAUUGUCUAUGGUGACUACUACAAUGCCUAUUUGUCACUCCUGUCCAAUGCCCGAAGUCUAGGUACGUUUGUUACAAUACCUUUUUUUCAACAUAUUAGUAGCCAAGAUUGCUAAAUGGUUUCUGGGAUAAUUCUUGUAGGAUUUGAUGAAAAUGCUUUACAAAAAGCUUGUUGUGGAACUGAGCCAUAUGAUUGCUCUGGUGGCAAGUUAUGUGGCACUCCUGGAGUUAAAGCUUGUCCAAGACCUGAUAAGUACAUAAGCUGGGAUGGAGUUCAUUCCACGCAGCAAGCAUACAAGUACAUGACAGCACACUUGCUGGACUCUAUCAUGCCUCAGUUAAAGUGUCAUUCUUCAGCUCAAGAUGCUUGAAUGAAAAAGCAAGCAGUAUUCUAAUUUUUCAUAUUCUUUCAACGUUUUGCUAGAUUAGCUGAUAAGGGCCUUUUUCUUUUCCAUUUUUUUGGGGUCCCCUCUUGAGGGCACACUUGAUUUGAUCAUUUUCAAGACUAGCUAGGAUCUGGCCUUUAAACUAUCUCAUGUCUCAUUAAUUUUGAUUACUACUUACUUCACAUAAUUCAGUGUUUACUUUGUUCACUUUACCUUUUUUUUUCCACAUAAUAUUUCUUCUUGGUUUUUAUAUUUUUUUUCCGUAGAGGCCAAUAGGGUGUCAACAAAUAUCUAAAAAAUAUAUCUUCAUCGUCUGGGACAUAGUAUGUACUUCAGGACUAUGACUUUGCCUUUCUGCAAGAAACAUCGACAGUGGAGCUGAGAAUCUUGUUCCCAUGCGCGAGUACAAAAUACUAAUGCAGGUAGGCUGAGGUUUUGGAAGAAGAUUGAAUAGGAUGUACAAUUAUUUCAUCUGCCUAACCAUUCUUUUGCAUCGUAAAUCAUCAUCAAUCAUCAUCUUCCACUCCCCUGAUUCAGCCCUUAAAAAUGCUCCAUAAAGAGGGUAACAAAAAUUUCAAGGAUAGAAUGUUGGACACGAGUUGAUUACUGCAGUUCAGUUCAUGGUAACUGACACUGGAGUCAACUGCCACCACCGAAACCAUCACUGACAAAGUGCUGUAGCCUCUCUUUUUUAGUUCAAUUUCUGUAUCUUAUUUGAGAUUUACUUUAGCUUAAUGCGCAACCUGUGGAUGUUUUGGGCUUCAGUAUUUGUAGUCUUCUUGAAUUUGCAGCUUCAUGAUUUUCAUGGUCAUAUAGGUUACAGAAAGACUGAAUUUGGUUGAAUUGAAAGUUUUGGGUACAGAAAUGAUCAGAUUUGAUCAAAUAAAAAUGCCAAAGUUAAAAUAAAGGGUUGCUCGCUGCUUAUUAUUGAAUCUUGGAUUUUUUUUUUCCUUUGUGCGUCAGAUUUGAGUGUAUGACAAGGGUAGAAAAAAUUGGCUACAAUGGCCAUGGCAAGAAUGAGAUUUAGAAGAGUGGCAAUACCAGUCUCCGUCCUAAAACCUUUGCUCUAGCAUUCUCAUCAUUCCUGAAUCCAAUCCGUACCACCUCUGCCCCAUAAAUGGAAUCCAUGGAAAUCAAUCCGCGAUUCACAAAAUCGAAAAACAUACAUAAACAUAGAAAAUCGAACAAACCAAAAUAAACAAAAAAGGGCAAACUGAGGAAUUGAAGUUUGGUUGAUAACAACCAUCAUGGUCAGAAGACCUCAGCACCACUAAAAUCCCCUGGAAAGUGUUGUAAUUUUCCUUAUCUCUUCUACUGCCUGAUAGGACAACUGGACAAGGAAUUUUCUCUCUUCUUUUCCUCAUUUGUUUACUGCUAUUUUUGUAAUGAAAUCCGUUAUUUACUGCAUUGCUUAUUUUCUGUUUUUGAAAAAUUCUUGAACUAAGUAUGGAAGGUGGCAAAGUAGGAACUUCUCAAUAUGCAUGUCUCUGAUUCUGAUAUAGAUUUGUAUCUUCUUAAACUUGUUUCUUUCAUAUAAUUCUCUCUUAUGAUGGAAAACCAUUGUCUGCAACAAUCUAAACAACUUCUCCAUGUAUCGCACGCGAUGCGCGCUUAAAACAUGCCAUGGAGGAGUUUGAAGACAGAUUACCCCAGCACAACAAUUGUUUGUGGUGACUACGCAGUAGCCAUAGAGGUAAGCUAACAAUUCUGCCUGGCAUUCCUGGGGUGCCUGAUCGUCCAGACUCAAAACAACAAGAAUACUAAUGUACGGCAGCUGAUGAAACCACAUUUUUAUAUGUUUAUGCUUGAUUAAGACUAAUCAAAGAAGCAGGCCACUUGUGUGCAGGGAUUUCUUGACAUGGUAAGUGCAAAUGUAUACGAGGGUAAAGUCAAGUCUAUGCUUCGAAUGGGAGGAGCAGGGAUUCUACUAUCAAAUCGAAAUUCAGACAGACGAAAAGCGAAAUACGAAUCACAACAAAUUGUCAGGACCACUCUCAGUUCCAGGACAGGUUCUUAUGAGUAUGUGAUGCAGGACCUAGAUGAUGAAGGCUAUAUAGGAGUCUCCCUUUCAAGGGCUAUACUUCAAGUUGCAGGGGAUGCCCUGAGCAUUAACUUGUUAACAUUAGGUGCAUUGGUGCUGCCUUAUUGGGAGCUAGUUCGAUAUGGACUAGACAUAAUAUGGAAGAAAAUCUGGGCUCCUGCUAGAAAAAGAGGUCCAUCUGUACCAAAUUUCAAGAGGGCUUUCAAUCAUUCUGCAUACAUGCAGGUGGAAGGGCAAUAAUAGAUACCAUUAAGGACAAACUAAAAUUGACAGAUAGGGAUGCUGAAACCUCAAAAAUGACUCUUUACAGGUUCGGAAACACCUCAUCUUCAUCGACGUGGUAUUCAUUAAGCUAUCUAGAGGCCAAGGGGAGAGUCAAAAAGGGUGACAAGAUUUGGCAGCUGGCUUUUGGUAGUGGAUUCAAGUGCAAUAGUGCAGUUUGGAAGUGUAUUUCAGAGCUCAAACCAGACAAUGCCAAUGCUUGGUCAGACAGGAUUGAUCAGUAUCCAGUAAAAGUACCAGAUGUAAUCGACCAUCCAUGGUUUGUCAGAACCAAAAAAAAAAAAAAAAAAAAAAAAACAACAACAACUGAUCGUUGCAUAUACUAAAUAUAUGAAGCUGGCUAAAACAAUGAAAGGAAGAUGUUUACCAGUUUCUUUUUUCCCAACCAUAUUCUAUUGAAGGAAUAUGAACGUUAAGAAAUGUACCCUAUUGAAGGAAAAAUUGAACGUUAAUUAGGUUGUAGUCUUAGCAUCGUCUUUUCAAAUGCAAUUCUUGAUAAUUACAUGCUUCCAAAUUUGUCUGUAGCAAUCUUAAAUGUAUUAAUUUAGUGUUGUACAUUUUAUAAUAUUUUACAGUAAAUGACCUUUUUUUAUCAAUAAUAUAGUGUAGGGAAGAACUAAAUUAAAGCGCUAGCUUGCCUUCAUCUCAAAAAAUCUAGUUUUGAACAUAAAACAAAAGACAACGUUUUGUGCAGUUACAUCGAAUAUGUUAACUUUCCAAGAAUUAUAUGAUCUUCUAUUUGAAAAAAAAAAAAAACAUUUCAAAAUAGAAUAUGUUUGGUUUCAAUAUGUAGGGUAAAUAAUAUUCAGACAUUAUGAUUGUUUUAUGUAUAAUUAUAAAGAAAUUUAAUUUGUUAAACACAAAGUAAAAAAUGAGGAACAAGUAAACAUUUCCAUAUGUGUGUUUCGGGUUACAAGAUUUUUGCUUAUCUUGUAACUCUCCCAGAAUUCUAACCAGUCCAUGAGGUGCGAAUUUGUAAAAACGGGGAACUACAAUUAGCAUCGAUAGCUUUAUUUGGAUUGUAUUUUUCUGGAUUUUUUGGAGAAAAAUUACCGUAACGAUUUGAUAUACGUGAGAUAAAAAUGCGAUUGAAAAAUGUAUCCACGAAAAGGAAAAAUUGCAAUCCAGACAAGACUUCUAUGCAGCUUUUCUAAUCUUUUUUGGUUGCUAAAACGAACUUCUUCUACCUUAAUUCUCAUUUCUGACAAAUUACGUAGUCCAAUUGUCUCAAAUGAACUCAACAACAGUUGAAAAAAUAGUUGUUGACUAAGUUUCACUUCUAGUAUAUCCUCAAAGAUUAAUACCCAUGGCUACUUUAGUCAUAUAAAAUAUAUAGCAGUUUUGAUCCUUAAAAAGUUAAUGGUUAGGAGCAAAGUGUAUAUAAUUUGACUUCAAGAGGGCAAAGUGUAAUUAACCCUUUUCUUUAAGUACACUUGUAAACUAAAACUCAGUCACUUAAAAAUCUUGCCUAUAUGCUAUACCCUAAUAAUUUAUAGGUACAUAUGCAUAACUCAGAAGGACAACCCUGUCUCGUAUCAAAAUGUUUGGGCUUCCGUAGAAUCCUACGUAGAACCCCAAUUUUAGGGUUCUAAUAACAAUAAAUAAUGUGUGCAGGGUUAUAAAAUUGAAGGGAUAAAACAAACAUUCAAAACAUAUGUGGGAGAAAAGAAAAUAAUUAACUCACAAUAUUAUUGAAAUCACAAACCAUAAAGAAAGUCACACCACAAUAGAAAACCUAACAAAUUCUUCUAGACUCUCUUAAGAAAAUAGUCUAAACUAAUGCCAGACUUGUUGGAAAAGAAACCACUUGCAUAAGAAAUUACCAAAUAAAACACAAAUUCCUAAAUCAUACAACUACCAAAAACCUAACUCCAAUAAAAACUAAUAAAUAAAUAAAUAAAUAUUUCUAGACUUGGUUUAGUUUGCCAACAUUGUCUCCCUUAAACCAAACUUUCCAUUGAGGCAGGUCCAACACCAUCUCGAACAACAAUUUCUAUGCAAAUUUCUGUCGUUGUAUAGCUGACAUGCAAUUUCAUCUUGUUACUGGUUAUUAACUUCAUCUUUACACGUGGCAGUAGGCGCACUUUGUAUUUUGCAAAUAAUUUUUCAGCAAUUUUUUCUUGAUCAAAGCACUCAUUCAUGCAAAUCCAUUCAUCACCAAAAUCACCAUAUUUAUCACCAAUGUAAGUGCCCAAAAAUACAAAAUCAUAGAUUGCUCUCUUAUCAAAACUAUCAUCACCAAAUAAUUUAAAAUAUCCACAUUUGGAUAAUUAUCCAAAAUUUUCAUACUUUCAGUCAACUCUUUUGGAGCAAAAAUUUUUUGAAUUGCAAUGAAAUCCAUAUCUAUCAAAUCAAAUAUCUUUCCAUCAUCUCGAGGAGAGUCCAAAUCAAUGAUUUUUUUCAAUAAUAAUUUCUUUUUCCUCACAUAGCAAAUCAGACUUCUUUUCUUCCUUUACCAUAUUAUUGCAGUUUUUUUCUUCAACAAAUUCAUCACUUCCAAUUUCUCCAAACAAAAUAUGCAAAUCAAAACUAUCAACUUAUUCAAAAUUUUCAAUAUCACCCAUAUCAUCAACAAAUCUAACAUUCUCAAAAUUCACAAACCAUUUCCAACAACCAGACUUUGGUUUGAAAGCAUAAUUCUUCUCAAUCGUCUGCAAAAUAUAGUAAAUAUCCUUCUAAAAUCUCCAAGGUAUUUUAGUAUGACGAACAAAAGUUUUGUAAAUACAUUCUACCAUUGUUUUACACAUCACUUGAAAAAAUAAUCGUGCUUUUUUCUUGAAAACAUGUUUUGGCAUGCAUUUCACUUGCAUCAACCCAACAAAGAAUAUCAUCAAAUUACAUUGUUUGAGAUUUUUUUCACUAUUAAAACCCAACCAAAAUAUCUAUGUCUAUCUGUCAUUAUGGGAGUCAAUAUGAAAAAUUUUUCACCAUCAAUCAGAUCUGUAUAAUAUUACAAUAUUUAACAAUUUAUAUACCCGAAUAAUUUUUUUUCUCCAUUCUGUCAAGUUUUCUUGGCCUCCCUGGUUGAUUGACCAAUUAAAUCCUUCAAUUUGACAAUCCGCAGCAAUCAAUAAAUCUGGCAGGAUUCUUCUAUGAUCUCUGCCUUCACCAGCAGCAAUCUAACAAUUUUCGGACCAAUCUUGUGUUUGAAUUCUUCAUCAACUACACACUUCAAGACCAACUUUGUGGUCAACCUUGAUUAACUGAAUACUUUUCGGCAAUUUUUUGGCCUUAUUCUCUAACAGCGGAAACGCCCAAAACUGACAUCAUAGUCUGGCUCUGAUACCAAUUGUAGAACCCCAAUUUUAGGGUUCUAAUAAUAAUAAAUAAUGCGUGCAGUGUUACAAAAUUGAAGGGAUAAAACAAACACUCAAAAUAUAUGUAGGAGAAAAGAAAAUAAUUAACUCACAAUAUUAUUAAAAUCCCAAACAAUGAAGAAAGUCACACCACAAUAGAAAACUUAACAAAUUCUUCUAGACUCUCUUAAGAAAAUAGUCUAAACUAAUGCUUUAUUUAUAACCUAUCAGACUUGUUGAAAAAGAAACAACUUGCAUAAGAAAUUAUCAAAUAACACACAAAUUUCUAAAUCAUACAACUACUAAAAAAAGCUAAUAAAUAAAUACUUCUAGGUUUGGUUUAGUUUGCCAACAUCCUAAAUCAACUAUAAAACUUUUCCAGUAUUAUACUGAGCAAUAAUAGUUCUCUAGGUGGAUAGUGUUCAACAAUUUUGUUAUGCCGAAAAUAUACCGUAUAAAUUACUUACACAAGUGAAGUCUAUAAUGUGAAUUGGAUGUUUUAGUAAAUCACUACCUAUUUUGAUUCUUAUAUAAGUUUCAGUUAUGUCCACAUAAUAUCUUCUAUAAAUUUCGUCAAACUCAAAUUUUUCAACAAAAUGUUUAUCAUACUUCUGACAAAAUUUACACUACUAUUAGUUUACAUAAGACUUUUCUGUUGUUUUCUCCAGUAAUUGCAAAUCUCCUAAGUGGAUAAUUUUGACUUUCUAGGUUGGCUUAGGUUCUACAUUCAUAUAGUCUGAUUUGUGAAUGUAUUCUGGCAACGAGAGAAGUUUGGGCCUAAGGAGGAAAAUGGUUAAUUGUGUAAGGGAGAGGUUGCUGAAAAUCGCUGUAGAACCCUAUCAAUAUAUUAAACACACAUAUAGAAUUUCUACUACAUCCAUAGGAAAAGCCCAAAAAAAAGUUACAGAAAAUCAUAUCUACAUUUGCAGCUGCCAGGUAACCUACAUAAUCACAGCAGCAUUAACAGCUAUAUCUGCUCAAAGUCCAUUUCUCCCAUGCAUGAUUGAUAAUUGAUACUGUGAAAAUACCAUCUAAGAAAUAGAUGAGGGGCAAAGCAAAAUCUACUGCUGAUCGUGUAAAAGGGAGGCAUGUGAAAAAAGUGAGAUGGCAAUUCGUGAAGGAACAUGAAUCGUGAGUGGCAAAAUUGACAAGCAUGCAUCGACUAACGUGCUGCAUUGUGUGUGCAUAAUGGCAUCCCACAGACAAAAGAAAUGCAUAUUCCACUUCAUGUCUCUCAAUUGGCUAUCAAAUCCUUUAAGCCAUUGCUUGCAAAUUAAGGUACCCCUUUUGGCUCACACCUAUGUGGUCUCUGAAUUCUGAUUGAGGACAAGUACUGCUAUUAUUACCCUUUACACAAUUCCAAUUUCCAACAACAACAACAAGAAGUGGUCAUCUCCUCCCCACCCCCCCCCCACCCUACGCUUUACUUAUUUCACUAACCCUAUACAGAAAACAGUACUAGUUGCUACAAGUCUGCCAAAAAGAAACAAGUUCCCCACUUUCUUAGGGAAAACCCAAGUUUGAGUUAACUUGUGCUACUUUCUUGUGACUGCCAAAUCAAGUAGUCCAUUCUUGCAGUUGCUGCUGCACCCCACUUCAGCAUCAUCUUCCUGAUCUGAUCUGAUCUCUUCUGCUUCUUUUUCCCCCUGCAGAGACGUGUGUAUUAUCAGUCAUUGAAGAUGAUUUAGACUCCGUACUAUACGCGGGCAAUUUUCUUAGGCCUUAGCCGUUAGCUGUGCAAUGCAGAGGCUGAUUCUUCCAGUUGGGAAGAUAACCAGCAGAUGCUCUCAUCUCUAUGUAGUUCGAUAACAAUUUUUCCUUUUUAAACUUUCUUAUUCUCUUGUCAGAGUAAAUCAUUGGGAAAAUCGUUCAAACCUCGUUCAAAUAAACAUUUUUCAUCUUUCAAUUUUAAAAUGUUAGCUUUACUUCCUCUGCAAAUUCAAGUUAAUAAAAUUUGAUCCCAACUUAAGGUUGUGUUUGGAUUGCAUUUUUCAUGGAUUUUUCGGUGAAAAAUUACUGUGGUGAUUUGAUGUAUGUGAGGUAAAAAGUUGAUAGAGAAAUGUGUUCACGGAAAAUAAGAUCAUUUUUUAGUGAAAAAUGGCUAAGUUUUCGACAACUUUUGAACUUGAAAUUGCCACAUAAAUUAUAUGCAGUCAUUUUUAUAUAUAAAAAGAUCAGAUUUCACUUUUUUAGUGAUAAAAGUGAAUAUAAAUUGGAUCAAAUUUCACAUUUCAAAUCCUACUUUUUUAAAUGCAAAAAUGAAUGUGGAUUGGAUUAUUUAUUUAAAUACAAAUGAGAUUUAACCAUUUUGCUCCUAAAAAAAAGAUAAUGUAUGGGUCGCAUAACAAAUUUAGAGUAAAACGUGGUUAAAAACUUAAAUUAUGAUCAAAUUUUACCAACUAAAAAAAUUAAAUUAUGAUCAAAUUUUAGCAACUUAAUUUUGUAAAAAAUGUAAAGUUAUUAUUUUUAAAGUGAAUGGCAAAAAAAUUUAUUUGACAAAAUGUAAGGGUGUUUUGAAUAAUUUUUCCAAAUCGCUUUGAUGGUUUGGCCACAUUUUUUGGGUUUGUAAUUUGGCGUAUAAAAUAUACCGUGUUUUAAAGAACCAUACAGCAAAGUGCUUUAAGAGAGAUUUUGGUAAUUGCCUUAAUAAUUGUCAUUGUAUAUACCCUUAUUUACGUUAAAGCAAAAUAAUAAAAAACUAUUACUAUACCCUCCAUGUUUUAAUCCUUCAUGCAAGCACUGCAAAACGGCGGUAAAAAAAUGUUGAUACGCAUAGUGGCUAUUUUGCACUCCAAACUUUGGGAUUUUAAGAAGAAAAAUAAGCAUGAGAAUGACAUGGUUAAGCAGAAAUAUUAUACAAUUGAAGUACAUUUCACAAUUUUCAACCAUUUUUUUUUAAUAAUGCCAACCACCUUUAGUUAUGUUUUCGUGUACUUCUCAGAAUUUUUGCGUCGAGUAUGACUGAAGUACAAAAUAAGUACAAUUGGUACCAUUUCUUAACCGUUUCUUGCACCGUGAAAAUUCAUGAUGUCCAUCUUCAAAAUGGUAGAGAAAUUACACUAAAGCGCCAAACUUUCACAAAAGCAUGACAAUCCAUUUUAGCUAACGACACAUUUUAAAUUAGUUCAAAAUUUCAAGUAGAAAUUAAGACACCUUUUUCACUUUUAUAUUUUUCUGUGGUAUUCUUCUAGUAAACAAGUGGCCAAAUACAGCUCCUGCUGCUGCGGGAGAAAGCCAUUGAAGGCAACCACAUACAGUGAUAAUUUGGUGGGAGGUCAAGAGUCAACACCACCAAGACUUGAGUGCUUGGCAGCGACCACCAAGUCAAAGGGCUAGUGGCCUAUUGGACUGUCAAUUGUCAAAUAUUGGCCUAAAUAUGUUGCUAAUGGACAGCAAUGCGAAUGGUGCACUCCGUUUGAAUUAACUGUUUUAGGAGUGUUUUUAAAAUAUUUUAUUAUAACAGUAUAUAUAAAAAACUUUUACGGUAAAUAUAUUUUUUGUGAUGUUUUUGGAGGAAUUUUUUAAAUAUAUUUUAGGGUAACUUUUAAAAUUAACUUAUUUUUAUGGUACUUCCAUUCCUUCUCCUUUUUCCUCUCCCUCCCUCUUCCCCCUUCCCUCCCCCCCUCCCCGUCCAGAUCGAGAGAGGCAGGAGAAGGCCGAGGGUGGCAGAAAAGGGAAGGGAAGGGGAAAAGGAAAGAAAGGGAAAGGGAGGUGGAAAAGGAAGGGGAUGGUGACGGUGAUGAGUGGUAGUGAUAUAUAUGAAAAUUAUUAUAGAAUUCAUUUUUUUUUAAAUUUUUUUGUGCAUGUAUGUGAGUUAUUUUUGAUAUAUUUUGUGGAUGAUAUGUUUUUUGAAUUGUUUUUGUUUAUAUGCUACUGUAGCAUACAGAAUUUUUACAAAAUAUCAAGUACGAGUAUUUUGCAGUUUGCUAAUUGUGCUUGGAUAGAAGAUUAUUUAAAAAAAUUAUUAUAGUAAUUUUUAUAAAAUGAUAUAUAUAAAAUAAAAUUUUAUUUAAAAAAUAUAUUUAUUAUGCAAGCAAAUGCUCUGAGGGUCAACCGUUAAGUGUCUACGGGAAAUGCCUUUGACUUUUUGUAAGUGUACUAUAAUACUCUGUAAUUGACAUCAAGUCAUCUAAACAAAGUGCAAAGUGAAAUGUUUCCAAGUUUUAAUUUAGAACCAUCUUUCUUCGUUAGGCAUCUAUGCCUCUUUAACAAAAGCUUCGAGCCAAUCACAUAAUACCACUUGACAUGAUAUAAAGUUACAUGGUACUACUGUCUCUUUUCUGGAAUUCAAUAUUGGCAUUAUUACUGGUGGAACCGAAGAUUGAGAUUUAGGGGACAAAACACACACACACUCACUGAAGGAGGCAUUCUUACAUGUUUCAAGAACUUUAGAGGCAAAGUUUAAUAUUUUCAAGGGUACAAGUGAAAAGUCUUGAUUUUUUAAGGGGGCACUUGAGAAUUUCUAAUAUCUUCAGGACUGCUGCCAGUGGGCAAAUCCUAACCCAUGCAAACAAAAAUAUUUUUUUCCCCUCAUUUCAAGAAUGUAUGUUUGGUUUGGUGGAGUGAAAAAGGUCAACAAAACCAAGCACAUUCCACUGGUAAAAUUUUUGAGAUCCAUGAUAAAUUCAUCAAGUUCUUGAGUACUGGUUUGGCUAAAGUCAUCAAGUUUUUUUUUUUUCUUUGGCUCCAAAUUCAUCAAGUUAUUAGGCCAUGACAUCAAAUUCUACACAAAAGUAGUCUUCUCUGCAUCUCUCUUGCAGCCAUAUAUAUAUCCUGCAAUUGUCUUCUGUUAGGAAAGCAGCCAGCAAGACGUCAGCCAGCCAGUUGGUUUUCUUAGUUUCAACAAGUCUUUGAGCUAGCUUGUAGUAGUAGUAGUUAGUACGUACGCACAAUAGCCCUCAUAGCCACUCAGAAAUUGAAUGGGAUAACUGAAAUUUUAGGUAAAAAAAUUCAUUGAACAUAGAAAUUUUUAACUACAUACACUGAAGUAGUAUGGUAGUGCUAAGAUAUACAAAGCCUAGAAACCAAAAUGCAGCAAAUGAGCUAGUCAUGUGAGAAAAUAUUACAACCAACACAUGCAAAAGAUUAUCAUGGACUUAGUUUAGUUUACACAGCCUAUGGUAACGUAGCAAAAUUAGCUCAAAUCUUUAGAUGACAAGUGUGUAUCUAGUGAAUUAUGAGCACAAGGACGAGGGAGGGAGGGUUAGCUGGAGAGUUGGAAUUGGCUGCCAAUCGGCCAUGCCAUGGACCAGUAACCAUGAAGUAUAUUAAAAGAACUCGGAGGCGCAGCAGCAGCUACAGCGGCCUAAGUUAAAUGUAAAGGAGCCCCUCCAUCAUGCUAGCUACUUUCAUUUUACAGCGAAAGCGGUUUCGUUACCUUUUCGAGUUUUUCUCUUCUGGACCGUCUCUUCCAAUUGAUCUGAUGUAAAAAAGAAGAAUUGAUCACCAGCCACCUAAUAUAAGAAGAAUGAUCAAAUAUGGUUGUUGAUCACAGAAUUUCUUCCCAAAAGGGAAAAAAAAGAAUGGGAAAAAUAAGGGAGAGAAAUCAGGGGUGAAAAGUGAAAACAUGAAAUCUAAGGUAGAAUCCAGUCCAGUGAGGCAGGUACUAGUACAGGUUCUUAAUUAAGGUCUGCAAGACUGCAACCCCAUAAAGUCAGGAGCCAGCCAGUGGACCACAAAGCUUUUCUUCGGUCCCUGAGAAAUGUUUGAACUGCUAAUGUUUGGGCAAAUGUAUCCCACUAAAACUAGAAAUAAUUAAAACUUUUUACAUUAGAAGCAAAAUUCAUGAGUAAAAAACAAAGGUGGGGAAAACCCUCCAAGUAGUAUAAACUAAUGAAAACACACUUCUACUACCAUAGUGGCUGAAUGGUAAAGGAAUACGAUGAUGUUUCUUACUAAGUUACAGGGCUGAAAACAUGAUGGUAAAUAUGUUGUACGUGGUGGAUAAUUUUCUCUGACAACCACCUGCAAGCGACAGUAGCUCAGUUCAAGUUUCCAGCAUUAUUCUAUUCCCACAUAUUACCAAACUUGCACAUAUUUGUCUGCCUUAUGGUUCCACAAUGCUUAUGCCUGUUGGAAGGACCAAGGCAAAGUCUUAUUUAGAAAAGACAAAAAAGAGGAGAAGAAGCUGGAAGCAGGUACAGAGGGUUUAGAGAAGUCAAGAAUCAGACCUGUGAUUGUUCAAUUUUGAAGAUGAUGAUAAGAAGCUAGAAGAUUCAAGUAGAGGAGUGAGCAACACAUGUUGGAGAAGGGGAGCACGUGCAGAGUUCAUGCAUGGCUAGUGGCAAAAGGAGAACUUGCACGUGCCCUGCUUCUCCAACAAGAGCUACCCGCUCAAUCCAGCAGCAGCAGAAGGGCUGAUUAGCUUUGGCCAAAACCAAACUUCCAAUCACAAUUGCAUCACAACAAAGAAGAAAGCAUGGCACAUGUAUUUAUAGGGAAAGUUUGGAGCGUGGGGGUAGGUUUGGGGGGGAGAGGAGUUAAAGCUUGGAGUCUUGGAGUGGGGAUUCUUUAAAGACCAUGCAACAAGCAAUCAAGUGUAUCCAGGUUGAUUUCAAUUGCAAUUGAUUUGGUGAAGGAAAACAAAAGUCAUGCCCUGCUUUUGCUUGCCCAUGCAAUGCAACUCUUUAAGUUCUUCCUAAGAAGUAAGAAAGCAACAAAGUCCACUGGCAUACAACACAUCUAAGACAGAUUGAAAUUGAUUGCAAGCAAAGCCAAGAAAGAGAGAGAGAGGUCAUGAGAAAUUCAGAAGCAAAGAAAGACAGCCCUUUGAUUUUGAGCUCUCUGAAAAAGAAUAAUGCAUCCUCACGCACUACAUGGUGCGUGCUGUUCAUUUGUCACGACACAAACAAAGUCCACUAGCUUUCAUUUAACUGUAUGCGAGGAUAAGAAUCUAGAAACAAAACUUAAAGCGGUCAAGCAAAUAAAUAUCUCAUGCUUAAAGCGGUCUAAAGUUGGGAUUCAAUAAUCUUAGAACCUUUUGGAUUGCAUUAUUUAAGAAGUUUCUAAAGGUUCGCUUAUCACAUUUUUAGGUUGUGUUUAGAUUGUAAUUUUUUGAAAUUUUUCUAAAAAAUGUACUAUAGCGAUUGAUUUGAUAUAUGCGAGAUAAAAAGGUAAUUGAGAAACGUAUUCACGAAAAACGCAGAGAUUUUUUGAUAGAAAAUUCCUUUCCAAGUAAGGCCUUAUAUUACCUUUUUUAUGUUACGUUGUAAAGAAAAUCGGUGAUAUCGUGAGGGUAAUUAUCAUAAUUAUGUUUAUACUAGAGUAAUUUUAUGUAAAAUACCCAAACCACUCACACAAAAUAUUUAUGCUAAUUUCUCACAAAUUGACACGACUUCAAUGUAAUUCAUUUUCACAUGUUCGAUAUUCUGUAUUCAUCUUUUUCCUUCCACAGUUCUCUCUUCCUUCCCUUGCCAAUUACGCCACACAUCACCUACUCUUCUCCUCCCAACUUCAUUCCAUUCCCCACUCAAUCCACAUUGGACCCUUUCCACCAUUGGCCUUCUCUUUUUCUCCUAUCUUCAUUUUCCACUGUCAAUACGACUUCUUUCCUCAGUUACCCUCCUUUUCCUCAUGUCUCCUUUUCUGUUGCCUCUAUCUACUCCAAUCGUCACUUUUUCUAGAGCUACCAACCCUUUUACUAUGCAAUUCUUCGUGAAGUCAUAGCUCACAAGGACUUUCUGAGACACUUGUUAUCAUGGAGAAUAGUUGAUGUAAGAAAUUUAUGCAUCAAAAAAUUCAUGAAAAAUUAGGGGGAAAAAGAACUCCAAUACCAAUCGGUGUUUUUAUGGUAACUGUGGAAUGUGACUUUGGAACAUUUUGGAUCUUUGCCAAUUGGUUGACAUGAGAUGAGAUUUGACAAAAAAGAGGGAGUCAUGAAAAAGAGAGACUCCGACAAUUUAUGGUGGUCAUAGUCUAAUUUGUUACCAUUAACUUUUAUAAGGGUACUCUGGACAUUUUCUUGAAAAUAUAGUAAAUCAACUUUCAAAAAGUGCUGCACUGUUAUUUUUUUUUUUAAAAAAAAUUACUAAAAAAAUCCAAUUCAAAUGAACCUUAAUUUUGGAAAUUUUGGUUGUAUGACAUAUCUCCGUUUGGCGGGACCUGACAAAUGCUAAAAUUCAGAUGAAACAAGAGUUGAAUUAAUACAGCCCUUUUCUUAUAUAAUUGUAGAGUAACGUAAGAAGAGGUUUCUUUAAUAGGAGAUGCAAAUGUGCAUUCCAUUCUGUCCAUUUCCUUUCUUCUUCUUUUUUUUUUUGGAUAAUUUGUCCGUUUUUCGGUUAAAAUGAAAAGGGAUUUUCUACCAAAAAAAUCUCUAUAUUUUUCAUGAACAUAUUUUUCAAUUUUCUUUUCAUUUUACAUAUGUCAAAUCGCUACAAUAUAUUUUUUAUAAAAAAAAAAAUCUUCAAAAAGUUGCAAUCCAAACGCAACCUUAGUUAUGAUUCAUUGCUUGAGCGUGUUGGAUACGCUCCCGUGAAGGUUGUGAGCUUUUGUACUGCUGAGACACACAAGAAAGGAUGCAAUACUAGAUUUGACGCCCGUUUUGACACGCUCAGUGGAAAAUCUUAUUCUCACUGCUUUCGUCAACUGGUAUUUUGUUCCAUUUAUUUGUUUCUUUCUUCCGAGUUCUUUUUCGUCAUCAUUUUAUUCUGCGGUAAGAGCGUACACACACAGAGUUGACUUGCGGUUCACUACUGUCAUCAGCUCGACAUUAUGAGCUCGUUUAAAUUUUGCUAAUUUUUUAGACUAUUUGACGUAAAUUAGAUUAAAAAAAAUGAUUGAAAAAUAUUUUAUAACAAAAAAAAUUUUUUUUGUAAAAAAUGAUGAUAAUACAAACAAGAUUUAAUAUAAACGUUUCAAGUGUUGGUUCGCGUCGCGGAUGCUUAAUUUUGCAUUUUUUUAUUCUCUAAUAUUAAGCCAUAAGUUCAUAAAAAAUAAGAAAACUAAUUGCACAAUUUGUUGGAUUAUCAACCAAAGCAGAUCACGUGCAUAGAGAUUAAAAAAGAACAACUUCAAAGAUUUCUUGGCAUGACAGGUAAAUUGUACACAAUAGUAGGUAAACCCCACCAAAUUCAUAUAUUAAACGAAAUUUUAUUUUCUAAUAAUUUUGUUAAUUUUUCAUAGUGAUUAUAAAUAAUUCUACCUUUCUUUUUUAUUAAUAUCAGUCAUGAACUCGUGAUAAGAACUACUAGUUUGCUUAAACAAGGUAAAAGUUUGUUUUUUCUUGUUUGGUAGAUAAAAGAGUUGUUUAGUACAGUAAUCAGAGAGGUAAAGUAUCUCUUACCAAGUAGUUUAACACCUUUAUGCAUGUAUCUGGCUAGUUUUAGUAAUUAUUAUGCAUUUUCAUUUGGUUUUGUUCCGCAAACAUUUUAUUGACCAUGAAUGUGAUGGACAGUAGCGUUUUUCAAUAGUUGGCAUGAGACAACGAGAGAGGGAGAGGGGGUGGGGGGAACCACUGGCCCAUUGGCUCAGUGGCCACCAGAAAGGGACUUCCCUUCUUGGACUGUUAGUGAGGGUUCAAACCUCACCAGCAACAAAAAAAAUCUAAAGGUUGUGUUAUAGUAUUUCCUUGAUUUAAUUUGGUCUGUAUACCCACUAGUCCCUUCCACAGCCUCCUUAGGCUCCCCUCCCCCUAGAUUAGGAUAAAGUAUGUUAUACAAAUGUAUCGUUGCUGAUAAAAAAAAAAAAAAAAAAAAAAAAGAGGGGGGGUGAGGGGGGGGGGUACUUACUAUUAGGAGGAGCAACGGGUGACUGACUUUUGACCAAGGAAAGGAAAUUGAUGGGAGUGAAAGAUACAAAUUUUUUUUUUUCUUUUUCAUUCGGAGAUUAGAUGGUGAGAGAAGGGGUUUGCCUAGCUCCUUGGUUUUCGGCAAGAAGGAAAUUGAUGGGGAGAGCAGAUACCAGAGCUGUGUAAGAAAAUGCACGUUGGGGUUGCGUGUUGUGCGCGAGUUCUCUUGAUGAUACUGCUGAUGAUGAUGAUGAUAGCAACAGAAGCAGCAAGUAUAAAAACUAUAGCCAUGGGAGAGAAGUACAGUAGUAAAUGUUACCAUAAAGAAACAAAGAAAUGAAAGCUAAAUGCUUUCUUCAUCACAGUACUUGAGUGAUGGAGUGAUUGGCGUGCAUGUGGGAGGUGUCACUUUGAAGAUAUAUAGUAAUGGUGGUGGUGGUGGUAGUAGCAGUAGCAGUAGUAAGUUUGUGUGUUUGUAUUGAGGAAGGCAGGGUGAGUCCCUAGGUAGAUAUGAUUCCCCAUCUUUAGUAAGUAGUAACCCCUUUGCUUCCAGCACUACACCACCUCACUCGGCCCCAAAAAGCAAAGUAGAGUGUAGUAGCAUGAGCAAAUUUGUUUGUAUUGUGGCGGUUAAUUUCCAUGCAUGGCUCUUGGCUCUUGCUUUUCAAAUCACAUUUAAUCUCUUCUCUCUUUGGAUAUGGGGUAAAUUUGGGAAGAAAAGAUAUAAUCAGGAGUGUCUAUUGGGCUUUCUGAUUCGAGUUUGGUUCAAUCUAAAUCCUGAUUCAUAAAAGAGGGAAGAAAAAAUUUUCGAGCUUUCGGAGUUCAACCUCGUAUUUGAAGCUCAUACUCCACCAAAAAUAUUAGGGUUUCGAGUCUACUUUAGACUCAGGCUGCAAUUUUGAUAAAACUGAAAUUUAAAAUUUGAAUUCAUUAAAUUAUUGAAUUGUUAAGUAUUAAAUCAAAUAUAUAUGAUAGGUGAAUAGAUUAUCACUUAUUUUUUAGAGAGUAAAUUUUGCUUAGAAAUUUCAAUGUCACUUAAUUCAUUCAGAUGCUCAAUUUUUAAUUAUCAAACAUGUCUGAACAUAUUAAAAUCUGAAUCCAUUAAGUUUAAGUGCUGAAUUGAUUUAUCAAACAAGGCUUUACAAUGAAUGCAUAAUCAUAGAUAAUAUUUACAUUUAUAAUGAAAAAGUAUAUAAUUUUUACAUAACAUUCUAUAUUGUUACGAUUACAAUAUAUGUUAUAAAUUGCGUACAGAAUAGAGUAUGUUUUUACAUGAAAUUGUUGGGACGAAACUUUAGUUGGAUUGAGCCUAAUAAAACUAGGUCUAAUUAUUCCGGGUACAAGUAGGGAUAUAAUUCCGGGACCAGGUCCGUUUUGUCAAACAAAAGAACGGGGUCAGAUACGGAACGUGGUAUUCCGACCCGAACCCAAAUAUAAAUUGAUUAAUAAUUUAAAAUAUAUAUAUAUUUAUUAAUAUAAUAUCCCAAAUUUACUUCUCUAACUAUUAUUUCAAAAAUAUAUAUUUUUUCUGGUAGGCCCAACCCAAAUCUGUGACCUGUCGGAUCCGGUUCUGAAAGAAAUCAUAGAGGAUCUGUCGGGCAUUCGGGUCAAGAUCCGGAACGGGUAUAGUAUAACUGGUCUGGGCCCAGAUUUAUUAAUUCCAGCCCGUUGACAGACCUAAAUAAAACCAAGUACAAUCAAAAUUGAGCAUAGGAUUUUGGCCCAUGUUUUGCAAAGUAACAAUGAGACUAGGUCCCAAUUCUUUGGUCCGAGCUCAGGCCAAUCUGGCCCAACUAAUAGUCCUAUAGAUGAGUACCUAAAGUAGCAAGGGGCGUCGCAGUAAAAUAAAUCCUUAAUUAGUAAGGCUCUUGCAAAUUAACGGAUGAAAUACAUCUUAGUCUAAAUCUUAUUCCUAAAACUGCAAAAUUAAAUGUUUUGGAUAACUAUUUUUUGUCAAUAAAAAAAACUAAUUAAACACCCAUUUAGCAAAAGGCUGUCUCUAUAUUGCCAUUAUUUUAACAAAUUAUGCAGGCUGAAAUCUAGUCUCAUCCCAUUUCAAUUUCACGAAUAGUUUCAAUCAGUGUUUUGAAAAUCUGAUCGAAUCAGUUGGUUUCACUAGUUGAACCACCGAUGAAUCAUGUCAGUUGUGAGAUUCACUAUUAAAUUUAGAAAAUUAAUUGGAGUGGUCAAAGUCGUUCAGGUACCGAUUAAGUGAAUUAAAAAAUUCUUUUUUUUAGUUUUAAUUACAAUUUCUCCAUAAUCUUAGUAGGAUAGAUUUAAAAUCUAAUUAGUAAGCUAUUAAUAGAAAAGAAAAAUUCAAUAGUAACUUCACGUCAUCAUAAUGUUCUUUCAUUCCUUCACAAAUCACAUAUUUAUAUCAUGAAUAAUUUAAUGAUUUAAGAACUUUUAAUGUCAUAAAUAAUAAGGUAAUUUGGAGCACAAUGAAAUUUGCACUGUAAUUAGUGCAUAUACAAAGUCAUCCACAAAACCACAAUAACAAGUAUUUUAACAAAGAAAUCUAACUAUUACAAAUCUAUUAAUCUAAAUGUCAAAAGCAUCGCUUCCAUGUAAGAGAAAUAAACUAGGUUAUGAAAUAGUAGUGUACUUGGAAGUCGCUUGGUCUUUAAUUCCACGGCCAUUAUGUAUGGUAAAUUGGGAAAUAUCCAUCAUGACUUUGAUACAAACUCGCGAAAUUUUAGACAAAAUGCAACAUCAAUCAUUUUUAUGUCAAUAGCCACUGGCCAUUUGGUCCGGUGGUCAUCACUAGGGAUGGCAAUGGGGGCGGGGGGUGGGGCGGGGGUGGGGGGGAAUUUUUUCCCCCCGCUUAGAAACGGGGCGGGGGAGUAUACCCCCGCCCCAUCCCCCGCCCCGCCCCCCGCAAAACAAAAAAAAAUAUAAAAAAAUAUAUAAUUAUAUAUAACAUGUAAGUUAAUUAGUUAUAAACUUAUGAUAAUGAUAUUAUUAGUUAGAUAUAUUAUAUAAUGUAUAUUAGUUUAUGUAAUAUAAUUGAUAUUAUCAAUUAUAUGAAUAAUUCUACAUGUUUACUAAUAGAAUUUAUUAAUUAGUUAUACUAAAUUUACUAAUAUAUUUAUACUAAAUUUCUAAUUACACUUAAUAGAAUAACACUUUUUUCUCAAAAAAAAGCACAAACACAAUAAUGAAUUAGUGAUUGCAUUUGUACUAAAAGUGAAAACUUGACUAUUUUAGUUAUAUUUAUUUUAUCAUAUUGGAUUGUAUUCAAAUAACUUCUGUUUGAUUGUUUUUAUGAGUUUCAAUUGUAAAAUUACAAUGAAUAAUAAUUUGGUGAUGUGUUGAUAUUUUAGUACUUGAUUAUUUAUUAAAAUUUAAUUAUAAUAAAAUUAUAUAAUAAAAUUGUAUUAACCCCGCGGGUGCCCCCGCGGGGGAAACGGGGCGGGGGCGGGGCGGGGCGGGGGGAGCAGGAGGCGGGGGACGGGGCGGGGGACGGGGGGAACUAAUAGGCAACGGGGCGGGGGACGGGGGAAGGGACCCCCGCCCCAACCCCGCCCCGUUGCCAUCCCUAGUCAUCACCAUCUUUGGUGAUGCUGGAGGUCAGGGGUUCAACCCCUGCCUCUCACAAACUUGUCACUUUACGUGACUGAUCUUCUGCCCUCACGGGAUAGUUCGAGCGGUCCGCUCCUCCUCCUUAGGGUAUGACGACCUUCCUGACUUGUCCAGGAUUCGAGUCCCGUUGUUAAUGUGCUCGGUGUGGAGUAGGGCCUCCACUCCCGGAUCGCAAAGGAUUAGUCGAGCCCCGUAUGAAUUGAUCCGGACACCCCUGUGUUGACAAAAAAAAAAAAAAAAUCAUUUUUAUGUCAAGAGGUUUAAAAAAUAAGCAAAGUUUAUUUGGCACCGAAAUUCUUGUAGUACCUCAUCAUAAUAAUGACAUGUCUCUCAUUUGAUUCCUUCAUAAAUAUUUAUGCAAAAAUAAAAAAUAGAGGUGGGUGAGUUUUUCUCUCAUAAAAUUCAUAUAAUAAAAAGAUGGACCAUAGGAUCCUAAAUGCCACUAUUGUCAUUUUGUUCUCUCAUUUCUAUAGUCGCACUCCAGCACUCAUUGGACUGGAGUCUCUAAUAAGUGGAAUGAAAACUCUCGCUCUCGCUCGGCCGCCCGGUUGUCAGUCACUGGCCAAGUAGCUCAACUUCCCCAAGCUUUGCAGCUAAUCCCAUAAAAUCUCUCUCUGCCUUUUGUUGGGCCUUCCCGUCCCCUGGGGGAAGGUUAAAGGAGUUUUAAAUUAAAAAUAAAAAUAUCUGGGCGAUCCUUCAUAAUUUGGCUCGUGCUUUCGCUCUUCCGCGGCUAUUCUACUUUGGCGACUCCCUUGGGAGCAGUUGACUAGUGACUUUGGCGGUGGUCGUUGGGUGAAAUUCAAGACGAGGUCGGAAUAUUUGUUAAUGAACUGCUUUCUCUGCAAUUUCUACGGCUUUCUCAUUUUUUUGGGUAAAAUUCUUAUUGUCACUGUAGAUUUAUUCCUUCUAUCAGGUAUUUGUACAUGCAGAUAUGAAACCUACAAAUUUUGCCAAGGAUUAGGUGUACACUUUCACCCUAAAAUUGAGGGAUUUUUUGCCCAAAAAAUGGUCCUUCGUCUGAUUCACUAAGCCCGUACGAACCCUUUUUUUUUUUUUCAGCCUUCAGAUCUCUGUCAACAAUUUCUGACUCUAAAUUUUACUCUCUCGGCUUCGAUUUGAUGGCUGCUUAGUAAGAGGGAAGUAGAAUCAGUAUUAAAAACCGGAGGAAUAGAAAAGGGCGCUUGAGGUUAGAGGCUUUAUAGGAUAUACAUUUUAUUUCAUUUUCUCAUAGGUGAAAAGAAAAAUAGAGAGGUUUCUUGCCUUUUGGUGUUUUCCUCUAUGGUAAAGAAAAUUUUAAAACAUGUUUGGUUUUUUCCUUUUCGCAUAGCAGACACACGAAUGCUACACAAUUAGUGUUUCUUUUUUUUUUUUUUUUUUUGGUAUUUUCAGCUUUGUUUGGAAAGUGGAAAAUCCUAUCAAGUGGUUUGGUGCCUUUUGUUCCCUUGCAUCCUGGUAAAUAAAUUUCUUGCCAUUAUUUUUUUCUUUAUUUUUUUGCACCACGAAAAUAUAUACUGAUCAGUUUUUUUAAAAAAAAUUUUCAGCUUUGGUCCGAAAAUAGAAAAGGUUUUGCAGUAAAAUUUCUGUUCAUUUCCAGGUUAGUUUACGUUUGAUUUGUAUCAUUAAUUUGCUGAAAUUUUUGUUAAUAUUAUAUGGGCUGAUAGUUUAAAUAUUUUAAUAUUAGAGUUAUGUGCCUAUAUGUUUGGCUAUUUACUCUGAUGAUAAGUUUUUGCUUAUGCUUCUUAAGAAGAUAUAGCUGUGCUUUACUGGUUUUAUGUGGUAUUUUAAGGCAUCGAAAUAUUAAUAAAGUAUUUUUAAAAAAACGUGAUUUUCCCCCCCAAUUUAUGCUUGCCCUUCCGAUUUACCUUCUAUGUACAUUAUCUCAUCUCCCAACUAUGCAAUUCCUUUUUUUUCCUAGAAAAAGGAGAGAAUCAAAGAGGGGAAAACACCAUACAUCUCCCUUCCCCACCCCUAUUUGCCUUCCUAGCUAAAAACAUGAAGAAAAACACACACUUUCGCAUCAAUUUUCAGCCAUUUGAUGAAUUUAUUGUGAGUUUUUCUAGCUUUUUUUUCUUCCCAAAAUUGUGCUCCUAGCAGAAAUGUUUGCUUUUGUUAUUAUUGAUUGUUUUGUAAGUUUAAAAGAAUCAAGAAGAAGCACAGCAAAGUAAACAUCCACUAUUUAAGGUGUGUGAUCAUCUCUUACAAGAGUAGCAUGCUUUGUGUUUGAUGAUUUGAUUCUAAAGGUAGCUUUACCACUACACUGGUUUAGUUUUCUGAGAAUUUACGUGUUCCAUUGUUAUGGAGUAUUAGAUGAUUUGAGAGAUGCUUUUUAGCUUACUGCUUGGUCCUAAACAAAAAUGAUUUUACUUUUGCCUUUGUGUUUGUAUGCUGAAUGAUCCUUUAAUGUCUUGCAAUGGCUCGAACUAUCUUUAAAUUUCAUUGGAAACAAUUCUUUGAUAGACCUAGAAACAUUAAUUUCAUUGAUUGUUUUUUACUUUUACUGCAUUGUCAUGUUAGUGACUAUCAUAAUUAGGACCAAAGAGCAGUUAGAGAGUAUUUCCCCAGCUUCUUGGUUCUAAUUUUCUGCAUGUUUUGGGGCUGAACAAGUAGAAUCUGCACUCAAAUCAUGAUUUGUUUGACAUAAUUUGGUUUCUGCUUAAAUUUUAGUUUUAGGAACUGGUCAUGCACUGAUUAAUUCCUGGCACAGAUAAGCACUUCUGAUUUCCAUAUCUUGGUUCAUUGAAAGCGGAUUGUUUAAUGGACGGAUCCUAACUUGGGGGGACAAAGGCUUUUAACAUACCUCAGUCUUCAAUUAUUUUGCUGCUUCCUUGUUAUAUUAGUUUCUCUGGUUUUGCACAUGGACAUGGGCAUUGCUUUAAUUACCCUACUGCUAUAGUUUGCAUAUGGACAUGGUUUCUCAACAUGAUGACAAUUAAGAUCUUCCACGUUCUAUUAAUUUUAAAAAUGAGAGAUAUAGGGAAUUUUUAAAUAUUUUUUACACAACAAAUUGGGCAUUGGCUGUUCAACACAGCCAGAAAAUUUCUAGUAUUAUAUAUAUAUAUAUAUAUAUAUAUAUAUAUAUGCAUGUACGCACACGCACGCACCACAUACUUGUGCACAGAAUAAGACAUCCCAUGACCAAUUUAUAGCAUCACCUGAUAAAAAGUUAAAUAUUUUUAAAUGUAAAUAAGUCUUUAAAAUUGUAAAUUCAAACAAAUAAAUUCAUUUCAAUUGUACCUACUAGGAAAAAAAUCUUAAAUCCAACACAAACCACAACCAUAUUAUGAAAUUAAACAAAAUGCAUUGAAACAUCUAAAAUUAAACAAAAUCUAAUAGAACUACAAAAGAAAAUGGCGAUCUUUGAGUUUGAAAUGAGAAAUAGAGCGAGUUUGGUUACUCUUUUAGAAAUUAGGAUUGGGAGCAAAAGAUUUGACAAAUAAGUUUUAUGUUUAAAACUUUAGGUUCAUUUAAAAAAAAAAAGAAAAAAUUAGAAAUUGCAAUUCAGAGGUCAAUCCAGGUUGAACGGUCCAAUCAAUUUUUUGCGAUUCUGACUGAUUUUUAUGAUGAGUUAAACACUAGUAGUGAAUCGAACCAAAAACUUGACCUGUUCAUGAUCCAACUAGUCAAAUUGGCCGAUUCAGCCUAAUUUUCAGAACAUUGGUUGUGACACAUAAAAUAUUGACUAUUUAGUUGCAAUAUAAUAUAAUUUAAUAGAAUGAUAAAUUUGAAUAAUAUCAUACGAUGUGUUAUUGAUAGAAUCAUAUCACAACAGUCAAUGUUUUACUGCAAAAUGUGUUAUUUUACAUGUCACAACAGUCAAUGUGAUAUGAUUCUACGUAAAAUUAACUCCCUCGUAAGCUCCACAAAUAGAAAAUGCAGGAGUACUUCCUAUAAUAUAAUUUGGAUCAUUAAUUUAAUUUAUUGAUCAUGGAUUAAUAAAGUAUUAUUUACUUAUUUUUUAUUCUUUUUUUUAGAACGAAUUUUGCAAUGAUAUAGUUCUUAUGCCAUUAUAAAUUCUUAACCAUGACCAUUAUAGUUCUUACACUGUUAAUACUUGAACAACGAAAAAGGACAUGAACAAAAAUAAGUACCCAGCCCAUCGUCAAAACCCACUAACAAUCUUCACCAAAACGACUUUUCUAACAAUCUUCACCGAACAAUUUGAGCCCACUAAGCCCAAAGCCAAUAUCCACUGCAUGCCAACCCAACAGCCUUUGCCAACACAACGCCUUCUCCCCUGGCUUCCCUUCUGUUAUAACCUUAGUUUCCCUCUUCUCAGUCACCCUUCUCUCCUACCUAGUUGCCGUUAUUUCAAGGUUUUUUUGAGGAGACAAGCUUGGGCUAAAGAUUGGUAUGGAGUUUAGUUUCUUAUUAUUUUUGGUGCAUUUUUUCUUAAAUUGUUUUGUCCACUGAAUUCUACUUAUCAGUGCUUUUGGGAUGUUGUUGGAAUUGUCAUUUUUCCUUUCACUGAUAAUUUUUUUUUUCUGGGUAAGAUUCUUUCCACUGAUUUUAGUAAAGUAGAUUUUUUUCCUUGAGAUUUUAUGUUUUUGCCUUUAAAUAUCUGUAAUUGUGUAGUCAGCUGGUUAGCUAGUCAGCUCUAUGAAAUCCAAAAAGAAUGGGCCUUUUUUGAGGUAUCUAUAUUAUAAUAAUUAGAGUUCAUGGUUGCAAAUGGAAAAUCUGAUUUCCGUUUAAGUAGUUGCAAGAAUAGCUGUCCUCAGACUUUUGAUCGCUAAAUCAGGUGUUCGGUAUACUCUUAUAUGCCGACAUUGCCUUUGAUUUUUCUGCAUAUUAAUAUUAGAUAAUUCUUCUCUAUAAUAUGAGAAAAUCAUGUGUUUGAUGCAGUGAAAUAUAAGACAAGAAUGAAUAUGGGGUAAAAAUCUAUUCUUGGGUAGUGAUGGAGUGAAACUCAUAAAACUCUGAGUUUUGCUUUGUUGUAGGAUUGUUUUCAGUACUGGGAGCCUCUUCUCUCAUCUUUUUUGAGUGGAAAUUCUACUAUUUUGCACAUUAUGAUUUUCCCUUUAAUUGAUCUUUUAAGUGGCCACAGCCAUAGAUGCCUUUUGUGGAGUGACCAACUGGGUAGGGUGCAUUUUCUCCUCUUAAACUGCUGUCAGUAGGAGCUGUGAAAUUGAAGGCAGAUAUGAUUUGCACCCAUUCUUGUCUAUGUAGACUCUAGAUAUAAGAACUUAUGCAAAAAUCAAAUGUGAGCUAUGAUCCAAGUGGCAUGAUGUAGGCUAAAUGUUUGAUAAGAUGUAUCUCAUAAGUUUCUUUCUAUGUUGCCACAGAAAUGAUUAUUAGGAAAGCUCUCUGGUUUCCAAGAAAAGACAUGUGAAUUUUGUGAGGCUUCUGGGUAUCACUAAAGUUUUUUUCUGGAAAUAGUUUGUUUUGGAAAUCACUGUAGAUGUACAAAAUGCAGUGCAUGCGUAUUUCCCUGACAUAAUCACAUGAAGAUGUUUAAGAUGUGUAGCUUGUAAGAACUCAUCAUGUUUGUGAUAAGAUUAAACUGGCGGCUUUUAGAGUGUGAAUUAAAUGGGGUUUCAUUAGACGAGCAUCUCUUCUGAAUGGCUAGGUGUUUUCCAAGAGAAUUAAGUAUUUACCAGUCCCCUGCUCAAUCUUAUACAAACAUACAAACAGAGAAAGAGAAAGCAGCAGAGAUUUAUUCAUUUCCUCUUUUUUCUGUCUCAGAUGGGUUGCCCCGGGGCUGGGGGGAAUUGGUGGAUUGUAUGAUCAAGUGCAACUGGGAGGUGCCUUUUGAAUGCAAUUCUUCAGUGUUUUUCCAACAGGGGCUAGUCUUCACUGCAAAGUGAAGUGUUUUUUUUUUCUUUUUAAGUAAGCUUUUCAAUGGAUAGGCCUGAACCUGAAACUGGCAAUCAAGGAUGCGUAAAAUAAUGUUAGAUUUAGGUUUUGAACUGGAGAUUGACCCAACUCAGUUGGUUUUACAUCAAUGGUUGAGUUAUCUGAAUGGGUAUCGGUGUGUCAAGUCUGACGUCUGGAUAUAAAUGAAAGACUGUGUUAUCCACGUCUCAUCCUUUUGCAAACUCAGACAGUAUACUUCAACUCUCUGGAUAAAGACUUUUAUCUCAUCCAGUAUUUGCACUUUAUGCUUCCCUUUCGCAUACCUGUUAUUUUUGUCCAAGUCGUUUAGCUCUUGCAAAUACACAGUUAUCACAAGUACCACUCUCUCCUAAUUGGAUAUGGGUGUUUUGUGUUAUAUGAUGACAUAUGUGCUUGAUCUUUUGUAAGUUAGAUGUCAGGAAAACAAAAAUGAACAAGUUGCACUGGCUUUUAAUAAAAUGUUGUAGAUUGAUUUUUUUUUUUUUUUAUUUAUUAUUACACAUGUUUCAUGAAGUCGUUUUUCUUUGGUGAUGCAGAAAAUGGUUAUCCCUCCUGCAGUUCGGCCAGAAAGAGUUACCAAUUUUCUCAAGCCUUAUGUCCUGAAGAUGCACUUCACGAAUAAGUUUGUGUCUGCUCAAGUAAUCCACACACCAACAGCAACUGUAGCAUCCUCUGCCAGCUCACAAGAGCAGGCACUGCGGUUAAGCAUGGAAAAAGCCAGAGAAAGUACAAGGGACGUUGCAGCUGCUGGCAAAAUAGGCAAGAUAUUGGGCGAGCGACUGCUUCUCAAGGGUAUUCCGGCUGUUUCAAUUUUCUUGAAGAGAGAACAGAAGUAUCAUGGCAAAGUUAAAGCAGUAAUUGAUUCCGUGAGGGAAGCAGGUGUCAAAUUAGUUUAAAUUUAAGAAUCAGCUCCAUUCAAGAGUGGCAAAUGCAUGCCCCGCAUGCAUUUUUCUGAAUCCCUCUUUCUUUAACUAGAGGGUCUUUGCUAUUGUGACGAGGAUUAGAAGAAUCAGGGUUAUAUUAUUAUUUUUUUACGUGGCUAAAUCUAUUUCUUGAUAAUCCAUAGUCUGUCUGUGUUUGGGAAAUGAAUGGACCUGCUAAACUUGACAUUUGAGAUAAGAAUUAUUGCAAGUACGGAUAGGUUCUGUCUGAAUUAGCCUACAAGGAGAAUGGCGUACUCAAGGAUAACGAAGUAGUCGUUUUCGUAGCCGGUGUGGAGCAAAGGGGGCAGUUGAGGCGUAGUUCUUUGAAUGCAUGAGCUGUGAAUACUGUCCAGAUGAGCAAGGGAGGUCCCCAUAUUCUGCUGUGCUCUUUUAUCUUUGGCUUAACGUAUCAAAGUUCUUAUAAAGCAAAGCUCAGCAGCAUGGACCAAAGCAACUUGCUGUAGUGCAAGCAGGGACCCGCGGGCUGUCUGGUUCGCAUCAUGCCAUGGUUCUUGAAGUGUCCUAGACGGGAACAAAAGACGUUAUUGAGGAGAGCUGGUGGCUGUAGAUUAAUGGGAACUUUUUUGGUUUUCUUUUUAGUAUUAUGUUUUUGGGCAUUUGGGGUUUGAAUUAUGGUAAAUUUUUUGGCGUUGAAAUUCUUAGUCAUAGUACUACUACUGUCAUCUUAAAUUCAGGAAUGGUUGGUUCAUCGAGCCAUUUUUCGCCCAAACUCUAUAACUAAGAAUAAGUAGUAAUAAUAAUAAUAAUAAGGGUACUUUUCAAAAGGGGUUAAUUUAUGAGUAAAUCUUAUAUGCACUGACAUUGUAUGCACUAUCACGAUUGGAUGCGUAUAUAUAUAUAUAUAUAUAUAUAUAUAUAUAUAUAUAUAUAUAUAUAUAUAUAUAUAUAUAUAUGCAAAUUUAGGAUUUCAUAUUCAAAUUUGAAUCAUGUGUCAUGUAUUUAAUGGUGAAAGCGCGUACGCUGUCAGACAGUGUAUAGAAGAUUAAUUCAUGAUUUAUUUACACCAACGAAAAUCAAAUUUGUUAUUCCGUAUCACUGUGACACGGGUCGCGAAGUGUACAUUUUGGCCCCCACAGUUUGGGAAUACAGAUAAAAUUUACUUUGAUUCAAAAAAUUAUGAACCAUCAAUAGCAUGAUAAGAAAGGGAUUCAACAUUAAAGGUGUCAACAUUUUGAAGCAAUAAUUGAUUUGGAGUGACAAAGAACAUAAAGAGGCCUAACCAGAGAGGUUAAUCAGCCCCAUCACUAUCUGCCUUGGAUCUUCAUAUCCUUCUUUGCUAGACAAAAGUCCGGUCCUGGAAAAAAAUAUUUGGCCAUACCUCUGCUUCUUUUCUUUUUGGGUGUAUUGCUCCAUAUUUUGUGGUCACAAUAAUGAAGAAGAUGAGGUAUGAUUAGGUACAGUUUCCAUAAAAGAAAUUAUCUUCACCAAUCAUCAUUGACGAACUUUAAGAGAGUGACAAAAGGGAAACAUUUUUUUUUUUUUUUUUUUUGUAUCUGGAAUUCCACCUGAGGAAAAAGUUAUCAAUUUGGUUUUUUUUUCCCCUUAAUUUUUUAAAUAAUAAAACUAGUGUAUUGAUUAUCAACCCUGUUGCUGAACGUUACUUCCAUUGAUUAUUUGGCAAAGCCUGACUUUUGUGAUCCAUUCGAAACAAGUUGCAGACCACUGCACCUAAUAUUGAUUGUGUGAAAGUGAUUAGUGGGCCUAUUAUGUCUGUUCAAUCUUCCAAAUCUGCAAUAAUUUAGCCAAGAAUCUUCGAUGGCUCGUCAUGCAUUACACGCGCUGAGGUGGCUAUGGAAUCGGACUCAUAGGGUCAACUCGGUCUGCAACUCGAGAAAUAGACUGCUCGACUAUAGAAUUAAUAAUAAAGAAAGAAUCCAGGAUUUCCUAGAAAAAUUUCGCCACCGAAUGCGUAAGCAUCCGUCUAAACAGAUUAUGUUUCAUUUUUCUCCGGAUUAUGUUUCAUCCAGGAUUAUGUUUCAUUUUUCUCCGGAUUUUUCCCUCGACCCUUUUGUGUCAAUUCCUUCUUUUAGUAUAGAGUAGGAGCAGUGGUAGAAUAUAAUCUAUCGUAUCCGAUUAAAACACAAAAAAAAAAGACUAUUGAAUUAAAAUUUUUGACCCAAAAGAAAAAAGAUAAGAUAAGACUAUAGGAUUCAAGCCGCCACCUCUAACUCAGUGGCAACCGCAGAGCUCUAACUCGGUGACCACCACUUCUUUUGAUGGGAUGGGAGGUCAGGGGUUCAAUCCUUACCUCCUUUUCCGCAUAGGUUAAAAUAGAUUAGGUUAUAAGAUUUCUACCGUUAUGAAAAAAAAAAAUAUAGAAUUAAAGCCUAAUUAGGACCAAGAAAACAGACUGUUAACUCUACAUUUUUUUUUAUAAGGUGCCUGGUUACACUUAAUCCGCGACAAGAUGAUAUGGCAAUUAGCACAACUAGGUCAUGGAUGGCCUCGCACUGCCUCCAGAUUGAGAGUCGUGGAAAUCCUUCACAAGUUACUGCUAAUAUUCAUAUUCUAUCUUUGAUAGUGACCAUAUAUCAUUAAAAGUUGUAUAAAGGAUAAUUCUAGAAAUCUCUCCUAAGGUUUUUAGUAAUUUUACUUGGCUCCUUUGAGGUUUUAAAAAUUAUGCAUGCCUCUCUUAUCUAUUUAAAAUGACAGUAGUAGCUUUUACAUUCUAAUAAAACUCCCUUGUUUGUCAUGCUUAUAUAAGAGAUGGGGUUUUAUUAAUUUUUUUUCUUUUGUCUUCUUAUUCAUUUCUCUUCAUCAGAAAAUCUAAUGAACUAUUAAUAUUGUCUGUAAUCUCUAUCAUGAUCAAAUGUCAAACUAGUAAAUUUUUUUUAUAACUUUAAUAAUGUUUGGAUAGCAAAUUUAUUUCAAAUAAUAUUUCGCUUAUAUCAUAAACACAUUUUCCAACCCACAUUUUUAUAUUUCUAACUACCUUUUUAUUAUAUAUAUACCUCGUAUCAUAAAAAGUGCUGCAGUAAUUAUUUCAAAUAAUAAUUUGUCCAAACAUAAUAUCAUCAUUUAAUUAUGGUAAUUCCACCACUGAAUUAGUCCACAAACUUUGAGAAAAAAAAAAUCAAAAUAACGCUUUCUUUUCUAUCUUAAAAAGAAUCUAUGUCCCCAAUAAAGCACUAUGAAAAGUAACCUAUUAUAGUGAUAUAUUUAUUGUUGAUUAUCAAAUAAAAAAUAUUGACGUAAAAAAAACUAACACUUAUUCCAUUUAUAAUUGUGUCAAAUUACUUUACAAUUGUUUAAAAGAAUAAAUUACACUUUAUAAGAUAAGGGCAUUUUAGAGUAUUCAUUAAAAUUUUGACCCUAUUUUAAGGUUAGAUUAUCAAAAGUAUUAAAUCAAGGAAGGCACGUAAAAUAAUUUUUAAAACCUUGAAGAGUUAAGUAAAUAAGUUAGAAACUUUAGGGGAGGUUUCUAAAAUUAUCCCUUAGUAUAAAUUUCAAGAUUUCUUUUACACUUUUCAUCCAUGAAAGUAGCGUUUGUUCAGUUCGAGGACAAAUAGGCUUUGUAGUUUAAAGUGAAAUUAUCUGUUUGGAUUGUGAAUUAUUAGAGAUAUUUUUACUGUAGUAUUUUUUGUGAUGUGAUGUAUGUGAGAUAAAAAGAUAAUUGGGAAGGUAAAAAGGUGUAUUGAAAAUUGUAAUGAUGAUGUAAGCAAAUAAAUUUUGAGAAAUAAAGUCCAAUCCAAACAAUAUAAUCACACGUUGAGAAACAAACAAAAAAAUGAGAUAAGAACAUAUUAACAAUUCGAUUUUAUUUAAUUCCGUGGACAAAACGAACUAGUAGCGUUGCUUGUAGCCUUCGGCCCUCUGUUGACAAUUUGGUCCGGAUCCGGACUGCCGCCGCCAUUAUUUCCCUUUCGAUUUGAUCUUGUUCGUUAAUCUUUCCUACACUGAUAAUAAAUAUAUUUAAAUAAUAUUAAUAAUAAAUAUAUUUAAAUAAUUAAAUAAUGAUCAAAAUUUAUUUACUUACGUCACUUUUAAAGGCUCAGAAAUCAACUUAACAAAGUAACAGUUCAAAAUGUAUUAUUUUAGAUAACAUUACGUAAAUUUUACACAAUUAACAUGUAGUACUUCAAUAUGGAAAAUAAAAUUCUGUUACAAAUUAAUAAAAUUUUUUCUAACAAAGGGAGGGAUGGCAUUUAAAAAGCCGGUAGGAGGCAGAAGGAUUAGAAUACAUAUUUUUAGUUCUUAUGUUUUAACCUUAACUACUAAAUCGAUAAAUUAUGGAUCUGCGUGGAUUUAUUUUUUUUUUUCAAAAACUAUUUUUGUAUUUGGAAUCUAUAGUAACAAUUCUAAAAAUAAAUUCCAAAAAUAACUCAAAAAAACACACAUAAUCUCAAAUACAACUUAUAAAAAUAAUAAAAACAUAAAAUAAUAAUAAUAAAAACGAAUCCUACCACAUUUUUUUCUUUUUCUACUCACCACUACCACUUACUAUACACAUCACCACCCACCACCGUCGCCACCCCAAAUCUCUUUCCUUAUCCUCUACCCUCAUCCUCCUCUCUUCUCCACCCUUUCCUCCACUUUUUCUGUGGCUUUUGGUUGCGACUAGAUCCUUUCGAUCGUAGUAGCCAGAAACCAUGAAACGGUCGCGGCUUCUACUUGCUAUCGAAGAGAGGAAGGAAAGGAGAACGGGAGCGGUGGUAGUGGUGGUGGUGAUGUUUAAUUUUUAAAAAAUACUUUUAAAGAAUUUUAAAUUCUAAAAGUACUUCAAAAUACAUCACAAAAAUACUUCAAAAAUUCCAUAAAAAACACCUAAUUAUUUACAAUAAAAAUUACAUAUAUAUAGUUACAGUAAAAUUUUCUAAAAACAUCUGAUCCAUAUAAUUUACUAGAAAAGUUGUUCUUUGUUGUUUAUAUACACAAUUCAGAACUGGUUAAAAUAGCUGUAGUGCCGUACCCCAUUCAUGAUGAAGGACGGUCAACAAUUGGCAUUGGCCAACCUUUCUGUCCCAAAUUCUUAUCUCAAAUUCAUAAAGGACUGUCAAUAGUUCAAUUACCUGUAAAGGACUUCAUUGACUGACAAGCUCCAACUCAAAGCAAACUAGAAAAGAAUCUAUUCAUACGUCAUAUAUGUUUGCAUUCCGUUAGGGUUAGGGCCACAAACGAGCCGAGUCGAGUCGAGUUUUGAGUUAAUCGAACCGAGUCUCGACUAAAUUUUACCAAAUUCGAACUCGACGAGCCGGCAAAUUUCGAGCUCGAGCUCGAAAAAAAAUAAAAAAUAAAUAUUUUUAUUUAAAAAAAUAAAUAAAAUAAUAUUUUUUUCUUAAUAAAUAAUAAAAUAUUAAGGACAUAUACGUAAUUUUACUAUGAAAAUAAAAAAUAAAAUAUAUAUAUAUAUAAUAUACGUAAUUUUAUUAUUAAAUAAAAAUAAAAAUAAAAAAAUAUAUAUAUAUACCCAAACUCGCGAGCCGGUUCGCGAGCUAACGAGCUUAAUAUUCUGAGUUCGAGCUCGAGCUCGAGUUUGACUCGAGCCGGCUCGAGCUCGACUCGAGUUCGAUUAACAUCGAGCUCGACUCGAGCUUGACUCGGAUCGCUCGCGAGCGGUUCGAUUCGUUUGCAGCCCUAGUUAGGGUGAUGCUUUGUUGGGGCAUUGUUUUUUUUUUUUGUAGAGUUUCUUGCGUUUCUGUCGCGCUAUCAAUCGAACGUGGAACACAACUGUUAAUCGAUAUUGUUAAUUGUGGAACAAACCAAAAGACAAUUAAUUUGUUUAGGAAACAGAUAAUGAUUGAUCCUUGAAAUAUUUAGCUGAGGUUGUUGAAAUGCUUGUUUGGAUUGCAGUUUUUUAUCGGAAAAAUUACGUUAUUUUUCGUGAUCAUAUUUCUCUAUUAUCUUUUUUCCUUACAUAAAUCAAAUCGUUACAAUAAUUUUUUAUAAAAAAUUAUGAAAAAUGCAAUACAAACAAAAAGCAACCCAAGUUGAGGACCAGGGAAGAGAAAUUAAAUUGAAUGUUUGAACUUAUACUGGUAUGGAAGUUUGGAAGAUAAAUAAGAGAUUUUAAAUUUGAAACUUCUCAUUUAUACUAAAAAAAAGUUAAAAAUACCAAAAAAAAGAAAGAGUGUUGGAACUUGUACAUGUUAGUACUUAAUAAAUGAUAUGGAUAUCAAAAUCUCACAAGGUUUUUUUUUUUUUUAAUAUUAAAAGCCAAGUAUAGUGCUUUGCAAAAUUAAAUAGUAGCAUGGAUUCAACGGUAAUUUAGAAUUUUAGCGCUUCAUUUCUCCCUUCAGCGUCAUGCUUCUAGAACAUUUCCAAGAAAAGACUAGAAAACGUAUUAAUGAUUUCUCAUUGAUGCUACCGCAGCACGAGAGCAAAUCCUCUGUCUAAUAUUUUGUGUUUAAUUUUCUGUUCAAUGUGAAACUACGUAGUUUUACUUAUUAUAUCUGUUGAGAAAAACAUGCCUUGUGCUCUUCGUAACAUGCAUUGAACCACAAAUUCGAAUCAUACUUGAGGAUUUAAAAUAAUUGAUUCUUUUUUAUUUUUCUUUCAAUUUAUCUAAUUUUUAAUAUUCAUUUUUAAGAUUUAAAAUAAUUAUUGAUUCAAAACUAUUUAUGGAAACAAAGAUAUGAUUUUUAUAAAAUAAUAAGCAAAAACUUUUUUUAAUUUUUUUGGAUUACUUCAAGGUUAAUAAAUAAAAAUAUGUUCUUUUUUUAAUGCAAUACAGCCUCAAAAAGGGCAUUUUUGAUAUUAAGGGAAUUUUUGUUAAAUGUUUGAUCAUUCAAAGGGUGAGACCGUUAUUUGAAUAAAUUACAGGGAUUGAUUGGUAAUAUGGUCAAAUCUCAGGGGAGGUAAAUGUAAUUAACCCAAUAAUCUACUGUCCAAACACAAUAUUGUUUGGAUCAUGUGUUAUUUCACUUUAUUUACACCUUAUUUACACACAUUAAUUUAUUUAUAUUAUCAAUAUAUUUUUUAAUCAUAUUUUUAUCUCACAUACAUCGCAUAAAAAAAGUGUUAUAUUACUUUUUCAUAAAAUUAUAUCAAACACACUUCGUACCAUAAAAAUUAUCUCAAACACACUUCGAUCCAUUUCGCCAUUUCCAAUGAAUCCGAGGGGCCCCCACUAGGGAUAAAGCAAAGGGCACUCUCGACCUUUCACAUCAGAACGAAAACGACGCAUCACGUGACAUGCCCUUUCUCCCAUUAAUCGCCCUCCACGUGGCGAUCCACAAAAAAUCUAGACCCUCAACGAUCUUAUCUCCUCUAUCGUGCUUAUCGAUCCACCCUCCACGUCACGUCAGAUCCACCCAGCCCAGAUCAACGGCCACGAUUGAAUCUGAACUCUCCCCAUAGGACUCUGCUCCAACUUUAACGCGUUUUCGGCUAAUAAAUAGCCGUUGAGCUGAGCUGAGCUGAGGACCAUUUCCUCUUCUAAGCUCUCUUCGUGAAAUAAUUUCCGAGUGGGUGAAGGGUUGAGGGAAUAGUUCCGUUCCGUUCCGUUCCGUUAGCGUGCGGGGAGUCUGCUAAAGUGCGCCAUGAGUUUACUGGAGAAGCUCUGGGAUGAUACAGUUGCCGGCCCCCGGCCCGAUAGCGGGCUCGGGAAACUCAGAAAACAUCCUACCUUUAACCUCCGACCGAACGCCGGGAAGGGUACGCCUUCCUUGCUAUCUUACGACGUUUGUUAAAUUAUAACAGAACUGAAAUCCACAAUAUCUGGAAAUUUUGAUUCAUAUCUGUAAAGAUGCUGGUAAAGCUUUACUAUGUAUCUGGAAAUUUUGAUUCAUAUCUGUAAAGAUGCUGGUACAAAUUUUGUGUAUAAGAGAUUGAAGUAUGUAAUAUAUAUGGGCGCCUGGAAAAUGGGUUUACUGAAGAAGGGCUGGUUAGUUAAGCACAAGAUUCUGACAAUAUGAUGAUAAGAUUUUAGCAGAGUCCUAGGUUGAUAGGAGAAAAGUACCUUGAUAAGUUGACUUUUGGACAAGAUCAUUUUGGGGACUAUCCUUUUUUUUUUUGGGUUGGGAUGUACCGUAAUAGAUCAAGUUGGGAUGUACGUAAUAGAUCAAGUUGAAUACGGAUGCCUUGAGAAUAUUAAUGCAUGAAGCUGCAGUUUUAUUGUUUAGUUUCUUUGGGUUUUGUUCUGUAACAUCAGAUUGGAUUGUUUGUACGGUUGAGUGUUGAUGUCAAUUUCUCCUCCUCCUUUUUGUUUUUGGUUUACAGAAUCCGUAGUUGGAAGCCCGAGAUCAUACAGUAACGGAGCAGGAGGAGCGGCGGCGGAGGAUGCAGUGAGGGUGACAAGAAGUAUCAUGAUAGUAAGGCCGCCUCCAGUUGACUUUAAAGACUCGCCGCCGGCAUCGCCAGCCGGGUCAACACCUGGCUCUACAACACCUGGCUCUACACCUCCGGUAUCUCCCUUCGCCGGUAAGGUUGCAAUAGUCAUCACUCUCUUAUGACUAGUCAUCAGUAGAGUACUGUUUUUCUGCUUUUGGUCGUGACCAAAUGUCCAUUUUGUCCUUGAUAACCGGCCUCCAAGAAGUAGGGAGGUAGCUUUUUUUACUGGGUCAAAACCCUACUCCAAAUAGUAGUAUAUCAAAGUUUGACAGAAAAAAUAGAUCAAAGGCUUUGUAUUAUACCCGUGCGGUACACUUUUUUAGUACUGCAUGUAAGUUAGUGAAUAGAUGAUACACUUUCUUAUCGAUGUGCAUAUUUUUUAAAAAUACUUAAAAAAAUACUGAAAAUAUAGACCGAAAAUAUCUAUAAUUUUCGAUUAAAAAACCUAUUUGGAAUCAUAAUUGGCUUGAAAUUAUGGGGAGAAGUCUGUAGAGGGGCCUUAGUCUAGAUCUAGAACAAUCUGUUAAGAGGACAUAUUGGUAAAUCCACAAACGGGGGUUCAUUUGUAUGGUAUAGUAGAAAACUAGUGAUAAGUUUUUGUUAAUUGAAGGGGUUAUUGUCAAUUAUGGCGACAAAUUUUGCCAUAUUAUGUGUAGUUCUAUGGAUGAGUGAUAUAUCACGUCAUGUGUAUUUACAUUAAAUAAAAAUGGUAACAAAAAUUUGUCAUUAAGGGGUUGUGGUGGAUGGAUCUUUUGAGCGGAUAAUGCAAGGCGGCCAGAAAAGUUAGGUGGAAAUGUGGAAAAUGGUGGAUCAGAGGGUGCAAUUAUUUACUGGUUGUCUUCUUAUACACUAAUAAUCCGUUUUAAGGUGGCAUCCACGGAGAUGUUUAGUAAAUUAUUUGGUAUUACAACCAAAUCUUUCCUUUUCGACGUCACAAGUCACACCCACCUUGCAACUUGCACGGGGAUUAAUUGGCUGAAAUUGACUUCGGCUCCUCCUAUGGGACAUGUUUGUGGUUGUAUCACAAGUUGUAUGGUGGACGUGCGUCCUUACUCUUUUUGCUGGAUGGAAGAUCCAGGGCUUGUACCUUAAGAAGGGUAAGAGGGCUAAUGAAUACAAGGUGCAGGAGUUUCAGUUGAAUUCCGUUUCUGAUGACUAACCAAACAAACAUAGCCGAAGGGACAUGAUAUCUAGGUGGUAGUAAGACUUAAUUCUCUGUAAGGAGCUCGACAGUGGUAAAGAGCAGGUGCUCUAAUGAAGUCUGUGCUGUGUUUCAGUCUAAAUAUGUACCUCCUGCUCGAGUAAGAUUGAAUGGGCUGCGAUAUGCUGUUGUGCAAGACUUUGUAAUACAAAAUCUUGAAUGUGCUGCGAUAUGCUGUUGCCCAUCAUGAUGGUUGUGUGCAGCAAUUGAAAUGGAAGCUUGAUUAAUUUGGCAUAUGGAACCGACGAAAAGUUAGGUCUUAGGUCAUAGGAAGUGGAAGUGUUGUUAUGCAUGUGAUCAUGUGCAUGACAUGGUCCAUGCUCUCAGCCUGUGGUGGGAAAGAAUCCGAGUAGGGUGGAAUAAAGGGAAAUAUGGUUGGAUGUGGUAGGUGAUGGGACUGCUUAUUAAUGAACAAAUUGAAUUGUAAAUGGCAUGGAUGGUCUCAAAGCAAUGUGAUGAUGUAGUGUUUCUUUUUCUUCCUUGAUCAAUAGCAAUUGUAUCAUGACAUGGGGCUUCUUUUUGCAGCUUGCUUGGUGCAAUGUCUCUGUCCCCCUCUUUAUACUCCUUGAUGCUGUACUGUACUCCAGCCUAUUGACUGCUACAGUUUUAUUUCUUGUGCAAGCUUUCCUGCAUUUAUUGCAUUACUUGGAUGAAGAAUGUUGACAGCAAAAAGAUUUUCUCGAUGCAUAAUGUGUAGGUGCUGGAGGAAGAGAGGCGUUUCGGUUUCGCAGGAAGUCUGCAUCAUUCGCAUAUGAGAAAUCCAGCAGUGUUGGACCCAGGAGCCCUCCUCCUCCUUACGACCUGUGAGAUAUGAUGAGGCUUGGCAUUUUCCAUGUUGAGCGGCGGCUAAAGUAGUCGGAUUUUCGUCUUCUUCUCAGCUUUGUCAUGGGGAAAUCUUUUAGAUGAAUAGCACUGAGUGUGAAAAAGUUUGGUGGCGUGCAAUCAAAAAAUUAAUCUUGUAAAUAUGGGUUAUGGUAGUGUCUGCUGUCUCGGUCGCGGUGUAUGGAGGGCUGGUCAUGCAGACUUUUGUAAAAGCUCAGUUUGAAGUUUGUAAUGUGUCCUGGUCUCUGUAUGCAGAGCUCAGAGUGGUUUGGUUUCUCCCAAAACUGCUAAGUUUCUUC